This 475264-nucleotide long non-coding RNA is filed under the name Vitis vinifera (wine grape). RNAcentral describes it as "long non-coding RNA (VVIN_LNC000544)". The record is from RNAcentral. Lineage: Eukaryota; Viridiplantae; Streptophyta; Magnoliopsida; Vitales; Vitaceae.
GAAUUACUGGAAAAUCACACAAAUUAUUGAAGGAGGACCUUAGCUAGGUUGUCUCCUAAAUUGCCCAUCUUUUUAUAUCUUUGCAUUCAUCUAUCUCAUCAUCGUCUUUGAUUUUAGAUGGUGAGGAUGUGAAAGUAACAGGAAGCAGUGGACGAUUGUUCACAGUGAGGCUUAGCACAUCAGCUCUCGAAUAAUGUCCUACCACGUCAAACUGGAACUUUGCUUUAGGAAUCUCUCCACGAACAUCUGCAUAUCAAGUGAUCAUAAAAAUAUUUGAUCAGCCCAUGAUAAAUAUCAUAGAGUAUCAAGUCUUCCAUAAAACUAUGUUUGCAGUCCCUUUAAACCUAAAGAAUUGACUCAUUUGCCUUAUCUGCAUACUGAAUUAUUUGGAUAUAUAAUCGGAGAAGUUAGGGCCAUACCAAGAUCAGCUGUGAAGAGGCCUUCUCCUUCAUAAUUCGGUCCUGCUAGAAUUUCGCCAUGGGGCGAAAUGAUGACACUACCUCCAGCCCAAACAAUAGAAUCUGGAGUGACAUCUUCUUCUGUAGGACUGUAAAGAUACUCAGGUGGAGGUGGGUAAUCUUUCCUCCGACAGAACUGGAUGGGUGAAAGAACAUAGCAUCCACCCUCCAUAGCGAUGUGUCUCAUUGUAGCUACCCAUGUAUCCCCGGAAUCGGCAGUAGGAGCACAAUAUAUCUCAAUUCCUAUAUAGAAUCGGUGUUUUGUGAUCAAUCAAUCCCAUAUCAGAGCCAUAAUGUAUUUCAAGCCUAUUUAGGCUAAAACCCUAAUAACUUAAAAAAGAGUACUGAAGUAUUUCAAGCCAAACCAUACUAGUUAGUGAAGAGAAAGAAAUGGUAAAAUAUAUACCUUUGCCAUACAUUGCUGUCCUCAGAAGCGGCAUUCUAUUUUCCCAACAAAUGACUGAACCAAGUUUUCCAUAUGGAGUGUCAUAAACUGGAGUUGUCGAGCAAUCUCCGAAACCCCAGACGAGCCGCUCCCAAUAUGUUGGCAUGAGUUUCCUAUGUUUUCCAAGGUAAUUACCUUCAGGAUCAAAGAAGAGAACAGUGCAAUACAAUGUGUAUCCAUCUCUCUCAAUAACACCUAUCACCAAGUAGACUUUGUAUUUCGCAGCCAUUGAUGCCAAUCUAUCAACUUCAGGUCCUGAAAAGAUAUUAAGUGGUUGAUUCAUCAAACGUGUCUUGUUUCAAUAAUUUAUUAAGUGGUUCAGUUCUUUAGCUAUUUAAGGAAAAGAGAGAGAGGUAACUGACCCGGCACAUUAAUGGCAGAAGCAUGGUACUUGCGGAAACUUUCUUUCCCUCUUGGCGACUGGUCGGCGAAGUUGUAUCCACGGGGAUACCCACCGAUAAAUGAUUCAGGAAACACAACCAGUUGGGAUCCCAGUGCAGCUGCUUCUUUCAAAAACCUCUCAGCCUUAUCUGCUCCCAAAAUCACAUUGCAAGAAUUAAUAAUUCACGACUUAGAAAGUAAAUUAAUUGGUUGAAUAGAGAGAAUCAAAAUUAACCUCCAGACAUCCCAAAUGACUUUUUGGUUGCUGAGAAAACUCAUGGAAAAAGAGACCUAGAUAAAACUCGGAACUUUCAUAUUUUCAGCUGUUUUGUAACUAAGAAAAGAGAAACCACCUCAACCCAACUCAUCCAAGUAAUUAUUCCUUGAUUGGCAGCUGAAAAUAUGUUCAAGCUUCAAUAAUCCUUUUCUUUCCUUCAGUUUCUCAGCAACCAAUCAACUCACAGAUUCUCUUACACAAGUUGCAGAAUUGAGAGAAAUGGUACGUUACCUAGAGUGGCAGGAGUAUCAUAAAAGACACUAGAGGCUUGAACAACGGUGGCUCUAACAGUUGAAGACAUUGCAGAAAUCGUAUGCCUUUUCGUUUCCCUUCUGUUUGAGGAUUCCUCACACAGCGUUCAGUAUUUAUAUAUAGCCCAAAAGGUUCUUCUGCCAUUACUUGAACAAGACGAAAAGGCUGGGAAAAGUCUGCCUUGGUUUUCCAUAUUGAUUUAAGUUAUCCGCAGACAUUGUGGACCAGCCACAUGACUUAAAACAAAUUGAAAAUAACUGAGUCAUCUGUGAAAUAUAUAUAUCUGUGAAAUAUAUAUAUAUAUAGAUUUCAUCUUUUAUACUUGAAUCAUCUCCCCCCUCCUUUUUUUUUUCCUAGUUUUGGCCUUAUUUUUUAAAAAUAUAAUAUUUAUUUUACUUUUAAUCAAUGGCUCAUAUUUCGAACAAGUGCGCCAGAUUUUCUGAAGUUGUAUAUAUAAUAAUCUGAUAGUGAUUAUAUUUGGAUAAAAAGAGGGACCCGCCCACUUGCAUGGAUUCUAUAUAGGACACAGACAAAUUGUCUUUAGUGGCGGCUGAGGAGGCUUUCUAUGACUUAAAAAAUAAAUAAAACAAAAAUAGUCAUUAAGAAAUCAGUGCCAUGUAGUUAGUGUCCGCCACUAUCUACACUUUCUUUAAAAGAACAAAAUUGUCAUUUUUUUUAAUCUCAGAAAUCACUGAAUCGUACAAAAUAAUAUAAGAUAAGAUUCAAUUCAGUCUUUUUUGGCCUCAUAAGAAAACCUUAGCCAACUCAAGGUGACCACUCCAGAAUCAAAAUAGGUUUUCUUUUUCUUCAAAAAAAAAAAAUAUAUAUAUAUAUAUAUAUAGUUGGUGAAAGAGGGUAUAAACAAAUAUAUGCAAAAAAAAAUUAUGAUGAUUAUAUUUGAAUAAAACAGAGGGAGCCCCCACAUGCAUGGAUUCCAUCUAGCACCCAGAGGAAUUGUCUUUAGUGGGGGCUGAGGCUUUCCAUGACUUAAACUAUAUAUAUAGGUAAAAACUAGGUCUAACUUUAUGUAUUGGACCCAACCAAAAAUUGAGUGAUUGAAUGGCAGCUCUAGUAAAAAAAUAAAAAAGGGAGAACCAUGCUUACUGUCACAGAAUGCUUGAAAUGAGCCCCCUUAUGGGUUUAUAUAGAGUUCAAGAAGCUUCUAGAGACUCCUAGAGCCAUCUACACUAAGUCAUUGAUGGGAAGAGUGUGGAAGGUUCUAGAGAUGCCUAGAGAUGUCCACACAUCUCUACACUAUAGUGGAAGGCAUGAGAGGAGUCCAAGGUUUUCUAGAGAAUUCUAGAAAUCUCUUAUAUAUUCUUGUACAUAGGUUUGUAUAGGAUAUUCUAGAAUCUUCUUGAGUUCUAAGGAACCCUCCAAGGUUCCAGAGAGUUCCAUUGGUAUCUAUAAAUAGGUGAGACCCUCAUUUGGCCAAUACACCACCCAAGAACCUAAUCAACCAAGCAAGUGAGUUCUCAAAGCACUUGUAAAGGUUUCCUUUGAGCAAUAAAAGCUUUCAUUCUUUAAGAGUUGCCUACUACGCCUUCUAAAGCUUCCAAGUCAUGAGCAUCUUAGCCUAGCAAGCUAAGCAUUGGGAGUAACGCUAACUUAGCAAGAUCAAGUACCUUGACUUGUCUAAGUGCCACAUGAGCUUAGGAAAAGAUUAAGUCUGUGACAAGUGGUAUCAGAACACGACUACGAAGCGGGCAUAGUAAAGGAAGCAUGUCGGGUUCCAAUGUAGAAGAGACUAGUGAGCAAAUCCGUGGGAGGGAGACCGAGCCUGCUGCACGGGGCAGGGGCGGGGAGGAUAAGUCUCGUGAUGUCGUUGCUAACAUGGAGGCAAGCUUAGUUAAGGUGCAUCUAGACAUGGCGGACACUCGGGAGGGGUUGGACUUGAUCGAGCAAGGCAUGAAGAAGGGCUUAGAGGAUCUAAGGGAGUAGAUCCAAGACGUUUGUGAGGGGAUGUUAGUCUCACAAGUUCAGCCAGUGUCACAUGAGGAGUUUGUGUCCUUCCAAGAAAAGGUCUUGAGCAUGCUUGCUAGCAUGGAGUCAAGGAUAGAGGCCUUGGUCAUUUGAAUGGAGUCCCGAGACCAAGUUAGGCAAGAGUUGGCCAUCUACAAGGAUGCUGUGUUGGCACGGGUCAUGGCCAUCCAGGAGGUAUCUAAGGUGGAGGAGUCGAAACCACAAGAGUUUAGUGGCAAGUGGGAUGCCAAGGAGUUGGACAACUUCUUAUGGCAUAUGGAGAGAUACUUUGAGGCUAUCACACUAAUUGAUGAGGUGGUUAAGGUAAGAACUGCAACCCUUUACCUUACUGACACAACUACUCUAUGGUGGCGUCGGAGGUUUGCCGAUAUGGAGAAAGGCAUUUGCACCAUAGUGACAUGGAGGACUUCAAGAGGGAAAUCAAGAGGCAGUUCUACCCCAAGGACGUGGCAUUUGCACCAUAAAAAUAUUACCAUAUUCAUUUUUAUGUUGAAUUUAAAUGUUUAAUAAUUUGUUAAAAAUAAAAUAACGUAAUUAUGAUAUAUGAUGAUUUUUUUUUUUUGUUAAUAAAUAUGUUUUCAAAUUUUAUAUCAUUUUUAUUUUUAUUUUUUUUCCAAUUCUAUUUUUAUCUCAUAUUUAUUUUCUUUAAACCCAAAAUUGUUGAGAAUGGAGGAAGAAAGAAGGCCACAACCGGUUCUUUCCUUAAGUGGUUAAGUUGAAUUUUUAUUUCAAAUUUAAAAUGGAUGGCCAAGAUGUAAUCUUGGACAUCCAAUGGCUUGAAAAACUUUUUCGGUAUGUACCGAAGAGGUACCGUAGAAUUUUCUAUAUAAUAAUCUACAAGUUACGAUAGUGAUUAUAUUUGGAUAAAAUGAGGGACCCGCCCACUUGCAUGGAUUCUAUAUAGGACACAUAAAUUGUCUUUAGUGGCGGCUGAGGCUUUCUAUGACUUGAAAAAAAAAACUAAAAAUAGUCAAUAAGAAAUCAGUGCCAUGUAGUUAGUGUCCGCCACUAUCUAUACUUUCUUUAAAAGAACAAAAUUGUCAAUUUUUUUUUUUUUAUCUAAAAAAUCACUUAAUCGUACAAAAUAAUAUAAGAUAAGAUUCAAUUCAGCCUUUUUUGGCUUCAUAAGAACACCUUAGCCAACUCAAGGUGACCACUACAGAAUCAAUAGAGGUUUUCUUUUUCUUCACAUAUAUAUAUGGUGAAAGAGGGUAUAAACAAAUAUAUGCAAAAAAAUAAUCUACAGGUAUGUUGAUUAUAUUUGAAUAAAACAAAGGGAGGCCCCCACAUGCAUGGAUUCCAUCUAGCACCCAGAGGAAUUGUCUUUUGUGGGGGCUGAGGCUUUCCAUGACCCAAACUAUAUAUAUAGGUAAAAAUUGAGUGAUUGAAUGGCAGCUCUGGUAAAAAAAAUAAAAAAGGGAGAACCAUGCUUACACUCUCGUUCAUUCCAACAAAUAUAUUGUUUAGGAAUUCUAAUUUUAAUAUUUCACCCCAAAUACAUAAUCAAUAAAAUUAUUCUUCAAAUAUGUAUUUUAAUAGCAACCAAAUUGAGAAUUAUAUAGUUAUCCCUUUCUAAAAUCUUUAAUGUAUUUGAUAUCCUCUCCAUAUCACGUCUUUGAUAUCCUACCUUUGACAUUUUUUUAUUUAUAUAUGUCGAAGUGACGAGACUUUCUCUACUCAACCUUUUUCCUUUCAGAUUUCUUUUCACUCUUUUAAUAAUUUCACAUUUAUUAACUUUAAUAAUUUUUUGGACACAUUAAAUAUAAAAUUAUAAUACAUAAUAAAUAACUAAUUAGAAUAAAUUAAAUGUAAAUACAAGUAUGCAAUGGGUAGAAAAUGAAAAUUUUAUCCUAUAAAUAGUACGCUUGAUAGUUUAAAAUAUUAAUUAUAAUAAUACAUUUGAUAAUUUAGGAUUUAGAUUUAAAAAUUAUGUUUUAUGUUUUAGAGGCCAAGAUAUAAGAUUUCCAUUAACCAAAGAUUUUUUUUAUGUGAAUCUUAAAUAAAAUGUUUGUUUAUUUUGCAAAUUCUUAUCAUUUGUAAAUAAGACAAAUAUAUUUUUAUCAUAUUAUUUUUAAUUUUUAAUAUUUUGUGUCAAAAUCAUCAUCAAUGAUGGUAAUCUUUAUUAGGAUAGAACCCUUAAACGUAUGAUAUGAUGUAACAAAUAUAUAGUUUAUUAUUUAUUUAAUAAUAUUCAAGUUUCACUUUUAUCUAUCCUUAUUCCAUGUAUUAUAUCUCAUGAGUAUUCUAGCCAAACAUUUAUUGCAUUAUACAUGACUUGAAUGCAUUAGGUAUAGACCCCCCAUUUUGUUCUCUUAGCACAUGCAUUAUGAGGUGUUCUUUCAAUACUCCACAACAAUUCCCUAGUGUCCCAUUACUACUCAUACUUUUUGAGCCACCUUGGAGACUCUGGUCGAGGGAUUUAUAUGGCUCCUCAUUGUGACCAUUGGUAACCUUGAGUUAGAUUUAGGUUAUUUUUUUCCUUUUUCUCUCAUGUUAGCCCUUUUAGGUGCACUUUCCGUUUUUAGGAUAGCAUAUUAGGCAUUUCCUAGGACACCAUGCCCCACUUAAGCUCUUAGGCACGUUUUACAUUAGUUCACCCAACCCCCUUAGGUUCACUUAGAUAGAUUUUUUAGGCUUAAUGUACUUAGGUUUGUUUUUUGAGUUGUGAUGGCAUGAUUCUGAGUUUAUGUGAGUAUUUAGUUUGAUUUUUUUUUUUUGUUUUUUUAAUUGCUUCAAUAUUUAGUUAUGAGAUUUUGACAUUUCAUUUUGUUUCAUCAUUAAUUACACUAGAUUAACAUUUGAAUUUUGAUUGCAGUAUUUAGCAUCUAUAUUAUUAUUAUGAAUUAUUUAUUUAUUUUUUGUCUAUUUUUUAUAUUUACUUAUCUAUUUAUUUAUUUGUUAAAAAAAUGCAUGAGGUUGCAUUUUAGUUUUUUUUUUUCCAAAAAUUGCAUGAAUUGAUAUUCAAAUUUCCUUAUAGAUGGAUAUGAGUUAUUUUAUUUUAAUUGGGUUUGGGUUGUCAUUUCUCAUUUUUGGGCUUUGUUUGUUUUGCAUGGGCCCAAGAGUUUUCUUAGGGUGGAAGUCUUGAAAGCUAUAUAAAAAGGGCACAGAAGCCCUAGGCAAUAGGGAGGACAAUCAAAGAGAGAAAAGGUGUUGCUACUUUAUUCUUUUUGUGCGUGUGUGUGUGUGGUUUCUUUCUUUCUUGAUUGUAUAUUGUUGGUGAGAGAGAAUUUUUCCUUACUAUGUAUCUACUAUAGGGCAGUUCAUUUGUUUUUUUAUAUUGUAUUCGUAUGUUGGAGUUGCCUUUGGUUCGGAGAGUCUAGAUCGAUUUAGGGUGGCAUUCAAGUAAGUUAUUUCUUCUUCAUCUCUUUAUUUGUAUUAUGUUUUUGUUCUUUUUAGGAUUUCUUAGAUUUAUCUUGUUUUAUAUUUAUUAUAUUUGUAAGCAUUUUGGUAGUUGAAUAUUUUAGCCAUUUCAUUUAUUCAAUUCUUUGCCUAUUUGAGUUAUAUGUUCAUUAUACUCUAUAUUUUGUAUGUAUGCACAUUUGCUAAACUUUUUCUACCCAUCUAUAUGUUUGUCAUGUUUAUUUAUUAUUUUGUUGAUAUGUGUUGACAUGUGUUUCUAUAUGGUCAUGCGAAAUGAAACAAAAUAGGCUUGGUUGCAGCACACAAGGGAAACGUGAAAAGUGAUUUCGCAUGACCAUGCGAAAUUUUCGCACAGUCAUGCGAAACCCUCCAAGAAGAUGAAAAUGAAGCUGAUGGACUUUCCACUUCGCACCAUCAUGCAAAAUUGCUAGGGGCUCGUGCAAAAUGCAUUUUCUCCAUAUGUUGUUUCAAGUUUUCUAUAUUUGUGCAAUUCCUGUCCUAAAUUUUCUAUAAUUUUGUUUAUGUUAGUCUUGUUGCCUCAUUUUUCAUUUUGUCUUAAUUUUUGUAUAAUUCUAUUAAUAUUAGUCUUGUUGCUUCAUAUUUCAUUGUCUUAAAUUUUUUAUAAUUCUAUUUAUGUUAGUAUUUUUGUCUCAUAUUUCAUUUCAUGCCAUAUUUGGGUUUUGAUUUAUUUUUCUGGCUUGAGUUUUCUUUCUUUUUUUCUUUUUUUUUACUAUGCAAUAAAAAUUUCAGAAAAAUCAGUUUUAAUAAAAUUUCUAGAAAAAUAGUUUUUAAUAAAUUCCAAAACGGUUUUCUUUAAUUAAAAAUCUAGAAUUUUGUUUCCCAUAAAAUGCAAAAAAAAAAUUGUUUUAAUAAAAUAAUAUGGAAGAACCAUUUUUACUAAAUUCAGAAUUUUGGUUUAAUAUAAAAUAAUUCAAAAAAUCAUUUUUUUUUAAUAAGUUCAUAAAAUUCAUUUUUUUAAUAAAAUAAUUCAAGAAUUUCAUUUUUUUUAAUAUAUUCGGUAAAUGGUUUUUAAUUUAAUAAUCCAAAUAUUCAUUUUUUAACAAAUCCAGAAAAUUGGUUUUUUAAUAAAAAUCCUCAAAGUUUGUAAAGUCCUAAAAGUUUGUUUGAUGGAAAUUUUGAAAUUUGUGUUUUAAUAAAUGUUCUUUAGAAAAUCAUUUUUUUAAUAAGUUUGAAAAUUCUAAAAUUUGUGUUUUAAUAAAUGUUCCUUAGAAACUCAUUUUUUUAAUAAGUUUGUUAACUGAAAAAUUGUGUUUUAAUAAAUAUUCUUUAGAAAUUUUUUUUUUAUAAAUAAGUUUGUUAAUUGAAAAUUGUGUUUUAAUAAAUGUUCUCUAGAAAAUCACGUUCUAAUAAAAAUUAUGAAAAUUUGUAAUAUCCUAAAAGUUUGUUUAUUGAAAAUUCUGAAAAUUCUAUCUUAAUAAAUGUUCUUUGGAAAGUCGUUCUUUAAUAAAAUUAUACAUUAUGAAAAUUGUGUUUUAAUAAAUGUUCUUUAAGAAAUCGUUUUUUAAUAAAUUUGUAAAUUCUAAAAAUUGUGUUGUAAUAAAUGUCCCUUAGAAAAUCGUUUUUUUUAAUAAGGUUGAAAUUUUUGAAAUUUGUGUUUCAAUAAAUAUUCUUUAGAAAAUAAUUUUUUUAAUAAGUUUGUUUACUAAAAAUUGCGUUCUAAUAAAUAUUCUUUAGAAAACCAUUUUUUUUAGUAAGUUUAUUUACUAAAAAUUAUAUUUUAAUAAAUGUUCCUUUAAAAAAAAUCAUUUUUUUUAAUAAGGCAUAUUUAAUGAAAAUGCUUAAAAUAAGUGUUUAAAUAAAUAUUUUCAAAGUUUUUCUUCAUAAAAGUCGUGAAAGUCAUAAAAGUCAUAAAAGUUCUCAAAUUUGAUUUAAUUAAAAUUUUCAAAAUAAAUGUUUUAAUAAUUGUUCUCAAAGUUGUGUCUUUUAAAUUUACUUAAAGUUUGUCUCAGUAAAAGUUUUAAAAGUUUUAAUAAGUGUCUUAAUAAAUUCUCAAAAUAAGUGUUUUAAUCCUAAAAAUUCUCAAAUUUUGUUUUUAAUAAAUUCCCAAAGUUUGCCUUAUUAAAUUCUAAAAGUUGCUUAAUAAAAACCCUCAAAGUUAGUCUAAAAAUCCACAAAGUUGUUUUCUCGAAGUUAGUGUUUUAAUCAAUGUCUCUCUUUUCAAAUAAAUUUGAUUUAUAAAUAUUUUUUUCACAAAUAAAAGUUGAAAAAUUUUGUUUUCUUAAUGAAUUGAAAUUUGGUUCCUGUCAUUAAAAUAAAUAAACCAUUUUUCCUUGUAAAAAUAUUUUUUUUCCAAAAGUAGAACUGAUGUUUCUUUAUAAUUAUCGAAUCUUCCUUUUUUUUAAAAAAAAAAAUAAAGUCGAAGCCAAUAUCAUUUCUUUGUAAAUAGAAGAUCAAAUUGAGCUUUUCUUUUUAAUAUAUUUGAAUUCAAUCAAAAUUAUUUUAAUAAAAUCAAGAAAAGUCUUCUUUUUUUUUAAUUAAUUUUGGAUGUGAAUAAAAAUCGAGUCUUUUGUAAAUAAAUUGAAACUUUGUGAGUAAAUAAGUUUGAAAUCUUUAAUUUGGAAUUGUUCCCAAUAUAAAUAAAUUUCUUUUGAACUUCCUUUGAAAUGUUGCAACUUGAACAAAUAAUUAAAUUAUAUUUUGUGCUCUUCACAUUCAUUAAUUGUGUACAUUCUUGUGUAAUCUUUUUCUCAUCUCAUGACUUAUAUGUAUCUUGUUGUCCUGUUAUCAGUAUCCUCAAUAAAUUAAUCAAUUCAUACUGACUCGUUUUGAUUUAUGUUUGCAAUUUUUCAAGAUGAUUGACAUAAUGUGUUUCAAAGGAAAAUCAAAUCCUUCUCACCAAGUAUGUCUUAAAAUAAUUUUUUUUUUUUUAUAACUUCAAAUUAGAAAUGUCUUCUUAGCUUUGAUAAUGAUCUUUUGUAUUUUUUUUUUUAAAUUGCAACGAUUUGAAAACAUUAUAGAAUAGAGUUAUUUAUAAACUUAUUUUUAUGUACAAAUAAAUUAUACAAAUAUGUGAAAUUAAUUUAUUAAUUUAUUAAAUUAAAAUUUAUUUCUUAUUUUUCUAAUUUUUUUUCUUCAAAUGAACUCAAAAUUGUAGCUUUUAACAUGUGAAGCUAGAAAUGUUUGGAAGGUAUAUAAUAAUGAUAAAAUAGGCAAUCAUCAUUUUCCACUUGCAAGAAAAUCAUAAAAUAGGCAAUGGUCAUUUCAAGAUUUGUAUCAUUCAUCAAACUAGUAAAUUUGGAAAUGGAACUCCAUUAGAUUGUGAAAAAAAACUACUAUAAACCAAAAAAUAUAACAAAGAAUAAAGAAAUUAGAAUAUAACUUCCACUUUGAAACUAUUGCUUGUAUGAACUAUUAUCCACUUGCCAACUUAACAGAAUUGACAUAGCCAUAAACCUAAUAUAAAAUAAUCAUUUUAGCAAUCUAGAAUAAUCAAGCAUAAUUUCAAAAUGCGUCUCUCAUGCUUACAAUGUUAUAGACCAAACAAACUAAAACAAUGAUUUUUCUCCACUGAUACAAUCUUAAAUAAAUUUAUUUUAGAAACAACAUAACCUAAUUGCCUAAUGAAACAUCAUUGAUCCAUAGACCAGUAGACAUUUUUCCUGAUUUCAUUUUUUGGCGACAUUAUCAUUUGUGUUAGGAGUUUUUCCUUGUACUUCAUGACCUUGUCCUAUACAAAAGAGUAUAUAAUAGAAUAUUAACGAAAAUUCAUGUUAUUUUAUUGAACAUAAAAAAUAAAAAAUAUUGUAUUCAACACAAUAUAAUACAUUUGCAAUUGUAUGAAAAAAUCCAUUGUUAUCCCAUAAUUGCAUAAACUUGAUUACAAAUAUGCCACAAUCUGUUCUACAAGUAGCAAUUAAGGAAAUUAAAAAUAAAUUAUGCAUCAAAUCAAUAAAUUUAGAACCUCAUUUGCUUUCCAUAGGUAAAGAGGAAUAAAAUUCUUGCAACUUAUGAAUUCAAUUGUUGCAAAACUUCUAAAACAACGAAUUUGAAUUUAGUCAUGUCCAUUGAUGGUCUUCUUUCUUGAAUCCCAAUGACAAUUGAUAGAACGCUUACCUUAACACAAUAUAAAAUUAUAAAUAUGGACAUCCUUAAAAAAUAAUGACAACAAGUCACAUAAGUAAUUGGAUAAUAACUAUAUUUACUAGUUUCUCUGUGAAGACAUCCAUUUGCUUUUUCCUUUCGUCAAUCAAUGAAUCCAACAACUCGAUUCUUUUUCUAAUGAAUAUUCAAAAUGUUUAAAUACCAAUGAUUUCUCCUGCAUAUUGGUAUGAACAGCUGAAAAAGAAAAAUAAAUAAUGAUUUUAUCAAGUUAAUUGUGUUCAUGUAUUUCCUGCACUAUACUUAAAAAUAUCCAACUAUAUAUGACUUUCAUUAAAUUAAAUAAAACAUGUUCAUAUGUGUACAACCGAGUGUUUUUAAAAUAUUUUCAUAAAUUGUCACAUGUAUUUUGGAGAAAAUGUACCCCUCUUAUUUUCCACAUCAAAUUGUAAUAAUAAAAAAAAUACAAAACAUACAUUAGAUUAAAACAAUCUACUUAAAACAAGAAAACCAAUCUAUAAUUCUUACAACAUAUCUUACCUCAAAAUGGGGAGAUAAGAAAUGCUCCCUAUUUCCUUUAUCCUUACCAUUCAAAAUUCGACAAAACAUGGUUACAACCUUCAUGUAAAUGAAUGAAAAUUAGAAAUAUAGUUUUAGAGUAAUUUUAUCUUAACUUCAUAUAACUAAAUAUGAAUACCUUAUUGUUAACUAAUUUGUCGGGUCCCAAGCAUUUUAAGUCGAAUCUUAUCAAGAAGAAAUCGUACAUGGAACACAAUAUUUGGCUACAUAGAAAUAAUUAUGAUGUUAUGAAUUAAAACUAAAUCUUUUAAAUGGUUGUCUUAAUUGUACUUGUUUAUACUGAAUCAAGUUCAACCUGACCUUUCAUCACGUGUAUCGUCCAAUGCAUAUGCUAAAACUUACUUUGCUACAAUGAAGACGUUGAAAAUUUGAUUGAUUGUUGUACCACAUAUGGUGAUUGUAGGGCAGUAGCACAUCGACGUAGCCGACAUAAACAUAAUGGAGGAUGUUCAGUCUAGUAAGGAAUAAUAACAUUCGACUUAACUUCAUCCUCAACUAUAUGUAUAGAAAAUAAGAAAAAAAAUUCAUUAACGAAAAUAACACACAGAGGAAAGACUAGCCAUUAUUAUGAACUCAUUAAUAUUUUGAUAUUAAAAAUUACUAUAAAAAAAUAAAGAUGCAGAAAGUAUAAUGCUAUGUUGCGCUACUGGCUGUGAGGUCGAUGGCCCUGCAUUAUCUUCACCAUGAGCGGAACGAUCAUUCAAUGGUGAUCCAUAUGCUAAUUUAAAAAUGGAUAACAACCAAAUUUUAAAAAAAAAUUAUAGAACAUUUGCAAUUCAAUUAAAAGUAAAAAAAAAAUUUAACAGCUAAUGCUAUAAAAACCUUAUUACCAUGUGGUGGUGAUGGGAAAGAUUCAUUGAUGUCAGGUUGGUUAUGACUUCCGCUUUGAUGAGAAGGUGAUGGGGUUUUGUUUUUAUUAUGCCGCUUUGCUAGUUUAUCAAUUGCUUCUUUCAUUGUUCGAAGCAAUUGGUGAAUUUGUUCCUCCACUACAUUAUACUCUGCUAUAAUUUCCUACAAAAUGGUACAAAGUGUAAAAGAUGUAUAUUAUUAUGCAUAACAUGUUUGGUUUACUCUUUAAAUAAAGGAAUAGAUGUAAAAGGUUCUCACAUCACUAGUCUCUUCUUCAACUUCAUCUACUGGAUUAGUAGGGUCUUCAUGUGCAUCUUCCCCCCUUUCAUCUUCCUGAACCUACAAUAAUAAAAAGAAUAUAUAAUUUUUUUAAAAUUAUUUUUCAAAUAUUAAAAUAAAAAGAAAAUGUAGAAAUAAAAUUUUGUUCCUUACAUCGACUAGUCCAAGGUCAUCAUAAUCCUGCAACUCUACAUGCACCAUUUUCUUCAUCAGGUCAUCACUCUACAAUGCACAUAUGGGGAUGGUGUGUGGCACCAACAUAAUUGGAAUGUAGAAUUUAUUUACAUAAAAAAGCUCAUACACAAAUAUUCCACACAUCAAUACGUUAUUUAGAGAACACUGUUUAAACAUAGAAAAUGAUAUGGAAACCUUGAGCAUUUAAUAAAAAAAGAUAUUUACCUACAAAAAAAAAAAGGUAACCUGUAAACCAUGAGCCUUUACCCAAUCGAAAAUGCCUAAUUCGAGCAACCAAUGUGUCAAGUACAAAUUGGUCCCAAUUAACAUUGAUGUCAAAGUUUCUAGCAAGCAAAGUACACCGCAACUCAUGACUACCAUCCAACUUCAAUGUUGGAGCAAGUAAUGUAGCACAUGAGAAGAAGAUAAACAAUUUUUUAAAGUCACCCAUGUCUUCCAUUGAGAUCAGCCUAUCUCUAAGGAUAGAUAGGUUUUCCAUCCUAUUAUUCCUAUUGGUAGGUGUAGACACUCCAUUUUGUAUAUCUAGUACUUGUCCUAUUAUGUGUUCGUUUGGUACUUUACAACAAUUCCCUGGUAACCCAUUAUUACUCAUGUAACUUAUCUUUUAUGAGCCACCUUGGAGACUCUGAUUGAGAGAUUUAUCUAACCUCAUUACAACCCUUAGCAACCCUAAUUUAGACUUAGGUAGUCAAUACAUGUCUAGCAUAAUACCCUAAGCUCCCAUUUUUACAACUUGGAGGGCUAAAUUGGGUAAAAUAUAAGAAUGUCAAAUAACAUGUAUAUGUGAAAUAUGGACAAAAAAAAAGGAAUAGAUAAAGGUAAUGAUUAAUUAUAUUUAUUAAGAAUAGUGAUUAACUUAAAAAAAAAAAUAGUUAACUUUUGUGAAAAUAUCCCUUAGAAAAGAUCAUGACUUUUAUGACUUCAUUAAGGUAAAUCAAUCAAGCUUCAAGAGCAAUUAUCGAUAAUAUAUUUGGAAAUAUGUAGUAUUAGCAUCCUUUUACAUCUCAUAGAUUGACAUUAUAGAAGAGAAAUGCAAUUAGUAAUUAUAAGGAAUAAAUGUUUUACAUAUGAACAAUUUGAUUAAAGAUGGAUAAAAGAGUAAAGAGUUUAGAUUAGAGAGAGAGAGAGAGAGAGAGAGAGAGAGAGAGAGAGAGGUUGUGCCUUACAAGAAAUGUCUAAACUAAAUAUAGGAUGUAUAUAAGACAUACUAAGGCCAAAAGAAAGAUAUAAAGAACAACUCACACCUAAGUAACAUGAUCAAAGCUAUUUAAAUGAAUCCUCAUUGCUUCCUUACCUAUACAUACAUCUAAAUUGUUGUAAAGGAUUGUAAAUAUUAUGAGUUUGUUCUUUUUUAGUACUACUUCAUUACUAGUGGAAUAAUGGACAAAUGAGUACAUUGUAUUCAUAGCAAUUUAGAUUAUAUUUUCAUAAGGUGGUGAAACAAACAUAUAUGGUAUCCUUCUCAACUCAACUUAGGAAUAGGAAAUAAUAACAAAAACAAUUAUAAGCUAACAAAAUUCAUAUAUAUAGGUAUAUAUUCAUGUGAGAGGAAGCCAUAUAGAAUCUUUACAUUUCAAAAAUCAAGUAAACUUUAAUUCAAGAAAGCAACUUAAAUGUAGGUAAGUCUUCAAAAAGUUUAGAAGAAGAAAAAAAUGUAACCUCAAUAACUAUCCACUUGAGCUAUUUUUUAGAUCAUUUCUUCUUUUGAGAUACAAAAAUUCGAAACCCCCUGCAAAAAAGAAGAUUACAUUAGUGUUUAUUUUGAAACAUGAAAACUAAAAUUAUGGUAGACUUACAUGUUCACAAUAUCUUUUAUAUCUUGGUAUGGUUGUUGUAAUAGCAAGUCUAAAUAGUAAACUGUUUGUAAUUUGAGGUCAAUUACAGCCAAAACCCAAUGAAACCUACAAUAUAUUAACAUAUAAUUUAGAUAAAUAGCAUUUAUAAGGCUAAGAAAUUAAAAACAAUUAUAAUUAACAACUUACCUUGGGUUAUACGGAAGAAAAAUCAGAUCUGCCAAUUUGGAGUCAAUUAGGCGAUCAACAAUGAUCUUUGCUCUUUUUUCAAUUUUUGGGGCUAUUGUUCUAGCCUUAGACACCAGUCCUGGAUGAACAGAUAUAAUUUUCUCAUGUAGUGUAUCAUCUAGAUGUUCAUGCAACCACCUAAUGAAAUAUCACCCAGUUUAGAAUUACUUAAAAAAUAAAAAAAAUAAACGGUUUCUACUUAUUUAUAUCAUGAAUAUAACAUAAAGAUUUACAACAAAAUCUCACCAAAUAUAGAAACAUAUACAAUUCAUAGUCAACUCUUUUGCAAAAAUUACAUCAUUCAUUUCAGUUGUCAAGAGGAAGAUUUGAAAUUUCAUCCCAAAAACAUUGAUUGGAAAGUCAACUUUGGGUGCCAGUUUACCCUCCAACAUUGUUGAAACUGUUUUAAAAAAUAAUUGUAUAUCUCUUGGAUUCUCAUAUUUGAUUUUCUUUGGGGAUGCUUGUAUCUUAUUCAUUUUAUUCUUCCUCUUGCCAAAAUCCUAAACACAUAAAUAGAUGCAUGACAUUAAAAUGAAAAAUAAAUAAACCAAGAGUGUAGGAAAAUAUAACUCAACUUUGAAAGUUUGGGUAUAACGUUAUUCCCCUCAACAUUUUCAUCAUUUAUCACAAAUGCAACAGGCCACAAAACCUCAUAUCCAACACCCUCCCUUAUUGUACUAAUGUUUUCAGAAAGUGGGAAUGAAAGAAGUGCAUUAGGUUGAAGAGGGUAAAGAAUGACCACUAAUAUAUCAGUUCUAUCAAUGGAAAUGUUUGAAUCUCACAAAUAAGUUCCAUAUGCAACAAUGUUUUCUUCAGUUUCAAGAGCUAAUUUGCAUUUAUAAACCUGUAAAAACAUAUUUUCUAAUCCUUCGUCUUUCAUUAUAGUUAUUUUAUAUAUUGUUUUUAUAAAUUUAACUUAGGAAAAGCCAUAUAUACCUGAGUUAGUGGAGAAGCUUUUUGAGUCCUUUCUGCUGAUAGGUUCUCCACAUGAGCACUAUAAUGAGUCUUCUCUCGUAUUUCUUCAUGUUCCAACAAUUGUUUCCUUAUGUUUGUGCUGCUCACUUCAGAGUGGGGUGUGAGGGGUUCUUUUUUUUUUCAGCUUUCAAAGAAAUGAUCUCUUCUUCCAAGCUUUUUACUUUCUCCCUUAGCAUCCUUUGACAUUCCUCUUCUUCAAGAGUUUUUAUGGGUUUUAGUGUGUUGAAUAAUUGUUUGGGAUUUUUUUUCCCACCUUUUCCUCUAACCCGUCCAGGAUGCUCGGAUGUACCCAAUGCUAAAGUGAGGAUAUCCUUUUGGCCAACACAUGUGAUCUUCCCUUCCUCAACAGCCUUUGCCAACUCAUCCUCCAAAAAUAUAUAAGAUGCUUCAAGAGUCAUAUUUAAUAAAAUAAAAAAACAAAUGAAAUUGACUAAAACUAAGUAUAGGUUUGACAACUUACAAUCUUUUCCGCUACAGGCCUCGUAACAUCAUCAUAUUCACCUUUUUUCAAUCUUUCUAGCUUCCACAAGACCCAUCUAUCAAUAGGUUUCCUUGAACCUGUCUUUUGCAUCUAUCAAAAAACAAAAAAGUGAAGCAAUUAAACUUUACAAAAGUAAAUGUCCAACAAAAUAAAAUACACUAAUUCAACUUACCAAUUCUUCUUGAAGUCUUGCAUAUCAUUUCCUACUCACUCAAUGAAUAUAAACGUAUUUUGCCCUCCUUUCUUUUCCUUUUUUUGGUUUAACUUGAAACUCUAUUGACAACCUAUUAGCCACUAACUUUCUCCAGUCUUCAAUUGGAAUGUAAUUAUAUUCAAUUGGUGGCUACAAAAGGUACUCGGGCUUAUCCUUAUAAGGCAGGUGUGGACCCCGCAUUUCGAUGGCUCGAAUGCGUUCCCCACUCGAUGGCGAGCUCGAUUUUUAUUUUGAAAAAUUGAUUUUUAUUGAUUAUUUGAAAAUGACUUGGAGUCGCCACUUAUUUUUGUUUUAUUUUUAAAGGGUAAACAAAAUAAGAAAGAAAAACCCUAAGUGUGACUCCUUAUUUUGGAAAAGGUGAUCUACGAAAAACCGGAUCGGGUUCGGGGGUCAGGUUACUUAUCGGGAAGGUACGGUAAAGACCGUAGCACCCCUCUAAGUCCCUAAAGUCGGGUCUCUACUACUAAAAUGAAGCUGACAUGGCAAUCAAUGAGAAAAUCAAUGAAUACUCAAAUCAAUCAUGCACAUAUAAGUAUCAAAACAUGCGUAUAGCAAGACCAGAAUAAGGACAGAUGCGUACCUGGGCAACGAUCUUCAAUGCGCUAUCAAGAAGUGAGAUUAGUGCACAAUUAAAGGAUGGUCACAUGCAUAUCAUAGAGCAGAAUAAAUCAUGUAUGGCACCCAAAUCAACCAAACAAUCCAUCAAUCAUAAAAUCUCAUAUGUUGGGCCCCCACCAAAGCCCGAUUGAUUUUUGCAUGAAUUAAUUCCAUAAAUUCCCUUGCUUGGAAUUACGGAAUUUUAUUCUAGCUUAUUUUAAAACAUUUUGAAAAUCUGAGGAGUUGUGAAAAUUGCUUGUCAGGGAGAAAAGUGACAGCAAAUUUUUAUUAUAAAGUGGAAACUUUUGGGAACCUAAAGAUUCCAAUGAGGAAACAUGAGAGAAUUGGAAUUAUUUGAAAAACCAGAUUUUUGAGAAAAUGCUUGCAAAAUGGGAUUAGGAACAGUUAUUAAAACAGAGAAUGAGGAAGUAAAAGGUGGUGGCACAUGGUCAAAGGCUGCAUGUCCUAGGUGGUCAUGCAAAGAAGCGGUCUCCUGUAGCUUUUGUAGGGUCCAUUCUCUCCCCACUUCUCAUCCCAUGAGUUCUUUACGAUCCAGUAAGGCCUGCCCUUCAUCCGGAUGGGAUCAUGGCCUGUUGAACCAUGCCCCACCAGUAACACUCCAUGAGCCAUCAUCUCAGAGCAUAUGUAUGGGCGUGACACUUCCCCAAUAUGUGUCUGCAUGAACACUGUAUUGAUGCCCACUACCAUUUGACCAUUUUUCACAAGAUUAGCAGCCAUCUGAUCUUCAUCAAGGAAUGAACCAAAAGCUUUGGCUGCAUCGGGCUUCUGGAGAAGAACUGUUUUGAUUGCAUUCAAUAUCUCAUCCACGGAUCUUCCUGUGCUAAUGUAUUCUGAAAUAACCUCCCAUCUUCAAGACAUUCCUCUGGGAUAUUUCAGCAUCCCUUUUAUCAAGAGCCCAACUUCUUCUCUAUCCCAAGGUUUCUCCUUAUAGUGUGAUCAAAAGAAUGAAGUUGGGGUCACUGAAUUCACCUUCCACUGAAGAGUAGAAAGCAUCAGAAGCCCUAUCCUCUGAAACGUCUUCACUUCAAGCACAUAUUUUAUCUCCUCCACCUGCAGGUCCAAGAGAAGAGGAGCAUCGGUUUUACUGGAGCUUGACUUUCUCUUCUCAGGGGCAUUUUCCUCAUGGGGACUCUCUAUCUGAUCUGUUGAUGCAGCUGCACUUUCUCCCUCAUUCUCAUGGCCAUCUAAUCUGCUUCCGCGGAUGCUGCAUCUGACACCACGGCCUCUUGAACGCGAGUGGAAUCCAGCUGGCAAUGGACCCAAUGGAGGCCUCUCAAUGGGUUUACUUUAAGAGCUUCUUGAGGGCCCAAAGGAUAUUGCAGGACCCGGACUUAGGACGCCAUCUUAUCCGUGUCAUGCUGAGGAAUUCGUUCUUUGUGGUAUCAGAUUGGCUACAGGAGGCCUUAUAGAAGUGAAGCUAGGGAUAUCUUCAGAAAUGGAACUUGGACCCUUCCCUUUGACAGGUUCAUCUCCAUGAGAACCAAAUUUUAUAAGCUCGGUAACUCCAGGUUGUUGAAUGAACUUCCCAGUCUCCUUGUCAUGCAACAAAGCACUUUUUGCUUCAGUUUCAGUCUCCACAGGUGCCGGGGCCGCUUCAAAUCCCACAACCUCCAUGAAUUCACCAUGCUCCUCCAAGAAAUAACCAACAACACUAGGUAGCAUUUCCAAUUCACUUCACGACCUUGGAAUGAGCAGUUGCUUUAUCAGUUUCAUGGCAGAGGGUGAGCACUGGAGCUUUCCUCUUGACAACACUUUACCUGGAAAGCGGAGAGUGGAUACCGGUAAUCCAUGAUAAAUAGAAACUUCCCCACUUUUCCGGACUGGAGGUGAUCUCCUCAUGUUGCUGGCCUAUAGAUCCAUCUUCUGGAGAAAACACCAGUUGAAAAUUAUCCACUGAAGCAACUGUCACUUGUCCACGGAAGUCCGAGCACCAGCAUACCCAGAUUGGUGGUUUUGGAAUAUAGGUUUGAAGAGUUUGAUGGGUGUGCAAGGUGUAGACAUGGGGCAUGAUAGCAAAGUGGUGAGAUGAGGUGAUAAUGAGUGUAAAUAGGCUUAGAGAGAAAGGUGAAUAAAUAUGGUGGGGGAGUAGACUGUUGACAAUGGGUAUGUAUGAGUCCUAUGCCUGUGGGUAUGGUGAGAGAUGAACUGCAAGUGAUGGGCAUGAUGUGGUGUGGGGUGGAUUAGUGGGAUGACAGUAUACAAAGAGAGCGUGGUGUAGAGAGAGAAUGCAAGAUGAUGAGUGCAUGUGUAGAUAUGGGUGUGGGCAUGGUGGUAUGAAGCGUGUGGUGGAUGAUGGACUGAAGGUGAUGGGCAUGACAAUGGGCAUGAACAGGGAUGGAGUCAUGUGGGCACGAGACGAGCAUGAGCGCGGAAUGAGUGUGAUGCAACCAUGCAUGGUAUGAAAAGGGUUUGGUGUAGUGAGAGAAAGUAGAUUAUUGGUGAUGGGUAUGAAUAAUGGCCGGGUUUGCAUGGUCCAUGCACUUGGAUGGGUGAGUUUGGGGAUGCUAGCAGAAGCCUUGGAAGGAAUACGGGCAGCCAUGCACGCGUGGGGUUUCAUGGAUAUCGAGUCAGGGUAUUUUGCUGGAGGAAGAGAGCAUGGGUCUGCACAAUAUGGGGAUUGGGAUCUCCUACGGACUCCCUAGCUAAUGGAGUUGUGAAAGGGAGACCAUCUGCUUUUCCGAUACCAGAUUAUGGGAAGUUCAGUGAUGGCUUCUCAAAAAUGGACCUUGAUGUUAACAAACCACCCUUGGGCAAUUUAGCAAUCCCUUCAUUCUCAGAAGACUCCGUCUCCAACAGACCAUAAUGAUACUGAACUAAUCCAUGUGAAACGGACAAGAAAGGCUCUGCUCGUGAAUGUUCCCUGGCAUAACCUCCUCUAGAAUGUCAUCAGACGAAACAAAACUAGAGAACCAGGUAUCUAGAACAAGUAAGUCUUCUCACUGGGCCAAACCCUCAACAAGCCUGUUGCAUUUCUCUGAUUUCUCCCACUGUUCUGCCAAAGUCUUUAUUUAUAAUAUAAUGGUUUAGAAAUAUCCUCCAUUAAUCACUCUGCCUUUGACCAACCCUGGUUAAGGAUCCAUACAUCAAAUCUGAUUACCACUUCUGGCCCACAACCGCUCGAGUUGAUAAUGAUUUUCCUCCAUAUCUACUCCUGUUCAUCUUCAUAAAAUUCCUUGGAAUCAUCAGUAUACUCACUGCAAUCUGUGGUAAAGACCACCACAUCCUCAUCGACAUCUUACUUUUUUCCUCUACGAAUGGCGCCUCACACUACUCACUAUUCUUUGGAUCUGAACCACUUUUUUUUUUUUUUUUUUUUUUUCAAAUAUUGGAUGUCAAGCCUCAACAGCAUAUAGUAGUCAAUUUGUACCAUCCCCAAUGUAUGGUAUGCAUGAUGCCCCGUGCUCAAAUUGCUCAAAAAGAACAGAGGAAUAUAGCUAAGAAAACAGGGCAUAGGAGAAAGGAACAAAAAAUAAAUCAAGGGCAACUGCAUUUCAGGACAUAUCAAUGUGUUCCCACUGGUGGAUGAAAGAUAUGAACAAAUUCAAAACAAAAAAUACGCCACAUAUGUUCAGGUGCCUAGCAACGAAAUAUGAUGCAAGUCCUCACCCAUUUUCUUAAACCAGGUUAAUGAAACAGCGAAAGGAUUAACAUCACAGAUGGAAACAUGACAAAUACAAACAACAUAUACACCCAGUGAAAUGAUAUUCAGAAUAAUGAAAUCAUACGGCUAAAUAUAAGCAUACCUGAAUGUGAUAGAUGUCCUACCCAGCUUUUCUUACUUUCUCUCUGUUUUCCUUGCCUUUCUAGCUCCGACAAUCGAAUCACCUUCUCUCUUACUCUUCUUUUCUCCCGCUUGAAAAACCUCCCUCUGGAAAUAUAUCUCUCCCCCAGCCAGACGACACCCACCUGCCUUGCAGUUGCAAGCCUCCAUUACCUUCAGAUUUUUCUGCCACCUUCCUCUUCUAGGCCCAUUUCCCCACUACUCUGCACCACUACCUUGCUAAUAACAGAAGACGCUCCUCAAUACAACGGCCUGCAGAUCCUCAUGCCACCUGUCAACCUUCCAUUGGCACUUCAAAAACAACAUACGAUUCUGCAUUGCCCUCUCAAAAGGAGACACGUGAUUGAGCAAGGCUCUUCCACGUGGCCAAAACGGGUAGCUGCAUGAAAGGCCCCAAAUGGGGGUCUACAAAUAUGCCCCUCUUUGGUAGAGUUCAUGAGUGUAAAGAACAUGAACACUGGAGUGAAAAGUAAGUGUGAGUAGUGAGUGAAAUGAAGUGAACUCUACCGAAGAAUCAAAGAGACCCCCAUAGGGAUAUUGGUGAAACGCGAAGUCACCCAGGCUAGUAGACGAACACAAAGGCUCUAAUCCUAAAAGAGAAAGAUGUCACAAAAUGCCUCUGCGGCCAUACUAAGGAUCCAAGCUCCCUCUAAGAUGUCUCCCGAAAGUGACUCGAAAAACCAAAUGCUAGAGGUGAGUAACGGUCGAGUCACCCUAGGGUACGGACAAGAAUGCGUCUAAAGGAGACUGCCCUAUGUGGACUACAUGAUGAAUACACGAUAAGCACAAAGUAACGAAGUGAGGAGGACGAUAAUAAGUGCAAAUCCAAUGAAGGUGAGACACGCAAUGCCACUGAAUAGGAAUGCUAGGAGCUGUGACUCUACAUGACAAGAUUGACUCUAAACACUAAACUAGGAAACAACGGCUCUGGAAGCCAACCAAAAACUAACUCUAAAAACUAAACUGAGAAUAACAGCUCUGGAAGCAAACCAAAAACUAACUCUAAAAACUAAACUAGAAAACAACAGCUCUGGAAGCCAACCAAAAACUAACUCUAAAUGCUAAACUGAGAAUAACAGCUCUGGAAGCAAACCAAAAACUAACUCUAAAAACUAAGCUAGAAAAUAACAGCUUUGUAAGCAAACCAAAAAAACUAACUCUAAAAGCUAAACUAGGAAACAACAGCUCUGGAAGCCAACAAAAACAAAAAAAAAACAAAAAAAAAAAAAAAAAAAAAAAAACUAACUCUAAAAGCUAAACUAGGAAACAACAGCUCUGGAAGCCACACAAAAAAAAAAACUAACUCUAAAAGCUAAACUAGAAAAUAACAGCUCUGGGAGCCUAAACAAGACGACAGUAAUGGCUCUGGAAGCCUAAACAAGAUGACAGUAAUGACUCUGGAAGCCUAAACGAGAUGACGGUAAUGACUCUGGAAGCCUAAACAAGAUGACAGUAAUGACUCUGGAAGCCUAAACGAGAUGACGGUAAUGACUCUGGAAGCCUAAACAAGAUGACAGUAAUGGCUCUGGAAGCCUAAACAAGAUGACAGUAAUGGCUCUGGAAGCCUAAACGAGAUGACGGUAAUGACUCUGGAAGCCUAAACAAGAUGACAGUAACGGCUCUAGAAGCCUAAGCAAGAUGAUAAUAACGACUUUGGAAGCCUAAACAAGAUGACGGUAAUGACUCUGGACGUCGAAACUAAAAAGUGAUGAUGAUGACUCUGAACGUCAAACUGAGAAGUGAUAAUGAUUCUGAACGCCGAAACCGAGGAUGUGACUCUGAAUGUUGAUCUGAAAAUCGAUGAUAGCUCUGAACGCCGAAACUGAGAAGUGAUGAUGAUGACUCUGAACGUCAAACUGAGAAGUGAUAAUGAUUCUGAACGCCGAAACCGAGAACGCGACUCUGAACGUCGAUCUGAAAACCAAUGACGGCUCUGAACGCCGAAACUGAGAGAAGUAGUGAUGAUGGCUCUGAACACCGAAGCUGAGAAGUGAUAACGACUCUGAACGCCGAAACCGAGAACGCGACUCUGAACGUCGAUCUGAAAACCGAUGACGGCUCUGAACGCCGAAACUGAGAGAAGUAGUGAUGAUGGCUCUGAACACCGAAGCUGAGAAGUGAUGAUGAUGACUCUGAACGUCAAACUGAGAAGUGAUAACGACUCUGAACGCCGAAAUCGAGGAUGUGACUCUGAAUGUCGAUCUGAAAACCAAUGAUAGCUCUGAACGCCGAAACUGAGAAGUGAUGAUGAUGACUCUGAACGUCAAACUGAGAAGUGAUAACGACUCUAAACGCCGAAACCGAGGAUGUGACUCUGAAUGUCGAUCUGAAAACUGAUGAUAGCUCUGAACGCCGAAACUGAGAAAUGAUGAUGAUGACUCUGAACGUCAAACUGAGAAGUGAUAACGACUCUGAACGCCGAAACCGAGGAUAUGACUCUGAAUGUCGAUCUGAAAAUCGAUGAUGGCUCUGAACGCCGAAAACGAGGAUGUGACUCUGAAUGUCGAUCUAAAACCCGAUGAUGGCUCUGAACGCUGAAACUAAGAAGCGGUGAUGGCUCUGAACGCCGAAACUAAAAGGUGAUGGUGUCUCUGAACGACGACAAAUGGAAAAGUGGCUCUGAACGCCGAACUGAAAAAUGUGACAUGAUGACUCUAAAUGUCGUAAACCGUGAAUGAACGGCAGCUCUGAACGCUAGACUGCAAGGAAACAAUGAGGGGGAAAUAUGCCCCAGUGUGGCAUGCCGCUGCAAACCUCAAACUACUAGAAAUGGCUAAAAGGGACUCUACGAGUCUCGAACGACGCACCACUGAGAGCUCAUGUCAACGAAGAGCUUAGGAACAAUGGUCAGUGAGGCGAAUACAAUAUAUCUCGGCUGAGUGAUGGAAACUGCGAUGGACAUGUGAGAGAACGAUCGGCUCCAUGGCUAAAUGAGGGAAAUAUGCCCCAGUAUGGCAUCAGAUGUAUCCGAUCUAUCCUGAUAACCCGAGAAUAGCACCGAUGGGACGCGUAACAGAUCUGAUAUGUACCCCACUGAAAUGAUGACGCGGGAAAUCCAGGCACCUAAGAUAACCCCAUCCAGGAAUCACGACUAUAUCAAAGAGUAUGAAUCUGGCUGAACGAAGUCAAGAGAGGCUCCUCGGAGUAUCCGGACAAAAUGAAAUCAAUCAUCAACCUGGCGUGUAUCUCAUGGCCGUGGAUGAUCAUGUAAACCAGUGGGGAUCUAUAAAUCUCGAUCAAGAUGGGGAAUAUGCCCCAGUGUGGCAUCGAAAAUGUAACAUGUCAAAAAAAAUCAGAUGAACUCAAAUCAUCUAUGCCUGCAACUGGCUAGAUGGCUCUCGAUAGACUCCACUAAGGAAUCAUCGUGAGGAUUGCGAAUAUAUCAUCAUCCCUGCAUACAUCUCGCAAAUAAGGAUAAGCACGCAACUCCCUCAUGAUCUGUAAAUCUCAUCCGAACGGAAAUAUGCCCCUGUAUGGCAUCGAAAUGCAGGAUAGGUCGGAGAUCAGAUAGCAUGGAAUCAUCUAUCCUAUAACAUGUGACCUCUGCGAAGAUCCAUAAAAAUCCUCCGAAACGGAAUAUGCCCCAGUAUGGCAUCUGACGUGCGACAAAUCAGGAAAAAACAGGUGACAUCGAAUCAUCCCUCAUCAAACACGUGAUCCUGGUAAUCCAAACACGGUCGAAACGGAUCUAAACAUCUGAGAAGUGUCUCCCAGAAGAAGAUGCAUGGCAAAUAUCUGGAUGUCGACUGAAUCUCAAACACCUGUCCACAUAGAAGCCGUAGAAGACGAUAUCUGAUCCCAUGGCCUCAGGGUGGUCUUAAGACACGGGACGUAAUGUAGGCUAGGGUGAUAGGGUGAUAGAAACGAAGGGAAACUAAGCUCAAAUACCCAAUGAUCAAAACCCAUGCCCUCGUGUGUGAAAUGCAACAUGUACAGAAAAUCCUGUGAGCCCUGGACCUGAGGGUGUCUAAUGUGAAUAUGAUGUCAAUGAGGAAACAAGUGAAGCAAAUCAAACUGAUAAUGAGAUAUGUAAUGGUGAUACGAAGGGAAUAUCAAACCCGAGAUGGGUCGUGGUAAGAAAAGAAUAAGAAGUGAAGUGAGAAUGACGAAUCAGAAGCGAAAACGAGGACGAUGAUAAUGAAGCGAAUAACAUCAAAAGGAGUGAUGAUCAACUCUGAUCAGACAUGGAAUGAUGUCACAUCAACUACGAACAUAAUGAUGGAACGGACAAUAACCCAGAGCUCCCAAAAGAAAGUCACUCAUCUCGCUCACAAAAUAUGCAACAAAAUGAAUACAAAGCCUGAGGGAUCCCGGGAAGCUCACAUACGAACUCCCGUCAACAAACAUACUCGAUCAAGUGGCCCUCGAAUAUCAAUACAUACACUCAGUGAUGGAUAACAAUACAUACCUGGUUUUUAUUUCUUUUUCCAUUUUUUUUUUUCUUUUUUUUUUUUUUUUUUUUUUUUUUUUACCCCCAAAGAUGACAUCAAAAAAGGAUAACAUACUCUCAAAUGUCAAUGUAACAUGAACUCUCUCUGAUGAUGUGACUUUCUCAAACUAAGGAUCCCUGGACCAACGUCCGUAUGAUAGAUAGUGGAAAUGACAUGACUACCCUCCAUGUAGUGAACUGAGGAAGAUCACCCCUCGGGGUGAAAGAAGAUGACGUGAAACGAACAGUAGAUAAGAUAAAGAAAAUAUGAUGAAUAACACGAACAGUGAGAUGAGAUGAAAUGCAAUGAUGUAGUGGCGAGCACAGAUAAUGAGAAGAACGUGCCCCUAGGUCCAAGGCUCAAUGAAACUCUCAAACAAUGCAUGCAUACACUAAAGGGCCCCAAUCCCGGUGUGAAAAUGUGAGCAAGGCUAUAAGAAAUGAAGGUUAUGAUGCGCGUGCGAGGCUCAAAUGGGCUAGCAAUGGACUAUAUAUAUCAGAAACGGGAUAAAGGGAUAUAGCUAACCGAAAUGAUAGCCACCCAUCCUGCGACCAUGGUCUCAAACAUAGUACCUCUUUAGCUGAUCCACAUUAGUCGGCUCUGAGAACUGGUUUCCAUCCAAAUCCAUCAACCAUGCGGCGCCCUCUGGGGACAACUCUCUGAUGAAGUAAGGCCCGCUCCAACUGGGUCUGAACUUCCCUCUAGGAUCUCUGAUCAAUCCUCUGAUGACUCUCAAAACUAAGUCACCUACAUGCAGUGGUCUGGGCUUGACCCGCUUUUUGAAAGCGCGGGCCAUCUUCCUCUGAUAUGCACGAACAUGGUCUGCUGCUCUCAAUCUCCUCUCAUCUAGGAGAUUGAGCUGAUCAAAUCGAGCCUGAGCCCAAUCCGUCUCGGGAAUCUGCUGCUCCAAGGCUACCCUCAAUGAACCCAUCUCGAUCUCAACUGGUAGCACUGCCUCCAUACCGUACACCAAUGAGUAGGGUGUGGCUCCUGUAGAGGUGCGAAAAGAAGUCCUGUAAGCCCAUAGUGCGAAAGGAAGCUUCUCGGACCAAUCCCGAGAAGUCUCAACCAUCUUCCGCAAUAUCCUCUUAAUAUUCUUAUUCGCGGCCUCUACUGCCCCAUUCGUCUGCGGCCUGUACGCAGACGAUCUAUGAUGCCGGAUGCUGUAUCUCUGUACUAAGGUGUCAACCUCUGCUCUGAAAUGCACCCCUCUGUCUGAAAUAAGCUCGUGAGGGACUCCAUAGCGACAAAUGAUGUGCGAUCUAAUGAAACUGGCAACUCCAGAUGAUGUCAAUCUCGCAUACGAGGCGGCCUCCACCCACUUGGUAAAGUAAUCAAUAGCUACCAGGAUGAACUCAUGACCACUGGAAGAUUUCGGCGAAAUCUUCCCGAUGAUAUCGAUACCCCAUACUGAAAACAGCCAUGGUGAAGUCAAUGCAUGCAACUCUGAGGGCGGCACGUGAAUGAGAUCUCCGUGUAUCUGACACUCAGGACAUCUCUGGACGAACUGACAACAAUCCGUCUCCAUAGUCAACCAGAAAUAGCCGGUCCUCAUGAUCUUACGGGCCAACAUAUGCCCUCCCAUAUGUGGUCCACAAACUCCCGCAUGAACCUCUCUCAUCACUCGAUCGGCAGAGGCACGGUCUAAACACAACAAUAGCAUCCCGUCAGCUGAUCGUCUAUACAGCGUCUCGCCGCAAAUGACGAAUCGGGCAGCCAACUGUCUCAAUGCUCUCUUAUCCUUGGCCGUGGCGACCUCAGGAUAUACGCCGAGUCUCAAAAAGUGAUAUAUGUCGUGAUACCAUGGCAAACCAUCAUUUGGCUCUACAUCAUCAAUCAAACAACAAUACGCAGGAGCAGAUCUCGACUCGAUCAACAAUGGUCGAACAGUGGCAUCGGCGGGAAUGUCGAUCAUGGAAGCUAGAGUAGCUAAAGCAUCAGCAAACUGGUUCUGCGCUCUAGGCAGAUGUGUAUAUCUCAUAUCCUCAAAUCUCGCGACCAGUAGCUCCAAAUACGCGUGGUAAGGCCUAAGCUUCACAUCUCUAGUCUUCCACUCGCCCUGUAUCUGUCUCAAUACCAGAUUGGAGUCACCAAACACCUCCAUCUGUCUAAUCCCAAGCUCGAGGGCUGUCUCUAACCCCAAGAUACAUGCCUCAUACUCAACAAUGUUGUUCGUGGCCAGAUGUUGAUUCGAGAAUGCCAAACGAACAGAUCUGGGAAUGUGAUCACCAUGAGGGGAUAUCAACAAAACGCCUAUCCCGUAUCCAGAAUGGUUGGCUGCACCAUCAAAGUACAUGCGCCAACCCGACAGACUAGUCACAGCUGCGACAUCCUCGUCUGGAAAAUCAUCGUCAAUAGCUCUGGCAUCAGAAACUGGUAAUGAGGCUAAGUGAUCUGCGACAAUGCUCCCUCUGAUGGACUUCUGAGUGACAUAAUGAAUGUCAAACUCAGUCAGAAGUACCAGCCAUCUCAUAAGGCGACCAACUAGGUAUAUCAAGACGAGGAAUCAAAGGUCCGAUCCUACAAAGCACGAAGAACGGAAUAAGGAUAUGGCUCGGGGAAUGUAUAGAAGAAAAGAUAAUCUGAACGGGAACAAGCAAAGCAUCCAAGUGAAGAUGAGCGGUCCGACCGUACUCAAAUUCGUCCUGAUCUCAGUGCACUCUCAUCUGGAGACUAAACAGAGGGAAAAUCGGAUCCAAAACUACGGCUACAGAGGCACGGAAAGCCCUCAGAUGCACCCACGUGUAGGGAGGGAAUCCUAAUCGAAGGAUCUAUGGCUCAACCUACAAGGUCAAGGUGGCUCUAAAUGGAUAAGGGUGGACUUUAAAAUAUCCCUAGCAGAAGCGAUCAUACCCUCCGGCGAUACGCAACCCUCUGCACGCCUCCGAAGAGACGGGGCGCUUCCAUGCAAGGUGGUCAUCACCUCCACACAUGCACUACCUCGCAUUCCAGGGGGUUUCCUAUGGUGAAACCUCUCAAACUCUCAACACUCAAUAGUCUACUAGCGUGCACAGUGAUGGUGUGGGUGCAUCCGAAACCCUAAGAAGCUAAAGCAGGAUAUGAAACACACUGGCCACAUAAAUAUCCAUGAAACCUAGCUCCGGGCUAUACAGGUCUUCAAUGAUCGGACUCCAAUCGACAUCAAAGUGUCGCUCUCCUCCAGAANNNNNNNNNNNNNNNNNNNNNNNNNNNNNNNNNNNNNNNNNNNNNNNNNNNNNNNNNNNNNNNNNNNNNNNNNNNNNNNNNNNNNNNNNNNNNNNNNNNNAGGCAUGUCAAGAAUGGCUCUAAUCUUGUCCGGAUCCACCUCUAUGCCUCGCUCACUGACUAUGUAUCCCAAGAGUUUCCCAGAAGUCACUCCAAAAGUGCACUUCUUGGGAUUCAGUCUCAAUCUGAACUGUCUGAUCCUCUCAAAGAACCUCUCAAGAGCUGCCAAGUGAUCUGAUCUAUCUCGGGAUUUCACUAUCAUGUCGUCUACAUAAACCUCGACAUCCCGAUGCAUCAUGUCAUGGAAGAGUGUGGUCGCUGCCCUCUGAUAGGUGGCUCCUGCGUUCUUCAAUCCGAAUGGCAUGACUCUAUAGCAAUAAGUACCCCACUCGGUAAUGAAGGACGUCUUCUCCAUGUCCUCUGGAGCCAUCAAGAUCUGACUGUACCCGAAAAAUCCGUCCAUAAAGGACAACAUCGAGUGACCUGCUGUACUGUCAACUAGCAUGUCGAUGUGUGGGAGAGGGAAAUCAUCCUUAGGACUGGCCUUGUUGAGAUCUCGGAAAUCAACACAGACUCUCACCUUGCCAUCCUUUUUAGGAACAGGGACGACAUUGGCCAGCCACUCCGGGUACUCGACCACUGAUAGAAACCCCACACUGAGUUGCUUCUGAAUCUCCUCUUUCACCUGCAAGCUCCAACGAGGGUGCAAUCGUCUCAACUUCUGCUUAACCGGUCUGGCAUGGGGCAGAAGUGGCAAACGAUGCUGGACGAUGGAUGGAUCAAGGCCCGGCAUGUCCUCAUAGGACCAUGCGAAAACGUCCAAGUAGGAUCUGAGCAACUGGAUGAGACUAUCUCUCUCAUCUGAGGAUAAAUCUGACCCGAUCCUCAACUCCCUAGGCUGAUCUGCGGUGCCGAAAUCAACAAUCUCUAUGUCUCCUAUAGCAGGUGAAACCCUCUGAUCAACGGGAUCCGAAUCGGAAACAGAAGAUGAGUCAUCAUCUGAGUCGUGCUGUGCAAUCUCAUCAUCAAUAUCAAAAAUCUGUGGUGUGGGUGAAGAUGGUGCAGAUAAAUCAAUAUCCCAAGAGACAGGCAGAUACUCAAAAAUGCUCAAAUCCAUAGAUGAAACAUCGGAAACAAUGUCAGAACAGGAGACGAACCCCGACAGAAUGUCAAAUGAAAGAGGUGGGUCCACAAAGUCGGACGCUCCCUCAACAAUGCCAACAUGGCUAUCAAUCAAAUCAUCAAAAACUAUAGCAUCCUCAACAAUCUCCAGAGUAGGGGUUGUCUGGAUCUCCUCAACGAUCUCGAUGAAAGACACCCCGAAAAGAUCGAAUGGUGAAGUGAGCCCAGGAUGAACUCUCUCCUCGAUCGGGCUCAAGCUCAGGGCGAGCAUCUCGUCGAUGUACUCGUCGUGUGGGACGGCUCCGUCCACUAUGUCUUCGACCCCAGCAAAGGUCCCAUGCUCAUCGGUCUCGUCCGGGAAGCAAAGCGUCAUAAGGCUCGUGCGAUCUGGAGACGAAGGAGCAAUCAACACAGAAGUCGAAGAGCCAGGAGCUCCGUCUCUCAAUCGUAACUGCUGGACAAGGCGCUGAAGCUCGACCUCCUGAGUGGUGCUAAGUCCUCCAAUGAUCAUGUCCGAACGGGUCAAUGGCUCUGAUGCCCUCACAAAAUAAUCAGAUAAGCUCCUGGUGUAUGGACGAAGAGGAUAGUAGAAAGGUGUGUGGGUCAGUCGAGCUCUCACUCUCUCCUUGCGCAAACGCGCCAUGUAGAGAUAAUCGGCCUCAGUGGGGAUGAACCCAAGUCCGAACGGUACGUCGUGAUCAGGGAUGGCUAUGAACUCGCUCGGUCCAUGCUGACGUCGACCCAACCCCAUGCCGGGUAGAUAGGACAUACUCCGCAUGAUAUCGAGCACCACUGUGCUCCCAUGCCGGUCAAAGGACAUGGCCACAAAAUCCCGGCAGAAAUCCUCUAUCUCCACAGUCUGCACCUCAUCGAAGGUGAAUCCAGUCAGAAAAAGAUCGUCAUCAGUGUGACUAAUCUCGAGCACAAGCUCGGCAGCAAUGAACAUGUCUCCCACAGACUGCACCACGACGACCUGACCAUCGUGAAUAAACUUCACCUUCUGAUGAAGGGAAGAAGGAAUGGCCCCGACUCUGUGGAUCCAUGGUCGGCCCAGAAGCAGGUUAAAGGAUGUAGGAAUCCUCAAAACCUGGAAUACAGCGACAAAAGUGGCCGGACCGAUCAGCAACUCGAUCUCCAAUGUACCCAUGACCUCCCUCCGAGUACUGUCAUAUGCGCGAACGGUCUGAGUAGUGGGACCAAAAUCAGAAGGAGCGUAUCCAAGGGCGAUGGCAGUGGCAAGAGGACAUACGUUCAGGGCCGAGCCAUUGUCCAAGAGGACAGAUGGGACUCGGCGGCCUGAACAGCCAACAGAUAUGUAGAGUGGGCGAGUGUGGUCUGAGCCCUCCGGUGGCAAGUCAUCAUCGGAAAAGACGAUACAAGUGGCUCUGCCAACCGUCAUCAUAUGAAUGAGUCCCUCGGGAGUGGUCGUGGUAUCAACUCUGAUCUGGCUCAGAGCUCGAGUCAGUGCAUCCCGAUGAGUACUGGAGGACGCUAAAAGGCUCCAGAUAGAAAUACGAGCCUGAGUGCUCUGCAACUGCCUCAAAAUCUCAUCAUUCUCUGCUCUGACCUCCUCCUGGGAUGACGUAUCCCCUAAGGGUCUAGCGGCAGCGGCUGGAGGUGGCUGUCUCACUACUCUCCCUCCCCGGAGGAUAUACUGAACGUCCGGAGUCUGAGGAUCAUCACUGUGUGGAGCCUGAACCUCCUCAACAUCUGGGAUCAGAAUGUACGGCGCCUGAACGCUAUAGCGCGUGAAUGUCAGAGGCUCGGAAGUGGCUGCCUGUACAGAUGCUGCCUCAGGAACUAAUCGGAAUGGAGCAGGAAUCUGUGGCUCUAGGGUCACCCCACUCGUCUCAUAAAUCCCAGCUGGCAUGAUAGGCUCCGGGUCUGAAUCAUCCCAACUCAACAUAUGGACAUGAUCAUCAGUCUCAUCGAAGUCCAAGAAAUGAAUACCACCGGCUGGUGGAGGAACUGCAUGUGUGGUGUGGGUCGGCAACGGGUUUGUGGUCACACUCGGCUGACCCAAGUGUACCAAACCCUGGUCUAUCAGAUCCUGAAUAGCAUGCCUCAGAGCGGUGCAUCGAUCGGUCUCAUGUCCAGGCCCCUGAUGAUAAGCACAGUGUAAGUCCAUCCUAAACUGAGCUGGAAUCGGCUGAGGUAGUGGUCGAGGAGUGAGAGCAGUCAAUAAACCAGCCUCCGUAAGCUUCCGAAGAGCCUGGCUCAACGGCAUGCCUAUCUGCGAGAACUGCCUCUGCGUCCUCAAAGCGAACGGAGCAGAAGUCUGCUGGGCUCCAGGUCGGGGAUAAGGCGCCGCAGGUCUCGCGGUGAACUGAGCAGCGUAGCAUGGCUGCCCUGUGGCUGUGUAGGAGACCGCGGGUCUCUCAAUGCCCUGAGUGGCAUAAGAAGGUAAAACCAAUGUCUGUGGCAUGUGCGUCUGAUCGUAAGCCGGCCGAGGUGCCCGUGGCCUGUACUGAUGAGAUGCGUAGGAAGAAUGAGGCUCGGAAAACUGUGGGAUCGGCUGAUGGCGUCUGAGAGGCCUCUGACUGGAUGAACUGAUAGCACCAACCUCUGUCGGUCUCGGUCCUACGAAUGGUUUCUUCCCCUUAACAUCACUAGGGGAAGAAUCUGCCCAUAAACCUCUCGUGAUGCCGUCCUCGACAUCAUACAAAGCCAUAACCAGAGACCCAAAAUCUGUGAACGGGACCCCGACCACAUGUCUGGCGAUCCCCGGCUGUAGGCUCCUCAAAACCAUCUGAAUCUGGUCUCUCUCUGAUGGUCUAUCCACUAUCUCAGCUAUCUUCCCGCGCCAGCGGGAAAUGAAAGAAGAAACGGACUCCUCUGUCCUCUGCCUCAGAGCCUCGAGCUCUCUCCUCGAUACGUCUACAACAGUGUUAAACGAAAACUGUCGUAGGAACUCCUGGGCCAAGUCAUCCCAUGUACGGCGUCUCGAGGACUCUAGAGACGCAAACCAGCGCUGAGCCGCCCCACUCAAAGAUAGGGGGAAAAGAGUGAUCAUCUGAGGCUCGUCCAGUCCAUGAGCCCUCAUCACGGUGCUAUAAAGUCUGAGGUGGAGGCGCGGACAACCAAUACCAGUGUACCUCUCAAUAUCUGGCAUCCUGAACUUAGCCGGCAAGCUGGCUACCGGCAUAGCCCCAAAAUCAUCCCAAACAACGGAUCCAUCUGACACUCUCAUCUGUCUCAUACACUGCUCGAUGCGGUUCAUGCGCGCAUGCGUGUCAUCAGCGACAACGGCCUGGGCGACUGCAAGUGGAGCGAUCCCAGAAUGCCCGUGUAAUACAUAUGGUGAUGUCUGAUGCACUGAAGGAACUGGUGGGGGUGGUGGAGGUGGCACCGGGUCAUAGGAUACCUCGUCCUGAGCGAUAUGUGGCCUGCUCUGCUGGUCAUUGAUCUCCUGCCUAAGGCCAGCCAGAGCCUCCUGGAUAGAAGCCAUGGCAGUCGUGAACUGAUCGACCGUGACAACCUGCUGAUCCAUAUCUGGUGUAUCUGAAACCCGAACUAAUCUGCCCUCUACUCUGAUCCACGAAACUAUACCCAGACUGAGAGUAAAAAUCCUGAUCCUGAAAGUACUCCUCCUCUGCUCUGAUCCACAAAAGGUAUAUCAAGACGAGGAAUCAAAGGUCCGAUCCUACAAAGCACGAAGAACGGAAUAAGGAUAUGGCUCGGGGAAUGUAUAGAAGAAAAGAUAAUCUGAACGGGAACAAGCAAAGCAUCCAAGUGAAGAUGAGCGGUCCGACCGUACUCAAAUUCGUCCUGAUCUCAGUGCACUCUCAUCUAGAGACUAAACAGAGGGAAAAUCGGAUCCAAAACUACGGCUACAGAGGCACGGAAAGCCCUCAGAUGCACCCACGUGUAGGGAGGGAAUCCUAAUCGAAGGAUCUAUGGCUCAACCUACAAGGUCAAGGUGGCUCUAAAUGGAUAAGGGUGGACUUUAAAAUAUCCCUAGCAGAAGCGAUCAUACCCUCCGGCGAUACGCAACCCUCUGCACGCCUCCGAAGAGACGGGGCGCUUCCAUGCAAGGUGGUCAUCACCUCCACACAUGCACUACCUCGCAUUCCAGGGGGUUUCCUAUGGUGAAACCUCUCAAACUCUCAACACUCAAUAGUCUACUAGCGUGCACAGUGAUGGUGUGGGUGCAUCCGAAACCCUAAGAAGCUAAAGCAGGAUAUGAAACACACUGGCCACAUAAAUAUCCAUGAAACCUAGCUCCGGGCUAUACAGGUCUUCAAUGAUCGGACUCCAAUCGACAUCAAAGUGUCGCUCUCCUCCAGAAUGCUCCCGUACAUCGAUAUAGCCCGUUGCUAGACCCUACUCCUAAUCUCUGGCUCGGUCAGAGAGCAAACACACAGAAGGUCUCACACUUGCAAUAGUGAGAACCGGGAUGAAAGGAAUGACCGAAACCAAGAGAGUUGGAGGUAAGGGGAUAUAUGUGCGGCCCACAUAGACAGGCAACAUGCAAUCAUGCAGAAGGAAGGCAGUCACGUGUCAUACAGUCAAGCAAAGUACAGGAUAUAUCACUCAUGUCCACACAAAAAGCUACAACUAUCAGGAUGAAUAGCUAUAUGAACAUCAUGCUCAAAAGACGAUCAAGAUAAUAUGCAAGUCAGAGAAAACAACACAGCAAGUCAAAUGAUAUACACCAGUGAAUCCAUGCAUGUGAGGUGAGCAGAAUAAUCAGGAAGAAACAGAAUCGCUAUACCAAGCAAAACAAGGUGAGCAACCUAUGAUAAUCGGCAUGUCAAUGUACCAAACUAAUAUAGCAAUGAAGUACAGAAAAAACGACAUCCGAAGCCCCAAAUCAAGAUGAUCAAUCAUAUCAAUGUCACAACACAAUAUCCAAGCAUACAUCAAAAACUCCCAAUGUGCAAUCAAGAGACAAGUACUCGCUGAUCGACUCAUCAAAUGCCAUGUUUGCUUCAUCUUAAGUUCAAGUUUGACCCUCUAUAGUUCCCCAGCGGAGUCGCCAUUUUGUGGACCCCGCAUUUCGAUGGCUCGAAUGCGUUCCCCACUCGAUGGCGAGCUCGAUUUUUAUUUUGAAAAAUUGAUUUUUAUUGAUUAUUUGAAAAUGACUUGGAGUCGCCACUUAUUUUUGUUUUAUUUUUAAAGGGUAAACAAAAUAAGAAAGAAAAACCCUAAGUGUGACUCCUUAUUUUGGAAAAGGUGAUCUACGAAAAACCGGAUCGGGUUCGGGGGUCAGGUUACUUAUCGGGAAGGUACGGUAAAGACCGUAGCACCCCUCUAAGUCCCUAAAGUCGGGUCUCUACUACUAAAAUGAAGCUGACAUGGCAAUCAAUGAGAAAAUCAAUGAAUACUCAAAUCAAUCAUGCACAUAUAAGUAUCAAAACAUGCGUAUAGCAAGACCAGAAUAAGGACAGAUGCGUACCUGGGCAACGAUCUUCAAUGCGCUAUCAAGAAGUGAGAUUAGUGCACAAUUAAAGGAUGGUCACAUGCAUAUCAUAGAGCAGAAUAAAUCAUGUAUGGCACCCAAAUCAACCAAACAAUCCAUCAAUCAUAAAAUCUCAUAUGUUGGGCCCCCACCAAAGCCCGAUUGAUUUUUGCAUGAAUUAAUUCCAUAAAUUCCCUUGCUUGGAAUUACGGAAUUUUAUUCUAGCUUAUUUUAAAACAUUUUGAAAAUCUGAGGAGUUGUGAAAAUUGCUUGUCAGGGAGAAAAGUGACAGCAAAUUUUUAUUAUNNNNNNNNNNNNNNNNNNNNNNNNNNNNNNNNNNNNNNNNNNNNNNNNNNNNNNNNNNNNNNNNNNNNNNNNNNNNNNNNNNNNNNNNNNNNNNNNNNNNNNNNNNNNNNNNNNNNNNNNNNNNNNNNNNNNNNNNNNNNNNNNNNNNNNNNNNNNNNNNNNNNNNNNNNNNNNNNNNNNNNNNNNNNNNNNNNNNNNNNNNNNNNNNNNNNNNNNNNNNNNNNNNNNNNNNNNNNNNNNNNNNNNNNNNNNNNNNNNNNNNNNNNNNNNNNNNNNNNNNNNNNNNNNNNNNNNNNNNNNNNNNNNNNNNNNNNNNNNNNNNNNNNNNNNNNNNNNNNNNNNNNNNNNNNNNNNNNNNNNNNNNNNNNNNNNNNNNNNNNNNNNNNNNNNNNNNNNNNNNNNNNNNNNNNNNNNNNNNNNNNNNNNNNNNNNNNNNNNNNNNNNNNNNNNNNNNNNNNNNNNNNNNNNNNNNNNNNNNNNNNNNNNNNNNNNNNNNNNNNNNNNNNNNNNNNNNNNNNNNNNNNNNNNNNNNNNNNNNNNNNNNNNNNNNNNNNNNNNNNNNNNNNNNNNNNNNNNNNNNNNNNNNNNNNNNNNNNNNNNNNNNNNNNNNNNNNNNNNNNNNNNNNNNNNNNNNNNNNNNNNNNNNNNNNNNNNNNNNNNNNNNNNNNNNNNNNNNNNNNNNNNNNNNNNNNNNNNNNNNNNNNNNNNNNNNNNNNNNNNNNNNNNNNNNNNNNNNNNNNNNNNNNNNNNNNNNNNNNNNNNNNNNNNNNNNNNNNNNNNNNNNNNNNNNNNNNNNNNNNNNNNNNNNNNNNNNNNNNNNNNNNNNNNNNNNNNNNNNNNNNNNNNNNNNNNNNNNNNNNNNNNNNNNNNNNNNNNNNNNNNNNNNNNNNNNNNNNNNNNNNNNNNNNNNNNNNNNNNNNNNNNNNNNNNNNNNNNNNNNNNNNNNNNNNNNNNNNNNNNNNNNNNNNNNNNNNNNNNNNNNNNNNNNNNNNNNNNNNNNNNNNNNNNNNNNNNNNNNNNNNNNNNNNNNNNNNNNNNNNNNNNNNNNNNNNNNNNNNNNNNNNNNNNNNNNNNNNNNNNNNNNNNNNNNNNNNNNNNNNNNNNNNNNNNNNNNNNNNNNNNNNNNNNNNNNNNNNNNNNNNNNNNNNNNNNNNNNNNNNNNNNNNNNNNAGAAAGGUGAAUAAAUAUGGUGGGGGAGUAGACUGUUGACAAUGGGUAUGUAUGAGUCAUAUGCCUGGGGGUAUGGUGAGAGAUGAACUGCAAGUGAUGGGCAUGAUGUGGUGUGGGGUGGAUUAGUGGGAUGACAGUAUACAAAGAGAGCGUGGUGUAGAGAGAGAAUGCAAGAUGAUGAGUGCAUGUGUAGAUAUGGGUGUGGGCAUGGUGGUAUGAAGCGUGUGGUGGAUGAUGGACUGAAGGUGAUGGGCAUGACAAUGGGCAUGAACAGGGAUGGAGUCAUGUGGGCACGAGACGAGCAUGAGCGCGGAAUGAGUGUGAUGCAACCAUGCAUGGUAUGAAAAGGGUUUGGUGUAGUGAGAGAAAGUAGAUUAUUGGUGAUGGGUAUGAAUAAUGGCCGGGUUUGCAUGGUCCAUGCACUUGGAUGGGUGAGUUUGGGGAUGCUAGCAGAAGCCUUGGAAGGAAUACGGGCAGCCAUGCACGCGUGGGGUUUCAUGGAUAUCGAGUCAGGGUAUUUUGUUGGAGGAAGAGAGCAUGGGUCUGCACAAUAUGGGGAUUGGGAUCUCCUACGGACUCCCUAGCUAAUGGAGUUGUGAAAGGGAGACCAUCUGCUUUUCCGAUACCAGAUUAUGGGAAGUUCAGUGAUGGCUUCUCAAAAAAUAUUGGUCCACCUUGAUGUUAACAAACCACCCUUGGGCAAUUUAGCAAUCCCUUCAUUCUCAGAAGACUCCGUCUCCAACAGACCAUAAUGAUACUGAACUAAUCCAUGUGAAACGGACAAGAAAGGCUCUGCUCGUGAAUGUUCCCUGGCAUAACCUCCUCUAGAAUGUCAUCAGACGAAACAAAACUAGAGAACCAGGUAUCUGGAACAAGUAAGUCUUCUCUCUGGGCCAAACCCUCAACAAGCCUGUUGCAUUUCUCUGAUUUCUCCCACUGUUCUGCCAAAGUCUUUAUUUAUAAUAUAAUGGUUUAGAAAUAUCCUCCAUUAAUCACUCUACCUUUGACCAACCCUGGUUAAGGAUCCAUACAUCAAAUCUGAUUACCACUUCUGGCCCACAACCGCUCGAGUUGAUAAUGAUUUUCCUCCAUAUCUACUCCUGUUCAUCUUCAUAAAAUUCCUUGGAAUCAUCAGUAUACUCACUGCAAUCUGUGGUAAAGACCACCACAUCCUCAUCGACAUCUUACUUUUUUCCUCUACGAAUGGCGCCUCACACUACUCACUAUUCUUUGGAUCUGAACCACUUUUUUUUUUUUUUUGUUUUUUCAAAUAUUGGAUGUCAAGCCUCAACAGCAUAUAGUAGUCAAUUUGUACCAUCCCCAAUGUAUGGUAUGCAUGAUGCCCCGUGCUCAAAUUGCUCAAAAAGAACAGAGGAAUAUAGCCAAGAAAACAGGGCAUAGGAGAAAGGAACAAAAAAUAAAUCAAGGGCAACUGCAUUUCAGGACAUAUCAAUGUGUUCCCACUGGUGGAUGAAAGAUAUGAACAAAUUCAAAACAAAAAAUACGCCACAUAUGUUCAGGUGCCUAGCAACAAAAUAUGAUGCAAGUCCUCACCCAUUUUCUUAAACCAGGUUAAUGAAACAGCGAAAGGAUUAACAUCACAGAUGGAAACAUGACAAAUACAAACAACAUAUACACCCAGUGAAAUGAUAUUCAGAAUAAUGAAAUCAUACGGCUAAAUAUAAGCAUACCUGAAUGUGAUAGAUGUCCUACCCAGCUUUUCUUACUUUCUCUCUGUUUUCCUUGCCUUUCUAGCUCCGACAAUCGAAUCACCUUCUCUCUUACUCUUCUUUUCUCCCGCUUGAAAAACCUCCCUCUGGAAAUAUAUCUCUCCCCCAGCCAGACGACACCCACCUGCCUUGCAGUUGCAAGCCUCCAUUACCUUCAGAUUUUUCUGCCACCUUCCUCUUCUAGGCCCAUUUCCCCACUACUCUGCACCACUACCUUGCUAAUAACAGAAGACGCUCCUCAAUACAACGGCCUGCAGAUCCUCAUGCCACCUGUCAACCUUCCAUUGGCACUUCAAAAACAACAUACGAUUCUGCAUUGCCCUCUCAAAAGGAGACACGUGAUUGAGCAAGGCUCUUCCACGUGGCCAAAACGGGUAGCUGCAUGAAAGGCCCCAAAUGGGGGUCUACAGCAGGAUAUACUUUUUCGUCAAUGUGUGCCUGAAUGACCUAAAACUAGUCCCAAUUAAUGAUAUGACAUUGUAUUUGCUAUUCUCAUCAACCAAGAAUACACCCGAAAAUAUAAGAUCUUGAUUAUUUAAUAAGCAUGUAAGGUAUACACAAAAUAUAGGAAAAUAAUUUAAGUACAUUACUAUAUACCUUAUAAGAAGAUCUUGAUUAUUUAAUAAUCAUGUAAGGUCUACACAAAAUAUAGGAAAAUAAUUUCAAUAGAUUACUAUAUACCUUAAUGCAAUCCCAUAAUUUCUCCUUCAAUUCCACAGGCAUUACUCUCCAAUCAAUAUGAUAUACUGGCACCAUGGUUUGUGUUAGCACCCCCAAGUAUGAUACAAGUUGUACAUAUCCCUCACCCACUCCCUCACCAUCAUCAUUAUAUUGAAUGUCAAUUUUCACUCAUUCACUUCUCUUUUUAGCAAUUUCAGGUUUUACAGUUGGGCCUCUAAACAUUUUUGGUGAAGUAAUCUUCUGUUUUCCUUCCUUUCCAUCCAUCUACAUGACAAUCAAAAGAAUAUGAUCAAUCUCAUAAUACAUAUAUAUAUAUAUCUUACAUUCAAAAGUAAAGCAUGAUAUUUUAAUAGUUACCUACUCUUUAUCUCUUCUUGGUUGAGACAUCUGUAAAGAUGUUGCACUUUUUGGCCAAGUUCCAAAUAAUUAAGAAUUAUGCACUACUAAACAACACUUGAAAAUGUAUCUCAACUAAAUCUAAAGAAAUUAGUUACAAAAUGAUUUCAUAAGUAGGAAUAAAUCAUUGUUGUACAAAACUUGCAAUACAUGAAAAUUAAUCUUAAAUCUCAAUAUAUAUAAAUAUGAUACUAACUGAAUUUAUUUAAAAUAGCUUAGCAAGUAUAUAAUAGUAAAAAUAUAUUUGAGAAUAAUAAAAUAAAAACAUAACAUUGUUGAGCAUCACAUUGUAGAUUAACAAUAACUCAAAAAUCACAUAAUACACUUAGUAGUCACAAAGCAUAACCCCAAAAAACAAAAACAAAAAACAAGAAAAUUGUAGACCCUCAAUUUUGUCCCUUUAGCACAUGUCUUUAAGUUCACUUCCAAUGCUCCAUAGUAAUUCCUUGGUGGCCCAUUGCUACUCAUACUACUUACCUUUUUUUUAGCCACCUUGGAGACCUUGGUUGAGGGGUUUAUCCAACUCCACAUUAUGACCUUGGCAGCCCUAAUUUAGACUUAGCCACUUUCCUGAACGCCUUAGGCCCACUUAGGUACACUUGGCCCACUAGGCGUCACCUUAAGCCCACUUAAGCACUUUUAAACCCAUUUUUUAUAUGACUUGCAUGAUUGCAUGGCCUACAUGACUUGUGUGGCUUAUAUGGAUUUCUUUAUUAUUUAAUUUCAUUUUAUUUUAUUUUAUUAUAAGUUUUCUUGGCUUUUUGGGCAUGAGGAAAGGGUCUGUCAUCUAUUUUGAAGGAGAAUCAACAGAAUUUUGAAAAAGAGGAGAUUUUGUUUUUAUAGGGAUAGCACAUAUAUUAUUUUCAUGGGGAAAUCGGUUACAAAAGGGAAAAAACUAAGAAAGGAAAGUGGAUUUCCUUUUUGGAUCACAAAAGUUUUUUUGGAGGGAGAUUUUUUUAUUGUCUUUGUAGAGAGACACAAAAAGGAAAAAAGGAGGGGAUUUUCCUCUAACAUAUUUGGGGGGGUUCUUUGGGAAGGCUGAUCUACGCAAAAAAUGAGAGGAAAAAAAAGCCACAGAUUAAGGGGGAAGGGACUCACGGAUUUGGAGGAGGAUUUUCUCCAUGGAUGAAGGGGGAAGGGACUCCCGGAGGAUUUUCUCCAUGGAUGAAGAGGGAAGGGACUCACAGAUUUGAUGAGGAGGAUUUUCUCCAUGGAUGGAGGGGAUGGGUAGCAGAAGAUGAGAGGCUGCUUCGAUAGUGUGAAUUUUUCUGGAAAGGGCCAAGGACCAUAGGAGAGGAUCAGGGACAGAGGCACUAUUACUUUGAGAAGCCCAUGAGUUCUUGAAGUCUCCAACAUAUCCCUUGAGGUAAGCUCUUUAGUGUGAAAUCCAAUUUAUUUUAUUUUCUCUGUUUCUUUUCCUCUUUCUUCUAUUGUCAUUAAGAUUUGCUACUGUUGAUUUUAAGUGUUUCAUAAAUUUGCCUGACUUCUGAUCCCAUUGUUGCUUCUUUGUUUGUGUUCAAGAAUCGUUCAAUUCUUCUUUGUGAUAUUUCAAAACCCUUUUAUUCCACCUGCAUUUAAGCCCACCGAUUCAGACAUGAAGUGUGGCUUUUUGAUAGUUCUUAUUUUCUUCAUUUAUGUUCUUUCUUUCUUUAUUAUUUUUUUGGCUAUUUUCUCCUUGCUCUUGGUGUUUGCACAUUCUUGGGCAUGGGACUACACACUUGGACGUCAAACCAUGGGAUGAUGAAACUGACAUGAAAGAGCUUGAGGCAACAUUAAUCAAAUCAAGAUUCGUGGCAAGACUAUGGCUGCUAUAUUGAGUUAGAUGUUUUCCAUAUGGGUUUGGUUCUCUUUCAUGAAUUUGCGGUUGGUUUAAAGUCUCCAAUUUUCUAUAUGGGAGAAGCAAUAUUAAGUAUUUUGGAUAUCUAAGUUUGUCUCUACUUCUGCAUUGAUUAUAUGUUGUGAGCAUGGUGGGUUUGUGAGGAAGGAAAUGUGUAUCAUUGGGGAAUUUUAAUCUUCAUAGAAUUACCACCACAGAGGACUACAGUGGACUAGGACAUGGUUAUAAAGAAUCCAGGCUAGUUCCCCAGUCUGUAAUUGCAUUGAUCAAUGAUAUUUUUGUCCAGUGGUUCAGUCAUCAGUAGUCACAAUUGCUUGUCCAAUGGUUCAGUCAUCAGUAGUCACGGCCGCUAAAAGGGGGAGGUUAACAACCAAAAAAAAAGAAGUGGCAAUUCCUGAACUAGAGCCUCCGAGAUGGUUUGUUAUAGACCUGCACUAUGUGAACUGGGGAACUGUUGUCUUUCUUCUGUUUAGUGUGGAAGUUGUACUACUUAAGCAAAUGAGAAAAAAGGGGUUUGAUAAUGGGUGUAUGGAAUGCUCCUACAUCGGUAAGAAUAUUUCAGGGUCUUCUCUCGCUGCUGAUGUUCUGGACUAAGGCAAGGAAGAGUGUUUUCUCAUCUAUGAUACUAUUCCCAAUGGAAGCUUGCUGCAAUAUCUGGAUGUGAUUGAUAACAAUGGGAAGGUCCUUGAAUAGUCUACUAGAGUUUCUAUCAUCAACGACAUUGCCAAAGGUGCCAGGUAUUUACAUGAGAAGAAAGUGAUUUAUCAAACACAACAUGGGCCCUACAAAUACUAGAAUGAAGAUGCAUCCAGAAUGAAGACCUCCUAGAAUCCAUACAAUGUUCCAUUGAAACAGUCGAAGUCCACUCCUUCAUUGAUGUUGGUAACACAACACGCAAAGCCUGUACUCAAGCUUCUCUAGUCUCUCCUCAAAUCCUAAUGCCCAACCUCAGUGGCUUAAUACAUCUGAAACUGAUGCCAAACGGAUCCCUGAUGAAGGAAAUUAUGGAUACAUACAAAAGAUUUAAGAAUCAGCUUCAUCAGUACAAGCCCCAGAAGCAGUUUGCUGGAAAUGUACUUAAGCUCCAUGAGCAGACCCGUAAGUUGCAGUCGUGUCUUUGAUCGAGUUAGUAAGCUGCUCUCCCUCAAGGUUCGAACCAGAUAAAGGCAACUGGAGUUACUGCUGGUUACACUUUAACUUCUUCAUGGCCUAUACAGUUGGAAUUGCAGAUGAUAUGCAAGUGCUCAUAUUGAUGGUAUCGCUACAAAAUACUCCGAAAUUGUCGAAACAAAAGUUAUUCAAGCAAAGAUGGCAAACUGCAAUGAGAGUCUAUUGAAGAUCUCAGAGAUGAGAGGUUUGCUGAGUUCAAUAAAGAUGGCAAGUAACUUGAUGCCGAUGUUCACCUCAAGCACGUUCCGCGAUGGUCAUGCUGCUGCAUAUGUAGUGAUUUUGAUGGAAGACAGUAAGCCCAUUGGUGAGAAAUCGUUUUAUAACUUCCCAGAAUGCUUGGGAAGCAUCCCUGCUGUUUAAAUGAACUUCCCGAGAAGUGCUUGUGUAACUUGCUAAGCUGGCUACCUGAGUUGAACCACUGUGAUAUCAGUGGGGGAAAGAAACAACAAAGGCUCAACGAAGAGAUUGUACCCCGGGAGUUCAGAACUGGUGGUUAUGCGUGACGUUAUUCGGGAUUUAUAAUCGAAAAGGCUUCCUACAUGGCCAGAAUACAGAGGAUGAUUGGUUUGGGAUUGAAAAGAAGAUGAUCAUUAUUCAUCAGCUUCAUCCAAUUUUGGAGACUUUCAUGACAAGAUUGUGGGUUGAAGCUGGUCAUGUCUUUUCUUCAAAACAAAUCUUGUUGCCUGCCAAAAGAGGGCUCAUUUCUCAUGUCAUAAAAAAUGCUCAUGUCCUUGGAGAAAUUUGUGAGAUAAAAUGCGAUUAUAGUUUGCUAGCUAAAACUCAUUUCCAAGGUGCCAAUUAAAUCAACUGCCAAAAAGUUCACAGAGCACUACUCUUUGGGAUUUCAAUUCCUAGUGAUAUUGGAUAUAGGGAGUUUGUUUGUGAUAUUUUGUUCGAGAUAGAGUCUAAAAACGCAGGUUCUUCUGACAUGAAAGCCAUUGAAAACUGACGUGAGCCACCGAACAUUUCUGCUCAUGACAAGAAGAGUUGUAGGAAAAGUUGGCCAGGUUGUCUGAUGACCAUUGAUGUCCAAUCAGUUCAACAUUUUCGGCUACAGUAGCACCAGUUGUGAGUGGCUUUCUCAAGACAUCGUUCCUGAUUCCUGAAAGCAUUUCAGAUCAGUAUGAGACUUCAAGAUGGAAAUUAAAGAAUUUCCCAUGACUGCCAGAUUCGGUAGUUUGAUUUGAACAGAAUGGCGUCUCGUGAUUUUUGGAAUCAUGCAAACGAAUACACCCAACAUUGCAAAUGGAUCAAUUUCCUAUGACCUGGAAUCUCAACUAACUCUCUGGGUUAGAGAAUUCCAGUCGUAGCCAUGUCAUGAUACUACAAGACACCAGAAUUUAAAUUCAAGCAGCCAUACAAGGUUUCUUCCAAGCUGAUAGCACCACCUAGCACAGGUUUUGAUACCUUAACCUGUGGACAGAGUUUGCUUUUGGGAACAUUCCAUAUACUCGAAAUGGCAUCAAUGUCUUCUAAGUCACUACUUUUGGAUCAGUAUUUAGAGCUAGAUCUUAAUAUCGUCAUGCUAAAUUGUUGCUUUUGGUUUCAGAGACAUGAAUUGCUUGGAUAAUGCAUCCGGCUUGGCAAUUAUAAUUGUAAUGUCAGUCAUCACCUGCCUAAUGUCUCUAGUUACUGGAUUGUGUUGGCACCAGAACAUCUCCUCUAUAAUUGGCUUCAUAUUCUUCUCUGGCGUAAUUGAAGCUUUCUACUUCUUGGCUUUUCUCAUCAAGUUCCUGGAAGGAGCAUGGAUUUCUAAGCCACUCCUGAACAUGCAUAUAGGAAUGGAUGACGAGUCCAAUAAUCGUGACAUGGUGAAUUCUAGUUUAGAAAUCCCUAAUGCAGGUGAUGGUCAUGCUAAUGCCUUUCAUGCUAGCGUUGAUAUUGAUAUGAAUGGUGCCAGCGCUGAAGAUCAAACUGAGUAAAUUGGGUCUACUGCUGAAUAUGGUACGGAUGAACGACAAUCAAGGCAAAACACUAGUUUUCUUGCUACUGAGAUCCACUACUCAUCAAAAAAACCUAUCCCAAAUCAGUCCAACAAAAGGUGGGAUCUCUUUUUCCUUAAUUUUGCCUUUUUUUAAUAGGCAAAAUGAGCAUAAACAAUACUUUAUAAGGUGUCAAUGAAAAUAAACGUUCUUUGCCAUCUCAAAACCUUUUUAUAAGAUGAAAAUUAAUGUAUCCAUCUAACCUCUUAAGUUGUUCCUUCAUUGCAGGAUCUAAAUCAUCAUCAAUAUCUCCAUCUUCCAAACUAUGAUUAUGGUGGUUUUGAAAAGUGUGAACCUGAACAAUGUUCGAUUCCCCAAUUGCAUGAGCUAUGACUUUCCAAGGACAUUCAUUAACUGUGCAAACAACUGUCAUGUGUUUCCUACUAUUCCUCUUGAAGCAAUAACGGAAUCUACCAGUAAUUAACAUCAAAUAAACGGCAUCACGGAACUCGACAGCAUUGGGGAAGGUAUGUCCACUACCCAUAAUGGAAUUUUCAAACCGCCUUGAGUCACGUUCGAGUAUAUUUGAUUCCGCACAUCUUUGGGAAAACCCAUAUGACUCAAUUGUAAGAGAGUUAUUACAGAUAUCAAUUGGCGGAUCACCACCGGAGGAAAGUAGGUGUGCCAAAUUCGAACCAACAAUAGGAGUAGGGGCACUACAAAUUUAAAAAAAAAAAAAAUAUAUAUAUAUAUAUAUAUAUAUAUUCAUCUGUCUACAUAUAUUUCAAAAGUUGAUAGACAAAGUGAAUGUGAUGUUGGUAAGGCUAUAAGUACCUAUUCGAUACUAUACAGGCUUCAACAACUUCACUUGAUGAUGAGACAUAGGCUCGACAAAACAUUUCGUUGAAUUGAAUAGUGCAGGCAUGUGAUAUUCUAUAUAGGAUUGGUGAAUAGUCUCAUAGUCUAAGAUCAUGUUUGGUAGAGAGACAAAUGGAACACAGAUUUAUGAGAGGACAAGAUUGAAAGUUUGCAUAAAGCAAUUCUCUAAAUUAAGGACAUUUUGAAUAGUUCACUAGGAGAUUACAAGAGGAAAGAGAGAAGUAUGGCUUACAAGCCCACCAUGCUUAUCUCGAUGUAUUUGGAAGUGAAGCAAUAAAAGAAUCUUUGAUGAUGUUGAUCAAUCAGAAUUGUAGCUGAACAAUGUUUUCCUAAAUUUUUUGUUGAAUGGUCUGCUAGAUCAAUAGGAAAUAGAAGCCUUUCUUUUGUAGAUUUCAUUUGAUAUUUCAGCUAGUACUUUAAGGAUCAAGGAGUUUUAUUUUCCCCCUUUUUUUUCUUUUAAAAUCCUUAUGAACAUCACAAGUACAAAGGAAGUGCCCUCUUCUUAGCAAUUGUUUCACAACAUUUUACGUAUCAAAACAUUUUUUUUCAUUCUCCAAAAUGCCAAAAAAAUAAUGUCCAAAACAUUGAUUUUUAUUUUUUUAUUAAUCAAUUAAAUAUAAUUUAAAAUAAAAUAAUUAGAAUUAUAUUUUUUUAAUGAUGAACCUUAACUAAUUUAAAUUAAAUAUAUAUUAUCAAAGAGUACCAUAGUCCAAUGGUAGCAGGGAUUGAACCCAAGCCACAAUUUUGAUUUAAUAAAAAUUAAGAUGGCUAAUUAAUAAUUAAUAAUUAUUUAUAUGGAGCAAAUUGUUCUCAUGAUUUGUUUCCCCUUUUGUUUUUUUUAUCAUACUAAAUCUAAAGCUCAAAAGGGUCAUCCACUUCUCUCACUCGGGCAUCAAGGAGCCCUUUUCUGAAGUUGCCCUCCAAACGAGAGAAUCCCUAAAAAGGCCCUAUUUUCCUCUGCAACUCUCAAUCCUUGUAGGUACUAAUCUAAUCACAUUAUUAAUUUUUUUUUAAACCCUCAUUUGAUUCCCAAGAAAAUCCAUCCCCCAUUUGAUUUCCGGGAAAAUUCAUCCUUGUUUGAUUUUCGAGAAAAUCCAUGCAAAACCCCAAGGAAAACAAAAAAAAAAUGCUUUUUUUUCCUCCCUAUGUUUUCUAGAUCUGUUCUAGGGGUCUCUUUGCUUUUGUGCCAUUGGGUUUAAAUUUCACAAACCCUAAAUCCACGAUUUUUGAGCUAGGUUGAAAAAUAUAACCUUUGCCUGCAAAUCGUGAUCAGAUUACCAAAUAGCAUCUUAUGUUUUUUUUUAUAUAUAAAAAAAAAAUUUGGAUAGAUUUUGCAUCAUGCAUGGGCUAUGCUGGUAGGAAAUAUCGGGAAAUUUCCCGAAAAUACGAUAAAAAAUACCGAUAAAUACCAAAAUAUUUCUCGAUAUUUCAAACACUAGUGGUUCUCAAAUUUUUUUUCCUCAAUGAUUCCCCACAAACAACCGUCUUGUAAACAUAAAUAUUUAAGAUAUAACAAAAAAAAAUCCCCAAAUAUUCUAAAUCACGGGGUCGUGAACAAUGCAAAACAACCUUCAGCCCAAAUAUUUUCUCAACAGCCAAACAAAUCCUUAAAUGGAAAACUCACAUGCGAUUAAUCCAAAAGAAAGAGGAAACUCCACUUCGGUUUCCAGAAACCUGAAAAAUAUUCACCUUUGAUGAAGAAAUAUGAAGAUAUGACUCAACUUUGGCUUCGUUGAAGGUUUUUGGAAGAUGGCUAUUGGGUUUGGGUGGUCAGCUCGUGAAGAGAGACACUAGGGUUAGGCCAAAAUGAGACGAAAUGAGAGGAAGUGAAGAGUCAUGAAAAUGCAGAGCAAACGAGCCAUGAAAAUGUAGAUUGGGUUAGGGCAAAAUGAGAGGAAGUGACAGAGAGUUUCCCCAAAUUUCAAAGUUUAUCGAGUCGGGUGUUCUAUGGGUUUUGCAAAUUUGAUAACUUUUAAGUUUUUGAUUUUCGUGUUUAUUAAAGGCACAACUCUCGGGUGACAUGGACACGAGUGAUGGUUGCUGAUAGGGAUGCAUGGAGGGGUAAUUUCGAAAAUCCAAUUAUAAAUUGUAUAUAAUGCAUGAAAAGGAAAAAAUUUCUUGAAAUAGUGGACAUAUCUUGGGUUAUGCAAACUUGGGUUUUGAAAACAAUAUUAUUAGGAAAUGGGGCUCUCGAAACACAACUUUCCCUAUUUUUUAUAUUCCAAAUAUAAUAGUUCAUGUUAAUUAAACUAAUUAAAUAAUUUAAUUAAGUUAAUUUUUUGAAUCUAAAUCUAACGAGAUUGAAAUUAACUAGUUGAAUCUAAUUCUUACUAGUUUGAAUGUGAAAAUAAAAUUAAAUAAUCAUCUAAAAUAUAACAUAUCCAUCUAUAAUUAAAUAAUCAAAUUAACCUAAGCUUAUUCAAUAAAAAUAUACAAAUUAAUUACAAUUGAAUGUAAAAAUAAUAUUAAAUCAUCCAUAUUGAAAAUAUACUAAUUAAUUGAAAAUACAUUAAUUAAUUACAAUUGAAAACAAAAUUAAUUACAAUUUAAAACAAACAUACCUUAAAAUAAUUGAAUAAUUGAGCAACCUUAGAAAAUUUUUGAGCAAUAAGAGAUCAAAUAAAGAAUGAAAUUAAAUGUGGAUGAAAUGGAUGCAAAAUGAGUUAUUUAUAGGAAAAUUUUGGGCCAAAAUAGCUAUUGAUAGAUGAUUUCACUAUUGAAAAACAGUUUUGGCCGUUGGAUCAAAAUCAGGGCGACAUAUGACCAUUGGAUCAUGAAAUAACCAUUGGAAUAUCAUCCCAACGUUGGACCAAACCCAAAUUCAAUCUGGGGAGUUAGAUCAAUGCAGGCAUGAUGUAGGCCGUUAGAUCACGCUGAAAAGAGGAGGCAAAUUUUCUUUAAAAAAUCGACGAUUUAUCACCGAUAUAUAGACGUUUUUCCAACAUCAGUGAUGAUUGAUUGAUAAAACCGUCAAUUUAUCGCUGAUCAGCGAUAUAUCGACUAGAUUUUGGCAAUUUUUUGUUUUUUUGCCUCUUCGAUAAAUCCCCACAAAAUAUCGUGUUGAAACUCUCCGAUACACGAUAUAUCGAUGACAUACCGCCGAUAUAUCUUUGUGUUCCUAGUGAGGUUGAUGAUUUACUAAUAUGUUUCAAGUGCACAAUGAGGGAUUAAUUCUUAUUGCACACUAGGGCAUAGCCAUUUUAAAUAUCUUUAUCAAAGUUAGUGGUUUGAUUUUUAGAGAACACUUCUUAUUUGUUGAUAUUGCUAUCACCUACAAAGUAUGGUUUUAUACAUCCCUAAUUCGAAACAACAACUAUCCAUUGCAUUUGAGCAAGGUGGAGAUGUUGUUGGUUAUUAUUGCAUGCUAGGGCAUAGCCAUCAUCAUGGUUUUCUAAUCAAGUUAAUGAUGCAUUGACAUUAUGACGGAUUGAUCUAGUUUGGUUGUCUUCAUAGUUUAUUUUUGUCAAUGAAUGGCAUUGUCAUGGAUGAUUUAAAUACAUUAAUUCGAACACAUUCAUUUUGAAAACAAUCCAUGAACACAUUCCAAAAAAAGAAAAAGGGUAUCUAGGGAAUGGAUCAAUGCAUGUAUACUGAUUAUGUUCUAUAUCAUUGCACUGAGAAUAAUGAAUAGGUCUCUUAUGACUGCAUUAUGAUUCGAUAAGACAUUGUCAUAGUCUCCUAAUAGAUGUUUUACUUUAGGGCUUUAAGAGAAGGAAAUGAUCAAGCUUCUUUAUCAUGCAUGCAUGCUCUCAUCAACACAAAGUUGAGGCAUGUCAUUCAUCAAUAUAGAUCAGAAUGAGCCUAAAUAAAUCAAAGUUCUAAGUGGAAAAUGUUCAAUAUAGGGUUAUACAUCUAAGUGUAACAUGAUCGAAUUUUAUUCAAAUGUAUAAACUAUAAAUGAUUACAUACCUUUUUUUUUUUCCGAAUUCGCUCAUACCAUUAAGAUUUUUCAUCCACAAGAUACAACCUAUAUUGCAAAAAAUUAAAAAUUAAAAUAAAAGUGAAAAAAAAUUGUAUUAGAAUAUUAAGAAAACUCUACUUAUAAAUAUAAAAGAAUCCAAUUGUUUAAUAUUAAAAAAUCUCAAAUUUAAAAUCUAAAUAUUGAGGGUAAUUUUCUAUUUUUCCAUCUCAUAAUGAAUGAAACUCUAAUAUCUCCCUGCUAACUUACUAAAAGGGUCAUUAUCAACAUUUUUCACCUUAGAGCGAAUGUAAAAUUAUAAAAUUAUUAUCUGAGAACACCCACUUUACAAAUUAGAGAAAAAAACCUAAAAUAAAAAGGAAAAGUAUACCAUAAGGAAUAUUUAUUUCAAGCUCUUUAAAGUACUGAGAGCACCCAUUUUACAAAAUUGUACUCAAGUCAUGUAACAUUUGAAUCCAACUCAUUGAAACUCAUCAUUUUGUCUCAAAAAAGGUUUUUCAUUUUUUUAUUAUUAAAAAAAACCAUAAGCAGCUGAUUGUAUUCAAGUAAUUCAAUGGAUAGCCCUCAAAGGUAGGCAUCAAUUUAUCAGACAUUCAAACUAAACCACGGCAUCAAAAGAUUAUAACGAUAAGAAUAUAUAUACCUCCAGGCGAAGGAGCCAUUGAUGCUAUUAAAAGUUUGUUCUUCAAAAGAGCUUUAAGAAGUGAUCGAUUGUUCUUCAAGAGAGCUUCCAAAGAGCUUAGGGGGCUUUUUCUGUAUCCAAUUUGUUGAUCUCACUCUCAACCAACAGUAAAAGAAUAAACCUAAUCAGGAAAGAUUAAAGCUAACCAUAAAAGAACCAAACUCACCUCAGUAUAUAUGAGUUGGAUUUUUUUCAAGAGACAAUGAAAUAGAGAUGCUUCUGAGAGGAGAGGGUGAGGACAUGCAAAUGAGGAUUUGUGUGAAGAAAGAAUCGUUUACUUUCCAAAGGGACAUGCGGGCUUCUUCACUAGGAGGAUUUAAGUCAACUGGGAAUGGAUUUAAACAGCUCCAUGGUAACAAAAAUAAAUAAAAAAAUAAAGAAAAAUGUGUCCUCCAACAGUUUAUUGAUACAGUAAAGUGGACAUAUUACACUACCAUUAUGAGAAAUGACACAUUUGAAGGAGAGAGUCUUUUGAUAUAAUUGAGGCAUUAAAGUUUAAGCACUCUAUCUAACUUAUAAUCUUUAUAAAAAAGAAUUUCACGGAGACCAACUCAAAUGUAUAAAUAGCUUAUACAUUCCAACAUAAAGCAACAGCUGAUGGGAAACUGUGACUUCAAGGAGUUUUGGGCUGAAAGAAGGGGAAAGUCCCAUUAUGGUUUUUAGUCGAAUAAACAUGUUGACAGAUUCACACAAAAUCGGGCGGUUCGUCUGAUUCGACGGUCUAACUCUCUGGUUAGAUGAUUCAAUGGCGAUUCAAACUCAGAACAGUCCAUUCCGGCGAAUCAGACCGAAGGUCGGACCGAUUUUAAAACUAUGCAUUCACCAACGAAUCUGAGAAAAUCAAAAUUAAUUUUUACAAGCCGAAUUCAUAAGAAGACGAGAAAGGGAGUCAUCUCUGAACAGUAGACACAGAAGAACUUUAUUGAAAUUGGUGUUGCUUUUUGAAAGAGACGAAGUCGGCCAGCUACUUGGAAAGUUUGACUGGACAAGACUUUGAGUUGAUUUGAUGGGAGGUGGAGCAGUUUAUUGGGACUUCAAAAAUAUUUUUCUCUUCCAACCGUCCUUAGAUUUAAAAUAUUUUUUAUCAAAAUAUUUAUUUAGAAUUUUUUUCUUAAUGGAAUCACUUAUUAAAUACUUAAAAAAAAUUAAUAAAAUUUCCUUAAAAGUUUAAACAUCAUAAGAUAUUUAAAUUUUUGAAUGACCAUGUUUCGUAUUUAUGCCCAUAAUAAUUUCAUAUUAAAUUAAAAUAAAAUAUUUUUAUUUUAGUUAUUAAAUAAUAAAUGAUAUUUAAAUUGAAUUUAUAAUUAAAUGAUUAGUAUCAAAUUUAUUUCUUUUUAAGAUAAACAAAACAAACUCUACUAAUACUAAUAGUAUUUUGAUCAAACCUGAAGCAAUGGUCAUUGUAAGUAUAUUUCCCACCAAAAUAAUAUAAAAGUAAACAAUAAUACCCUUAUUAACUAAGGACAAAAUAAAUUGGAGUUCAACUAUUUUUUUAUUUUAUCCAAAUUUACCAAAAGACAUAAUAACUCCAUUUUUUUUUCGAAUUUAAAGAUUCAAAUAUGACAAAUAUAUAAGAAUUUAUAUAAUUUAAAAUAAGAUAUAAAAAACAAUUUUUAAAAUUUUCUAUUAAUUUUUUUUACCUCAAAUAAGCACUUAAUUUUUUUUUAGAGCAUUUACUAUAAAAGAAUUUAAUUCUCACCUAAAUAGAAGUAAAAAAUAAUUAUUAUUAUUAUAAAUUAUUUAUCUAAAAUUAUAGUAUGAAAAUCUUAAUAAUUUUUUAUAUUGAUAUUAUUAUUUUAAAUUUUUAUUAUUAUUAUUAUUAUUAUUAUUAUUAUUAUUAUUAUUAUUAAUUUUAAUUCAAUUAAUUAAUUUAUAAAUUCCUAACUUAUGUGAAACUUUUAUUUUCUAAAUUUAUUUUUACGAAUCUUCUAUUUUCUUUAUUUAAUUAAACUAAAUUUCUUGGAAACCUAUUUCUUUUAUUAGUAGAACUAAACUUAUUACUAUUAUAAAUUUUAUUACAAUCAUUCAACAUGCUUAAUCCUAUUAGUAUUUUUAUUAUUCUUUAUUAUUACUAUUUCUAACACAUUCUUACUCACGCACAUUAUCAUGUAUCAAUCACUUUCCAUCCACUGUAAUUACGUAUCUCUUUCACUUUUCCUAUAGCUAUUUUUUUUUCUUUUUACUUUUUUUUUCUUAUUUUCAUAUUAAAUCCACCGCCAUUUUUUUGUCUAAACACCUACAAGCACGCGCAGAGUGGCCACCCAACCCAACUCAUUCCUUGCAUCAUCAUAUCAUAUGCACAUAAUGCAACGUCUCCUCAGAGGAUGAUGUUAAUUGUCAGUUGUCACUCAUCAUUUCAUACUUAAAUGCCAUUACAAAUAGAAUUAGUCCAAGAUCUUAUUGAAAAUCUAGUCUCUUCUAAAAGGGAGAAUUGUGUUUUGGGUCCAGCUGAGCCCAAAAAUUAAGAUAAGGUCUAUGUAAUUGACCUAAUUAAUGAUAAGGAUAUUAGAUGUUAACAGACGAAAAGACCCUUUACUUUUUCAACUCAAAUGGUUGUAAAUUAAUGGGUUUCACAACUGGUAAACUUGAAAUGUCAUGUCACCAGAGUGAAAAUUUUGAAUCUUCCUACCCCUUUCUCUCCCUUCGUAAACAACAUAUGCACAAACGAUGUCGACUAUGACUGUCCCCCAAUCGCUUUCUUCAACAGCCGAGGAUUGUGAGCAUUUCAGAAAAGCUUUUGUAAGUAUUUUAUCAUGAUCAUUCCCAAAUCCAAAUGACGGGGGUCUGAAUUAUUUGCUGAUAUUUUGAUUUGAUUAGGUUGAGGCGUUUAUAGGUAUUUUAUCAUCAUCGUCCAGAGUGAAUAAAUGGGUUUCGUCCAAACGGUGAGCUUUGGGGAAGAAUAUUGUUCGGUGAUGAUGCAAUUAAUCUGGAAUAGCUAUCCUUCGGAUCAAAAAUAUUUUGAAAGCAAAGAAGUUGGUCAACCUAACGAAACAGAGAAAAUGAAGAACUCCAAUGAAGAUAUAAACCGGCCACAACUGUGGUCGUGAUGAUGGCAGUGGCCCAACAACCUCGUGUGAAUAUGGAAAUAUGUUAAAUAGGGUAUAUGCCUUAUUGUUGGGUAAGUUUCCAUUUUAUAAAUUGAUGGCUUCCACCAACUGCUAUGUCCACCAAUUGACUACUCAUUGUUAGCAUAUCAAACAUCUAUGUAGUCCAUCAGCUUCAGUUUUAGUGGGUUGUGGGCCAUAUGGUGCACCAGUUGGACAAUGCAAAACCUCCGUUCUCUUUGAUGAGUCCAGACCUCUAAAAAGCCUCGAAUGUAACUAUUGUUCUGUGGCUGACAAACACUGGGCAAGGUGUAUAUGCAUAAGGUGUUGUGUUCCUUUGGAACAUUCUAGGUUAUUCCAUUUUUUACAUUUUUCCUUUUCGUUUUGUAUACCUUGACCUGGUUACAUGAUGCAUGCACAGUUAAUGCUACUUUUGGUCUUAUUGUCUUUCUAUGUGGCUGGAGACUUUUGUAAUCAGGCUUUAUAAGCUCUAGAGGCUUGGGGCUCAUAGAAACUAAUAUCAUGAGAUUAAUUUAGGAUCCACUCUCUCAGAAUCUCUCUUGCUCUUUGUGUUAGCUGUAAGUUCAUGACUAUUUCACAUUCUAUUAAAAAUUCUAUUAGCUAUCUUGAUUUUAUCAAAAUCAUUCUGCUUGAAUUCCUAAAUUUUCUUUUUGAAGAUUUUUCUUGUCUUAGCCCACUCCACCCAACUUUUCCUUUCUUGUUCUUUUGAUUAGUAUCUGAAACAAUUUUUAUUUCGUUGAUCAAUGUAUAUUCUUGCAACAAAUGAAUUAAAAAUUUAAUUUGUGCCCAAUUAGUUUGGUGUAAAUUUCAUCCACAUUUAUCUCAUGUAAUUUUAAUUGGAAAUAUUUGGUGUUUAUGGGAAUAAACAGGAAGCUUGAAAUUGCUAAUCAUUGGCAUUAAAUUGAAGCAGGUUUAGAAAUGAAAGUUCUGGAUCAGGAAAGAAUGGAUGAGAAGGAGAAUUGCGGACAGAAGAAAAUAAUGUCUCCCUGUUUGGCUCUGAAGAAUUGCUUGGAGGAGAAAAGGGUGACUACUCUAAAAGUCAGCCACAGUUAGAAGCAUUUUGGUCUUCUUUAGAGUUUCCUCGUAAAUUAUAGACAAUUGUUAAGCCUGGUGCCACAUGUGAUGUUUAAAAAGUUGUUCACUAGUUGAAUGGAACCCAUCUUUAGGCAUGUUUUUUAUUGAAUAAAAUAUAUGUUUGAAUAAUAAUUUGCCAUGCUUAACAUAUAAUCUUCUUCUGAAUUCUAGUUGGAAAGUUGGAAUUAGCUUCGAAUAGUUUCACAUUAAUGGACAAAUUGCUGUUUUUUUAAUUUUCUUGUAUUGUUAAAAAAGUAUAGGGAACAAAUUGAUACUUCAAUUUUUCCUUAUUUUAUUAACCAAAAGAUUGCAAACAUGAUUAACCUAUGCAUGAGCAGACAUUCAAUAGUGGUUGUAUGGAAUUUUUGUCUGUGUACAAGACAUUUACACUAAGUGUACAAGAUAUAUGUGCUUAAUGUACAAGGGUGUACAAAGGUACCUAUGUUGAAGUAUUUGCAAUCGUUUUAAAAUCAUGUCCAUUUUGAAAGGAUGAGGAACAUUCCCUCACACACAUUCCUUGAUCACGCACUCAUCCUGUUCAAUUUUAUUACUUCAUACAUGUUGAUUGGAUGACCAACCACAGUAAUGAUGAAUAGGAACCUAUAUUGGGUUUUACUUCCCCCUUUUCCCUUAGGCAUCACAUUGGAACAUGAUAGCUCACCCAUAUGCACGCUUUUAGUUUUAGGUAUGUCAAAUUUUUUCCAUUGUAUAAGACAUUUAAACUAAGUGUACAAUGCAAAUGUGCUAACUGUACAAGUGUGUACAAUGCUACCUAUGUUGAAGGAUUUCAAAUGGUUUUGAAUAAAUUGCUUGCUCAUUUAUUUUUUUUAAGGGGGACAUUCCUCAUAGUCAUUCCUCAUUUCCCUUCGUACACAUUCAUUGGAUGAGAUAACACACUUAUGAUGAAUAGGAACCUAAAUUGGGUUUCAUUUUCCCCCUUUUAAUUGAGCCAUGACAUUGGAAUGUGGUUAACCCGCCAAUAUGCACUAGUUCUAUUCUAGCUAGGUUGAAUUUUUGCAAUUGUACAAGGCAGUUACACCAAGUGUACAAGACCAAUUUACUAAAUGUACAUAGGUAUACAAGGGUGUCUAUCUUAGGGGAUUUCAAGUGAUUCUGAAGAACUUCCUAUCUUACUAUUUCCAAUCGUGGGGGACAUUUCUCGCACAUAUUGCUUGACAACACACUUAGUGCAUGCAUUUUAUUUGAUGUCUACUAUGUUAAUUCCUUCUAUUAGCUUCCCUAGUAAUGAUGAAUAUGAACCGAAAUUAGGGUAAAGUUUUUUUUCAUUUUCCUUAAUCCAUGAGAAUGGAAACAUUGGUUACCCACCCAUAUGCACUCGUUCGGUUGUGCCUAUGUGGGAUUUUGUGACUGUACAAGGCAUUUACACUAAGUGUACAGUGCAAAUGUGCUAACUGUACAACUGUGUACAAUGCUACCUAUGUUGAAGGAUUUCAAAUGCUUUUGAAAAAAUUGUUUGCUCAUUUUUUUUUCUAAGGGGGACAUUCCUCAUUUCCAUUUCUACACAUUCAUUGGAUGAGAUAGCGCGCUUGUGAUGAAUAGGAACCUAAAUUGUGUGUCAUUUUUCCCCUUUUCAAUGAGCCAUGACAUUGGAACGUGCUUAACCUGGCCAUAUGCACUAGUUCUGUUGUAUCUAGGUGGAAUUUCUGCAACUGUACAAGGCAUUUACACUAAGUGUACAAGGCCAAUGUACUAAAAGUACAAGGGUGUACAAAGGUGUCUAUCUUACUUUUUCAAAUCGUGGGGAACAUUUCUCACACAUAUUGCUUGAUAACACAUUCAUUACAUGCAUUUUAUUUGAUGUCUACCAUGUUAAUUCAUUCUAUUAGCUUCCUUAGUGAUGAUGAAUAUGAACCGAAAUUAGGGUAAACUUUUUUUGUCAUUUUCCCUAGUCCAUAGUAAUGGAAACAUUGGUUACCCACCCAUAUUCACUUGAAAAUAUGUACCUAUUAGGGAUUUGGUGACUGGACAAGGCAUUUACACUAAGUGUACAAAGCAAAUGUGCUAACUGUACAAGUGUGUACAAGGCUGCCUAUCUUGAAGGAUUUGAAAUGCUUUUGAAAAAAUUGCUUGCUCAUUUAUUUUUUCUAAGGGGGACAUUCCUCAUUUUCCUUUGUACACAUUCGUUGGAUGAGAUAGCACGCUUAUGAUGAAUAGGAACCUAAAUUUGGUGUCAUUUUUCCCCAACUCAGUGAGCCAUGACAUUGGAACGUGGUUAACUCGGCCAUAUGCACUAGUUCUGUUGUAUCGAGGUCAAAUUUCUACAACUGUACAAGGCAUUUACACUAAGUGUACAAGGUCAAUGUACUAAAAGUACAAGGGUGUACAUGGGUGUCUAUCUUACUUUUUCCAAUCGUGGGGAACAAUCCUCACACAUGUUGCUUGAUAACACACAAUUGCAUGCAUUUUAUUUAAUGUCUACCAUGUUCAUUCAUCCUAUUAGCUUCCCUAGUAAUGAUGCAUAUGAACCGAAAUUAGGGUAAAAUUUUUUUUCAUUUUCCCUAGUCCAUGGUAAUGGAAACAUUGGUUACCCACCCAUAUUCACUUGAAAAUAUGUACCUAUUAGGGAUUUGGUGAUUGGACAAGGCAUUUACACUAAGUGUACAAAGCAAAUGUGCUAACUGUACAAGUGUGUACAAGGCUGCCUAUCUUGAAGGAUUUGAAAUGCUUUUGAAAAAAUUGCUUGCUCAUUCCUCAACUGAAAUGAUAAUAACCUUUCAUUGAUUGAUAUCCACGUGGGCCCUCCUCAUGAUUGUCUUCAACCUGAUAAAGGGUAUGUGUUUUUUUUUUCCCUUAGUGAGAAAGCAAAUAAAGGCAUAAUAGAUAUAUGAGUGUGUUGGCUACUAAGUAGGUACUGGUUGGUGUUUGAUGAUGUUAAAAGCCUUUAUAAAGCAGCCUCUAGUAAGCACUGAUUUUGAGAUUUAAGUUCUUUUGAAUUUGAUCAUUUUUCCCUUUCUUUUCCAAGGUUUUUCUUUCCACCUUGGUUUUGUGAAGAAAGCUUGCAUUAUUGGAAUGAUUGUUAUUUAAUGUCGUUGCAGUUGCAAAUGACACAGCUAUUCACCAAAUCCCAACCUCUGUUUUGAAUCUGAGACAAGGUUAACAAUUCGUAUAGUUCAAGUUCUUCAUGGCCUUCUAGAGAGUGAGCAUGCAGCACAUGCAUAAGCAAACAAUAGGGCAAAAGCUCUUUCUGUUCAACUACAAUCCACACAAGGAAAACUUGAUUUACUUCAGCAACAAUUAACAUCAGUUUCUUUGAAUAAAACAGCAAUGGACGGUAAGCUCAACACUGCUUCCCAUGGAAAAUGUUUGAGAGUAGAUGACUUUGACCUGACUAUUGAAUCUGUUGAAGAUAUGGAUGGUAAUGAAAGAAUAACAAGAGAAAAUAAGAUGUCAACGAUCACAACUAGCCCUCUGAAGUUCACGCAGUCAGAAGAUGGUGUUUAAAUAUUUAAGGCCAACGAGGACAACAACAGCCAACAUACGAACCUAGAGGACUAUACAAAAUUCAUUGUGCUGAAACUUAUGAAAGAACUCACAAAACAUCAUUAUGGGGCUGAGCUGCUUCAGUUCAGGAAUCCCAACAAGAGAAACAUCUUGCUUUGUAUGAGAAACACGUGCUUUAAAAAUUGUAACCUGUCUAUAAUCUAACAAGAAUUGACUUGAUAGAUUAGCUUUUUAACCAAGUACUUAGUGCUGAAGAAGGUGUUUUGUGCUUGAACGGUGUCAUUCCCAUUAGUCCAAAAUUUUGGGAUGAUGAUCGCCAUUUUUCGAUGUGCUGAAUGAUUACUUUUAAGGUGUGGAGCUACUGCAUUCUGAGAAUGGUUAAUAAUAAUUUUUAAAAUCAUACAUAAUAAAUUUGAAAAUAAAGACUAAUAAUUUUCAAGUGAUUAUGGAUUAUUCUUGAGUUCCCCUUUUCUCUUGUCUGAACUUGCUAGUUCCCAAUACUAAAGUAGGAGUCCAGGGAUAAUUUCAACACAAAUAUUAACUAUAAGUCUCUGACAAACCUUAUUCUUAUUACCACCCAACUAACCUAAGGGCAAAGUGGGUUCUUAUUACCAAGCCAUGAGCAAUUUUGCCCACCAAAAAACCUAGGACAAAAAAGGGAAAAAGCCACACCAACAUGUAUGAUAACAAAUAAGAGCAACCAUACACUCUAUUAGGCAUAGACAUCUAGGUUAGUGUGGAGGUACUCUUCCACAACCUUGUACAUCCCCAUGGCCUUGUCUUUGCCGGUCUUGAUGUCCUCGUCCUUGAGCUCAAUAUUUGAGUGAUAAUGGCUAGUCAUCUUGCACAUAGAGCCUGAGCCCGAUGCCUUGAACUUUACCUCGUUUGAAAUGGCCUUGUUUUUACACUCUUAAUUGCCUAAAUUUCCUUUCUAAGAGGCUUCAUUUUCCAAUUCUAUUUCCUUUCACACCUUCAAUGGGAAUUUAGGAGACAACUUUUAGUAUUGUGUCUUAGUUUGAUUGAAGGUAAAAUUGAAACCCAUAACAACCCUGACUUGUUUGAACCCCAUGUCAGAAAAAGUAAAAAGAAAAACAACAAAGUGUAUAGAUUCUUCAAAUAGAUGUAUCUGUAAUUGAAACAAAACAGGUGGAACACACCCGUGAACUCACCAUUAACAUUACAAGCAACUAGAAUUAUUGCUGCCUUGAACUAGAUAUCAUAGAGAACACCAAAAGAAAAUAUCUAUAUAUAAAACAUAAAAUCUUUGAGUAAUCACAAUGCUACUUUCUAUUCCUAAUUUUCCGCUUCCCAUCUGUGGGAACUGGGUGCCUUCCAUUCCUGUGCUGUAGGGUCCCAACCCCAUUUGAUAGUUUCCAUGAUGGUGAAGGGCCCACGGUAGAAUUCAAAUUCCUGCAGGAAAAUUUUGAGAACAUUUUGUCAGUAUACAUGGGAACUUACUAGGUAACAAUAGUUGAAAUGAGAAAUAAAUCAGUUUGCAUUACCUUAGUUCUGGACUAUUUGCUGGCUUUGUAUUAGGUUUCUUGAUUUUUGACUCAAUCCCAUUAAUCAUGCAAAUUAUAUUUGCAUUAUUGAAUUGCCAAAGCAAAACGGCAUCAGAAGAAGCACUGAUGGCAGCAUCCUCAUGCAAAUCAUCAUUAUUAGCAAUGUCAUAACGAUUGUUUUCCAUGAAUAUGUUAUAUGAUUGAUCCGGGAAUAGCUUUGAAGAAUUUGAAAUAAGUUUUUGGUAGAAAGCAUCAGGCAAGUUCCUAUUCUCUGUUUCCCAACAUCCUAAAGGGUUUGGAACUCUAGGUACAACAUCUUGCUUAUUCACCAUAACCAUAUAUACCCACUAACUAGAGCCAAUGUCUUUGUCGUCCUCCAAAUAAUUUUGCACAUUACUAUUGACUGGAGGCCAAGGAGGUGAUUUCCCUAGUAACUCCUUAAGAUCAAAGCUUUGGUUCUUUUGCCUCAUCAUGGAAUUGCUGCGUGCCUACAUAAUCAGAACAUCAAACUUGAAUUCUGGUUUCACAAAGACUUGGAUGCAUAAUAAUCAGUCAACUAAAAUAAAGCCAUUGUUUGACAUCUACCUAGACCACAUCUAUGUGGAACCUAAUCAUACAUGAACUAGAAAUUACUUUUUAUGAAAAUUUCCAAUGAAUGUGAUAUAAUACAUAGUUUAUGAUCAUCUUCAAACUUAGGCAUGGCGUGUCAUGAUUAUCAAGAAAUAAAGGUUCCCUCACCAUCAUCAAUUUGCUAUCAUUCAAGUUUAAAUACACUUAUGUUAUUAUUCAAAGCUAAAUAUCAAUGAUUGGGGUAAAGAAAGAGGAAUAUCUCAUCAUGAUUAAAAAAAUAUUUACCUCGAUGUUGCUUGCAUCCCACAUUGGUUGCCUGCAACUAUUUUGAUCAUCUAACAUAUCUCCAGCCCGCUUGUUACAAUGAAAAGGUGAUAAAUCACUGGUUUUUGUUAUGUAUCUUUCAGAACUGUUUGUUUUGGUUCUCCUUUUUCCUUGCCAGAGCUGCCUUUAGAGUAGCAAUCUGAAAUAAUAGUUCAAAGUUUUCAGAAGAAUAAAUAAGAAUUGAGAAGAAUGAUAAAUAAUGAGAGCAUUCAGAACCUGUUCUUUCAGCUCUUUCACAUCUACACUAUCCUUGUUUACACGAGUAGCACUAAGUUCUACCGUGGCAAAUUGCUCUGCAAAUUUAACUGUGCUAAUUGUUUCUCCAUCCGCAUCCAGUUCAGGGCUAAUGUGAACAAACAUUAGUGUCUUAGCUUGCCCCCUUAAAGAGAAUUACAAUCUAAAAGCCAUAUUAUAAUUUUAAAAAUAAAAUUAAAGAAAACAGAAUCAAAUAUGAAGUUCAUACUCUGAAAAUACAUUAGUUUAUUCUUACCAAGUGAGUCUUGAAGAAGUUCUGUUAGUUUACUAUUCCUAUAAGGGACAUGUGGACUCUUCUGGGCAAGGGAAGAGAUGACAUCCCCUAGAGCAGAGAGAGAUCUGUUAAUAUGAUGUUCCUCCUUUAGUCUAUCUCCAGUGACCUCAGAUUUGUCUACUCUCCCACUGUCGGCCAGAUCAACAAGAUGCAUACAGCCAUGAAGAAUAGUUCCUGACAUCAAGUCUCUUCCCUGAACAUGAACAGUUAGGCAUAUGCAAGUUGAUUGAAAAUCAAGUGAGCAAAACCAAUAGAGAUUACUAAAAGAGUAUUCCUAGAUAAAUAUAUAAAGGAAUAUGAUCAUACCUAUGAGAGCAACUAUUAUGGUUUCAUAUGUUCACAAGUGGUAGAGAACCAGGGUUUUAAUUUCUAUGCAAUUUUGAAAAUUCAUUCUAAUAAUAUUUAAUUCUCCCUGUUUACUUACAAUGCAAUGACAAUCAACUUAAGUCAAAAAGCAGUCAAACUCCUACUAAUCCCAUAAUCCCAGUGUUCAUUUCCGCAUGUGGCACCAUAAAAAAACAUUUAAAGAAGUACGUUUGUCCACCAUAAAUUACAUACAAAUGUGCUAACUUUAUACAGUCUCGUCACAAAUUACAAUCCCCAUUAAUCCAUUCAGACACGGUCUUGGUGUGCAUUUUGUGCUGAAAACAACAUACUCCCCAUAAUCUUCAACCUAUAAUGUUUCAAUUUCCCCUGCAUUCAUUCAAGUUGAUAGCAACAAAUCAGCAAAUUAAUUAAUUAGGCUUUUGUAACUAUUUUAACAUUAAUGAGAUAGUCAUAGAUAAUUCCUCCUAUGUACCACAUCGAUUGAUUUGGAGAACCUGCCCAUUGACCACAACUCCAUGAAUUUCAUUACAAAAACUCCGCAAUCGUGCCUACGUCAAUAUCAUUAUCAAAACGUUAUUAAGUAUGGAAUUAUAAAUAAGAGAGGAACUUAAAAUAAGUUGCAAUCCAUUUUAACAUCAUCCCGGACUGCAAGGUCAAUACUCACUCAUUAGGUUGGAGAGGUACAUCAGGUGUUAGGAAAUUGAAUGUCCUCAAAUCAUAAGGUGAUACCUCUUUUUUUUUUGUGCAGCCAACCAUAGGACAACCUUAGCCUGAAACAUUUAUUAACACAACAAUUGAAAUUUUUAUGGGAAGACAUACUUAACAAAUUAUUAGUUGUUACUUGUUACUUUACCAAAUUUUGUUGAAUUCCACUCAAAGUUGUCUUCUUCCUACCAGGACAAGAAUCUAGCAAUUGGAUUCUCUUGUUUGAUAGGUCAUAUAUGCACAGUGUCCAAUGGUUCUUUAUGAGAACCGGUAAGAAGACCUACACCAAUAGACUGCCAUUAAACAUACAUUUAAAUAUUGUACCUUCAUGCAAUAAAAAUACAAAUCCAAGCAUUAAACACAGGAAUCCACCUUGUUAACAUUGACAUAUGGAAUAUCCAUCUGAUACACAUGUGGUUCAAAGCGUCCUAUAACUGCCUCCCUCACUAAGUGUUUUGCCUAGGAGUGGAUUACCAUUUCCUGCAUAUCAAAUAGGGGAUAACAUCAGGUUUGUCAUUGUAGGUAAUGCCUGGUUCAAGACAUGAAAUAAAGUUAAGCAAUGAUUUAAUGGAAUAGUCAUCAUUACAGCUAUGUAGGGGGAUAGAAACAGUUUCGUCUUCGGUUUAUGUUCAUACUGCAACAAUCUACAGUAGGCAUCGACGACCUGAUUUUGUAGAUCAUAAAAGUGUAAGCAACUAAUUAUAUUAAAGCCACACUUUCACUUUCAAACUUAAAAUAAUGCAUAAAGAGGGAUAAGAAGUCAUAUGCACGUCGUUCCCUAUCCAACCAUUCCCUUCGAAACAGCCCAAAUUGCCUCUGGUUAGGAUAGUGUCAUGCAUAGACACUAGUUCCUCACUAUUGCAAACACAUACAAUUUAGUUUUUGUGUUAUCACUAUCAUACAAUGAGAUGAGUGUCUCUGAAGUAUGUUACCUAGCAUCCAAAUCCUCUCUAAAUACCAGUGCAGCUGCUUGUUUUAAGUCCAUUCUGAUGGCAGAUUGUUUAGUUUGUGGUUGGGAUAUGUAUGGGGACAACAGGUUUGGAGCCAUUCAACGCACUCGUCGUCUCUAGACGUUCCUAUUUGUGGGGACAACAUUACCUUUUGGUUCUUCUUCACCAUCUGCAAUACGAGAUUUAGAACUAGUCAGCAAAGGUAUACAUUAUGAUUGAGUACUUGAGUUGUUAACCAUAUGGGUGUUUGCAUAAAUUUUAUCACUUACCGCUUACUACAUUAAUGGGUACACUGGGCUGCAACUCAAACUCAGGGGCAACAACGCGAUCUGGUGUGUCUAUCACAUGGUCUGCAGCAUGUGAAGCCAUGUACUCAUCACCAAGAAAUGCAUGGUCAUCGACUGUGGGAGUGUUGGCUGGUGCAUCGCCAGAGUGACCACCAGCAUCUGAAUUUACCCCACUAUGUCUUCGAGCCCCUAACUUAUGCAUAAGGCCACGCAUUAUUCUCAGCUGCUACUGAAUGCCCCAUUGAUAUUGGUCGAUUGCUCGUUCCGCAUCAUGAUAUUGAUGUCAUUUUUCCUAUCACAUGAUAUUGAUGUCAAUCUUUGAGCACAAAAUAUCACAACAACAUAUUUCUUUAUAGUUAAGAAUCAAAAAUAAAUUACAAUGACAAUGAAAUGAACAUUUAUUAAUUUUUUUAAAAAUUAACAGCUUACAUCACUAUUUUCAGCAUCAACAUUUGUGUCAUGGUCCACAUUAGUCUCUACCUCCAUAGUUCUUUCUACAGUUGGAGAUCUCUAGGACGCCUAUAAUUAGCAUUGAAGAUUAGUAAUUAAAUAAUGAGUGUUAUGCUAGUAAUGACAAUAUAUUUAUGCAUGCAUCACUUACAAAAUCAACCUCAGCAUGUCCGAAUGCUCCAAACUCCUUUAUCUUAACGACUAGUCGCCGCUUAAUCAAAUCAUCAGUCCAUGUCAAUGCUAGGGGCACUAUAAUGGGGACUUGAACUGAAGGAAUUUGGAAUUUAAUGACAUAAUGCAGCUGCAUAAUAAAUACAAACAUCAGUAGGCAAAUGUUACUUAGUUGUGCAAUAAAAUUAUAUAAAAAAAUGGAAGACAAAUACUGAAUAAGUUCAUUACCUGUAGAAAUAAAACACAGCCAUGUACCCAAGAGGUGUUAGACUGUUGGUAUCGCCUAAUUCCCUUAACCAGUUGGUCAAGCACAAACUAGGCCCAAUUAACGUCAUUUCAGAAUCCAUCCUCAUGGAUGGUAUGCCACAAGUUACGGCAACCAUUGAGCCUAGACGUGGGGGCCAACAAUGUGGCACAUGCGUAGUAAAUGAAUGCUCUACGAAACUCCUCGCCUACAGGUAAGUUCAGGAGUUUCUCCUUGCAUGCCCGAAUAGUCCUAAAUGGAUGCUCUGAUGAUGUAAAGGUCACCUGCAGAAUCCGCCCUUCUGUUGGGAGGCCGAAAAUGAGGCCAACAUUGAUGGCUGUAACAGGAUAGUGUUUCUAAGCUGAGAACUCUAUCCGUCUAAAUCCAACAUUGAAAUGUUGGAUUAGAAAGAUACAGAUGUUGUGGCGCACCUCUGUGCAAUUUAAGUUUAAGAGACCUCCAAAUUGGAGGUCUCUUAUGGCUUGUAUUUUUUCCUCUGGUAAACGGUUGCAGAGUUUCUUAAAUCGUGCAGUUGAGCAUCGUGUAAACAUUGAUGGGCCCUGCAUGCAAUGUUUGACAACAUGGCCAUGUUAGGAAUAGCAACAUCAUUGCAGUUGGUAAUGCAAAAAAUAAGUGAAAAAGUAAAGAUGUCAUUUCUCAUAGUUACAAAGACUUGUUUGCUUGUAUUUAGAAAUAAUAUACAGCAGGGUAAGACAUGAGAUGGGGUUAGGUGCUAUUGACAGUGAGAUAUCCUAUAAGAGAGAGGAUUGUUAGUUUAUGAAUAAGCUUAUAUAGAAUAGACAAUAACAGUAAAACUGUACAGAAUAGACUAUAAAAGUACAAAAAUAAAUAUGGGAAUAUUACAUGAUAUAUAAAAGAAGGAAAUCAAGUCAAUUUAUGGAAAUAAAUUGACUAAUUCUAUUAGAGAAAGAAACCAUAAACAAAUCAAUGAAUAAUCCUAUUUAAUUCCCAUUUAGAUUGUAAGACAACUUGAUAGAACCAAAAUCAUUGGUAAUGAAUUUGUGAUCUUCAACAACAAUGAACAAAUGGAGUAAACAGAAAAUGCUAUGGAAAAGUAGAUUUCUUUCAUUGCCUUAACAUGGUUACAAUAAAAUGCUUGAGAAGGUGGAAAUAAAAGCUCACUAACUCAAAGGCCUUUUCUUCGUAUUCCCUCGCACACACUAGGUUUUGUGUCAGGAAUAAUCUUUGCAAUAAUUGUAUUCCCCCAAGUGUUUUCCACUAUACCUAACAACAUACUGGUUGCUAAGGGCCUUGCAUUCAUGGAUGUGAGCAAGGAAAAAAACUUAAAGAGAUCUCUUUGUUUUCCCUGUUCUUUUCAUUCUUCUGGCUAUUUAAAAGGGGUCUAACCUGCUCCUUUUGAUACUUCUGACAGACACAAAAUCUUGAGGAACUACUAGAGCAAGCACUUUGCUAUUGCCAUUGAACAUGGACAAGGUUUGGAAUCCAAGCUUCCGUUGAGAGUAUUCCCACAUGGUAAUUACUAUCAUUGAAUAAUUGUACACUAUCUUCUAAUACCAUGAAUCAUGUGUUCGGCCGAAGUUAAUUCAUACCUAAGUUGUUAGCUGAGUGAGGAUCCAUGGGAAAAUAAAUGAAAACUAGGACUCUAAAUCUAAACUUCUGAAAGUUUUGAGGCUUGAAUCUGAUUCACUGGGCAUAAUAAUCUAAAAUUUGCAAAAUAGAGGAAGUGGUCAUUUCAAAUUAGGUACUGAUACAAUAUGAACUGCUACUACAUAAUUUUUUGUAGAAUAGUAAACAAAGAGUAUCUUUGCCCUUGAAAACAAGAAUAAAUAAGGUGAAUCCAUGAGUCUUGGAGAAUUAAAUGAAUGAAGAGGAGUUUGGAAACCAUAAACUCCAACUGGUAGAUGGCCAAUACAACAAGAACAUCAACUAAGGUAAUAAACAUCAAACAUAGUUUCAAGUAGAGGUUAUGACACUGCUUGUUACACUUGAAACUUCAUCAGCAGUUCUCCUUCAUUACCACAACAGUUUAACUAGCAUUAAGUUAUGUUUUAUGCCAAUGCAUCAGUCUUAAAACCAAAACAUAGUUCACAACAUACACUUAUAAUAUCCUGCUUAAUUACAAGUUUUUUGUUUGCCUAAGAAAUCAAAAUUUUAAUAUCAGGCAGGACUCGACUAGAGUUUCAACAGCUUGGUUGCAUACCCAUUUACAGAUGCCAAAUUAUUAGAUAUUUGAGAAUAUUCUGAGGCUUUAAUUUCAAGACUUAAACUUCAAGAAUUACAAAAAUCUUUAGAGAGAGAGGACUUAAUUAUUUGGACAAUAUUUACAACAACAAUAAUAAUCAUCAUCAUCAUGAAGAUUGAUGUUUCAGUUCUAAUGUUUCAGUCAGUUCAUGCACCAAAUCUUCUAUCAAUUUCACAUGGAGCCGACCUAUUCAUCCACAUUCACAUUUGGUUGAGCGAGAUAUUGGUCCAACACAUUAAAAUACUGCCCCAAAAGGAGAAUUUCUGCCUUAUCGCCCUGGAAUCCCAACUAUUUAAUUGAAUUUUUUUUGAGGUACAAGUCAAGAAAACUUCUGCAAGGGAUUACAAUCAUAUGUGCCAGAUUUUCACAGAGAGCACCAUUUCAUAUGUUUUAAAGGCUGGAUAUACAGUUGAGAGAAUUAGAGUGCGUUUGGAAAUGUUUUUUCUCGAAGUGUAAUUAAAUAAAAAGUUUUCCUUUCUCAUAGAUUAAAAACAUAAAAUAUGAAAUUUUUGAUAAAAUGGAAACCACUAUUUGGGGUGGGUAAGAAUAGCUAAGAGAUUGUAUGCAACAAAAAUCAUGAAGUUAGCUCAAAAUGGGAAUGAAAUUUUUAUUCCAUUAUAGAGUAUUAAGUGCAACCAAAUAUUGAAAUGAAUCUUUGUUAAGAUUUUCUAGAUACCAUUCCAUUCUUAGCAAAGGAACAGUCUUAUUAAUUCUAAAGUAAGUGUUAAGUACCUAAAGGAGAACAAAAAUAAUAUAAAAGAAAAAAAUUUUAAGAAAAUAAAUUGUAAACAUUUAUUUAUCUUCUUUUCCUUGAUUUUCUUAGCAAUCAAAUAAGAAAACAAUUUUAUAAAGUUAGAAAUAGAAAAUAUGAAAUUAAUAAAAUUGAAAACAUUAUUUAGAGGUGGAAUGAGAAAAACUUAGAGAUGUUGAUGAAAUAAAAAUAAUGAAUUAAAUUAACAUAAAAUUGGAAUGAAAUGUUCAUUGCAAUUCAACUUAUUAAAGUACAACAAAUAUUAGAAUGAAUAUUCAUUACCAUUCUAUAACUAGGAAACAAACACAAGACGAACUGAAUGCCUCAAGCAACAUCAACUAUCCAUUAGUUUGAUUUCCAGAAACUAGAAAUCCAAGAUUCACCUAGGAAAGUGUAAGAAGUGAUCUGAAGUAAAUAGAAAUCUUUAGUGCCAGUUAGAAAGUGAGGCUACUAGAUUAGCAGUAAUCUCUAUAUCUGAGCAGCUCUUGACAGUGAACCGAAGUUGAGCGUAAAAAAUAACUCUUGGUCCGUAUAGAAAAUCAAAUUUCAUUUUUUCACUCAAAUAAGCUAAACAAAGGCCAAAGAGGAAAAUAAACACAAUCAAAUUUCAUUCAUUUGGAGAUUUAAAAUUUGGGGAAAGAGACUCACUUCCUAGGGUUAUUUAUCAUUAGUCUCUGACAUGCAAUUUUGAUUCGAGUAUGGCAAGGAUUUCGGUGAGCGAGUUGGUUGUUCAUCAGCAAUCUAGUUGCUGACUCAGCUCCUAAGGUUUUAUGCCUUUGGAAGAAGAGUUCAAUGGCCAUCACUAGCAACGUCUCUCAACAUUGAGGGUUGAAAAGAGUGAAUAGAAGAAAAAUGUCAAACAAUUAGUAAGAAAACAAAAUCACAAGUCAUUUGAAGAUUCUCACCAGUGGGUUCUUAAUAGUUUAAAGUAAGGAAGUGGCUCUUAGUGGGUUAUUGGCUAAAACUGGGGCUACCUAGUAAAACCUGUUGAACCGAUUCCAAACCGGUUCAACCGAUUGAGAAAAAUUCUAAAAUUUAACAAAAGAUUCCUCGAAGAAUAAGGAAUCCAACAAAACAAAAAAAACAGCGCUCAAUUUCGAGCUUGGAUGAGGGAGAACCGGUCAAAACAAUGCAAUGUGUUUAUAAAACGGGGCUGCUUAGCAAAACCUGUUUAACCGGUUCCCAAACGGUCCAACCGAUUGAGAAAAAUUCUAAAAAUUUACCAGAAGAUUCCUCGAAGAAUAAAUAAUCCAACAAAAAAACGACACUCAAUUCUGAGCUCGAAUGAGGGAGAAUCGACUAAAACAAUGCAAUGUGUUUAUAAAACGAGGCUGCCUAGCAGAACCUAUUGAACUGGCUCCCAACCGAUUCAACUGAUUGAGAAAAUUUUUGAAACUUUACUAGAAGAUUCCUCGAAGAAUAAGGAAUCCAAAAAAAAAUGAAUCUCAAUUCCGAGCCUGGAUGGGGGAGAACCGGCCGAAACAAUGCAAUGUGUUUAUAAAAUGGGGUUGCCUAGCAGAACCUGCUGAAUCGGUUCCCAACCAGUACAAUCAAUUAAGAAAAAUUAUGAAACUUUACCAAUAGAUUCCUAAAAAGAAUAAGGAAUCCAACAAAAAAAACGACGCUCAAUUCCAAGCCCGGAUGAGGGAGAAUCGGCUGAAACAAUGCAAUGUGUUUAUAAAAUGGGGUUGCCUAGCAGAACCUAUUGAACCGGUUCCUAACCGGUACAACCGAUUGAGAAAAAUUCUGAAACUUUACAAGUAGAUUCUCAACCGACAAAACAGCCUCCAUACCAUACACUAAAGAGUAAGGUGUAGCUCCUAUGGAGGUGCGAAAAGAGGUACAGUAUGCCCACAAUGCAAAAGGAAGUUUCUCUGACUAAUCUCGAGAAGUUUCAGUCAUCAUCCUGAAAAUUCUCUUAAUAUUCUUAUUCGCAGCCUCUACUGCCCUGUUGGUCUGUGGCCUAUAUGCUGAAGAUCUAUGAUGUCGGAUGUCAUACUUUUGCAACAAAGUAUCUACCUCAACUGGGAAGUGCACCCCUCUAUCUGAAAUUAAUUCAUGGGGAACCCCAUAGCGGCAAAUGAUGUGUGACCUGAUGAAACUAGCAACCCUAGCAAAUGUCAAAGAAUAAGGAAUCCAAAAAAAAAAAAAAAAAAACGGCGCUCAAUUCCGAGCUCGGAUGAGGGAGAACCGGCCAAAACAAUGCAAUGUGUUCCUUGUAGAAGGCCAAACCCGAACCACCCAACCUUAUUAAAACUAAGGCCACGGAUCUCAUUAAACAACCAACAAUGCAGCCUCCCUGAACUCAAGAAACCCAACUGGAAAUUCAGCCACACAGACAUCCACAUGCGGCCACCUAAAUCUCCUGAAACCAAACUGAAAUUUCAUUCACUUGAAGCCUUCCACCUACAGCUACUUAAAUCCCAUGGAACAAACUGAAAUUUCAGCCUCCUAUAGCCUAUGAAUCCAGUUGAAAUUCAGCCACCUAUAGCCCCCUCUCCCCAAUACAACUACUGGAAUCACCAAGAAGCAAACCGAAAUUUCAGCCACAUGGGGCCUCUACAUAUAGCCACAAGACCCAGGGUUUAAGUCCAGAUUAUUGAUGGGUAGCCCCAAAUUUAAAAAACAGAGAAGGUCAUGGAGACCCUUUCUCAAUACAAAGCAAAGGAGGUUUCAAGAAAAACCAAGUGGCAGAAAUGCCCAUACCAACAUAGCCACCUGAAUCUAGCAUUUAAGAAGUUCCUCAAUCCAAAGCUACAAGGCCAUAAGAAUCCUUCCCUUAACAAUCAAAAGGUCACAAUGACCUUCAACCAAAACCAAAACUAAUGAAGGCAGUGACCCUAUUACUCACACAUCAAAAGUAGGUCACACACCCCCCAAUUCUUUAUCAGAACCAACCCAAAAUGAGACAUCCACAACUAACAUAAAAAAUGAAACAUGCAAUAGUUACAUAUCAAGAGCAUCCAUAAAGCUUACCAGAUUGUUCUCCCCUCAAGCAGAAAUUUGCUUGGCUUCAAGGCCGUCUUUCCUUCAAGUUCUCACCAAUCAAGAGCUCCUUACUCUCUUCCCUCUUUGCUCACUUCACGUGCACCCAAAACUUUCUUAAAUGCUCAAAACCUUCUCCACACUCUGUUCUUUUCCCUCACCAAACUUGGACAAAGUUUUGUCCCUUAGAAAAAAAUGCAAAGGAAAAGGUCCUUCUCUAUUUCCAUUUUGCCUUUUUAUACCAGAACCCCUGCUCCUCCCACUUCCACCUUCGUUUUUCCCUCUUUUAGCUCUGGAAAGUGCCCCCAUCAACCUCGGAAUCCAUCUCCAUAAACACUCCUCACAGUCACGAGGUGAGCUGUUCUCUCCACAUUUACUCCAUUGCUUCACCACCAAGAAUCCAUAUGGAUUCAUGGUGGGCUAUAAGGAACCUAAACCAAGGCUCAAAAUGGACCCAAAAUAUUUCCCAAGACCGAUUUGGAGCUUAUGGGCCCUAGUCAUGUAGGAUUUGGGCCCCAAAAUCAGUGCUCUAUACAAGUUGGCCCAACGAAUUGGUUGAACCAGUUGAUAAAAAAAUUGAAAUUUUGACAGAAUAUUCCUUGAAGAACAAGGAGUCCAUAAAAAAAAUGGUGUGUGAUUCUGAGUUCGGAUGAGGAAGAUAUGAUCGAAACAAGCUCAAGUGCUCCGUAUUCGAACCUGCUCCUAUGAACUCUGGCUAAACUAAAGAUUUGGGGAGAUCUCACUUCCUUCUUUUAGCAUGAUGUGAAAAACUAAGGAAUUGGUCAUGACAACACUCCAAAAUGAACUACACACUCACACUACAUUGGANNNNNNNNNNNNNNNNNNNNNNNNNNNNNNNNNNNNNNNNNNNNNNNNNNNNNNNNNNNNNNNNNNNNNNNNNNNNNNNNNNNNNNNNNNNNNNNNNNNNUGACAACACUCCAAAAUGAACUACACACUCACACUACAUUGGACCGCAGAUGAACCUACACAAGGCUCGAAAAUCGAUCAAGCCCAAAAGGGGGUCAUGGUGGUGCCAUAAGGAAAAAAUUGGGUGCAUGUGACAUCCCUAAGAUAAAUGCAAGUGUCGAAGGACAAAAUUGAGGGUCUACAGUAUUACAUUUUUCAAAGAGAUUAUGGAUGUCAUGGAAAACUCUUUAAAGAUCUCAAAUUUAUCAAAUAAUCAAUGGCUCGAUGAUAAUACACUGUUGUUGAUUCCAAGAUUUUCAAAUCCGAGUGGGCUGAUGGUGACUCACAAAACUGUUCUUCAAUUCUGUGGUUCAAAUUAGUGGACUUCUUUAAACCACCUUUCAAAUUGGACAGUUGCAUAGAGGACAAAACUGCUUUUGAUGGAUUUAAAGCUCUUCAAAUCCAUGAACUUCAAAGGUUUUUAGAUUCGUCCUCAAAGCCUAUAUAAGGCCCCUAUUUCUCUUUAGAAGGCAUCAACAUUUUAGUAGGAAAAUUGAGAGCAAACAAGUGAGAUAUCCUCUUGAGUGAAUGACCUUGUAAUUGAGAAAACUCAAAACUCUCAAAGUGUUUGUAAGGCAAUGUUUGGGCCUCAAAUGAAAUGGUAGCAAGGGAGAAAAUCAGGAAAGAGAAAAACAACCAAUGUCUAGGGCUAAAACCAAAUGCUUUGGAGGUAGUAAAAUUAGGGUAGGAUACGUGGAAUUCCAACUUAGAUUUUUGUGAUUUUGUUUUUUCAUAAUCAGUAAAGGCCAUUUUCGAAAAUAUUAAAAAUUCAUAUUCUUCUUCUCAAUUUUGACACUUCCUUUAGGUCUUAGGCUUAAAUGACGAGAACUUAUAUGGACCAAAGAUUAAUUUUUGGGCCUAGCUGGAUCCAAAACACAAUUCUCCCUAUAUUAUGUACACCUGAAACAUUUUUCAAAUUAAUUUUAUGAACUAAUUUUGAAAUAUAUCUUCAUAGCAUCUACACAAAGCAUAUAUAUUGUGUAUGUACUAUUAAUAAAAAUUUGUUUACAUGAAAUUAAAAAUAAUCAUGUUUUAAAAUAAAUAAAAAAAUUAUAUAUGAAAACCUAAGAAUAUACUAUUAUUUCAAUAGAGAUAAAAUUGUUAAAAUACUAAUAAAUUAAAUAUCUUAAAUUGAUAAAUUAUAUGAAUAAAUAAGAAAAGAAAAAAAAAAUAUAAAAAAACAACAUGCAAACAUGUGAAACUAAAAAGUUCAAAGGCAUGAAAUUCAAUAUGGCAAAAAUUCAAAAAAAUGGAACCACAUUUGCAUUUUUAACUUCAUACAUUUACAUUUAUUUUAUUUUAUUUUAAGUUUGUCUUAUUUAUAUGUUAUACAACUCUAUUAUUUUUAAAUUAUUAAUUUAUUGAUAAAUAAAAUAGUAAUUAUUAUUAUUAUCAAUUUAUUUUUGUUUAAGUAAUACUAGAUCCUUAAGUUUACAUGUAUAAUAUUUUUAUCAUUAAAGUAUAUAUUUUUAAUUUCAAUAAUAAUUUUUAAAAGCACUGAAACUUCAAUAGUGAAGUCUUAUUUGGCAAUUACAACAUUAUAAAAAUGAAUUCACAUCUGGCAAUUGAGGUUUUAACUUAAAUUUUUUUUAUAAAAAUGAUAACAUGGGUCCUCCAUGUCAACAAAAGGGGCAUUUUAGACAAAAGUUUAGGAAAGUGGUUAAAAUAAAAUUUUCCCCAUAAUAGGGCUAUUUUGGCCCAAAACACUUCAGAAAAAAAAAAAAAACUCCUAAAGUUUUUGUUCCUUUCUCAUUCUCAUUAAUGUCUAAUAUUGGAGCGAAAACAAAUGAUUAUUAAAACCUUAUAGUCCUAGGUACAUUCAAGCACAAGAAUCAAAAUCAUCAAAUCCAUUCCUAUUAAAAAAAAAUUGGGAUGAAAACAUAAUAUUGAUUCUCUUUCCCCAUUUUUAUGUACCAAACAUGGCCUAAACAUGUGAGAUAAAGAAAAUGAUCAAGCUUCUUUAUUAUACAUGCUUUCUUAAAAGAAAAAAAAAAAGUAGGCAUUAAUUUUAUGCAUUGGUAAUGAUCAAAUUGAACCUAAAUAAAUCAAGUUUUAGGCAAACAUCUAAAUAAACUUGACUUUAUUAGCACAAACAUGAAAAUAUUUAAUAUGGGUUUAUAUAUCCAUGUGUAACAUGAUUGAAUUCUAUUCAAAUGUGUAAAAAUAAAUAAUUAAAUAAUUACAUACCUUUUUUUCCGACUUUGCUCAUGCCAUUAAGAUUUUUCACCCACGAAAAACAACCUAUAUUACAAAAAAUGAAACAAGAUGAGCAACAUUUUUAAUGCUAAAGCAAAUGUUAAAAUUAUAAAAUUAUUAUCAUUGGACACAUACUUUUUUAAACAUAUGAGCAAGCUAAUUGAAAAUAAUAAAUAUAAAAAACAAAGAUUUUUUAUAAUGCUUAUAAAUAAGUUAAAACAACAAAUAAAAAAAAUAUUAAUAUACUAAAAAAUCCAAGUUUAUGAAAGGUAUUAAGAAUCCAGUGUAUAAGUUGAACAAUUAAAUAGGAAUUUAAAAUUAAAAUAUUAUACCUUAAAUUGGAAAUAGCUAGAUACUUGGUGUUUAUCAGAAUCUUAUCUCUACCCUAUACAGAUCAUAAACAAAUUAAAGAAAAAAAAUAAAAUUAGAAGGAAAAAUAUACUAUAAGGCAUAUUUAUUUCGAGCCCAUCGAAAUACUGAGAGCAACCACUUUACAAAAUUGUAUUCAUGUCAUGUAACUCACUGUUUUUUCUCAAAAAAAGUUUUUUUUUUUUAUGAAAAAAAAAAAAAACAUACCUAAACUGUUGAUUGUCUUGAAGUAAUUCAAAGAAUAGCCCUCGAUGUAUCAUAAAUUCACAUUAAACCACAAAAUCAAAAGAUUGUAAAGCUAAGAAUAUAUAUACCUCCAGGGGAAGGAGCCAUUGAUGUUGAAAGCUUGUUCUUCAAAAGAGCUUUAAGAUGUGAUUGUAAAGCUAAGAAUAUAAAUUCACACUAAACGACCUUUCUCUGCAUCCAAUGUUUUGAUCCCCUCUCAAACAUUAACGCUAACCACUACCUCGGUAUAUGCUUCGGAUUUUUUCCAAGAAAGAAUGAAAGAGAGAUGCUUCUGAGAGGAGAGAGAGAGGACACAUUUGUAAAGUGGACGUAAUACAACCUCUACCAUUAUGGGAAAUGACACAUUUGUAGUAUCGGGGUUUGUGGUAUUGGAACUUUCAGAUAAGGAAUUUGAAAAUUUUUAAAUAUAUAAUUAAAAAAAAAAUAGUCGAAUAAGAAAGUCCUUUCAAUAUGAUCUUUAUGAAUAAUAAAGAAAUGUUUGCAUGAAGAUCAACUCAAUAUGAUCCGUAUGUUCUAAUUAAUUUUCUUUUUCUUUUUUUUUUUUCAUAUUAAUUUUAUUAUUAAUUCUACCACCAAUCCUGAGAAGAUCAAAAUUAAUUCCUACAAGCCUAAAUCAUUGAAAGACCUUUUCUCGAGAAAAGAGAGUUCAGAGAUAUUUAUGAACCGAGAGUGGAUACAGAAGACCCUUAUUGAAUGUAGGGUUUCUUUGAAAAGAGACGAAGUCGGUCAACAUCUCUGAAAAGUCUGAAUGGAGAGGACUCUGAGUUGAGUUGAUGGGGCAGCGGACCAGUUUAUUGGGACUUUAACAGAGAUAUUUUCUCUCUAUGACGCUGCCCUUUGAGCUGUCUCCACUUGCAACUUUUCUUUUGUACCAGACCAUCCUAACAAACAAAAAUUUAAAUUUAUAAAAUAUAACUAUUUAAAAUUAAUUAAUAAUUUACAUUUUUUAAUUAAAAUUACUACUUUUAAUGUUUAAUAACAGUUUUUUAAUGAUAUAAGUAUUAUUUUUUAUUAUAAUAAAUACUAUUUUUAAUUGAGGAGUAUAUAAAAUUUGAAUUAUUUAAAAAAAUUUUCUAUUUUAUAAAUAUUUUUAUAUAAAUACAUCAAAACUUUUUUUUAUUUUUUCAAAUGAAUAUAUAUACAUAUAUAUAUAUAUUUUUUAUUUUUUCAAAUGAAUAUAUAUACAUAUAUAUAUAUAUAUAUAUAUAUAUAUAUAUAUAUAUAUAUAUAUAUAUAUAUAUAUAAUUGAUUCUUUAAAAUAUUUUAGACAUUUUAAAAUUUUAUCCAAUUCCUUUUUAUAAAAAACCAUUUUUUAACAUUGAGGUCAUUUCCAAAACUACCCUCAAAUGUUAUUUCAUAUGUAAAACCAAUUCAAUCUUAUUUUAUGUAUUAAUUUUAUUUUAUGAGUUCAAAUAAUAAUAGCAUAAUAAUAUAUAUUAAGCUACAAUACUAAAAUAUUUUAAUUAACAUUAAUAUUUUAACAUUUUGGAUUGGAAAUGCUCUAAUGAAAGAUAUUUUGCUGCCCAUUGCAUUAAAACAAGCAUUUGACAAAACAUUUUAUCUUACAUAUUGGCACAACAAAAUUUCAUUAUAAAUCUACAAAAUAAUCCAUCACAAUGAAUAUGCAAACAUUUUCACCAUGAUUUCCAACCAUGUUUCCCUAUGAUCACUACUAUUUACGAGGAAAGAUUUAAAACUUGUUUGUCAAAAUUGAUUUAUUAAUUAUAGUUUUAAUUAAUAAUUAAUCAAUUAUUAAUUUAUUUUUUUUGUUAUAAAAAUUAUACUUCAAGGAUUUUAUUACAUGUUCAUGGUUUUACACUAUUCUAAAUAAAUCAAAAUUUAGGUAAAAUAAAUUCAUUUUUCUUAAGAUUUAAAUUAAAUACAAAUGCAGCUUAAAAUUCCACCCAUUACCUCCCUUAAAAUACUAUAACUAUUCAAGUUAUACACUACAAUCAAACAUAUUACAAAAAAAAAAAAAAAUCAUUAGUCAGAUUAAUUCAAGAGGUAGUGUAAAGCAUAGUAUGUUAAUUUUGACCAAGUGUUGCAUCCAAUUCUUAUACAAAAGUCUAUAUAUUACAAGAAAUUAAAGUGAGAAAAGGAUUAAAAGUUUAAAAACAUGGGAAUGAUAAACCCCAAGUAAAUAUCUAUUUGAAACCUUGUCAAAAUUUGCCUCAAGUUGACUUUUGAAUUAACUUUACUAUUAUAAUCACUACUACAAAAAUAAUAUAUGAUGUUACUAUUUAUGGUGUCGCAUUUAAAAUAAUGACACCAUUGAACUUAAAAUUUAUAAAGGUGACACAUCAUAUAAAAAAUCUUCAAUUAGGAUAGUUAGAUGAUGCUAAUUUCAGAUUUACGGUGUCAUUUUUUGGAAGUGACACCAUAUGAAAUAAAAAGUUUUAAAUUUUAUAACUCAAUGGGCCCUUUUUAAAAAUAGUGAGUAGGAACAAUUUAUGAAAAGUCCAUUGUUUCCAUAUAUACAUUAACUAAUAUAAAAGAUCUUGUUGCUUAACCCUAACCAUCGUUUUCUUCUCUUUCUUCUCACACCCAUGGUCGGCACACCCAUAAUUGAUAUUCUUUGCUUCGUAAAAUCUCGUGUAAGUCAAAUCUCUUAUCUAUCAUCUUCAUUUUUUUUUAUUAAUGCAAAAACUUUGUAGUAUAANNNNNNNNNNNNNNNNNNNNNNNNNNNNNNNNNNNNNNNNNNNNNNNNNNNNNNNNNNNNNNNNNNNNNNNNNNNNNNNNNNNNNNNNNNNNNNNNNNNNNNNNNNNNNNNNNNNNNNNNNNNNNNNNNNNNNNNNNNNNNNNNNNNNNNNNNNNNNNNNNNNNNNNNNNNNNNNNNNNNNNNNNNNNNNNNNNNNNNNNNNNNNNNNNNNNNNNNNNNNNNNNNNNNNNNNNNNNNNNNNNNNNNNNNNNNNNNNNNNNNNNNNNNNNNNNNNNNNNNNNNNNNNNNNNNNNNNNNNNNNNNNNNNNNNNNNNNNNNNNNNNNNNNNNNNNNNNNNNNNNNNNNNNNNNNNNNNNNNNNNNNNNNNNNNNNNNNNNNNNNNNNNNNNNNNNNNNNNNNNNNNNNNNNNNNNNNNNNNNNNNNNNNNNNNNNNNNNNNNNNNNNNNNNNNNNNNNNNNNNNNNNNNNNNNNNNNNNNNNNNNNNNNNNNNNNNNNNNNNNNNNNNNNNNNNNNNNNNNNNNNNNNNNNNNNNNNNNNNNNNNNNNNNNNNNNNNNNNNNNNNNNNNNNNNNNNNNNNNNNNNNNNNNNNNNNNNNNNNNNNNNNNNNNNNNNNNNNNNNNNNNNNNNNNNNNNNNNNNNNNNNNNNNNNNNNNNNNNNNNNNNNNNNNNNNNNNNNNNNNNNNNNNNNNNNNNNNNNNNNNNNNNNNNNNNNNNNNNNNNNNNNNNNNNNNNNNNNNNNNNNNNNNNNNNNNNNNNNNNNNNNNNNNNNNNNNNNNNNNNNNNNNNNNNNNNNNNNNNNNNNNNNNNNNNNNNNNNNNNNNNNNNNNNNNNNNNNNNNNNNNNNNNNNNNNNNNNNNNNNNNNNNNNNNNNNNNNNNNNNNNNNNNNNNNNNNNNNNNNNNNNNNNNNNNNNNNNNNNNNNNNNNNNNNNNNNNNNNNNNNNNNNNNNNNNNNNNNNNNNNNNNNNNNNNNNNNNNNNNNNNNNNNNNNNNNNNNNNNNNNNNNNNNNNNNNNNNNNNNNNNNNNNNNNNNNNNNNNNNNNNNNNNNNNNNNNNNNNNNNNNNNNNNNNNNNNNNNNNNNNNNNNNNNNNNNNNNNNNNNNNNNNNNNNNNNNNNNNNNNNNNNNNNNNNNNNNNNNNNNNNNNNNNNNNNNNNNNNNNNNNNNNNNNNNNNNNNNNNNNNNNNNNNNNNNNNNNNNNNNNNNNNNNNNNNNNNNNNNNNNNNNNNNNNNNNNNNNNNNNNNNNNNNNNNNNNNNNNNNNNNNNNNNNNNNNNNNNNNNNNNNNNNNNNNNNNNNNNNNNNNNNNNNNNNNNNNNNNNNNNNNNNNNNNNNNNNNNNNNNNNNNNNNNNNNNNNNNNNNNNNNNNNNNNNNNNNNNNNNNNNNNNNNNNNNNNNNNNNNNNNNNNNNNNNNNNNNNNNNNNNNNNNNNNNNNNNNNNNNNNNNNNNNNNNNNNNNNNNNNNNNNNNNNNNNNNNNNNNNNNNNNNNNNNNNNNNNNNNNNNNNNNNNNNNNNNNNNNNNNNNNNNNNNNNNNNNNNNNNNNNNNNNNNNNNNNNNNNNNNNNNNNNNNNNNNNNNNNNNNNNNNNNNNNNNNNNNNNNNNNNNNNNNNNNNNNNNNNNNNNNNNNNNNNNNNNNNNNNNNNNNNNNNNNNNNNNNNNNNNNNNNNNNNNNNNNNNNNNNNNNNNNNNNNNNNNNNNNNNNNNNNNNNNNNNNNNNNNNNNNNNNNNNNNNNNNNNNNNNNNNNNNNNNNNNNNNNNNNNNNNNNNNNNNNNNNNNNNNNNNNNNNNNNNNNNNNNNNNNNNNNNNNNNNNNNNNNNNNNNNNNNNNNNNNNNNNNNNNNNNNNNNNNNNNNNNNNNNNNNNNNNNNNNNNNNNNNNNNNNNNNNNNNNNNNNNNNNNNNNNNNNNNNNNNNNNNNNNNNNNNNNNNNNNNNNNNNNNNNNNNNNNNNNNNNNNNNNNNNNNNNNNNNNNNNNNNNNNNNNNNNNNNNNNNNNNNNNNNNNNNNNNNNNNNNNNNNNNNNNNNNNNNNNNNNNNNNNNNNNNNNNNNNNNNNNNNNNNNNNNNNNNNNNNNNNNNNNNNNNNNNNNNNNNNNNNNNNNNNNNNNNNNNNNNNNNNNNNNNNNNNNNNNNNNNNNNNNNNNNNNNNNNNNNNNNNNNNNNNNNNNNNNNNNNNNNNNNNNNNNNNNNNNNNNNNNNNNNNNNNNNNNNNNNNNNNNNNNNNNNNNNNNNNNNNNNNNNNNNNNNNNNNNNNNNNNNNNNNNNNNNNNNNNNNNNNNNNNNNNNNNNNNNNNNNNNNNNNNNNNNNNNNNNNNNNNNNNNNNNNNNNNNNNNNNNNNNNNNNNNNNNNNNNNNNNNNNNNNNNNNNNNNNNNNNNNNNNNNNNNNNNNNNNNNNNNNNNNNNNNNNNNNNNNNNNNNNNNNNNNNNNNNNNNNNNNNNNNNNNNNNNNNNNNNNNNNNNNNNNNNNNNNNNNNNNNNNNNNNNNNNNNNNNNNNNNNNNNNNNNNNNNNNNNNNNNNNNNNNNNNNNNNNNNNNNNNNNNNNNNNNNNNNNNNNNNNNNNNNNNNNNNNNNNNNNNNNNNNNNNNNNNNNNNNNNNNNNNNNNNNNNNNNNNNNNNNNNNNNNNNNNNNNNNNNNNNNNNNNNNNNNNNNNNNNNNNNNNNNNNNNNNNNNNNNNNNNNNNNNNNNNNNNNNNNNNNNNNNNNNNNNNNNNNNNNNNNNNNNNNNNNNNNNNNNNNNNNNNNNNNNNNNNNNNNNNNNNNNNNNNNNNNNNNNNNNNNNNNNNNNNNNNNNNNNNNNNNNNNNNNNNNNNNNNNNNNNNNNNNNNNNNNNNNNNNNNNNNNNNNNNNNNNNNNNNNNNNNNNNNNNNNNNNNNNNNNNNNNNNNNNNNNNNNNNNNNNNNNNNNNNNNNNNNNNNNNNNNNNNNNNNNNNNNNNNNNNNNNNNNNNNNNNNNNNNNNNNNNNNNNNNNNNNNNNNNNNNNNNNNNNNNNNNNNNNNNNNNNNNNNNNNNNNNNNNNNNNNNNNNNNNNNNNNNNNNNNNNNNNNNNNNNNNNNNNNNNNNNNNNNNNNNNNNNNNNNNNNNNNNNNNNNNNNNNNNNNNNNNNNNNNNNNNNNNNNNNNNNNNNNNNNNNNNNNNNNNNNNNNNNNNNNNNNNNNNNNNNNNNNNNNNNNNNNNNNNNNNNNNNNNNNNNNNNNNNNNNNNNNNNNNNNNNNNNNNNNNNNNNNNNNNNNNNNNNNNNNNNNNNNNNNNNNNNNNNNNNNNNNNNNNNNNNNNNNNNNNNNNNNNNNNNNNNNNNNNNNNNNNNNNNNNNNNNNNNNNNNNNNNNNNNNNNNNNNNNNNNNNNNNNNNNNNNNNNNNNNNNNNNNNNNNNNNNNNNNNNNNNNNNNNNNNNNNNNNNNNNNNNNNNNNNNNNNNNNNNNNNNNNNNNNNNNNNNNNNNNNNNNNNNNNNNNNNNNNNNNNNNNNNNNNNNNNNNNNNNNNNNNNNNNNNNNNNNNNNNNNNNNNNNNNNNNNNNNNNNNNNNNNNNNNNNNNNNNNNNNNNNNNNNNNNNNNNNNNNNNNNNNNNNNNNNNNNNNNNNNNNNNNNNNNNNNNNNNNNNNNNNNNNNNNNNNNNNNNNNNNNNNNNNNNNNNNNNNNNNNNNNNNNNNNNNNNNNNNNNNNNNNNNNNNNNNNNNNNNNNNNNNNNNNNNNNNNNNNNNNNNNNNNNNNNNNNNNNNNNNNNNNNNNNNNNNNNNNNNNNNNNNNNNNNNNNNNNNNNNNNNNNNNNNNNNNNNNNNNNNNNNNNNNNNNNNNNNNNNNNNNNNNNNNNNNNNNNNNNNNNNNNNNNNNNNNNNNNNNNNNNNNNNNNNNNNNNNNNNNNNNNNNNNNNNNNNNNNNNNNNNNNNNNNNNNNNNNNNNNNNNNNNNNNNNNNNNNNNNNNNNNNNNNNNNNNNNNNNNNNNNNNNNNNNNNNNNNNNNNNNNNNNNNNNNNNNNNNNNNNNNNNNNNNNNNUUGAUAUACAAAUAUUAUUGGAUGAUGUAAUAUGUUACAAAUUAAUUCAUAAGCAUUAUGAAAAUAUAAGUUAAAUGUAAUAUGAUUAUUAUAUUUAUGGACAAUUUACACAGGUUAGUCUUAUUUAUUAAUAAGCAUUACAAAAAUCUACAAACUAAUCAACAAAAAACAACCAUAUCUUCCAUAAUCAUUUACAAUGAUGUGACACCAUAAAUUAAAGGUGAUACAUUUAACGUGACACCAUAACUCAAAGAUGAUGCAUUUAAUAUGACACCUUAUAUAUUUCAUACAACUCUAUAUCAAAUUAAGCAUCACUAAAAAUAUAUGGUGUCUCUUCUAAAUGUGUCACCAUUUAUUUGCUUUGGUGUUGCUUCCAAAUACAUCACCAAUUGAUACCCUCUAUGGUGUCAGUGGAUAAGGUGACGCUAUGUUGUAGUGACACCCUAUGUUUAUAGUGACUUAUUAUAAAUGUCACCAUAUAUCUUUUUCCUUGUAGUGAAUGGAAGUAUAAAUUUUAAAAGGAUUCUCUGUGAUUAUAGGAUUUAAUUCUAAUACUCUUAUACGUAGCCAAGGGUCAUUGGACUCAUGGCAGCACACAAACAUAUCCCCUUGUAUCUAUGGAAAUUGACAUGCAAAAUACAAAUAUUUCCUCUUACAUCCCUAUUGUGUUAUAGCAUGAGUAUGAAUGUGUAUUGUCAUCUUAAGCAAACUAAUGUUGUUGCCAAUUUUUCUUGGACGCUUUUUUUAAAAAUAAAAAUAAAAUAAUGUAAGGCUAUAUAGCAGAUUCAAUUGAUAUUUUUUUCAUCUUGUCCUACAUAUGAAAAUUACAAGUAGUUCAAGAAUCCUUGUUGAAUGAAAUUGACUGAAAACAAAUCUUAUUUAUGUAAAUUCUCAAAUACUUACAACAAGAAGCCCAAACCCCCACCCCAUCUUCAUGAACUUCAUAACAAAAUACUAUAAUCCUCCCUAUGAAAUAGAACUAAUUAAUUUAAUAUCAAUAAAUCCAAAUUGCUUUCAACAUCAGGCACAAGGAGGGAUUUGAAAGUUUGUGGUUUUAUACAAUAGAACCAUCUAGAGGGAGGUUGAAUAGAUAAUCUUUUAUUAUUAGCUCAAAAACUUCAAUUUUUAUUUUAUUGUAUUGAGUUAUAUAAUUGUUAAUGUUUAAACAUCUUAUAUCGUAAAACUACUUGGAGGUGAUUUAGUGUCUUUAUGUAUUGGCAAUUCUAGGUUGAAAUUUUCAUUGUAUUCGCCUAACUCAGUUACUUCAAAUCCUUCUUCAAACUCUUGUCAUUCCUAAAUUGCUCAUAAUUGAAGAUUGUUAAAGGAGAUAGUUGGUGUUCUUGAGGCAAUUGAUGAUAUUAAACAUUGAUCAACCGAGUUUUAAACUUUUAUUCUUUUGCUGAAAAUUGGAGUUGAAGUUUAAGGAUAUCAAAUUUUGUAUUUAAAUUAUUUGGAUCAAUUACUAAUUGAUCAUGCUAAAAGGUAACAAUUUAUGUUGUAACAUGAAUUUUACAAUCUCAUCUUAUCUAUUAGAAUUUGAUCAAAUCUAUAAAAUCUUUAUUUUUUCCAAACAAAUCUGAGUUAUUAGAUGGAGAUUAAAACCUUAGUAUUUAAGCCCCUUUUUUUUAGAAAAGGCUUUAACAAUUGUAAGAGCUAGGUGGCUUUCUUGAGCUUCAAAUUCUUUAUCUAUUUUGGGAUGUUUGGUUUGAUUUUUUUUUUUAUUUUUUUUUUAUGGGUUUUAAGUUAAAAAUCUUUCAAAAUGAGUUGAUUCAAUAUAGGUUUCAUUCACACUCUUGCAUUUGUCAUCUUUAGGAUAAAAUCUAAAUUUCUUCUUAUGUAGGUUCAAGAAAAGGUCGAAAGUUUGGUGUGAACUUUAAGUAUGCUUUAAAAGAAGAAAGUGGGUAACUUAAGUUUGAAGGUACUAGGCAAACAAUUCCAAAGAGGAUUGAAGGUUUGAGUUAAGUAAAUCCUUGUAUUCAGUUUUUUUUUUCAUAGUGUUUGUUUUUUUUUAUCAUCUAUAGGCCUGUGAUAGUUUACCUAUUCAAAGGUUUUGUAUAUUAAAUCUUGUUGUUAUUAUCUCUUUAUUUCUAUCUUAUAUUUUCAUUAGUCUAUGUUGUGUCUAUGAAAGUUCCAUUGAUUUGUUAUAUAUGUUGGUUGAUUGAGAAAAUGAACUAAAAAAUGAUCAUUUAACCUUUGGCAUAGUAUGAAAUAAUUUAUGAUUUAGUAUUAAUGAGAAUUAAAACUUUGUAAAUUAUCAAAACUAUGUAGAUUUGAGCUCAGAUGUUGAAGCAUCUCUUAAAGGCAGUUGAGGUGCUCUCAACACUUGACUAUCACUUGAGCAUCUUUUUAAGACUCUAGGGUAUGCUUGAAGCUCAACUUCAAAAUUUUAUUUUUUGAUUAAAAUAAACACCUACUUUUUCAAUUUUCAUAUUGUCUACUUCAUGUAUUCUUAAAUCAUCAUUAUCCUUUUUGUAACUCCCAAUAUUUAUUAGCAUCUUUCUGAGUUGAUUCUACAACAAUCUUGCAUCUUCAAAAGAAGUGGAAGUCAAUGGAACCAAAUUGUCAACCUAAUCUAAAUAGAUUAAUGUACCAUCACUUUAAUUAGGAUAUAAUUAAUCAAUUAAAAAAAUAGCAUUUAAUCAUAUAAAGAAAUAUAUGAUUUAUGUGAAAAAACCACCAAUAAAGCAUCCUAGAGACCUUACAUAUAUAAAAGUCAUAGGGUUCAUAGAUUGUCAAGUUAAAUUCACUAAAUAUGAAGAAUAAGUACAUAGAUUUAGCUAGUAAUUAUUACUCUCCCUCAAACUUAUAUUGGUAGUCACCAAUUCUCAAUUCCAUAACAUAGUUACUUCCAUGCUGCUUAGUGGAUUGCUCAUGACCUUAAGGGAAUGUGAUAGACAAUGUGAACUAAAAACAAGGCAAGCUCAUUAAGAUGUUCCUUUUUAAUGCAUAAGGUGUGCAAUAAAAUGAGAUCGAGAAUCCUAUGCUUUGAGAGAAGGAUACUACAGUAAAAAAUGGUACCCAAAUACUAUUGAAUGACAACAUAGCUCUUGUUGCUCCUUUAUUUUUAUUUAUUUUAUUUUUUUAUUUUUGUAAUUAUCUCUUUUUUUGUUUUGAUAUCAACAUUAGAAAUAUAGAAGUCCAGAAAUUUUUUUUAGUGCUUGCAUAUUGAAGGUUCAUGCUAUAAGAGUUGGAAAAACUUGAAUAGAAACUCCCUUGAAUGAUGUAUCAAAGCUCAAUGUAUCAAUGUUAACAUAAACAUUUGAGUAGAGUAGGAUAACAUUUCUAUGUCAUAUGAAGAAAUAUACUAAAAGGGAACCAUGAAUACGAUUGGAGAAAUAUAUAUUAUAAUUUAGAGGAUUAUUAUGGUCUAUUGGUCAUAUUCAAAUGGAAGUAAUAUGGUAAUCAAUAUUUCCAUGUCAUUUGAAGAAACAUAAUAAGAGGGAACCAUGCAUGGAUAUGAUUUGAGAAAUAUAUAUUAUAAUUUAGAGGAUUACUACCUUAUAUUGGUUAUAUUCAAAUGAAAGUAAUAUGGUAAUCAAUAUGUAAUCGGUAAGAAAAUAGGUUAUGAACAAGUCAUAUUAUAACUACCUCAAAAAUCAAUAAUACAAGGAUGAAAGAGGUAUACUGAGGAAGGGUCACACCUAAAGGAUCACUUUAUUAGCACAAGUAGGAAAAUGUUAACAUAGGGUUAUGCAUUUAAGUGUAACAUGAUUGAAUUUUAUUACAAUGUCUAAAAUUUAAAUAAUUGCAUACCUCUUUUCUGAUUUUGCUCAUGCCAUUAAGAUUUUUUAUCCACAAGAAACAACCUAUAUUACAAAAAAUGGAAAAAUUAUUUUAGAAUAGUAAGAAAUUUAGGGUUCUUAUAAAUAAAAAAGAAUAUAAUUUUUUAAUACUUAAAAAAAAAAUUCCAAAGGUAAGAAUCUAAAAGCCUAUUUGAUUGUGUGAUUUAAAAACAAUUUUCUGUUUUUAAAAAUAGAAAAUUGUUUUUAAAAAUUUCUAAUUAACAUUGUUGGGUUGUCAUUCUCUAAAAACAAUUUUUAAAAACAAAGUGAAAUAGAUAAUAAUUUUUAGAGAAUAAAUAUGAAUUGUUUUCACUAGUUUUUACAAAUAAAAGAAAAAUGUGGAUUCAUUUGGGUUAUGUUUUUUUAAACUUGUUUUUUAUUCUUCAACUUAAAAAUAAUUUUUAAAAACAAAUUUAAGAAAAUAUGGCCAAAAAAACCCUAAAUGUUUACAGUAAUUUUCUAAUUUUUCAUCUCAUAAGCAAUCAAACUCUAACAUCUCACUAUUAACGUAUUAGAAAUGCAUUAUCAACUUUUUAAGUGAUACAACAUUUUGCAUAUUAAAGGGAAUGUAUAAUUAUAAAAUUAUUUUCAUAGGACAAAUACCUUUUUAAACAUAUGAGCAACCUAAUUCUGAAAAAGAGAAAAAAAGAAUGAUAAAGAGCACAAUAUUUUUUUUUUGUAUAGUGCUUAAAAAUUAGUUAAAACAACAAAUAAAAAAUAUUAAUUUACUGAAAGAUCUAAGUUUUUGAAACAUAUUAAGAAUCCAUUGUGUAAGUUGAACAAUUAAACAAGAAUUCAAAAUUAUCCUAUUGUAUUUUAAACUGGAAGUAGCUAGAUACUCACGAGGUUUAUCAAAAUCUUGUCUCUAUUCUCCAUAGAUCAUAAAUAAGUUAAAGAAAAAAUAAAACCAAGAAGAAAAAAAUACUAUAAGAUAUAUUUAUUCCAAGCUCGUCGAAAUACUGAGAGCACCCAUUUACAAAAUUGUAUUCCCGUCAUGUAACAAUUGAAUCCAACUCAUGUGACUCAUUGUUUUUUUUUUCUCAAAAACAAGUUUUUUUAAUUGCAAAAGAAAAAAGACUUAUCUGUUGAUGGUCUUGAAGUAAUUCAAAGGAUAGCCCUCAGAGGUAGGUACCAAAAACCACAAUAUCAAAAGAUGGUAAAACUAAUAAUAUAUGAAGAGUCGGUACAUUAAGUGAGAUUUUUUUAUAAGAGUACUGUAGUUUUAGAAAAUAAUUCUCAAACUACCGUAGUAGGAAAAAUAAUUCCAAAUCCACCGUAAUUUUUGUCAGGUAUGAAAGAUGAAUUUUUUUUUUAAAUCGUCUCUUCAAAAUACUAUUUAUAACAUUUUAAAAAAAAAUUUUAAAUCAUCUUUCUAAAAUAUGAGAAAUUGUCUCUUGAAAAUACAACUUUGGAAAAAAAAAAGAAGAUGAUUUUCAGAAGAAAGAAAAACUAAGAAGUAAUAAAUCAUCUCUUGAAAAGACGAUUUUUCACCAACAAUUUUCACAAAAAAAAAUUCAUAAAAAAAAGAAAAAGAGAAAACUUCAAAAAUCCAUUUUUCCAUUCCCUACUAUACUUAUACAAUAAUACAAUUAUUAUAAAUAUAUAUUAUAAAAUUAAUUAAUUUUAUUUACUAAAUUUAAUAUUUUUUCUAUUAUUUUUUUCUAAAAAAAAAAUUAUUAUUAAUUUAUUAAAAAAAUAAAAAAUUGAGAAAUUGUCUCUUGAAGAGACGAUUUUCACCAAAAAAUAAAAAAAAAGAAUAAAAAUAAAAAUUCAAAAAUCAAUUUUUCCAUUCUCUGUCAUACUUAUACAAUAAUAAAAUUAUUAUAAAUAUAUAUUAUAAAAUUAAUUAAUUUAUUUACUAAAUUUAAUAUAAGAUAAAUAAUAUUUAUCUAUUAUUCUUUUUUCUUUCAUUUUGGAAAAAAAAUAUUAUCAAUUUAUGUGAAAAAUGAGUUUAAAAAAUAAAUUUAUUAUUAAUUUAUUAAAUAAUUAUUUACAAAAUAAUUAAUUUUGUUUUUUUAUUUUAAAAUUAAUUUUAUUAUAUAAAUUUUAAAUUUUAAAAUAUUAAUCUUUAAGUUAAAAUUUUACUAUAAAAAAUGAAUAAUUUCACAUAUUUUUAGGCGAAUUUUACUUAUCAUAAGGCCUCCACUACACACAUCAUUUCCCCUAAUCCAAUAAUGCACUACACCCAUAGACCAUAGGAGAAUCUUACCUAGUACACUCUAUCACUUCAUACACUAUUACACUACAAUUCCAUUACAACACUCAACCAAUUUGACAAGAGUUUGAAGUAUUGUCAUUUCUUUUUAAAUGUUUAAAUACUCCACCAAUUUGAUCGUUUCAAGUAUUGUCAUUUCUUUUAAAACAUUCAAACGUGUGUAUAUAUAUAUAUAUACACACACCCCAUAUCCUACACACUAUACCCAUUCUACCUCUUCCCAACUUCACUUACAAUAUAAAUCAAUUUCAAACUUCUUCAUCCUCAUUUUCUCUUUCUUCCCCAUUUGAAACCAAGUUUUUCACUUUCCAUCGCUUUUAUCCAAAUCUCCCAUUUCUCUUUGUGGAACUUCUGGGUAUAUCUCCUAUUUUUUCUUCAAACACUCACACUGUUUAUCUUGAAAGGUAAUAUUUUUGCUUUAUUUUUAUUUCAAAUUAUUUUGUAAUAUAUGGUUUUUAUUAUUAUAUAAGUUUUAAAAUUUAUUUGGAUUAUGCAAUAUUUGUUUGAAUAAUAUUUAUUGGAAAUUAUUAUUUUAAAUAGAUUAAAUCAUUAAAAAAUAAAUAAAAGUUAUAUUAUUUUAUUUUUAGAUAAUAUUUUUGCCCUUGUUUCAUAUUUAUUUUGUAAUGCAUGAUGGAUAUUUAUUGUUAUACAUAUAUUAAUUUAUUGGAUUUAUGUUAAUUUUUUUAGAAUAUUAUUUGUUGUAAAUUAUCAUUAUAUAAUUCAAAAAAUAAAAGUGGUAUUAGUUUAUUUAAUUAAUAUGGAAUAAUAGGAUUAUUGAUUAUGUUUAUCAAUCAAAUAAUAUGUUUUAUAAAAUAAUAAAAUUAAAAAUUAAAAAGAAAAUAAAAUAUUAGUAAAAUGAGAAUGGAAAAUAAUAAUAAUAAAAUAAUUAUAUAUCUAUGUAUUUGCAUAAAAUAUUAUUUUAAAAAUAUUAAAGUCUAAAAAAUAGAAAUACAACAUUAUCUGACAUUAUGAAUUUAUUCUAUAUAUUUUUUUAAAAUUAAUGUUAGCCUUAAAUCAUUGAAAAAAUUGUUGUAAAAAUAAAAAUAUAAAUAAAAGUAGAAGUAAAACUAAAAUGUUAUUUGAUAUAUUUAAAUGAAUAUUUAAAUGUAUAGAAUAUAAAAUAAAAAAGUAAUGGUGUAUAAUAUAAAAUAGUAACCGUGCGUAUUAAAUGUAUAUAAUAUGUAAAUUUAUAUUUAAAAUGUUAAAUAAUAGCCAUAUUGUGGAUCCCGCAUUUCGGCUCAUGCGAUUUCCACUCGAUGACAAGUUCGAUUUUUAUUCGAAAAUGAUUUUAUUUAUUAAAAAAAAAUAUGACUUGAAGUCGCUACUUAUUUUUGUUUUAUUUUUAAAAGGGUAAACAAAAUAAGAAAGAAAACCCUAAGCGUGACUCCUUAUUUUGGAAAAUGUGGUCUGUGAAAAACCGGAUCAGGCUCGGGGGUCAGGUUACUUAUUGGGAAGGUACGGUAAAGACCGUAGCACCCCUCUAAGUCCCUAAAGUCGGGUCUCUACUAAUAAAAUGAAGCUGACGUGGCAAUCAAUAGGAAAAUCAAUGGAUACUCAAAUUAAUCAUGCACAUAUGGGAAUCAAAAGCAUGCAUAGAGAAUGAACAGAACGGGAGUGGAUGCGUACUUGGAACAUGAACGAGCGAUACGUUAUCAUAAAAAUAGAGUCGGUGUACAAUAAAGAAUACAAAACAUGUCACAUGCAUUACCAAACAAUGAUUAAGCUGUUCGAGGGAGGAUUGAAAUUUAUUCGAGGAUUGGAGUCUUAGAGAUUAUUUAAAAAUCGAAUUUUUAGGAAUUAAAUAUAAGAAUGAGAAUUUUAGAAAUUAAAUUAGAAAUAAAUUGGGACUUCGAGAUUUAUUCGAGAAUUGGAGAUUUGCAAAAUAAAUUUAAGGACUGGAAUUUCUAAAAUUAAAUUUGAAAGAAAUUGGAACUUUGGAAAUUAUUUGGGAGUUUGGGAUUUUUAAGAAUUAUUUGAGAAUGAAUGAAAAUUCGAUUUGAAAGAAAUUAGAGUUUCAAAAUUUACUUGAAAGUGAAAUUUUAGAAAUUAAAUUCGGAAUUAUGGAAUUUUUGGAAAAUUAAGUCUUAAAAAUUUGAAUCUUGGAAAGUUAAAUUUAAAAUUAGAAUUUGAAAAUUAUUCCGAGAAUUGAAUUUUGAAGAAUUAAAUCUAAAAAUUGGAGCUUUGGAAAAUUAAAUUAAGAAUUUGAGUUUUGAAAAUCAACUUUAGAAAUUGAGGAUUCGAAAAAACAUUCAAAAGUGGAGACCUUGAAAAUUAGAUUUAAGAAAAGAAUUUUGAGAAAUUAAACUUUGGGAAUAAAGAUUUUGAAAGUUAAAUUCGAAAAUUAAAAAAAAAAAAUGGAAAGUUAAACCUUGAUAUCAAAGAGGAAGAAUUUGAAUAAAUGAAUAAAUAAACAAAUAUAUAUAUAUAUAUAUAUAUAUAUAUAUAAAAGAAUAAAAUGGAGGUGGUCGUUGGGGGUGCGGGCCAAGGGUGGCCCCGUGAAGUGACAUGAUCACCUCAUGAUUACCAUCUCCCUAAACUUUAAGCUCCGCCAUACCAAAUAACCGCAAUCAGUCCAACGGUCUCUGAUGAUCGAGAGUUGUUUCAUCAAGAGAGGGUAUUUCUCCAUUGAUUUUAGGAACAUGAGGAAUAGAGACCAUCUGAUUUAAUAUUUUGCCUACUUCACCAUCGAGUGCAUUCUCAUCUGUCAGAUCUAGAGAAUAUGACCAACCCUCCCCAUUGUGUGACUUUUCGUCAGGACUAGAACAUGAACUAGAAAGUCCCAUACCAUCUAUAUCUUUCUGGCCGCUCUCAUGCCUAAAUCCAUAAUUUUCCAUAGAUUGAUCGGGCCAUUCUUUUGGAAGAAUAGAUACUUGCAAAUCCUCUACCACUUCAUGUGAAAAUCUAGCUGUUUCGUCAAUAGCAAGUUGUGAUAGUUCUUCUUAAAGAGCAUGUUCGAUAAUCUCACCAUUCUCCGCAUUGCCACAUUCAUUAUCAUAACGAUCUUCCUUUAAAUGUUAUCCAUCAUAAUAACUUACAUCAUUUUGCACAAUGGUGCCACCAUACCCGCACUUAGAAAACGGAUCAUCAUCAGAAGCCGGAGACCCCACCGAACAACAAUAGGAUCUUGCCCACAUGCGAUCAUUUGCAAUGAUAUCAAUGUCGGCUGCAUUGAUCUUGACAGCAGCUAAUUCUUUCUCCUUCAUUCUCAUGGCAUUCUCGUUAGCAUCGGUCGACAUAAUGACAAUAAGCAGUUUUUGAGGUUCUUCUUGAAUUUUAUCAAGGAGAUAUCGUCCAUCCAUGCAGCUGCCCCAUUAUUUUACUUUGACCGGGACCUGAAAAACUUGCCUCACUAUUCAUUCCCGCAUNNNNNNNNNNNNNNNNNNNNNNNNNNNNNNNNNNNNNNNNNNNNNNNNNNNNNNNNNNNNNNNNNNNNNNNNNNNNNNNNNNNNNNNNNNNNNNNNNNNNCAAGCAUGACAAUAUUAAGAUCCAACUCUAGGUAUUGAUUCAAAAGUAGUGGCUUAGGAGGCAUCGAUAUUAUUUUGAGUGUAUGGAACGUUCUCAAAAGUGAACUAUGCCCACAGAUCGGAGUAACAAAACCUGUAUUAGGCAAUGCUGUCAGCUUGCAGGGAGUCUUUCAUGACUGCUUAAACUCGAAUUCGGGCAUCUUAAAGUACCACAACAUGGCCAUAGUUGAAACUCCCAAACCCGAAGAGAGUUAGUUGAGGUUCCAGAUAAAGAAAAUUGGUGCGCUUGAGCUCAUCAGGUGCAGAAGGUAUGACCUUAACCGAUUCGGUGGGUUUGGGGUUGUAAGGUUUAGUGGUUGGAAUGUUUUGGUAAGAAGAAUAGGAUGAGAGACUAGUUGAGCUAAGGGAUCAAAGUUGAGUUGUAUCUGAUGGGUGAUCCAGAUGACGGUUUUCUUCUUGUUAAGUGCAACAGAUGAAAAGUUGGAUGGGGUAUGAGGAGUAUUUGGCUUUUGGUUUAUGCUCGGUAUAGAACAAAUGUCAUGGGAAUGCGUUGAAAGGAUGCUAGGGAAUCGUACGUACGUGUACACAGCAUCUGCGUGGGAGGCUAGAGAAAUAAUGGGUGGGAAAAGAAAACGGGUCAAACGUAAGGGGUGAUUUGAAGAUAGUGAGAGAAUGAAAUAAGUGUGUAUGCUUGUGGUGGUUAUCGAAAAUGUGAGGGGUGGGGAGUGUGAUAGCUUCAAUGGGUAUGAGAAUAGGGAUAAGCCGACAGGGAGCACGAUAGAGGGUGGAUUUUGCAAAAGGUCUUGUGGGCCAUGCAAAGGUGGAAGAGAUGGGGUACAUGGUAGGUAUUGAAAAAUGGUGUGUGGUGUAGAGAGAUGAAACGGGAGGUGAGCAGUGAGUGGGAUGUAGGGGUAAAAGGGUGGCCAUGCACACAUGUGGAGUAAACCCAUCAAUAUUGCACUUCCCAAUUCAUCCCGUGGCCGAUGAAUACAACAUCCCGGUGCUACUUCUCAUACCCAUUUUGCAUUUUCUGAAUGUCAACACCUGAAUAUAGCUUUGAAUGCUGAAAAGGUGGCGACAAACACCCGAUCAUGAUAGGAUGAUGGCUCUGAAUGUCAAGCUGGGAAGGAAUGGUGGCUUUGAAGGCCCAAACCGAGAAGAUAUGGUGGCUUUGAAUGUCAAACUGCGGAGAAUGAUGGCUCUGAACGCCCGAAUGUGAGAACGACGGCUCCUUGAACGCCUGAAACUGUGAAGAGGUAGUGGCUCUGAACGUUGAACUAAAAAGAGAUGAUGGCUCUGAAUGUCGAAACUGAAGAUGCAAUGAUGAUGGCUCUGAACGCCGAAACUGAAAAUGUGACUCUUAACAUCAAAUUGAAAAUGCGAUGAUGGCUCUGAACGCCGAAACUGAGAAGCGACGAUGAUGGCUCUGAACGCCAAAACCAAAAAUGCGAUGAUGAUGGCUUAGAGUGCCGAAACUAAAAAUGCGACUCUGAACGUCAAGUUGAAAAUGUGAUGAUGAUGACUCUGAACACCAAAACUAAGAGGCGAUAAUGAUGGAUCUGAAUGCCGAAACCAAAAAUGCGAUGAUGAUGGCUCUGAACGCCGAAACUGAAAAUGCGACUCUGAACGUCAAGCUGAAAAUGUGAUGAUGAUGGCUCUGAACGCCGAAACUGAGAAGCGAUAAUGAUGGCUCCGAACGCUGAAAGAAAAAAUGAGAUGAUGAUGGCUCUGAACGCUGAAACUGAGAAGCGGUGAUGAUGGCUCUGAAUGCCAAAACGGAAAAUGAUAUAAUGACCCUGAAUGCCGAACUAUGAACAUGGCUUUGAAUGCCAAACUGCGAAUAAAUGGUGGCUUUGAACGCCAAACUAAAAAUAAUAGCCAUGAAUGCUAAGCAAAAACAACGGCUGUGAACGCCAAUGAUAACUAUGAAUGUCAAGCUGAGAAANNNNNNNNNNNNNNNNNNNNNNNNNNNNNNNNNNNNNNNNNNNNNNNNNNNNNNNNNNNNNNNNNNNNNNNNNNNNNNNNNNNNNNNNNNNNNNNNNNNNCAAAAACAACUGGCUGUGAACGCCAAUGAUAACUAUGAAUGUCAAGCUGAGAAAGACAACUUUAAACGUCGUAAUUGAGAGGACAUGGUGGCUUUGAACACCAGGCUGAAAAUGGAUGACUUUGAACAUCAUAACCGAUAAUGGAUGGUGGCUCUAAAUGCCAAACUGUAAGGAAAUGAUUAGGGGGGGGGGGGGGGGGGNNNNNNNNNNNNNNNNNNNNNNNNNNNNNNNNNNNNNNNNNNNNNNNNNNNNNNNNNNNNNNNNNNNNNNNNNNNNNNNNNNNNNNNNNNNNNNNNNNNNAGUCUCAUGACCCGCUCGAUGAAAUCACGAGGUUUGUCGGAGUGUCGCAAUAAGCCGAACUCCUCUAACUCAUAAUGCUCUGCCGAAAGAAUCUAUCGUCACCCCGAACGGAUAAUCCGAUAGUCUUAGGGAGUAGUCUGGUAAGAGACAUACCACGAUCUUGACAUAACAAUCUACUGAAUAGUCUUGGCUAGUGAGGCUAUCAAAACCCGAAUAUCGUGCUCCACUGAAAGCUCAUCUCGACGAAAAGCACAGGAAUAGUGACCAGUGAAGCAAAUGCAAUAUCUCUUGACUGAGUAAUGAAAACUAUAAUAGAUCUGUGAGAGAAUGAUCAUCUCCAUAGCUAAAGGAGGGAAAUAUGCCCCAGUAUGGCAUCAGAUAUAUCCAAUCUGUCCUAAUAACUCAAGAAUAACUCUAUGGGGACAUACAAAGGAUCUAACAUGUACUCCACUGAAAUAGUGACGCAGGCAUCCACGCGCCUGAGAUAACUCCUUCUAAGAAUCACGACUAUAUCAGAAAACGUGAAUCUGGCUGAAAGACUCAAGAGAGGCUCCAUGGAGUAUCAGGACACAAUGAAAUCGAAUCAUCAACCCGAUGUGUAUCUCAAAAUCGAGGGUGAUCAUGCGAAUCAGUGGGGGAUGUACAAAUCUCGACUGAAAUGGGGAAUACACCCCAGUGUGGCAUCAUAAAUGUGACAAGUCGGAAAGUCAGAUGAGCUCAAAUCAUCCAUCAUCGAAUUCGUGAUCCAAGUCAUCCAUGUCUAUAACUGAAUCAGACCCACAGAUCAAAGGGGCGUCUCCCAGAAGGAAAGCAUGAUGACAUCUAAGUGUCGAGAAGUGCAGGCCUAACUGGGCAAUUCCCAAGAGGCUCCAUUGAGGAAUCAUCAUAAAGAUACCGAAUAGAUCAUCGUCUCGAUGUACGUCUUGCAAAUGGGGAUAAGCGCGUAACUCCACCAAGAUCUAUAAAUCUCAUCCUGAAUGGUAAUAUGCCCCAGUAUGGCAUCAAACAUAUGAUAGGUCGGAGACCGGGCAACAUGAAAUCAUCUAUCAUCGAACAUGCGACAUCUGUGAAGAUCCAUAAAUCUCAUCUAAAAUGGAAAAUAUGCCCUCGUAUGGCAUCAGGUGCAUAAUAGGUCAAAAGAACAAGUGACAUGAAACCAUCUCUCAUCAAACAUGUGACCUCUGUGAAGAUCCGUAAAUCUCAUCUGAAACGGAAAUAUGCCCCAGUAUGGCAUCGGAUGUGUGACAGGUCAGAAGAACAAGUGACAUGAAACCAUCUCUCAUCAAACAUGUAAUCCUGGUCAUCCGAAUCCAUAACUGAAUCAUGCCCACAGAUCUAAGAUGUACCUCCCGGAUGGAGAAGCAUGAUGGCAUCUAAGUGCCGAGAAGUGCGGGCCUAGCUAGAUGGCUCUCGGCAGGCUCCACUGAGGAAUCAUGAUAAGGUAACGAUCAUGUCCACGUCUUAGUGAGCAUCUAGUAAGUGAUGAUGAUCGUGCAAGUCCAUGAGGAUCCAUAAACCUCUAAAUGAAAUGGGAUAUGCCCUAGUGUGGCAUCAGAGGUACGAUAGGUCAAAAAUCGGGUGACACCAAAUCAUCCAUCGUCAAACACAUAAUCCCGGUAAUUCGAACACAACUGAAUCGGACCUACACAUCAAAGAGGCGACUCCUAGAAGAAGGAAGCACGACGAUAUCUAAAUAUCAACCAGAUCUCAAACACUCGUCCAAGUAGAGGCUGUCAAAGAUGACAUCUGAUCCCAUGACCUCAGGGUGGUCUUAAGACAUGGGACGUAACGUAGGCCAAGGUGAUAAGGUGAUAGAAAUGAAGGAAAACUAGACUCAAAUACCCAAUGAUCAAAAACCCACGCCCUCAUAUAUGAAAUGCAACAUGUAUAAUGAAUCUCGUGAGCCAUGGACCUAAGGAUGCCUAACAUGAAUAUGAUGUCGAUAAGGAGACAAAUAAAGCAAAAUGAACUGAUAGUGAUAUGUGUAAUGAUGAUGUGAAGAGAGUAUCAAACCCGAGAUGGGUUGCUGUAAGAAAAGAAUAAGACGUGAAGUGAAAAUGAUGAAUCCAAAGCGAAAACGAGGAUGAUGAUGAAACAAAUAACACAAAGAGGAGUAGUGAUCAACUCAAAUCAGACAUGGAGUGAAGUCACAUCAACAAUGAACGUAAUGAUGGAAGGGACAAUGACCCAGAGCUCCUAAGAGAAGGUCACUCAUCUCGCUCUCAAAAUAUACAAUAAAAAUGAAUACAAAGCAUAGAGGGUCUCAGAAAGCUCACAUACGAACUCCCAUCAACAAACAUACUCAAUCAAGUCACCCUCGAACAUCAACAUACACACUCAAUGAUAGAAAAUAAUACACAUGCGUUUUGUUUUUUUUUUUUUUACAUAUAUACAAAUGUACACACCUUGAACAUGAACAAAAUAAGCCUAAAUAUGAUAUCAAUAAUGGAUAGACGCUAUCUCGAAAGCUAAGGUAACAAAAACCCUCUUUGACAAGAUAACCUUUUCAAACUAAGAAUCUCUGAACCAGUGUCCGUUGGAUAGAUAGUGGUAAUGAUAUGACUACCCUCCAUGUAAUGAACUGAGGAAGAUCACCACUCGGGGUGGAAAGAAUAUGAAGCAAAACAAGUAGUAGAUAGAAUAAAGAAGAAUAGAUGAAGAACACAACCAAUGAGAUACAAUGGAAUGCAGUGAUGCAAUGAUGAGAAGAGAUAAUGAGAAGAAUGUGCCCCUCGGUCCAAGGCUCAUGAAACUUCCAAACAAUGAAUGCAUACACCAAAAGGGCCCCUAUCCCGGUGUGAAAAUGUGAGCAAGGCGAUAAGAAAGAAAUGCUAUAAUGCUCAUGCGAGGCUCAAUGGGCUAGCAACAGACUAUAUAUCAAAAGGGAAUAACAAGGUAUAUGGCUAACUGAAAUGACGGCCACCAUCCUACGACCAUGGUGUCAAACAUAGUACCUCUUUAGCUGAUCCAUAUUGGUCGGCUUUGAGAAUCGGUUUCCAUCUAAAUCCAUCAACCAUGCAACAUCCUCUGGGGUCAACUCCCUGAUGAAGUAAGGUUCGCUCCAGUUGGGUCUGAACUUCUUUCUAGGAUCUCUGAUCAAUCCCCUGAUGAUCUUCAGAACCAAGUCACCUAUCCGUAGUGGUCAGAGCUUGACCUGCUUUUUGAAAGUGCGGGCCAUCUUCCUCUGAUAUGCACGAAUGUGGUCGGCUGCUCUCAAUCUCCUCUCAUCUUGGAGAUUGAGCUGAUCAAAUCGAGACUGAGCCCAAUCUGCCUCGAGCAUCUGUUGCUCUAAUGCUACCCUCAAUGAACCCAACUCUAUCUCGACUGGUAGCACUACCUCCAUAUUGUAUACCAAAGAGUAGGGUGUGGCUCCUGUAGAGGUGUGAAAAGAAGUCCGGUAAGCCCACAAUGCGAAAGGAAGCUUCUCAAACCAAUCCCGAGAAGUCUUGAUCAUCCUCCGCAAGAUCCUCUUAAUAUUCUUAUUCACGGUCUCUACUGCCCCGUUCGUCUGCGGCCUGUACGCAGACGACCUAUGGUGUCGGAUGCCAUAUUACCGCACUAAAGUGUCAACCUCUGCCCUGAAAUGUACCCUUCUAUCCGAAAUCAGCUCAUGAGGGACUCCACAGCAACAGAUAAUGUGUGACCUGAUGAAACUAGCCACUCCAGAUGAUGUCAAUCUCGCAUACGAAGCGGCCUCCACCCACUUGGUGAAGUAAUCGAUGGCGACCAGGAUGAACUCAUGACCACUGGAAGAUUUCGGCGAAAUCUUUCCGAUGAUGUCAAUACCCCAUACAGAAAAUGGUCAUGGUGAAGUCAGUGCAUGCAACUCCGAGGACGGCACGUGAAUGAGAUCUCCAUGUAUCUGACACUCGGGACAUCUCUGAACAAACUGGAAACAAUCUAUCUCCAUGGUCAACCAGAAAUAGCCAAUCCUCAUGAUCUUACGGGCCAACAUAUGUCCUCCCAUAUGUGGUCUGCAGACUCUUGCAUGAACCUCUCUUAUCACUCUAUUGGCAGAGGCUCGGUCCAAGUACAAUAAUAGCAUCUCGUCAGCCGAUCGUCUAUACAAUGUCUUGCCACAAAUCACCAAUCCGGUGGCUAACUGUCUCAAUGAUCUCCUAUCCUUGGCCAUGGCAGUCUCAAGAUACACGCCAAGUCUCAGAAAGUGAUAUAUGUCAUGGUACCAGGGCAAACCAUCAUCUAUCUCCGUAUCAUCAAUUAGACAACAGUACGCAAGAGCAGAUCUCGACUCGAUCAACAAUGGGCGAACGGUGACAUCAGUAGGAAUGUCAAUCAUGGAAGCUAGAGUAGCUAAGGCAUCAGCAAACUGGUUCUGCGCUCUAGGCAGAUGGGUAUAUAUCAAAUCAUCGAAUCUCCCAACCAGUAGCUUUAAAUAUGCGUGGUAAGGCCUAAGCUUCACAUUUCUAGUCUUCCAUUUGCCUUGAAUCUGUCUCAAUACUAAAUUGGAGUCACCAAACACCUCUAUCUGUCUAAUCCCGAGCUCUAGGGCCGUUUCUAAUCCCAAGAUACAAGCCUUAUAUUCAACAAUGUUGUUCGUGGCAGGAUGUCGAUCCCAGAAUGCCAAACGAACAGAUCUGGGAAUGUGAUCACCAUGAGGGGAUAUCAACAAGACGCCUAUCCCGUAUCCAGAAUGGUUGGCUGCACCAUCAAAGUACAUGCGCCAACCUGAUAAACUGGUCACAACAGCCACAUCCUCGUCCGGGAAGUCAUCAUCAAUGGCUCUGCCGUCGGAAACUGGUAAAGAAACUAGGUGAUCCACGACAAUGCUCCCUUUGAUGGACUUCUGAGUGACAUAAUGGAUGUCAAACUCGAUUGGAAGUACCAACCAUCUUAUGAGGCGACCAACUAAGGCGGGUUUGUCAAACAAAUAUCUCAGAGGAUCUAAAUGGGAUAUCAAGUGCACUAAAUACUCUAUCAUAUAAUGUCUCAGUUGGCGUGUGGCCCAAACCAAUGCCAAACAGUAACACUCAAUCAUGACAUAUCUUGUCUCAUAGUCUAGCAUCCUCUUACUCAUAUAAUAAAUAGCUCGGUCCUUGCCUGAAUCAUCAAGCUGAGCUAACAUACACCCCAAUGCUACGUCUGAAACUGAUAGGUAUAGGAGUAAGGGACGACCUGGUGUAGGAGGCGCCAAGACUGGAGGUGACAACAAGUACUCUCUGAUCCUCUCAAAUGCACGCUGACACUGAUCAUCCCAAAUAGUAGGUUGACUCUUCCUCAAGAGUCGAAAAAUGGGCUCACAGAUGUCUGUCAAUCUGGCAAGGAAUCUGCUGAUGUACUGAAGUCUACCUAGGAAGCCUCUGACCUCUCUCUCUAUCCUCGGUGCAGGCAUGUCAAGAAUAGCUUUGAUCUUAUCCGGAUCUACCUUUAUGCCUCUUUCAUUGACCAUAUAUCCAAGGAGUUUCCCAGAAGUCACUCCGAAAGUGCACUUCUUGGGAUUGAGUCUCAAUCUGAAUUGUCUAAUCCUCUCAAAGAACCUCUCCAGAGCUGUCAGGUGAUCUGGUCUAUCUUGGGAUUUCACUAUCAUGUUGCCUACAUAAACCUCGACAUCCCGAUGCAUCAUGUCAUGGAAGAGGGUGGUCACCGCUCUUUGAUAAGUGGCUCCUGCGUUCUUCAAUCCGAAUGACAUGACUCUAUAGCAAUAAGUACCCCACUCGGUAAUGAAAGACAUUUUCUCCAUGUCCUCUAAAGUCAUUAAGAUCUGAUUGCAUCCGGAAAAUCCGUCCAUAAAGGACAACAUCGAAUGACCUGCCGUACUGUCAAUUAGCAUGUCGAUGUGUGGAAGAGGAAAAUCAUCCUUAGGAUUGACCUUGCUGAGGUCUCGAAAAUCAACACAGACUUUCACCUUGCCGUCCUUUUUGGGAAUAAGGACGACAUUGGCCAACCACUCCGGGUACUCGACCAUUGAAAAAAAUCCUACACUAAGUUGCUUCUGAAUCUCCUUAUUUACCUGCAAGCUCCAACGAGGAUGCAAUCGUGUCAACUUCUGCUUAACCGGUCUGAUAUGGGGCAGAAGUGGCAAACGAUGCUGGAUGAUAGAUGGAUCAAGGCUUGGCAUAUCCUCAUAGGACCAUGCGAAAAUGUCCAAGUAUGCUAUGAGCAACUGGAUGAGGCUAUCCCUUUCAUCAACAGAUAAAUCUGAUCCGAUCCUUAACUCCCUAGGCUGAUCUGCUGUGCCGAAAUAAAAAAUCUCUAUGUCCCCUACAACAUGUGAAACUCUCUGAUCAAUGGGAUCCGAAUCGGAAAUAGAAGAUGAGUCAUCGUCUGAAUCAUGCUGUGCAAUCUCAUCAUCAAUGUCAAAAAUCUAUGAUGUGGGUGAGGAUGGUGCGGGUAAAGCAAUAACAUGAGAGACAGACAAAUACUAAAAAAUGCUCAAAUCCAUAGAUGAAGAGUCAGAAACAUCGUCAUGACGGGAGACAAAUCCCGAUAAGACAUUAAAGGAAAGAGGUGGGUCCACAAAGUUGGACGCUCUCUUAACUAAGCCAACAAGGCCAUCAAACAAGCCAUCAACAACUAUAACAUCCUCAGCAAUCUCCAGAACGGGGGCGACCUGGAUCUCCUCGACAAUCUCGAGGAUGGACACCCCGAAGAGAUCGAAUGGUGAAGCGAGCUCAAAUGGGGCUAUCUCCUUGAUUUGGCUCAAGCUCAUCGCGAUCAUCUCAUCAACAUACUCGUCAUGUGGCACGACUUUGUCUAAUAUGUUGCUGCUCUCGAAAAAUGUCCAGUAAUCAUCGAUCUCAUCCGAGAAGCAAAGCGUCAUAAGGCUCGUGCGAUCUGGGGAGGAAGGAGUGAUCAACGCAGAAGUUGAAGGGCCAGGGGCUCCGUCACUCAAUCGUAACUGUCGGACGAGGCGCUGAAGCUCGGCCUCCUGGGUGGUGCUAAGUCCUCCGAUGAUCCCAUCAGAUAGUGCAUGUGGCUCCGACGCCCUCACAAAGUAAUCUGUUAGGCUCAUGGUAUAUGGGUGAACAGGAUAAUAAAAUGGAAUAUGGGUCAGUCGAGCCCUCACCCUCUCCUUCGGCAAUCGCUCCAUAUUACGAUAAUCAGCCUCAGUGGGGAUGAACCUGAGUCCGAAUGCUACGUCGUGAUCAAGGAAGGUCAUGAACUCACUAGGCCCGUACUGACGCUGCCCUAACCCCAUGCCGGGAAGAUAAGACAUACCCCUCAUCAUGUCAAGCACUAGAUACUGUGCUGGUCGAAAGAUAUGGCUACAAAGUCUCGACAGAAAUCCUCUAUCUCCAAAGUCUGCACCUCGUCGAAGGUGAAUCCGAUCAAAAAAAGAUAGUCAUCAGUGUGACUAAUCUGAAGUACAGGCUUGGCAGAAAUGAACACAUCUCCUAUAGACUGCACCACAACGGCCUGGCCAUCAUGAAUAAACUUCACCUUCUAAUGAAGGGAAUAAGGAAUGGCCCCAACUCUAUGGAUCCAUGGUCGGCUCAGAAGUAGGUUAAAGGAUGUAGGAAUCCUCAAAACCUGAAACACGACAACAAAAGUGGUCGGACCAAUCAAUAGCUCAAUCUCCAAUGUACCCAUGACCUUCCUCUGAGUACUAUCAUAUGCGCGAAUGGUCUGAGUGGAGGGACCGAAGUCAGAUGGUGCGUAGCCGAGGGCAAUGGCAGUGGAAAGAGGACAGACGUUCAGGACCAAGCCAUUGUCCAGAAAGAUAGAUGGGACUCGGCGGCCUGAACAAUCGACAGAUAUAUAAAGUGGACUUGUGUGGUCCGAGCCCUCCGUGGCAAGUCAUCAUCGAAGAAUACAAUGCAUGUGGCUCUGCUGGCCGUCAUCAUAUGAAUCAAUCUCUUAGGAGAAGUGGUAGUAUCGACUCUGAUCUGGUUCAAGGCUCGAAUCAGAGCAUCACGGUGAGUGCUCAAGGAUGCCAACAGGCUCUAGAUGGAAAUACGAGCUUGGGUGCUCUGUAGCUGUCUCAAAAUCUCGUCAUCCUUUACUCUGACCUCCUCGAGAGCAGAUAUACCCUCAACUAACCUAGCUGCUACGGGAGGUGGCUGUCGCAACACUCUACCUCAUUGGAGAAUAUAAUGAACAUCUAGAGUCUGAGAAUCAUCAACACGCGGAGCCUGAACCUCCUCAACAUCCGGGAUCAAGAUGAAUGAAGUCUGGACGCUGUAAUGUGGAAAAAUCAAUGGCUCAACAAUGGUAGUCUGUACCGAUGCCGCCCUGGGAACUAAUUCGAAUGAAACGGGCAUCCAAGGCCCCAAAGUCGCUUUGUCCAUCUCAUAAAUACCAUUUGACACAAUAGGCUCUGGGUUUGAAUCAUCCGAACUAAGCAUAUGAACGUGAUCAUCAAGCUCAACGAAGUCCAAGAAAUGUAUGCCAUCGGCCGGUGGAGGAACGACAUGUGUAGUGUGGGCAGGUAAUGGGUUUGUGGUCACAUUCAGCUGACCCUGACCCAAGUGCACCAAACCUUGGUUGAUCAAAUCCUGAACGACAUGCCUCAAAGCAGUUCAUCGAUCGGUCUCACGUCCAGGCCCUUGAUGGUAUGCACAGUGCAAAUCCAUCCUGAACUGAGGUGGAAUAGGCUGAGGAGGUGGCCUAGGGGUGAGAGCAGUCAAUAACCCGGCCUCUGUAAGCUUCCGAAGAGCCUGGCUCAAUGGCAUGCCUAAUUGUGAGAACUACCUCUGCGUCCUCAAAGCAAAUGGAGCAGAAGCCUGCUGAGCUCUGGGUCGGGGAUAAGAAGUUAUGGGUCUCGUAGUGAACUGAGCAGCAUAGCACGAUUGUCCUAUGGCCUUGUAUGAGACAGGUGACCUCUCGAUGCCUUGGGUGGCAUAGUAAGGCAAAGCCAAAGUCUGUGGCAUAUAGGACUAAUCAUGAGUCGGACGAGGCGCCCGUGGCCUAUACUGCUGAAGUGGAUAUGAAGGAUGAGUCUCUAGAAGCUGUGGGACCGACUGAUGGCGCCUGAGAGGUCUUUGACUAGAAGAACCGAUAGCGCUCACAUCAACUGACCUCUGUCCUCCAAAGGGUUUCUUCCCCUUAACAUCACUAGGGGAAGAAUCAGUUCACAAUUAUCUCAAGAUGCCGUCCUCGACAUCGUACAAAGCCAAAACCAACGAACCAAAAUCUAUGAAGAGUACCCCAAUCACGUGUCUGGCAAUCCUGGGCUGUAGGCUCCUCAAAACCAUCUGUAUCUGAUCUCUCUCUAGAGGCCUGUCAAUGGUCUCGGCAAUCUUCCUACGCCAACGGGAGAUGAAGGAUGAAACUGACUCAUCUAUCCUCUACCUCAGAGCCUCGAGCUCUCUCCUUGAUACAUCCAUCAUAGUGUUAAACGAAAACUAUCAUAAGAACUCCUAGGCCAAGUCGUCCCAUGUCCGGCAUCGUGAAGACUCUAGGAAUGCGAACCAGCGCUGGGCUGCCCCACUUAGAGAUAGCGGGAACAAAGUGAUCAUCUAUGACUCAUCCAAUCCGUGUGCUCUCAUCACUGUGCUAUAGAGUCUGAGGUGGAUGCGAGGACAACCAAUGCCCGUAUACCUCUCAAUGUCCAGCAUCCUGAACUGAGCCGACAAACUGGCCACCAGCAUACCCUCAAGAUCAUCCCAAAUAGCUGAUCCAUCUGACACUCUCAUCUACCUCAUAUGCUGCUCGAUACGGUCCAUAUGUGCAUGAGCGUCAUUAGUGACUGUGGUCUGAACGAUUGCAGGUGGGGCAACCUCAGAAUGCCCAUGCAAUACAUAAGGUGAGGCCUGAGGCACCAUUGGAACAGGUGGUGGCAGUGGCUGUGGCAACGAAUCAUGAAGAGUCUCAUCAUGAACUACGAGUGGUCUGCUCUACUGGCUGCCAAUCUCCUGCCUGAGGCUAGCCAAAGCCUCUUGGAUAGAAGCCAUGACGGUCGUAAACUGAUCCACUGUAACAACCUAUUGAUCCAUACUCAAUCUCUCGGAAUACCGGACUAAUCUCCCCUCUACUCUAACCCAAGAAGACGUAUCCAGACUACGAACAAAGAUUUGAUCCUAAAAGCGCGAAGAAAUGAAUAAGGAUAUGGGACGAAGAAAGCACAGAAGAAAUGAUAAUCUGAAUGGAAACAAGCAAGACAUCUAAGUGAAGGUAGACUUUCUGACCAUACUCAAACUCAUACUAAUCUCUGUACACUUUCAAUUGAAGACUAAAAAAGGAGUAUCGGAAUCCAAACUGUGGCUACAGAGGCUUUGAAAGUUCUCAGAUGCACCCACAUGUAGGGAGUGAACCCUAAUCGAAUGAUCUACGGCUCAACCUACGAGGUCAAGGUGGCUCUAAAUGGAUAUGAGUGGGCUUUAAAAGAUCCCUUAAGCAGAGGCGAUCAUACUGAUUACUACUCAAAAAGUGCUAUUUGAUAGCUUAUAAUUAAUCCUUUUAAACACUUUUGAGUAGUAGUUUAGGCCUUUUAACUCAAUUGGCAUGUUAAGGACCCUUGAAAGGAAUUUUAAUCACUUUGUGUAAGUUUUGGUGUUUUUGUUAGUAAUUUGAUCAUCAAAGCAAGUCAAGACUGAGGAGAGCUAUGAGGAAUCUUGGGCAAAGCUUAGAAGUCAUUUGCCAAGAGUAAAUCCGGAUUGCAAGGAGAAAAAGUAAAGAGAAUCUGCCAAGAAGCAUAUUCUUGAUGACAGUCGUAUCAGCCACUUUUGGAGCCUCUUAUGAGGUCCAAUUGAUGCAUGCUAUAUACCAUUUCAAAGCUCAGGAAGUCAACAAUCCAAUGCUACAAACGGUGUAUAAUUCAGAGUUGAAACGAAGAAGUUGCAGCCAUUGCAAGCCAAUCACUCCGAGCUGAAGGAAGCAUUUUGCAAAGUGCUGCGAAAUCACCCUUUUGUUGCGAAGUGAUUCCGCAGCCUUUUUGUACAGUAGGGUGUAUUUCCUUCUGAAGUUGCCCGACAUAUACCGCGAGAGGGAAGUUGGGAACCUCAAGGUGGAAGCCAACUUCGCAGCCCUGCGAAGAUAGCAUGUUGUUGCGAAAUGAUUUCGCAGCCCUCUUGAGUGUCUGAGAAAUCUCGCAGACACCAUUUUCUCUUGCGAAAUGGUUCCUGGAGCCUCCCGAUAUUUGCUACCGACAUUGGGAGAUAUUUUACAUCAGAUUUUUGUUGUCUAAAUCCCAAAAUACUCCUUGUAAGCCACCAAUUACAAGAUUCCUUAGCUUUUAAGUUAGUAAAAAGAGAAAAUAUCUAUGUAAUAAUUAGUUUUAUAUUAUGUUCAUAUAUAUACCUCUCGGGAGCCUGUUCUCAGGGAGGAGAUCCUUUUGUAAAGUUUUGGGUAAGCAAGUAAAGUUUAUUUUUUUCUACUGCCUUACCUUCUCACUUUGUAUUUUUUAGUUAAUACUAAGUUAUGAACUCUCUGAGGAGUUUUCCCCAGAGAAUGAGUAACUAAACCUCUAAUUCCUUGGAGCUAAGGUUGCCGGGGAAGGUUCCAAGUGCAAGAAUGCAAAGCUUUGUGGUUUUAGCUAGUAAUGAAGAGGAAGUGAAAUCCUUUAGUGAUUUCUAUGUUUUUAGUUAACUUAAAACACCUUAGAGUCACCUGGGCCAACACUUGGUAAGGCAAGUGAUUUCCAACCAUGGAAAUGCACUAGUUUACCCCUUGCAAGCCUCUGGUAGGUGACUUCAGGGUAGGAUUUUCUAGAAUAGCCAACACUUGAUAAGCUUUUGGACUCCAAGGAGACAUCCAUUAGUUAUCUCUUGCGAGCUUUUGACGGGUAAUCCAAGGUUAAGGAUCACCUUGAAUGGUUAAGGCUUAGUGAGAGGCUUAAACCAUUGCAAGUUGCAUCAGUGAGAGAAUUAAAGUGAAAUCUAAUUGAAGGAUGAAUCUGUACAACACCAGCUAGAGAAUUGACUAUAUGUUGAAUCUCUAACGCGAGGAAAGGAACCAUCUGACCGGAGCUAGGUCUUUUGCAUAAGGAACCACCCCAGUGAACCUAACUCUCCAAGGAAUGCUUUUCUUCCUAAGUUAUUCCGAGUACUUGUUAUGUUAGUUAGUUUAAAUCUUUACCAAUCAAAGUUUGUGUUUUAUGUCUUAAGCUAACCUUGAAAUGAAACAAGACCAAUUCACUUGGAAUUGGUAUCAUUGAUAGCUUGCUAAUCCUUCCCAGUGAACGAUCCUAGAGCCGCUAUACUAUAGUAGCUUUUUCUUUGCUACCCUAGUAUAUGGUGUUAUAGGUUAUAAAUUUUGUUGAUUACUCCCUCAAUCAAGGAGCACCAGCUGGACACGAAUCAGCUGAGACACCAAUUGGGCACGAAUCACAUACCCUCCGACAGUAUGCAACCCUCUGUACGUCUCCGAAGAGACGGGGCGCUUCCAUGCAAGGUGGUCAUCACCUCCACACAUGCACUAUCUCGACAUCCCAAGGGGGUUUCCUAUGGUGAAAACCUCUCAAACUCGCAACGCUCAAUGGUCAACUAGAGUGCACAGUGAAUGGUGCGGGUGCAUCCAAAAACCCUAGGAAGCUAAAACAGAAAGAUGAAACACACUGGCCGCACAAAUAUCCAUGAGACCUAGCUCCGAGCUAUACGAGUCUUCAAUGAUCGGACUCCAAUCGACAUCAAAGUGUCGCUCUCCUCCAGAAUGCUCCCAUACAUUGAUAUAGCCUGUCGCUAAACCCUACUCCUAAUCUCUGGCUCGGUCAGAGAAUAAGCACACAGAGGGCCUCACACUUGCAAUAGUGAGGACCAGAAUGAAGGGAAUGACCGAGACCAAGAGAUUUGGAGGUAGGGGGAUAGAUGUGCGGCCCACAUAGACAGGCGACAUGCAAUCAAGCAGAGGAAGGGUAGUCAUGCGACAUGCAGUUAAGCAGUAGACAGAAUACAUCACUUAUGCACACACACAAACUAUGACGAUCAGGAUGAAUAGCGACACGAACAUCAUGCUCAAAGACAAUCAAGAUAGUAUACAAGCCAAAGAAAACAACAUGGCAAGUCAAGCGAUGUGCAAUAGUGAGUCUAUAUAUGUGAAGUAAGUAGAACAAUCAGGAAGAAUCAGAAUCGCUAUACCAAGCAAAACAAGAUGAGCAGUCUAUGAUAAUCAGCAUGUUAAUGUACUAAACUAAUAUAGCAAUGAAGCACAGAAAAAGUGACAUCCGAAACCCCAAUCAAGAUAAUUGAUAUAUCAAUGUCCCAAUACAAUAUCCAAGCAUGCAUAAAAAAACUCUCAAUGUGCAAUCAAGAGACAAGUACUCAUUGAUUGACUCAUCAAAUACCACAUUUGCUUCAUCCUAAGUUCAAGCUUGACCCUCUAAAUGAUCCCCAACGGAGUCGCCAUUUUGUGGACCCUGUAUUUCGGCUCAUGCGAUUUCCACUCAAUGGCGAGCUCGAUUUUUAUUUGAAAAUGAUUUUAUUUAUUAAAAAAAAAAUAUGACUUGGAGUCACCACUUAUUUUUGUUUUAUUUUUAAAAGGGUAAACAAAAUAAGAAAGAAAACCCUAAGUGUGACUCCUUAUUUUGGAAAAUAUGAUAUGUGAAAAACCGGAUCGGGCUCGGGGGUCAGGCUACUUAUCGAGAAGGUACAGUAAAAACCAUAGCACCCCUCUAAGUCCCUAAAGUUGGGUCUCUACUAACAAAAUGAAGUUGAUGUGGUGAUCAAUAGGAAAAUCAAUGGAUACUCAAAUCGACCAUGCACAUAUGGGAUCAAAACAUGCAUAAAGAAUGACCAGAAUGGGAGUUGAUGCGUACCUGGGCCACGAACGAGCAAUGCGCUAUCAUAAAAAUGGGGUCGGUGUACAAUAAAGAGCACAAAACAUAUCACACGCGUCACCAAAUAGAACUUAAAAUUGUUCAAGGGAAAACUAGAUUUUUUAAAUUUUAUUUGAAAAUUGGAGUCUUAGAGAUUAUUUGAAAAUUGGAGUUUUAGAGAUUAUUUGAAAAUUGGAUUUUUAGAAAUUAAAUAUAAGAAUGAGAAUUUUAGAAAUUAAAUUUGAAAAAAAUUGGAAUUUUGAAAAUUAUUUGAGAGGUUGGGGGUUUUUUUUUUUAAAAAAAAAUUAAAUUACGGAAAUUGGGACUUUAGAAAUAAAAUUUUGAAAGAAAUUAGAAUCGAAAAUUGUUUGAGAAGCAGAAACUAUGAAAAUUGAAUAAAAAAAUUGGAAAUCUUGAAAAUCAUUUUAAAGCAUAAUUUUUAGAAAUAAAUGAAUAAAAUGAUAAUAAUAAAUAAGUAACGGAAUAAAUGCGAGAAUUGGAACAUUGGAAACUGAAAAAAAUUAAGUUCGGAAAUUGAAAAAUUGGAAUUUCAAAUAACUAAAUUUGGAAAUCGAAAUUUUAAAGAAUUAUUUAAAGACGGAAUUUCAAAUAAAUGAAUAAGUGAUUAAAUAAAUUAAUGAAAUAAUAAUAAUGACGAAAUAAUAAAGAUUAGGUAAAUAAUUGCGAAAAAUAGAAUUUUAGAGAUUGAAGAUUGAAUUUAGAGAUUGAAAAUUUGAGAAAUUAUUUAGAGAUGAGAUUUUAAAUAUAUGAAUAAGUGAAUAAAUAAAUGAACAUGAUAAUAAUAAUAACGAAAAUAAUCAUUUAACAACUGAAUGUGAAUAGUGAAAUUUUUUAGAUUGGAAAUUAAAUUUGAAAAACGGAAUAUUGAAAAAUUGAACUUUAAUUAUUAGAAUUUCUAAAAUAAAUGAAUGGAAUAAUAAUAAUAAUAAUGAAAAUAAUAUUUAAAUGAAUGAAAGUGAAUAGUGGAAUUUUUUAGAUUGAAAAUUAAAUUUGAACGUCAGAUUUUUCAAGAAUUGGACUUUAGUGAUUGAAAUUUUUAAAAGAAAUAAAUAAAUAAAUAUGGAAUAACAAUAAUAAUUAACAAAAAUAAUAUUUAAACGGAUGAAAGUGAAUAGUGAAAUUUUUUAGAUUGAAAAUUAAAUUUGAAAGUUAGAUUUUUGAAGAAUUGAACUUUAAUGAUUGAAAUUUUUUAAAGAAAGAAAGAAAUAAAUAUGGAAUAAUAAUAAUAAUAAUGAAAAUAAUAUUUAAACGAAUGAACGUGAAUAGUGGAAUUUUUUAGAUUGAAAAUUAAAUUCGGAAGUCAGAUUUUUGAAGAAUUGAACUUUAAUGAUUUGAAUUUUUAAAAGAAAUAAAUAAAUAAAUAUGGAAUAAUAAUAAUAAUAACAAAAGUGAUGUUUAAACGAAUGAACGUGAAUAGUGGAAUUUUUUUAGAUUGAAAAUUAAAUUCGGAAGUCAGAUUUUUGAAAAAUUGAACUUUAAUGAUUGGAAUUUUUUUAAAGAAAUAAAUAAAUAAAUAUAGAAUAAUAAUAAUAAUUAACAAAAAUAAUAUUUAAAUGAAUGAAAGUGAAUAGUGGAAUUUUUUAGAUUGAAAAUUAAAUUUGAAAGUCAGAUUCUUGAAGAAUUGAACUUUAAUGAUUAGAAUUUUUUUAAAGAAAUAAGUAAAUAAAUAUGGAAUAAUAAUAAUGAUUAACAAAAACAAUGUUUAAAUGAAUGAACGUGAAUAGUGAAAUUUUUUUAGAUUGAAAAUUAAAUUCGAAAGUCAAAUUUUUGAAGAAUUGAACUUUAAUGAUUGGAAUUUUUUAAAGAAAUAAAUAAAUAAAUAUGGAAUAAUAAUAAUAAUUAACAAAAAUAAUAUUUAAAUGAAUGAAAGUGAAUAGUGGAAUUUUUGAGAUUGAAAAUUAAAUUUGAAAGUUAGAUUUUUAAAGAAUUGAACUUUAAUGAUUGGAAUUUUUUAAAUAAAUAAAUAAAUAAAUAAAUAAAUAUGGAAUAAUAAUAAUAAUUAACAAAAAUAAUAUUUAAAUGAAUGAAAGUGAAUAGUGAAAUUUUUGAGAUUGAAAAUUAAACUUGGACCUUGGAGAACUAGACCUAAAAUUAGAACCUUAGAAAAUUAUUUCAUGAAUGGAAACUUGGAAAACCGAUUUUUUUUUUUGUUUUUUUAAAAAGAAAACAAAGUUUAGGUAAAUUGAAUUUUCGAGAAUCAAAAUUUUAUAAAUCGAAUUUAAAAUUAAAUUUUAGAAAAUUAUUUCGAAAAUGAUAUUUUGUAUAAUUAAAUUUAAAAUCUUCAUAAAAAUCAUAUUUGUAUCAUUAGAAAAAGGACUUAAGAGGGCCAAAUACUUGGCCCAUUAGGGCCUACACUAAUCUGGCCUAAACUUAGAGGAUGGGGCUUAAGGCCCACCUGAACCAAUCUAGGCCCACAACUUAAAGCUUUGGGAGCCCACCAACAAAAUGGCUACCAUGAAGAUCAAAGGGUGCCACCUCCUCAUUUUUUAAAAGCUAGAGGGAUGGCUAAUGGGUAGCAGGUUAGCGGUGAAGAAUAGGGCCUGCAUGUCGAUGAUGGCUGUGAUGAAAUAGAGGAAUGGAGUGGGAGUUGCUGCCCAUGAACUACCGCGCGGGCAAGCGGACAAGAGCAUGGGUGCGGUGGAGGGCUUCGUCGUCUUCACCGCCAAGCGCCACUACCUUACCGCCACAAGUGCCGGAGGAGGUGAAACAGAAAGCGGAGAAGGGGACAACUGCUCCCCCGCCGACGCUAUCGUCCAUUUUAAUGACGACUCUUGGAGGCGAACCCAGCGGCACCUCUCUCGGCCAUUUUCACGAACCCUUCACGCUCUGCUCGGAGCUUCUUGAUGCUGCCUUUGAUGCGACUUUGGAGCUACGUCGGCGUGGCUGCGGGAGUGAGGAAGACUGCCACCUUAGGAUCUUUUGGAUCGAGCGGCCCAACCUUGGCUGUUAGGCGGUAGUUGUGUGGCUGUCCAUGAAGGAUGGGAACGUGGCAAUGGAGGAAAAUGGGUACAUAAAAAAAAAGGUGGGUAUGAAAGGUAGUGAAGGCAUGAAGGGUGUUUAACUUUGGAUUUGGGUCCAUGCGCGUGGAUAAAGUUGAUGGUGAGCAUAUGUUGGAGGGGGUUCUCGGUAGACAAGAGUCUAAGAUUUUCAUGGAAGUUUCAAAUGGAUCCUCAGGAACAGAGCAGGUUCCAAAGUCAUGCUAAAUUCAUUUUCUUGCUAUACCCGGUGGGUGAGGCGAACAACGAGCAUCCAUGCUAUUAAAUGAAUAUCAAAAUAAAUAAAAAAAUUUGAUACCUUACUCAUUUAUAAGAGAAAACGAAGAAGCGAAAAAGAAGAACAAAACAGAGCAAGUGAAGCGAGCUUAGGCUCAACAAGGUCCAAUCCUCAACAAGUGACGUUCAAGACCAGCAAUGGCAAAUGAGGAAGAAUAAAAAAUAAAAAUGAAAUGAAAUAAAAGAAAUCUGAAAGCAAAGGCAUCCAAUAUGGCCAUACCUGAGUUUCCCUAGUGAAGCUUUGUCUCGCUUCCUUUGACUGGUUUUUUUCUCCAGCUGCUUUCCCCCCUUCUGAAAAGUCCUUCGUUCGAGCUCACCCUUUUUUCUCUCUCCUCUCGUCUGGCUUCUCCUCCAAGCUAUUACCCACUCCCUUGUUCACCGAUCAGCAAGCAUGUCAUCUUCAACCACCACCAUGGCUAGCAAUGCUCCUUACCACCCAUCUAUGCAAUUGGUUCUCGGCAUAAGGAAGGGUUCCCCCACUCGUCUAAGGUGCUGCCCGCUCCUCCAGGUGGUGAGAAAGCAUCCUCCUAAUGCUAUAAAAUCCCUCAAAAAAACUAAUAGCCUUUAGUUUUUAAAAAGGGGUCUACACAUUUAUAAUUACUAAAUAAAUUAUUUUAAUAUACAAAUUAUUACUCUUUCUUUUUAAAUUGAUUAAUACUAAAAAAAAAUAUAUCUCUUAAUGUUGAAAUUUUUAUUGAAAUUUAAUUUUUUUUUUUAUUUUAUUCCUUUUACAAUGAAAUUUUAAAUUAAAUAUUAAUAUUUUUAAUUUUAAAAUUUAUAUAAUAAAAUUAAUUUAAAAAUUAAAAUAAAAUAUUUAGUAGUAUUUGGGCUUUGUAGUAUUGAAACUUUGGUAUAAGAAAUUUGAAAAUACUUCUAUAAUUAUUAAAAAAAAUUAGUAGAAUAAGAUAGUCCUUUCAACAUAAUUGAGACAUUAAAUUUUAAGCACUCUAAAAUUAUAAUCUUUACAAAUAAUAAAGAAGUUUUUGCAUCGAGACCAACUGAAUAUGAUUUGUAUGUUCUUAAUUUUCAUUUUCUUAUCUUUUAUCUUCCUAUACCUACAAGCCUAUUUAGAGAAAGACCUUUUAUUGAAAAAUGAGAGUUCAGAGUUAUUUCCCUUUGAAAAUAGAGUGGAUCGGAAGGUCUUUAUUAAAUAUAGGGUUUCUUCUAAAACGAGAUGAAGUAAAUUAGCAACUCUGAACAAUCUGAAGGAAAAGGAAUUUGAGUUAAGUUGAUGGGGCGUGCGACACUUUAUUAGGACUUUAAGAGAUAUUUUCUCUUUCACGCUAUCCUUUGAAAUUGAGUUGUGUCCGUUUUCAACUUAAUUUUUUGCUCUCUGUUUUUCUAAUGAAAAUAUAUCUUUUGUUGGGAGAAAAUAUUUUGUUGAAUAUAUAUAUUCAAAUGGAAGGUAAGCAAAAAAAAAUGAUAAAAAAUGGGUGUGAUGAAAUUUCAAAUUAUUGAUCAUCAUAUGUAUUUAACCUAAAUCUUAAAAAAGUGAAUGAAAUUAACUCGUUAAAUUUGUUCAAUACCACUUUUUAUAAAUAAUUUUUUAAUCAUGUAGCAUUCAAAACAAAAAACAUAUAAUUAACGAUAACAUGAAAUUAUUAAAAUAUUUAAAAUUAAAUAAUAUAAAGAAACAAUAAAAUGGUUCAUUUAUAUUGUUAGAACCAUUGUUUUAAAAACUGGUCACUCCGAUCGGUCGGAUGGUCCAUCAAUGCCCUUUCCAGUCUGAUCUAGGGAAAUGGACAGAGACAACUGACAAUCAGACCAUCGACCAUUCUUCAUGGACCAGUCAAGGUCAAAACCUAAAUGGCCUUGCCCAAAUCCAUUAAUUCCUAACCCGUUUGCUUGUUCCCAAGGUUAACUGACAUACCAUCGACCAUUCUUCAUGGACCGGUCAAGGUCAAAACCUAAAUGGGCUUUGCCCAAAUCCAUUCAUUCCCAACCUAUGUGCUUGUUCCCAAGGUUUGUAAGUAUAAAUACCCAUCUAUUGGCCCAAAUUCAUUAUUUCAAGCCCAUUUGCUUGUUCUCAAGUUCUACAGGUAUAAAUACCCUAUAAGUGGUUUAUAGAUUUCCAAUGUGGGAUGAGUUUUGAUAAUAAUGAAAGGAGCUUUGCAUGGUGGGGAAUUGAACCUAGGACUUAUUUUUAACAAAAUGUUAGCACACCACUAUGUUACAAAGCUAUUUGAUUAAUAAUUUGAUAAAUAUCUAUAUAUCUGUUUUUUAAUUUCUAUCAUAUAAAACAUUUAAACAAAUAUAAAUAUUUAUAUCUACUAUUAUUUUUAUAAUAAUUAUACAUAUCCUAUUUAAUAAAAUUUAAUAUAUUAAUACAUUUAUAUUUAUAUUUAUCAUUUAAUUUGACAAAUUGAACAUAAAAAAUAAAAUAUUAUUAAAAUUUUUAAUAAAAUAUAUUUUAAUUUAUUUUAAUUUUAUUAAAAUAUAAAUUAUAUAUUUAUAAUGUCAUCGAUUUGAUCGCGGUUUGACCACUGGUUCAACUAGUGAACCAUGAACUGGUAACUUUUUCGGUUCAAUAUUCGAUCCAAUUUUGAAAACAUUAGUUAAAACUUUUUUAUUUAUAGAAAAUGGUAAUAUGCUUUAAAGUUGUAGGAUGUUAAAAGCCCAAAUACAUGCCUACAUAUUUUCUUAUUUAUCUCCUAGUAUUUUUACCAAGUGAUAGAUAUAUUGGUGGCCAAGCAUUAUCAUCAUCAUUAUUUAUCUCCUAACAUCUUUAUGAAGUGAUAGGUGUAGGAAGAGUGUAAAUAAUUUUUAUUUUUAUUUUAUUUUAUUCUAUUAGUUUUAUAUUUUUUGGGAAGAGUCCUAUUGGGAAUUAUUUUUAUUUUAUUUUAUUCUAUUAGUCUUAUAUUUUUGGGAAGAGUCCUAUUGGGAUUGUGCUAGUGGAGUCCCAUUCCUUUUAUAAGUAGAAUCCUCUUCCACUUUGAGUUAUCUUUUGAUUACAAGCAGAUUCCCAUUAGGAUUGUGUUAAUGACCUAUAAAAGCAGGUCACCUUUUGCUCUCUAUAUGCCAAUACCAAUUUUUCAAAGAAUUUUUCAGAGCGUUUUUCAACCAUCUAUUUGGAUGAAUUUUUUCAAAAACCCGAACUGUAUACAUCUCACUUACAGAAUGCACCCAAGGCGACAUCUAGGUGUUGAAUCCCGGAGAUAGACCAUUGGUACCCUAGUGUACCGAAUUUGUCUUCGAGUAGGAUGAAUCUAUUUCAAGGACAGUGUUUGUCAUGCCUCAUUCGAUAAGUUUUUCUUCUUAUUAAUUAUGUUCUUUGUUUGUGUCUUUUGGGCUAGUCAUUUGUUUCCAUACCCUUAAUCCAACAAUCUUGAAAUAUAUCCAAAUGUAAGCUUCUCUAGUUCACACCCAUCCUAACACCUCUAAAAUUGAUCCCUUCAAUGGGACAUUCUUUAAGAGAUGGCAGGAAAAGGUUUUCUCUACAAUUGAUGUAGUGAACUUAGGACACAUUUUGACUGACCGAAUACCAAAAGAUAGUUCUCAUUUGUUACCAACCUGGGAAAUUGGAAAUAAACAAGUUAGGCAUGCUAUUCUAAGUACCCUUUCUAAUGAACUUUUUGAUAUUUAUUGUCAAUUUAAAGUUGUAAAAGAAAUUUGGGAUGCAAUGAAUAAAAAAUAUAGUUUGGAAGAUACAGGAACUCAAAAAUAUGCCAUAGAGAAUUUUAAAAAUUUCCAAAUGACUGAGGAUAGAGAUGUAUCAUCUCAAAUCCAUGACUACCACUUGUUGAUUAAUGACUUAGCUAUUGAAGACAUUAAAUUACCCGAACCUUUUGUAGCUGGUUAUUUAGUAGAGACUUUUCCAGAGUCUUGGAAAGACUACAAAAAUAACAUGAAACAUAAAAGGAAACAAAUGUCCCUAGAGGAUGUCAUAAUCUAUAUUAAGAUUGAGGAACAAAACCGAAAUAGGGAUAAUGCUGAGAAAGUUAAGGACUUGUCUUCUAAGGCUAAUGUAGUAGAAGAAAAACCUAAACCCAAAAACAAUAGGUCCAGGAAACAAAACUCUAGGAACAAACCCAAUGCAUCAAACAAGAUCCAAAACCCAAUUAUUAAAAAGAAAAAGAAAAAGUAAGGAUCUUGUUUGACUCUAAUAAAAUAGUUUUAACCAAGAAUGAUGCAUUUGUGGGGAAGGGCUAUUGUAAUAAGGGUUUAUUUAUGUUGAAUGUUUAUGAUAUUAUCAAUAAUAAUGCAUCUUCUUCUUUUUCUGCUUACAUAGUUGAUUCUUGUGAUAUUUGGCAUGGUAGACUAGGACAUGUGAACUUUUCAUAUAUGAAGAAAAUGGUUGAAUUGAGUUUAAUCCCUAAAUUGUCCUUAGAAAACCAUGGAAAAUGUGAAUCUUGUGUAGAAUCUAAAACCACAAAGAAAUCUUGCAAAUCAGUUGAAAGAGAAUCAAAUGUACUAAGUUUAAUACACAGUGACUUAGGAGACCUAAAAAAUACAAUGACUAGAGGUGGUAAACGAUUCUACAUAACUUUCAUAGAUGACUACUCAAGGUAUACAAGGGUAUAUCUUUUGAGAAACAAAGAUGAAGCAAGAUAUGCUUUCAUCAAGUACAAAAAUGAAGUGGAAAAUCAACUAAGUAAGAAAAUUAAAAGACUUAGAACUGAUAGGGGAAGAUAGUAUGAGUCCAACCUCUUUAAUUCUUUUUGUGAAGAUCAUGAGAUCAUUCACAAAAAUACUCCUCCUUAUUCUCUUGAGUCUAAUGGAGUAGCAGAAAGGAAAAAUAAGACCUUAAAAGAAAUUAUGAAUGCAAUGUUGGUAAGUUCAGGAGCACCCUUGAACUUAGGGGGGAAGCUAUCCUAUCUGCAUGUCAUAUUCAAAAUAGAAUACCUUAUAAGAAAACUGGAAAAACUCCUUAUGAGUUGUGGAAGGGUUAUGCACCUAAUAUAGCAUACCUGAAAGUGUGGGGGUGUUUAGCUAAAGUUCUUUUCCCUGAACCUAAAAAAUGAAAACUAGGUCUUAAAACCUUUGAUGCAAUGUUCAUUAGCUAUGCUGAGAAUAGUGCGACAUAUAAGUUUCUUGUUACUAAGUCAGAAAACAGUCUUGUAGAUGUCAAUACUAUUAUGGAAACAAAGAAUGCAGAUUUCUUUGAAAACAUCUUUCCUAUGAAACUAAAUGGUGAACAACAAGUUUAGAAAACAAGUAGAGACAAGUCUAUUGAACCUUCUGAAUUUGAACCUAGAAGGAGUAAAAGUGAUAGGAAAGAAACAAACCUUGGAGAUGGUUUCUACACCUUCCUAAUAGAUGAGGACCUUAAUCCUACAAAGAAGCUAUAACUUUUCCUAAUGCGCCAUUUUGGAAAGAGGCCAUUAACAGUGAAAUCGAAUCAAUCAUGUAUAACCAUACGGGGAGUUAGUAGAUUUACCUCCUGGUACAAAGACUAUUGGUUGUAAGUGGAUCUUUAAAAGAAAGUUAAAAUAAGAUGGGUCCAUAGAGAAGUAUAAAGCUCAUUUAGUUGCCAAAGGCUUUAAACAAAGGAAAGAUGUAGAUUACUUUGACAACUUUGCCCUUGUGAAUACAAUAGCAUCAAGUAGAGUAUUGAUCACUCUAGCUUCCAUUCAUAAUUUGGUUAUACACCAAAUGGAUGUUAAGAUUGCAUUCUUGAAUGGGGAUUUGGAAGUGGAAAUUUAUAUGGAACAACUUGAGGGUCGUGUAGUUCCAGCGAAGGAGAAAAAGGUGUGUAAGUUGGUUAAAUCACUAUAUGGGUUAAAACAAGCUCCCAAACAGUGGCACAACAAGUUUGAUCAUGUGUUAGUAACUAAUGGAUAUUCCAUUAAUGAUGCUUAUAAGUGUAUCUACAGUAAGUAUGAGGAUAACACAUGUGUAGUCAUCUGCCUUUAUGUUGAUGACAUGCUGAUCUUUGGAACUAGCCUAGAGGUUGUGUGUGAGACCAAGAAAUUCCUAGGUCCUAAGUUUGAUAUGAAAGACCUAGGAGAGGCAGAGGUGAUUUUAGGAAUUAAAAUAACUAGAACACCUAAUGAGCUUAAACUUUCUCAAGAGCACUAUGUAGAAAAGAUCCUAAGGAAGUUUGAACGCUUUGAUUGUAAACUAGUGUCAACUCCUUAUGAUCCCAGCUCACUACUGAAGAAAAAUAAAGAACAUAGUGUUGCCCAAAUAGAGCAUGCUCAGAUCAUAGGGGACCUAAUGUACUUGAUGAACUGUACUAGACCUAACAUUGCUUAUGCAAUAGGUAGAUUGAGUCGAUACACCCAAAGUCCUAAUCAGGACCAUUGGACUAUUGUUCGUAGAGUCCUUAAGUAUUUGAGAGGCACCAUUAGUGAUUUAGUGGAUUUCCAAGUGUCCUUGAAGGAUUUAGUGAUGCAAAUUAGAUCUCGGAUUCAGAUGUGAUGAAAUCCACUAGUGGAUAUGUUUUCAUAUUUGGUGGAAGUAUAGUUUCUUGGAAGUUUACCAAGCAAACUUGCAUUACUCGGUAUACUAUGGAGGUUAAGUUAAUUGCCUUAGAAAAGACAAGUUUUGAGGCUGAGUGGCUUGAAAACCUCUUAGCAGAUAUCCCUUUAUGGACGAGACAAACCUCGCCUGUGUCUAUGCGUUGUGAUAGCCAAGCUACAAUUGCUAAGGCUAAGAGUAAAAUAUUUAAUGGGAAGAAUAGGCAUAUAUGGCUAAGGCACAAUAUUGUGCGGUAGCUUCUUGAAACGAAUUUGUGAGGUCAGAGUUGAAUUUGGUCGAUCCUUUGACCAAACCACUAAAUAAGAAACUAGUGGAAGAAACAUUGAGGGGGAUGGGGCUUAUGCCUAUUACAGAAGUUAAGAGUGGUGGUAACCCAACCUAUUAGAAUGGAAAUUCCAUGAAGUAGGUUCAUAUGGGUAAUAACAAAUCACUUGUUGACUUGAGGUGCUAUAUCAACUCUAAUUGUAUGAGGGUCUAUCCCUAUGGUGUAGAUAGAGCGUAUUUUGCAUUGAUUAAGGUUGAGUGUUUACUCUUAAUGAAUACCAUAUUCCUUAUGGAUGGUAUGUUUAAAUGCAUAACAUACUUGAUGGAUUCACCUAUAUGAGAGUGGAGCCGGGGCCGCUUCCUAUGAGAACUUAGGUAGUUUCUCUAGAACUCUCAUGAAUAUCCAGGUAGGGCGCAUGGCCUAUUUGUGCCAACCCAUUUUGUACAACUCGUAGUGUAAUUGAGAAAACCAAUGUGGAUAAAAGUUCAUUGAGUUACAUCAAGAAACACUGGUUCAUAGAAAUUUAUUUUCACCCUGUUUUGUGAUUCAAUACCUAUUUGUCUUAAGACUAGUUCAUAGCCUUUGGGUACCAGUACUAAUGCAUUGGAUUUUUUUUCCUCAAAAAAUAAAUAAAUAAAUAAAUAAUCACGUUUACACUUUGUGGGGGAUUGUAGGAAAAGUGUAAAUAAUUUUUAUUUUUAUUUUAUUUUAUUCUAUUAGUCUUAUAUUUUUGGGAAGAGUCCUAUUGGGAUUGUACUAGUGGAGUCCCAUUCCUUUUAUAAGUAGAAUCCCCUUCCACUCUGAGUCAUGCUCUGAUUACAAGUAGAUUCCCAUUGGGACUAUGUUAGUGGCCUAUAAAAGCAGGUCACCCCUCGCUCUCUAUAUACCAAUACCAAUUUUUUAGAGAAUUUUUUUAGAGAGUUUUUCAAAUAUUCUUUUCAUACAUCUAUCUAGACGAAUUUUUUCAAAAACCCGAGCUGUACACAUCUCGCUUACAAAGUGCACCCAAGGCAAGAGCUGGGUGUUGAAUCCUGGAGGUAGACCACUGGUACCUUAGUGCACCGAAUUUGUCUUCGAGGAGGGUGGAUCUAUUUCAAAGACAAUGUUUGCCACACCUCAACCGACAAGGCGGCACAACGUGCACAACCAUUUUUUGAUUUUUCUUUGGGAAUUUUGCUUUGUUUAGGAACUUUGCUAAAAUGGGCACUUGACCUUGAUGAACAUUUUUCCUAGAUGGACACUCGGCCUUGGUGGGCAUUUUACCUAGAUGGGUGCUUGGCCUUGAUGGACAUUUUGCCUGGAUAGGCACUUGUUCUUGAUAGGUAUUUGCUUAGAUGGGCAUGUCACCUUGUUGGGCACUUGGCCUUGAUAGACAUAUCAUCUAGAUGGGCAUUUUGCCUUGAUGGGCACUUGGCUUUUAUGAGCAUUUUGCCUAGAUGGGUAUUUUACCUUCUUUGAUCUUUCAUAGGUUGGAACUCUAUAGGUGGUGGGGUUGUGUUUUGGGUUGUAUUUUCCAGGCACACAUGUGUAGGGGUAGGGAAAUGCUGCAUUUCCUCCUGGUUUUAGCUCUAGAUGUGCUUAUUGCCAUGCACACAUGUAAGUAUUGUUCUGCUUCUUCUUCUUGUGUUUAAGGGUAAGUUGAGUUUUUUUUCGUACUCUUACAUUUUCUCUCCAUCUUUCUUUGUCUUUAUUUUGUUGUGCAGAUGAAGUGUGGCAUCAAGGAUUUUAGUAGGCGGAAAGGUGAGCUUCACUACCACGUUGCUGAAACUGACCAACUGAGGUAAGUCAGGUACUUUUUUUGCAGCUAAAGCUUUUGGUUGGGUGCUUUCUUGGCACUUGACGAUUUGACCGAGUGCUUCUUGGAACCUAAGGCUAUGGUCGGGUGCUGUUCGGCACCUAAGACUUUUUGGUUGAGUGCUUUUUUGGCACUUAAGGCUUUGUUGGGCUCUAUGCUUGGCUGGGUACUACUUAGGCACCCUAGGCUUUGUUGGGCACUAGGCCCAACUGGAUGCCACUUAGGCACCUUAGGCUUUAUUGGGCUUUAAGCCUGGUUAGGUGCUACUUGGGCACCGUAGGCUUUGUUGAGUGCUAGGCCUAGCUAAGUGCUACUUGGGCACCCUAGGCUUUAUUGGGCUUUAAGGUUGGUCAGGUGCUACUUGGGAACCUUAGGCUUUGUUGUGCUCUAGGCCCAACUAGGUGCCACUUUGACACCUUAGGCUUUAUUGGGCUCUAAGCCUGGUUAAGUGCGACUUGGGCACCUUAGGCUUUAUUGGGCACCCUAGGCUUUAUUGGGCUCUAAGCUUGGUCGGGUGAUAUUGGGCACCUUAGGCUUUAUUGGGCUUUGGACUUAGCCAGGUGCUACUUAGGCACCUUAGGCUUUGUUGGGCUCUAGGUCUGGUCGGGUGCUACUUGGGCACCCUAGGCUUUAUUGGGCUUUAGCCUUGGCUGGGUGCUACUUGUGCACCUUUGACUUUGUUAUGCUCUGGCCCUGAUCAGGUGCUACUUGGGCACUUUAGGCUUUGUUAAGCUCUAGGCUUGGCCGGGUGCUACUUAGACACCUUAGGCUUUUAAAGUCUAAUGCUUCUUUAUACCUAAGGUUUUUUUUUUUUUUUUUUUUUUUUUUUUUUUUUUUUUUUUGCGGUCAUGCGAUGCGUAACAUAUUUGAUUUGAAAAAUACAACAGUUGACGAUAUUGCUUCCCCAUUUGGGGAUCUUUGCUUUUAGAUGGAUUAGGCCAUUUGGUAAGAGUAGGAAGUUCUUCUUUGGUAGAUCCACCAGCGCCUCUUUGUCCACUGAUAGUGUCUAGGCAGUUGCAUUGAGUCAGGCCACCAAGAUCUAGUUCUCCCUUUUGAUUCGGUUAACAAGUCUUCUCAGUUUGUCCAACUACCUUCGAUACUUGUUAGCUACGGUUCAGUUGUUUGUUGUGGCCACUCAUAAGUUGUUGGGAUGACACUCUCACCAUCAACAUAGUUAGCUGCCAAUGUAGUCACCAUGGUUGGCUUUUGUUUCAUUCCCAUAGAUGAUGCCAAUUGUUGGUGCACAAUCUUUCUAGAUGUGAUGAUUUGGUGACUAUCCGGGUCGCUAUCCAAUCUUCUAUUGUCACCUCCUCUAUUGGUGGGUGUCUUGGUUCUCUAGGAAAAUGAUAUUUUUUUUCCUUGUUCUUCUUUCUCCUUUAUAGGUUAGAGUUAGACGUUGGAGGUUGUGUGGAGUACACGAUUAGCUUGGCAGGUUUGUGUUAGGCAGUGUGUGGUCGACUAUCCCUAACGCUUCAUGUUGAUGUGACAAGAUGAUGUUUUCCUUAGAGAUUUGUUCCUCAUACAUGUCUUGUUGUUGCCUUUGGUAUUCAUGCCACAUGAUCCAUGUUGGCAGCCUAAAAACUUCUUCCCAGUGACCAAUUUUUUAGUUCUUCUAGGAUCAGUUGGAGUGGGCUCUCGGAUCACUAUAGGUUUAAAUAGAGUCGGGAUGACUUCUCGAUCGGGAGACAAUAUUCAGCCGAUACAACAUCCGGGUACCCCUUCUUGGCAAAAUUCGGCACCCUCAGGAGGCAGCUUUUAUAGCGAAAUCUGCCACCCCCGACCCGAGUAAGCAGGUAGACCCACAGGUUGGCUGGCUUCUAUGGUUUGUACCUCCAAUUAUAAUGGAAGUAUAAAUUUUAAAAAGAUUCAGUGAUUGUAGGAUUCAAUUCUAAUGCUCUUAUAGUAGCCAAGGGUCCUCGGACUCAUGGUAGCACACAGACAUGUCCUCUUCUAUCUAUGCAAAUAGUCAUGCAAAAUACAAAUAUUCCCUCAUACAUUCUUAUAGUUUUACAUGUAUAUGAAUUUAAUUAUUUUAUGUUCUGACUAGUGAGUAGAAAGUGAGUUAAGGUCUCCGACAACAAGGUCUCCAAGCAACCAUAUUUCCCCAUUUUAACCUCGCUACUGCCAUUGAUGCGGUAGUAGAGUAUAACUGGCACAUAUAGAUAUGCCAGAAGAGCAAUCGAGAGCAGAUAGCUUCAAAUUCUGAAUGUGAGGUUCAGUUGGAGACUGGUUUUAUUAGCCUUUUAGAUAUGAUUUGAACCUCUAUUUUAGACAAGAACUUGGAGCUUCUGAAUAUAUGUAGUACAACUCCUUUGGUCAUGUAUAUAUGUGCAUAUUGCGUUGAGAUAGACAACAUACAAUCACUUGGCAACACAAUAUUAAAACUUUCAGAAUAUCACAAAAUUUGAUUGAUGUCAAAGACUCAUUCUGGACAUUUAGGAUAGGAGGUUACAAUAAAGCCAUUAACUGUACACAUAAGUUCAUUUGCAAGAAUUGGGAACCAAUUUAGAAGGUCAAGUAUAUUCGCUGUCAACAAGAAUGACGCCCUCCGAUUUAAGAUCUCUACUGAGGAGGAACCCAGUUUGAUCAAGAUUCUAGGAUCAAACAACAGAGUCAAAGUCAAAUCAAGAGCAACGUUCCAACUUGUCAUGAAGACCAAGAAUAGUAAUUGCUUUUGAGCAAGCAGUGAAAUUAUUUGCAAUCAGACAAUCAUCUUCUUCUUCAAGAAAUGCUGUAAUGAAAUUCUUACCAGUUGUGUCUGAUUCUUCGAAACAUGAAGUUAGCAAACAGAUUGUUCAUAUAUAAUGUCAGUUGGCAUAAAUGUAGUGUUCAAUCACCAAGCCACAAAGAUGAUACAACAGAACAGUUGCAGCAGGAAAACUUGGUUGUUUAUUCAAAAUCAAGUAAAUCUCUAGGUCCCUCAUACCACGAUUGCUCCCAAUAUUUAGGUCUUGGCGUAGACAAUUCCUUUCGUGUCUAUGUGGACAGAACAAUGCUUGGUGUUCUAGUUGUUGUCUUUCACCAUGGUCUAUAGAAAAAAUGUCCAGAAAAACAACUAAUGAUCAGUAGAAGUGUAAAAGGGAAGAAAGAAAACUACUGAUAGAUUGGAUCAUGACAGAUAUUUAUUUUUCCUAAAAGAAUGUAAAUGUAUGGUUGCUCUUUGAGUACAGCUCUCUACAGCACAAAAAUAAGGCAAUCAAAUGAAACAAACCAAGAAAACAACAAUAUUAAAAGAGUUAUGAAAUAUCACCAGAUGAGAUCCAACAGUAAAUUAAGAAACUUUAUAUAAUCUUGUUUACCUUAGGGCCAUGUCUGGAGGAGUUCCAAUUGUAGGCCUAGGGCCAAUGUUGAUAGGCACAUGCCCAGAUCUUAGACACCCUCAAGAUGAACAGUAGCAGCUACUCUAGGCGCUCCUACUGCACAGGCAAAAAACAAGUUAGUCAAUGUUUCUUGGCUAUUGGCUUUGGCUUGGACCUUGGUGGUUAUGUCAAUUUUAGAUAAAUAUGUUAAUAAUCCAAUGACUAUACUCCAAGAUUGAUGAUAUAUAUGCAAUAUAUCAAUUUGGAAAUGUCGAUAUAAACAUUUAAGGAAUUUAAAUUAGUCAAUUUUCAACAAUCUAGCAUUCAAAAGUGUACAAAAUGGUUAUAACUUGAAAGUUUGAAUAUAAACUGAGGUACAAUAUUCCUAUAGGCUCAAGUCUCCCUAGAACAAGGCAUCACAUCACAUAUUUAUGUGGCCUUAUGUUUGAGGUAAGCACCUUAUCUAUUGGCGAGUUCAUCAAUAAUAAGCUUUUUGCAAGAAAUUGGAGACCUAAAAUUACUCUAAUACUUCUUUUAUUGAACAUUAAAUUUUCUUAAAAGUGUUAUCGAUUAUCAAACAUUUAUAUCAAUGGUGGAAACUAGUUUGCUACCAAAGUGAAGGUCAAAGUCCUAAUUAUCAUUUCACUAAACAAUGUAAUAUAGUAUUAUACAAUUAUUGCUUUUAAAAGAAAAUUUACAAGCUAACUAGCGAAAUUUAUGAUUAUACCUUUUUCCGACUUCACUCACGCCAUUGAGCUUUAUAAUUUGAUGAAACAAGCCUAAAUCAAAAUUAUACAAAAAAAAAUAAAGAAUUGGAGAAAACAAACUUGUAAGCACUAAAUUUUGUACUUUAAAAGAGGAAAUAGGAUGCCAAUUGUAGGUUUAAUUUAAAGAAACCUUAAAAAAAUAUUUUUAAAAUUAUAGGAAAACCCCCAUACCUUAGAAAAGAUUGGGGCGAACAGUCUACCUUUUGGCGAUGUUCACAUCUUGAGAGGAAUGACUUCUUUCUUAGUAGAUCUGAUGAUGGUGUUGAUCUUUGGGAAGAGAUGAUUAGAAGGCUACGUUGAAUUUUAGUGAGUGAGAGAGAAAGCAACACCCAAAACCCUAAAGCAAAAAAGGAAUUAAUAACUUAAAUAGAUUCCAUUUUUUCCUUAUGACAUGUCUACCUUAGUAAGGUUUUUAUGGCAGUGAUACCAUUUGGAUAAUUAAGUCAUUGAUUUUGAUGGAUCUUUUCCAUUUGAAUUUUUAAUAUAUAAACUUAAUCUUUUUACUUGGGGUAAUAUAUUUGGUAUUUUAGGAUUUCCUUUUUAAUAAUAUGCUUUUAGUAGAUGGUUUAACUAUGUCCUAGUGUAAUAAGUAGUCUUGCAUUACAUUAUCUACUAUGGAGUAGGAGUGUGUUGCUUGUUCAAGGGAUGUAUGGGAAGUUGUUUAUUUGAUGAUAUACUUUCAACACUUAGAGUCACGACUUGAGCUAAUAAGUUUAUCAAGAUCUAAGCAUUGAUGGUGUUGCUACUCUAUUGUAUAGCAAGGAUCCAAUUAGUCACAUUGUAGGACAAAACACUUAUAGACAAUUGAUUCUACUACAUUCAAGAUAUUGUUGCUUAAGGGGAGGUAGAGUCAAAACAAGUAGACAAUUGAUACAACUACACACACAACAUAGAGACAAAACACAUGAAUAAUACUAUGGUUGAAUAAAUUAAUUGGAUGACAUCAAGCUAACAUUGAUCUAGUAUAAUUAUUUGGAGCCUAAAUGAGGGUAUGAUGAGAUGAUAAUUAUUUUGUCAUCAACAUAGUGAACAACAUAAAUUAAAAUCUUGAAAUGUCACCUUAGCCAACCUAGUAGAAAUGAUUCAUCAAAAUAUUUGAAUGUGAGAUCUUAAAUUGGUGUUUGACAAAUAAAUAUGGUAAUAAACAUAUAUUAAGUAUAUAUGAAGUGACCAAGCUGAGAUUUGUAUCAUGUUAUUAUAGGGAAUCCCGAAUCUCUUUGUUCCUUAUCCUAUGAUUAGGCUAGGUACAUGCGAAUCUUUCUAAGUUUUUCUAAAUCGUAUGAACAAUGGAAAAAUUGUGUUUUAAAAUAAUAACAAGAUUUAGAAUUUGCAUUAGAAAACAUUACCUUAGAUUUGGAUGUUCCCAAAUCUAAUUCACGUAGUAAAGGAGAAGAUUGAAGUUUUCAGAGGUCUUGAACACCCAAGAUCUUCCACCAGAUGACUUUUCCUUGAUUUUAGAUCUUAAUUGGUGAAGAGGAAGGAAGACUAAAAAGGCUAUGGUUCUCUCUCUCUUUGAAUAGUGAAAAAUGGCUCACUUCAAAAAAGUAAUGAAAACCUUAUUAUUUAAGGGGUAUUUAUUGGGUUCCCUAAUUGGGUGUAAGUGACUUAAGCGUACUAAAGGUUUGAAUCAUUUAAUUUAGCUCAAAAUGAGUCUUAAUUGAUUAAUUAACCUAACAUAGUUAUCUAAUUAAUUAAUUAGCUAAAUUUGGAGACUUUGUUCACUUACCCCUAUGCAACCUUGCAUAAUUACCAAAACACCCUUAUACGUAAAAGUGAACCAAGAGUUGUGUCAUCAAGGUAUAUGAGCUUAGGUGGAGACCAUUGAGACUUAUAGGACAGUACUAGCUACCCCAAAAUCUAAUUUUGAAGUUGAUUUAACAUUUCACUAUAGAGAAUCAAUUGCACUAUAAUACCUUAUGUAAAUAACAAUGAGAUGCUAAGUGGUCGAGCCCAUGACUUAUUAUCCAUUGCAUUCAGUCUCCCUAUGAACUGGUGUUUGUAGUCUAAUAAGGUGAAAACUAUCAACCUUUCAAGACUACCUCUACUAUCUUUGAAUUACAAAUCCUCUUAUUAUGUAUUUAAUUGAUAUAUCUUAAGUCUCCAAGAGUCUAUGUCAAGUUCCAUUUAAGAAACUACUAUGACCAUAGUUUACAUGAACAUACCUCCUUAGGAUCACUUAAGGGGACACUCUGUCUCAAUCCUCUUAGAUUUCAUGGUACUUCUGUUACAAAUACUCAUUGUCAUAGACUUGGAUCAAUAGUGAACCAAUCCAUAAGGAACAUAUCUUACGAUUUCAUUAGUAGGUCAAAGUCACUACUAACUUUAACACAAAUUCUAUAUUCUCUCAAGGUUAAGAGAUAAAACAAUGAAGCAACUUGGUGAAAUCAUGACUAUUUAAUAGCUUUAUGUCAUGAUUCACCAUAAGUCUUGUCUAAUGUGUAACCAUAUGCACUAGUAUACUCACCAUGGAAAACCCAUCCUGAUAACCAAGACCAACCAUUCCUCUAAAUAUGAAGUAGCAUACUAUAACCUCUAAUGGGUUACCUAGGCCUAUGAAUCGGUUGUGAACAAGUCAUUUACUUACAAUGAAUCCAUUUCUUAAAUUUUUUUUGCAACUCUUAAUGCACUCAAGUCCUGUACAAUACAAGAUAUAUAUAUUAAAAUGCUUACAAGGUAUAAUGUAUAGGAUUAGGAUAAAUAAAAGUGAACUAAAAGUUUAUUAAUAAAUAAUAAAAUUUUAAAUUUAUUACAUCGUGUCAUGCUUUUAUGAAACCUUUAAAAUACUAAGAGCAACCUUUCAUAAUCAUGAAUUAAACUUUAGUUUCAACUUCUAUCAAAGGCUAAAUGAGAAAAGCUAUCAUAGAGGAGGCCUCAGCCAAUGGGUAAGAUGCACUGUUAUACCAAACAAUAAGUGGAAAAUACAAUUUUAUUAAUACUUGAGAAAAAAAAAAAGAAAGAAAUAAAAGGAAGAUUUUACACUCAAACCAAGCAUUUAUUUAUAAUGAAGUGCAGUCUCCGUACGCACAUGUGGACUUAUUGGAAAAUCAUACAAAUUAUUGAAGGACGACCUUAGCUAGGCUAACAGUCUCCUAAAUAGGCUAUCUUUUAUAUAUCUUUGCAUUCAUCCAUCUCCUCAUUGUCUUUGAUUUUAGAUGGUGAGGAUGUGAAAGUAACAGGAAGCAGUGGACAAUUGUUCACAGUGAGGCUUAGCACAUCAGCUCUCGAAUAAUGUCCUACCACAUCGAACUGGAACUUUGCUUUAGGAAUCUCUCCACGAACAUCUACAUAUCAAGUGAUCACAAAAAUAUUUCAUCGGUCCAUGAUAAAUAUCAUAGAAUAUCAAGUCUUCGAUAAAACUAAGUUUGCAGUCCUCUUAAACCUAAAGAAUCAACUCAUUUGCCUUAUCUGCAUACUGAAAUAUUUGGAUAUAUAAUUGGAGAAGUUAGGGCCAUACCAAGAUCAGCUGUGAAGAGGCCUUCUCCUUCAUAAUUCGGUCCUGCUAGAAUUUCGCCAUGGGGCGAAAUGAUGACACUACCUCCAGCCCAAACAAUAGAAUCUGGAGUGACAUCUUCUUCUGUAGGACUGUAAAGAUACUCAGGUGGAGGUGGGUAAUCUUUCCUCCGACAGAACUGGAUGGGUGAAAGAACAUAGCAUCCACCCUCAAUAGCGACGUGUCUCAUUGUAGCUACCCAUGUAUCCCCGGAAUCGGCAGUAGGAGCACAAUAUAUCUCAAUACCUAUAGAGAUGUACAUUCGUAUUUUGUGAUCAAUCAAUCCCAUAUCAAAGCCAUAAUGUAUUUCAAGCCUAUUUAUAGGCUAAAACCCUAACAACUUAAAAAAGAGUACUGAAGUAUUUCAAGCCAAACCAUAUUAGUUAGUGAAGAAAAAGACAUACCUUUGCCAUACAUUGAUGUCCUGAAAAGCGGCAUUCUAUUUUCCCAACAAAUGACCGAACCAAGUUUUCCAUAUGGAGUAUCAUAAACUGGAGUAGUCGAGCAAUCUCCGAAACCCCAGAACAGCCGCUCCCAAUAUGUUGGCAUGAGUUUCCUAUGUUUUCCAAGGUAAUUACCUUCAGGAUCAAAGAAGAGAACAGUGCAAUACAAUGUGUAUCCAUCUCUCUCAACAACACCUGUCACUAAGUAGACUUUGUAUUUCGCAGCCAUUGAUGCCAAUCUAUCCACUUCAGGUCCUGAAAAUACAUUAAUAUGAGAUCAAAGAUGAAAUAUGUAAGCUGAUGGCUCAUCACAAAGCAUAAGUAGAUUUUUUUUUUCUUGGUUCAUUCAUCAAACGUGUCUUGUUUCAAUAACUAAUUAAGUGGUUCAGUUCUUUGGCUAUUUAAGGGAGAAAGAGAGAGGUAACUGACCCGGCACAUUAAUGGCAGAAGCAUGGUACUUGCGGAAACUUUCUUUCCCUCUUGGCGACUGGUCGGCGAAAUUGUAUCCCCGGGGAUACCCACCGAUAAAUGCUUCAGGAAACACAACCAGUUGGGAUCCUAGUGCAGCUGCUUCUUUCAAAAACCUCUCAGCCUUAUCUGCUCUCAAAAUCACAUUGCAAGAAUUAAUAAUCCACGACUUAGUAAAUUAAUUGGUUGAAUGGACAGAAUGAAAAUUAACUUCAAGAGAUCCCGAAUGACUUUUUGGUUGCUGAGAAAACUCAAGGAAAAAGAGACCUAGAUGAAACUUGAAACUCUCAUAUUUUCAGCUGUUUUGUAACUAAGAAAAGAGAAACCACCUCAACCCAACUCAUUAAAAUAAUUGUAAAAGCAGUAAUUCCUUGAUUGGCAGCUGAAAAUAUGAUCAGGGUUCAAUCAUCCUUUUCUUUUUUUCAGUCUCUGAGCAACCAAUUAGAUCACAUAUUCCAUUACACAAGUUGAACAAUUGAAAGAAAUGGUACGUUACCUAGAGUGGCAGGAGUAUCAUAAAAGAUACUAGAAGCUUGAACAACGGUGGCUCUAACAGUUGAAGACAUUGCAGAAAUCGUAUGCUUUUUCGUUUCCCUUUUGUUUGAGGAUUCCUUACACAACGUUCAGUAUAUAUAUUGCCCAUGAACAUGAGGUUCUUCUGCCAUUACUUGAACGAGACGAAGAGGCUGUGAAAAGUCUACCUUGGUUUUCUAUAUUCAUUGUGAGCUUUUCUCCUCAUCACAAAUUUUGAAGUUAUCCGCAGACAUUGUGGACCAGCCACAUGACUUGUACAAAUUGAAAAUGACUGUAAGAAAAUGACUCAGCCAAUUCAAGAUAUUUGUCAUUAAAAGAAUAGUCAUUAAAAGCACAAGAUAUUUGUCAUUUUUUUUUUUACAAAAACGACUGAGUCGUACAUAGUGUUAUGGUUAUAGACGCCCAAAAGAAGUCUUUUUGUGCCUUGUAAGAAAACCUUAGCCAAUUCAAGAUGACCACAGAAUCAAAAUAAGUUUUAUCGCUUUCUUUUUUUUCUACAGGUACGAUGAUUAUCUUUGAACGAAAAGAGGGAGCCGCCCACAUGCACAUAAAAAGGGAGUAAUGAGUGAUUCAAUGGCAGCUAUGGUAGAAAAAUAAAAAGGGAACUAUGCUUACCCUCACGUUGAUUCAAGCAAAUAUAUUUUUUAGGAAUUCUAAUUUUCAUAUUUCACCCCAAACACAUAAUCAAUAAAUUUAUUCUUCAAAUAUGUAUUUUAAUAACAACCAAAAUGAGAAUUCUAUAGUUAUCCCUUUUAAAAUCUUUAAUAUGACAAGUCAUCAUUUGAUCUGUUUGAUAUCCUCUCCAUAUCAUGUCUUUGAUAUCCUAACUUUGACAUUUUUUUAUUUAUAUACGCUGAAGUGAAUACACUUUCAUAUUUCUUUUUAUUCUUUUAAUAUUUUCAUAUUUAUUAACUUAGUCAUUUUUUUGAAACAUUAACAUAAAAUUAUAAUAUAUGAUCAAUAACUAAUAAGAACAAAUUAAACAUAAAUAUAAGUACGGAAUGGACAGAAAAUAAAAAAUUUAUCCUACAAAUAAUACACUAUAUAGUUUAAAAUAUUAAUUAUAAUAAUAUAUUUGAUACUUUAGGGUUUAGAUUAAAAAAUUAUGUUUUAUUUUUUAGAGGCUAGGAUAUAGGAUUUCCAUUAACCAAAGAUUUUUUGUAUGAAUCCUAAAUAAAAUGUGUAUUUAUUUUGCAAAUUCUUAUCAUAUAUAAAUAAAAUAAAAUAAAUAUAUUUUUAUCAUAUUAUUUUUAAUUUUUAUUAUUUUGUGUCAAAAUCACAGUCAAUGAUGGUGGUUUUUGUUAUGAUAUAGCUCUUAAAAGGAUGUUAUGAUGCAAUAAAUAUGAAGUUUAUUAUUUAUUUAAUGGUAUUUUGAUUUUACUUUUAUUAAUCUUUAUUUCAUGCAUUUUACCUUAUGAGUAUUCUAGCUUGACAUUUCUUGCACUAUACAUAACUUGGGUGCAUUAAAAAUUGCAUGAAAGAUCCAAGUUAUAGGUUCCUUGCAAGUAAAUGAUUUGUUCACAACCGCUUUGUGAACUUAAGCAAUCCAUUUGAUGUCGUAGUUCACUACCUCUUCAUUAGAGGAAUGAUUUAUCUUGACUACCAAGAUAGAGUUCUCAUGGUGAGUACACUAGUAUGAUGAGUUAUAAUUUAUAAUGUAAGGUUGUUGGGUAGUCAUAACUCACUAAGUUGUUAUAUUGUAUUAUCUUCUCAACCUUGAGAGGAUACUGAACUUGUGCCAAAGUCUAUAAUUGUUUGACCUAUGGGUGAGAUUCUAAAGUGAUUAUAUAUUCCUUACAGAUUGGUCACAGUAGAUAGAAGUCAGUAGUAAUAAGUAUUCUCAAUACAAACAUCACGAUAUCUCAUGGAAUUUGAGAUAGUGUUGGGUCAUAAUAAGGACAUGUGAUCAUGAAAUCUAUGGUCGCAUUAAUUCUUUAAAUGAAAUUUGAUAUAUGCUUUUGUGAGUUAGAGUAUGCUAGUUGAUCAUAUAAUAAGAGAAUAUGUGACUCAAGAAUGGUAUAGGUAAUCUUGAAAGGCAAAUAUCUUUCACCUUAUUAGAUUAUAAACACUAAUUCCUGGGGAGACUAUAUGCAAUAGAUAGCAGGUCACGAACUUAAGCACUUUGUGUCUUGUUGUAAUACACAUAGGGUAUUGAAGUGUAGUUGACUUUCUAUAGUAAGAUGUUGAGUCAAUUUUAAAAUUUGAUUAUAAGGGAGCUAGUACUAUCCUAUGGGUCUUAGCAGUCCUUGCUCAAGUUCAUAUAUCUCAAUGGCAUGGUUUAUGAGGGUUGGAUUAACUCAUGAUUCACUUAUGUGCAUAAGGCUGUUUUGGCAAGUAUGCAUGAUUACAUAGGAGUUUGUUGGGACAAAACCUUAUAAAGUAUGACAUGAUGUAAUAGAUUUAGUUUCAUUAAUAAAUUUAUUUAUUUACUAUUCUAGUUCCCUUGUAUUAUCCCAUUGGCAUUAAUUGGUUAUCAAAGUAUUUACACCCAUAUCACUUGCAUUGUACAUGACUUAGGUGUAUUUAGAGUUGACCAAAAAAUCCAAGUCAUGGGUUCUUUGCAAGGUAAUAAAUAGUUUAUAGUAGGUUCAUGGAUUUGAGCAAUUUAAUAGAGACUAUAGUGUACUACUUCCCAAUUGGAGAGAUGACUAGUCUUAGUCACCGAGAUGACUUUCCCAUGAUGAGUGCAAUAAUGUGUAUAGUUACACAUUGGACAUGACCUAUGGUGAAUCAUGACAUUAAUUGUUGGGUAGUCAUGAUUCACCAUGAUACUAGAUUGUAUAAACUCUCAACCUUGAGAAAAUAUUGAGUUUAUGCUAAAAUCAACAAGAAGCUUUUAUCUAUGGGUGAGAUCCUAAUGUGGUCAUAUAUUCCUUACAAAUUAGGUUACAGUUGAUGAAGGUUGGUGGCAACAGGUAUUCUUAAUAGAGACAACAUAAUAUCUUAUGAGAUUAAGACAACGUGUCUCUUGGGUGAUCCUAAAGACAUGUGAUCAAGAUGACUAUGACCAUAGUAAUUCCUUUAGUAGAAUUUGACAUAUGCUCUUUGUAAGCUAAAGUAUGUAAAUUGAUCAUUAAUAAGAGGAUUUGUAACUCAAGGAUUGGAGAGAUAAUUUUGAAAGGUUGCCAUCACUACCUUGUUAGAUUACAGACACCAGUUCACGGGGAGUUUACAUGCAGUAGAUAGUAGGUCAUAGACCUAAACUUUUCCUUAUUGUAAUUAUAUAGGAUAUUGGAGUGUAGUUGACUUUCUUUAGUAAGGUGUUAAGUUAACCUUAGAAUUGGAUUCAAAGCGAGCUAGCAUUUUCCUAUAGGUUCCAAUGGUCCCUGCUCAAUCUCUCAUUUAAUGGUGUCACAUUUGUUUAAGGUAUUUUAGGUUUGUAGUUAACAAGUGUGCAUUAGGGGGAAUUUAAUAAAAAUACAAGGUUGGACUAGAUAUUGUGAAUAGACUUUCUAGAUUGGCCUAAUUUAUUAAUGGAUUCCAAUAUGGCUAAUUAAUUAAUUAGGAUCUAAGUGAGUUAAAUUAGGUAACCUAAGCCCACUUUAGGCUUAAGUCACUAAAGUUCACAAGGAAGCUUAUAAAUAACUAUUUAAAGCUUAUUGGGUUUUAUGAGUAACUUAAGCUUGCCUUGGGUUUGGGUAAGUUAUCAUAACCUAAAAAAGUUCUUAAUUGAGCGCUUAGAUUAAUCAAUUAGCUUAGUCCAGAAAUACCUUUCACCAACUCUAUUGGAAACUUUGAAUUACUCCAUUUCAUGAUCUAGGAUCAAAUAGGGUGCAUGCAACUAUCUUUAGGUUUUUCUAGAUCUAAUGCACUAGAAAAAUAUGGAUAUAAAAUCCAUAAAAUGUACUAGAUUUAUAGAUUAAAACUCAUACCUAUGAUUUCAAUGUUUCUAAAUUAAAUCCAAUCCCUAAAAGAUAUCAAAGAUGUUUUAAAAGUCAUCUAUCAAACAAUUUUCCACCCAAUCUCUCCCUCCACAAAUAGACCCUAGCACAAAAAAAGGUGAAUGCUGGAAUUUUCGUCAAUUAUUGGAUCAAAACAAAAUUUAUAACCUAAUUCACUAUUCUAUAGCAGCUUGUACCCGAUCAAAAAGUGGUUUUAGUACAAACUAUUGUAGUAUAGUGGUUUUUAGGUGUCGUCCACUAGGAUGGAUUGUUCUCGGUAAUUAAGGCUUGAAUGAGAUGAUAAGAAAUUAUUGCAAUCAAGUGAAAAUGAUUUGACAAUUCAUGAUAAAAGUUCAACAUAACAAUGAUUUCAAAUUUAGAGGAAAAUGAAGGGUAAAAGAGAAGAAAAUUAAUAGAAGAUGAAAUUCUUGGAGGUAGGAUUUUCUAGAAAAAAAUUUCCACGGUGAAUAGAUGUUGAGAUCUAAUUUUCAUCAAGUUAGAUUGAAAACCUAAAUUUUCAUCUAAACCAAUUUUUGAUUUAGCUUUAGGUCUAGAUCUAAUUUCUCUUCAAAUUAGGUCAUUUAAUCCAAGAGAUCAAUUCAAAUUAUAUAUUCAAUUCAUCUUAAACUAUCUUCCAAUGAUUCACAUAAUGCAACUAUUCAAUCUCAUCAAAUCUAGCUUUAAGAAUUUGAUGAAUCUACCUAGCUUGCAUUGUAGUAAUCAUCCAAGACAAUUUGAAGAGAAAAAUCCUCAAAUUUCAAUUAAUCAAUCAAUUGGAUCAAAUUACCUUUUCAAUUCAAGCUCAUUUCUCUAAUUCACCAUAGAUUUUGCCUCUAGAUCCUCCCUCCUUUGAGAAAAAUGAGAUUUAGCCACUCAUGCUUGGAGAUUUUGCCUCACAAAACAUUUUUGGCUAGCGAGAAAAUGAAGGAAAGUGGAAAAUUCUAGAGAAAGAGAAAAUAUGGAAAAUUCUACAAUUAGAAAAUGUCUAAUUUUUUUUGAAAAUGAGUAAAUCAAGUUUCUAUUUAUAGGCCAAGGUCAAGAGGACACUUGGCAUCAUCUAAGAGGUCUUUUAAAGGCUUCUUCAUCAAGAAAUUUGGAGUUUAGUAAUAAAAUGUCCAUUUCGCAAGAGAUCCAGCACUUUCACACGAGCUCCAUCAAUUUCGCAUGAGUGUGCGAAGUGGAAAAUGCAUCAGCACCAAUUUCGCCUUCUUAGAGCAUUUCGCAUGACUGUGCGAAAUUUUCGCAUGGUCGUGCAAAAUCAGCUUCAAGAUUUCCCUUUGAGCUGUAGCCAAAAUUGCCUUCUGGUCCAUUUCAAUUUUAUACUCUGUGUUUUUGGGAUGAAUGACAUGUGAAAGUUGGAAUUUGCUAAAAAAAUAUACAUAUAUUUUUUUGAGUUAAUGUUUGUAAGCAUAAUUCUCCCAAAAACCGGUCAUGCUUCAUCAUAUUGUAUGUUUGUUUUUUUUUAUAAUGUGUGGUUAUUCAUCUUUAUAUUUGUGUAAUGGAUUGAUAUCUAUAAAUUAAGAGUAUCAAUUGAUAGGUAGAUGAAUCAAUUGAUUGGGCAUCUAAGAGUCUUAUGUGUAGAAGACUAAAAUUAUAAAUGGGGAGUUAGAAAACUUUUCAUUUAUAUGAAUAGGGUGUUACAAUUUUUGUAAUCCUAUCAUUAUGAGAUUUAAUUUGUAUAUAAAGUUUAUGAGUAAUGGAGGAAGAUGGAAAAGUAUAACCUAUGCAAUUAUAUAAAUGCAUUCAAGUUGGUAACCCACAAUUAUCCAUUAAUUUGUACAUAAUGUUUGUAAAUAAUGAAUAUAACUCCCGUGUAGUCUUUGAUGCAUGAGAAGACUAAGAGAUAUAAAUCUCUUUUAUAAGAUCAAGAUCCUAAGUCAUACUCUCAUUCUUAUGUCUUUUUGUUAUUUUACUUAUAACAACAUAUAACACACAAGUGACCCGUCUACUAUAUGAGAGUAGUGAGUUGAAGAUCUUGAGCAAAACAAUUCACAAGAUGACUCAAGCUCACUUCAAAAGUAUUAUCAAUAUCAUGGAUGAAGGUAAAAAUAUGAUCAUUAUAUUAUCAUUGCUUUAGCAUUUAUAUCUAUUAUGUUUUAUGCAUCCAAAAUUGAUUUUCCAAAAUAAUUGUUUUCACAUAAAGUUUAGUUAACAUGUACUUCUAUUUUAAAAUUUUAAAAUUUUAAAAUAAAUUUGCAGAAAUCACUUUUAAAUGUUUUUUUAUAAAAAAAAAUUUAAAAUAUGAAAGAAUCACAUAUUUUUUCAACUUUGAAAAAUAGACCUAAUAAACAUAUUUAACAUUUAUAGCAAUUAAAAAUUAAUUAAUAUUUUUUAAAAAAAAAUUAAAUAAAAGCAAUGGUGUAUCCAAAUAAUACCUUAUUCACCCAAUUUAGUUAUCAUAUGCCUUUAGUACCGAAGUGGCUGACUAAAUUUUUUCUCAAGGUAUAAUAAUGCUAAAAGAUCUUUAACCAAAACAUGGACUUCACUCUUAUUUCUUCCUACCACUUUAAUUUCACCCAACUUCACCUAUAGAAGCUCAUUCAUGUCUUAUCUUGUUUGUCUAGUUUGAACCUCAUGUUGCUCAAGUCCCAAAAGGAAUAAAAUUUCAUUCAGAAUAUAAUUAUGCACAAAAUCCUCAUUAGGGUUAGAGUUUGCUCCUUCAUUAAUUAAUUAUAAUGGUUUAGGGUCAGAAUAACAUACUUUAUUAUGUUAAAGUAUCCUAAACUUUGUUAGCAAACACAUAUGGCUGAAAGCGAAGAAUGAUCAAGAGUCCAAGUACUAACAAAGGGCACUUAUGAACCAUAGGUUGAGGAAAGUGGCUUGAGCCCAAGCUUGGGGCUUAGGUUAUUUUUUGUUUAUGCAAUACUUAAAUCCAAACUUAAAGGUGACAUUAGAAACAUAUUUCAAUCUCAUAUUUUAUCCUCUUAACUAUUGGACCUAAUUGCACUCGACAUGGAACUUGUUUAUGCAUUUUGGGAAUCACAUGCAUUUUAGUCCCAAAAUAGCUAUGCAACUUUUUUUUCCACCUAAUUAAGUUCAAAAUUAAGGGGGUGUUUGGUAAAACUUAAUACCUUUUACUAAUGACUUAAAUUGACUUUAAGUUAAAUUAUAUUUAACUUGCUAACUUAAAACUUAUUAUUUAAUUCUUACUUCAAGUAUUAAGGUUGUUUAAUAAAAUUAAUUUAAAACAUAUUUUAAAUCAUCAAAUUGAUAUAUUAUCCUCAUAAAUUAUAACUAGAGUAUAAGAGGUUGAGUGACAAUGAAGGUCGUGGAGUAGUAAAGAAAAUUGUGGAGGUAACUAGGAUAAAUGAGAAUAAAAAAGUAGAAUGAAAAUAUAAAUUUUAAAAUAAGUUAAUUGGUUUUACUUUUUCUUAAAAUUAUUUUUGAUUUUAAGUCAUACCAUUAAAUUAUUUUAAUAAACAUAAUUUACUUAAUAACUUAAAUUAAAUUAUUAAGUUGUUAAUUUACCAAACACCUACUAAUUUUCAAAUUCUAAGUUUAGCUUUGCUUUGCAGUGAAUGCAUUUAGGAUUAUCAAAGAGGUCAUCAAGGGUUUCAAACAUAUUUUAUUGCUCAACUUCUCGAAGAGGGACUUCAGAAGAGAAGAUUCCAUAAUUCUAGUUUUGUAUGCGAUUGUAUGUAUCCUACCACAUGGAGACGAUUCCUCAGCAUGCUGAUUUAUUAUUAAGUUCAUGUGAAUUACGUAUGGAAUUCCAAUUGAUGUGAACAUAAAAUUAAUUGAAUUAUGUGACAUUUUUUUUACGCAGAAUAAAACAUAUACAGUUGGAAGAUAUCUCGAGAUUCUGAUUUUAUAUCUGGCCCUCAAAAUUCUAUUUCACUGUCAGGUUGUGGACGUUCCACCCAGCUGGAGCAGAUCCCUUGGCAUGCUGAUAUGCCAACUAUUGAAAAGUCUGCACCCAUUUUCUAUAUUCAUGAGCUUUUCUCCUGUUCGAAUUAGUUUUGAAGUUAUCUACAGACAUGACUUGUACAAAUUGAAAAGUUUUAAUUAGGGCAGCAAAAGUAAUCCCUUCAAUUUUAUUAUUAUUGUUAUUAUUAUUACCUUAUAAAAAGAAUUUACCCAAUCAAAAGUGAUCGCAUAGUCAAAAUAGAUUUUAUUUUUUCUUAUCUUACAAUAAUAUAAAAAAAUAUAUAUAUACUUUCAAUCAAUGUCUCAUAUUUCUAACACGUACGCGCUCUAGAAUUUCUCGAAUUGUAGUCUAGAGUGUCAACUUUUAGUGUUUGAUCAAAAAGGCCAUAAACAAAUAUAUGAAAAAAGUAAUCAACAAGCAGAGGAUUCUUUUUGAAUAAAAAAGACCCACUUACAAGCAUGGAUUAUAAAUUGUCUUCAGUUGCGGCUGAAACUUUCUAUAUGACUUUAAAGAAAAAAGAGGUCAUAAAUAGAUAGCUGAGAACAAGUUGAGGGAUUCAAAGGCAGCUAUGGUAUAAAUAUUGUUUUAUAAAUUAAACCUUUUGUACCGCCUCUACAAAGGAACACAAAAUUGAGAGAUUCAAAGGCAGCUAUGGUAUAAAUAUUGUUUCAUAAAUUACUUUUCAAAUUUAAUUUGAUAGCAAAAAUUUAAAAUAUAAAAGUAUAAAAAAUUUGUUUCAUUCCCAAAAUUUUUGCAAAUAAAAUUUAAAGUAAUAAAUUAACACCAUGACUCUUUUCACAUCUUAUUCUCAUUUCUAUCAAAGCAAUGAUAGUAAUUGUCUUAUCUAUAAAUUUUAAAUGAUGUAAGAUCAUUGAAUUUUUAUUUUCUUUUAAACUUCUUGUUAUGUAAUUAUCAAACAUAUUUUUUUAAGACAAGAAAAAAAUUACACCGAACAAAUAGAUUUGAUACUUAGAAUAAUUGAAAACAUAAUUCGUAUUUUCCAUUUUUAAAAAUAAUAAAAGCAAAGGUGUUUCAAAACAAUACCUCAUUUGCUCAAUUAAUUAUCACAUUUCCUAAGUACAAAAGUAGGCAAGUAAAUUUUUGCUCAAGUUACAAUAGUGCUCCAAAUCCUUAUCCAAGAUUUUGAUCCUAUUUCACAAUUGUUUUUUAAAACAGUUUUUUUCUUCUCUACAACAAAAAAAAAAAAAAAACAAGAAAAUGUGUUUGAGAAUUGGAAAAUAAAGUGUUUUCAAAAAAACAUAUGUUAGUUGUUUUUAGUUUUUCUUCAUUAGCUUUUUUGAAGGUUGUUUUUAAAAAUAAUUAUACAAAUAUGAAGAAUUAUUAAAAAUAUAAUUUUAUAGACAAAAGUUAUUUUAAAAUUAUAUGCACGAGUUUUGGAAAGUCUUGCAAAAUAAGCAAAACUAUAGGAAAAAUAUGCAAAUAAAAUUUGUAUUAAAAUCAUUGGGGGCCCCCGCAUUUCGGCUCAUGCGCUUCCACUCGAUGGUGAGCUCGAUUUUUAUUUUGAAAAAUGAUUUAUUAUUUGAAAAAUGACUUGAAGUCGCCACUUAUUUUUGUUUUAUUUUUAAAGGGUAAACAAAAUAAGAAAGAAAACUCUAAAUGUGACUCCUUAUUUGGAAAAGGUGGUCUGUGAAAAACCGGAUCGGGCUCGGGGGUUAGGUUACUUAUUGGGAAGGUACGGUAAAAACCGUAGCACCCCUCUAAGUCCCCAAAAACGGGUCUUUACUAAUGAAAUGAAGCAAUCAUGACAAUUGAUAAGUAAAUCAAUGGAUACCGAAUGAAAAUCGAAACAAAAUACCCAAAUGAAUUUGAGAGACAAAGAACGUACCUGAGUGACGAGCUGAUUUAUUUCAUUGGAAACAAAGGUUAGUGAACAAACACAAAUGAUCGUGUGCAUAUCAUAGAAUAGAACAAAUCAAUCACAUAUAGCAAUCAAAUCAAUCAAUCAUAAAAUCGCAUAUGUUGGGCCCCCACUAAAACCCAUUUAUUUUUGCAUGAAUUAAUUCUGUAAAUUCCAUCACUCGGAAUUAUAGAAUUUAAUUCAUGCUUAUUUUAAAACAUUUAAAAAACAGAGGAGAUGUGAGUAUUGCUCAUCAGAAAAGAAGAUGGCAACAAAGUUUUAUUAAAAAUGGGAUUUUUGGUACCUAAAACUCUAAGGAUGAAAAUUUUGGAGUUGAGAUUAUUUAAAAAGUUAGAAUCUGAAAAAUUAUUUUUAAAAAAAGAUUUAGAAAGUUAUUUUCAAAACCAAAAGGGAGAAAUAGGAGGUGGCAUGUGGCCCAAAGGUGGCCAUGCGGAGGUGGCCAUGCAAAAACAUUUUCUUCUGGGCCAAGGGAGAGACUGCGCUAUAGGGAUCAAUGGUAUUGUUGGGCUUGUCAUAACUCUAACCAGGAUAGGAUCCCAGCCACAUAUAGCUGUAACUAGGUUGCUACAUUGAAAGAGUACCAAGAGAGGCACCCUAGCUUAACGGAGGUCAGGCCUGGUAGCCUUGCGGAGGAUAUCUCUAACCAUUGCCAGAUUUCUGAUAUGAUUCUCACUGAUGACUUCGUUGACCAACUGUUCAGCAAACUCAAUCUGUUCACUGGUACUGCCUAUGUGUGCAAUUCUCUCCAUUGAUAUGUCACCAGAAAGGAAAUGCAAAAGUAUAAACUAGAUACGAGCUCCUGUCUUGGCUUGCAUAUUUCUAAUGAUCUCACCGCCCUUACCAACUAUCAGACCAACCUUGUUGUUUGGUACUUUCAUCACGAGCUGUCCAAACCCAGUCCAACCAAUUAACCUUCAAGAAAUUAUGCCAAACCUCUUUGCUUAUAUCUGUUGUGUCAUUCCAUAAGAAUUGAACGCACCCAUAUGUAAGCACCCGUGAUGUGUCGUCACACUCCAACUGCAAAUUAAAUCGAACAAGACCUUUCAUGGAAGCAUCUCUGACAUCUAAAUGAGACCCUGUCAAACCUUGAAUUAUCUGGAGUUCAUCAAGUGCAUCAUCAAAUGCUCUUCAUUCAGAGUGUCCAACUUAGCAAUAGCUUCAUCAAAAACCUAUUUAUCCAGAUUACAAGCAUGAUCCAGGGGAUUCAGAAUCUUAUAGUAAAAGACGGAGAAGUUAAGUGCAAGCCUCAAGCAGAUAAGACGGGUUGAAGCCAAUUCCACAGCUGCAAUAUCCUACGCUGAUUUUAUAAGCUACGAGAGUGCUCUCCGUCGCCUCUCUCAUCUCGGCUCCGGUCUUGAAUGCUGAUAGAUAACAACGAUAAUCGCUCUUCAUCUUUAAACAAAGCGACUUUGGGUCACUAGCCAUAGCCGAAUGAAUAAGCUACGAAUCCAGCAGACGAAGAGUAUCGUCACAGAUGGAGGAUUGUUGAAACAUAACACGCAUAUAAUGGAAACAGACUCGUGUUGGCUCCUGCCCGCUCCCAAUGGGUAUGGCCCUCAUGCUCAUUGACAUGUUCGAAGACGUCAACAAGCGCACCAUAGACCUUCUGUAGGCAGAGGAUUGGGUUUAAUGGGUUUAGAAAGAAUUUGUGGCAUGUAUGGGUAUGGAAAUAGGUGUGAAUGAUAGCCUUGCAUGCAUGAGGAGUGGUGAAUAGGUUGAAGAGAGUGGGUUUAGAGGAUAGAAAUAUGGGUAUAGUUGUGGGUUUAGAAAAUGGGUACAGUAUUAGUGGGACGGGUAGUGGAAAAAUGGAUUGGAAGGCAUUGGAAAAUGAGGUCUCUAUGGUGGCCAUGCAUGCGUCAAAAAAUAGAAAGGAGUGCAUGGAGGUUAAAUGGAAGGAUGAAUGAUGGAAGUAGCAGCUUGGGUAGGUGUAAGCUUUGGAUUUGGGUAGGUAAAAAAAAUGAGAGAUAGGUAUGAGAUAGCCAAUGAGAGAUCUGCACCAUUUGGCAUUGUGAUCGCUCGGUUUUUGUCGUUUAUUGGAUCAAAACAAAAUUUAUAACCUAAUUCACUAUUCUAUAGCAAUUUGUACUCGAUCAAAAAAUGGUUUUAGUACAAACUACUAUAGUAUAGUGGUAUUUAGGUAUCGUCCACAAGGAUGGAUUAUUCUCGGUAAUUAAGGCUUGAAUGAGAUGAUAAGAAAUGAUUGUGAUCAAGUGAAAUUGACUUGAAAUUGCAUGAUAAAAUUCCAAAAUAACAAUGUAUUCAAAUUGAGAGAAAAAUGAAGUGUAAAAGAGAAGAAAAUUAAUAAGAGGUGAGAUUCUCGGAGUUAGGAUUUUCUAGAAAGCAAUUUCCAUGGCGAAUAAGUGUUGAGAUCUAAUUUUCAUCAAGUUAAAUUGAAAACCUAAAUUUUCAUCUAAACCGAUUUUUGAUUUAGCUUUAGGUCUAGAUAUAAUUUCUCUUCAAAUUAGGUAAUCUAAUCCAAGAGAUCAAUUUGAAUCAUAUAUUCAAUUCAUCUUAAAUUAUCUCCUUAUGAUUCACACGAUGCAACUAUUCAAUCUCAUUAAAUUUAGCAUUAAGAAUUUAAUGAAUCUACCUAGCUUGCAUUGUAGUAAUCAUCCAAGACAAUUUAAAGAGAAGAAUCCCCAAAUUUCAAUUAAUCAAUCAAUUGGAUCAAAUUACCUUUGCAAUUCAAGCUCAAUUCUCUCAUUCACCAUAGAUCUUGUCUCUAGAUUCUCCCUCCUCUGAGAAAAACAAGAUUUAGCCACUCAUGCUUGGAGAUUUGAUCUCAUAAGACAUGUUUGGCUACCAAGAAAAUGAGAGAAAAUGAAGGAAAGUAGAGAAUUAUAUAGAGAAAAGAAAUCUGAAAAGUUCUACAAUUAGAAAAUGUAUCAAAAGUCUUUAAAUGAGUCAAUCACAUUUUUAUUUAUAGGCCAAGGUCAAGAUGACACUUGGCAACAUCUAAGAGGUCUUUCGGAUGCUUCUUCAUCAAGGAAUUUGGAGAAAAUACAUUUUCGCACGAGCCUUAGCAAUUUCGCAUGAUGGUGCGAAGUGGAAAACCAUCAGCUUCAUUUUUGUCUUUCUGGAGCGUUUCGCAUGACUGUACAAAAUUUUCGCAUGGUUGUGCGAAAUUGCUUUUCACUUUUCCCUUAGUAUGCUACAGCCAAACCUAUUCUGUUUCAUUUCACAUGGUCAUGCGAAAUUGAAAAACAUGUUUUUUCGACUCCUCUUUGCAAUUCUUUCCAUUUCUUCAUUUUUAAUCCACCUCUACCACUUUCAAUUCAACUCCAAAUCCCAAUCCAAACCGAUUGCAUUGCUUAUUUCAUUAUGCAUUUGGAUCAUCAUCAACUUUAUUUGUUUUCUUCAAUUUGGUUCAUCUCUUUUGUCACCAAUUUAUCAAAAUCAUACCUUAAAAUGACUUUAAAACUUCAUAAAACUUGUUAGUAACUAUUGCAAGGGCAAAAACAUGUUAAUUGAGUGUUUUAGGCAUAAUUACUACUCAAAAGAUGUGAAAAUCAUGAGAAUUAUUAUCUAAAAUAUGCUCUUUUUGAGUAGUAAUCAUUCCCCCCAACCAACACAUUGCUAGUCCCUUAGCAAUUGUAUGACAAAAAGAAAGAAAAAUAAGGCCAAAGAAAAGAAAUCAUAACUCACAUAAGCAAAUCAUUUGAAAAAAAAAAUGUUUGAAAUUUCCAUAGCAUAAAUGGUUGAUAAACAAGCACACCCUACUAUCCAUAGGUAUCAACAAAAUCCCAACUUAUUUACUAUCUCUAAUAGAAAUAAUAUCAUGCUAAUCAAGGUAUCAAAAACAUAUCCAUCUUCAUUUCCCAAACAAUCUUUGUAAACAAGUCUUGAGUGUAAUUAAGCUAGCUCCCGAAUAUAGUACUCAAAACUAAUCCUCCCCCCAACCUAGCUCAAUUUAUCUCAAACAACAAAAAUCACUCUCUCAUAGGUUAAGAACACACCUAUCUUUAUUUUAUUAUUAUUUUUUUUACAAAUGACUUAUUGUAGGAGUGCAAUGCUAAAGGUAUCUCCAAGUAUAUGGUCCAUGUAGCGGGGAUUCAUCGAUGACUCCCAAUCAUAAGGCAUAGGGCACCAAGUUUAUAGGACUAUUUAACUAGCCACUAACUCCUCAGACUUCACCCCGGACUCCUCAAAUUAGGAUCCAAUACAUUAACACCUACAAUUGAGUUCAUACCCCACCUAUCCACCCAUGUAACAAGCAUUGAGGUCGGUGGCUCCCAACCAAAAUGGCUUAGGGCACCAGGCUUUAAAGACCUUUGGGCCAUAUACCCCUCGGACCUUGCUCAGGUUUCAAGGCAAGCAUAACUCAACAUUUUUAUUCAUCAACUCUUUUUUUUUUUUUUUUUUCAAUUGGGCACAUUGGCCUCUUUUUAAGGUGUCUCAACUCAGUUCAAGAGUAAUCAAUGUUACAAGAUAAUUAAGUCUAAGUCUUAAGGUUAGAAUAGUUUUUCAUCUUAUAUCUGGGGUCUAGAGUGCAUAGUAUGUGUCAAGACUCAAAUAGAAAUGACAAUUUGGAAAAUGAAGACUUUAAAGUCAAAUCAACUUUAAUUCACAUAACCAAUCUUCUAAGAUCAAGCAAAUAAGCUAGUAUUCUAAAUCAACUUUUUUUAAGUUAGGUUUGCUCAUUCAUCAAUCACAAAUGCUAUAGUCAUCUCAAAAAAAUCUCACCAAAUAAGUCACAAAUGUGAUUUAUGAAAAAAAAAAAUUAUAGAAAAACUAAUAACAUAUUUCCUUCUCUUCAUUUUUAACCCUCCCCCAACCUAACUUGUACAUUGUCCUCAAUGUGUAAUGAAAAUAUACAAAGAAAGGAAGGAAAGAUACCUCAAUCUCUCAUGAAUUUCAGUUUCAAUAGCUAAAACAAAAAUAAGAUCACACAUGAGAAUUGUUGGAUAUGAAUGACAUAAGAGAAGAAAAUAUGAAAACAAAUCUAUUAAAAACCAAAAAAAAAAAACUAUGUUAGAGACACAAUGUAUGGAGUAAAAUCAAGGUAUAGAUGAUGACAAUGUCCAAAGAAAACAUGAUUUCAAUGAUAAGUCAAUGAUUCUCAUGGAGUUUUUGAAAAUUUCAGACAAGUGUGCAAACUAGACAAGAAGGUGGUGUGUGUUGCAACCACUUUUUCUUUUGAAAUAAUUUGGCACAAUCAUGCGGAAAUUCGCAUGUACAUGCGAAUUGGUCAAGAGAGCUUUAUCUUAUUAUAGUCUUCAGCAUAAUUUUCGCAUAGUCAUGUGAAAAUUCGCAUGUUGAUGCGAAAUGGAUCUGAGGCUUAAAACUGUUGUAGUCAUCCACAUUAGUUUCGCACAGUCAUGCGAAAACUUCACAUGAGUGUGUGAAGUGGUCCAGAUGGCUCAUUUUACUACAGUCUUUAAGAUGGAUUUCGCAUAGUCAUGCGAAAUGCUCUAGAGGGUUCAUUUUUACAACUAUCAUUUUCAGUUUUGCACAGUCAUGCGAAAAUUUUGCAUGACCAUGCGAAUUGUGACAAAGACUCAUUUUGUACAUUUCCGAAGAUAUGAAAACUCCCCUAUUUUGGCAUGACUGUGUUAUUUUGGCAUGACCUCCCUGUUUUGGCAUGACUAUGCAAAAUGGUGAUGGGCCAUUAAAACUCUUUUUUCCUUUGCUUCAUGCAUUCCAUCCAUCCAGAAAGUCCUUCAAAACACAAGUCAAAGAAUUGAGAUGGAUUUAUUUAAUGGAAACUAAAAAAAAAAUCAAAAUCCAAAGGAAAUGAUAAACCAUUGGGCUAGCUAGCCAUUGACAUGACUAAGCCCAUUAACCUUUGCAUCAAUACUCAAUUUGGAUAUGGCUUGCAAACAAUGAAUGGACCAACUCCUUGGUACUUAAGCUUUCCCAGAAAAAUAUGUGGCUUGAAAUAACCUUCUUUGAACUUGUUCUUUUGAAUAAGUUGGUCAUGCCAUUCCUUGAGUUUCUUUUUCAUGGUCUUUGGAUUAUUUUUCAUACCAUGCUUCAUUUUUUUCACUUUCUUGAAGCUGAAAGACCAUUUCAUUAACUUCAAAGGUUGAAUUUCUUUAUUGAUCCUCCAAACUUCAAUCCGUUCAUUGGAAAUUGCUUCACUAAGUUUUGAAAAAUUAUCUUCAACCUUUUCUUUCACUAGCACUUUCAUAGGCAAUUCAAUCAAAUAAGCCUCCUUAAGUUCCUCCUCCUCCUUGGUACCAUGCUUCUUAUAUGAAUGAAAAAUGUUUAGCUCAAUUGUCAUGUUACCAAAGGUAAGUUGCAUCACCCCACUUCGACAAUUAAUUAAUGCAUUUGCUGUGGCAAGGAAAGGUCGGCCAAGUAUAAUAGGAACAUGGUUGAGUCCACUAGUUCCUUGUUUCAUAUCAAGCACCACAAAAUCAACCGGAUAAUAGAAGAUAUCGAUUUGGAUCAACAUAUCCUCAAUAAUUCCUCUUGGAAACUUAACCGAUCUAUCCGCCAAUGAAAGUGUGAUGGAAGUAGACUUUAGUUCUCCAAACCCCAAUUGCUUAUAUACCGAGUAGGGAAGAAGAUUCACACUUGCCCCCAAGUCUAAAAGUGCUCUUUUCACAAAAGUGUUGUCAAUCUUCACCGAGAUAGUUGGACAUCCCGGAUCCUUAUACUUGAUUGGGGUUUUACAUUGGAUGAUUGCACUAACUUGUUCAGUCAAGAAAGUUUUCUUUUUCAAAUGCAUCCCUCUCUUUAUGGUACACAAAUCCUUAAGAAACUUGGCAUAGGUUGGAAGUCUUAUCAUGUCAAGGAGUGGUAUAUUGACUUUGACUUGCUUGAGAACUUCAAAAAUUUCUAGAGCAUUAUUUACCACUUUCUUGGAUUGAAGAGCCAUAGGAAAAGGUGGAGCUAAGAGCAUAUCUUUCUUCUUAACCUCUUCUUUAACAAUCUCAUCUUCCUUUGAUCUAUCAUCCUCAUUCACCUCUUUCCAUUUUUCUUGUUCUUUCACAUUUUCCUUUUGUUCCCCUCUUUUAUUCUCUUUUGGUUUUGGCAUAGGUUGAUCAACUUGCUUACCACCUCUUAAGGUAAUGACUGCUUUGACUUCAUCCUUCUCAAUAGAACUUUCACUUGUCUCUCCAAUUUCAUGGACUCCACUUGGAUUUUGUUGGGGUUAUGAAGAGAAUUUUCCUUUUUCUUACACUGUAUGCAUGCUUGUGAGUUUAGAAAUAGCAAGCUGCAUAUUAUCAAUCUUUUGUGUGAGAUUGGUUUGCAAGCUAUCAAAUUUCUGAUUGAAAGAUGUCUCCACAUGAUCUAUUCUUUGGUUUACUUGAAUAUUGAUAUUCUUUUGAUCACCAAUAAAAUCACCCAAAAUUUUACUCAAGCUUACAAUAGCUUGCUCAACCAAAGAAAUUUGUUGUGGAGAGUCUUCCAUGACUUGUUGGCUUUGUGAGUAUUGACUUGAAGAAAAUUGUUCUUGUCCACAAUUCCAUGACAUGUUUAGAUGAUUCUCAACAAGUCUUUCCCCCAUAGCUAGUAUUGUAGGACAAUCACUCACUUCAUGUUCUAUAGAUUGACAAUUAGAACAUUGCUCCUUGUAAAUUGGAUUAUCAUAUAUUGCAUUCACCACAUGAAAUCCCUUAGCUUCAAGUUCCUCUAGCCUUUUUGUCAAAGCUACCAUUUUAGCUUGUAGAUCAACAUCUUCAUUCAACAUAUACAUUCCUCCAUUUGAAUUGCUUUGAGACUUGGACUUGUGUAAAUCCCUUUCAUGUGGCUCAUUCCAUGACCUUAAUAUUUUAGCCACAUAAUUCAAGAAUUCAAAAGCUUCAUCGGGACUUUUGCUCAUAAAGCCACCUCCACACAUGGUUUCUAGCAAUUGCUUCAUAGUUGGCGACAUGCCCUCAAGAAGUAACUCACCAACAUCCAUGUGUCAAAACCAUGAUGAGGACAAACAUUGAUUACUUCCAUAUAUCUUUCCCAACAAGCAUAAAAUUUUUCAUUGUCCAAUGCCACAAAGUUGGUAAUUUGCCUCUUCAAGCCACUUGUGCGAUGUAUGGGGAAAAUUUUCUUUAAGAAGGUUGUUUGUAGUUCCAACCAUGACCUUAUGGUUUGGGGCCCCAAUGAGUUGAACCACAACUUAGCCUUAUCCUUCAAUGUGAAUGGAAAAAGCUUCAAUCUCAUAAGCUCAAUGGAUGUGUUUCCCUCAUGAAAUGUAUGAAAAACCUCUUCAAAAUCCUUGAUGUGAGUAUAAAGAUUCUCAUUCUCCAUUCCAUGAAAUUGAGGUAGAAGGGGUACCAAGUGAGUUUUUAUCACAAUAGCCUCAUUAGGAAGAACUAUACAUGAUCCCAUGCCUAUCCUUUGAGGAUGCAUAUAUUCUCUCAUUGAUCUAGACAUGUGAGAAUUGCCAUUGUUUGGUCCUUGUUGAGUUUGUUGAUUUUCCCCUUGAUUUUCCAUUUCCUCAACAAUUGGAUCACAAAACAAAGAUGAUUAGCAAUAUAAGUUUUUUUUCAAUCUCUCCCUUGAAUUUUAUUCUCAAUGUAGUAUGCAAUGGAGAGCCUACAAAACAAGCUUAGAAAAACCAAAACAAACCAAGAAGAACAAAAAGAGAAAUAAAAGAUAAAAAUGGAAAAAAAAAUAAUAAUAAGAAAAAUGGAGAAUCGAUAAAGAGAACUUCACCAAUCUUGUGAUGUGGAUCACAAGGGCUAAUCCUCACCAAAAAAAAAAAUGCCUCAAUCACCUAGGCACCAUCCCCGGCAACAGUGCCAUUUUUGAUUGCUCGGUUUUUGUCGUUUAUUAGAUCAAAACAAAAUUUAUAACCUAAUUCACUAUUCUAUAGAAAUUUGUACCCAAUCAAAAAAUGGUUUUAGUACAAACUACUGUAGUAUAGUGGUAUUUAGGUAUCAUCCACAAGGAUGAAUAUUCUUGGUAAUUAAGGAUUGAAUGAGAUGAUAAGAAAUGAUUGUGAUCAAGUGAAAUUGACUUGAAAUUGCAUGAUAAAAUUCCAAAAUAACAAUGUAUUCAAAUUGAGAGAAAAAUAAAGUGUAAAAGAGAAGAAAAUUAAUAAGAGGUGAGAUUCUCGAAGUUAGGAUUUUCUAGAAAGCAAUUUCCAUGGUGAAUAGGUGUUGAGAUAUAAUUUUCAUCAAGUUAGAUUGAAAACCUAAAUUUUCAUCUAAACCGAUUUUUUAUUUAGCUUUAGGUCUAGAUCUAAUUUCUCUUCAAAUUAGGUAAUCUAAUCUAAGAGAUCAAUUUGAAUCAUAUAUUCAAUUCAUCUUAAAUUAUCUUCCUAUUAUUCACAUGACGCAACUAUUCAAUCUCAUUAAAUCUAGCAUUAAGAAUUUAAUGAAUCUACCUAGCUUGCAUUGUAGUAAUCAUCCAAGACAAUUUGAAGAGAAAAAUCCCCAAAUUUCAAUUAAUCAAUCAAUUGGAUCAAAUUACAUUUGCAAUUCAAGCUCAAUUCUCUCAUUCACCAUAGAUCUUGUCUCUAGAUUCUCCCUUCUCCGAGAAAAACGAGAUUUAGCCACUCAUUCUUGGAGAUUUGAUCUCACAAGACAUGUUUGGCUACCGAGAAAAUGAGGGAAAAUGAAGGAAAUUAGAGAAUUAUAUGAGAAAAGAAAUCUGAAAAGUUCUACAAUUAGAAAAUGUAUCAAAAGUCUUUAAAUGAGUCAAUCACGUUUCUAUUUAUAGGCCAAGGUCAAGAUGACACUUGGCAACAUCUAAGAGGUCUUCCGAAUGCUUCUUCAUUAAGGAAUCUGGAGAAAAUACAUUUUCGCACGAGCCUUAGCAAUUUCGCAUGAUGGUGCGAAGUGGAAAAUCCAUCAGCUUAUUUUUUGUCUUUCUGGAGCGUUUUGCAUGACUGUGCGAAAUUUUUGCAUGGUCAUACAAAAUUGCUUUUUACUUUUCCCUUAGUAUGCUGCAGCCAAGCCUAUUCUAUUUCAUUUCGCAUGACUAUGCGAAAUUGAAAAACAUGUUUUUUCGACUCCUCUUUGCAAUUCUUCCCAUUUCUUCAUUUUUAAUCCACCUCUACCACCUUCAAUUUAGCUCCAAAUCCCAAUCCAAACUAAUUGCAUUGCUUCUUUCAUUAUGCAUUUGGAUCAUCAUUAACUUUAUUUGUUUUCUUCAAUUUGAUUCAUCUCUUUUGUCACCAAUUUAUCAAAAUCAUACCUUAAAAUGACUCCAAAACUUCAUAAAACUUGUUAGUAACUAUUGCAAGGGCAAAAACAUGUUAAUUGAGUGUUUUAGGCAUAAUUACUACUCAAAAGAUGUGAAACUCAUGAGAAUUAUUAUCUAAAAUAUGCUCUUUUUGAGUAGUAAUCACAUUGCAACACCCUUAUUUUGUUAUACCCAUUUGUAUGCUUAUCCUUUACAUAAGGAGCUUGUCUGACACCUUUAUAGAAGCGGACAAAAAGCAUGGCUUGCUUGUAGAUCCAGUGCAACUUUCAGUAACACCCAACCCCUAUCAUUUUGACCCAAAAGGAUCUAUACCUAUGAUCAUUGAACUCAUUCCAUUUUGAGAACAAUCUUCAUGAACUCAUAAACGAAAUAACUUAUUGAAACUGAAGGUAGCACCUGUGGUAAGCCGAUUUCAAUAUAUCAUGCACACCAUAGAAAAUUGCACCUGAAGGUGCCAUACUUAUAGUGGAAGGCACCAAACCCUUGUAAAUGGAGAAGAAUCCUUCAGUUCGGAUCAUAUGGAGGAAAUGCCAAUAACACUACCCAAGGCUUUACCACCCGGUGCCACCAUCUUGGUCUGGAUUUAACAUGGUACCCAAUAGUAAGCGGAGUAUGGUAGUAGUAAUUCUAGCUGCAUCACCAGCAAUUGUCUUAAUUAGCUCAAAUAUAUGCUUCUGUUCACCAUGAACUAUAUAUUCCAGCUUUAGUCUCCUUUGAUUGCAUAUCAUUUCCUCCACAAAACUUUCGUUUACUAUCAUCAAACUGCCAUCCUAUACCACAAUGGUCCCAUCAACCCUACUGACCAUCCAAAUGUCAUUAAAUGAGCUAGAAGCUGGGGACUCUCAACAGCAAGAGCACCUUGAGGUUGAAUGAAUUUAGAAUAACCCACUGAAAACUCUUAUAUAGCUUCUUUAGGUGGAGAUGAGGAAGGAGAAUAGCCAAAAUAGAGCACAACAGAGUGAGCAAAGCAUUAAGUGGGAUCCCCCUUUCAUAUUGAAAUCAAGGGGUUCCAGCCAGUGGUGCAACAGGAGAGUUUAAAACAAAGAUCCAAAUGAGAGCAUCAAUAAACUCCCACCAUGGGAGUGAGCCAUAUUCAAAAAAACAAAUAUAAGAGAAAAGUAAUGCAUCAUCACAUACCCAGACAAUCGUCCAAUGCUUAGAAAAAAAAAAAAACCAAAACAACCAGAGAAGAUGGAAGAUAAAGAAAACAGAGUGAUGAGUGAAAAUAAUCCAAAAAGCUAUAUCAAAUGUACCUAGAAAUGCUCUUUCCAAUUUUCUUUUCUUCCCAACUACCUUCAGCAAACUAGAUUUGCUUUCUCUCCUCUGCUCCUAAUCAAACUACACCCUCAAGCAAUCUGAAAAAUGCAAUCCUCUCUCUCACAACCUCAGCGCACCAACCAUCUCUACUUCUCUCAUUGUUGCUCCAACUCCUUACAAAAAUAUCCCCUCUUUGUCUCUCCUCCCAAGCUCUUUCUCUCUCUCUCUCUCUCACUUCUCCUCAGCUAUGCUCUCUCAAUCCCUCUAAAAAAAAACAUCCUUCUCUCGCUCCUCUGUAACCUCAAACUUUUCUCUCAAGCUAAAGGAAACUUCUCCCCCCGAUAUCUCCUCUCCUCCCUAGCAACCAAAAAUACCCCUCCUCUGCCAGAAUGCCUCACCUUCUCUCUCCUACGCUCCUCCAUAACGGCCUGAAGAUUCUUAUGCCAUGCAUCAGCCGCUGAUUGCCUUCAGAAAAGAUCACUGCCUAUCCAUCCUCUCAUGCACAUGUUGCCAAAAAUAAAAAAAGGUGGUAAAGAAUGCUCCCUAAAAUGCCCUUACCUAUAAACCAAAACGAGGGUUUUACAGGCGCACAAUAUUUGUGGAAAAAUAUUCUUUGCUGAAGAAUAUUUUUUAAAGAUCAAUUGAAAGCCUAAAGCAGCUUGUUCCCAAAUGAAUUUAUUGAAUGGUGAAAAACACGUGUGUUGCGAUUUUUUGGAUUUGUAGGGGGUAUUUUAUAAAGCUUUUUUCUCUUUGUGAAACUCCUUUUCAUAUGUGAAAUUGUUUUAUUUUUAUUUUAUCAUUUUCAUUGAAGGAAGUUGCAAAUAUUUAUAGAUAAAAUUUUAAAAAAUAAAUUUAGAAUUUCUAAGAUUUGAUUACUUAAUUAAAAAAAAAAAUUGGUUUCUUGAUUUUAGCAACUUGUCUUCUUCAUUAAGGAAGUUUGCUAACAAGAGAAUAUUUACUUCUCAUUUUAUUUUGACUUCAAUUGGAAGACUUGUUUCAUUUGUUUACAAAAUUUUCCAACAAGAAAAUAUUUAUUUCUAAUUCUCUUUUGAUUUCAAUUGUUUGAUUUGAUUUGAUUUUGCAAGACUUUAUUUUAUAGCCUUCCAAAUUUCACUACGUGUCAUUUUUUGAAUUGAAUGCCACAUGCUCAAUAUAUAUGACUCAUCACUUAUUAAGCCUGAGUUUUGUUGAGCUAAAGAGUUACAAUUUUGAAGACUAAUUUGGUAGUAUUUUAAUCCACUAAAAUUUUUUGUCUACAAAUGCCCCCUCUUCAAAAUAGAUCACACACAUGCAUUGUAAUGUAUAAGAGGUGAGUCUUGAAGUUAGCCUUUUGAAUCUUCAAUAUCCUUCUUUGAUUUUUUUUUUCGAAGAAAUAUUUUAAUAGGAAUUUCCUAUUCAAAAUACUUUUCUUCAACUUUUUUCGAACAUUGCUUUAUUUAUUUAUUUUUUUUCUACCUCGUAUCAAAGAAAAACCUUGUGUUAAUGGGAAAGCUUCUUAUUUGAACAUCUAUUGUCUUUUCUCAUGGUAUUUCACUUCCAAUUUGUCAACCUAGAAGAAGUCCUUCACCCUAGCUUGUUCAAUUGCAUCUUAGACUUGGUCACAUGCCUUUAACUUGCAAUUCUUCCUCCACUUUGUCUUUUUCUUUUUUAUUUGUUUAAAAAAUAGUACAAAAUAUUUGAGCAAGACCAUAAGCAAGAGAAGAGAGGUGGUGAAUGGAGCACCAACUAACCUUAGGUCAAGAUCUUGAGCAAGAGAAGUAAGGUGGAGCGUAGAGCACAAACUUCUCUAGAGCAUGGUAGGCAUACCAUCAUGGAGUUGUCUUCUGCAUGGAGCAUGGUAGGGCAUUAUAUAUAUGAUAGGGUGGGCCAUUAUGUAACAAUGAAGAACAAAAAUCCAUGGUGUACAAUUGGGAACAACAAUUCAUGCUAUCAAGCUUCAACCUUUUUUUUUUUGUUUUUUUUUUAAUCCCUAUCUCCACCCCCCGACCCAAUAUUUUUUCAAGUUUCCAGAUUCCUUUUGAUUCUUUCUCAUUUUAUUUUUUUCAACUCUUUUUUUUCCUCCCUUUUUAACCAUUGUUUUUAAGGAAGAAAUAGAUUCACCAUCCCUUACCACAAGGUCAAUCUCCAUUGCUUGCAAAGACAAAUUUGCUUUUUGGUGUUUUUUUUCUUCAAAAAUUAUCUUAACAUUUUAAGAUAUAUAUAUAUAGAUAUAGAUAUUUAAAAAACUUAAAUAUCCAUAAUAAAAAUAAAUAUUUAAGGCUCUUGACUUGUUUAAAUUGGCUUGACUUGGAUACUUAGCGGGACCAUACUUAACACCCAUGUAGAUGAGCUAUAAUCUUGAUGGUAGGUUGUGUUGUAUUUUUUGACAUUUAAUGUGGCUUAAGAGUUAAAGUCUUCACUCAUGCAAAUUAGCUUGGUUUGGAUGCACAAUGGUCUCUAACUUCUUAAUGCUUAAUUAAACUUGGAACCAUAUUUAACACCCAUGUAGACAAGUCAUAAUCAUGACAUGGAGCACUAUUUUAUUUUAACUCUUAAUGCAACUUAAAUAUUAAAGUCUUCACUCAUACAAAUUAACUUGGGUUAGAUGCACAAUGGUGUUCAACUUGGUAAAAUUAAUUAAAAUUGAAACAUUUAACACCCAUGUAAACAAGUCAUAACUUUCACAUGGAACAGUGUUGUAUUUUUAGCUUAAUGUCGCUUAAGUGUUAAAGUCUUCACUGAUGUAAAUUAGCUUGGCUUAGAUGCAUAGUAGCAUUCAACUUUUUAACACUUAAUUUAAAUUCAUACCAUAUUGAAAACCCAUGUGGACAAGACAUAAUGAGAAAAUAAAUGGCUAAUCUAAAUAGAUAAAAAUACCUAACAAGGAAGGAGGGGGGUGAAUUGGAGUUUAAAAAAAAAAUAUAUUUUUAAACACAAUAAAAUUAAGUACAAGAAGCACAAAUAUAAAGAGAUAAGUUAUAGAAAUCAAACUCAGAUUUAUAGUGGUUCGACACUUCCUUGCCUACAUCCACUCUCCUCAAACUCCUAACCGAGUGAGGGUUCCACAUAUACUUGAAGCUUCAACCAAGCUUCUAAUCACUUUUUACACUUGGAUUUUAGCUCCAAUGGGCUCUUACACAUUCUCUUCAAGUCUCUACUCACUUGAAGAUUUUAACACACAAUUAACAGUUUGAAACUCUCAACCUAGCUCAACAAUGGCUCAAAUACAACUCAAGGCUAGGAUGAAUCACAAAGGUGCAUUAAAUAAUAUGCAAAUGAAGAUUUAAUGCACUGAGAAAAGAAUGAGAGCUUUUAUGGCAAGAACAAGUAGGUAAACAAAUCAAUGGAGGUGUUCUCUUACUCAUAAAUGAAGUGGAACUCUCAAUUUAUAGGUUUCUAAUCUCGGAAGCUAAAAAACCAAAAAGUAACCUCGAUUGGUCGAGUUAGGGGUCGACAGGUUCACUAGUCGUUAGAGCAUUAAAUGCGUGGCAGGUGAUCGUUACCCUCGACCGGACCUUGACUGGGAAGGCAAAUCUCUCAACUGGGAAAGAAAGGCUAUUGGAAGAGAGAAGGCUUUUUGCAUCUUUUGACUAGACCUCAACCGAGAAGGAGCAACUGAUCGACCAGUACCCUAGCCGGUUGAGCCGGUUGGCCAGUGCCUCAACCAAUUCACCAUUUUUUGGCCCUAAAACCUAUCUUUUUGUGGUCUUUUUUGCUUCUAACACUUAAACAAGGUCUUUAGGUAAAAUAAUAUGUCAAUUUUGAAACGCUUUGCCUAAGGUUCAUUUGAUAGAACUCGGAUUUUGAUGGAAAUGUGACUUUAAUGCGUAAACCGAGUUUUAAAAGAUGUAUGAAAUGAUAUGAAAAUUCUAAGUACACUCAUGCAUUCAUUUUACAUAGUUUUCUAUAAUUAAAAAGUCUUUCAAAAGUCUUGAUCUUGCAUCCAUUAGAUCAUUUGAUUAAUUUCCAAAUUAAUAUUUGAAAUUCUUUAUAAUUCAAACCAAUUAGUAACUUAACCAUGGUUUGUUAUCAUCAAAACAUGAUUAGGAGAACCCUUGGGCUAACACAUAACAUUGUAGCAAUGUUAUAUUUUUUACACUUAAUGCAGUUUAAGUUCUAAAAUCUUCAUUUCUAUGAAUUGGUUCACCUUGGAUGCAUAGUGGUGUCUAAAUUAUAAUACUUAAUUAAAAUUGAAACCAUAUUUAACACCCAUGUAGACAAGUCAUAACUUUGACAUGGAGUGGCAUUGCAUUUUUGACACUUAAUGCAACUUAGGUGCUAAACUUUUCACUCAUGAGAAUUGGUAUGGGUUGGAUGCAUGUGGUGUCGAACUUUUUAACACUUAAUUAAAAUUGGAACCAUAUUUAACACUAUCUAGAUAAGUCAUAACCUUGAUGUGAAGCGACAUUGUAUUUUCAACACUUAAAGCAACUUAGGUGCUAAAGUCUUCACCCAUGCAAAUUAGUUCAUCUUGGAUGUACAAUGGUGUCCCAUUUUUUAACAUAUAAUUAAAAUUGGAACCAUAUUUGACACUCAUGUAGACAAGUCUAGCCAUGAUGUAAAGUAGUGUUGUAUUUUUAAAACUUAAUGCAGCUUCAAUGGUAAAGUUUUUACUCAUGUGAAUUGGCUUGAUUUGGAUGCACAAUGAUGCCUAACUUUUUAACAUUUUAUUAAAUUUGGUAUCAUAUUUAACACCUAUGUAGACAAGUCAUAACCUUAAUGUAGAGGUGCUGUAAUAUUUUUGGUACUUAAUGCCGCUCAAGUGCUAAAGUCUUCACUCAUGUGAAUUUUUUUGGUUGAGAUGGACGUCUCUAACAUUUUAACAUUUAAUUAAAAUCAGAAUCAUAUUUAACACUCAUGUAAAAAAGUCAUAACCUUGACACAUAGUAAUAUGCAAUGUUUUAACAUUUAAUAUGACUUAAGUGCUAAAGUUUUCACUCAUGUGAAUUGGCUUGGCUUGGAUGCAUAAUGGUGUCUAACAUUUUAACACUGAAAUUAAAAUUAGAGUUAUAUUUAAUAAUCAUGUAGACAAGUCAUAACCUUGACGAGAAGCAAUAUUGUCAUUUUGACACUUAAUAUUGCUUAAAUGCUAAAGGCUUCACUCAUGCAUAUUGACUUAGCUUGGAUGAACAAUGGUAGCUAACUUUUUAACACUUCAUUAAAUUUGGAUUAUGGUUAACAUCCAUGUAGAAGAGUGAUAAACUUGAUGCAAAGUGAUGUUAUAUUUUUGGUACUUAAUAUAGCUUAAAUACGAAAAUCUUCACUUCUAAUAAUUAACUUGGCUUGGAUGCAUAGUGGUGUCCUACUUUUUAACUCUUAAUUGAAAGUGAAAUCAUAUUUAACAUCCAUUUUAUGCUAGUCAUAAACUUGAUAUAGAGCAAUGUGCAACUUUUUAACAUUUAAUGCAACUUAGGUGCUAAAGUCUUUACUCAUAUGAAUUAACUAAACUUAGAUGCAUAUUCGUUUCCAACUUUUUUAAUACCUAAUUAAAAUUAAAACCAUAUUUAAAAACCAUGUAGACAAAGGCAUAAUCUUAACAUGGAGCAGUGUAUAACUUUUAGCACUUAAUUAAAAUUGGGAUUAUACUUCACAACCACAUAUUCCUCCUCCUAUUUUUCAAUUUUUUCUUGUGGUGAUGAUUGAACUCAACUAGUUUGUCCAAGUUACCUGCAUACCUUAACAGAGAGGGGAUCAAGUCAAACUUAGUUCAAAGUAUUUUUUUAAUAUCUAACUUUUGCCAAGGCUAAUGAUUUUAAUCUUGAAAGCUUGUCUUAACUUUUGACUAUAUAUGUAGUGUUUUCAAGUUUCAAUUUAGCGACCUAUGAAUUGUACAAAUUGAAAAUGACUUCACUCAUGUGUAAAAAUAAAAGAUAUUCAUUCAUAGUUUUAGGGCAACGAAAAGUAAUCGACCCUUUUUUGCAUUAUUAUUAUUAUUGUUGUUGUUAUUAUUAUAAUUAUUAUAUUACCUUAAAAAAAAGACCUUCUCCAAAAAAUUUAAUCUACAAGUACUUGGAUUCUAUUUGAAUAUAAAAAGAGCCACUCAUAUGCAUGAAUUAAAUAUAUGUCCCAUGGAUAAGUUGUACUUAGCCACGGCUGAAGCUUUCCAUUAUGACUUGAAGGGAAAAAAAAAGAGAGGAGAAUAAUGUCAUUAAAAAACUGAUUGCCAUGUGCCUAUGCCUGCCAGUAGAUGGCUGAAAACUAGUUCUAUUCUUUUGUUUUUGCCUCUACUAAUGAACCAUAAUUGAGAGAUUCAUUGGCAACUAUCGUAUAAACAAUGGUUCAUAAAUUACUUUUAAAUUUUGAUAGCAAAGACUCAAAAUGUAAAACCAUAAAAAAUUUGUUCUAUUCCCAAAUUUUUUUAAAUAAUAAAUUAAUGCACAUGACUGUUUUCACAUCUUAUUCUCAUUUCUAUCAAUGCAAUAAUUGUAAUCAUCUUAUCUAUUAACAUGGCCUAGAGCCAUAGAGCUUCCUUUUCUUUAGUCCUAGAGCCAUUUCAGCUAAGAGUAGUCUUUCCUUAGCAUUUCCGGUCCAAAGCUUCCAUUUCUUUAGGCCUAGAGGCAUUUUCAGUCCAGAGCUGCUGUUUCUUUCGGCCUACAACCAUUUUCAGCCUGAAGCUGCCUUUCUUUAGCAUUUUCAGCCCAGAGCUACCUUUCCUUGGCAUAUCAGCCCAAAGCUUCUAUUUCUUUAGGCCUGGAGCCAUUUCAACAUACAACAUUGGUUUCUUUGGCCGGGCCUUGAGCCCUUUUCAACCCAGAACUGUCAUUUCUUCUAAAUAACUUCUCUUUUAAAAAACUUCAAUUUGUCUUUCCAAUAAAAAAAUUUAAGGCUUUGUUCUAGGUUUCAAGAAGCUGGCAUAGAAAAAAAAAAGGAAAAAAAAAAUUCUUGAUGGCAUAAAGUAGGACAUGGCCGGGAUAGUUUGAAAUACAUAAUUUUCCCCAUUCAAAUGCAAAACAUAUUAAAAGAACAUUUGGCAUGAUUUUAUGAAGUGAUUCUAUCUUUUCUAAUACUUCAAAGUUAUGAAGUGAUUCUAUCUUUUCUAAUACUUCAAAGAUAAAUUUUUUUGAAGUAUUAGAAAAAUUAGAAACAUUUCUUAAAAUCACUACCCUUAACUAUAUUUAGAUACUUUAACCAUUUCAAAUGCUACAUGUUGUUUCCUUCUACAUUUCCUCUUUAUUUUGUUUUUCUCUUACAUUUUUCCUCAAAUUUUCUAAAAACCAAACAUAACCUAAAAGAAAAGAUAAUUUGACUUAUUUUGAAAGUUCUUUAUAUAUAUAGUUUAUAUGGAAAAUUGUUUCAUGUUAAUUUAAUAAAGCAUUUAUAAUAUUGAGAUCGCUCUUUCAUAAUCAUAAAUUAACCUUUAGUUUCAACUUCUACAAGAGGCUAAAUGAAAAAAGCUAUCACAGAGGAGGCCUCAGCCAAUGAGUAAGAUGCACUGUUGUACCAAACAAUAGGUGGAAAAUACAAUUUUAUUAAGACUCUGAGACAAAAAAAAAAAAAAAAAGGAUGAUUUUACACUCAAAACAAGGAUUUAUUUAUAAUGAAGUGCAGUCUCCAUAUGCACAUGUGACUGCAUUUACAGCAUAAAGAAAGACAAGGAAAUUAACAAAUGUUGGACUCAUUGGAAAAUCAUACAAAUUAUUGAAGGAGGACCUUAGCUAAGCUAACUGUCUCCUAAAUUGCCCAUCUUUUAUAUAUAUUUGCAUUCAUCCGUCUCAUCAUCGUCUUUGAUUUUAGAUGGUGAGGAUGUGAAAGUAACAGGAAGCAGUGGACGAUUGUUCACUGUGAGGCUUAGCACAUCAGCUCUCGAAUAAUGUCCUACCACAUCGAACUGGAACUUUGCUUUAGGAAUCUCUCCACGAACAUCUGCAUAUCAAGUGAUCAUCAAAAUAUUUGAUCAGCCCUUUUAAAUAUCAGAGAGUAUCAAGUCUUCCAUAAAACCGUGUUUGCAGUCCUUUUAAACCUAAAGAAUUCACUCAUUUGCCUUAUCUGCAUACUGAAAUAUUUGGAUAUACAAUUGGAGAAGUUAGGGCCAUACCAAGAUCAGCUGUGAAGAGGCCUUCUCCUUCAUAAUUCGGUCCUGCUAGAAUUUCGCCAUGGGGCGAAAUGAUGACACUACCUCCUGCCCAAACAAUGGAAUCUGGAGUGACAUCUUCUUCUGUAGGACUGUAAAGAUACUCAGGUGGAGGUGGGUAAUCUUUCCUCCGACAGAACUGGAUGGGUGAAAGAACAUAGCAUCCACCCUCAAUAGCAACGUGUCUCAUUGUAGCUACCCAUGUAUCCCCGGAAUCGGCAGUAGGAGCACAAUAUAUCUCAAUACCUAUAGAGAUGUACAUUCGUAUUUUGUGAUCAAUCAAUCCCAUAUCAAAGCCAUAAUGUAUUUCAAGCCUAUUUAUAGGCUAAAACCCUAACAACUUAAAAAAGAGUACUGAAGUAUUUCAAGCCAAACCAUAUUAGUUAGUGAAGAAAAAGACAUACCUUUGCCAUACAUUGCUGUCCUUAGAAGCGGCAUUCUAUUUUCCCAACAAAUGACCGAACCAAGUUUUCCAUAUGGAGUGUCAUAAACUGGAGUUGUCGAGCAAUCUCCGAAACCCCAGACGAGCCGCUCCCAAUAUGUUGGCAUGAGUUUCCUAUGUUUUCCAAGGUAAUUACCUUUAGGAUCAAAGAAGAGAACAGUGCAAUACAAUGUGUAUCCCUCUCUCUCAAUAACACCUGUCACUAAGUAGACUCUGUAUUUCGCAGCCAUUGAUGCCAAUCUAUCAACUUCAGGUCCUGAAAAUACAUUAAUUUGAGAUUAAAGAUGAAACAUGUCAGCUGAAGGUUCAUCACAAAGCAGCAUAAGUAGAUUUUGUUUCAACAACUUAUUAAGUGGCUCAGUUCUUUAGCUAUUUAAGGGAGAAAAAGAGAGGUAAUUGACCCGGAACAUUAAUGGCAGAAGCAUGGUACUUGCGGAAACUUUCUUUCCCUCUUGGCGACCGGUCAGCGAAGUUAUAUCCUCGGGGAUACCCACCGAUAAAUGCUUCAGGAAACACAACCAGUUGGGAUCCCAGUGCAGCUGCUUCUUUCAAAAACCUCUCAGCCUUAUCUGCUCUCAAAAUCACAUUGCAAGAAGUAAAUUAAUUGGUUGAAUGGAGAGAAUGAAAAUUAACUUUUAAGAGAUCCCGAAUGACUUUUUGGUUGCUGAGAAAACUCAAGGAAAAACAGACCUAGAUGAAACUUGAAACUCUCAUAUUUUCAGCUGUUUUGUAACUAAGAAAAGAGAAACCACCUCAACUCAACUCAUCAAAAUAAUUGUAAAAGCAGUAAUUCCUUGAUUGGCAGCUGAAAAUAUGAUCAGGGUUCAAUCAUCCUUUUCUUUUUUUCAGUCUCUGAGAAACCAAUUAGAUCACAUAUUCCAUUACACAAGUUGCACAAUUGAAAGAAAUGGUACGUUACCUAGAGUGGCAGGAGUAUCAUAAAAGAUACUAGAAGCUUGAACAACGGUGGCUCUAACAGUUGAAGACAUUGCAGAAAAUUGUAUGUUUUUUCGUUUCCCCUUUGUUUGAGGAUUCCUCACACUGCGUUCAGUAUAUAUAUUGCCCAUGACAUUGUGGACCAGCCACUUGACUUAUACAAAUUGAAAAUGACUGAGUCAUCUGUGAAAAGCAAUUUAAGAUAACAUUCAAAAUUAAUAAGCUUUAAUUUUUAUUUAUAUAUAUAUAUACAUAAUCUACAAGUUGUUAUCAUUAUAUUUGAAUAAAAAGAGGGACCCGCCCACAUGCAUGGAUUCCAUCCAUCUAGCACACAGAUAAAUUGUCUUUAGUGGCGGCUGAGGCUUUCUAUGACUUAUACCAUAUAUCUAUACACCCCAGUAUAUAGCUAAAAACUGGGUAAUGUAUUGGCCCCUACCUAAAAUUAUUGAUUGAUUCAAUGACAGCUAUCUGAGAAAAAUAAAAAAGGGAGAACUAUUCUUACGCUUGCCUUGAUUUAAGCAAAUAUACUUUUAAUUAGGAAUUCUAAUUUUCAUAUUUUACCCCAAACAGAUAAUCAAUAAAAUUAUUCUCCAAAUAUGUAUUUUAAUAGCAACAAAAAUGAGAAUUCCAUAAUUAUCCCUUUUAAAAUCUUUAAUAUGACAAGUCGUAAUUUAAUGUGUUUGGUAGCUCUCCUUUUUCUUUUUUUCUCCUCUACAUCACUUUCUCCAUAUAAUGUCUUUGAUAUCCUCUCCAUAUCAUGUUGUUGAUAUCCUACCUUUGACAUUUUUUUUUAUCUAUGUGUUGAAGUGACUACACUUUUAGAUUUCUUUUCACUCUUUUAAUAUUUUCAUAUAUAUUUAUUAACUUUAAUAAAUUUUUGAAAACAUUAAACAUAAAAUUAUAAUAUAUGAUAAAUAAUUAAUGAUAACAAAUUAAAUAUAAAUAUAAGUAUGAAAUGGACAAAAAAUAAAAAAUUUAUCCUACAAAUAAUAGACUAUAUAGUUUAAAAUAUUAGUUAUAAUAAUAUAUUUGAUACUUUAGAGUUUAGAUUAAAAAAUUAUGUUUUAUUUUUUAGAGGUUAGCAUAUAAUAUUUCCAUUAAACAAAGAUUUUUUUAUAUGAAUCCUAAAUAAAAUGUUUAUUUAUUUUGCAAAUUCUUAUCAUAUGCGAUAUAUAUAUAUAUAUAUAUCAUGUUAUUUAUAAUUUUUAUUAUUUUGUGUCAAAAUCACAGUCAAUGAUGAUAAUUUUAGUUAGUAUAGAGCUCUUAAAAGGAUGAUAUGAUGUAACAAAUAUGAAGUUAUUAAUUAUUUACUGAUAUUCUGGUUUUACUUUUAUUAAUCCUUAUUCCAUACAUUAUAUUUUAUGAGCAUCCUAGUUUGACAUUUCUUAUACUAUACAUGGCUUAGGUGCAUUAGAAGUUGCACGGAAGAUCCAAGUUAUAGAUUCCUUUUUUAAUUCAAUAUUUUAAAAAAAAAAUUAUACUUUCAGUCAAUGUCUCAUAUUUCAAACACGUACACACUCUAGAAUUUCUCGAAUUGUAGUCUAGAAUGUCAACUUAGUGUUUGAUGAAAAAAGGUAUAAACAAAUAUAUGAAAAAAGUAAUCAACAAGCAUAGGAUUCUAUUUGAAUAAAAAAGAGCCACUUACAUGCAUUGAUAAAGGAAACUCCAACUCAGCUAGCAUACAAUCCAUGCCAAAGCAGAAUCUUUACGUAAGAAGUUGAUAAUGCAAUUUGCCAGGAAGGAAAACUACUCUCCAUAUUUGUAAUGUGGAAAAUCAAGGUUGGAAGGAAAUUUUCACUUACUUAUUCUGUAUAAUAUUCCCUUUUUUUUUUUUUUUUGUAAAGAAAGUAUGUAUUGUUUAUUUAUUUUUUAGAAAACAAUUAGUAAAGUGUGGUGCGAAUUCAACCUUUCAAAAAUAGUUUCUAUUCUUCAUGGUAUCGGAGCUAGUUAAUCUAAAACAAUCCAAAGCUUCCAUGGAAACCCCAGAAAAUGUUCUUAGCAUUCAGGCUUUUCAUCAAUGCUCGAGCCUCAUCUCCAUCAAACUGAAUAUGUCCAAUCUCCUUUUGUGGCACUCACAAGUUCUUCCUCUUGUGCGAAGCCUUGGAUUAGUCCAUCAUCUCUCUGAAAAUAGACACGCAUAAGAGGGGAUAAUGGAUAGUGAAACAAAGGAGACCUAUGAUUAGUCAAUAGAGACAUGGUCUCACAAUGAUGAUCUACUUACCUCCUGGCUUCUUGGACCCAUGACAGAAGAAGUGAUUCUUUUAUUGGAUGGAACAGAGAUUGCCUAUGAUGUUUGGAACUCUCUGGAAGAAAAACUCCUUCCAAUGACCAAAGAGAAGGAUAUGCAAUUGACCAAUAGACUCCGAGGGCUGAAGAAAGGCACAAGGUCCCUUGAUGAAUAUCUAAGGGAGUUCAAAGAAAUUUUUGAUGCAUUAGCUACAGUUAGAAAACCAGUAAGUGACCUAGACAAAGUUUUUCAACUAGCUCAAGGUCUCAUAACUAAAUACAUGGAUUUUCGGGUGGCCAUGUUAUCAAAGCCACCAUAUCCCUCUUACAAUCAAUUUGUUCUGGCUCUACAAGGGCAUGAACAAAUGAUUAUGAUAGAAAAUGAAGAGAACAAAGAGUCAAUAAACCAUGAACAAGCCUAUUUUACCCAAUGAGGAAGACGAAGAAAUCAAGGAGGAAGAUUUCUUUCUAGAGGUCAUGACUUCAUUCUAGCAAGACGAUUCAAUCACAAUGCUACCAAUGACCAAAGGCAGAAUGUUCAUCCCAACACCAGAAAUCCAAGAAAUAGCUUCAACAACCAGCUUCCACCAGAACAAAAACUCCAAAAAUCUAAAGGUACUCUUAUUUACCAAAUUUUUAAUAAAGCUAACCAUUCAGCUUUGGAUUGCUAGAACAGAUUCAACUAUUUGUAUCAAUCAGAAGAGAUUCCUCAAGCUUUGGCUGCUAUGGCUCUAAAUGAAGAAGAUAAGGAUCCUAAUUUUUAUGUGGACUCGAGAGCAAAAACCCAUAUAACAAAUGACCUAGGUAAGAUUACCCAAGUAAUUCCAUAUAAAGGGCAUGAUGCAAUUUUUGUUGGAAAUAGAGAAGCUGUAAGAAUCUCACAAAUUGGUGAAGCUAGACUAAAAACUAAACAUAUAGAUCUAAAGCUUAAAAAAUUAUUGGUUAUUCCAAAAAUUAAGAAAAAAUUGUUAUCCAUUGGACAACGUACCUCUGAUAACCCAUGCUCCAUAGAAUUCUCAUCAACUAGUUUUGUCAUUAAGGAUCAACUUCAACAAGUGCUAGCUAGAGGAACUAAGAAGAGAGGUCUCUAUGCAUUGGAGGAAAAUGUGAUUCAAGCCAUGAUAGUUACUAGGUCUAGCAAGGCACCAUAAGAAGUGUGGCAUCAACGCAUGGGGAAUCUGCAAACAAAAUCUAUAAAGCUUCUACAAGAUAAGAAUUUCAUUGAAGUAUCUAGUUGGAUGAAAUCAACAAUAGUUUGUGUUAGUUUUCAAUUAGGAAAAAGUUGUAAAGUUUCUUUUGGCUUAAAAAAUAAAAUUUCCAGCAAUCUUCUUGAAAAAAUUCAUUGUGACUUAUGGGGACUUGCACCAAAUAAUUCAACUCAAGGAUACAAGUAUUAUGUUGUCUUUAUUGAUGAUCAUACUCACUAUACAUGGCUUUAUCCCUUGAGAAGAAAAUCAAAUUUCUAUGAAUGUUUUUUGAAGUUUCAAAAUCUGGUUGAGAAUCAACUUGAAAGAUAGAUAAAAAUCUUCCAAAGUGAUGGUGGAGGUGAGUUUCAAUCAAUUAAAUUUCAAAAUCACCUAAGCAAGUGUGGAAUUUUGCAACGAGUCUCAUGCCCAUGAACUCCAGAACAAAAUGGGGUUGUAGAGAGAAAGCAUAAACACAUUGUUGAAAUGGGUUUAACAAUGCUUUUCAAUGCCAAAUUACCAUUGAGUCUAUGGGUAGAUGCAUUCCAUACUGUCGUAUACCUUAUUAAUCGACUGCCUUCCAUGGUGUUGAAAAUGUAGAGUCCAUUCUUUAUGUUUUUCAAACAAUAUCCAGAAUAUAGGAGCUUGAGAAUUUUUUGUUGUCGAUGUUUUCCAUACCUUUGAGACUACGGGAAGAAUAAAUUCUCACCUAAGAUAUCUCCAUGUGUUUUUAUUGGAUAUAGCUCUCUACACAAGGGUUAUAGAUGCUUGCAUCCUUCAACUAAAAGAGUUUACAUAUCUCAUCAUGUCAUCUUCAAUGAAAAUUGCUUUCCUUAUGCUAACUCUCUUGUUAAGAAAAAUCAUUUACAGAUUCCUAUAGAAAUGGUAUCAUUCUCAACUUCAGAUGUUUUUUGUGAGACUUAAAAAAUGGAUCACCAAACUAAGUCUUGGAAGGAGAACACUGCUAACCAAUCAAGCAACUCCAAGAAGUUCAACCAUUGGUCAUGCACUACUAGGUAAAGAAACUGGUUUAGUGUUGACGGAAGAAUUUCUACUAGUUGUAUUACUAACCAAAAUACAAAAGCAUCAUGUGUUAAUCCGACUGGAACUCCCACUACUAUUACUGUUGAAAUUUCCACUAUUGUUACUAGUAAAAAUGACCAUAAUACCGUCAUUACUACUGAAACUCCCACUGAUGUUGCUCUUGGUUCUAGUGGCCACAAUUUCAACACUGCAACUACUAUUGGAACACUCUCCUAGAUUGAGUCUACUAGUAGCUACAAGCCUGCCAAUGUUAGUAAUUUUCCUUAUAUCAGUAAGCACCUAGUAGUUGAUCUCUCUUUCCCUUAAAAAUGGCAGAAAAAUGAGCAUGUUGGUUCAUCUCCGCAAAACAAAUCCACCAGUCACAGUGUUGAUGAUGAAGUUCCUGAUAUUAGCAAGCAAAUUGUUGUUGACAUCUCUUCUCCUCAGGGCUAACACAUAGAUAACAAAGAAACUCAUAUGAUCACCAGAAGUAAACUCAAGAAUGAUCCCAGUUUAAAGUCUCAAAUGGUUACUUUUGUUGCCAUAAGAAGUAAUAUUAGUGAGCCAAAAACAUAUUGUACAACAUUGAAAAUUCCCUAUUGGUUCAAACAAUGCAAGAGGAAAUUAAGGAUUUAAUCCAAAAUCGAACAUGGGAUUUGGUUCCUAGGCCUCCAACUGCAAAUAUUGUGGGUUCUAAAUGGGUGUUUAAAACAAAGCUAAAGGAAGAUGGAACCAUAGAUAGAUACAAAGCACAAUUAGUUGCUAGAGAUUUUUCUCAAAUACCGGGUUUGGACUUUGGAGAGACCUUCAGCCUAGUUAUAAAGCAUACUAUAAUCAGAUUGAUCCUUUCAUUAUCAGUAACCUUGGGGUGGACAAUGAGGCAAUCAGAUGUUAAGAAUGCCUUCAUACAUGGGUUUCUAAAGGAAAAAGUACUCAUGGAACAACCUCCAGGAUUUAUAAACAAGGACUUUCUGAAUCAUGUCUACAAAUUGAAUUGUUCUCUUUAUAGCCUUAAGCAAGCUCCAAGGGCCUAGUUAAAUAAACUAUUUCAAUGUCUUCUUCAUCUGGGGUUUUACUGUGGUAAAAUAGACUCGUCUUUAUUUAUUCUUCGCAAAGGUCAGUCUAUUGUUUUGCUACUUAUCUAUGUUGAUGAUAUUAUAGUCACAGGCAAUGAUAACAACAUCAUUAGUGACCUCAUCAGCACCCUGAGUAGUGAAUUUUCUCUCAAGGACUUAGGAUUUUUGCAUUAUUUUUUGGGAUUGGAGGUUAAAUAUCUUCUUAAUGGGUUGUUUCUUUCUCAAACAAAGUACACUAGAGAUCUCCUAGAGCACACAAAAAUGAUGGAGUGUACUCAUAUCAACACAUCCAUGGCUCUUAAGUCCAUCAUCACACCUUCUGAUGAACAACCUAUUGAUCCUACAUGAUAUAGGUAACUUGUUGGAUUCCCCUAAUAUUUAACCUUCACAAGGCUUGAUUUUGUGCAUGCAGUAAACAAGGCCUACCAACAUUUCCAAGCACCCACUAAAGUUGACUUGCAAGCUGUCAAACGCAUCCUUAGAUAUUUGAAGGAAACAAUGGAGCAUGGAAUCAGGUUUUUCAAGCAAAGUUCGCUUCGUCUCACUGGUUUUUGUGAUGCUGAUUGGGCAGGAUGCACAAACACAAGAAGAAGCACAUCUAGGUAUUAUAUUUUUCUAGGAGCCAAUUGUAUCUCAUGGUCCUCAAAGCGACAACCUACAAUUUCUAGAUCAAGCACCGAGGCCAAAUAUCGAUCCCUUGCGUCCAGUGCUGCAGAAAUAACUCGGCUUACUUUCCUUCUCCAUGAUAUUGGCAUUCAACUAUGUGAACCUUCUCAAUUUCUAUGCGAUAACCUCAGUGCCCUUCACAUGACAGUACAUCUCGUCUUCCAUGCAUGGUCCAAGCAUAUUGAGUUGGACUAUCAUUUUAUUCGGAAAAAAAGUUGCAAGUGGAGUUUUGAUUACUUGUUUCCUUCCAUCGUCCUUACAAGUAGCUGAUAUAUUCACAAAGACACUCCCUAAGACUUCAUUCCAAGUCUUUCGAUUCAAGCUAGGAGUGCACAAGUUACCACUCACUAGCUUGCAGGGGGCUAAUAAAGGAAAGUCAAACUCAACUAGCAUACAAUCCAUGCCAAAGCAAUCUUUACGUGAGAAGUUAGUAAUGCAAUCUGCUAGGUAGGAAAACUACUCUCAAUAUUUGUAAUGUGGAAAAUCAAGGCUGGAAGGAAAUCUUCACUUACCUGUUCUGUAUAAUAUUCCCUUUUCUAUGCAAAUAAAGUAUGUAUUGUUUAUUUAUUUUUUAGAAAAAAUCAGUAAAGCGUGGUACAAAUUCAAUCUUUCAAAAAUAGUUUAUGUUCUUCAUGCAUGGAUAAUAAAUCCCAUGGAUAAAUUGUAUUUAGCAGCGGCUGAAGCUUUCUAUAUGACUAAAGAGAAAAAAAGUCAUUAAAAAACUAAUUGCCAUGUGACUACGUCUACCAGUAGAUAGUUGAGAACAAGGUCUAACUCUUAACCUUUUGUACUACCUUUACAAAGGAACACAAAAUUGAGAGAUUCAAAGGCAACUAUAGUAUAAAUAUUGUUUCAUAAAUUACUUUUCAAAUUUAAUUUGAUAACAAAAAUUUAGAAUACAAAAGUAUGAAAAAUUUGUUCCAUUCCCAAAAUUUUUGCAAAUAAAAUUUUAAAGUAAUAAAUUAACACCAUGACUCUUUUCACAUCUUAUUCUCCUUUCUAUCAAAGAAAUGAUAGUAAUAAUCUUAUCUAUAAAUUUUAAAUGAGGCAAGAUCAUUGAAUUUUUAUUUUCUUUUAUUUUCUUGUUAUGUAAUUAUCAAACACAUUUUUUUUUUAAGACAAAAAAAAAUUAGACUGAAGAAAUAUAUUUUUGCCCUGAUUUAGUCACUUGGAUUGCAAUUCGAAGGAUGGAAAUAAAAGUGUAUUCUUGGAGUUAAAGAUCAAUUGAAAGCUUAAAGCGGCUUGUUCUCGAAUGAAUUUAAUGAAUGACGAAGAAUACAUGUGUUGUAAUUUUUUGGAUUUGUAGGGGAAUUUUAUGAAGCUCUUUUCUCUUUGUCAGGCUUCUUUUUUUGUAUGAUUUUUUUUCUUCAUCAUUUUCAUUCAAGGAAGUCGCAUAUAUUUAGAGAUGAAAUUAAAAAAUUAAAUUUAGAAUUCCUAAGAUUUGAUUACUUAAUUAAAAAAAAUUGGUUUCUUGAUUUUAGCAACUUGUCUCCUCUAUUAAGGAAGUUUGCUAAUAAGAGAAUAUUUAAUUAUCAUUUUCUUUUGACUUCAAUUAGAAGAUUUGAUUCGUUUGUUCAUAAAAUUUGAAAACAAAAAAAAAAAUUAUUUCUAUUUUUUUAUUUCAAUUGUUUAAUUUAAUUUGAUUUUGGAAGACUUUAUUUUAUAGUUUUCCAAAUUUUGUUACAUGUCAUUUUUUGAAUUGCAUGUUACAUAUUCAAUAUACAUGACCCAUCACUUAUUAAGCAUAAAUUUCGUUGAGCUAAGGAGUUACAAUUUUGAAGACUAAUUUGAUAGUAUUUUAAUCCACUAAAAUUUUUUAUGUCUACAAAUGCCCCGUCUUCAAGACAAACACACACAUGCAUUGUCAUGUAUAAAAGAUGAGUCUUGAAGUUAGCAUUUUGAAUCUUUAAUAUCCUUCUUUGAUAUUUUUUUUUUCAAAGAAAUAUUUUAAUAGGAAAUUUCCUAUUUCAAAAUACCUUUCUUCAACUUUUUCCAAAAACGACUUUAUUUUCUUCCUUUUUUUCUACCUGGUAUCAAGGAAAGACUUUGUGUUAAUGGGAAAGUUUCUUAUUUGAACAUAUAUUUGCUUUUCUCAUGGUAUUUUCACUUCCAAUUUAUCAUCCUACAAGAAGUCCUUCACCCUUGGUCGAUUGUAUCUUAGACUUGAUCACAUGCCUUUAACUUGUAAUUCUUGCUCCACUUUAUUUAUUUUAUUUUAUUUUAUUUUAUUUUUAAAAAAGAAUACAAUGUAUAUGAGCAAGACCUUGAGCAAGAGGAGCAAGGUGGAGGGUGGAGCAUGAGCUAGCCUUAGGGUAAGACCUUGAGCAAGAGAAGUAAUGUGGAGUGUAGAUCACAAACUUCUCUGGAGCAUGGUAGGCAUACCGUCACAGAAUUGUCUUCCACAUGGAGCAUGGUAGGGUUUAUACAUAUGAUAGGGUGUGCCAUCAUGUAACAAUGAAGAACAACAAUCCAUGGUGUACAAUUGGGAACAACAAUUCAUGCUAUCAAGCUUCAACAUUUUUUUUUACCCCCAUCUCCAUUUUUUCAACUUCUUUUUUUUUUUUUUGUCCUUUUUUUUUCCCUUUUUUUAAGCAUUGUUUUUAAGGAAGAAAUAGGUUUGCCAUCCCUUACUAUGAGGUCAAUAUCCAUCACUUGCAAAGACAAAUUUGCUUUUUGAUAUUUUUUCUUCUUCAAUAAUUAACUUAACAUUUUAAUAUAUAUAUAUAUAUUUUAACAAACUUGAAUAUUCAUAAUAAAAUAAAUAUUUAAUGUCUUUACUCAUCCAAAUUAGCUUGACUUGAAUACUUAGUAGAUCCAUACUUAACACCCAUGUAGACGAGCUGUAACCUUGAUGGCAGGUUGUGUUGUAUUUUCGACACUUAAUGUGCCUUAAGAGUUAAAGUCUUCUCUCAUACAAAUUAGCUUGGUUUGGAUGCACAAUGGUGUGUAACUUUUUAACACUUUAUUAAACUUGGAACCAUAUUUAACACCCACGUAGACAAGUCAUAAUCAUGACAUGGAUCACUGUUUUAUUUUUAGCUCUUAAUGUGGCUUAAAUAUUAAAUUCUUCACUCAUACAAAUUAAAUUGGGUUAGAUGCACAAUGGUGUUCAACUUGUUAACAGUUAAUUAAAAUUAGAACCAUAUUUAACACCCAUACAAACAAGUCAUAACUUUGACGUGGAGCAGUGUUGUAUCUUUGGCUUAAUGCCGCUUAAGUGUUAAAGUCUUCACUCAUAUGAAUUAGCUUCACUUAGAUGCAUAGUUGUAUUAUACUUUUUAACACUUAAUUUAAAUUUGGACCAUAUUGAAAACCCAUGUGAACAAGACAUAACCUUGUAGUGGUGUUAUAUUUUUGACACUUAAUGUAGCUUAAAUGCUAAAGUCUUCACUUCUAUGAAUUGGUUCACCUUGGAUGAAUAGUGAUGUCUAAAUUGUAAUAAUUAAAAUUGAAACCAUAUUUAACACUCAUGUAGAUAAUCAUAACUUUGACGUAAUGGCAUUGUAUUUUUGACACUUAAUGCAGCUUAGGUGCUAAAGUUUUCACUCAUGAGAAUUGGUAUGAGUUAGAUGCAUUGUGGUGUCCAACUUUUUAACACUCAAUUAAAAUUGGAACCAUAUUUAACACCAAUGUAGAUAAGUCAUAACCUUGACGUGAAGCGAUAUUGUAUUUUUGACACUAAAUGCAACUUAGGUGCUAAAGUCUUCACCCACGCAAAUUGGUUCAUCUUGGAUGCACAAUGGUGUCGAAUUUUUUUAACAUAUAAUUAAAAUUUGAACCAUAUUUGACACUCAUGUAGACAAGUCAUAACCAUGAUGUAGAGUAGUGUUGUAUUUUUAACACUUAAUAUGACUUUACUGGUAAAUUCUUUACUCAUGUGAAUUGCCUUGAUUUGGAUGCACAACUAACUUUUUAACAUUUUAUUAAAUUGGGUAUCAUAUGUGUUGUUUUUUUAACACUUAAUACGACUUUAGUGGUAAAUUCUUUACUCAUGUGAAUUGUCUUGAUUUGGAUGCACAAUGAUGCCUAACUUUUUAACAUUUUAUUAAAUUGGUAUCAUAUUUAACACCAAUGUAGACAAGUCAUAACUUUAAUGUAGAUGCGGUGUAGUAUUUUUGGCACUUAAUAUUGUUUAAGUGCUAAAGUCUUCACUCAUGUGAAUUUUCUUGGUUGAGAUGCACAAUGGUGUGUAACAUUUUAACAUUUAAUUAAAAUUGGAACCAUAUUUAACACUCGUGUAGAGAAGUCAUAACCUUGACAUGGAGUAAUAUGCAAUUUUUUUAUAUUUAAUAUGACUUAAGUGCUAAAGUUUUCACUCAUGCGAAUUGACUUGACUUGGAUGCAUAGUGAUGUCUAACAUUUUAACACUUAAUUAAAAUUAGAGCUAUAUUUAAUAAUCAUGUGGACAAGAAAUAACUUUGACGUGAAACAAUAUUGUAAUUUUGACACUUAAUGUUGCUUAAAUGCCAAAGUCUUCACUCAUACAUAUUGACUUAGCUUGGAUGAAAAGUGGUAUCCAACUUUUUGACACUUUCUUAAAUUUGGAAUUAUGUUUAACAUCAAUAUAGACAAGUAAUAACCUUGACGCAGAGUGAUGUUAUAUUUUUAGCACUUAAUAUAGCUUAAGUGCUAAAAUAUCCACUUCUAAGAAUUGACUUGGCUUGGAUGCAUAAUGGUGUCCUACUUUUUAACACUUAAUUGAAAGUGAAAUCAUAUUUAACACCCAUUGUAUGCUAGUCGUAAACUUGAUAUAGAGCAUUGUGCAACUUUUUAACACUUAAUGCGACUUAAAGUGCUAAAGCCUUUACUCAUAUGAAUUAAUUGAACUUAGAUGCACAUUUGUUUCCAACUUUUUAAUACAUAAUUAAAAUUAAAACCAUAUUUAAAAACCAUGUAGACAAAGACAUAAUCUUAACAUGGAGCUAUGUAUAACUCUUAACACUUAAUUAAAAUUGAGAUUACACUUAACAACCACAUAUUCCUCCUAUUUUUCAAUUUUUUCUUGUGGUGAUGAUUGAACUUAACUAGUUUGUCCAAGUUGCCUAUAUACCCUUAACAGAGAGGGAAUCAAGUCAAACUUAGUUCAAAGUAUUUCUUUUAAUCUCUAACUUUUGCCAAGGCUAAUGAUUUUAAUCUUACAAGCUUGUCUUAACUUUUGACCAUAUAUGUAGUCUUUUUAGGUUUCAAUUUAACGGCCUAUAUAUGACUUGUACAAAUUGAAAAUGACUUCAAUCAUGUGUAAAAAAUAAUAAAAGAUAUUCAUUCCUAGUUUUAGGGCAACGAAAAAUAGUUGAUCCUUUUUUAUAUUAUUAUUAUUGUUGUUGUUAUUAUAAUUAUUAUUUCACCUUACAAAAAGACCUUCUGCAAUUAAUAUUUUAUACAUAUAUAUAUAUAUAUAUUUUAUCUUUUAUAUAUUUAGUUUUCAUAGUAUUUUUUAAUUCAAUAUAUAUAUUUUUUAAAUAUCUAUACUUUCGGUCAAUGUCUCAAAUUUAAAGCACGUGCAUGCUCUAGAAAUUCUCAAGUUGUAGGCUUGUGGCCUACAAUGUCAACUUAGAGUUUGAUGAAAAAGCGCAUAAACAAAGACAAAAAAAUUAAUCUACAAGUACUUGGAUUCUAUUUGAAUAAAAAAGAGCCACCCACAUGCAUGGAAUAAAUAUAUAUCCCAUGGAUUAGUUGUAUUUAGCCACGGCUGAAGCUUUCCACUAUGACUUAAAAAAAAAAAAAAAGAGGAUAAUGCCAUUAAAAAACUGAUUGCUACGUGGGUAUGCCUGCCAGUAGAUGGCUGAAAACUAAGUUCUAUUCUUUUCAAUAGUUGAGAGAUUCAAUGGCAACUAUCGUAUAAACAAUGUUUCAUAAAUUACUUUUAAAUUUUGACAGCAAAGACUAAAAAUGUAAAACCAUAAAAAAUUUGUUCCAUUCCCAAAUUUUUAAAAAUAAAAUUGAAAAUAAUAUAUUAACGCCCAUGACUGUUUUCACAUCUUAUUCUCAUUUCUAUCAAUGCAAUCAUCGUAAGCAUCUUAUCUAGAAAUAUGGCCUAGAGCCAUAGAGCUGCCUUUUCUUUAGUCCUAGAGCCAUUUCAUGAGCUAAUAGUAGUCUUUCCUUAGCAUUUCCAGCCCAAAGCUCCCAUUUCCUUAGGCCUAGAGACGUUUUCAGCCCAGAGCCGCUGUUUCUUUCGGCCUAUAACCAUUUUCAGCCUGAAGCUGCCUUUCUCUAGCAUUUUCAGCCCAAAGCUUCCUUUCCUUGGCAUAUUAGCCCGAAGCUUCUAUUUCUUUAGGCCUGGAGCCAUUUCAACCCAGAACUGUCAUUUCUUCUAAAUAGCUUCUCUUUUAAAAGACUUCAGUUUGUCUUUCUAGUCACAAAAUUUAAGGCUUUGUUCCAGGUUUGAAGAAGCUGGUAAAAAUCUGGCUGUUGACUAAGCUCAACUAAAAAACAGUAAAGCUUGCUGACCUGGGUAAUAAAUAACAGCUAUCUUGGCAGUAUUGUUAGUUAGUUAGAGGUUUUUUUUUUACUAUUAUAAAAGGUGCAGACUUGGGAAAACUGAAAUAAGGUAUUCAAUUGUACAGAAUAGAGAGCAAGAAAAGCAGAGAGCUUUGAAAUCCAUAACCACAGGUCUGUUUCGGUUUUCCUAUAGAGAAAAGAAAGAAACAGAGGUGAGGAGGGUUCUUGGGGAAAGCCUAUAAGUUCUUUGUUUUUUAUUCUUGUGUAAAUUCUGGUUGGUACAAUUUAAUAAAGGCUUCAGGAAAUCAGUGUGAAUGUAGAUCAAGUUGAUCGAACCACGAUAAUUCUCUUGUGUUCUUGAUCUUGGUUGAUUGUCUACAAGCUGUUUGAUUUUAUUCCUAAGAGAAGUUCUUGCAAACUGGUUGUCUUUUUCUGGUUUAGUUUCUGCUCUAAUAGUCCCUAAUUCAAGACUGGCUUUUCUCAACAGCAUGGUUUGAAACACAUAAUUUUCACCAUUCAAAUGCAAAACAAUUAACUAAUUUCAAAUGCUAUGUGUUGUUUCCUUCUAAUUUCCCCUUUAUUUUUUUUUCUCUCCUAUUUUCCUUCAAAUUUUUGGAAAACCAAACAGAGCCUAAAAGAAAAGAUAAUUUUACUUAUUUUGAAAGUUGUUUCAUGUUAAUUUAAUGAAGCAUUUAUAAUAUUAAGAUCGCCCUUUCAUAAUCAUGAGGUAACCUUAGUUUCAACUUCUACAAGAGGCUAAAUGAAAAAAGCUAUCACAGAGAAGAAGGCCUCAGCCAAUGAGUGGAAAAUACAAUUUUAUUAAUACUUGAUAUCAAAAAAAAGAAAAAAAAAAAAAAGGAUGAUUUUACUUUCAAACCAAGGAUUUAUUUAUGUUGAAGUGCAGUCUCCAUAUGCACAUGUGACUGCAUUUACAGGAUAAAGAAAGACAAGGAAAUUAACAAUGUUGGACUUACUGGAAAAUCAUACAAAUUAUUGAAGGAGGACCUUAGCUAGGCUAACUGUCUCCUAAAUUGCCCAUCUUUUAUAUAUCUUUGCAAUCAUCCAUCUCAUCAUCAGCUUUGAUUUUAGAUGGUGAGGAUGUGAAAGUAACAGGAAGCAGUGGACGAUUGUUCACAGUGAGGCUUAGCACAUCAGCUCUCGAAUAAUGUCCUACCACAUCGAACUGGAACUUUGCUUUAGGAAUCUCUCCACGAACAUCUGCAUAUCAAGUGAUCAUCAAAAUAUUUGAUCAGCCCGUGAUAAAUAUCAUAGAGUAUCAAGUCUUCCAUGAAACCAUGUUUGCAGUCCUUUUAAACCUAAAGAAUUGACUCAUUUGCCUUAUCUGCAUACUGAAAUAUUUGGAUAUACAAUUGGAGAAGUUAGGGCCAUACCAAGAUCAGCUGUGAAGAGGCCUUCUCCUUCAUAAUUUGGUCCUGCUAGAAUUUCGCCAUGGGGCGAAAUGAUGACACUACCUCCAGCCCAAACAAUAGAAUCUGGAGUGACAUCUUCUUCUGUAGGACUGUAAAGAUACUCAGGUGGAGGUGGGUAAUCUUUCCUCCGACAGAACUGGAUGGGUGAAAGAACAUAGCAUCCACCCUCAAUAGCGAUGUGUCUCAUUGUGGCUACCCAUUUAUCCCCGGAAUCGGCAGUAGGAGCACAAUAUAUCUCAAUACCUAUAUAUAUGAACAUUGGUAUUCUGUGAUCAAUCAAUCCCAUAUCAAAGCCACAAUGUAUUUCAAGACUGCUUAGAUUAAAACCCUAAUAAUGUAAAAGGGUGCUGGAGGUCCUAUUUGGUAAUUGUCUUCGGAACAGUUUUGAGAAAUAGUUUUUGAAAGUUGUUCUUUAAUAGUUUAUAAAACAUAAGAAUAUUUGAAACCUAAAAUAUAUUCAACUUAUUAAAAAUAAUUUUUAUAUUUAAUACUUUAUUUUUAAAUAUUCUUCAUAUUUAUAUAAUUAUUUUUUAAAACAACCUUAAAAACAAAUGAAAACAAUGAAGAAAAAAGUUUAAAAAAUAUUAUCUGAAAACAUUUUGUUUUAUGUUUCUAAGAAAAAACAAAAAGCGGUAUUCUAAUUGUCAAUUGUGUUUUCCUAAAUUUUUUUUGGAUAACAAAAGAUUCCUCUAAAAUAUAAUUGUGAAACAAAGCCAAACUAUUUCAAGCCAAACCAUACUAGUUAAUGAAGAAAAAAAAAUGGUAAAAGAUGUACCUUUGCCAUACAUUGAUGUCCUGAAAAGAGGCAUUCUAUUUUCCCAACAAAUGACCGAACCAAGUUUUCCAUAUGGAGUGUCAUAAAUUGGAGUUGUCGAGCAAUCUCCGAAACCCCAGAAGAGCCGCUCCCAAUAUGUUGGCAUGAGUUUCCUAUGUUUUCCAAGGUAAUUGCCUUCAGGAUCAAAGAAGAGAACAGUGCAAUACAAUGUGUAUCCAUCUCUCUCAACAACACCUGUCACUAAGUAGACUUUGUAUUUCGCAGCCAUUGAUGCCAAUCUAUCAACUUCAGGUCCUGAAAAUACAUUAAUAUGAGAUCAAAGAUGAGACAUGUAAGCUGAUGGUUCAUCACAAAGCAGCAUAAGUAGAUUUUGUUUCAAUAACUUAUUUAAGUGGUUCAGUCCUCUAGCUAUUUAAGGGAGAAAGAGAGGGGUAACUGACCCGGCACAUUAAUGGCAGAAGCAUGGUACUUGCGGAAGCUUUCUUUCCCUCUAGGAGACUGGUCCGCGAAGUUGUACCCACGGGGAUACCCACCGAUAAAUGCCUCAGGAAACACAACCAGUUGGGAUCCCAAUGCAGCUGCCUCUUUCAGAAACCUCUCAGCCUUAUCUGCUCCCAAAAUCACAUUGCAAGAAUUAACAAUUCAUGACUUAGGAAGUAAAUUAAUUGGUUGAAUAGAGAAUGAAAAUUCACCUCAAGAUAUCCCAAAUGACUUUUUGGUUGCUGAGAAAACUUAAGGAAAAGGAGACCUAAAUAAAACUCGAAACUCACAUAUUUUCAGCUGUUUUGUAACUAAGAAAAAAGAAACCACCUCAACCAACUCAUCCAAAUAAUUAUUGUACAAGCAGUAAUUCCUUGAUUGGCAGCUGAAAAUAUGAUCAGGGUUCAAUCAUCCCUUUCUUUCUUUCAGUUUCCCAGCAACCAAUCAGCUCACUGAUUCUCUUACAGAAGUUGCAGAAUUGAGAGAAAUGGCACGUUACCUAGAGUGGCAGGAGUAUCAUAAAAGAUACUAGAAGCUUGAACAACGGUGGCUCUAACAGUUGAAGACAUUGCAGAAAUCGUAUGUUUUUUCGUUUCCCCUUUGUUUGAGGAUUCCUCACACUGCGUUCAGUAUAUAUAUAUCGCCCAUGAACAAGAGGUUCCUCUGCCAUUACUUGAACAAGACGGAAAGGCUUUGAAAAGUCUGACUUGGUUUUCUAUACUCAUGGUGAGGUUUUAUCCUCAUCACAAAUUUUUAAGUUAUCCGCAGACAUAGUGGACCAGCCACAUGACUUGUACAAAUUGAAAAUGACUGUCACAUGGGAUUUUUUGUAAUUUUUAAAAAUAAUUCCCAAAUGUAGUGGAAAAAAUAAUUCUAAAUCUAACAUAGUUUUUGCAAGAUAGAAAAGAAAAAAAUAAAAAUCUUUAUUUCCUUUAAAAAAAAAUUAUAAUGAAAGAAUCGUCUUUUGAAAAGACAAUUUCUCAAAUUUUUUUUUAAAAAAUAAAAUCUAUCGGUUAGAAAUUGUCUCUUGAAAAUCGUCAGAGAUGAUUUUCAAAAAUUCAUUUUUUCAUUUUCUCUUUUUUUUUUUCAAUAAUAUUUUACUAAAUAAUAUAUUUAUACAAUUAUGAUUUUUUUCCUUUUAAAAAAUUAUAAUGAAAAAUUCUCUUUGGAAAAGAUGAUUUCUUAAAUUUCUAAAAAAUAAAAAUAAAAAUCUAUAGGCUAGAAAUCAUCUCUUGAAAAGACGAUUUUCGGAAAAAAAAAAAAAUUAGGGAGAAAUUGUCUCUUUCUCCAUUGAUUAAAAAAACUGGAGAAAUCUUCUCAAGAUGAUUUCUUAAAAAUAAAAAGAAACAUAGAAAAAAAAGUCAGUCAAUUUUCAAAAAUUUUGUUUUCUAUUAGGAAAUAUAUAUUUUACCAAAUAAUAUAUUUAUACAAUAAUAUAUAUAUAUAUAUAUAUAUAAAUUGAUUAAUUUUAUUUACUAAAUUUAAUAUGUAAAAAUAAUUAUAAUUAUUGAUAUAUUUAUCAACAAUAAUAUUUAUAAAAAUAUAAAUUAUGUUUAGCAUCCGAUAUUUAAAAAUAUUAUUUUAUAUUAAGUUAGACAUUAAUUUUAAAAAUAUUUUGUUCUUUAUCUUCAGUUUUAUCUUUAAAUUAAUUCCAUUAAUUGUAACUAAUAAAUUAAUUUAGUUUUAUAUUUUUAUUAUUUAUAAUAUAAAUAAUAUUUUAUCUCAUUCUCUUUUUUACUAUCUCACCUUUCUCUCACCUAUUUAUUAAUGGAAUCAAAUUGAAUAAUUUUUCAAUCAUUUUUCUCCAACAAAUUGAACAUGAGAGAUAAAUGAUUAAAAAUUAUUAAUGUCAAAUGCAUUUUUAAAGUAAAUAAUUUUUAAAUACCUCAUCAAAUAUUAUUCUUUUAUUAAAACUUACAUAAUAUAUAAUAAAUAUUUUUUAAAUACCUUGGAAACUUACAUAAUAUAUAAUAAAUAUUAUUCUUUAUUUCAAACUUAUGUUAUUUAUCAUAUAUAUUAAACAAUUUUUAAACACCUUAUAAAAUAUUAGUAUUCUUUAUUUGUUCUAACUUGCAAAUUAGACAUAAUCAAAUAUUAUAUAUUUUUUUUCAAACUUAAGAAUAUAUAAUAAAUAUUUUUUAAAUACAUUGGCAAAUAUUUUUUUUUCUUACUUACAAAAUUAAAAAUAUGUUGUACAUUAUUUCUUAUAGGUCUUAACGACAUAGUUUGGUUAAAAAAAAAAAAAAAAACUAUCAAUAAUCGUCCUAAUGUCAAGCUCAAGUUGUUUAAAAAUCGCACAAAACCUAUUAGGAGCCUUGUACACCCUUGUAUACUUGACACAUUUCUCUUGUAUAAUUAGUGUAACAUUGUACAAUGGUGCAAAUUUCAUAUCCCUCCUAAGUUGUGUCUAUAUAGGUGUGUUAACCAUGUUUCCAAUGGUUUGGUUGAGAAAAAAAUGACUUAUGGUCAAAUUUUUUUCUCCAAACAUCAUUAUUGGGAAAAUCAUUGGAAUUUCCAUGUGGAAGUUAAAUAAAGUGCAUGACAUGGGUAUACAAUCCUUGGGUGACAAGGAAAAUAAAAAAGUGGUUUAGAAUCAAUUGAAAUCUUUCACAAAUGGUAGUCUUGUAUACCCUUGUACACUUAGUAUAUUUCCCAUCUUUAAUACCUUUGUAUAGUGGCACAAAUUUCAUAUCCCUCCUAAGUUAUGUUCACAUAAGUGUGUUAGCCAUGUUUCCAAUUAUUUGGUUGAGAAAAUGUUGGAUGAAUUAGGGUCAAUUUUUUUUUCCCUAAACAUCAUUAUUGGGGAAAAUAUUGGAAGUUCCAUGUGAGAGUUAAAUAAAGUGUAUGACAUGAAUGUAUAAUCUGUGGGUAACAAGGCAAAAAAAAAAAGAAAAAAAAAGGGGUUCAUAAUUGAUUGAAAUCUUUCACAAAUGGUAGCCUUAUACACUCUUUUGCACUUAGUACAUUUCUCUUGUACAAUUAGUGUAAUACUUUUGUACAAUGGCACAAAUUUCAUCUCCUUCAUAAAUAAUGUAUCCACAUAGGUAUGUUAACCAUUUUCUCAAUGGUUUGGUUGAUAAAAUGUUGGAUGACUUAGGGUUAAAUUUUUUUCCCUAACAUCAUUGUUAGGGAAAACAUUGGAAUUUUCAUAUGAGAGUUAAAUAAAGUGUAUGACAUGAGUGUACGAUCCGUGGGUGACAAGGAAAAUAAAAAGAAGUGGUUCAAAAUUGAUUAAAAUCUAUCACAAAGGGUAGUCUUGUACACCGUUAUACACCCUUGUACACUUAGUACAUUUCCCUUGUACAGUUAAUGUAAUACCCUUAUAUAGUGGCAUAAAUUAUAUAUCCCUCCUAACUUAUGUAUUCACAUAGAUGUGUUAACUAUGUUUCCAAUGGUUUAGUUGAGAAAAUGGUGGAUGACUUAGGGUCAAAUUUUUUUCGCCAAACAUCAUUACUGUGGAAAGUAUUAAAAUUUUCAUGUAGGAGUUACAUAAAGUGUAUGACUUAGGGUCAAACUCUUUUAAAUAUUUUUAUUAUUUUCAUAUAAAAAAAUAGUACUAAACAAGGUUUUCAAUUUUCAUUUUUAAAAAUAUUUUUCAUUUUUAAUUAAAUGUAUUUUUAAAAAGAGACAAUAUAGAAAAUAAAAAUUAUUUUAAGAAAUAAAAAAAUAGAAAUAAAAACUAGAAAAAUAUUUUUAAACCAGACUUAAACAUAAUCUAUUUAAUUUUUAACUACUUGUUUUCAUCUAAAAUGAGUAAAUAUACUUUUCAACCCUUUUAUAUAAUAAAAAUUCAAUCUUUACUAUGUAUUGAUAUAAUCCACUUCCAAAAUUAAGUCAUAUGAAAACAUUUUAAUUGGAUAUUUAAAAUAAAAACUCUCCAUCCAUCCUUUUUUUUUUUUUUUCUUAUUUUGAUAAAUUUUUAAUUAAUACAAAUCAUAAAAAAAAAAAAAAAUACUUAGUAAACAAAUUUGCAACAUUUUAUAUCACUUAUUAUUAAAAGUCAUGUUCAAAUAGUUAUUAAAAUAAGGAAGGAAGAAGAUUAAAAAAAAAAUUGAACUUUUUAUUUUAUAAUAGUAAAAAAAAAAAAAAAAACUUUAAAAUACUUUUUAGUAUAAAAAAAAGAAAAGAAAAAAGAAAAUAGUGAAUAGAUUUAUUUUAAAUAGCGUUUUAAUCAUUAAAUGAUUUACUUCUAAAAAGUAAAGGAUAAUUUUUAUUUAUUUAAAUUAACAGUUUUAGAAAGUAUUUUCCAUAAUAGUUUUUGAAUUAUUAAUAUAAUUUUUGUUUAUUUAUAAUUUAAAAAUAGAAAAUAAUGUUGAUUUUUCAAUUAUUUAUAAAAGAGUUUUAAAAAACAAUGAAAAAUCCAAAAAUGGUUAAGUAAGAAAGAAUUUGUUGGUAGUGGCAUGUUAAUAGUGGUAGAAUAAUAAUAAAAAAAAAGAGUCAAAUGAUUAUUUUUGUCCAUUACUAUCUCAUAUCCUUGUAAUCAAUUAUGGGUGACAGGAGGACCUUAGCUCAAUUAUCAAGUAGAGCUAGGUCGGAAACACAAUUCUCCCAAUAAUUUCCGGGCAUGAUAAUCAUAUUUAAAUAAAAAAGAGGGAGCUGCCUACAUGCAUGGAUUCCAUUGUCUUUAGUGGUGAGUAAGGCUUUCCAAGAUCAAUACACACACACACACACACACACACACACACACACACACACACACACACACACAUAUAUAUAUAUAUAUAUAUAUAUAUAUAUAUAUAUAGAGAGAGAGAGAGGUAAAAACUAAGUCUAACCCAGGGAGGAAAAUAUCGAGUAUCGGUGGACCUUGACAUGAUAUAUGAGGGAGAAAUAUCGGUCCCUUGAUUUUUUGACAAUUUAUCGUGAAUCUUGCUGACUUUUUGGAAUUUAUCAACAUUUUACCUAUUUAUCACGAUAUUUUGGACCGGUCAAUGCGACCUCUACAGUCAAAUAAAUUCAUUUAUUUGAAUACCAAAAAUAUAAAAAUUAUCAUGAUAAUUUUCUUCAUAGUAUUUUUAAUAUCAUUAAUAUAUUAAUUAAGUAUAAAAAAUUAUACAUAUAUUAUCAUUUAUUUUAUAUCAUUUAAUACAAUGAAAUUAAAUGAAUUAUAAUUUUAAUAUUAAAUAUAUUUUUAAGUUGGACAUAUUAUAAUCAAAUAUCACAAUGUUAUUAUCAAAUAAUAUUUGAUAUAAUUUAAUAAUAAAUGUAUACUUAUGAAAUUCAUAUUUUUUAUUAGCAUAUACAAUAUUAUUAUCAAAUAUAAUAAAUUAUAUUAUAUAUAUCAAUUACAAUUCUAUUAUACUUUUAAUUUUAUUUUUAAGAGUUUUUUCUUACAUUUUUAUAAUUUCUGAUCAAUUUUAGGUUCAUCGAUAUUUUAUGUCAAAAUAUCCGUCGAUGUAUCUGUAAAAUGAAAGUACCGAUAUAUCCGUAAUUACCGAUAUUUUCAUCCUUGGUCUAACCUUGUGUAUUGGCCCUUCCAAAAUUUGAGUGAUUCAAUGGCAGCUCUAGUAAAACAUAAAAAGGAAGAACUAUGUUUACCCUCAUGUUCAUUCAAACAAAUAUAUUGUAUAGGAAUUCUAAUUUUCAUAUUUGAUCACCCCAAACACACAACCAAUAAAAUUAUUCUUUAAAUAUGUAUUUUAAUAGAAACUAAAAUGAGAAUUCUAUAAUUACCCCUUUUUAAAAUCUUUAAUAUGAAAAGUCAUAAUUUAAUGUAUUUGAUGGCUCUCACAUCUGUUUUUUUUUUUUUUUUUUUCUCCUCUACGUCACUUUCUCCAUAUAAUGUCUUUGAUAUCCUCUCCAUAUCAUGUCUUUGAUAUCCUACCUUUGGCAUUUUUAUUUAUUUAUAUAUGUUGAAGUGACAACACUUUCUCUUCCCAACCUCUUUACUUUCAUAUUUCUUUUUACUCGUUUAAUAUUUAUUAACUUUAUUUAAUUUUUUGGAAUAAAUAAAUAAUGAGAAUAAAUUAAAUAUAAAUAUAAGUAUGCAAGCAACAUAAAAUGAAAAUUUAUCCUAAAAAUCAUACACUUGAUACUUUAAAAUAUUAAUUAUAAUAUAUUUGAUAAUUUAGGAUUUCGAUUUAAAAAUUAUGUUUUAUUUUUUAGAGGCUGGGAUAUAAGAUUUCCAUUAACCAAAGAUUUUUUAUAUGAAUCCUAAAUAAUAUGUUUAUUUUGCAAAUUCUUAUCAUAUAUAAAUAAAAUAAAUAUAUUUUUAUCAUAUUAUUUUUAAUUUUUAAUAUUUUGUAUCAAAAUCACAAUUAAUGAUAGUGAUUUUGGUUAAGAUAGAGCCCUUAAAAACAUAACAUGUUGUAAAAAAUAUAGAGUUUAUUAUUUAUUUAAUGAUAUUUCAAUUUCACUUUUAUCUAUCCUUAUUUUAUGCAUUAUACCUUAUGAGCAUUCUAACUUGACAUUUUUUGCAUUGUUCAUGACUUGGGUGAAUUAAGAUUUACAUGGAACAUCCAAGUCAUGGGUUCUUAUAAGUGGAUGAUUUGUUCAUAGUCGCUUUAUGGACUUAAGCAAUCCAUUUGAUGUUGUAGUGCAUUACCUCUUAAUUUAAGGGAUGACUAGUUUUGACCAACAAGAUGGGACCCUCAUAGUGAGUGCACUAAUGUAUAUGAUUGCAUUUUAGAUAAAACCUAUGGUGAGUCAUGAUGUAAGAAUAUCAGGUACUCAUGACUUCACCAAGUUGCUAUAUCGCAUUUUCUAUCAACCUUGAAAGAAUAUUGGGUUUGUGCCAAAGUUUGUAGUGACUUUGACAUAUGGGUGAAAUCCAAAAGUGAUAAUAUAUUCCUUAUGGAUUAGGUCACUAUAAAUAGAAUUAAGUAGCAAUAAGUAUUCUCAAUAGAGGAAUCAGAAUAUCUCAUGGAGUUUGAGACAUUAUGUCCCUUUGGAUGAUCCUAAGGACACAUGAUCAUGAAAUCUAUAGUCGUAGUAAUUCCUUGAGUGGAAUUUGAAAUAUGCUCUUAUGGGUUGGAGUAUGUCAAUUGAUCACAUAAUAGGAGGAUAUGUAACUGAAGAAUGAUAGAAGUAACCUUGAAAGGCAAAUAGUAUUCACCUUAUUAGAUUAUGAACAAUACUUCAUAAAGAGACUAUAUACAAUGGAUAGUAGGUUAGGAACCCAAGUAGUGCAAUCGACUCUCUAUGGUAGGAUGUUGAGUCAACUUUAGAAUUGGAUUAUGAGGGAGCCAAUACUAUUCUAUGGGUCAUAGUGGUACCGACUCAAGUUCAUAUAUCUUAAUGGCAUAACUUAUGAGGGUUGGAUUAGUUAAUGAUUCAAUUAUGUGCAUAAGGGCAUUUUGGUAAAUAUGCAUGGCUGAAUAGGAGUUUGUUGGGACAAAGCCCUAUAAAGCAUGAUAUGAUGUAAUAGAUUAAGUUUCAUUAAUAAAUUUAUUUAUUUAUUAUUCUAGUCCCCUUGUGUUAUCCCAUUUGCAUGAAUUGGUUAUUUGAGCAUUUACGUUCAUAUCACUUGCAUUGUACAUGACUUAGGAGUAUUAAGAGUUGAAUAAAAGAUCCAAGUUAUGGAUUCUUUACAAUAUGAUAAGUGAUUAGAAGUCUAUUCAUGGAUUUAGCAAAUCUAGUAUAAACUAUAGUGUACUACUACCUACUAAUUAGAGGGAUGCCUUGUGAUGGUCAUCGGGAUAACUUUCUCAUGGUAAAUGUGUACAAUUACAUAUUAAAUAUGACCUACGAUGAAUCAUGAUAUUAGUUGUUGGAUAGUCAUUAUUACCCAAGGUUUUAUACUACAUAAAUUCUUAAGCUUAAAAGGAUAUUAAGUCUAUACUAAAAUCAAUAUGAAGUUUUGACCUCUGGUUGAGAUCCUAAUGUGGUCACAUAUUCCACAUAGAUUGGGUUAUUGAAGGAGACCGGUAACAAUAGGCAUUUUUAAUAAAGGAACCAUAAUAUCUCAUGGGAUUAAACUUCAUGGGUGAUCUUAAGGGCAUGUGAUCAGGAUAAAUGUUACUAUAGCAAUUCCUUUAGUAAAAUUUGAUAUAUGCUCUUUGUGGGAUGGAGUAUGUCAGAUGAUCACUUAAUAGGAGGAUCUAUAACUCAAGGAUUAGAAAGGUAAUCUUGAAAGGUUGAUAUCACUACCUUGUUAGAUUAUGAAUAUCAAUUCAUGGGAAGUCUACAUUGUUAGGAUAGAGCCCUUAAGAGCAUGACCUGAUUUAAUAAACUUUUGAAUUUAAUUAUUCCUUAAAAAUUUUCAAUUCACUUUUAUCUAUUCUCAUUCCAUGUAUUCUAUCUUGUAAGCAUUUUGACUUACAUCUUUUUCAUUGUACAUGACUAGAGUACAUAAGGUUAUCAAGUUGUUAUGACUUCACCAAGCUACUUCAAUAUGUUUCCUUUAGAGAAUAUUGAGUUGGUGCUAAAGUUAGUAGUGACAUUGACCUACAAGUGAGAUCAUUAGUUGAUUAUAUAUUCCUUAUGGAUUAGGUCAUUGUUUAUCGAUGCCAAUUACAAUAGGUAUUUUCAAUAGAGGCACCAUAAUAUCUCAUGGGAUUAAGACAAGUGUCCUAUUGGGUGAUCCUAAGGAGGUGUGUUUAUGUAAACUAUGGUCAUAAUAGUUUCUUAAGUGGAACUUAACAUAAACUCUUGGAGAGUUAAGAUAUGCUAGUUGAGCACAUAGUAAGAGGAUUUAUAACUCAUAGAUAGUAGAGGUAGUCUUGAGAAGAUGAUAGCUUUCACCUUGUUAGACUUUGGACACCACACUACAAGAAAAAAGGUCAUUAUUGACAUAUAUCAUCUUGACUUAAGAUAAUAUAUGUGAAGAUUGUCUAUUUAAAUGAACAAUUAUGACAUAUACAACUUAGUUUAAACCAAUAAUGACAUGUAUAAUAGUUAUUGCAUUUUUCCAUGACUUAUGAUGAUGCAACCUUGACAAAUAAUUUAUAAGUCAAUCUAUAAUUAAUAUGUUCAUAUGUCAAGGUACCGAAAUGAAAGCAAUAAUGACAUAUAUAUAUAUAUUUGCUAAAUUUUCCUUGGUUUAAUGAUAUGCAAUCUUGACUCAAAAUUUAUUAGUCAAAGUAUAGUUAAUCUUUUCUACCUAAAUAAAAGUAAUAAUGACAUAUAUGCAUUUGCUAAGUUUUUAUAUGGUUUAUAAUGAUACAACCUUAAUAGAAAUUUAUAAGUUAAUAAAAAUUCAAUAAAUUAAUAUGUUAAGAUUAGAAUCUUUGGUUGCGCCACUUUAACAUAUAAUUUGUAAGUGAAAAUAAGCCUAUUUUAUUUUAAUUUAUUAAGGUUGAGUUAUUGAAAAAGAAAAUCCUAAUUUAAGGCAAUUUUAUCAAAUUUUGGUAGUUUUUACAAGUAUAUUUAUUAUUAUUUUGAAUAGAAACUUGUGAUUAAAAAGGAUAAGAUAAUGUUUCCAUUUAAAAAAUAAUAUCAAUGUAUUGAAAACUAUAUCUAUAAUCUUAUUUUAAUAUUUUGGAUAAGAUACUAAGUUAUGUCUCUAUAUUUCUAAUUAUUGGAAUUAAAAUAUAUUGCCACUAACUUGUGUUAGGGUCUCACAAGUAUUAGGUAAUUAAAUUAUUAUUUAUGUAUUUAAUUAGACAUUAAAUCUACUAAGAAUAACUUAAUUAGUAUUUAGGCAUUCAUUAUAACUAAUUGCAGGCCCACAAAAUCAAUCCAUAGACCCAUUUCUUUUAAAAUGUUUUAAGCCCAUUUUAUUUAGUUUGGGUCCAUUACAUUUAUACUUUUUCUUGAGCCAUAAAAAAAACUCAAUAUAUAAAUUUUUUUCCUCUCUAUUCCAUUUACAGUCGCCCCAUCUACCCCAUCUACCCCAUCUUCCCUUUUUCUCUUCUUUUCUUACUUUUUUUUUUAAUUCUUUUUUCUUCUUCUUUCUUCUUUCUUUUUUCAUCCUCUCAUCCUCAUAUUCAUGGUAGACCCUACACCGCCACCUCCAUCUCCUGUGUUGUUACGAUCCAUGAGUCCUACACCCACCAUGGCACCAUCUUUCUUAUCACCAUUGUCGUUCCCAUGUUCGCUACAACUCAGACAUGCUUCCUGAUGUUUUGCCACAAUCUCGACGUGGUUGUUGUUGUUUCGCUUUAGCUCGGACGCUAUUCUUGAUGUUCCGUCUCCAUCAUAGCCACCAUUGUUGCAGCCCAUAGCCUUGGUACCUCCUGCACUACCCAUUGACUUUUGUUGGAUCACCAUCAGCACCAUCUCCAUGGUUGCCACUUCCUUCUUCAUCUUAGAGCUUCAAGAGACGUAGGUAAGUUUCCUUGGAUAUCUACAGUACUUGUUGUGGUAGUUUUAAUUUAAUUUUUAUAUGGGCUUGGGUCUCAUUUGCUUUAUAAUUGGGCUUCAAAUUAUUUGGUACAUAGGCUUGAUGUUAUAAUAUUUUAUUACUUGGGCCUUGUGUUUCACUUGGUUGAGCCCAAUAAUAAGAGUAUCAGGCACACAUAAGCAGGUUGGUUCUUUGAGAACCAUUGAGUUUUGUUGAACCUUAGGAUUUUUAAGGCCAUGCUUCACCAUUGAUUGGGCUUCAAGUAAGAGAUAAGUAUGGAAGUUGCAGUUACUGACCUUAGUGUCUCUACUCCUGCCCAUGGUUUCAACAUGUGGGUCAAUUGAGGGGUUUGGUGAAGCUCUCCAUAUCUUCAAGACCUCUCUGGUUGAAGAAUAGUCCAACGGCCAAGUGACUAUGGAAAAAACCACAUGUUUGGAGUUAAGUUAAUGUUGGAUAAGUAUUAAUGUACACACAAAAUAAUGAAAAAUCGACGUGGUUGGGGCUGAAGAGCCACAACAUCAUAUAUAUUUGGUUCUGAUGGAGGAGUUAAUUAAUUGAUAUUACCAUGAAGGAAUUUCUAGUAGUUUUAAUCUAUUUAAUCAUACCAUCUAAUUGAAAAGAUGUUUUUGUCCUUUUCUUUUUAUUUUUAAUAUUCUAGAUGAUAUUCUUUGUUAAAAAAUUUAGAAAUAAUACAUCUUUGUAAUUGAGCUAGCUACUACAAAAUUAUAAGUGCUCAUUUCAUUCAUCAUCUCAAAAUUAUGUCUAGUGGCCUCAACUUUGAGUCAGUCAUUGAGGGGCUUAAUUUUAGGAGGAGAAUUAAAAUGUUCUCUUUUUUUUUCUUCUUCUAUUUUUUUUUCUUGAAUAUCCACUGUGUUUUACAUUGAAUCUAGAAUCACAAAGUCAAUUCAAUUACAAUUGAUGAUAUUAAAGGUCAAUAGGUGUAUUCAUUUUAUCUUUGUGAUAUCUAAAGUUAGUAUAUUUAUUGUCCUAUGAAAAAAAAAUCUUUUAAUUUUUUGGUAUUUGUUACUUACUUUUCUAUUAAUUCUAUGUUUAUUCUACUAGGUAUCUAAGAAAUACAUCAAGAAGAAGACAAUGAUGUAGAAACAAAGAUCACCUCUUAUGAAGAUGAUGUUGUACUUUUCAAUUUAAGUUUGUAUAUUAUUUUAAUUGAAUGUUUUUAGCUAGAUUUUGUUUGUAUAUAGAAAAUAGAGAGUAACUUGAACAAGAUUUAUGGAAUUGUGUUCUUAAUAUUUAAUGUAUAUGUAAUAAUUUUUUUUCCUUAAAUAGUAAUUUAUUUAAAUUAUUUUAAAGACUUGAUUGUAAUUAUCAUAAUUAAAAAUAUACCAAAUUUAAUUUCAAGAUAGGUUUCAUAUGGUAUAUAACAUGUUCAUUUUCCAUUAAAAACUAAAAAUUAUAAUAAAAUAAUAUUAAAUUUUUCAUAAGUUAUAUUGACAUAUGGCUCAUGCUCAAUAUUGACAUGUGUAGUAGCAACUAUGACAUAUGCGAUACCAAACAUUGACAUAUAUAAAGCAAUUAUGAUAUAUAUAAAAUCUAACCUUGACAUAUAUAUUUAGAAAUCUUGACAUAUGUGGGAUUAAUCAUGACAUAUAUGACGUCUGACCUUGACACUUGUUGGAGUAACCUUAACAAAAGAGUAAGUUGACCUUGACAUAAGAUCAAGUAAUCUUGUCAUAUGUUAAAUUCAACAUUGACAUAAGUAAAUGAAACAUUGAUAGAUAUCAUACUAUUAAGAUUUCAUCAUUAGUGGAAAUAAAGAAAUCUUGACAUAUGGAUAUGUCAAGGUAGCUUUAGACUUUUCUUGACACUGGCAUAGAUGACAUAUACGAAUAGUAACCUAUCUUGACAGAUAUACCUUAUCUUAACGGUGAAAAACUGUCAACAAGGGCCUUUUUUCUUGUAGUGCCAGUUCAUAAGGAGACCAAAUGCAAUGGAUAGUAGGUCAUGGACUUGAGUACUUUGUAGUGGAGUGAAGUUGAUUCUAUGUAGUAAGAUGUUAAAUCAAUUUUAGAAUUGAAUUAUGAGGGAGUCAAUACUAUCCUAUUGGUCCCAAUGGUCCCUACUUGAGCUCAUAUGUCUUAUUGGUAUGGUUUAUGAGAAUUGGAUUGACUCAUGGUUCACUUUUAUGAGUAAAGGCUUUUUGGUAACUAUGCUAGGUUGCAUAGGGGUUAGUGAACAAAGUUUCUAGAUUGGGCUAAUUGAUUAAUUAAAAGACUUUGUGGGUUAGUUAAUUAAUUAUAAUCUAUUUUAGCUAGAUUAGGUGACCCAAGCCCUUAGUAGGCUCAAGUCACUUAAACCAAUUAGGGAACCUUAUAAAUACUCUUUUAGGGGUGAAGUAGUUGUCUUCUAUAAUGUAGAGAGAAUAAAGAGCCACAACUUCCUCCCUCACAACCUUCUCACUAGUUAAAUGCCAAAAUCAAGGUAUAGUCAAUGCAAUAGAAGAUCUUAGGUUUUUAAGACCUUCAACUACUUUGUUCAGAUACUUCACUGCAUGGAUUUGAUUUGGGAACAUCCAAAUCAAGGUAAAAGUUUUCUAUCUUGAUAUCUAAAUCCUAUUAUUCAUUUAAAAUGCAUGUUUCCCUUUGUGCUUAGGAUUUAAAGAAAACUUAGGAAGAUUUGCAUGUAUCUAACAUGAUCUAGGUAUAGGAAACAAAAAUAUCUAGGAUUCUUUACAAAAAUCCAGUGGAUAGUAGGUUAUAGGCCUAAACUUUAACUUAUUAUAAUUAUAUAAGAUAUUAGAGUGUAGUUGAUUCUCUUUAAUGGAGUGUUGAGUCAACGUCAAAAUUGGAUUUUAAGAGCCAAUAUUUUCCUAUGGGUUCCAGUAGUCUCCACCCGAACUCCCAUUUCAUGGUGGCACAUUUGUUUGAGGAAUUUUGUGUUUGUAGUUCACUAAUGUGCAUAAGUGGCAUUUUGGUAAAAGUAAAAAGUUGCACUAGAUCUUGUGUGCAGUAGGACUAAUUAAAUUAAUUAGAACGGAAGUGAGAUGAAGUAAGUGACCUAAGGCCAAUUUGGACUCAAGUCACUUAAGCCCAUAGGGAAGUCUAUAAAUACCACCUUAGGGGUGAGAGCUUCAAACUUUUGUCAUUUUUCUUUUAGAAAGAGAAAGCAAACCCUAACCACCUUUAAGUGAGAGAAAAAGAGAGAAGCUUUCCCUUCUCUUACGCGAAGGUUUGUUGUGAAAGAAAAGAUCGGGUGCAAGAUUAUUAGGUAAAUGACUUCUAUGACACAUUCUAGGGAUUGGAUUGAAUAUGGGAACAUCCAAAUCAUAGGAAUGAAUUCUAAUAUCUAAAUCUAGUAUAUUUUAUGGAUUUUAUAACUAUAUUUUUCCAUUGCAUUAGAUCUAGAGAAGCCUAGAGAUAGUUAGAUGGACUUUAUAUGAUCCAAGGUUAAGGAACAGAUUAAUUCGAAGUUCCCAUCGAAGUUAGUGAACAAUAUUUCUAGAUUAUUAGGUUGAUUAAUUAAUUUAAGCCCCCAAUUAGAAACCUUUUUAGUUUAAAUUAAAUGGCUCAAGUCUAAGGUAUGCUCAAGUAACUUAAGCCUAAUGGGAAGCCUUUAAAUACCUCUUGAGGGGUUAGGGUGUAGACCCACAUUUUUCACGUGCGUUCCCACUUGAUCGGCGAGACUCGCUUUUUAUUUGGUGAAAAAUUAAUUUUGGAAAAUUCGGAAUCGCCAUUUAUUUUAUUUUAUUUUAAAAGGGAAAAUAAAACAAGAAAUAAAACCCUAAAAAAUGACUUCAUAGUUUUUGGAAAAGCGUGUCUUUAAAAAACCCGAGUCUAGGUCUGAGGAUCAGGUUACUUAUUGAGAAGGUAUCUCUAGGAGGUAACACCCCUCUAAGCCCUAUAAAAGUCUCUACUGACUAAGUUAAGGGAAAUGUGACAAUUAAUUGAUUAAUUAUAGAUACCUAGGUAGGCUAGGUGAUUUCGAAAAAUAGCAUGCUAAACAAGAAAACCGAUCACAAAUCAUAAAGAAGAUUUAGGGUGCGUACCUGGACCACUUCUUAAGUGCUAUCACAAAACAUCAAAGGUUACUUUAAAUAGUAUAUCACCCAACAUGCACUUUAUCAUAAAUGAUCGAACAAUGUAACAAAAUCAAGACACCUAAGCACUAUCAAACAUAGGCAUAAUUCAUAAUGACAAUCAUAUUUAUAGAAUUUAGAAAGUGGGUGUUAGGGAGCGUACUUAGAUAGCAUAGAUAACUCAUAAUACGCUUCCUCGAGACAUGGAGGGUUAGAUAAUAAAUAAUAAAAUAAGAAAUUCUAGCAUGCUUGUUAUUUAAUUAGCAUGACAAAAAAAAUGAUCAAAGUAUACUAAAUCAUCAAUUAUCACACACAUCUUGUAUACAAUUCUUAAAAAAAAAAGAUAGAUAUGAUUACAACAAAUAGCAAGAGUGGUAGCAAAAAUAAGUUUUGAAAAGAUUUUCUUAUAUAGGGGUUUCACCAAUUCCCCAAUCGAUAUACACGAAUUUAGCCUAGAAUUAUCCAAUUUAUUUGGGACCACAAGCUUUGAUUCGUGUUUUGUUCAAAACCAAAUUUUUUAUUGAAAACUGAGAAAGAUGCGAACCGAUUAAAAAAAUGGUUGCAUAUUAUUUUAAGAGAAUGAGAUUUUGAUUCUAAAGACUCUAAAUGUACUUUUUUUUAAAUAGAUUUUCAAAGGGGUCUUUUGAGAAAAGUGUUUUGUUUUAAAAUAAAAGAAAUUAAUUUCGAAAACAACAAAACAUAGAAAACAAAAUACCAACAAAAAAAAAGGAAACAAAAAUCACAAAAUAAAGAUUUAGACAAUCAUGCCAAUUAAAGUAGUGAGAGUAGGGCCAACCUUCAUGGGUUUCCAGUGGCCUUCAAAAAAAGGAUUUGACCAACAAUCACUAAGGCAACAAAAUUAUGACUUCCUAAUCAAACAAACUAAUAAAAAUAUUAUCCAAGACUAACAUUUAGAUUUCAAAAAACACAUGAAUUAAGAUAAAAAAAAAAAAUCCAAUCAAGGAUUAAAGUCAACAAACUUAGCAUAUGGAGAUAAUAAUGUGGGAUUGAUUAAGGUAAAUUAACAUUCUAACAAAAUAUGAUAAAUCAAAAACCAAAAUUUAGCAAUCUUGAAAAUAUGAAAACAAUAACAUGCAAUUAACUAGAUUGAUUAUCUAAAAUUCCUAAAAACUCGAACUAAAUAUUAAUAGAUCAAAACCAAAAUAUGCCAUGCUCAAAAUAUGAAAAAUAAUAACACGUGAUUAACUAAAUUAAUUAGCUAAAAUUAUAAUAGUCAACUACAAAAUUGGAUAUAAAUGGAUUAAAAUCAAAAUUAACGAAAUAAAAAACGCACAAACACAUUCAAACUAAAAAUAAUUAAUACUAGAUUAAAUUAGAAUUAAAAACAUCAACAUCAUCUAAUAAGAUUGGCUAAACUAUUAAAUUGAAAUUGCAAAUACAUUUAAACUAAAGCAAAUAAAUAAAUUAGCAAAUUAAAACUAAACUACAAUCGGAAUUAAGACAAAAAAACAUGAAAUUUGUCUAAGAGGUUUGGUCAAACAAUUGAAUUAAAAUCAUGAACGCUUUCAAAUUAUAGAAUAAAUUAAAACUAAACUAGAUUGAGAUUAAACUCUAUCUAAGAAAAUUAGUUAAUUAAACUAAUAAAAUCAAAAUCAACAAUCAAAACUAAACUAAAGAAUAAAUUAAGACAAAACUAAUUGGAUUAAAAUCACAAACACAUUUAAACUAUCAUAUAGAUUAAAAUAAAUUAGCAUGGAACUAAUGAACUACAAUCACAAAAGAAGAAAAAAAAAGUCUAUUCUAAAAAAAAUGCGCAAAUUGAGAUUUAAAAGAAUUGAGCACAAAGAAUUAAUUAAAUCAAUGAACUAACAUCUAAAUUAAAAAAAAAAAAAUCUGUCAAAAACUGACCUGUGUUGUGAAAGAAAAAAUCCUCUCUUUGUGCGUCAAAGUGGCAACCCGAUCUUUGUCUGAAGUCUUCUGCUGCUCCCCAAAAACUCUUGUGCGUGUCCUUUCUGAAAAAAAAAAAAUUCCCCCUUGAUCUGUUCUCCUCCUCUUAUUUAUAUGGCAGCCCACUCCUAUGGAAUAUUUUAUUUCCUUUUUGGAGAUAUAUUUCCAACCUUAAAGGAGAUCCAAAUUUCCAAACUUCUGAUGGCACUUUCUAUUUCAAUACCCAUUGUCUCUCAAUGUUGUAGUCCCCAAUCUCCCUUCUAAAAAUGUUGUCAAAAUCUUCCCUGCCUCAUCUCUUGUCGAACCCUUGGAUCCUAUUGGCUAUUGUUGAAUCUGAGUGCAAUGUCAUUUGCAGAUGUCAUGAACAACUCAUCUAGCAAGCCUCUGCUGCCCCCUAUUGACCCUACGCCAACAAACUCAACUUCUCACAUCAUAUGUCAUUUUGUACGUGGGACUCACUGGAUNNNNNNNNNNNNNNNNNNNNNNNNNNNNNNNNNNNNNNNNNNNNNNNNNNNNNNNNNNNNNNNNNNNNNNNNNNNNNNNNNNNNNNNNNNNNNNNNNNNNCCCCCAUGGCAUUUCUUAUUCAUUCCAUCAUCAAUUCUCUCCACUUCUUAUCCUUUCUUCCAAGUGCUUGGUAUUCAAGACCGUUCAAGUCAUCAAGUGAUUUGUUGUUUCUUGUGAUUUGAAGUGCUACUAUCACAAGAAAGUGAUCGUUGUAUCCUGGGAGACGAUUGUCAACAAACCAUAAGCACCAGUGUGGGGCAAAUUUAUCUUAAGGACAUAGAGUCAAACUUUAGCCUCGAUCAACCAUUUGUACGAUUCAAUAUUUACUUACCUUCUCAUUUAUUUAUUAUAUGUAAUUAUUUGACCAUACAUUUGUGAUAAUUCCAGAAUAACAAUCUUAAGACGAAUUUCUUUUUAAUCUUUUGCUUCUGUCUAUGUUUUUAAUUCAGUUAAUAACAUGACCUUUACAAAUAUUAUUGAUACCCCUGUUGUUACACCUACUACUACCCAUGGUGAGAAACCAGAGAAAUUCACUAGGUUGGACUUCAAGCAGUGGCAACAAAAGCUGUUGUUUUAUCUCACAACACUUAACUUGGCUAAAGUGUUGCAUGAAGAUGCACCUACCUUAAAGGAGGAAGAGACUAACAAGCAAAUUGUGGCAGCAGUUGAAGCAUAGAAACAUUCAGAUUUUCUAUGCAAAAAUUACAUCCUCAAUGGACUUGACAACACGAUGUAUAAUGUGUAUAGUCAAGUGAAGACAACUAAGGAGCUGUGGGAGACUUUGGAGAAGAAAUACAAGACUGAAAAUGCUAGCAUGAAAAAAUUCAUAGUUGGUAGAUUUCUAGAUUACAAAAUGGUUGACUCCAAGACAGUGAUAAGCCAAGUCCAAGAGCUUCAAAUAAUUUUGCAUGAAUUACAUGCUGAGAAGAUGGAAUUAAGUGAGUCCUUUCAAGUUGCAGCGAUUGUUGAAAAGUUACCACCAUCUUGGAAGGACUUCAAGAAUUAUCUGAAACACAAGCGCAAGAAAAUGGGGCUUGAGGACUUGAUUGUGAGACUGAAAAUUGAGGAAGAUAUUCGUGUUUUUUAGAAGAAAGUGGGAAAACAUCCCAUGGAGUCCAAGGCAAACUUGGUGGAACCAAAGGCUAAUAAAAAGAGAAAGCACUUUGGUGAAGGUCCAAGUCAAGGAAAGAAUAAAUACAAGAAGUUUGUUGGGAAGUGUUACAUUUGUAAUAAGCAAGGCCAUAGGGCCAAGGAUUGCCGCUUGAAAGGACAAAGUAAUGAAAAUAAAACACAAGUGACUGAGGAAGAGGAGUUGGCAAACAUGCUUUCCGCAUUGGUACUGUUUGAAGCUAACAUGGUAGAUAACCCAAACGAAUGGUGGGUUGACACAAGUGCCACCCGUCAUGUUUGUGGAGAAAGAAACAUGUUCUCCACAUAUGUACCAGUCAAUGGUAGAAAUUUGAUCAUGGGAAAUUUUGCCACAUCUAGGGUUGUGGGAAUUGGAAAAGUGGUGCUAAAGAUUACUUCUAGAAAAGAACUUGUUCUCAUAUAUGUGCUACAUGUGCCUGAUAUUUGCAAGAAUCUUAUUUCUAGUUCUAUGCUUAGCGAAAAUGGGUUCAAGUUAGUUUUCGAGUCUGACAAAUUUGUAUUCAUGAAAAAUGGGAUGUAUGUGGGUAAGGGGUAUAUGACCAAUGGCCUGUUUAAGAUGAAUGUAAUGAUUGUUAAGCGUGAUUUCAAUAAUAAUAAAGCAAGUACUGCUGUUUACUUGAUUGAGUCUUUUACUUUGUGGCAUGAUAGGUUAGGACAUGUUAACAAUAAAACUUUAAAAAGGUUGAUUAACAUGAAUUUGUUGCCUUUUUUUAGCAUUGAUUUUAAACAUAAAUGUGAAGUGUGUGUGGAAGCCAAGAUGGCUAAGCCACCGUUUCAUUCAAUUCAAAGGAACACAGAACCUCUGGAUUUAAUUCAUAGUGACAUCUGUGACUUAAAGUUUAUACAAACAAGAGGAGGGAAAAGAUAUUUUAUUACCUUUAUAGAUGAUUAUACAAGAUACUUUUAUGUGUAUUUGCUAAGAAGCAAAGAUGAGGCCUUAGAUGUGUUUAAACACUACAAGAAUGAGGUUGAAAAUCAACUUAGCAGAAAGAUUAAGGCAAUAAGAAGUGAUAGAGGUGGAGAGUAUGAAGCUCCUUUUGGAGAAUUUUGUUCAGAACAUGGAAUAAUCCACCAAACUACUACUCCUUAUUCACCUCAAUCGAACGGUGUUGUUAGCGCAAGAACCGUACAUUAAAGGAAAUGAUGGAUGCUAUGUUGAUAAGUUCGGGUCCACCCCAAAACUUAUGGGGAGAAGCAAUUCUUUCUGCAAACCACAUUCUUAACAAGAUACCACAUAAGAAUAAGGAUGUAACUUCAUAUGAGUUAUAGAAGGGUCACAAACCCUCUUACAAAUAUUUGAAAGUGUGGGGGUGUUUGGCUAAAGUAGGAGUGCCUAAACCUAAACAAGUUAAGAUUGGGCCUAAAACUAUUGAUUGUGUAUUUAUUGGAUAUGCAAACAAUAGUUGUGCAUAUCGUUUUCUUGUACAUAAGUCUGACAUUCCUAAUAUACAUAAAGAUACAAUUAUUGAGUCUAAGAAUGCGUCAUUUUUUUAGAAUAUUUUUCCUUGUAAAGAAAAGCAAGAAGUAAGUUCAAAUAAGAGAACUUAUGAUACUGUAAAUGGUAAUCAUCAAAAUGAGGAAGAAAUAAGAUGCAGUUAGAGAGCCAAGAAGACAAAGUCUUUUGGCUUGGAUUAUCUAACUUACAUGUUAGAUAACGAACCCAAGACAUUCAAAGAAGCAAUGUCAACACCAGAAGCCCCAUUUUGGAAAGAGGCUAUCAAUAGUGAAAUUGAAUCCAUCAUGCAUAACCACACAUGGAAAUUGGUGGAUUUACCACCAGGAAAUAAACCUUUGGGUUGCAAAUGGAUCUUCAAGAAAAAGAUGAAGCCUGAUGGAACAAUAGAUAAGUACAAGGCUAGAUUGGAGCCAAAGGAUUUAAAUAAAAGGAAGGCCUUGAUUUCUUUGAUACAUAUUCACCAGUUACGAGAAUAACAUCUAUUAGAGUGUUAAUUGCAAUCGCAGCAUUGCAUAAUUUGGAAAUUCAUCAAAUGGAUGUUAAGACAAUCUUUUUAAAUGGGGAGUUAGAAGAAGAAAUAUAUAUGGAACAACCUGAAGGGUUUGUUGCUCCUGGACUAGAAAAAAAGGUGUGUAAGUUGAUAAAGUCCCUAUAUGGGCUAAAACAAGCACCAAAACAAUGACAUUAGAAAUUUGACAAAGUAAUGUUGUCAAAUGAUUUUAAAAUUAAUGGAUGUGAUAAAUGUGCAUAUACAAAGAAUACACAAAGUGAGUAUGUCAUUGUGUGCUUGUACGUGGAUGAUAUGUUAAUUAUUGGUAGCAAUAAUGAUGUCAUUAAAGCUACUAAGAAAAUGCUGACCAAUUAUUUUGAUAUGAAAGACAUGGGUGUCGUAGACGUGAUCUUAGGUAUAAAAAUGGCCAAGACAUCUAGUGGACUAAUAUUAUCUCAAUGUCAUUACAUUGAGAAAAUUCUUAAACGGUUUAACUAAUAUGAUGAUAGUCCAAUUAAGACACCAGUAGAUUUAAAUCUAUAUUUAGCUAAAAAUAAUGGUCGAGUAAUUGACCAGUUGGAAUAUUCUUGUAUCAUUGGUAGUUUAAUGUAUGUCAUAAACUGCACGCGUCCAGACAUAGCCUACGCAGUUAAUAAACUAAGUAGGUUCACUAAUAAUCCGGGAAAAGACCAUUGGAAGGCGUUGAUUAGGGUUCUUAGAUAUCUAAGAUACACCCUAAACUAUGGACAUCAUUAUUUAAGGUAUCCAGCCAUACUAGAAGGAUAUAGUGAUGCAAAUUAGAUAUCUGAUACAAAGGACUCAAAGUCCACAAGUGGAUAUGUAUUCACAAUUGGUGGUGGUGCGAUAUCAUGGAAGUCAUCUAAACAAACAUGUAUUGCAAGAUCAAUGAUGGAAUCUAAAUUUAUUGCUUUAGAUAAAGUAGGGGAAGAAGCAGAAUGGCUUCAUAAUUUUCUAGAAGACAUUCCAUGUUGGCCAAAACCAAUGCCUGCAAUAUGUAUACAUUGUGAUAGUCAAUCAGCGAUUGGAAGAGCACAAAGUAGCAUGUACAAUGGUAAGUCUCGACACAUCCGUCACAUACAUAAUAUUGUAAGGCAGUUACUUGUAAAUGGAAUUAUUUCCAUUGAUUAUGUUAAGUCAAAGGACAACUUGGUGGAUCCACUAACUAAAGGAUUGUCUAGAGAUCAAGUAAACUGCUCAUCGAGGGGAAUGGGAUUAAGGCUUAUCACUAAAGAGUUUCAUAAUGGAAACCUAACCUAGCUGACUAGAGAUCCCAAGACCUAGCUAGGUUCAAUGAGGAACUAAAUUAUGAAAUACUCUGUGAAGAGCACUAGGGAAAAAUAAAUUCCUACCCAUUCCUAUGGUGAAGUAGUGCUAUACAAGAUGUGUUUAGGAUAAGCUAUGCUUUUAAUGAUUCUAAUAAUUUGAAAGAGUUCAAGUGGAGUAUGGUAGAAUAUUCGCACUUGUAACGGCUAAAAUGAACACAACCGUGAGAAUCAAUGGUGAUCUGGAAAGGAAUUGUGUGAAUACUAUUGUCUUGAUUUACAUCAAUAGCUGAAUAGUUCAAGACAUCACAUUCACUGAUUAGCUAGUAAAUCCGAUAGUAUUUCACUAAGGUUCAGAGCCAUAAACUACCUAUCCUGAUGCGAUCACUUUCCAAUUUUGUAUUCUCUUGAUUGUUUAGUUUUCCAUUUGCCUUUUUUAAGUCAAUUUCCAUUCAUGUGGGGGAUUGUUGGGAUAUUUAUAGGUGAAUGGAAAUUAAGACAUACUGUUUCAAUUAGACACAACUCUUCGUAAUGGACACAACUUGUGUCAAAGGAUAUGUCAAGUAUUUAAGACACAUCUCUUCUAAGAGUCACUAGAAAACCUAUAAAUAGGGGGGCCCCAUGGCAUUUCUAAUUCAUUCCAUCAUCAAUUCUCUCCACUUCUUCUCCUUUCUUCCAGGUGCUUGGUAUUCAAGAGAGUUCAAGUCAUCAAAUGAUUCACUGUUUCUUGUGAUUUGGAGUGCUACUAUCACAAGAUAGUGAUCGUUGUAUCCUGGGAGACGAUUGUCAACAAACCGUAUGCACCAAUGCAGGGCAAAUUCGUAUUAAGGACAUAGAGUCAAACUCUAACCUCGAUCAACCGUUUGUAAGAUUCAAUAUUUACUUACCUUCUCGCUUAUUUAUUAUACAUAAUUAUUUGACCAUACAUUUGUGAUAAUUCCAAAAUAACAGUUGAAUCCUCGGCCACAGCCUUUGCGGCAGCUAGAAACAAUUCCAGAAGGAUUCGUGGAAGGACAGUUGUUGAUGUAGAUUUGGAAGUACACACAACAAGACCUCUUAAUAACCGCAACAAGCGUGGAAGAGCUCCAGAACAAUCUUGGCAUGUUCCGCUUCUGCCACCCAAGGAGCCCACCUUCAACUGUAGGAAAAGGGUCACCAUGAAAGAUACCAUCAGAAUUUAACUUCCUGCAGCCAGCUGAGUAUGAUGCCUGGGCCAAUCAUGUAAUUAUGCAUAGGCUUAAAGAUUUUCAGCGUACAAGAAGGUGGGUUAUAAAGACUGGCUUUUGGAGGAUAGAAAGAGAAAUGAAAGAUGGCUCUUGGCAUGUUAUCAGACUCUUUUAUUUUUGCCCUCACAGACGGUGAUCCUCGUCUGCACGCUCUUGAACUCCGAUAUCCGACAUCGUAUGGUGAUGCCACCUGGGCGCUGAAAUGUAUACUCCUCCUCGGAUUCUCUCAGAAACUCACCAAACAAUGGGUGAUCGAAGUAUAUCACCGACACAAGGACUCGUGGAAGUCACCGUCUUUUUGAUCCACGUACACCGCCAGAUGGCCUUUCGGAACCGUCACCGCUAGCAUCUCCUCACCCACCAGAAGGUAACCAGAGAAACGAGCCGGAUCCGAGUUCAACAAACAUGUCUUUUUGGCCUUGGUUUUGAGACGUUGACCCCAGUUGCAGAGUCGAGAAAUUGUCUUGGUCUUGCCAGUCGGUAGCCAGAGACGGUGGUACCCAAAUGGGUUUCGGUGGAAAAAACCAUCCGUAGAACUUGACGACCUGUUUUCCUAGUUUGAAGCCCCUGAUCUUUCUCAUGGUGUAAGUGUUUGGUGCGAGAGAAAAAUUCAGAAGCUAUAAAUUACCAGAAUUUUCAAAAGAAAGAAAACGGUAAGAUUUGGCUCAGGAGAAAGGUCAUGGAGCUUUUUGUCUUAAACCCUUUCUCUUCGUCAACACUUAACGGUGGCAGUGGAGAUGUGGAGGAGGAUGGGUUUUCUAUUCUGAAAACAGAUGGAUAUGGUGCGGCGGACUACUCCAGAAGUGAUGAAGUCUAUAGGCGACCCAUUGAGUUUCAAUGGCGGUGCACUACACCAACAGUUAUGAAUUUGCCUUUUUCAAUACAGAAUUUGCUUCUUCAAGAGAACGUCCAAGAAGUCUCGCUAUCGGUGUGGUGGCUCCUUUUUAUACCAGCAUCAGAAGUCACUGGAACUCCAGCUGUCACUCAUUCUCAGGCAUGGUGUGCAUGUCCUCAUGUUCACGUGUUCUUCACACCGGAUCAUUCUCUCUAGAGACUUCCAGAGAGCCUCCAAAAAAUGCCUGACCUCUAAUGCCAUGCCACCUCACGUGACAGCUCUCACCAACUUCAUCUUUUUGUUUUCACAGGAGCCUCCCAUUCCUAAAUAUGCAAUCGUCUCCUCAUGCAAAACAGAAUAAAAUAAAAUAAAAAAAAAUAAAAAAAAAGAGAAGAAACUAAUGAAAAUCAUGAGAUUGGUAAUAAAAUAAAACAUGAUUUAAAAGAAAAAAAAGAGAGACCAGAUUAUAUAAUUCCAUCAUUCAAUAAGGGGGUCGUAUGUAUAUUUAAAGUCUAAACAAUUCAAGCAAUUUUCUAUUAAGUAAAUAAAAAAUAAAAAUAAAUAAUAAAAGUAAAAAUAAAAAUGAAUAUAAUUAUCAAAUGCAUGCAAUAAUAAUAAAAAGAUUAUACAUAAAAAAGUUAAGCCUCAAUGAAGUGUCUAAGUGGGCCUAAGUGGGUGCCUAAUGAGCCAAGUGCGUCUAAGUGAACUUAAGGUGUCUAAACGAGCCUAGGGUGAGACUAGGUGGGUCUAAUUAAGUCUAACCUAAAGUGCACCUAAGUAAAACCUAAUCAAAAUCAAGACUAUCAAGGAUCAUAAUAAGGGGUCAAAUAAUCCCUCAACCAGAGUUUCCGAGGUGGCUCUAAAAAAAUGGGCUACACGAGAAGUAAUGGGCCACCAAGGAAUUGUUGUAAAGUACGGAACAAAUACCUAAUAAGACAUGUGCUAGAAUGAUAAAAUGGAGGGUCUACAUAGGGCUUCAGACUCUUAGACUUUUACUUCUUCCAUUCUCUUUUACAUGUCUAGAGAGAGAGAACCUAGCCCCUCCACUUUUCUCAAUCUCUACCAUCUAAGUAUCUAGCUUCAAGGAGAGUCAUUGAGGAGAAAACCAAUGGUUUCAUGAGAUUUUCAAUGACUACUAUGCGUUUGAGAACCUUCUUCACCACAAGGCUGUUUUGCUUCAUUGGUGGGGGAUAAGCUUAGGAAAGCAUGUAUGCACCUAACAAGAUCUAGGGAUAUAAAAUGGAGUGAUCUAUUUUUUCCUACAAUUUUAGCUUUCUUACUUGUAGUUUUAAUUGACCAUAUGUAUAGCUUUUCUUGGUUAAAAUUUUAAUUUUUUUGAAUGAUGUACAAUGCACUUAUUUUGUUUUUGAAAAGAAUGUUUUUAUUUUUCUUAAUAACGUACUUUUUUUUUUGAAGGAUAUACUUAAUUUUUUAAGAAAUGUAUUUAAUUUUUCUAAAGAAUUCACUUAUUUUUCUAAGGAAUCUAGUUAUUUUUCUUAGAGAUAUACUUAUUUUUUAACAACGUACUUGUUUUUUUUCAUAUUGUACUUCUUUUAAAAAUGUACUUAUUUAUACUAUCACAAAUAAUUGAAAUUAAUUAGCAAAUUAUACUAAAACAUUAAUGUAUAUGAUUCAUAUACAAUGUACUUAUUUUCUUAGGAAAGCAUUUUCUAAAGAAUGUUCUUAGUUUUUUUUAGGGAUGUACUUAUAUUAUUUAAGGAUAAACUUAUUUAUAUUGAUAGAAAUAAGUGAAAGUUGGUGAGAAAUUUAUGAUAAAACAUUAGUAAAUAUAAUUAAUGAUAUUCGAUAAUAAUAUACAUAAUUUAAGAAUUUAAAAUAUAUUUAAUAUUCAACAUAUAAAAGAACUUAUGAUAUAUAUAUAUUAUUUUGAUGAUUUGUAUAAUUUGAAUAAUUUUUAAAUGGAAUAUGAAAAUGAAAUAAUUAAAAUGUACAAACGUAGUCCUGUAAGCCAUUGAUUAAUGUGCUUAUCGUGAUCAAAGAUUCAGAUAAUGUAUAUUAAUUGAAAAUUUAUUAGCAAAUAAUAGUCAAACGUUAAUGUAUAUAAUUUAUAUACAAUGAACUUUUUUUUGAGGAAUGCAUUUUCUAAAGGAUAUUCUUACUUUUUGGAGGCAUGUGCUUAUUUUUUUAAGGCUAAACUUAUUUAGAUUGGAGCAAAUAAGUGAAAGUCCAUGAGAAAUUCAUGAUAAAACAUUAAUGCACAUAAUUUAUAUAUUAUGUACUCAUUUUUUAUUUUUUUAGAAAUGUACAAAUAAUGGAAAGUUCAUUAGCAAUUUAUAGUAAAAUAUUAAUGUACAUAUUUUUUUGAAGGAUGUAUAAUAUACGUAUUUUUUAAAGGAAUGUAUAUAUUUUUUUUCAAGAUAUAGUUAUUACAUACCUAAGACUACAUUUAUGUUCAUAUUGAAAUUAAAGAGCUUUCAUAAGAGAAAGUGUAGCCACUUGAUCAUAUAAAAAAAUAAAAGAAAAGAAAAACAGAAAUAAAAGGGUAUAUAUCAAACACUUUCAAUUAUGAUUUAUCAUAUCAAAGAUUUGAAAAAGGGACAAUUCAUUUAGUAGUUAUUUAAAUGCGUAUUUUAGAAAUAAUUUUAUCCAUUGUGUGUUUGGGAUGAAAUGUGAAAGUUGGAAUCCUAAAAAAUAUACUUAUAUAUUUUUUAAUUAAUGUAUGUAACCAUAGUUCUCCCAAAAUAUGGCCAGGCUUCAUCAUACUUCUGUUUUGAAAUGUUAAAAUUUAAAAAUAAUUUUUCAUGAAUCACUUUUAAAUGUUUUUUAUAGAAAAAAAUUAAAAUAUAAAGUAUGAUGUAUUUUUUCAACUUUGAAAAAUUCUCUAAACAUAUUUUUAAGUCAUAAAUUAACACCAACUUUUGUCACUUCUUAUUCUUCUAUAUCAAAAGACUAACAAUAAUCAUGUUAUUUAUACGCAUAAAAUUAAUUAAAAUCAUUUAAGAUCAUGAUUUUUUUUAAAAUUUUUGUUAUUUAAUUAUAAAAAAAUUAAUUUUUUUAAUGAGAAGAAAAAAAACAAGGCUUAAUAACCAUAUUUAACAUUUUUAAAAUAAAUAAAUAAAAGCAAAGGUAUAUCCAAAUAAUACCUCAUUUGCUCAAUUCAAUUAUCGCAUGCCCUAAGUAUCAAAGUAGUUGACUAAGAGUGAGUUUGAUAGUAACUUUAGAAAGAUUAAAACACUUCUUCGAAUUACCACCAAAUAUAUUUUAAGGCACGCAAGGAAAAGUAAUCUCUUCUAUUAUUAUUAUUAUUAUUAUAAUUAUCAUACUGCCUUAUAGAAAGGACUUCUAUAAUUCAAAAUAAUCACAUGGUAAAAAUAGAUUUUAUUUGUUUGUAUCUUAUAAUGAUCUUAUUAUAUAUAUAUAUAUAUCUUAUCCUUUAUACAUGCAUUUUUUUUUUCAGUUUUGGUCGUAUAUUUUUAAUUUAAUAUUAAAAAAAAAAUUUACGCUUUUUGUCAAUGUCUCAAAUUUCAAAUAUGUUCAUGCUCUAGAAAUUCUCAAGUUGUAGUCUUGUAGCCUAGAAUGUGAAGUGAGAGUUUGAUGAAAAACGAAAAAAACAAAGAUAUAAAAUAUAAUUUGUGAGUAAGGAUGAAAAUAUCAGUUUUGACAGAUAUAUUAGUAACUCGAUUUUAUAGAUAUCAGGGUAUAUUAGAAAAUAUUGGUAAAUAUUUUGACACAAAAUAUCAAUGAUAAAAAAUUGAUCAAAACUCAUGGAAAUUAAAAAAAAAAAAACUCUUAAACAUGAUAAAAUAAACAAUAAUAUAUUUAUUAAAGUUUUUUUUUAUUAUUGUAAAACUUAAAACACAAAAUUAUCAACAAAUAUCAAUGAAAAAUUUGAAAAAAAAAAUCAAAAUUAAUAAAAACUCAUAAAAUAUUAGUAAAAACUAAAUAUAUAUAUAUAUAUAUAUAUAUAUAUAUAUAUAUAUAUAAGAAGCAAUAAUACACAUAAUGAAGUUAUUUAUUAAAAAAAUUGAUAUAAUUUAAUAUAAUUAAUGAUAUUUGAUAACAAUAUAUCUAAUUUAAGAAUUGAAAAUAUAUUUAAUAUUCAAAAUAUAAAAGAAGUUAAUAUAUAUAUAUAUAUAUAUAUAUAUAUAUAGAUAUUAUGAUGAUGAUUCGUAUAAUUUGAAUAUUUUUUAAAUGGAAUAUGAAAAUGAAAUAAUUAAAAUUAAUUUACUUAUUAUUAUUUUAUUUUAUCAGUCUAGGAAUGCAACUAUUUUUAAUUUAUGUGUGUUGCAUAUUUAAAAAAUGUUGAACUAGCUUAGUUGGCCAAAGCCCCAUCCAUGCGCACCCGAGACCCAGGUUAAAGCCUUAGUGUUGUUUCCAUUAAAAAAUUUCAAACGUUGACCCAAUAAUUUCAAUAUUGACAUUUUCAUCCUUGUCUACAAGUACUUGUGUUGGGAUCCAUGCAAUAAUUAAUGGCGGAAAAAUAGAAAAACGAGAAAGAAGAACACAAAGAUUUAACGUGGUUCAACUAAUUACCUACGUCCACGGGAAUAGGGAAAGAUGAUUUUCACUAUGUUAAAAUUAAGGUUACAUAAAAGGGUAUUUAUACUAACCCUUAGGAAUGAAAAUUCAAAAAACACCCCUGAACCCUACACCCCUCAACCUAUCGUUCACCUCACAACAAAAGAAAUACAAGCCUGAAUGACAAAUUCCGUCGCUAUGCUGCCAUUCCACUCCACUUCGCUCCCGCAUUUUGCCCAUUUUUCUCCAUAUGUCUUUUCGAUCAAAUAUGAGCCACAUACUACAACAAUCUCCACCUUGGCAAAUAUUCACUCCCCCCUUAGGAGACAAGAAACAUUGCUUAUAACUCCACCUGGGACAAUAGGUUGGGGUAUCUCCCAUCUAGCAACUAGAGACAUUAAUCAAGUUCAAGCAAUGCUUGAACUUUUCUGUGGUAACAGGCUUUGUCAACAUGUUUGCUGUGUUCUUAGAGGUGUGGACCUUCACAAGUAACAGUUCACUAGAAGAAACCAAUUCCCUGAUCUUAUGAAACCUCACAUCUAUGUGUUUGGUCCUUGCAUGAUACACCUGGUUCUUUUCCAAAUAAAUGGCACUCUGACUGUCACAAUAUAAUUGAACUCCACCUUGUUGAAUACCCAACUCCUUAAACAAACCUGUAAGCCAUAAUGAUUCCUUUGCAACCUCAACUAUUGCCAUAUAUUCUGACUUAGUAGUAGAUAGUGCAACUAAAGACUGUAUCAUAGACUUCCAACAAAUAGGUCCCCACCAAGGGUGAAUACAUAACUUGUGGUAGACCUCCUGUCAUCUAAGUCACCUGCAUAGUCUGCAUUAACAUAUCCUCUAACUGAAGAAUCACUUUGUUGUUUGAUGAACACGAUGCCAUAGUAUAGACCCGCAUUUUUCAUGUGCGCCCCCACUCGAUCGGCGAGACUCGCUUUUUAUUGGUGAAAAAUUAAUUUUGGAAAAAAAGUCGGAGUCACCACUUAUUUUAUUUUUAUUUUAAAGGGAAAAUAAAACAAGAAAGAAAAACCCUAAAAUGUGACUCCAUAAUUUUUGGAAAAAGCAUGUCUUUGAAACACCCGAGUCUAGGUCCGGGGAUCAGGUUACUUAUUGGGAAGGUACCUCUAGGAGGUAGCACCCCUCUAAGCCCUAAAGAGGUCUCUACUGACUAAAUUGGGGGAGAUGUGGCAAUUAAUUGAUUAAUUGGGGAUACCUAGAUAGACUAAGGUGAUUUAAAAAAAUAACAUGUGAUUACUACCAAAAAGUGCUAUUUUGUAGACCUAAUUAUAAUGGUUUUAAGCACCUUUGAGUAGUAAUCAUAUUCAUUUAACCCAAUUAAUUCAUUAAGGUCCUUAGUAAUUGGUUUUAACCUUUUUGUGGCAAGUUGACAUGUUUUUAUCAGCUUAUGAAUCGAUUCAAGCAUGCCAAUUGAUGGAGGAGCUAUUUGGGUGAGUUAAGCAAGGAUUUUGUACGUUUAUAGGCUUGAAUUUCAAGUGGAAACACGAGCACAAGCAAUGGAGAAGAGGAAAACAGAGUGAAGAAAACAGCUGCAGUCUUCCUUUGAACUUUUGAAGCACUUUCCGAAGUCUAUUUUUUGUAUGCUAUAUACCAUUUGAAAGCUUAGGAAGUCAAGAAUCCAACGCUUCAAACCGUGUAUGAUUUGGAGCUGAAAUGAGGAAGAUAUGGCCUUCGGAAGGCAACUGCAUCAUGUCAAAUGACCAAUUUCGCAAGGUGAAUUUCACAUUGCGAAAAUUUCGCAAGGAGAUUUUCUUCAUGGUGCGAAAUUUUGCCACUUCGCACCAUGAAGAAACACCUUGCGAAAAUUUCGCAAGGUGGAUUUAGGCACAUUGCAAAAUUCCUUUGAAUCCCCUGUUUUGAGACGUUGUUGAUGUUAUUCCACUACCGGUUCUCCAAGAUAUUUUGCUUGAUUUUUAGCUUUGUAAAUACCUAUUUUACCCUUGUAAUCAACCAAUGAAUAGGUUGCUUUUGUAAUAGCUCUUGUAAUUUAGCUUGUUAUUGUCUUUAAAUAGAGGUGAAGAGCCUCAGACACGCAUCAUCUAAUCUUGUAACCUGUAACUUUAUAAGUUAUAAGAGCACUUUUGUUCAGAAGCUUCUUUUCUCUUUUCUUUCUCAUUUUCUUAGUAGCCAAACACCCUUGGAGGAUGAAAUCCCCAAGGAUGAGAGGCUAAAACCUUUUAGUUUCUUGAAGUAAUGGAUGCCAUGUGAAGCUCCCGUGUCAGGAUGGAGAUUUCCAAGCCAUGAAUGUAAGUAGCUGAGCGUCAUAAAUGUUUUCAUUCAAAGUAAAGCUUUUAAUCCCUCUGACUUGCUUUGAAUGGCCAAUACUUGAUAACCUUUUGGUCUCAGUGGAUUCUUAUUGUUAAAUCCACUGACGUUCAUUAGUUAUCUCCUACGAGCCAUUGUAUUGCAAGUCGAGGAGAUGACCUAUAUCAUUAAAAGGGCAUUUAUGAGGUUCAGCUACCCUUUUUGUAAGUUUUCAAGGACUAAAACUCAGUUGUUAAACUCAUACCGGUUCGGGAAGUAAGCAUCACCUUAGUUGCUUCCCCAACUCGAGGUGAAAAGUCCCAAAAUCUCCAUUUUUACACAGUGAGUUAAGCAUGACUAUCCAAAGCUUUGAGAAACUUCUUUCUCCAUCUUUUAACCUAUUUUCAAGUUAGUUUAGUUUACAACACCUUUAUCUUUUUAUGUUUUCAUCUUAACCUAAUUUUUAUUAAGAAAAGUUCACUCCAUCCUCCGAACUUCACCAGUUAAAGUAAAAACCCUUCCCAGUGUUCGAUCCUAGAGCCACUAUGCUAUAGUAGCUUUGCUACUUUAGUGUAAGGACCUUAGGUUAUAAAUUUUGUUGAUACCUUACAUGCAAGCUACCAAGAGGCGGGUUAUCAAAUGGCGCCGUUGCCGGGGAAGGUGCUACUUCACUGUGAAUAUAUCAGCCGGAGGUAACUUGUGAGACUUCUCAUGAGUAAGGUGAAUUCUAUCUCCUUUUUCAUUUACUAACUUUUUAUUUUAGUUUUAGAACAUUUUUAACUUAGUUUAGAUAAGUUUCUUUUAGCUUUUAACUUUCAUUUUUAGUUUAUUUUUCAUACUCUGUUUUUCCUUCCGCAUGCUCUGUUUUUUUUUUUUCUUUUUCUUUGUUUUGUUUGUUUGCUUUGUUCCAGCUGAAUCCGUGCAUGCCCUAUUGGAUUAGAGACCAAGAGGGAAGGUUAGUGCGGAUAGAGACUCCACGAGCUAUUGAAUUAGAGAUUAUUUUAGAAGUCAUGGAGAAUCAGCCAGAGGAUCAACAUUCACAACACGGGCAGGGGAAUGAUCCGAACUUGUAUAGGUCCAUGAGGGACAGGAUGCACCCUCCGAGGAUGAGUGCACCAUCUUGCAUCAUUCCUCCUACAGAGCAAUUGAUUAUCAGGCCACACAUCGUGCCUCUGCUUCCUACUUUCCAUGGGAUGGAAAGUGAAAAUCCAUAUGCGCACAUAAAGGAAUUCGAAGAUGUGUGCAAUACUUUUCAAGAAGGGAGAACAGCUAUUGAGCUUAUGAGGUUGAAGCUCUUUCCAUUCACAUUAAAGGACAAAGCCAAGAUAUGGCUCAAUUCCUUGAGGAUGGGAAGCAUAAGAACAUGGACAGAACUUCAAGCUGAUUUUUUGAAGAAGUUUUUCCCUACUCACAGAACAAAUGGAUUGAAGAGACAAAUCUCCAACUUCUCAGCACGUGAGAAUGAAAAAUUUUAUGAAUGCUGGGAGAGGUAUAUGGAGGCCAUCAAUGCAUGUCCUCACCACGGCUUUGAUACAUGGCUUUUGGUGAGCUAUUUUUAUGAUGGCAUGUCAUCUUCAAUGAAGCAGAUAUUGGAGACAAUGUGUGGGGGUGAUUUCAUGAGCAAGAACCCUGAGGAGGCUAUGGACUUCCUAAGUUAUGUCUCAGAGGUUUCCCGUGGAUGGGAUGAGCCCAAUAGUAGAGAAAUGGGGAAGAGGCCAGUUCAGCAAAUGUCAAGAGGGGGGAUGUACAGUCUGAGUGAAGACAUGGAGAUGAAAGCCAAGGUAGCUGCCAAUGGCUAGAAAAAUAGAGGAAAUGGAGUUGAGAAAAGUUCAUGAAGUCCAAGCUAUUUCAGAACCUCAACAACAAGCCAAUCCUUGCUCCAUCUGUCAGUCAUUUGAACAUAUGGUGGAAGAAUGUCCCACCAUUCCGGCAGCAAGAGAAAUGUUCGGGGAACAAGCUAACCUGAUUGGCCAAUGGAAGCCAAAUUCAAAUGCUCCCUAUGGCAACACGUACAACUCUAGCUGGAGGAACCACCCAAACUUUGCAUGGAAGCCAAGGCCAAACCCAUAUCAGUCACCAGCCCAAUCAAGCCAACAGAGUCAAGGUCAAUCCUCAGUUGAGCAAGCACUCGUAAGCCUUAGCAAGGUUAUGGGUGACUUUGUGAGUGAGCAAAAAUCCAUCAACUCUCAACUAAAUCAGAAGAUUGACAACGUAGAGAGUACAUUGAACAAGAAGAUAGAUGGGAUGCAUAAUGAGUUGUCUCAGAAAAUUGACAACAUCCAAUAUUCCAUCUCAAGGCUCACAAAUUUGAACACUGUCAAUGAGAAAGGGAAGUUUCCCUCUCAGCCUCACCAAAAUCCUAAGGGGAUACAUGAAGUGGAAUCCAAAGAUGAGGAUUCUUCAAAGGUGAGGGACGUGCAAGCUAUUAUCACUUUGAGAAGUGGUAAGGAAGUGCAUCAGCCGGAGCAUGAUCAGAGGAAAGCCAAAGAAGAUAAGGCUGAUAGAAAAGAAGAAAAGAAGAAUGAACAAAAGGGAAAGGAAGUUCAGAUGAAAGAAAGCAUCAUUCCUAGCAUGGAUGAGGAACCUCAAAUUCUUUUAAAGGAAGGCAUGAUGAAGAAGUACAUGCCUCCUCCAUUUCCUCAAGCCUUACGUGGGAAGAAACCGAUCAAGAAUGCUUCUGAGAUUCUUGAUGUGUUAAGACAAGUGAAGGUGAAUAUUCCUUUACUUGAUAUGAUCAAGCAAGUACCCACAUAUGCAAAGUUUUUGAAGGACUUGUGCAUUGUGAAAAGAGGACUCAAUGUUACAAAGCAAGCCUUCCUAACCGAGCAAGUGAGUGCUAUAAUCCAAUGCAAGUCUCCAAUCAAAUACAAAGAUCCGGGGUGUCCUACAAUCUCAGUCAAUAUUGGAGGAACCCAAGUGGAGAAAGCAUUGCUUGAUUUGGGGGCAAGUGUUAACUUACUUCCAUACUCUGUAUACAAGGAGCUGGGGUUGGGAGAACUCAAGCCAACAUCAAUCACCCUAUCCUUAGCUGACCGAUCAGUGAAAAUCCCCAGGGGGGUAAUAGAGGAUGUAUUGGUUCAAGUUGACAAAUUCUACUAUCCAGUAGAUUUUGUGGUGCUUGAUACGGAUCCCAUUGUCAAAGGGAUCAACUAUGUUCCAAUCAUCCUUGGAAGACCAUUCCUUGCAACAUCCAAUGCAAUCAUCAAUUGUAGGAAUGAGGUCAUGCAACUCACUUUUGGGAAUAUGACAUUGGAACUCAACAUCUUCCAUCUAUGUCAAAAGCACAUCCAUCCUGAAGAAGAUGAGGGCCCGGAAAAAGUGUGUAUGAUAGAUACCCUGGUGGAGGAGCAUUGUAAUCAGAGUAUCCUUGAUCAGUUUGAAGAGAAUUCAGAUGAAAGCCAUGAAGAUCUUGAUGAUGGGUUAGCUGAACCCAUGGGAAUGAAUGCCGUUAUGUCAAACUGGAGACAAAAGCCAGUGAUCCUCCCUUUGUUCAAGGAUGAGGAAGAGAUGAAAGAAGCUAAGGAUGCAAUCCUUAAGCUUGAAUUAAAGACCCUUCCUGCCGAGUUGAAGUAUGCUUACUUGGAGGAAGGCAAUAAAGCCCCGGUGGUAAUUUCUUCUUCUUUAACCGUUUCACAAGAGGGCAAUCUUCUGAGAAUCCUUAGAAAGCACAAGAAGGCCAUCGGAUGGCAAAUUUCUGAUUUGAAGGGGAUAAGCCCAUUGAUUUGCACGCACCAUAUUUAUAUGGAGGAGGGAGCUAAGCCAACUCGUCAGCCACAGAGAGAUUGAAUCCUCAUAUGCAAGAGGUAGUAAGGGCUGAAGUGUUGAAGCUUCUUCAAGCGGGCAUCAUUUACCCCAUUUCNAUAGCACUUGGGUGNNNNNNNNNNNNNNNNNNNNNNNNNNNNNNNNNNNNNNNNNNNNNNNNNNNNNNNNNNNNNNNNNNNNNNNNNNNNNNNNNNNNNNNNNNNNNNNNNNNNAAGCUUGAAUUAAAGACCCUUCCUGCCGAGUUGAAGUAUGCUUACUUGGAGGAAGGCAAUAAAGCCCCGGUGGUAAUUUCUUCUUCUUUAACCGUUUCACAAGAGGGCAAUCUUCUGAGAAUCCUUAGAAAGCACAAGAAGGCCAUCGGAUGGCAAAUUUCUGAUUUGAAGGGGAUAAGCCCAUUGAUUUGCACGCACCAUAUUUAUAUGGAGGAGGGAGCUAAGCCAACUCGUCAGCCACAGAGGAGAUUGAAUCCUCAUAUGCAAGAGGUAGUAAGGGCUGAAGUGUUGAAGCUUCUUCAAGCGGGCAUCAUUUACCCCAUUUCGGAUAGCACUUGGGUGAGUCCAACCCAAGUUGUUCCAAAGAAGUCCGGGAUAACCAUAGUCAAGGGAGAAAAUGGAGAUGAAGUGUCCACACGCCUCACAACUGGUUGGAGGGUGUGCAUUGACUACAGGAAGCUGAACGCAGUAACGAGAAAGGAUCACUUCCCUUUACCUUUCAUGGAUCAAGUCCUUGAGAGAGUAUCUGGGCAUCCUUUUUAUUGCUUCUUGGAUGGGUAUUCCGGGUAUUUUCAAAUAGAGAUUGAUGUGGAGGACCAGGAGAAGACUACCUUCACUUGUCCAUUCGGCACCUAUGCUUAUAGGCGGAUGCCUUUUGGAUUAUGCAACGCUCCUGCUACCUUCCAAAGAUGCAUGCUUAGCAUCUUCAGUGACAUGGUUGAACGAAUCAUGGAAGUCUUCAUGGAUGACAUAACUGUGUAUGGGACUUCUUUUGAGGAUUGUUUGUCACAUCUUAAAGAUGUUUUGAAAAGAUGCAUAGAGAAAGACCUUGUACUCAAUUGGGAGAAGUGCCAUUUUAUGGUAAAUCAAGGUAUUGUUCUUGGGCACGUAAUCUCAAAGAAGGGUAUAGAGGUAGAUAGAGCUAAGGUAGAACUAAUUGUGAAGUUGCCACCUCCCACCAAUGUAAAAGGAAUAAGGCAAUUCCUUGGGCAUGCCGGGUUCUAUAGGAGGUUUAUAAAGGAUUUUUCCAAGAUUGCCAAACCUCUUUGUGAAUUAUUGGUGAAGGAUGCCAAGUUUGAGUGGGAUGAUAAAUGUCAAAGGAGUUUUGAGCUUCUUAAGCAAUUCUUGACAUCAGCGCCCAUUGUGAGAGCACCAAAUUGGGAGUUGCCAUUUGAAGUGAUGUGUGACUCAAGUGAUUAUGCUAUUGGGGCUGUUUUGGGACAAAGAGAAGAUGGCAAACCUUAUGUGAUCUACUAUGCAAGCAAGUCUUUGAAUGAUGCUCAAAAGAAUUACACCACCACUGAGAAUGAAUUACUUGUUGUGGUGUAUGCUUUGGAUAAGUUCAGAGCUUAUUUGAUAGGGUCUUCCAUUGUGGUAUUCACGGAUCAUUCAGCUUUGAAGUAUUUGCUAACCAAGCAAGACGCCAAGGCUAGGUUGAUUAGGUGGAUACUUUUGCUUCAAGAGUUCAACCUCCAGAUCAGAGAUAAGAAAGGUGUUGAGAAUGUGGUAGCUGACCACUUGUCAAGGCUCAACAUUGCUCAUGACACCCAUGGACUUCCCAUAAAUGAUGAUUUCCCUGAGGAAUCCUUGAUGCUUGUGGAGGAAGUGCCAUGGUUUGCACACAUUGCCAAUUACUUGGUCUCGGGAGAAAUACCAAGUGAAUGGAGCUCUCAGGACAAGAAGAAUUUCUUUGCCAAGGUCCAUGCAUAUUAUUGGGAGGAGCCUUUUCUCUUCAAAUAUUGUGCGGACCAAAUUAUAAGGAAGUGUGUGCCUGAACAAGAGAAGCAUGGGAUCCUAUCUCAUUGCCAUGGGAAUGCAUGUGGAGGCCACUUUGCCUCUCAAAAGACGGCAAUGAGAGUUCUUCAAUCGGGCUUUUGGUGGCCCUCACUUUUUAAGGAUGCCCAUGAGGUAAGUAAAGGAUGUGAUAAGUGCCAAAGACUAGGCAAGCUUUCAAGGAGAAACAUGAUGCCUUUGAACCCCAUCUUGAUAGUGGAUCUUUUUUAUGUUUGGGGCAUAGACUUCAUGGGACCUUUCCCUAUGUCUUUUGGCCACUCCUACAUCUUGGUAGGAGUUGAUUAUGUUUCAAAGUGGGUUGAAGCUAUACCCUGUAGAACCAAUGAUCACAAAGUGGUUCUCAAAUUCCUAAAAGAAAACAUCUUCUCGAGGUUUGGAGUGCCUAAAGCAAUCAUCAGUGAUGGAGGCACUCACUUUUGCAACAAGCCCUUUGAAGCUCUUUUGGCCAAGUACGGAGUUAAGCAUAAGGUAGCUACACCUUAUCAUCCUCAGACGAGUGGCCAAGUAGAGCUAGCCAACCGGGAAAUUAAGAACAUCUUGAUGAAGGUGGUGAACACCAAUAGGAAAGAUUGGUCUGUUAGGCUCCUUGAUUCCCUAUGGGCGUAUAGGACGGCUUAUAAGACUAUCCUUGGGAUGUCACCAUACCGUCUUGUUUAUGGCAAAGCUUGCCAUCUUCCUGUUGAGAUUGAGUUCAAGGCAUGGUGGGCCAUUAAAAAGCUCAACAUGGAUUUAACUAAGGCUGGGCUAAAGAGGAGUUUGGAUUUGAAUGAGCUUGAGGAAUUAAGAAAUGAUGCCUAUCUCAACUCAAAAAUAGCUAAGGAAAAGCUAAAGAGAUGGCAUGAUCAGUUGGUGACCAAGAAAGAAUUUUUCAAGGGACAAAGAGUCUUGCUAUAUGACUCUAAGCUUCACCUAUUUCCGGGAAAGCUCAAAUCAAGGUGGGUAGGGCCUUUUGUCAUCCACCAAGUACACUCACAUGGAGUAAUUGAGUUACUCAACUCAAAUAGUGCAAAGACCUUCAAGGUAAAUGGGCAAAGACUCAAGCCCUACAUCGAGCCAUUUUCCCGUGACAAGGAGGUACUCAUCCUCCAUGACCCAUCACAUCCUUGAGAAAGUGUGGUAAGUUGAUGAGCUUAGCAUGAAAAGCUAAGUGCUCAUCUCUUUUUGUUUUAGUUUUAGUAUUACAUUCUUGUUUACUUUGCAUUUUUAAUACUUUUGCACAUAUUUUGUUUAGGUUUCUUGGUUUUGAUUUUGAUUUUUUUAUGUUUUUAAUGGAGCUUUGAUGUCCAAUAGCAGGUACGAAAGCUCACAAGCUCACAAAUGUGGAGAGAAAGGUGAAAUAGGGGAGAAAUAUAUCUAAGUCCAAGCUUAAAAGCCCAUUUCGCAACUCAAAAAGUGAGUUGCGAAAAUUUUGCAAGGUGAAUUUCACCUUGCGAAAUGCACAUUUUGGCAAGAUGCAAAAUGCAACCUCUCGAGAUUGCACUUUCGCAAGGAGUAACCAGUGCGAAAAUUUUCGCAAGUCAUUUUUCACCUUGCGAAAUUGUUUUCAAAGCAAAUAUCAAAGUGCAACCUCUCGGGAUUGGUUUUUAAGGGGAGUAGCCAGUGCGAAAAUUUGGCAAGGUGAAUUUUCACCUUGCGAAAUUUUUUCUUCAUGCUUACCAAGGUUUUGAUUCUUUUUAAAUUCAUUUUCACAGCUAUCCUGGACCAGCACUCCGCCAUGCUAUCUCAGAUCCACCAUCACCUGGGCAUAUCACCUCCUCCACCUCAGGAGCCACAUCCAUGAUUGGAUAUUUCUAUCUCCAUUUUGUAUUUGUUUUUUGUAGAUGUACAUGUUUUAUAUUCUGAGAUUGUAUGUACCUCAUGCUUCUAUCUUGUACUCAACUCUCUCAGUUUAUAUAAGCAUCAUUUUUUGUAUAUUAUUUCCUCUCUCACGUUUCUUAUGGUUUUUGAAUCAUGUGGAUGCACUCACACGCCUUGAAUACCACAUCACCAUAAGGUAUAUCAUUCCUUCCUUGUAUUUUUCGAUAGAAACAUUGGGGACAAUGUUCAUCUCGGUUGGGGGGAGAGUUGAGGAAGUAAGUAUUUCCUAUUCUAGUUAGUUAUUUUGUUGAUUUAGUAGUUGUUGCCCUUUUUCAAAAUUUUUUUGUUUCAUUCUCUAUGGUUGUUAAAGAUAAUUUCUCAAAAUAAAAUAGGAUAAGUCGAGUUUUAACUUAAUUACUUAAGUCUUAGAGUUUGUUUUAUGCUUUCAAAGUUGAUAAUCUAUUGAAGCCCUCUUUGAUUUCGAACUUAUUUCUUCCAUUUCAAGCUUUACACACACCAUGCACAUUAGAUCCCGGAUUUAUGAUGUAAAACUUUCUCACCCUCUAAGCUUAGGAAAAUUUUGACUUGGUUUAUUACUUAACCUCUUUUUAAUAAUGUUGGGACACCUCAAAAAGACCAAUGAGUCUUAGAAAAAGAAAAAGAGAAAAAGAAAAAAGAAAAGAGAAAAAGAAAAAGAAAAAGAGAAUAAGCUUCUAUUCUUUCCUUGAAACCUAAGCAUGAUCCGAAGGGGUGGCGAAAGCCUUUAAAACCCGAUGCCCUAAACCUUGAUUGGUUGGGAGUCAUCGAUCCUCUGCUUGCUACAUAGGUGAAUUGGUUAAGUUUAGUGAGUAAAAAGAAUUGUGAAUAAGAAGGUGCGUUCCUAACCUAUUAAGAGUUGGUUAAUUUUGCCAAUGUCCGAGAAAAGCUUAGGUUAGGGGGAGAGGAUAGUUGUGCAUACUAUAUCCGGAAGCUAAUCUCAUUAACACUUAGCUCAUUAUGGAAGAGUUUGAUCCGGAACCUUGAGAGUAGAGAUUCUUUUGAUACUUAAUUGCAUAAUCUCCACUCUUUGUACUUUUUGUUUAAGUUUUAGCUUUGACAACUCCUAUUGCAUUUUGAAUCUUCGUAUCUUUAGUUCACCAUGUGAGAUGUGUUUUGAUUUCAGUCAUGCCACUCAAUUAUUUUUUGGAGUGAUUUGCAUGAUCCCUUUUAUGUAUAUUAUUAUAGUUUACUUAGUUUUUAUCUCCUCCAUUGCUAAGGGACUAGCAAUGAGUCGGUUGGGGGGUGUGAUUACUACCAAAAAGUGCUAUUUUGUAGACCUAAUUAUAAUGGUUUUAAGCACCUUUGAGUAGUAAUCAUAUUCAUUUAACCCAAUUAAUUCAUUAAGGUCCUUAGUAAUUGGUUUUAACCUUUUUGUGGCAAGUUGACAUGUUUUUAUCAGCUUAUGAAUCGAUUCAAGCAUGCCAAUUGAUGGAGGAGCUAUUUGGGUGAGUUAAGCAAGGAUUUUGUACGUUUAUAGGCUUGAAUUUCAAGUGGAAACACGAGCACAAGCAAUGGAGAAGAGGAAAACAGAGUGAAGAAAACAGCUGCAGUCUUCCUUUGAACUUUUGAAGCACUUUCCGAAGUCCAUUUUUUGCAUGCUAUAUACCAUUUGAAAGCUUAGGAAGUCAAGAAUCCAACGCUUCAAACCGUGUAUGAUUUGGAGCUGAAAUGAGGAAGAUAUGGCCUUAGGAAGGAAACUGCAUCAUGUCAAAUGACCAAUUUCGCAAGGUGAAUUUCACAUUGCGAAAAUUUCGCAAGGAGAUUUUCUUCAUGGUGCGAAAUUUUGCCACUUCGCACCAUGAAGAAACACCUUGCGAAAAUUUCGCAAGGUGGAUUUAGGCACAUUGCGAAAUUCCUUUGAAUCCCCUGUUUUGAGACGUUGUUGAUGUUAUUCCACUACCGGUUCUCCAAGAUAUUUUGCUUGAUUUUUAGCUUUGUAAAUACCUAUUUUACCCUUGUAAUCAACCAAUGAAUAGGUUGCUUUUGUAAUAGCUCUUGUAAUUUAGCUUGUUAUUGUCUUUAAAUAGAGGUGAAGAGCCUCAGACACGCAUCAUCUAAUCUUGUAACCUGUAACUUUAUAAGUUAUAAGAGCACUUUUGUUCAGAAGCUUCUUUUCUCUUUUCUUUCUCAUUUUCUUAGUAGCCAAACACCCUUGGAGGAUGAAAUCCCCAAGGAUGAGAGGCUAAAACCUUUUAGUUUCUUGAAGUAAUGGAUGCCAUGUGAAGCUCCCGUGUCAGGAUGGAGAUUUCCAAGCCAUGAAUGUAAGUAGCUGAGCGUCAUAAAUGUUUUCAUUCAAAGUAAAGCUUUUAAUCCCUCUGACUUGCUUUGAAUGGCCAAUACUUGAUAACCUUUUGGUCUCAGUGGAUUCUUAUUGUUAGAUCCACUGACGUUCAUUAGUUAUCUCCUACGAGCCAUUGUAUUGCAAGUCGAGGAGAUGACCUAUAUCAUUAAAAGGGCAUUUAUGAGGUUCAGCUACCCUUUUUGUAAGUUUUCAAGGACUAAAACUCAGUUGUUAAACUCAUACCGGUUCGGGAAGUAAGCAUCACCUUAGUUGCUUCCCCAACUCGAGGUGAAAAGUCCCAAAAUCUCCAUUUUUACACAGUGAGUUAAGCAUGGCUAUCCAAAGCUUUGAGAAACUUCUUUCUCCAUCUUUUAACCUAUUUUCAAGUUAGUUUAGUUUACAACACCUUUAUCUUUUUAUGUUUUCAUCUUAACCUAAUUUUUAUUAAGAAAAGUUCACUCCAUCCUCCGAACUUCACCAGUUAAAGUAAAAACCCUUCCCAGUGUUCGAUCCUAGAGCCACUAUGCUAUAGUAGCUUUGUUACUUUAGUGUAAGGACCUUAGGUAUAAAUUUUGUUGAUACCCUUACAUGCCAAGCUACCAAGAGGCGGGUUAUCAACAUGCCAAAUAGGAUCAAAUUACAAUAAAGGAGAGUUAGGGUGCAUACCUGGAUGGCUUCUCAAAUGCUAUCAUGAAACAUAAAAGUUAGUAUAGAGAUACAUCACACAACAUGUGCUUUUGUCAAAGAUAAUCAAGCAAGCAUCAAAUAUAUAUCAAGGCAAUAAAACAGGAUGGCAAGCAUGGGCAUAGUACGCAAUGACAAUCAUAUUCAUAGGGUUUAGAAAGUGGGUAUUAGGGAACGUACCUGGAUAGCAUAGAUAACUUGUAACGUGCUUCCAUAAAACAGGAGAGGUUAGAUAGCAAACAAUAAAAUAAGAAGUCCUAGCAUGCUUGUUAUCUAAUUAGCAUAGAAAAAAAAAAAAUUAUCACAGUAUACAAAACCAUCAAUUAUCACUAAUAUCUUCUAUAUAAUUUCUAAAAAAUAAAUAGACAUGAGUUCAUCAAAUAACAAAGGGGGCAACAAAGAUGAGUUUUGAAAAUUUUCCUUAUGUAGGGGUUUCACCAAUUCCCCGAUUGAUAUACACGAAUUUAGCCCAGAAUUAUCCCAUUUAUGUGGGACCACAAGCUUUGAUUCAUGUUUGAUUUCAAACCAAAAUUUUCGUUAAAAAUCGAGAAAGAUGCAAAUCGAUCAAAAAAAUGGUUGCAUAUUAUUUUAAGAAAAUGGGGUUUUUGAUUCUAAGGACUCUAAAUGAAUUUUUAAAAUAGGUUUUUAUAAGGAAAAUUUUGAGAAAAGUAUUUUAUUUUAAAAUAAGAGAAAUUAAUUUGAGAACAAUAAAACAUAUGAGAAACAUUGUACCAAGCAAAACAAAUAGAAACAAAAUCAUAAAGUAAAAUUUUUGGCAACCAAGCAAACUGAAAUGGUGUGAAUGGAGGCCAAUCUUCACAAUUUUCCAAUGGCCUCCAUGAAUCAAAUAUAAACGAACAAAUGUCAAAGAAAAUAACUAAACAGCCUUAGAUCAAAUAAAGUCAACCAGAUAUCAAUCAAGAACUAACAAAGAUUAGUCAAGCCCAUAAAUUGAGGAUAUAAUCAAUAAUUAAAUUAGAUUAGUCAAACACACAAACCUAUGAUUAAGGUAAUGUUAAAUAUAGUACCAUAAGAACUUACAAUUCUAAAACACUUGAAUUGAGUAAGGAUCAAUCAGGAACUAGAGCUUAACACACUUAAAACAUGGAUAUAAUGACAAGGGGUCAGAUAAAUUAAAUAAUUAAAAUUCUAAAGACUCAUAAAACAAAUAUGAUGAAUCAAAAAUAAUAAUAAUAAUAAAAAUAAAAAAUAACUGAAAUUAAUAAACAUAGUGAUAAUGAUAUAGAACCAAAUGAAUUAAUCACCUAAAAACCUAAAGCAUCACAUGAAUCAACUAAGAUGAAAAUAAAAAAAAAAAGAAUAAAAUAACAUGAUGAUAAUGACAUAGAAUCAAAUAAAUUAAUCCAUUAAAAUUUUAAAGCAUCACACGAAUUAAUUAGGAUGAACCCAUGAACUAAAAUUAAAUAAAACAAGAUGAUGAUGACAUAAAACCAAAUAAAUUAAUCGACUAAAACUUGAGAGACUCGAAAACUUAAUAGAGUAAAAAAUUAGCAAACAAAGCCCUAACUUUCAAUCUAAAAAAAAAACUAAUAAACUAAUGGAUAAAAAAAAAAGAAAUCAAAAACUCAAGAACAAGGAAACUCACUUACCUUUGGAAGAUGCAGCCUACUCGCUUUGGGGAUCAAUGGCGUUCAUGGUUCUCUUGAAGAUACCAUGAAGAUCUUUAUGGAAAUUGAGGCAUGGACCCCUUAAAAUGCAACCUGCUGCCACUUUUCCUUCAAAAAAUCUCACCAUCUAAAAGUGCAACUUGCUUCCAUUUUUCUUUCAAAAAAAUCUCACCCCCUCAAAAUGCAACUUGCUGCCACUUUUUUUUUUAAACAAAUCUCACCCUAAAGUGGCAAUCUGCUGCCACUUUUCUUUUAAAAAAUCUCACCCUAAAGUAGCAGUCUGCUGCCACUUUCCUUUCAAAAAAAAUUCACCCUAAAGUGGCAGCCUACUGCCACUUUCCUUUCAAAAAAAAAACUCACCUUAAAGUAGCAGCCUGCUGCCACUUUUCUUUCAAAAAAAACUUCACCCUAAAGUGGCAGCCUUGGAGAAUCCCCACUGUACGGUUGUGUUCCAAAAAAAUUGAAUGCUGCCACUUUUCUUUUCAUCAAACUCAUAGUGCGCCCCAUGGAGAUUAAUAGAAAUCCCUUUUCCUCAUUUUGGAUGGUCACGCCCUCUCUCCUAUAGUGCAUGUGCAGAUCCAAGGAUGCAGCCCGUGAAGUGAUGUAACGAUUCCUAUUGAGUCUGUUAGUGUUGCCAAACCAGAAAGUACCCAAUUAUGAAUGUCCAGAAGAUGCUGAGGACAUGCAUGUCUUCCGACAAUGAUGUCAGUUCAGGACAGCGAUAAAUUUGAAGACGUUAGUAAAGGGAGGCUGUCCAUUGAGUGUGAUAAUGUUAUCAAAUUUAGGGCAGCAAUUUGAAUCCCUGAAUAGAGAUAGCUUCCAAGGCUUCAAGUGGGGUGAGAUGUUGAAUCACUUGUGAUAGAGAGAUUAAGCUACUAGCACAUCACUGAGAGAAUAUUAAUCUAUGACAAUUCCCACUUUCGAGUUGCUUUAGAGAAGUAAGGCGUCACAACUACAUUACCAUCUAGUAUUUUGCUUUGACUUGGCAACACUUACAUCUUUUUCAAUCAUGCACGGGGCUGUUUUGAAGUCCAAAAGUGCAAGUCGUUUUUGGAUGGCGGCUGGUUCUUGUUUGCUGUUCCUUGAGAUCAGUUUUAUUGCCAAUCAGAAUGAUGAGAAUGGUCUUAUCAGCGUGACCACGUGACUCUUCCAACCAUCGGGGUAUGUGGUCAAAACUUUGGCGUUUAGUUAUGUCGUAAACCAGCAUUGCGUCAACAGCACUCCUGUAAUACGCACUUGUAACGGCUCCGUGUCGUUCUUGGCCAGUAGUGUCCCAGAUCUGAGCCUUGACACUCUUGCGUCGGAUGACGAGGGUUCGAGUCUGGGACUCAACCCCGGUUGUAGCCUUGGAAUCCAAACUGAACUCGUUCCUAGCGAACCGAGUUUACGACUUGCCCACUUCGGUGUCUCCGAUCAUAACCACUUUGAAAACGUAGUUGAUCUUUUGGCUCGAAUUGCCAUAGCUUCCACCACUCGCCAUCACCGCACCACUCCGUUCUCUCUCUCUUGAACACUCUCUGUCUGGAUUCAAGAUCAGUCACAGCCUUCCUUUUCCCAUCCUCAAUUCUGUCCGCUGGGAAACCGAAUUGCCACCAUCAAACAGUUGGUUCCUUGCAGCCGCUGAAGCUUGUCAGCAUCACCAAGAGACCAACCAAUUGGGUUGUAGGAGAAGUCAAUCUGUUUCCAUGUAAUCUGAUCCCAAACUCCAAUCCCAUACACGUGGCUUCAAUCUUUACCGCUAGCAAUAAUCCUAUAAUCUGAAUUAAAACCCAGAGCUCCGACAAUUUCCUUUCUUUAUGGCAGCCAGAUUUGGAUCCGAUCUCGACUCUCCUUUGAGAUUAAGCAAUUUAUCAAUGUAUAAUCAGGCCGCUGUGGACAAAUCCAUGCUUGGUAGUCAUGCUUAUUGAUGAUAGUCUAGAGAUGUGGAAAUCAAACAAUUCUGAUGAACCCUCUCCCAUGCGUGAUGAGGCCGAUGAUGUGUUAUUCCAGAUUCAUCUCCGGAGAUCCCUCUAAUUAGAACGUUCAGAAUCCCCCAGAAACGAGAGCUCUCCUUGCGGUCUCCUUCUCCAGCAGCGUUCAUCCCUCCCCCCCUUUUUUUUUAUAUGCUUCACGAACUUCAUCACAUGAAUUACCACAAUCAUCAUCCGUCACUUCUGCUCCAUAGCAUGAACCACAAUAUUUUCCAUUGCGUUCAAGCCUGCCACCAUGUCCUUGUAAUAGCUUCUCAAUCCGGGGCCACCAAUUCCAUCUUGCCUAACUGCUACCACAUUACCAUGGGCGUCAAUGGAGAGAGAGUUUUGACCAGCAUGGGCGCUCGUACCAUUGGAGAUGCAGCCUUGAAGAUUCCCCCAGUGUGACCUGCUGCUGGUGCGUGUCUUCUAUGGAAUCUGUGCUGCGUGCUGGUCCUCUUGAUGGUGAGGAAUACGGCUGUGUGCUUGUCGUCUCCCUCCUAGUGGCAGCCCCCCACUUUGAGAGAAUUUGUGGCCGCUCCUUCCUAGAGAAUCCCUUAGAUGUUUCGUUUCAUCAUUUUAGCCGGAUCCAUUGCAAGCAAGGAAAUUCAUUGAUGAUUUGCUCCCCUUUUUAGGAAAGAAAGCUCAGAAUUCUGAUGCAUGUGUAGAAGCUUUGCAACUUAUUCGAGAUAUUAUACCAGUUUCAGUGAGUGAAACUUCUCCAAAAAUCUUGAAUGUCGUUUCUUCUCUGCUAAUUUCUGCUGGACUGGAUAUACGUUUGGUUAUUUGUGGCCUUCUUGGUGAUCUUGCUGAAACUGACCCUUAGGUACUCUCUGUGGCAAAUCCCAUAAAUGAAUUGGAUGUGACCUCUGUUACGGAAACGAGUGGCCUGGAUUAUGACACCAUAGUUUAUGCUUAUGAAAAGAUUAGCAUGGAGUUCUUUAAUAAUAUCUCAAAGAAUCAGGCACUGGUCAUUUUGUCGCGUUGUAUAUAUGAUAUGUCAUCCAAUGAACUGAUCUUAAGGCAUAAUGCAUAUAGGUUAUUGGUCUCUUCUGCUGAACUCUCCGUCCAAAUUCCUAAACUUGAAGUGAAGAGUGACCAUGAAACGCCCGAAGCAAUAAUAACAUUCAUAGCUGAUGGUUGUUGGAUUUAAGCAUGUAUUCAGCGCAUGAUAAACAAAUUCCUUUUGAAGCAUAUGGCAGAUGUAAUGGGCAAGGAAAAUUUUGUUCAGAAGGAAUGGGUUGAUUUACUGAGAGAAAUGGUGCUGAAGCUUCUAGAGGUGCUAAAUCUUCACUCAUUCAGGAUCUUGUAUUGUCUGAAUGUGUUAAUAAAAUUGGACCAAUGGAAGAUGCUGUGAAGGCUCUAUUUGCCUAUGGGCUCCAUCUAACUAGUCGGUAUAGGUUUUCUGAAUGAGAUGACCAUGGGAAUGGCCAAAUUUGGGAUUUCCGUAAGGUAAGAUUACAGUUAUUGCAGUUUAGAGACAGGCUGAAGACAUUUCUUGGGAUAAAUAUGGGUAGGUUCUCCGUGAAGGAAUACAACAAAUUUCGCAUUAUGCUUAUCAAUGAAGCUGCUGCUGCACUUGCUGAGAGUGGAAAAAUUGGGGCCUUAAACCUCCUUUUCAAGCGUCAUCCUUAUACACUCACUCCUUCCAUGUUGGAAAUUUUAGCUGCUGUCCCUGAAAUAAUUCAAGUUCAAACAUAUGGGCAACUCCCUCCUGGGAGGUCUCCUCCUACCAGUUUUGCUCUGAGGGAAAAAGAUUGGGUUGAAUGUGAAAGGAUGGUAGGCUUUAUCAACAGAUUACCCGAGGAUAAAGAGGGCAGCAUUCGCAUCAAAACUGAACCCAUUGCGAGGCAGAUCUUGGGAUUCUCUUGGCCAUAAGCUGAUGAAUUUUCUAGUUGAUACAAGUGCUGAAAUUUUUAUUGGUCAGACCGUUGACCUCAAAGAGCAGCAAAAUGCUCUUGGAAUCAGUCAGGAACACAUUGAAAGCGCUGCAUCACUGGAGGAUUAUGCUACCAUGAAUCCAGCCAAUUAUUUCACCUUUGUCUCCCAUAGUGCUAGAAGGUACUCUACCAAGAGGUUCUGGAACGCUCAAAUAUUUUAAGUGGAGGAUUCUAAUGCUUCAAUAGCACUCACCCUAUGACGAAUACUCAGUUUAUGAUGAAAGAGUGGAGUUUCUGGCAUCCACCUAUGCACCGAAUGCAGAAUCAAUAUUUGCUCCUCUCAUAGGAACAAACGGUUUUCACAACAAAGCAAGUGAUCAAGAUGAUGCAGGCUGCAAGAAUUUCCCGAAAGAAUUGCAAAUGGCCAGACUAGACGAUGAAGCUGUUCUCCAAAAACUGAGGCAAAUGCCAUUGGAAGUGGGAAAAUUGAAACAGAAUUUAUAAUGCUCUCCUUCCCUCAUGUUCAAAGGCUGAUCUGAACAAUACUGGAGUCGCCUAUGCAGCCAUGCUAGACAUUAGAAGCUUUAUGAGGUUACAAUAAAACCAUUAACUGUACACAUAAGUUCAUUUGCAAGAAUUGGGAACCAAUUUAGAAGGUCAAGUAUAUUCGCUGUCAACAAGAAUGAUGCCCUCCGAUUUAAGAUCUCUACUGAGGAGGAACCCAGUUUGAUCAAAAUUCUAGGAUCAAACAACAGAGUCAAAGUCAAAUCAAGAGCAACGUUCCAACUUGUCAUGAAGACCAAGAAUAGUAAUUGCUUUUGAGCAAGCAGUGAAAUUAUUUGCAAUCAGACAAUCAUCUUCUUCUUCAAGAAAUGCUGUAAUGAAAUUCUUACCAGUUGUGUCUGAUUCUUCAAAACAUGAAGUUAGCAAACAGAUUGUUCAUAUAUAAUGUCAGUUGGCAUAAAUGUAGUGUUCAAUCACCAAGCCACAAAGAUGAUACAACCGAACAGUUGCAGCAGGAAAACUUGGUUGUUUAUUCAAAAUCAAGUAAAUCUCUAGGUCCCUCAUACCACGAUUGCUCCCAAUCUUUAGGUCUUGGCGUAGACAAUUCCUUCCUUGUCUAUGUGGACAGAACAAUGCUUGCUGUUCUAGUUGUUGUCUUUCACCAUGGUCUGUAGAAAAAAUGUCCAGAAAAACAACUAAUGAUCAGUAGAAGUGUAAAAGGGAAGAAAGAAAACUACUGCUAGAUUGGAUCAGUCAUCUUCUUCAUUAGAUCAUUACAAACAGUUGGCUUUGAAAAAUUUGAAGUUAAUCAACUACAAUCAUGACAGAUAUUUAUUUUUCCUAAAAGAAUGUAAAUGUAUGGUUGCUCUUUGAGUACAGCUCUCUACAGCACAAAAAUAAACAAAUACUGUGGUCAAAGCUGUCAAUCAAAAUCCCCCUAUCCAGAAUGCAUGGCAAUGGCUGAUCCAAAUGGCCAUGUACUAGUACACUUACUAAGAUUUCCUUCAAGAAUCAUGUACAAGUGACCACCACUGUUCUCGGUGUCCAGAGGCAGUUUUCCAUACUCAUCUCCUUCUCCAUGAGGCUCAUGUAGUUAUUGGAAGGAUUCAAUAAAUAAUCUCGAAACCCAUGAGCGUUUUUGGCCCAAAGAAAUUCAGCAUAUGACAUAAUUUCGUGUAUAUAUAUAUAUGGAGAGAGAGAGAGAGAGAGGAAAAGUUUAUGAAAUAACCAUGAUUACUAGACGGGAAAAGUGUGUUUUCAUCUUUUGAUAUGACUAUAUCAGUAAAUGAGUACCAACUUUUCCAUCUCAUAGUUUGUGAAUGGAUCAUAGACUGAAAAUGAAUUAUAUGUAAUCUACUUAAUUUACCAAAGGUAAUGAAAUCUAAUUUACAAUCAAAUUAAUUAAGACACUAGGAUACCAAUCACUACUAUACGUACAUAAAUCAUAUUACAUUUCUGUAACAUUACUUUUCUUCAAUACUUCCCCUGAUCAAGUUACAUAUCAAGAACUGAAAAAAUUAUAAGGCAAUCAAAUGAAACAAACCAAGAAAACAACAAUAUUAAAAGAGUUAUGAAAUAUCACCAGAUGAGAUCCAACAGUAAAUUAAGAAACUUUAUACAAUCUUGCUUACCUUAGGGCCAUGUCUGGAGGAGUUCCAAUUGUAGGCCUAGGGCCAAUGUUGAUAGGCACAUGCCCAGAUCUUAAAAACCCUCAAGAUGAACAGUAGCAGCUACUCUAGGCGCUCCUACUGCACAGGCAAAAAACAAGUUAGUCAAUGUUUCUUGGCUAUUGGCUUUGGCUUGGACCUUGGUGGUUAUGUCAAUUUUAGAUAAAUAUGUUAAUAAUCCAAUGACUAUAUUCCAAGAUUGAUGAUAUAUAUGCAAUAUAUCAAUUUGGAAAUGCUGAUAUAAACAUUUAAGGAAUUUAAAUUAGUCAAUUUUCAACAAUCUAGCAUUCAAAAGUGUACAAAAUGAUUAUAACUUGAAAGUUUGAAUAUAAACUGAGGUACAAUAUUCCUAGAGGCUCAAGUCUCCCUAGAACAAGGCAUCACAUCACAUAUUGAUGUGGCCUUAUGUUUGAGGUAAGCACCUUAUCUACUGGCGAGUUCAUCCUUAAUAAGCUUUUUGCAAGAAAAUGGAGACCUAAAAUUACUCUAAUACUUCUUUUCUUGAAUAUUAAAUUUUCUUAAAAGUGUUAUCGAUUAUCAAACAUUUAUAUCAAUGGUGGAAACUAGUUUGCUACCAAAGUGAAGGUCAAAGUCCUAAUUAUCAUUUUGCUAAACAAUGUAAUAUAGUAUUAUACAAUUAUUGCUUUUAAAAGAAAAUUUACAAGCCACCCAGCAAAAUUUAUGAUUAUACCUUUUUCCAACUUCACUCACGCCAUUGAGCUUUAUAAUUUGAUGAAACAAGCCUAAAUCAAAAAACUAUACAAAAAAAAUAAAGAAUCGGAGAAAACAAACCUGUAAGCACUAAAUUUUGUACUUUAAAAGAGGAAAUAGGAUGCCAAUUGUAGGUUUAAUUUAAAGAAACCUUAAAAAAUAUUUUUAAAAUUAUAGGAAAACCCCCGUAGCUUAGAAAAGAUUGGGGCGAACAGUCUACCUUUUGGCGAUGUUCACAUCUUGAGAGGAAUGACUUCUUUCUUAGUAGAUCUGAUGAUGGUGUUGAUCUUUAGGAAGAGAUGAUUAGAAGGCUACGUCGAAUUUUAGUGAGUGAGAGAUAAAGGAACACCCAAAACCUUAAAGCAAAAAAGGAAUUAAUAACUCAAAUAGAUUCCAUUUUUUCCUUAUGACGUGCUUACCUUAGUAAGGUUUUUAUGGCAGUGAUACCAUUUGGAUAAUUAAGUCAUUGAUUUUGAUGGAUCUUUUCCAUUUGAAUUUUUAAUAUAUAAACUUAAUCUUUUUACUUGGGGUAAUAUAUUUGGUAUUUUAGGAUUUACUUUUUAAUAAUAUGCUUUUAGUAGAUGGUUUAACUAUGUCCUAGUGUAAUAAGUAGUCUUGCAUUACAUUAUCUACUAUGGAGUAGGAGUGUGUUGCUUGUUCAAGGGAUGUAUGGGAAGUUGUUUAUUUGAUGAUAUACUUUCAACACUUAGAGUCACGACUUGAGCUAAUAAGUUUAUCAAGAUCUAAGCAUUGAUGGUGUUGCUACUCUAUUGUAUGCAAGGAUUCAAUUAGUCACAUUGUAGGACAAAACACUUAUAGACAAUUGAUUCUACUACAUUCAAGAUAUUGUUGCUUAAGGGGAGGUAGAGUCAAAACAAGUAGACAAUUGAUACAACUACACACACAACAUAGAGACAAAACACAUGAAUAAUACUAUGGUUGAAUAAAUUAAUUGGAUGAUGAGAUGAUAAUUAUUUUGUCAUCAACAUAGUGAACAACAUAAAUUAAAAUCUUGAAAUGUCACCUUAGCCAACCUAGUAGAAAUGAUUCAUCAAAAUAUUUGAAUGUGAGAUCUUAAAUUGGUGUUUGACCAAUAAAUAUGGUAAUAAACAUAUAUUAAGUAUAUAUGAAGUGACCAAGCUAAGAUUUGUAUCAUGUUAUUGUAGGGAAUCCCGAAUCUCUUUGUUCCUUAUCCUAUGAUUAGGCUAGGUACAUGCGAAUCUUUCUAAGUUUUUCUAAAUCGUAUGAACAAUGGGAAAAUUAUGUUUUAAAAUAAUAACAAGAUUUAGAAUUUGCAUUAGAAAACAUUACCUUAGAUUUGGAUGUUCCCAAAUCUAAUUCACGUAGUAAAGGAGAAGAUCGAAGUUUUCAGAGGUCUUGAACACCCAAGAUCUUCCACCAGAUGACUUUUCCUUGAUUUUAGAUCUUAAUUGGUGAGAAGGAAGGAAGACUAAAAAGGCUAUGGUUCUCUCUCUCUUUGAAUAGUGAAAGAUGGCUCACUUCAAAAAAGUAAUGAAAACCUUAUCAUUUAAGGGGUAUUUAUAGGGUUCCCUAAUUGGGUGUAAGUGACUUAAGCAUACUAAAGGCUUGAAUCAUUUAAUUUCACUCAAAAUGAGUCUUAAUUGAUUAAUUAACCUAACGUAGUUAUCUAAUUAAUUAAUUAGCUAAAUCUGGAGACUUUGUUCACUUACCCCUAUGCAACCUUGCAUAGUUACCAAAACACCUUUAUACGCAAAAGUGAACCAAGAGUUGUGUCAUCAAGGUAUAUGAGCUUAGGUGGAGACCAUUGAGACCUAUAGGACAGUACUAGCUACCCCAAAAUCUAAUUUUGAAGUUGAUUUAACGUUCCACUAUAGAGAAUCAAUUGCACUAUAAUACCUUAUGUAAAUAACAAUGAGAUGCUAAGUGGUCGAGCCCAUGACUUAUUAUCCAUUGCAUUCAAUCUCCCUAUGAACUGGUGUUUGUAGUCUAAUAAGGUCAAAACUAUCAACCUUUCAAGACUACCUCUACUAUCUUUGAAUUACAAAUCCUCUUAUUAUGUAUUUAAUUGAUAUAUCUUAACUCUCCAAGAGUCUAUGUCAAGUUCCAUUUAAGAAACUACUAUGACCAUAGUUUACAUGAACAUACCUCCUUAGGAUCACUUAAGGGGACACUCUAUCUCAAUCCUCUUAGAUUUCAUGGUACUUCUAUUACAAAUACUCAUUGUUAUAGACUUGCAUCAAUAGUGAACCAAUCCAUAAGGAACAUAUGAUUAGCUUACGAUUUCAUUAGUAGGUCAAAGUCACUACUAACUUUAACACAAAUUCUAUAUUCUCUCAAGGUUAAGAGAUAAAACAAUGAAGCAACUUGGUGAAAUCAUGACUAUUUGAUAGCUUUAUGUCAUAAUUCACCAUAAGUCUUGUCUGAUGUGUAACCAUACACAUUAGUAUACUCACCAUGGAAAACCCAUCCUGAUAACCAAGACCAACCAUUCCUCUAAUUAUGAAGUAGCGUACUAUAACCUCUAAUGGGUUACUUAGGCCUAUGAAUCGGUUGUGAACAAGUCAUCUACUUACAAUGAAUCCAUUUCUUGAAUUUUUUUUUGCAACUCUUAAUGCACUCAAGUCCUGUACAAUACAAGAUAUGUAUAUCAAAAUGCUUACAAGGUAUAAUGUAUAGGAUUAGGAUAAAUAAAAGUGAACUAAAAAUUUAUUAAUAAAUAAUAAAAUUUUAAAUUUAUUACAUCAUAUCAUGCUUUUAUGAAACCUUUAAAAUACUAAGAGCACCCUUUCAUAAUCAUGAAUUUAACUUUAGUUUCAACUUCUAUCAAAGGCUAAAUGAGAAAAGCUAUCAUAGAGGAGGCCUCAGCCAAUGGGUAAGAUGCACUGUUAUACCAAACAAUAAGUGGAAAAUGAAAUUUUAUUAAUACUUGAGACAAAGGAAGAUUUUACACUCAAACCAAGCAUUUAUUUAUAAUGAAGUGCAGUCUCCAUACGCACAUGUGGACUUAUUGGAAAAUCAUACAAAUUAUUGAAGGACGACCUUAGCUAGGCUAACAGUCUCCUAAAUAGGCCAUCUUUUAUAUGUCUUUGCAUUCAUCCAUCUCCUCAUUGUCUUUGAUUUUAGAUGGUGAGGAUGUGAAAGUAACAGGAAGCGGUGGACGAUUGUUCACAGUGAGGCUUAGCACAUCAGCUCUCGAAUAAUGUCCUACCACAUCGAACUGGAACUUUGCUUUAGGAAUCUCUCCACGAACAUCUACAUAUCAAGUGAUCAUAAAAAUAUUUCAUCAGUCUAUGAUAAAUAUCAUAGAAUAUCAAGUCUUCGAGAAAACUAAGUUUGCAGUCCUCUUAAACCUAAAGAAUCGACUCAUUUGUCUUAUUUGCAUACUGAAAUAUUUGGAUAUAUAACUGGAGAAGUUAGGGCCAUACCAAGAUCAGCUGUGAAGAGGCCUUCUCCUUCAUAAUUCGGUCCUGUUAGAAUUUCCCCAUGGGUCGAAAUGAUGACACUACCUCCAGCCCAAACAAUAGAAUCUGGAGUGACAUCUUCUUCUGUAGGACUGUAAAGAUACUCAGGUGGAGGUGGGUAAUCUUUCCUUUUCCAUUUUUAAAAAUAAUAAAAGCAAAGGUGUUUCAAAACAAUACCUCAUUUGCUCAAUUAAUUAUCACAUUUCCUAAGUACAAAAGUAGGCAAGUGAAUUUUUGCUCAAGUUACAAUAAUGCUCCAAAUCCUUAUCCAAGACUUUGAUCCUAUUUCACAAUUGUUUUUUAAAACAGUUUUUUUCUUGGGAGAAUUACCCAAAGGGGUGGGUUAGAAAAAAUAAUGACUAUGAAGGCUCACUCUUUUAGAAGACAAUUUUACCCUUUAAUAUGUUUUUUAUAUUAUUUAUAAAUAAAUUGAGAUUGUCAAUGAUGUGGGGCUCAUACAUAAUGAUAAGUACAAGUUGAUAAAUGAUGUGGGACUCAUACAUGAUGAUAAGUACAUGUUGAUAGGCAAUCAACGGUACAUUUUUCAACUUGAAAAAAUUGUUAUCACUUUUGAACAAUUAACUAUUUAAAAAUUUGUUAUUUUUUUUUAAAUUGAGAUUUUUUAAAGAACCUUAUAAAAAAAAUAAUUUUUAAUAUCUCAUAAAUAAAAACCAUAUCCUAAAGUUAUUAUAUCAUUUUAUAUAUAAAACAUACAAUUAAAAACUUUGUUAUCAUAAUAUAAUAAAUAAUUAUUUUUUACGAGCACUCAUCAAUUGAAUAAUAUAUAAAUAUUCAAUUGACUAACACACACCUAUUAAAUGGAAUAACUCACAAUUAUUCAUUGGGUAAUAUAGCACGUGAAAAAAUUAAAUAAAAAUAAAUUACAUUAUGUUAUAAUAUAUUGUAAUGAUAGUGUAUUUAUAUUGUAAGUAUAAUGCAUUUAUGUCGUACCUAUAUUUUAUUAUAAAAGUAAUAAUUUUAAAAAUGUUUAUUCAUACCCUAUUGGUAUUAACACAUCGUAUUAAUAUAUUAACAACAUUUAUUUAGUGUUUUGAAAUUAUUUAAUAAUUUUUGUAUAUAUAUAUAUAUAAACUACGUGAAUUCAAAUUAGUAUUUCAUUUGAUUUCAGAAAUUAUUUAUGAUAUAGGUAUGUUGUGAAAUAUGGUAUGAUCAUACAAAGUUACCAUUUUCAUAAAAAAAUUCAUAAAUUUCUUAAUUAGGUUUUAUUGUAAUGUAUUGUAAUGUAAGUGUAUUUAUAUUGUAAUUAUAACAUAUUUUUGUUGUACUUGUAUUGUAUAAUAAAAGUAAUAAUCUUAAGGAUCACCUUUUAUACCUUAUUAAUAUUCAACAUAUCAAAUAUAUUAACAUCAUCCACUCGAUACAUUGAGAAAAAAAAUUUAUAUAAAAAUUUAAAUAAAAAAAAACACUAUGCAAAGGAAAAAAAAUCAUAUAAAUUUUUUUAAAUUAUUUUAUUAUAAAAAUAAAAAAUGAUUAAACAUUUUCUAUCAUUUUCUUAUUAUUUUUAGAGAAUUUGAAUGAAAAAUUAAACAUUUUAUCUUCCUUAAAUUUAAUACAAAAACAUAAUUUAUCAAUUUAAACUUAUAAUAUAUAUAUAUAUAUAUAUGAAAAAAUCAUCAUUUUUAUUAUAUAAUUAUAAAACUUAUUUUUUUCUUCAUAAAAUUAAAAAUUAGAAUAAAAAUAAAAAAAGGUAAAAAAACAAUAAAUGAUAUUUUGAAAAUAUUUUUUAAAAGUAUUUUUGUUUUAAAUAGUAAAUUUAAAUAACAAAUUAUAUAUAAUUGUAAGGGUUAAACCCAAAAUUUUGAUUUAAAAUUUAAAUAUCAAUAAUUACAAUAAAUGUGGGACCCAUGUACCAUAAAUGUAUUAACAAAUAAAGUGAAGUGCUUUAAAUGUUUUGAAUUUUAAAAGUUUUAGUUAAAGGACAGUUUUGGUAUAUUAAGCUUACUAAAGUCCUCCCCAAUAAUUAUUAAAAGAUACCACCCUUUCUAGUAAUUGUUUUGCCCAGCCUACCCUUUUGGAUAAUUCUCCCUUUUUUCUUCUCUACAACAAAAAAAAAAAAUGUGUUUGAGAAUUGGAAAAUAAGGUGUUUUAAAAAAAACAUAUGUUAGUUGUUUUUAGUUUUUCUUCAUUAGCUUUUUUGACGGUUGUUUAAAAAAAAUAAUUAUAUAAAUAUGAAGAAUUAUUAAAAAUAUAAUAUUAUAGACAAAAGUUAUUUUAAAAUUAUAUGCACGAGUUUUGGAAAGUCUUGCAAAAUAAGCAAAACUAUAGGAAAAAUAUGCAAAUAAAAAAUUGUAUUAAAAUCAUCAAGGGCGCACAAUAUUUGUGGAAAAAUAUUCUUUGCCGAAGAAUAUUUUUUAAAGAUCAAUUGAAAGCCUAAAGCAGCUUUUUCCCAAUUGAAUUUAUUGAAUGGUGAAGAACACGUGUGUUGCAAUUUUUUGGAUUUGUAGAGCGUAUUUUAUAAAGCUUUUUUCUCUUUGUGAACCUUCUUUUCAUAUGUGAAAUUGUUUUAUUUUUUUUUAUCAUUUUCAUUGAAGGAAGUUGCUGAUAUUUACAGAUAAAAUUAAAAAAAUUAAUUUUAGAAUUUCUAAGAUUUGAUUACUUAAUUAAAAAAAAAAAAUUGGUUUCUUGAUUUUAGCAACUUGUCUUCUUCAUUUAAGGAAGUUUGCUAACAAGAGCAUAUUUACUUCUCAUUUUCUUUUGACUUCAAUUGGAAGACUUGUUUCAUUUGUUUACAAAAUUUGCCAACAAGAAAAUAUUUAUUUCUAAUUCUCUUUUGAUUUCAAUUGUUUGAUUUGAUUUGAUUUUGCAAGACUUUAUUUUAUAGCCUUCCAAAUUUCGCUACAUGUCAUUUUUUGAAUUGAAUGCCACGUGUUCAAUAUAUAUGACUCGUCACUUAUUAAGCCCAAAUUUUGUUGAUCUAAGGAGUUACAAUUUUGAAGACUAAUUUGGUAGUAUUUUAAUCCACUAAAAUUUUUUAUGUCUACAAAUGCCCCCUCUUCAAAACAGAUCACACACAUGCAUUAUCAUGUAUAAGAAGUGAGUCUUGAAGUUAGCCUUUUGAAUCUUCAAUAUCCUUCUUUGAUUUUUUUUUUUCGAAGAAAUAUUUAAAUAGGAAAUUUCCUAUUCAAAAUACUUUUCUUCAACUUUUUUCGAACACUGUUUUAUUUAUUUAUUUAUUUUUCUACCUUGUAUCAAAGAAAAACCUUGUGUUAAUGGGAAAGCUUCUUAUUUGAACAUCUAUUUUCUUUUCUCAUGGUAUUUUCACUUCCAAUUUGUCAUCCUACAAGAAGUCCUUCACCCUAGCUGGUUCAAUUGCAUCUUAGACUUGGUCACAUGCCUUUAACUUGUAAUUCUUCCUCCACUUUCUUUUUUUUUGUUUAAAAAAUAGUACAAUAUAUUUGAGCAAGACCAUAAGCAAGAGAAUAGAGGUGGUGAAUGGAGCACCAACUAACCUUAGGGCAAGAUCUUGAGCAAGAGAAGUAAGGUGGAGAGUAGAGCACAAACUUCUCUAAAGCAUGGUAGGCAUACCGUCAUGGAGUUGUCUUCUGCAUGGAGCAUGGUAGGGUAUUAUAUAUAUGAUAGGGUGGGCCAUCAUGUAACAAUGAAGAACAACAAUCCAUGGUGUACAAUUGGGAACAACAAUUCAUGCUAUCAAGCUUCAACCUUUUGUUAUUUUUUGUUUUUUUUUUAAUCCCUAUCUCUACCCCCGACUCCAAUUUUUUUUUCAAGUUUCUAGAUUCCUUUUUAUUCUUUCUCAUUUUAUUUUUUUCAACUCCUUUUUUUUUCCUCCCUUUUUAACCAUUGUUUUUAAGGAAGAAAUAGAUUCACCAUCCCUUACCACGAGGUCAAUCUCCAUCGCUUGCAAAGACAAAUUUGCUUUUUGGUGUUUUUUUUUCUUCAAAAAUUAUCUUAACAUUUUAAGAUAUAUAUAUAUAUUUAUAUAUUUAACAAACUUAAAUAUCCAUAAUAAAAUAAAUAUUUAAGGCUCUUGACUUAUUUAAAUUGGCUUGACUUGGAUACUUAGUGGAACCAUACUUAACACCCAUGUAGAUGAGCUAUAAUCUUGAUGGCAUGUUGUGUUAUAUUUUCGACACUUAAUGUGGCUUAAGAGUUAAAGUCUUCACUCAUGAAAAUUAGCUUGGUUUGGAUGCACAAUGGUCUCUAACUUCUUAAUGCUUAAUUAAACUUGGAACCAUAUUUAACACCCAUGUAGACAAGUCAUAAUCAUGACAUAGAGCACUAUUUUAUUUUAACUCUUAAUAUGACUUAAAUAUUAAAGUCUUCACUCAUACAAAUUAACUUGGGUUAGAUGCACAAUGGUGUUCAACUUGGUAAUAGUUAAUUAAAAUUGAAACAUUUAACACCCAUGUAAACAAGUCAUAACUUUGACAUGGAACAAUGUCGUAUUUUUAGCUUAAUGUCGCUUAAGUAUUAAAGUCUUCACUGAUGUAAAUUAGCUUGUCUCAGAUGCAUAAUAGCAUUCAACUUUUUAACACUUAAUUUAAAUUCAGACCAUAUUGAAAACCCAUGUGGACAAGACAUAAUGAGAAAAUAAAGGGCUAAUCUAAAUAGAUAAAAAUACCCAACAGGGAAGGAGGGGGGUGAAAUGGAGUUUAAAAAAAAAAAAAUUAAACACAAUAAAAUUAAGUACAAGAAGCACAAAUAUAAAGAGAUAAGUUAUAGAAAGCAAACUCAGAUUUAUGGUGGUUUGACACUUCCUUGCCUACAUCCACUCUCCUCAAGCUCCUAACCGAGUGAGGGUUCCACAUAUACUUAAAGCUUCAACCAAACUUCUAAUCACUUUUUACACUUAGAUUUUGGCUCCAAUGGGCUCUUACACAUUCGCUUCAAGUCUCUACUCACUUGAAGGUUUUAACACUCAAUUAACAAGUUUGAAACUUUCAACCUAGCUCAACAAUGGCUCAAAUACAACUCAAGGCUAGGAUGAAUCACAAAGGUGCAUUAAAGAAUAUUCAAAUGAAGAUUUAAUGCACUAAGAAAAGAAUGAGAGCUUUUAUGGCAAGAACAAGUAGGUAAACAAAUCAAUGUAGGUGUUCUCUUACUCAUAAAUGAAGUGAAAUUCUCAAUUUAUAGGUUUCUAAUCUCAGAAGCCAAAAAACCAAAAAGUAACCUCAAUCGAUUGAGUUGGGGGUUGACCGGUUCACUAGCCGUUAGAGCAUUAAAUGUGUGGCAGGUGAUCGUUACCCUCGACCGGACCUCGACUGGGAAGGCAAAUCUCUCGACUAGGAAAGAAAGGUUAUUGGAAGAGAAAGAAGGUUUUUUGCAUCUUUUGACCAGACCUCAACCGGGAAGGAGCAAUCGAUCAACCAGUACCCUAGCCAGUUGAGCUGGUUGGCUAGUGCCUCUACCGAUUCACCAUUUUUUACUCGAAAACCUAUCUUUUUCUGGUCUUUUUUUGCUUCUAACACUUAAACAAGGUCUUUAGGUAAAAUAAUAUGUCAAUUUUGAAACGUUUUGCCUAAGGUUCAUUUGAUAGAACUCGGAUUUUGAUGGAAAUGUGACUUGAAUGCAUAAACUGAGUUUUCAAAGAUGCAUGAAAUGAUAUGAAAAUCCUAAGUACACCCAUGCAUUCAUUUUACAUAGUUUUCUAUGAUUAAAAAGUAUUUCAAAAGUCUUGAUCUUGCAUCCAUUAGGUCAUUUGAUGAAUUUCCAAAUUAAUAUAUGAAAUUCUUUAUAAUUCAAACCAUUUAGUAACUUAACCAUGGUUUGUUAUCAUCAAAACAUGAUUAGGAGAACCCUUGGGCUAACACAUAACAUUGUAGCAAUGUUAUAUUUUUGACACUUAAUGCAGUUUAAGUUCUGAAAUCUUCAUUUCUAUGAAUUGGUUCGCCUUGGAUGCAUAGUGGUGUCUAAAUUAUAAUACUUAAUUAAAAUUGAAACCAUAUUUAACACUCAUGUAGACAAGUCAUAACUUUGACAUGGAGUGGCAUUGCAUUUUCGACACUUAAUGCGACUUAGGUGCUAAAGUUUUCACUCAUGAGAGUUGGUAUGGGUUGGAUGCAUUGUGGUGUCCAACUUUUUAACACUUAAUUAAAAUUGGAACCAUAUUUAACACUAUCUAGAUAAGUCAUAACCUUGACGUGAAGCGAUAUUGUAUUUUCAACACUUAAUGCAACUUAGGUGCUAAAGUCUUCACCCAUGCAAAUUAGUUCAUCUUGAAUGUACAAUGGUGUCCCAUUUUUUAACAUAUAAUUAAAAUUGGAACCAAAUUUGACACUUAUGUAGACUAGUCUAGCCAUGAUGUAAAGUAGUGUUCUAUUUUUAAAACUUAAUGCAGCUUCAAUGGUAAAGUUUUUACUCAUGUGAAUUGGCUUGAUUUGGAUGCACAAUGAUGCCUAACUUUUUAACAUUUUAUUAAAUUUGGUAUCAUAUUUAACACCUAUGUAGACAAGUCAUAACCUUAAUGUAGAGGUGCAGUAAUAUUUUUGGUACUUAAUGUCGCUUAAGUGCUAAAGUCUUCACUCAUUUGAAUUUUUUGGUUGGGACGAACAAAGGUCUCUAACAUUUGAGCAUUUAAUUAAAAUCAGAAUCAUAUUUAACACUCAUGUAAAAAAGUCAUAACCUUGACACAUAGUAAUAUGCAAUGUUUUAACAUUUAAUACAACUUAAGUGCUAAAGUUUUCACUCAUGUGAAUUGGCUUGGCUUGGAUGCAUAAUGGUGUCUAACAUUUUAACACUUAAAUUAAAAUUAGAGUUAUAUUUAAUAAUCAUGUAGACAAGUCAUAACCUUGACGAGAAGCAGUAUUGUAAUUUUGACACUUCAUGUUGCUUAAAUGCUAAAGGCUUCACUCAUGCAUAUUGACUUAGCUUGGAUGAACAAUGGUAGCUAACUUUUUAACACUUUAUCAAAUUUGGAAUUAUGGUUAGCAUCCAUGUAGAAGAGUAAUAAACUUGAUGCAGAGUGAUGUUAUAUUUUUGGUACUUAAUAUAGCUUAAAUACUAAAAUCUUCACUUCUAAGAAUUAACUUGGCUUGGAUGCAUAGUGGUGUCCUACUUUUUAACACUUAAUUGAAAGUGAAAUCAUAUUUAACAUCCAUUGUAUACUAGUCAUAAACUUGAUAUAGAGCAGUGUGCAAUUUUUUAAUAUUUAAUGCAACUUAGGUGUUAAAGUCUUUACUCAUAUGAAUUAACUAAACUUAGAUGCACAUUCGUUUCCAACUUUUUAAUACCUAAUUAAAAUUAAAACCAUAUUUAAAAACCAUGUAGACAAAGACAUAAUCUUAACAUGGAGCAGUGUAUAACUCUUAGCACUUAAUUAAAAUUGGGAUUACACUUCAUAACCACAUAUUCCUCCUCCUAUUUUUCAAUUUUUUCUUGUGGUGAUGAUUGAACUCAACUAGUUUGUCCAAGUUACCCACAUACCCUUAACAGAGAAGAGAUCAAGUCAAACCUAGUUCAAAGUAUUUUUUUUUAAUAUCUAACUUUUGCCAAGGCUAAUGAUUUUAAUCUUGAAAGCUUGUCUUAACUUUUGACUAUAUAUGUAGUGUUUUCAAGUUUCAAUUUAGCGGCCUAUGAAUUGUACAAAUUGAAAAUGACUUCACUUAUGUGUAAAAAAUAAUAAAAGAUAUUCAUUCAUAGUUUUAGGGCAAUGAAAAGUAAUCGAUCCUUUUUUGCAUUAUUAUUAUUAUUGUUGUUGUUGUUGUUAUAAUUAUUAUAUUACCUUAGAAAAAGACCUUUUCCAAUUAAUCUUUUAUAUAUAUAUAUAAUCUUUUAUACAUGAUUUUUCUUAGUUUUCAUAGUAUUUUUAAAUUUAAUAAUUUUUUUUUUUAUAAAAAAAUAUCUAUACUUUCGGUCAAUGUCUCAAAUGUCUCAAAUUUUAUUACGUACGUGCUCCAGGAAGUCUCAAGUUGUAGGCUUGUUGCCUACAACUUGAGUUUGAUGAAAAAGCGCAUAAACAAAGACAAAAAAUUUAAUCUACAAGUACUUGGAUUCUAUUUGAAUAUAAAAAGAGCCACUCAUAUGCAUGGAUUAAAUAUAUGCCCCAUGGAUAAGUUGUACUUAGCCAUGGCUGAAGCUUUCCACUAUGACUUAAAGGGAAAAAAAAGAGAGGAGAAUAAUGUCAUUAAAAAACUGAUUGCCGUGUGGCUAUGCCUGCCAGUAGAUGGCUGAAAACUAGUUCUAUUCUUUUGUUUUGGCCUCUACUAAUUAACCAUAAUUGAGAGAUUCAAUGGCAACUAUCGUAUAAACAAUGUUUCAUAAAUUACUUUUAAAUUUUGACAGCAAAGACUCAAAAUGUAAAACCAUAAAAAAUUUGUUCUAUUCCCAAAUUUUUUAAAAUAAAUUUUAAAAUAAUAAAUUAAUGCCCAUGACUGUUUUCACAUCUUAUUCUCAUUUCUAUCAAUGCAAUAAUUGUAAUCAUCUUAUCUAUUAACAUGGCCUAGAGCCAUUUCAGCUAAGAGUAGUCUUUCCUUAGCAUUUCCGGUCCAAAGCUUCCAUUUCUUUAGGCCUAGAGGCAUUUUCAGUCCAGAGCUGCUGUUUCUUUCGGCCUAUAACCAUUUUCAGCCUGAAGCUGCCUUUCUUUAGCAUUUUCAGCCCAGAGCUACCUUUCCUUGGCAUAUCAGCCAAAAGCUUCUAUUUCUUUAGGCCUGGAGCCAUUUCAACACAACAUUGGUUUCUUUGGCCGGGCCUUGAGCCCUUUUCAACCCAGAACUGUCAUUUCUUCUAAAUAACUUCUCUUUUGAAAAACUUCAAUUUGCCCUUUUCAAGAAGCUGGUAAAAAUCUUCUAUUUAGCAUUUCGACAGUGAAUCGAAUUCACAUAGAAAAUAAAAAGGAAAAAAAAAGUCUUGAUGGCAUAAACUAGGACAUGACCGGGAUAGUUUGAAAUACAUAAUUUUCUCCAUUCAAAUGCAAAACAUAUUAAAAGAACAUUUGGCACGAUUUUAUGAAGCGAUUCUAUCUUUUCUAAUACUUCAAAGAUAAAUUUUUUUGAAGUAUUAGAAAAAUUAGAAAUAUUUCUUAAAAUCACUACCCUUAAUUAUAUUUAGAUACUUUAACCAUUUCAAAUGCUACAUGUUUCCUUCUACAUUUCCUCUUUAUUUUGUUUUUCUUUUACAUUUUUCCUCAAAUUUUUUAAAAACCAAACAUAGCCUAAAAGAAAAGAUAAUUUUACUUAUUUUGAAAGUUCUUUAUAUAUAUAGUUUAUAUGGAAACUUGUUUCAUGUUAAUUUAAUAAAGCAUUUAUAAUAUUGAGAUCGCUCUUUCAUAAUCAUAAAUUAACCUUUAGUUUCAACUUCUACAAGAGGCUAAAUGAAAAAAGCUAUCACAGAGGAGGCCUCAGCCAAUGAGUCAGAUGCACUGUUGUACCAAACAAUAGGUGGAAAAUACAAUUUUAUUAAGACUCUGAGACAACAAAAAUAAAAAUAAAUAAAGGAUGAUUUUACACUCAAAACAAGGAUUUAUUUAUAAUGAAGUAGAGUCUCCAUAUGCACAUAUGACUGCAUUUACAGCAUAAACAAAGACAAGGAAAUUAACAAAUGUUGAACUUAUUGGAAAAUCAUACAAAUUAUUGAAGGAGGACCUUAGCUAAGCUAACUGUCUCCUAAAUUGCCCAUCUUUUAUAUAUCUUUGCAUUCAUCCGUCUCAUCAUCGUCUUUGAUUUUAGAUGGUGAGGAUGUGAAAGUAACAGGAAGCAGUGGACGAUUGUUCACAGUGAGGCUUAGCACAUCAGCUCUCGAAUAAUGUCCUACCACAUCAAACUGGAACUUUGCUUUAGGAAUCUCUCCACGAACAUCUGCAUAUCAAGUGAUCAUAAAAAUAUUUCAUCAGUCCAUGAUAAAUAUCAUAGAAUAUCAAGUCUUCAAUAAAACUAAGUUUGCAGUCCUCUUAAACCUAAAGAAUUGACUCAUUUGCCUUAUCUCCAUACUGAAAUAUUUGGAUAUACAAUUGGAGAAGUUAGAGCCAUACCAAGAUCAGCUGUGAAGAGGCCUUCUCCUUCAUAAUUCGGUCCUGCUAGAAUUUCGCCAUGGGGCGAAAUGAUGACACUACCUCCAGCCCAAACAAUAGAAUCUGGAGUGACAUCUUCUUCUGUAGGACUGUAAAGAUACUCAGGUGGAGGUGGGUAAUCUUUCCUCCGACAGAACUGGAUGGGUGAAAGAACAUAGCAUCCACCCUCCAUAGCGAUGUGUCUCAUUGUAGCUACCCAUGUAUCCCCGGAAUCGGCAGUAGGAGCACAAUAUAUCUCAAUUCCUAUAUAGAAUCGGUGUUUUGUGAUCAAUCAAUCCCAUAUCAGAGCCAUAAUGUAUUUCAAGCCUAUUUAGGCUAAAACCCUAAUAACUUAAAAAAGAGUACUGAAGUAUUUCAAGCCAAACCAUACUAGUUAGUGAAGAGAAAGAAAUGGUAAAAUAUAUACCUUUGCCAUACAUUGCUGUCCUCAGAAGCGGCAUUCUAUUUUCCCAACAAAUGACUGAACCAAGUUUCCAUAUGGAGUGUCAUAAACUGGAGUUGUCGAGCAAUCUCCGAAACCCCAGACGAGCCGCUCCCAAUAUGUUGGCAUGAGUUUCCUAUGUUUUCCAAGGUAAUUACCUUCAGGAUCAAAGAAGAGAACAGUGCAAUACAAUGUGUAUCCAUCUCUCUCAACAACACCUAUCACCAAGUAGACUUUGUAUUUCGCAGCCAUUGAUGCCAAUCUAUCAACUUCAGGUCCUGAAAAGAUAUUAAGUGGUUGAUUCAUCAAACGUGUCUUGUUUCGAUAAUUUAUUAAGUGGUUCAGUUCUUUAGCUAUUUAAGGGAGAGAGGUAACUGACCCGGCACAUUGAUGGCAGAAGCAUGGUACUUGCGGAAACUUUCUUUCCCUCUUGGCGACUGGUGGGCGAAGUUGUAUCCACGGGGAUACCCACCGAUAAAUGAUUCAGGAAACACAACCAGUUGGGAUCCCAGUGCAGCUGCUUCUUUCAAAAACCUCUCAGCCUUAUCUGCUCCCAAAAUCACAUUGCAAGAAUUAAUAAUUCACGACUUAGAAAGUAAAUUAAUUGGUUGAAUAGAGAGAAUCAAAGUUAACCUCCAGAUAUCCCAAAUGACUUUUUGGUUGCUGAGAAAACUCAUGGAAAAAGAGACCUAGAUAAAACUCGGAACUUUCAUAUUUUCAGCUGUUUUGUAACUAAGAAAAGAGAAACCACCUCAACCCAACUCAUCCAAGUAAUUAUUGUACAAGCAGUAAUUCCUUGAUUGGCAGCUGAAAAUAUGUUCAAGCUUCAAUCAUCCUUUUCUUUCCUUCAGUUUCUCAGCAACCAAUCAACUCACAGAUUCUCUUACAGAAGUUGCAGAAUUGAGAGAAAUGGUACGUUACCUAGAGUGGCAGGAGUAUCAUAAAAGAUACUAGAAGCUUGAACAACGGUGGCUCUAACAGUUGAAGACAUUGCAGAAAUCGUAUGCUUUUUCGUUGCCCUUCUGUUUGAGGAUUCCUCACACAGCGUUCAGUAUAUAUAUAUAGCCCAAAAGGUUCUUCUGCCAUUACUUGAACAAGACGAAAAGGCUGCGAAAAGUCUGCCUUGGUUUUCCAUAUUGAUUUAAGUUAUCCGCAGACAUUGUGGACCAGCCACAUGACUUAAAACAAAGGGUUGUUCUACGGUACCCACUCUUCAUUUUGGGGGUACCUACCCACAUUUGACCCCAAUAAAAAUAUGACUUGUGUAAAGUACAUAUCAUUAAAAAAUUUAUAAAAACUUAUCAAACCGGUAAAGAUGACUUGUUGGUGAGAAAUAAUCACAUGCAUUUCAUAUAUAUCUAUAUAUUACAAUUUUUUAUAAUUUAUUAUUAAAUAUCAAAUAUAAUUUGUUAUUUAAUGCAUUACCUAACUCUAUCUAAAAAACGAAAAUCUUACCUACUGCUCUUAUACUCUCUCAUUUCAAGAUCAAGUUCAAAACUUUUUUAGAGAGAAAAUUUAAAAUUUGUAUUAUAUGAAGAAGAUGAAGGAUUUCAAGUGAUUACAAGUGUCUAAGGUAAUAUUUGAUAUUUUUUUUAUCCAAAUAUAAUUGUUGUAGGAAGAAAUGUGAUGUUAAAUAACGAUUUUAGAAUUUUUUAUGAGUUUAUUAUAAAAUUUUGUUAUCAAAUUGUUAUUAAUAUUUUUAUAUAAUUUUUUUUUUUUGUUCAUAGAUUAAAUUUGAAGAUGAAGCUUUAUAUGUCUUGAAGGAUGUCAAGUGAUUACAAGUGUUAAAAGGUAACAUUUGAUUUAUUUUUUUCCAUUUACAUAUAACUAUUGUAGGUAGAAAUGUCAUGUUAAAUGACAUUUAAAUAUGUAAUGAUUUAUAAUAUCUAGAUUUUUUAAUUUUUUUUUGAGUUAUUUUUAAUCAAAUUGAGAGCAUUUAGUAAUUUGUUAUGAAAUUGUCAUCAAUAUUUUGUAAGAGAGGGUACGAACUUUGUAAGAGAGGGUACGAACUUUGUAAGAGAGGCUACGAACUUUAUAAGAGAUGGUACGAACUUUCUAAGAGAGGGUACGAACUUACUAAGAUCGGGUACGAACUUUCUAAGAUCGGGUACGAACUUUCUAAGGGAGGGUACGAACUUUCUAAGAGAGGGUACGAACUUUCUAAGAGAGGGUACCAACUUUCUAAGAGAUGGUACGAACUUUCUAAGAGAGGGUACGAACUUUCUAAGGGAGGGUACGAACUUUCUAAGGGAGGGUAUGAACUUUCUAAGGGAGGGUACGAACUUUCUAAGGGUGGGUACGAACUUUCUAAGAGAGGGUACGAACUUUCUAAGAGUGGGUACGAACUUUCUAAAAGAGGGUACGAACUUUCUAAGAGAUGGUACAAAAUUUCUAAGAGAGAGUACGAAAUUUCUAAGAGAGGGUACGAACUUUCUAUAAAAAAAAAAAAAAAAUACGAACUUUCUAAGAGAGGGUACGAACUUUCUAUGAGUGGGUAUGAACUUUCUAUGAGUGGGUACAAACUUUCUAAGACAUGGUACAAACUUUCUAAGACAGGGUACGAACUUUCUAAGAGAUGGUAUGAACUUUCUAAGGGAGGGUACGAACUUUCUAAGGGAGGGUACGAACUUUCUAAGGGUGGAUACAAACUUUCUAAGAUAGGGUACGGACUUUCUAAGAGAUGAUACGAACUUUCUAAGAGAGGGUACGAACUUUCUAAGAGAGGGUACGAACUUUCUAAGAGAGGGUACGAACUUUCUAAGAUAGAGGGUACGAACUUUCCAAGAGAUGGUACGAACUUUCUAAGAGAGGGUACGAACUUUCUAAGAGUGGGUACGAACUUUCUAAGAGUGGGUACGAACUUUCUAAGAGAGGGUACAGACUUUCUAAGACCGGGUACGAAAUUUCUAAGAGAGGGUACGAACUUUCUAAGAGUGGGUACGAACUUUCUAAGAGUAGGUACGAACUUUCUAAGAGAGGGUAUGAACUUUCUAAGAAUGGGUACGAACUAGAUAAUGUAAUUUUCUAACUACUCUAUCUUUUAUAUUUCAGUUUCUUCAUAGAUACGAUGGACAAAGGAAAAGGAAAGGAAUUUAUCAUUGAUUUGAACGAUGAAGACUUUGAUUACCAAUAUGAUAGCAUUGUUAAAACUGAGUCCGAUGAAGAGGCCAUUCUAGUUUCGGACAAGAUUUUUAAUGAUUUAACUGUUGAAGAUGUAUGGAAUAUGGAGUUUAGCUUAGUAGAGGAGGCAGAAGAAUUUUAUAAUUUAUUUGCUAAAGUUACCGGAUUCAGUGUUAGAAAGGAUGAUGUGAAACGAGAUAAAAAUCAAAAUAUAGUAUCUCGUAAGUGGGUUUGUUCGAAAGAAGGAUAUCGACAUAGAGUGUGUUUAGAGAAUGAAAAUCGAAAACGAGAACCUAAGGCAGUAACUCGAGUUGGUUGUGAGGCAACAUUUUGGAUUGUGUUUAACAAACAAAUGAACAAGUGGGUUGUGAAAGAGUUUAUGGCUGAUCAUAAUCAUCCUUUGGUGGGACAAAAAAAUGUCCAAUUCCUUUGAUCCCAUAGGGUCAUUAAAAAUGCAGAUAAAGCUCAAUUGAAUGCAAUGCGAGGUGUUGGCAUGGGAACUAGCCAAAUUAUGGAUUACAUGGUGCAACAAUCAGGUGGAUAUAACAAUGUUGGCUUCACAAAAAAAGAUCUAUAUAACCAUGUUGAUGCUGAUCGUAGAGUUCAUCUAAGAGAUGGUGAUGCAGAGGGUGCUUUGGCUUAUUUGUGUGGAAAGUCUGAAAUGGAUCCAUCAUUUUAUUACAAGUACAAUGUUAAUGAAGACAACCAUCUAGCAAACCUGUUUUGGGCAAAUUCUACUAGUAAAUUGGAUUACGGUUGUUUUGGAGAUGUGUUAGCAUUUGAUACAACUUAUCGGACUAAUGCUUAUAAAAAACCGUUGGUCAUACUAGUUGGCAUUAACCAUCACCAUCAAACUAUAGUGUUUGGAUGUGCAUUAUUGGUAGAUGAGAGUGUUAGCACUUAUACUUGGGUCUUGGAGACUUUUUUUGGAUGCAAUGAAUAACAAGAAGCCUCUUUCUGUUAUUACUGAUGGGGAUAAAGCAAUGCGUAAAGCCAUUAAGAGGAUAUUUCCAGACUCUUGUCAUCGAUUAUGUGCUUGGCAUAUUCAACGCAAUGCAUUCACUAAUGUCCAUGUCAAAGAUUUUACUAAUCAUUUUUCUAAGUGCAUGUUCAUGGAAGGCACCGUUGAAGAAUUUGAAUGUGCAUGGAAUGACAUGUUGGAAAUGUUUAAUCUUCAUGGACAUAAGUGGGUGACAGAUAUAUAUGCUAAGCGUUCUAGAUGGGUAGAGGCUUAUUUAAGGGGGCAUUUCUUUGCUACUAUGAAAAACACACAAAGGUGUGAGAGCAUGAAUGCAUACUUGAAUCGUUUCCUUAAAACUCAUUUGAAGCUGUUUGAGUUUGUCAAGCAUUUUGAUAGAGCACUCUCACGUAUUCGUCAUAAUGAGGCAAAGGCAAAGUUUGAGACACACCAUUCUUCAGCUGUUCUAACAACCAAACUCUAUGCACUUGAGAAAUAUGCAGGGAUUGUUUUCACAAGGCAAUCUUUUCUAAAAUUUAGGGAUGAGAUGAAGAAUGCAGAAUUGUUUUUCCCUGUCAGUACAGAAAAUCAUGGAGGUUAUCGUGUCCAUACAUUGACCAAGUUUAGAAGCCCUGACAAGAUUUGGAAAGUAUGUUAUGGUAAUAGUGAUCGGUCUAUGAAAUGUACUUGUAUGAUGUUUGAGUCAGUUGGUUUUCCAUGUCCCCACAUGAUUGUUGUAAUGAAGAUAGAACACCUUGAAGAAAUACCUGAGACUUGUAUUAUGAAAAGGUAGUCUAAGUUAGCAAAGGAAACGGUCCAAGUUCAUCAUGACAAUGAAAGUCAAGGUGAUGCGACUAACAUCAUACGAUAUGGUGCACUCAGCUCUAUGUGCUCACGGAUGUCUUAUUUUGCAUCUCAAUUGGAAAAAGCUUUUAAAGAGGCUAGAUGUGAAAUACAAAGACUCACUUUUCAAAUGGAAGAACUUUGUAAAAAUUCAGCGGAAGAAAGUGAACGAGAAGAUUUGAAAGCUACAAAACACCAUGUUCGAGAUCCUAUCAUUGUGAAGACGAAAGGUAAUCCGGGUAACUUAAAAGACAAAUUUAAGAAACCAAGACAUUGUGGGAAAUGUAAGAAAGUAGGACACAUUGUUCGAAAAUGCCCAGAGUUCGUCAACACUCACAAUGCAUUUAUCAACAUUGAAGAUUCAAUUGAAGAUAUGGUAUGUUCAAACACACAUUCACUAAAUUCAUUAAUUAUUCACUUUAUAGUUAUUUUUAUUUGGUUAAAUUUGUUGAAAUAAAAAAUUAAAUUCUUUAUAUUAAUACAAGGGGACAUGCCUUCAUUACUAAAUCACAACAUGGAAGGUGGAUCAAGACACGAGACAAAUGAAUUUUCUCAAAAUGUAAGUUUAACAUUUUUUAAGUAAUUUUUAUUAUGAUGUGAAAAAUAUUACUUAUUAGAGUAAUUGAAAAAUUAAAUCAUAUUACAGACAACACUUGGCACAUUUCAGAAUGGUCUAGAAACAAGCUUAAAUGAUUCAUAGCUCGGGUUACAUCCACCAAAUUACUUCACAAACCAAGUAAGAGUCAUAGAAUAACUUAUAUACACCACAUAUCAUAUAUCUAUAUAUUGACAGAAGUUCCUAAACAUUUAGUAUUUAAUCAUAUGGAUUUUCUUUCAAAAUAUUAUGUAUAACUGUAAAUAUUUUCAAUGUAGGUCACCAUGAACCACUUUACAUCCGGAAUUUCGGGAGCAAGUUCUACAUAUCAUAACCAAUGAGUUGUACUACAAUGCAAAAAAUUAUGUACAAAAAAAAAUCAACUCUUAAUUGUAUUCUAUACUCUUCUUCUCUUUAUUUUUGCAUGAUUCUGAACUUUAUCUAAUAUUAUAGCUUUCUCACUAUUUUCAUCAUCAAGAAGUAAUUCGAUUGCCAAUUUGUGUCUUAUAGUUGUAGAGUUCCAAUGGGAAGGGGUUGAACUUGAGUCCAUGAAAUCAGAUCUUUGCAUAUGAUUAAUGACAUGGACUCCACAAUCCCACCUAACAAAUAAAAUAAGUAAACAUUUAUCUAGUUAGUACAUAGAAAUAUUAUCUUGAACACAUUAUAUUUGAAGAAACAAUUAUGCUUGCUUACCCAUUGGCUUGCACCUCUACCCAUGUAGGUCUUUCAAUGGGAACACUUGAUAAAUUCUUUAGAUGCCCAUUGAGAUUAAAAAAAUGUGCACACUCUUCAACCUAAUAUUCAUAUCGUUAUAUCUUUUAGCAAAAUAAAACAUGCUAUUUAACAACUAACAUUAAAAAGUAACAAAAUUCAUUAAAAUAUAAGACAUACCACAGUUCUCACAGAUGAAGUUCGCAUGUCAUCCCUUUCUAUUGAUGGUAAUGAAUCCAAUAUAUGAAUAUUAUGUUGAUGAAGAUUUAUAACACACAAAUACCAAUGAUCCGGACAUGUAUCGUGCAUCGGGAUGUAUAUCUAAACAAAACACACAUUUUAGCAUUGAUAAUUAUUUACAACUAUGAUAUGAAUACAACUUCAAAUAUGUACCUUAUUGCAAUCAUUCAUUUCAUCCAUGUGUUUGAUAAUAUGUGUGAACAUCUUGGUAGCAGUUGCCAAUUUUCUACCACCAUGUAAGAUUAUUUGCUAUGCAAAAAAAAAAAAAAAAAAAAAAAAACAUAUAUAUAUCACAAUAUUUAUUAGGUUUAUUUUUUUUCUUUAAUAAGAAAUAUAAUGGAUGAACAUACCGCAAAUGUGGUGGGUAAGUAGCAUCUUGUAGACCGUAUUCCUUUGAAUUUGUUCUCAAAACUAUUAAGUUUGCAUGCAAAUACAUUUAUGAUCUAAAAAUGAAACACAAAAAAGUUAACAAUGUUAAUUAUGUAAUAGAAUUAAUAAGAAUUGGGUUUAUCCUUGUAUUACUCACCACAUCGAGUAAUUCUUGUCUAGGCCCUAAAGUCAAGAAGUCUGCUCGAUUUGCAUGCUCAUAUUGAAAAUUAACAAGAAGUUCACUGCAAAAUAUAAGAUAUUUAAUAAGUAUAACUUUUAAAACAUGACAUACAUAAAGUAUAGUCAAAAUAAUAGGUUUACACACCUUUUGUCCAAUGAAACAUCAAACACAUAAGCAACAACUAGAGACUCAAGUGUACUCAAGGAAUGUGAAUCCUCCACGUUUGGCAAAAUGGACAUGGGGAUUAUCUAUAUUGAAAACAUCUCUAACAAACAUUACUUAUCGUUCACUAUAUUAUUAAGUAUUUAAAAAAUACUACAUCAAUGAAGUAACAUAUUACCUCUAAUAUCUUUUGUGAUCCAACAACUAUGCUUGGGAAUCUCUUAGGCUUUGACAUCUUAUUGGAUUGAUGAAUGUAGGGUGACACCUUGAAUUUACUAGGCUUGCGUUCCAUUGUUGAUCAUGUUUUCUUCAAUUGACAUGGGAGCACCACCAAUGAACUUAGUUGUUCUUCUUGUUUUUCAACAUAUGGAACAUCAACAUUAACCUAUCAUGUAUUUGAACAUUAGUAUAUAUAUAUAUAUAUAUAUAUAGAACUUUGUAAAAAACUAGGUCUUCAUAAUAUGCAAAUACCUUUUCAUCUUGACAUUGAUUGUUGACAAUGGGAGAAACAUGUAACUCCAUGUGACCACAUGAGUCAUUCUCACUCAAUCUCUCUUCUACGACAACAUUGCUCAUAGGAAAAAACAAACGUUUCAAUUCCAUAUAUUUUUCUUCAAAUUCUCUAAAAGUUGAUUCUUUACAACUUUCAUCCAUAUCAGAAACAUUUGUUUGUAGCACAAAUUUUUUCAACUUCUCAAAAGCUUCCUCCAUACCCAUCAAACUUUUUUCUUCAACCUAGUAACAAAUAAAAAUUUCCAAUAUCAUGAAAAAUAAAGUUUGAGAUGAAUAAACUAAUGUAUAUAAAUAUAGUAUAAAAAAGUACCUUAUGCCCUUCUUCUUGUUGUUCAUGAACUUUUGCAUCUUGUUUAUCACCAUCUUCUACAUUUCUCAUAUCAUUAUCUUUAUGAUCACUUGUUCUCUCAUCUUUCUCAACCACCUUCAUUUUUUCAUCAUUUUCAUUUUCCGCACCAUUAUUUUGCUCCAUAUCCACACUUUGCCCAAUUUUUAUAAUCCAUAUCGUGACCUAUAAUUUAUCCAUAAACUUUAUUAUAAUUGCAACAUCACAUAAACAAAUAAGCUUUUCAGUUAGUAAAUGUAUCUUACCUUUGGAUCAUCAUAACCUCCAAGUGUUUUGAUUUUACGUUUCAUCCUAGAGACCUCAUCAUCUCCCCAUUCAUUUAUACGAGGGCUAUAUGCAUUAAAACGUAAGUUCAUACCCUUCUUUGUGGAAAUGUGGUCUAUGUAGAAAAUCUGCAAGAAAUAAAUUCCAAAAUAAUUAUAGAGUUGAAUAUAUCACAAACUCUAUUAUUGUUAAAAAUAUCAUAAUAUAUCAACUUUGUUAAAAAUGUAUUACCAUUAGAAAAAAUAAACAUCCUAAAAUCCCACUGCUUUGUUUCUUGGAUUUAAAGUCGUUUAUGCCUCGUACAAGGAAGAAGAAUACUAUUUGAGCCCAAUUUAUCUUCUUUAUUGAUGCAGUGUCUUGAAGGAGAUGGAGGAAGGAAGGCUUGACACUAACUUUCAUCGUUGGACAUAACAAGGCACCCAAAACAAAUAAUACAAAACGAAUUUUAAAUUCAUCCCCACAUUCCUUUUCUUGCCGUAUUUGGUUUUCUAACAUCAACAAUGGCAAUUUUCUCUUCCCAUCACAAUACAUGUUGUAUAAAUCAUUCCGUUUACUUGUGCAUCUCUCUAUAUCUACCUCCACUCCCUUAGCCUUCAAGCCCAAAAUUAACUCAACAUCCAUUGGGGAUAAUUUAAUGGAAGUGUUAUGCACACUUAAUGUGCAUGAAAGAGUGUCAAAAUUCUCUACCAACCAAUGACAUAAACUAUGAUCAAGUUUAGUACAUUGCAAUCCUAAAAUACCUCCAAACCCUAUUUCUUGUAUGACGGCCUUUUGAAUAGGUUGCAAGUGUUGAAGUAGUUUAUACACCCGAUCAGGCGAACAACGCGUGUGAAGAUACGACUAGAAGUCAUAAAUAUACAUAAGCAUAUAUAUUUUAAAUUGAAAGAAAAUAUUAUCAUAAUUUAAAAACAUAAAUUUCGAAUUUCUUACCUUUGAUGCAUUUUUUGAGUUUUGACCAUUUUGUUUUAUAUAUUCAUGAGGCCAUUUUUUAGACUUCUCUAAGAACUCUUUUUUUUCUCCAUUUGAAAGGGAUUGCCACUUUUUCCCAAUCUCUUUUCGCAACUGUAAUAUUAAAUUAGUUAGGUAUCAUAUAGAGUAUAAAAGUUGACUAAAAAACAUAUUAUGCAAAUAUUCAUGUCUUUUCUUACAUCAUGAUUUAUUAUCAAUUCCUUGUUAUCUUCUUUUCUUGCGAGUACUUGUUCUUGACUGCAAAAAACAUCACAUAAAAAUGAUUAUAUUUUCAACAUGUGAAUAAAUAUCCAAAAUGAAUUAACUAUAUAUGUAUAUAUAUUCUUACAAAUAAUAAAGCCAUGAACCCAUAGGAAGUUUUGGGUUUGAAGGGGGAUCAUUCUCCUCAAAUGAUUGUUUGCUCCUAUUUAAAACACAACAUUAUGAAUGUAAUUUACAACUAAUUAAAACUAUGUACUAUAUUCAAAUAAUUAAGUUACAAAUAUAAAAUCUUACAUAUUUGGCUUUCUAAGUCAAGAUGUAGUAAGACUGCUCAAAAUAAGAUAAACUCCUCUUAUAUUAAGCAACUGUGUAGCCUGCAACAUAGUGAGCAUACCGAUAAGAAUUAAGUUUUGAAUUUGACAACAAGAAUUAAGUUUAAAAAAAAGUCAUUAGUGAGCAUAUGUCCAAAUGUUUUAAGCUCUUUUAUCAUUCUUUUCAUCUCCUUAAGAUCUUGUUUCAUUGUAUGGUUUAGUCGUAUUUUGUAAUUUCCAAAUUACAUUACAAGUCCUCUAAGCUUCGUAGCUGAAAGUACACCAUACUUUUCUUUUAACGCUUCCCACAUUUCAUGAGAAGUUUGAUAUACCUCAUACUCAAUCAUGAGAUCAUCUUGCAUACAACUUAACAACGUUAUGCGAGCUAAAGAAUUUUUUUGUGAGAGAGGCCACAUCAACAAGAUAAAUAUACAUGUCAUGUCUGGCAUAUCAAAUUAUUUACAUGUUAUGUACAAAACAUAAAAGAAAAUGUAAUAAAUAGAAGGAAAACUAAUCUUCUCCCUUGAAACUAAAAGAAACAAUGUUAGGAUUAUACACAGUGUCUUCUAUAACUCUAGAAGUUGUUUUCAAUAACCAUAACCCUCUAAGAUUUUUAUGCCUACUAGAAUUUGAAAAUCUUGCAUUUUGCAAGUUAGGAGAAAUAGAAAGCAUUGUUGUUCGUCUGAUAGCAUUCUUCACGAAGCAUGUUUCCCAGUGUUCCUUGAAAAUAGCUACUAGGUCAUCAAAAGAACUAUUUGUGAAACCAUGAGGCCCUUCUUGAAUGGAUUCCCAUAUAUUUUCAAGAAAUUUUUUCUCAGGUUCUGUUAAUGACAUUUGUAGAAUAUGCAUUUUACGGUUUGACUCUAAGAUAUAUUCCUUUUCGAAACGUUUGAACAUAUUAGCCACAUGAUCCACAUGUUCAUUUGUAGAAUGGCUAGGGUCCCUCUUGUAGUUCAAGAUUGUAUCCAAACACGGCCAAGGUCCACUACCCCUUAGUACUUUCCUAGUUCUCCUCAAUCGUACCAUUUUGCACCUGACCAAAAGAAUUUAAUUUAAUUUUAAUGAGUAACAUAUACUCAUACUUUAAUUAAAUAUUUGAACAAAUGAAAUUUUAAUUAGAAACACACAAUUAUAAAAAAAAAAAAAUGGUUUUUUAUUGUCCCUCAAAUUUUUAUUAUUAUUUUAUACACAAGUCAACAUUCAUAAUUUCAAAUAAACAAUAUAACACUAAUAAAUGGUAUUUUAUAUCAUAUCAAGGUACUUUAUUUGAGAUUUAGGUUCGAAUCCAUGUUGCAUUAUUAUUUCUAACACUAAAAGGUUCAGAAGUCUAGAAUUUUAUUACAUUUUAAAUGAAAAAUAAAAUUAAUUUAUAUAAAAUAUUUUAUUUGAGAUUUAGGUUCAAAUCCAUGUUGCAUUAUUAUUUCUAACACUAAAAGGUUCAAAAGUCUAGAAUUUUAUUACAUUUUAAAUGAAAAAUAAAAUUAAUUUAUAUAAAAUAUUUUAUUUGAGAUUUAAUUUCUAAAAUUUUAUUAAAAAUAUGUGAUAACAAUUUUUUCUAUUAACAUUAAUGUAUUUAAAUAAUUAAAAUUAUAAUAAUUUAUCUUAUCAAAUUAAUAUUAAUUCAUAAAAUAUCGGUAAUAAAAUUCGAAAGUUCAAUUUAUAUAAAAUAUUUUAUUUGAGAUUUAGGUUCAAAUCCAUGUUGCAUUAUUAUUUCUAACACUCAAAAGUCUAGAAUUUUAUUAUAUUUUAAAUGAAAAAUAAAAUUAAUUUAUAUAAAAUAUUUUAUUUGAUAUUUAAUUUCUAAAAUUUUAUUAAAAAUAUGUGAUAACAAUUUUUUCUAUUAACAUUAAUGUAUUGAAAUAAUUAAAAUUAUUAAUAAUUUAUCUUAUCAAAUUAAUUUAAAUUCAUAAAAUAUCGGUAAUAAAAUUCGAAAGUUCAAUGGUAAAUAUUUAAUCAAAAUAUAAAUGGAUAAUUACUAAUGGUAAAGAUUUAAUCAAAAUAAUUACUAAUGGAUAAUUAUUUAUAUACAAAGAGAAAUUCCUAAAAGGCCCUACUACCUCUCACACUCGGGGCUGGGGCAUCAAGAAGCCCUUUUCUCCCUCUAGACCGAGAAUCCCUAAAAAGGCUCCAGCUCCAGUUUACUCUGCCACUCUCAAUCCUCGCAGGUACUAAUCUAAUCAUGUUAUCCUUUUUUUUUCAAUACCCGUUUGAUUCUUAACAAAAUCCAUCCCCCAUUCGAUUUGUUGGAUCUGUUUUAGGGGUCUUUUUGCUUUUGUGCCAUUCGAUUUAAAUUUCAUGAACCCUAAAUCCACGAUUUUUUAGCCAGGUUGAAAUACACAACCUUUGUCUGCAAAUCAUGACCAUAUUACCAAAUAGUAUCUUUUGUUUUUUUAAAAAAAACUGGUCAGAUUUUGCAUCCUUGUGUGUGGCCUGGACUGGUAGGAAAUAUAGGGAAAUUUCCCAAAAAAAAUUCGGUAAAAAUACCAAAAUUUUACUGAUAUUUUUUAAUCGGUCAAAAUAUCAUGUUUGUGCGUGGUCUGGACUGGUAGGAAAGAUCGGGAAAUUUUCCAAAAAAUCAGUAAAAAUAUUGUCUUUCUUAGAAAUAUCGCCGAAAUUUUCGACAUUUCAAUCACUACCAUAUGACAUAAGAUGAGUGAAGUACCUGUUCUGGGAUAGUAGGUAGAGUUGCCUGUAGGGGAGAUUGGUUGCGGAUCCACCAAAGCCCCCUGAUUAUUUUCUUGCUGAUUUCUCCUCUCUCUGAUUUCUCCUUCAAAAUCCCCACUCAGCUCACUCUCUCUGUAAAUAUUCAUUUCACUCGAAAAUUCCAUCUCCACACCCUCAAAUUUCUGAAGCUUAACUCUCUAAAACUCGGGAAAAGUUGUAAUGCCCAUCAAACUAAUAGCUCACCUUUCCGAAAAUAGGCAUCAAGUGUAAUACCCAUCAGACAAAUUUUUGUCUUUGGACAAGAUUAAGCAAGAUAGAAGUGGGAAAUCAGGUGACCAGCAACCUGCUUUUAUUUUUUAUAUAUUUUUAAAUUUUUAAAAAAUAUAUAAACCAAUUGGAUGGUCCGGAUUGAACAUCUUCAUCCAAUGGUCAAAAUUGUUUUUUGGGUAGGUACCGAAGUGGUACUGUAGAAUUUUCCUAAAACAAAUUGAAAAUAAGUAAGUCAUCUGUGAAAUAUAUAUAUAUAGAUUUCAUCUUUUAUACUUGAAUCAUCUCCCCCCUCUUUUUUUUUCCUAGUUUUGGCCUUAUUUUUUUAAAAUAUAAUAUUUAUUUUACUUUUAAUCAAUGGCUCAUAUUUCGAACAAGUGCACCAGAUUUUCUGAAGUUGUAUAUAUAAUAAUCUACAAGUUACAAUAGUGAUUAUAUUUGAAUAAAAAGAGGGACCCGCCCACUUGCAUGGAUUCUAUAUAGGACACAAACAAAUUGUCUUUAGUGGCGACUGAGGAGGCUUUCUAUGACUUGAAAAAAAAAUAAAACAAAAAUAGUCAUUAAGAAAUCAGUGCCAUGUAGUUAGUGUCCGCCACUAUCUACACUUUCUUUAAAAGAACAAAAUUGUCAUUUUCUUUUAUCUCAAAAAUCACUGAAUCGUACAAAAUAAUAUAAGAUAAGAUUCAAUUCAGUCUUUUUUGGCCUCAUAAGAAAACCUUAGCCAACUCAAGGUGACCACUACAGAAUCAAAAUAGGUUUUCUUUUUCUUCAUAGAUAUAUAGCUAACCAUUCAGCUUUGGAUUGCUGGAAUAGAUUCGACUAUUUGUAUCAAUCAGAAGAGAUUCCUCAAGCUUUGGCUGCUAUGGCUCUAAAUGAAGAAGAUAAGGAUCCUAAUUUUUAUGUGGACUCGAGAGCAACAACCCAUAUAACAAAUGACCUAGGUAAGAUUACCCAAGUAAUUCCAUAUAAAUACAAAUGACCUAGGUAAGAUUACCCAAGUAAUUCCAUAUAAAGGGCAUGAUGUAAUUUUUGUUGGAAAUGGAGAAGCUUUAAGAAUCUCACAUAUUGGUGAAGCUAGACUAAAAACUAAACAUAGAGAUCUAAAGCUUAAAAAAUUAUUGGUUAUUCCAAAAAUUAAGAAAAAUUUGUUAUCCAUUGGACAACGUACCUCAGAUAACCCAUGCUCCAUAGAAUUCUCAUCAACUAGUUUUGUCAUUAAGGAUCAACUUCAACAAGUGCUAGCCAGAGGAACUAAGAAGAGAGGUCUCUAUGCAUUGGAGGAAAAUGUGAUUCAAGCCAUGAUAGUUACUAGGUCUAGCAAGGCACCAUAAGAAGUGUGGCAUCAACACAUGAGGCAUCUACAAACAAAAUCUAUAAAGCUUUUGCAAGAUAAGGAUUUCAUUGAAGUAUCUAGUUGGAUGAAAUCAGCAAUAGUAUGUGUUAGAUUUCAAUUAGGAAAAAGUUGUAAAGUUUCUUUUGGCUUAAGAAAUAAAAUUUCCAGCAAUCCUCUUGAAAAAAUUCAUUGUGACUUAUGGGGACUUGCACCAAAUAAUUCGACUCAAGGAUACAAGUAUUAUGUUGUCUUUAUUAAUGAUCAUACUCGCUAUACAUGGCUUUAUCCCUUGAGAAGAAAAUCAAAUUUCUUUGAAUGUUUUUUGAAGUUUCAAAAUCUAGUUGAGAAUCAACUUGAAAGACAAAUAAAAAUCUUCCAAAGUGAUGGUGGAGGUGAGUUUCAAUCAAUUAAAUUUCAAAAUCACCUGAGCAAGUGUGGAAUUUUGCAACAAGUCUCAUGCCCAGGAACUCCAGAACAAAAUGGGGUUGUAGAGAGAAAGCAUAAACACAUUGUUGAAAUGAGUUUAACAAUGAUUUUCAAUGCCAAACUACCAUUGAGUCUAUGGGUAGACGCAUUCCAUACUAUCGUAUACCUCAUUAAUCAGCUGCCUUCCAUGGUGUUGAAAAUGGAGAGUCCAUUCUUUAUGCUCUUCAAACAAUAUCCAGAAUAUAGGAGCUUGAGAAUUUUUGGUUGUCAAUGUUUUCCAUACCUUUGAGACUAUGGGAAGAAUAAAUUCUCACCUAAGACAUCUCCAUGUGUUUUUAUUGGAUAUAGCUCUCUACACAAGGGUUAUAGAUGCUUGCAUCCUUCAACUAAAAGAGUUUACAUAUCUCAUCAUGUCAUCUUCAAUGAAAAUUGCUUUCCUUAUGAUAACUCUCUUGUUAAGAAAAGUCAUUUAUAGUUUCUUAUAGAAAUGGUAUCAUUCUCAACUUCAGAUGUUUCUUGUGAGACAUCAAAAAUAGAUCACCAAACUAAGUCUUGGAAGGAGAACACUGCCAACCAAUCAAGCAACUCCAAGAAGUGCAACCAUUAGCCAUGCACUACUGGGCAAAGAAACCAGUUUAGUGUUGACGGAAGAAUUUCUACUAGUUGCAUUACUAACCAAAAUACAGAAGCAUCAUGUGCAAAACCGAUUGGAACUCCCACUGCUAUCACUGUUGAAAUUUCCACUGUUGCUGCUAGUAAAAAUGACCAUAAUACCGUCAUUACUAUUGAAACUCCCACUGAUGUUGCUCUUGGUUCUAGUGGCCACAAUUUCAACACUGCUACUACUACUGGAACACUCUCCUAGAUUGAGUCUACUAGUAGCUACAAGCUUGCUAAUGUUAGUAAUUUUCCUGAUAUCAGUAAGCACCUAGUAGUUGAUCUCUCUUUUCCUUAAAAAUGGCAGAAAAAUGAGCAUGUUGGUUCAUCUCCGCAAAACAAAUCCACCAGUCACAAUGUUGAUGAUAAAGUUCUUGAUAUUAGCAAGCAAAUUGUUGUUGACAUCUUUUCUCCUCAGGGCCAACACACAGAUAACAAAGAAGCUCAUAUGAUCACCAGAAGUAAACUCAAAAAUGAUCCUAGUUUAAAGUCUUAAAUGGUUACUUUUGCUGCCACAAGAAGUAAUAUUAGUGAGCCAAAAACAUAUCAUACAACAUUGAAAAUUCCCCAUUGGUCCAAACAAUGCAAGAGGAAAUUAAGGUUUUAAUCCAAAAUUGAACAUGGGAUUUGGUUCCUAGGCCUCCAACUACAAAUAUUGUGGGUUUUAAAUGGAUGUUUAAAACAAAGCUAAAGGAAAAUGGAACCAUAGAUAGAUACAAAGCACAAUUAGUUGCUUGAGGUUUUUCUCAAAUAUCAGCUUUGGACUUUGGAGAGACCUUCAGCCUAGUUAUAAAGCAUACUACAAUAAGAUUGAUCCUUUCAUUAGCAGUAACCUUAGGGUGGACAAUGAAGCAAUCGGAUGUUAAGAAUGCCUUCCUACAUGGGUUUCUAAAGGAAAAAGUAUUCAUGGAACAACCUCUAGGAUUUAUAAACAAGGACCUUCCGAAUCAUGUAUGCAAAUUGAAUUGUUCUCUUUAUGGCCUUAAGCAAGCUCCAAGGGCCUGGUUAAAUAAACUAUUUCAAUGUCUUCUUCAUCUGGGGUUUUACUAUGGUAAAAUAGACUCGUCUCUAUUUAUUCUUCCCAAAGGUCAGUCUAUUGUUUUGCUACUUAUCUAUGUUGAUUAUAUUAUAGUCAUAAGCUAUGAUAACAACAUCAUUAGUGACCUCAUCAGCACCCUGAGUAGUGAAUUUUCUCUCAAGGACUUAGGAUCUUUGCAUUAUUUUUUGGGAUUGGAGGUGAAAUAUCUUCUUAAUGGGUUGUUUCUUUCUCAAGAAAAGUACACUAGAGAUCUCUUAGAGCACACAAAAAUAAUGGAGUGUACUCAUAUCAACGCACCCAUAGCUCUUAAGUCCAUCAUCACACCUUCUGAUGAACAACCUAUUGAUCCUACAUGAUAUAGGCAACUUGUUGGAUUCCCCCAAUAUUUAACCUUCACAAGGCUUAAUAUUGUGCAUGUAGUAAACAAGGCCUACCAACAUUUCCAAGCACCCACUAAAGCUGACUUGCAAGCUAUCAAACGCAUCCUUAGAUAUUUGAAGGGAACAAUGGAGCAUGGAAUCAGGUUUUUCAACCAAAGUUCGCUUCGUCUCACUGGUUUUUGUGAUGUUGAUUAGGCGGGAUGCACAAACACAAGAAGAAGCACAUCUAGGUAUUAUAUUUUUCUGGGAGCCAAUUGUAUCUCAUGGUCCUCAAAGCGACAACCUAAUAUUUCUAGAUCAAGCACCAAGGCCAAAUAUCGAUCCCUUGCGUCCAGUGCUGCAGAAAUAACUUGGCUUACUUUCCUUCUCCGUGACAUUGGCAUUCAACUACGUGAACCUUCUCAAUUGCUAUGCGAUAACCUCAGUGCCCUUCACAUGACAGUAAAUCUCGUCUUCCAUGCAUGUUCUAAGCAUAUUUAGUUGGACUAUCAUUUUAUUCGGAAAGAAGUUGCAAGUGGAGUUUUGAUUACUUGUUUCCUUCCAUCGUCUUUACAAGUAGCUGAUAUAUUCACAAAGGCACUCCCUAAGACUUCAUUCCAAGUCUUUCGAUUCAAGCUAGAGUGCACAAGUUACCACUCACUAGCUUGCAGGGGGCUGAUAAAGGAAAGCCAAACUCAGCCAGCAUACAAUCCAUGCCAAAGCAAUCUUUACGUGAGAAGUUAGUAAUGCAAUCUAUCAGGAAGGAAAACUACUCUCAAUAUUUGUAAUGUGGAAAAUCAAGGCUGGAAGGAAAUAUUCACUUACCUGUUCUAUAUAAUAUUCCCUUUUCUAUGCAAAGAAAGUAUGUAUUGUUUAUUUAUUUUUUAGAAAAAAUCAGUAAAGCAUGGUAAAAAUUCAAUCUUUCAAAAAUAGUUUAUGUUCUUCAUGCAUGGAUAAUAAAUCGCAUGGAUAAAUUGUAUUUAGCAGCGGCUGAAGCUUUCUAUAUGACUAAAGAGAAAAAAAGUCAUUAAAAAACUAAUUGCCAUGUGACUACGUCUACCAGUAGAUAGCUGAGAACAAGGUCUAACUUUUAACCUUUUUUACUACCUUUACAAAGGAACACAAAAUUGAGAGAUUCAAAGACAACUAUAGUAUAAAUAUUGUUUCAUAAAUUACUUUUCAAAUUUAAUUUGAUAGCAAAAAUUUAAAAUACAAAAGUAUGAAAAAUUUGUUCCAUUCCCAAAAUUUUUGCAAAUAAAAUUUUAAAGUAAUAAAUUAACACCAUGACUCUUUUCACAUCUUAUUCUCCUUUCUAUCAAAGCAAUGAUAGUAAUAAUCUUAUCUAUAAAUUUUAAAUGAGGGAAGAUCAUUGAAUUUUUAUUUUCUUUUAAUUUCUUGUUAUGUAAUUAUCAAACACAUUUUUUUUUAAGACAAGAAAAAAAUUAGACUGAAGAAAUAUACUUUUGCUUUGAUUUAGUCACUUGGAUUGCAAUUUGAAGGAUGACAAUAAAAGUGUAUUAUUGGAGUUAAAGAUCAAUUGAAAGCUUGAAGUGGCUUGUUCUUGAAUGAAUUUAAUGAAUGGCGAAGAAUACGUGUGUUGUAAUUUUUUGGAUUUGUAGGGGAAUUUUAUGAAGCUCUUUUCUCUUUGUGAAGCUUCUUUUUUUGUGUGAUUUUUUUUCUUCAUCAUUUUUAUUCAAGGAAGUUGCAUAUAUUUAUAGAUGAAAUUAAAAAAUUAAAUUUAGAAUUCCUAAGAUUUGAUUACUUAAUUAAAAAAAAUUGGUUUCUUGAUUUUAGCAACUUGUCUCCUCUAUUAAGAAAGUUUUCUAAUAAGAGAAUAUUUAAUUAUCAUUUUCUUUUGACUUCAAUUAGAAGAUUUGAUUCGUUUGUUCAUAAAAUUUGAAAACAAAAAAAAAUUAUUUCUAUUUUUUUUAUUUCAAUUGUUUAAUUUAAUUUGAUUUUGCAAGACUUUAUUUUAUAGGCUACAUGUCAUUUUUUGAAUUGCAUGUUACAUAUUCAAUAUACAUGACCCAUCACUUAUUAAGCAUAAAUUUCGUUGGCUAAGGAGUUACAAUUUUGAAGACUAAUUUGAUAGUAUUUUGAUCCACUAAAAUUUUUUAUGUCUAGAAAUGCCCCAUCUUCAAGACCAACACACACAUGCAUUGUUAUGUAUAAAAGGUGAGUCUUGAAGUUAGCAUUUUGAAUCUUUAAUAUCCUUCUUUGAUAUUUUUUUUUUCAAAGAAAUAUUUUAAUAGGAAAUUUCCUAUUUCAAAAUACCUUUCUUAAACUGCUUUAUUUUCUUCCUUUUUUUCUACCUGGUAUCAAGGAAAGACUUUGUGUUAAUGGGAAAGUUUCUUAUUUGAACAUGUAUUUGCUUUUCUCAUGGUAUUUUCACUUCCAAUUUAUCAUCCUACAUGAAGUCUUUCACCCUUGGUCGAUUGUAUCUUAGACUUGAUCACAUGCCUUUAACUUGUAAUUCUUGCUCCACUUUAUUUAUUUUAUUUUAUUUUAUUUUUAAAAAAGAAUACAAUAUAUAUGAGCAAGACCUUGAGCAAGAGGAGCAAGGUGGAGGAUGGAGCAUGAGCUAGCCUUAGGGUAAGACCUUGAGGAAGAGAAGUAAUGUGGAGUGUAGAGCACAAACUUCUCUGGAGCAUGGUAGGUAUACCAUCACAGAAUUGUCUUCCACAUGGAGCAUGGUAGGGCUUAUAUAUAUGAUAGGGUGUGCCAUCAUGUAACAAUGAAGAACAACAAUCCAUGGUGUACAAUUGGGAACAACAAUUCAUGCUAUCAAGCUUCAACUUUUUUUUUUACCCCCAUCUCCAUUUUUUCAACUUCUUUUUUUUUUCCUUUUCUUUUUCCUUUUUUUUUUAACCAUUGUUUUUAAGGAAGAAAUAGGUUUUCCAUCCCUUACUACGAGGUCAAUCUCCAUCACUUGCAAAGACAAAUUUGCUUUUUGAUAUUUUUUUCUUCAAUAAUUAACUUAACAUUUUAAUAUAUAUUUUUUUUAACAAACUUAAAUAUUCAUAAUAAAAUAAAUAUUUAAUGUCUUUAUUCAUUCAAAUUAGCUUGACUUGAAUACUUAGUAGAUCCAUACUUAACACCCAUGUAGACGAGUUGUAACCUUGAUGGCAGGUUGUGUUGUAUUUUCGACACUUAAUGUGGCUUAAGAGUUAAAGUCUUCUCUCAUACAAAUUACCUUGGUUUGGAUGCACAAUGGUGUCUAACUUUUUAACACUUUAUUAAACUUGGAACCAUAUUUAACACCCACGUAGACAAGUCAUAAUCAUGACGUGGAUCACUGCUUUAUUUUUAGCUCUUAAUGUGGCUUAAAUAUUAAAUUCUCCACUCAUACAAAUUAACUUGGGUUAGAUGCACAAUGGUGUUCAACUUGUUAAUAGUUAAUUAAAAUUAGAACCAUAUUUAACACCUAUACAAACAAGUCAUAACUUUGACGUGGAGCAGUGUUGUAUCUUCGGCUUAAUGCCGCUUAAGUGUUAAAGUCGUCACUCAUAUGAAUUAGCUUGACUUAGAUGCAUAGUUAUAUUAUACUUUUUAACACUUAAUUUAAAUUUGGACCAUAUUGAAAACCCAUGUGAACAAGAGAUAACCUUGCAGUGAUGUUAUAUUUUUGACACUUAAUGUAGCUUAAAUGCUAAAGUCUUCACUUCAAUGAAUUGGUUCACCUUGGAUGAAUAGUGAUGUCUAAAGUGUAAUAAUUAAAAUUGAAACCAUAUUUAACACUCAUGUAGACAAAUCAUAACUUUGACGUAAUGGCAUUGUAUUUUUUACACUUAAUGCAGCUUAGGUGCUAAAGUUUUCACUCAUGAGAAUUGGUAUGAGUUAGAUGCAUUGUGGUGUCCAACUUUUUAACACUCAAUUAAAAUUGGAACCAUAUUUAAUACCUAUGUAGAUAAGUCAUAACCUUGAUGCAAAGUGAUAUUGUAUUUUUGACACUAAAUGCAACUUAGGUGCUAAGUCUUCACCCACACAAAUUGGUUCAUCUUGGAUGCACAAUGGUGUUGAAUUUUUUUAACAUAUAAUUAAAAUUUGAACCAUAUUUGACACUCAUGUAGACAAGUCAUAACCAUGAUGUAGAGUAGUGUUGUAUUUUUAACACUUAAUAUGACUUUACUGGUAAAUUCUUUACUCAUGUGAAUUGGCUUGAUUUGGAUGCACAACUAACUUUUUAACAUUUUAUUAAAUUGGGUAUCAUAUGUGUUGUUUUUUUAACACUUAAUACGACUUUAGUGGUAAAUUCUUUACUCAUGUGAAUUGUGUUGAUUUGGAUGCACAAUGAUACCUAACUUUUUAACAUUUUAUUAAAUUGGGUAUCAUAUUUAACACCUAUGUAGACAAGUCAUAACUUUAAUGUAGAGGCAGUGUAAUAUUUUUGGCACUUAAUACUGCUUAAGUGCUAGAGUCUUCACUCAUGUGAAUUUUCUUAGUUGGGAUGCACAAUGGUGUCUUAACAUUUUAACAUUUAAUUAAAAUCAGAACCAUAUUUAACACUCGUGUAGAGAAGUCAUAACCUUGACAUGGAGUAUUAUGCAAUGUUUUGAUAUUUAAUAUGACUUAAGUGCUAAAGUUUUCACUCAUGCGAAUUGACUUGACUUGGAUGCAUAGUGAUGUCUAACAUUUUAACACUUAAUUAAAAUUAGAGCUAUAUUUAAUAAUCAUGUAGACAAGAAAUAACUUUGACAUGAAACAGUAUUGUAAUUUUGACACUUAAUGUUGCUUAAAUGCCAAAGUCUUCACUCAUACAUAUUGACUUAGCUUGGAUGAAAAGUGGUAUCCAACUUUUUGACACUUUCUUAAAUUUGGAAUUAUGUUUAACAUCAAUAUAGGCAAGUAAUAACCUUGACGCAAAGUGAUGUUAUAUUUUUAGCACUUAAUAUAGCUUUAGUGCUAAAAUAUUCACUUCUAAGAAUUGACUUGGCUUGGAUGCAUAAUGGUGUCCUACUUUUUAACACUUACUUGAAAGUGAAAUCAUAUUUAACACCCAUUGUAUGCUAGUCGUAAACUUGAUAUAGAGCAUUGUGCAACUUUUUAACACUUAAUGCGAUUUAAGUGCUAAAGUCUUUACUCAUAUGAAUUAACUGAACUUAGAUGCACCUUUGUUUCCAACUUUUUAAUACCUAAUUAAAAUUAAAACCAUAUUUAAAAACCAUGUAGACAAAGACAUAAUCUUAACAUGGAGCUAUGUAUAACUCUUAACACUUAAUUAAAAUUGAGAUUACACUUAACAGCCACAUAUUCCUCCUAUUUUUCAAUUUUUUCUUGUGGUGAUGAUUGGACUUAACUAGUUUGUCCAAGUUGCCUAUAUACCCUUAACAGAGAGGGAAUCAAGUCAAACUUAGUUCAAAGUAUUUCUUUUAAUCUCUAACUUUUGCCAAGGCUAAUGAUUUUAAUCUUACAAGCUUGUCUUAACUUUUGACCAUAUAUGUAGUCUUUUUAGGUUUCAAUUUAGUGGCCUAUGACUUGUAAAAAUUGAAAAUGACUUCAAUCAUGUGUAAAAAAUAAUAAAAGAUAUUCAUUCAUAGUUUUAGGGCAACAAAAAAUAAUUGAUCCUUUUUUAUAUUAUUAUUAUUGUUGUUGUUGUUAUAAUUAUUAUUUCACCUUACAAAAAAACCUUCUGCAAUUAAUAUUAUAUAUAUAUAUAUAUAUUAUCUUUUAUAUAUUUAGUUUUUAUAGUAUUUUUUAAUUUAAUAUAUAUAUUUUUUAAAUAUCGAUACUUUCGGUCAAUGUCUCAAAUUUAAUAAUAUUUUAGAAAGUGUUUAUAAUAUUUUUAACACUUGAAUGAUAAAAAAUUUUAAAUAUUAAAAAUGUUAAAGACACUUUCUUAAAUUACUACCAAACGGGUUCUAACUUCAAAACUAUUUUUCAAAUUCUAAGUUUAGCUUAGUGGUGAAUGCAUUUAGGAUCACCAAGGAGGCCAUCAAGGGACUUCAGAAGAGAAGAUCCCAUAAUUCUAGUUUUGUAUUUGAUUGCAUACAUCCUACCAUAUGGAGAAGGUUCCUUAGGAUGCUUAUUUAUCCGCUUAUGUGAAUUAUGUACAAAAUUGCAUUUAAUAUGCACAUAAAAUUAAUUGAAUUAUGUGGCUUUUUUUUUUUCCUUUUUCUUUUACGCAUAAUAUAACAUAUACAAUUGGAAGAGAUCCCGAGAUUCUGAUUUUAUAUCUGGCUUUAGGGAUCAUAUUGGGGCCUCAAAAUUCAAUAUCACUGUCAGGUUGUGGACAGUCCACCCAGCUGGAGCAGAUCCCCUGGCUUGUGGAUAUGUCAACAAUUGAAAAAGUCUGCACCCAUUUUCAAUGUUCUUAGGUUUCGAAGUUAUCAGCAAACAUUCAUUGUGGACUAGGUACAUGGCUUGUACAAAUUGAAAAUGACUUCAAAUAAUAAAAGAUAUUUAUUCAUAGUUUUAAGGCACGCAACGAAAAUAGAUUUUAUUUGUUUGUAUCUUAGAAUAAUCUUAUUAUAUUUGUAUAUAUAUAUAUAUAUAUAUAUAUAUAUAUAUCUUAUCUUUUAUACAUGCAUAUUUUUUUUUUCAGUUUUGGUCGUAUAUUUUUAAUUUAAUAAUUAUUUUAAGAAAAAAGAUUUAGAGGCCAUUUGGUAGUGUUUUUUAAAAACACUUCUGGACUAAAAAAAAAUGCUUUUGUUAAAAAAUUAAGAGCAUGUUUGAUAGUGAUUUUAGGAAACGUUUUUAAUAUUUCUAAUAUUUGAAAAUUUUUGUCAUGCAAGUGUUAAAGGGCGUUUGGCAAUGCUUUUAGAAAGUGUUUCUAAUAUUUCUAAUACUUGAAAAAUAAAAUUUCUUAAGUAUUAGAAAUGAUAGAAACUCUUUCUAAAAUCACUAUCAAACACAUUCUUACACUUUCCAUCAAUGUCUCAAAUUUCAAAUAUGUACAUGCUCUAGAAAUUCUGAAGGUGUAGGCUUGUAGCCUAGAAUGUGAAGUGAGAGUUUGAUGAAAAACGAAAUAAACAAAGAUAUAAAAUAUAAUUUGUGAAAAAUUAUGAAAAUAUUGAUUUUGAUAGAUAUAUUAAUAACUCAAUUUUACAGAUAUAUCAGGGUAUAUCCAAAAAUAUUGGUGAAUAUUUUGACACCAAAUAUCAGUAGGAAAAAAUUGAUCAAAACUCAUGAAAAUAUUGGGAAAAAAAACUCUUAAACAUGAUAAAAUAAACAAUAAUAUACUUAUUAAAGUUGGUUUUAUUGUAAAACUUAAAAACACAAAAUUAUCAAUAGAUAUCAAUGAAAUUUUUUUUUAAAAAAAUCAAAAUUAAUAAAAACUCGUAAAAUAUUAGUAAAAACUAAAAUAUAUAUAUAUAUAAGAAGCAAUAAUACACAUAACGAAGUUAUUUAUUAAAAAAAAUGAUAUAGAUUUAAUACAAUUAAUGAUAUUUGAUAAUAAUAUACAUAAUUUAAAAUUUUAAAAUAUAUCUACUAGUAACAUCAUGAUUAUUUAAUAUUCAAAAUAUAAAAGAAAUUAUGAUAUGUAAAUAUAUAUAUAAAUUACUAUGAUGAUUUUUAUAAUUUGAACAAUUUUCAAAUAUAAUAUGAAAAUAAAAUAAUUAAAAUUAAUUUAUUUAUUAUUAUUUUAUUUUAUAAGUCUAGGAGUACAAAUAUAUUUUAUUUAUAUGUGUUGCAUAUUUAAAAAUGCUAAACUAGCUUGUGGCCUACAAUGUCAACUUAGAGUUUGAUGAAAAAGUGCAUAAACAAAGACAAAAAAAUUAAUCUACAAGUACUUGGAUUCUAUUUGAAUAAAAAAGAGCCACCCACAUGCAUGGAUUAAAUAUAUAUCCCAUGGAUUAGUUGUAUUUAGCCACGGCUGAAGCUUUCCACUAUGACUUAACACUACUACAAAAAUAAUUUAUGAUGUCACUAUUUAUGGUGUCGCAUUUAAAAUAAUGACACCAUUGAACUUAAAAUUUAUAAAGGUGACACAUCAUAUAAAAAAUCUUCAAUUAGGAUAGUUAGAUGAUGCUAAUUUCAAAUUUACGGUGUCUUUUUUUGGAAGUGACACCAUAUGAAAUAAAAAGUUUUAAAUUUUAUAACUCAAUGGGCCCUUUUUCAAAAUAGUGAGUAGGAACAAUUUAUGAAAAGUCUAUUGUUUCCAUAUAUACAUUAACUAAUAUAAAAGAUCUUAUUGCUUAACCCUAACCAUCGUUUUCUUCUCCUUCUUCUCACACCCAUGGUCGGCACACCCAUAAUUGAUAUUCUUUGCUUCAUAAAAUCUCGGGUAAGUCAAAAUCCCUUAUCUAUCAUCUUCAUUUUUUUUAUUAAUGCAAAAAACUUUGUUAGUAUAAUUGUUUUAUAUCUCUUGAUUUAGUAUAUCUAUGAUGUGGGUUUUGUAAAUGGUGUUUUUUAUCGAGUUCCAUGGAAGUAAAAACUAGGUUUAACAUUCUAACAUAUUUUUUGUUUCAUUGCUAAUAAGCCCCAAAACAAAUGAAAACAAGAAAAAUGAAUUAUUUUUAAAAAUUUUGUCUAAUUGAGAAUGAGAGAUACACUAGUUUGUAGUAAUUUUUCGCAUGAAAUAAUAUUUUAUUGAAGACUUGACUAUAUAGUGUAUUGGUUGUAAUUUUUCACAUGUGAAAAUAUUUUAUUGAAGACUUGACUAUAUUUGAUACUUUUUUCCACCGUGCUAGGAGCUUUUUGGUGAAGUCUAACAAUAGAGAUUGACAUCUACUACAAGAUGAUGCUCAAUUAAUCCAAAAGCACUUAAGUUAUUUAGGGUUUUCUUCAGUUAACCUAAGAAAACAUUCCCACUUUCUUUGUAUUGAGUCACCUAAAUAGAAUAGAAUAUUGGGUAUUAGAGUGGUAAAGGGUAUUAUAAAUAUGACUUUUUUUUUUAGAGUCACCUACAUGGAAUGAAUUAUUGGUAGGUGAACAAAAUAUUGGGGUGAUUGUAAUAGUUGAAUUAGUAAAUGGAAGAUAAGUGUAUGUUGCUUUGUUUAUUCUAUAAAAACAAUAAUUUUAGUAGUUGAAAUUUACAUGCUUUGUUGUUUUAUAAAAACAAUAAUUUUAAUAUUUGAAAUUUUAAAAUGUGAAUGAAAUGCCUGAAAAUAUGUUUUGAAAAAUAGGAUAGUAAUAAAUGUUUAUAGCUCAUUUCCUAAAAAUAUUUUGAUAAAUUAAAAUAAUAUGUGGUUAAAAUAUAUUUUUGUGAAAGUAUUUAAAAAUGAAUCAAAAUAUUAAUAAUUGUUAUUUUGUUUGAAAAUAAUUUAGGAAUAUAAAAUAAUAUUGGGGAUAAUUUUUGAGUUUAAAUUGGGUUAUAAACGGUUAAUUUUUUUAGGAUUGUCUUUUUUGAAAAUAAUCCAAUGAUAAUUUUUUUAAAUAAGAAUGUUGAAAAUAAUUUUAAAAAUAAAAUUUUGUUGGCAAUGAUUUUUCUAAAAGUAUUUUAGGCAUAAAUGGAAAUUUCUUGUAUGAAAAUAAGAGAAUUUAUAUAUAUAUAAUAGACAUAAAAAUAGACUUCUUUGAUAUUUAAUAAACAAGUGAAUUUUUCUCCAAAAAAGGAAUAAAAUAAGAAUUUCUCUAUUUAAUAAAAUAAUUUAUAUAUGAGAUAGUUUUCAAUAAGAAAGUUUUGAAAAUAAAUUUGGGAUAAAAUAUUUUUUAGUAAGUUUUGUUUAGAUAAUUCAAGAAAAAAGUGGUUUAUUAACUUUUCUUAAAAAAUAACAUUCUUCUUUCUUUUUUGAAUUGAUCAUUUUUUUUAGAAAUAAAAUUGUUAGAUUCUAUUUUUUGUAAAUGUUUAAGAAAUUCUAAAAAAUUCUUUAAAAAUAAAAUGACCUUUCUACCACAUUCCUUGUAAUAAAUAACUGUUUUUUUAUACAUAUUGUAAAGUAAAAAAAGAAGUCUUUGUUUAGUUAACCUAAGAAGACAUUCCUACUUUUCUUUGUGUUGAGAGUCACCUAAAUGGAAUAAAAUAUUCAAUAUCAUAGGAGAGUAAAAAGUAUUAUAGAAAUGAUUUUGUUGAGAGAGUUAUCUAAAUGGAAUGAGAUAUUGGUAGGUGAAUAAAAUAUUAUGGUGAUUGUAAUAGUUGACUUAGUGAGGGGAGGAGAAGUGUAUGCUUCUUUGUUUAUUCUAUAAAAACAAUAAUUUUAGUAGUUGAAAACGUGUAUGAAAUGACUGAAAAUAUUUUCUGAAAAAUAAGAAAAUAAUAAAUGGAUAAUAGCUCAUUUCCUAAAAAUCUUUGAUAAAUUAAAAUAACUUGUAGUUAAAAUAUAUUCUUGUGAAAGUAUUUAAAAAUGAACCAAUAUAUUAAUAAUUGUUAUUUUGUUUAAAAAUAAUUUAAGAGUAAAAAAAUAAUACUGAGUUCAAAUAUGACUACUUUGUUAUGAGAUUCAUUAAAUAAAUAAUUGUUGAUUUUACAGUUAUUGCAUCAAAGGUUUUACUCGUUUAAUGAAUUGUACAUAAUUUCAUACUUUCAAUUAUUGUGAUAUUAAUGUUAUUCUCAUUUGAUUUCAGUUUGAUGACAAAUAAAACAUAUUCUCAAGUAGAAUUUGAUGAAAUUAGAGAAGAAUAGAUUACUUUUGUGUUAUAACUAAUCAUGAAUCAUAUUGAUGUAUCGUGAUCAUUCAUGGUAAGUCCCUUAGUUGUUAUAUGAUUGAAUUUUCCAUUGGUAUUGUAUAACAUUACUUAUUCUUUACGGACUAUUUUUAUACCAAAAUGAGAAAAAGGAAAAAGAAAAAAAAACAUUAGUACUUAGAUUUGUUUAUUGUUUAUAACAUCACAUUUUUAUUUUCAAUAAGAACUCUAAAACUCAUUAAACUAUGAAAUGCAGGUAUACACUCUUGGGAGGACAAUAUGAAGAAUAAAAAGAAAGGAGAAAGAGGCAACAAGAUUUAGGUUUUUAGAUAUGACUCUUAUGUCAUACAUUAUAGGACAUAAACAUUACUUUAUUUGGAAUUGAGAAUUUUGGGUUUUUGGAUGCAACUCUUGUGUCAUUUUAUGGUUAGCCGGUUUUAUGCAUAUGAAAUGCAAGUAUACAUGAAUGUUGGGAAGCUUAACAUUUCUAAAUCAUGUUUUAAUGUGUAUUCACUUUUCUUUUUUAGUUUUGGUGGGUUUGAUGUGUUUGAUGUACUAUCAUUUUGUGAACAUUUGAUAUAUAAAUAUUAUUGGAUGAUGUAAUAUGUUACAAAUUAAUUCAUAGGCACUAUGAAAAUAUAAGUUAAAUGUAAUAUGAUUAUCAUAUUUAUGGACAAUUUACACAGGUUGGUCUUAUUUAUUAAUAAGCAUUACAAAAAUCUACAAACUAAUCAACAAAAAACAACCAUAUCUUCCAUAAUCAUUUACAAUGAUGCGACACCAUAAAUUAAAGGUGAUACAUUUAACGUGACACCAUAACUCAAAGAUGAUGCAUUUAAUAUGACAUCUUAUAUAUCUCAUACAACUCUAUAUCAAAUUAAGCAUCACUAAAAAUAUAUGGUGUCUCUUCUGAAUGUGUCACCAUUUAUCUGCUUUGGUGUUGCUUCCAAAUACGUCACCAAUUGAUACCCUCUAUGGUGUCAGUGGAUAAGGUGACGCUAUGUUGUAGUGACACCCUAUGUUUAUAGUGACUUAUUAUAAAUGUCACCAUAUAUCUUUUUCCUUGUAGUGUAAAAAAAGAGAGGAUAAUGUCAUUAAAAAACUGAUUGCUAUGUGGCUAUGCCUGCCAGUAGAUGGCUGAAAACUAAGUUCUAUUCUUUUCGAUAGUUGAGAGAUUCAAUGGCAACUAUCGUCGUAUAAACAAUGUUUCAUAAAUUACUUUUAAAUUUUGACAGCAAAGACUAAAAUUGUAAAACCAUAAAAAAUUUAUUCCAUUCCCAAAUUUUUUAAAAUAAAAUUGAAAAUAAUAAAUUAACGCCCAUGACUGUUUUCACAUCUUAUUCUCAUUUCUAUCAAUGGAAUCAUCGUAAGCAUCUUAUCUGUAAAUAUGGCCUAGAGCCAUAAAGCUGCCUUUUCUUUAGUCCUAGAGCCAUUUCAUGAGCUAAUAGUAGUCUUUCCUUAGCAUUUCCAGCCCAAAGCUCCCAUUUCCUUAGGCCUAGAGACGUUUUCAGCCCAGAGCUGCUGUUUCUUUCGGCCUAUAACCAUUUUCAGCCCAAAGCUUCCUUUCCUUGGCAUAUUAGCCCGAAGCUUCUAUUUCUUUAGGCCUGGAACCAUUUCAACCUAGAACAUUUGUUUCUUUGGGCCUUGAGCCCCUUUCAACCCAGAACUGUCAUUUCUUCUAAAUAACUUCUCUUUUAAAAGACUUCAAUUUGUUUUUCAAGUCACAAAUUUUGAGGCUUUGUUCCAGGUUUGAAGAAGCUGGUAAAAAUCUUCUAUUUAACAUUUCAACAGUGAAUCGAAUUAAAUAAAUAAAUAAAUAAAUCUUGACGACAUAAAGUAGGACAUGGCAUAGUUUGAAACACAUAAUUUUCACCAUUCAAAUGCAAAACAUAUUAACUAAUUUCAAAUGCUAUGUGUUGUUUCCUUCUACAUUUUCUCUUUAUUUUUUUUUCGUAUUUUUCUUCAAAUUUUUUGAAAACCAAACAGAGCCUAAAAGAAAAGAUAAUUUUACUUAUUUUGAAAUUUCCUUAUAUAUAGCUUAUAUGGAAAGUUGUUUCGUGUUAACUUAAUGAAGCAUUUAUAAUAUUAAGAUCGCCCUUUCAUAAUCAUGAGUUAACCUUAGUUUCAACUUCUACAAGAGGCUAAAUGAAAAAAGCUAUCACAGAGAAGGCCUCAGCCAAUGAGUGGAAAAUACAAUUUUAUUAAUACUUGAUACCAAAAAAAAAAAAAAAAGGGAUGAUUUUACAUUCAAACCGAUGAUUUAUUUCUGUUGAAGUGCAGUCUCCAUAUGCACAUGUGACUGCAUUUACAGGAUAAAGAAAGACAAGGAAAUUAACAAUGUUGGACUUACUGGAAAAUCAUACAAAUUAUUGAAGGAGGACCUUAGCUAGGCUGACUGUCUCCUAAAUUGCCCAUCUUUUAUAUAUCUUUGCAAUCAUGCAUCUCAUCAUCAGCUUUGAUUUUAGAUGGUGAGGAUGUGAAAGUAACAGGAAGCAGUGGACGAUUGUUCACAGUGAGGCUUAGCACAUCAGCUCUCGAAUAAUGUCCUACCACAUCGAACUGAAACUUUGCUUUAGGAAUCUCUCCACGAACAUCUGCAUAUCAAGUGAUCAUCAAAAUAUUUGAGCAGCCCGUGAUAAAUAUCAUAGAGUAUCAAGUCUUCCAUAAAACCAUGUUUGCAGUCCUUUUAAACCUAAAGAAUUGACUCAUUUGCCUUAUCUGCAUACUGAAAUAUUUGGAUAUACAAUUGGAGAAGUUAGGGCCAUACCAAGAUCAGCUGUGAAGAGGCCUUCUCCUUCAUAAUUCGGUCCUGCUAGAAUUUCGCCAUGGGGCGAAAUGAUGACACUACCUCCAGCCCAAACAAUAGAAUCUGGAGUGACAUCUUCUUCUGUAGGACUGUAAAGAUACUCAGGUGGAGGUGGGUAAUCUUUCCUCCGACAGAACUGGAUGGGUGAAAGAACAUAGCAUCCACCCUCAAUAGCGAUGUGUCUCAUUGUAGCUACCCAUUUAUCCCCAGAAUCGGCAGUAGGAGCACAAUAUAUCUCAAUACCUAUAUAUAUGAACAUUGGUAUUCUGUGAUCAAUCAAUCCCAUAUCAAAGCCACAAUGUAUUUCAAGACUGCUUAGAUUAAAACCCUAAUAAUGUAAACGGGUGCUGGAGGUCCUAUUUGGUAAUUGUCUUUGGAACAGUUUUGAGAAAUAGUUUUUGAAAGUUGUUCUUUAAUAAUUUAUAAAACAUAAGACUAUUUGAAACCUAAAAUAUAUUCAACUUAUUAAAAAUAAUUUUUAUAUUUAAUACUUUAUUUUUAAAUAUUCUUCAUAUUUAUAUAAUUAUUUUUUAAAACAACCUUAAAAACAAAUGAAAACAAUGAAGAAAAAAGUUUAAAAAUAUUAUCUGAAAACAUUUUGUUUUAUGUUUCUAAGAAAAAACAAAAAGCGGUAUUCUAAUUGUCAAUUGUGUUUUCCUAAAUUUUUUUUGGAUAACAAAAGAUUCCUCUAAAAUAUAAUUGUGAAACAAAGCCAAACUAUUUCAAGCCAAACCAUACUAGUUAAUGAAGAAAAAAAAAUGGUAAAAGAUGUACCUUUGCCAUACAUUGAUGUCCUGAAAAGAGGCAUUCUAUUUUCCCAACAAAUGACCGAACCAAGUUUUCCAUAUGGAGUGUCAUAAAUUGGAGUUGUCGAGCAAUCUCCAAAACCCCAGAAGAGCCGCUCCCAAUAUGUUGGCAUGAGUUUCCUAUGUUUUCCAAGGUAAUUGCCUUCAGGAUCAAAGAAGAGAACAGUGCAAUACAAUGUGUAUCCAUCUCUCUCAACAACACCUGUCACUAAGUAGACUUUGUAUUUCGCAGCCAUUGAUGCCAAUCUAUCAACUUCAGGUCCUGAAAAUACAUUAAUAUGAGAUCAAAGAUGAGACAUGUAAGCUGAUGGUUCAUCACAAAGCAGCAUAAGUAGAUUUUGUUUCAAUAACUUAUUUAAGUGGUUCAGUCCUCUAGCUAUUUAAGGGAGAAAGAGAGGGGUAACUGACCCGGCACAUUAAUGGCAGAAGCAUGGUACUUGCGGAAGCUUUCUUUCCCUCUUGGAGACUGGUCCGCGAAGUUGUAUCCACGGGGAUACCCACCGAUAAAUGCUUCAGGGAACACAACCAGUUGGGAUCCCAAUGCAGCUGCCUCUUUCAGAAACCUCUCAGCCUUAUCUGCUCCCAAAAUCACAUUGCAAGAAUUAACAAUUCAUGACUUAGAAAGUAAAUUAAUUGGUUGAAUAGAGAAUGAAAAUUCACCUCAAGAUAUCCCAAAUGACUUUUUGGUUGCUGAGAAAACUUAAGGAAAAGGAGACCUAGAUAAAACUAGAAACUCAUAUUUUCAGCUGUUUUGUAACUAAGAAAGAAGAAACCACCUCAACCAACUCAUCCAAAUAAUUAUUGUACAAGCAGUAAUUCCUUGAUUGGCAGCUGAAAAUAUGAUCAGGGUUCAAUCAUCCCUUUCUUUCUUUCAGUUUCCCAGCAACCAAUCAGCUCACUGAUUCUCUUACAGAAGUUGCAGAAUUGAGAGAAAUUGCACGUUACCUAGAGUGGCAGGAGUAUCAUAAAAGAUACUAGAAGCUUGAACAACGGUGGCUCUAACAGUUGAAGACAUUGCAGAAAAUUGUAUGUUUUUUCGUUUCCCCUUUGUUUGAGGAUUCCUCACACUGCGUUCAGUAUAUAUAUAUCGCUCAUGAACAAGAGGUUCCUCUGCCAGUACUUGAACAAGACGGAAAGGCUUUGAAAAGUCUGACUUGGUUUUCUACGCUCAUGGAGAGGUUUUAUCCUCAUCACAAAUUUUUAAGUUAUCCGCAGACACAGUGGACCAGGCACAUGACUUGUACAAAUUGAAAAUGACUUUCACCUGGGAUUUUUUGUAAUUUUAAAAAAUAAUUCCCAAAUGGUAGUGGAAAAUAUAAUUCUAAAUCUAACAUAGUUUUUGCAAGAUGUAAAAGAGAAAAAUAAAAAUCUUUAUUUCCUUUAAAAAAAUUAUGACGAAAGAAUCGUCUUUUGAAAAGACAAUUUCUCAAAUUUCUUAAAAAAAAAAAAAAAUUAGGAGAGAAAUCGUCUCUUGAAGAGACGAUUCUUGAAAAAAAUAAAAAAUUUAGGGAGAAAUUAUCUCUUGUGAUUUCUCCAUUGAUAAAUAUAUAUAUAUAUAUAUAUAUAUAUAUAUAUAUAUAUUGAGAAAUCUUCUAAAGAUGAUUUCUUAAAAAUACAAAGAAAAUGAGAAAAAAAAAAAGACAGAGAUGAUUUUCAAAAAUUCAUUUUUUUCAUUCUCUUUUUUUUUCAAUAAUAUUUUACCAAAUAAUAUAUUUAUAUAAUAAUGAUUUUUUCCUUUAAAAAAAAUUAUAAUGAAAAUUUCGCUUUUGAAAAGAUGAUUUCUCAAAUUUCAGAAAUCUAUAGGCUAGAAAUCGUCUCUUGAAAAGACGAUUUUUUGAAAAAAUAAAUAAAUAAAUUAGGGAGAAAUCUUCUCAAGAUGAUUUCUUAAAAAUAAAAAGAAACAUAGAAAAAAAAAGUCAGAUGAUUUUAAAAAAUUCAAUUUUCUAUUUGGUGAUAUAUAUUUUACCAAAUAAUAUAUUUAUACAAUAAUAUAAAUAUUAUAAAUAUAUAUAUAUAUAUAUAUAUAUAUAUAUAUAUAUAUAUAUAUAUAUAAGUUAGAUAUAUAAAAAUUAAUUAAUUUUAUUUACUAGAUUUAAUAUAUAAAAAUAAUUUUAAUUAUUGAUAUAUUUAUCAACAAUAAUAUUUAUAAAAAUAUAAAUUAUGUUUAACAUUCGAUAUUUAAAAAUAUUAUUUUAUAUUAAGUUAGAUAUUGAUUUUAAAAAUAUUUUGUUCUUUAUCUUUAAAUUAAUUCCAUUAAUUAUAACUAAUAAAAUUAAUUUAGUUUUAUAUUUUUAUUAUUUAUAAUAUAAAUAAUAUUUAUCUCAUUCUCUUGUUUACUCUCUCACCCUUCUCUCACCUAUUUAUUAGCGGAAUCAAGUUGAAUGAUUUUUCAAUCAUUUUUCUCCAACAAAUUGAACAUGAGAGAUGAAUGAUUAAAAAUUAUUAAUGUCAAAUGCCUUUUUAAAUACCUCAUCAAAUAUUAUUCUUUUUUUAAAACUUACAUAAUAUAUAAUAAAUAUUAUUCUUUAUUUCAAACUUACAUUAUUUUUUAUAUAUAUUAAACAAUUUUUAAUCACUUCAUAAAAUAUUAGUAUGCUUUAUUUGUUCUAACUUGCAAAUUAUACAUAAUCAAAUAUUAUAUUUUUUUUUCAAACUUAAGAAUAAAUAAUAAAUAUUUUUUAAAUACCUUAGCAAAUAAUUUUUUUUUUCUUACUUAUAGAAUAAAAAAUAUGUUGUACAUUAUUUCUUAUAGGUCUUAAUGACGUAGUUUGGUUAAAAAAAAAAAACUAUCAAUAAUCGUCCUAAUGUCAAGCUCAAGUAGUUUAAAAAUUGCACAAAACCUAUUAGGAGUCUUGUACACCCUUGUAUACUUGACACAUUUCCCUUGUACAAUUAGUGUAAUCUUGUACAAUGGUACCAAUUUCAUAUCCCUUCUAAGAUAUGUGUUUAUAUAAGUGUGUUAACUAUGUUUUCAAUGGUUUGGUUGAGAAAAAAUGACUUAUGGUCAAUUUUUUUUCCCCAAACAUCAUUAUUGAGGGAAUCAUUGGAAUUUCCAUGUGGGAGUUAAAUAAAGUGCAUGACAUUGAUAUACAAUCCUUGGGUGACAAGGAAAAUAAAAAAGUGGUUUAGAAUCAAUUGAAAUCUUUCACAAAUGGUAGUCUUGUAUACCCUUGUACUCUUAGUAUAUUUCCCAUCUUUAAUACCUUUGUACAAUGACACAAAUUUCAUAUCCCUUCUAAGUUAUGUCCACAUAAGUGUGUUAACCAUGUUUCCAAUGAUUUGGUUGAGAAAAUGUUGGAUGACUUAGGGUCAAUCUUUUUUCCCUAAAUAUCAUUAUUGGGAAAAGUAUUGGAAGUUCCAUGUGAAAGUUAAAUAAAGUGUAUGACAUGAAUGUACAAUCUAUGGGUAACAAGGCAAAAAAAAAAAAAAAGGUUCAUAAUUGAUUGAAAUCUUUCACAAAGGGUAGCCUUGCACACUCUUGUGCACUUAGUACAUUUCCCUUGUACAAUUAGUGUAAUAACUUUGUACAAUGACACAAUUUUCAUAUUCCUCCUAAAUAAUGUGUCCACUUAUGUUAAUCAUUUUUUCAAUGGUUUGGUUGAGAAAAUUUUGGAUGACUUAGGGUUUAAAUUUUUUNNNNNNNNNNNNNNNNNNNNNNNNNNNNNNNNNNNNNNNNNNNNNNNNNNNNNNNNNNNNNNNNNNNNNNNNNNNNNNNNNNNNNNNNNNNNNNNNNNNNNNNNNNNNNNNNNNNNNNNNNNNNNNNNNNNNNNNNNNNNNNNNNNNNNNNNNNNNNNNNGUGUCCACUUAUGUUAAUCAUUUUUUCAAUGGUUUGGUUGAGAAAAUUUUGGAUGACUUAGGGUUAAAUUUUUUUCCCUAAAUAUCAUUGUUAGGGAAAACAUUGGAAUUUCCAUAUGAGAGUUAAAUAAAGUGUAUAACAUGAGUGUACGAUCCGUGGGUGACAAGGAAAAUAAAAAGAAUUGGUUCAAAAUUGAGUAAAAUUUAUCACAAAUGGUAGUCUUAUACAUUGUUAUAUACCCUUGUACACCCUUGUACACUUAGUAUAUUUAUCUUAUACAAUUAAUAUAAUACCCUUGUAUAGUGGCAUAAAUUAUAUAUCCCUUCUAAGUUAUGUAUUCACGUAAAUGUGUUAACUAUGUUUCCAAUGGUUUGGUUGAGAAAAUGGUGGAUGACUUAGAGUCAAAUUUUUUUCGCCAAACAUCAUUACUCUGAAAAGUAUUAAAAUUUUCAUGUAGGAGUUGCAUAAAGUGUAUGACUUAGGGCCAAACUCUUUUAAAUCUUUUUAUUAUUUUCACAUAAAAAAAUAGUACUAAACAAGGUUUUCAAUUUUCAUUUUUAAAAAUAUUUUUCAUUUUUUAAUUAAAUGUAUUUUCAAAAAGAGACAAUAAAGAAAAUAAAAAUUAUUUCAAGAAAUAAAAAAAUAAAAAAUAAAAACUAGAAAAAUAUUUUAAAAUCAGACUUAAGCAUAAUCUAUUUAAUUUUUAACUACUUGUUUUUAUCUAAAAUGAGUAAAUAUAUUUUUCAACCCUUUUAUAUAAUAAAAAUUCAAUCUUUACUAUGUAUUGAUAUAAUUCACUUCCAAAAUUAAGUCAUAUGAAAACAUUUUAAUUGGAUAUUUAAAAUAAAAGCUCUCCAUCUAUCCUUUUUUUUUUUUUUCUUAUUUUGAUAAAUUUUUAAUUAAUACAAAUCAUUAAAAAAAAUACUUAGUAAACAAAUUUGUAACAUUUUAUAUAACUUAUUAUUAAAAGUUAUGUUCAAAAAGUUAUUAAAAUAAAGAAGGAAGAAGACUAAAAAAAAUUUAAACUUUUUAUUUUAUAAUACUAAAAAAAAAAAAAAGAAACUUUAAAAUACUUUUUAGUAUAAAAAAAAAAGAAAAAAGAAAAUAGUGAAGAUAUUUAUUUUAAAUAGCAUUUUAAUCAUUAAAUUAUUUACUUCUAAAAUGUAAAAGAUAAUUUUUAUUUAUUUAAAUUAACAUUUUUUAAAAAGUAUUUUCCAGAAUAGUUUUUGAAUUAUUAAUAUAAUUUUUGUUUCUUUAUAAUUUAAAAUAGAAAUAAUGUUGAUUUUUCAAUUAUUUAUAAAAGAGUUUAAAAAAACAAUGAGAAAUCCAAAAAUGGUUAAGUAAGAAAGAAUUUGUUGGUAAUGGCAUGUGAAGAGUGGUAGAAUAAAAAAAAGUCAAAUGAGUAUUUUUGUUUAUUACUAUCUCAUAUCCUUGUAAUCAAUUAUGAGUGACAGGAGAAACUUAGCUCAAUUAUCAAGUAGAGCUAGGCCAAAAACACAAUUCUCUCAAUAAUUUCGAGGCAUGAUGAUCAUAUUUAAAUAAAAAAGAGGGAGCCGCCCACAUGCAUGGAUUCCAUUGUCUUUAGCGGUGGGUAUAUAUAUAUAUAUAUAUAUAGAGAGAGAGAGAGAGAGAGGGGGGGAUGUAAAAACUAAGUCUAACCUUGUUGAUUCAAUGGCAGCUCGGGUAAAACAUAGAAAGGAAGAACUAUGUUUACCCUCACGUUCAUUCAAACAAAUAUAUUGUUUAGGAAUUCUAAUUUUCAUAUUUGAUCACCCCAAACACAUAACCAAUAAAAUUAUUCUUUAAAUAUGUAUUUUAAUAGCAUCUAUAAUGAGAAUUCUAUAAUUAUCCCUUUUUAAAAUCUUUAAUAUGACAACUCAUAAUUUAAUGUAUUUGAUAGCUCUCACAUCUGUUUUUUUUUUUUCCUCCUCUACGUCACUUUCUCCAUAUCAUGUCUUUGAUAUCCUACCUUUGGCAUUUUUUAUUUAUAUAUGUUGAAGUCACAACACUUUCUCUUCCCAACCUCUUUACUUUCAUAUUUCUUUUUACUCAUUUAAUAUUUAUUAACUUUAUUUAAUUUUUUGGAAUAAAUAACUAAUGAGAAUAAAUUAAAUAUAAAUAUAAGUAUGCAAGCAACAUAAAAAUACACUUGAUACUUAAAAAUGUUAAUUAUAAUAUAUUUGAUAAUUUAGGAUUUCGAUUUUAAAAUUAUAUUUUAUUUUUUAGAGGCUGGGAUAUAAGAUUUCCAUUAACCAAAGAUUUUUUAUAUGAAUCCUAAAUAAUAUGUUUAUUUUGAAAAUUCUUAUCAUAUAUAAAUAAAAUAAAUAUAUUUUAUCAUAUUAUUUUUAAUUUUUAAUAUUUUGUAUCAAAAUCACAAUUAAUGAUAGUGAUUUUUGUUAAGAUAGAGUCCUUAAAAGCAUAAAAUGUUGUAAAAAAUAUAGAGUUUAUUAUUUAUUUAAUGAUAUUUCAAUUUCAGUUUUAUCUAUCCUUAUUUUAUGCAUUAUACCUUAUGAGCAUUCUAACUUGACAUUUUUUGCAUUGUUCAUGACUUGGGUGAAUUAAGAUUUACAUGGAACAUCUAAGUCAUAGUCGCUUUGUCGACAUAAGCAAUCCAUUUGAUGUUGCAGUGCAUUACAUCUUAAUUUAAGGGAUGACUAGUUUUGACCAACAAGAUGGGACCCUCAUAGUGAGUGCACUAAUGUUAUGACUGCAUUUUAGAUAAAACCUAUGGUGAGUCAUGAUGUAAGAAUAUCAGGUAGUCAUGACUUCGCCAAGUUGUUAUAUUGCAUUUUCUAUCGACCUUGAAAGAAUAUUGGGUUUGUGCCUAAGUUUGCAAUGACUUUGACAUAUGGGUGAAAUCCUAAAGUGAUAAUACAUUCCUUAUGGAUUAGGUCACUAUAAAUAGAAUUCAGUAGCAAUAAGUAUUCUCAAUAGAGGAAUCAAAAUAUGUCAUAGAGUUUGAGACAUUAUGUCCCUUUGGAUGAUCCUAAGGACACAUGAUCAUGAAAUCUAUAGUCGUAGUAAUUCCUUAAGUGGAAUUUGAAAUAUGCUCUUAUGGGUUGGAGUAUGUCAAUUGAUCACAUAAUAGGAUGAUAUGUAACUGAAGGAUGAUAGAAGUAACCUUGAAAGGCAAAUAGUAUUCACCUUAUUAGAUUAUGAACAAUACUUCACAAGGAGACUAUAUACAAUGGAUAGUAGGUUAUGAACCCGAGUAGUGCAAUUGACUCUCUACGGUAGGAUGUUGAGUCAACUUUAGAAUUGGAUUAUGAGGGAGCCAAUAGUAUUCUAUGGGUUGUAGUGGUACCAGCUCAAGUUCAUAUAUCUUGAUGGCAUAACUUAUGAGGGUUGGAUUAGUUAAUGAUUCAAUUAUGUGCAUAAGGGCAUUUUGGUAAAUAUGCAUGGUUGAAUAGGAGUUUGUUAGGACAAAGCCCUAUAAAGCAUGAUAUGAUGUAAUAGAUUAAGUUCCAUCAAUAAAUUUAUUUAUUUAUUAUUCUAGUCCCCUUGUGUUAUCCUAUUUGCAUUAAUUGGUUAUUUGAGCAUUUACAUUCAUAUCACUUGCAUUGUACAUGACUUAGGAGUAUUAGGAGAUGAAUAAAAGAUCCAAGUUAUGGAUUCUUUACAAUGUGAUAAGUGAUUCGGAGUCGAUUCAUGGAUUUAGCAAAUCUAGUAUAAACAAUAGUGUACUACCUACUAAUUAGAGGGAUGCCUUGUGAUGGUUGUCAGGAUAACUUUCUCGUGGUAAAUGUGUAAAAUUAAAUAUUAAAUAUGACCUAUGAUGAAUCAUGAUAUUAGUUGUUGGGUAGUCAUUAUUACCAAAGCUUCUAUACUAUAUAAAUUCUUAAGCUUAAAAGGAUAUUGAAUCUAUACUAAAAUCAACAUGAAGUUUUGACCUAUGGGUGAGAUCCUAAUGUGGUCACAUAUUCCACAUAGAUUGGGUUAUUGGAGGAGACUAGUAGCAAUAGGUAUUCUUAAUAAAUGAACCAUAAUAUCUCAUGGGAUUAAACUUCAUGGGUGAUCUUAAGGGCGUGUGAUCAGGAUGAAUGUGACUAUAUCAAUUGCUUUAGUAAAAUUUGAUAGAUGCUCUUUGUGCGAUGGAGUAUGUUAGAUGAUCACUUAAUAGGAGGAUCUAUAACUCAAGGAUUAGAAAGGUAAUCUUGAAAGGUUGAUAUCACCACCUUGUUAGAUUAUGAAUAUCAAUUCAUGGGGAGUCUACAUUGUUAGGAUAGAGCCCUUAAGAGCAUGACUUGAUGUAAUAAACUUUUGAAUUUAAUUAUUCAUUAAUAAAAUUUCAGUUCACUUUUAUCUAUUCUCAUUCCAUGCAUUCUAUCUUGUAAGAGUUUUGACUUACAUCUUUUGCAUUGUACAUGACUAGAGUACAUUACAAGUUGCACAGAAGAUUUAAGUCAUAAAUUCCUUUCAAUUAGAUGACUUGUUGAAAAUUAGUUUGUGGGCUUAGGCAACCCAUAAUAGGUUGUAAUGAACUAACUCCUAAGAGAAAGGAUGGUUGUUUUUUACCAUUGAGAUGAGUUUUUCAUGAUGAGUGCACUAGUGUAUAUGGUUACACAUUGGAUAAGACCUAUAUUGAGUCAUGACAUAAGGUUAUCAAGUUGUUAUGACUUCACCAAGCUACUUCAAUAUGUUGUCUCUCAACCUUUAGAGAAUAUUGAAUUGGUGCUAAAGUUAGUAGUGACAUUGACCUACAAGUGAGAUCAUAAGUUGAUUAUAUAUUCCUUAUGGAUUAGGUCAUUGUUUAUCAAUGCCAAUUACAAUAGCUAUUUUCAAUAGAUACACCAUAACAUAUCACGGGAUUAAGACGAGUGACCUAUUGGGUGAUCCUAAGGAGGUGUGUUUAUCUAAACUAUGGUCAUAAUAGUUUCUUAAGUGGAACUUAACAUAAGCUCUUGGAGAGUUAAGAUAUGCUAAUUGAGCACAUAGUAAGAGGAUUUAUAACUCAUAGAUAGUUGAGGUAGUCUUGAGAAGAUGAUAGUUUUCACCUUGUUAGACUAUGGACACAAGUUCAUAAGGAGACCAAAUGCAAUGGAUAGUAGGUCAUGGACCUAAGUACUUUGUAGUGGAGUGAAGUUGAUUCUCUAUAGUAAGAUGUUAAAUCAAUUUUAGAAUUGAAUUAUGAGGGAGUCAAUACUAUCCUAUGGGUCCCAAUGGUUCCUACUUGAGCUCAUAUGUCUUAUUGGUAUGGUUUAUGAGGAUUGGAUUGAUUUGUGGUUCACUUUUAUGAGUAAAGGCGUUUUUGUAACUAUGCUAAGUUGCAUCGGGGUUAGUGAACAAAGUUUCUAGAUUAGGCUAAUUGAUUAAUUAGAAGACUUUGUUGGUUAGUUAAUUAAUUAUGAUCUAUUUUGGCUAGAUUAGGUGACCUAAGCCCUUAGUAGGCUCAAGUCACUUAAACCAAUUAGGGAAUCUUAUAAAUACUCUUUUAGGGGUGAAUUAGUUGUCUUCUAUAAUGUAGAAAGAAUAGAGAGCCACGACCUCCUCCCUUGCAACCUUCUCAUUGGUUAAAUGCCAAAAUCAAGGUAUAGUCAAUGCAAUAGAAGAUCUUAGGUUUUUAAGACCUUCAACAACUUUGUUUAGAUACUUCACUGCAUGGAUUUGAUUUGGGAACAUCCAAAUCAAGGUAAAAGUUUUCUAACUUGAUAUCUAAAUCCUGUUAUUGAUUUAAAAUGCAUGUGUAGACCCCCAUUUGGGGCUCAUUCCUUUGCAUCUCUACAGGUUAUAAUUCUUUGCAGGUGGAGGGCUCUCAAGGAGCCACGUGUCGCCUCGUGGUUGGUGGUCAUAGAAACAGAUGGUGGAAUUGAGGAGCGAGUGAGAGUUUGACAAGUGGCAUGGAGAUAUUCUGGCCGUUAGAGAGGAGGUACGUUUCUGUUGUGGAAGAGUAGCAGGCCAACUGCAGGAACAGGGGGGGUGCCUUUUCAGCAGGAGGAGCGUAUGAAAGAGAGAAGGAUCUCUUGAGCUGGAGGAGAGUUUCCGGGAGGCUGGUUACAGAAGAGAGAGAGAGAGAUUUGAGAGGAGGGGGAGGAUCCCAUGGACGACUGUGAGAAAUUCUGGAGUCUUGGAGUUUGAGCUGAGGAAGAGAGAUAUUUUUNNNNNNNNNNNNNNNNNNNNNNNNNNNNNNNNNNNNNNNNNNNNNNNNNNNNNNNNNNNNNNNNNNNNNNNNNNNNNNNNNNNNNNNNNNNNNNNNNNNNUGUUAGAGAGGGUGUGCUUUCUCUGCUGUGGAGAAGAGCUUUUUGUUUGGUUUUUUUUGGGGGGGAAGACAUGAGAGGUUGGACGAAGAAGGCUGGCAGCUAGGGAGAAGAGAGGAGCGUCUCCUGCAGAGUAGAGGGAUUCUGGGAGAGCUCGUUUGGGCUGUAGAGAGAGAAGAGAGUGAGAGAGAUUUUGGAAGAGCUUCAGGGAGUUUUCUUUAGAGAGGUGAGGGAUUCCAGGGUAAGUUUGGGGGGAGUUAGAGGAGGAUAUUUUGAGUAGAGGAGAGCUUUUGUUGGGGUCAUUGGGAGAAAGACGGGGGCUGCAGAGAUCUUUUUGGGGGGAGAGAGAGCUUUUGUGUGGUUUUUUUUUAGAGAGAGUCUGGAGCUUGAGAGAGGAGCCAAGAGGGGUUACAGAGAAAAGGAAGGUGCUUUUCAGAGGGGCUGCAAGAGAGAUUCCAGGAGCUGCAGAGGAGGAUGGUUUAGCUCGAGAGGGGGGGUGCCUUUUGAGGCUCGGCUGGAGAUAUUUUCUAGGCAGAGAGACGUUUGAGGAGAGAUUUUUCUGGACAGUUGCAGCCCAAAACAUCCAGCGGAGGAAGAGACUUUCAGGUUUGGUUACUAUGGUUGUCACAUACGUUUUCAUUCUUCAUGCCUUUCAUACAUAUCUUAUUCUCUUGGAUUUUCAAUUCCGUUUGUUGGGUUGUUUUGGUUUGGAAUUGUUUUGGUUUAAUAUCUGAAGAGCUUGCUGUAUGUUGUGCUCUGUUCUUGUAAGCAUUCUCUGUUUUCUUUUAACCCACUGAUUGUUGGACCUAUGGAUGUAAUGAUGAAAUGGGUCUGACAUGAUUGUUAAAGGCUUCAUGUUCAUUUCCUGUUAUUAUUCUCUGGUUCCUCCGUUUUCCUCUGGACGUGCCUUCAAGUUUGUAAGGUUGGGAGAUAUUGGAUUGAAGGUGAACAUAGCGGUUUAUGGUAAGAUGGUUGCUGGGUCUGGGUUUUCGGUAUUGAUGCAUCCUAGAAGAAUGGUAUGUCUGUAAGAGGUGGCUCAUCCCUUUUCCUUGUGGACCAAAGCUGGAAUUGCAUGAACGGGAGUGAUUCGUGGUAGAAAGUCAUUGAGGUCAAAACAUGGGAGGAGAUUGUUGCAGCCACUGGGUCUUGUUAGAAUCUAUCUGCCAUUGGGAUUAUUCUGGAGGAUUGAAUGCUACUUGAUAUAGAAUUUCAAGUUUCUGAGACGCCAUGUUUGGAAGGGCAUUUGUGUUUAUCAUAUCUCAAACUGCUGGGAGUGUUCUUUGUUGUAAAUGAUGCAUACUGAUGGGUCAUUAUACAACUGAAUCUCUUCAAUAGAGAUCAAUGUAUCAAUUAUAGCCAAAGAGUCACCUGCUCAGCACAUUCAAGAUCCCACUGCUAUGGUUCCUGCCUGUGUACAUGCGAAGUUCAUAGCUUGCCUGUCAACAUGCAUCUAAUGAACAUGAAUGUCUAGUAUAUGAGGGAGAGAUCUUAUAUGAUACAGGUCAUUGUGAGGAAGGGCUUCGGAAAGCAAAAGAGUCUAUUAGCCUUAAAAGGUCUUUUGAGGCCUUCUUUUUGAAAGCUCAUGCAUUGGCUGAUUUUAGCCAAGAUCCAUCCCACUCAUAGUUCAUGCACAUACCCAUCUAAUCCCACCACUACAACCUCUUCUUUCCCUGCAUCCUCACACUCCACCCUACCUAUCACUCAUCUAUCCAACUCGUCUCUCCAUUCCGUAUACCCGUCACCCACCAUUCAUCCCUCGUGAUUUCAUUACCAUAUUCCAAUGGUCACCCGUUCAUCUCUCCUCCUACCCGUUCCACUAAUCAAACCCAUAAACCCAUAUUCCCUCAUACCAUAACCCUACACUCAUCUCCAACAAUUUUCUCUUGGAUCCGGAGAUUCUUAAGCCCACAAUCAGUGAAAAGUCAAUGGUGCUGAUUCUUUGUUCACCAUCAAACCCAACGUGAUCUGUACAUCCCAAGAAACUCCUAGAGGAGAUUGCUGAUAUUGUAGCAAAACAUCCUAGACUCCUGGCAUGUGGGAGAGAACACUUACUGUCAAUGGAUUUUCAAAGACUAUUGCAAUGACUGGUUGUCGACUUGAAUACCUGGCUGGUCCAAAACACUUUGUGGCAGCAUUGCAGAAUGCUCAGUAGAUAGCUCCAUCAUCAAGACAACCUAUAUGCUGACAUAUGAGAGUGCAUCUGAAUUUCUUCAUUUGAACCUGGAAGUAGCAAGGGUAGCAUCUCUAAAUCUGUUGGUUUGAGUGUGACCUUAACCUCUAGGUUUGAUAGUUCGAUCGAUUCAAGCCCAAUUAUCCUGUUUAUGAAAGGAAUACCAGCUGAACCUAGGUGUGGUUUCAGUCGAAAAGCAGUUGAAAUCCUUCAACAAGAAAAGGAUAGCUCUGUCCAGCAGUGUUUAGAUGCAUUUUUGCAUGUUGUGUCAUCUACUAUACCGGGUUUGCUGGAGAUAUUCAGCAAAUGAUGGGAGAAAUGGCGGCAUGGCCAAAUUGCUGUCCUUACCAAUCAGGCUGCCCCAAAAAUUAAUGUUCAUUUGUUUCCUGUUGUUCUUCAUCUUCUUGAGAACACGUCCGUGGGUAAGGAGGACGACAGAAAAUAGCGGGUUAGAGAUGGAUACAUCUUUGUUUCAGGAAGCUGCCACGUUCAUAAAGCUAAAUAUAGGUUAAAGUGGAGGGACUGAAUUUUGAUUACAGCCGGAGCUAGGGCUACGGGGUCGGUGACAGAUGACCUCUUCAUGAAGUCCAUGGAAUCAGCGUCGAAGGAUGAUACUGAGUUGAGCACAAAAUAUGAACAACAAGGAGGGUUAUGGCGUUCUCUGGACUGCUCUUUCUGGUAUUAUGCCUGAACCACCUACUAAAUCAGUAGUUUUGAGUCACAUGGAGCUGCUCCUUAAAGACGAGAUAUAUGCCCGAUUGACUAGAAAGUGGUCUCUUUUACCUGAAGAAAAUGGAGACACGUGGGCAGACUUGCUGUCAUACAGCAAGGAAGUUUGAAACAGCUCUCAUUGCUGUAGUAAGAAAGCCACCCUCAUUGCCGACAACGUUCUGCCCUUGCGCUCUACUCCCGAAGGUGCCGAGGUCUGUAACGUUGAAGAUCACGUUAGUGAUCGAGGUGUCUUCGCCAGAGCAUCCGGCGAGUGAGCUAUUGUCGCCAGCCACGACCCUGAUAAUGGCACCAGCAGAAUCAAGCUCCCAUACCACCUUUUUCUUUAACAGCCACGUCGGCCAGAAGGGGAAAUGGUCCAGCUGUAGCAAUCCCACUGGUUGUUUUGGGAAUUCAAAAUGAGACAAAGGUGUUGACUUUAUUGAAACUUUGGAUAUUUUAAAUGAGCAUGAUCGUCUUAAAAUGGGAGUUCUUGAACGAGGAUCCAGUAGUCAUGGCAAGACGCACUGCCCUGGCAAAGAGGCUUGAGUUAUACAGAAGCGCUCCAGCUGAAAUUGAAGAGGGGGUGUUGCUAGAAUCACUGGUACAAUCUUUCAAACGAGUUCAAGGUACAGUUGCAGUGGAAAUCCUUCUAUCAAACUGAUUUCAUUCUCCAAACAAGCAGUUGAAACUUUGAUGAUAAGUGGGUCCAGUCAUUUAUGGUCAGACUCUCCCGAGGAUUGAGCACAUAGUUAUACAGUUGUGAUUAUAUCCCCAAGUACUAACAUGAGUGAAGAUCUGAAAUUUCAGCAGUGGGUAGGAAUCCAUUAAAUUUGAAGUAAAGAAGUUCUCUUUCUUGCACAAGAUGAUCUUUGAGAGGCAUGAAAAAUACGUUUAUCUGAGAUUGGUUGAAGAUAUCAUCUCAAAUAAUGUUCAAAGGGAUGAUAAGACAAGGACUGGUACUUUAUCGAAGUCUGGUUGUCAGAUGCGGUUUAAUCUAUGAAAAGUUUUUCCGUUUCUUACAACUAAGAAAGUAUUUUUGGUGGUGGAUCGUUGAAGAACUGUUAUGGUUCAUCAGUGGCACAACAAAUGCAAAGGUCCUACAGGAAAAGGGAAUUCAUAUAUGGGAUGGCAAUGCACCCAGGGACUACCUUGAUAGUAUUGUUUUGGAAGACAAAGAUGAGGGGCCUGUCUCAGAUUUUAAUGGCUCAGAAGCUGGGAAUGAAUUUUAAAAAGUCAUAGCAGGUCAGGGUGCCUACCCAUUCUAAUCUCAAGAGAGCGACAGAUGCAAUCUCCCACACCACAGAGUUGUAUUAGUGGCGCAUCCGGUCUACGUGCAGAACCUCAUUAUGCAUGGCCACCUUUGGCAUGCAAUUUUUGAUCAUUUGUCAUUGCUCUUUCCCUGCAUCAUUGGUUUAAAAAAAUGAUCUCCCAAGAUCCAAAUUUAAAGCAGUUUUCCAAAUCUUGGCUUUCAAAUAAUUUCGAAUCUUUGCAAUUUUCUUCUUUAGGCUUGUUAAGUUCCAAAAUCUCAUUUUCCAUAAAAUUUGGCCGCCAUUCUCUCUUCGGCGAGCCACUUUUGAAUUUUCUAUGAUUUUCAAAAUGUUUUAAAAUAAGUGUGAAUUUAUUUUCGUAAUUCUUAAUUAUAGAAUUUACGAAAUUAAUUCACUCAAAAAUAAAAUGGGCUUUGGUGGGGGCCCUACAUCAAAGAAUUUUCUUUAAAAUAAAAAUCAAUUUGAAUGAAUUGUGACGUGAUGACUUUUGUGCUCGAUUUAGCGACAUGUGAGCUAUGUUUAUGCUCUUUAUUGUACACUGACCCAAUUUUUUGUGAUAGCGCAUUGAUCGUUUGAUGCUAAGGUACGCCCCGCUCUCACUUUGAUCAUUCUUCAUUGGGUGUUCUGAUUUUCAUACGUGCAUAAUCAUUCUGGGUAUUUUCUGAUUUACACAUCAAUUGCCAUGUCAGCUUCACCUCAUUAGUAGAGACCCGACUUAGGGACUUAGAGGGGUGCUACGGUCUUCACCGUACCUUCCCGAUAAGUAACCUGACCCCCGAACCUGAUCCGGUUUUUCGUAGAUCACCUUUUCCAAAAUAAGGAGUCACACUUAGGGUUUUUCUUUCUUAUUUUGUUUACCCUUUAAAAAUAAAACAAAAAUAAGUGGCGACUCCAAGUCAUUUUCAAAUAAUCAAUAAAAACCAAUUUUUCAAAAUAAAAUUCGAGCUCGCCAUUCGAGUGGGAAACGCAUUGAGCCGAAAUGCGGGGUCCACAGCAUGUUUUCCUUUGUGCUUAGGAUUUAGAGAAAGCUUAGGAAGAUUUUCAUGUAUCUAACAUGAUCUAGGUACAAGAAACAAAAGUAUCUAGGAUUUCUUACAAAAAUCCAGUAGAUAGUAGGUCAUAGGCCCGAACUUUAACUUAUUAUAAUUAUAUAAGAUAUUAGAGUGUAGUUGACUCUCUUUAAUGGAGUGUUCAGUCAACCUCAAAAUUGGAUUUUAAGAGUCAAUAUUUUCCUAUGGGUUCCAGUAGUCCCCACUCAAGCUCCCAUUUCAUGGUGGCACAUUUGUUUGAUGGAUUUUGUGUUUGUAGUUCACUAAUGUGUAUAAGUGGCAUUUUGGUAAAAGUACAAAGUUGCACUAGAUCUUGUGUGCAGUAGAGUUAAUUAAAUUAAUUAGAACCGAAGUGAGAUGAAUUAAGUGACCUAAGGCCAAUUUGGACUCAAGUCAUUUAAGCCCACAGGGAAGUCUAUAAAUACCACCUUAGGGGUUAGAGUUUCAAACUUUUGCCAUUUUUCUUUUAGAAAGAGAAAGCAAACCCUAGCAACCUUUAAGUGAGACAAAAAGAGAGAAGCCUUCCUUUCUCUUAUGCGAAAGUUUGUUGUGAAAGAAGAGAUCGGGUGCAAAAUUAUUGAGUAGACGAUUUCUAUGACACAUUUUAGGGAUUGGAUUUAAUACGGGAACAUCCAGAUCAUAGGAAUGAAUUCUAAUAUCUAAAUCUAGUAUAUUUUAUGGAUUUUAUAACUAUAUUUUUCCAUUGCAUUAGAUCUAGAGAAGCUUAGAGAUAUUUAAAUGGACUCUAUAUGAUCCAAGGUUAAGAAACAGUAAUUCGAAGUUCCCAUUAGAGUUAGUGAACAAUAUUUCUAGAUUAUUAGGUUGACAAAUUAAUUUAAGCCCCCAAUUAGAAACCUUUUUAGGUUAAAUUAAGUGGCUCAAGUCUAAGGUAUGCUCAAGUAACUUAAACCUAAUGGGAAGCCUUAAAUACCUCUUGAGGGGUUAGGGCUUUAGACUCUUAGACUUUUACUUCUUCCAUUCUCUUUUACAUGUCUAGAGAGAGAGAACCUAGCCCCUCCACUUUUCUCAAUCUCUACCAUCUAAGUAUCUAGCUUCAAGGAGGAGUCAUUGAGGAGAAAACCAAUGGUUUCAUGAGAUUUUCAAUGACUACUAUGCGUUUGAGAACCUUCUUCACCACAAGGCUGUUUUGCUUCAUUGGUGGGGGAUAAGCUUAGGAAAGCAUGUAUGCACCUAACAAGAUCUAGGGAUAUGAAAUGGAGUGAUCUAUUUUUUCCUACAAUUUUAGCUUUCUUACUUGUAGUUUUAAUUGACCAUAUGUAUAGCUUUUCCUAGUUAAAAUUUUAAUUUUUUUGAACGAUGUACAAUGCACUUAUUUUGUUUUUUAAAAGAAUGUGUUUAUUUUUCUUAAUAAUGUACUUUCUUUUUUGAACGAUAUACUUAAUUUUUUAAGAAAUGUAUUUAAUAUUUCUAAAGAAUUCCCUUAUUUUUCUAAGGAAUCUAGUUAUUUUUCUUAGAGAAAUACUUAUUUUCUAAAAAUGUACUUGUUUUUUUUCAUAUUGUACUUCUUUUAAAAAUGUACUUAUUUAUACUAUCACAAAUAAUUGAAAAUUAAUUAGCAAAUUAUACUAAAACAUUAAUGUAUAUGAUUCAUAUACAAUGUACUUAUUUUCUUAGGAAUGCAUUUUCUAAAGAAUGUUCUUAGUUUUUUUUAGGGAUGUACUUAUAUUACUUAAGGAUGAAACUUAUUUAUAUUGACAGAAAUAAGUGAAAGUUGGUGAGAAAUUUAUGAUAAAACAUAUACAGUUGGAAGAGAUCCCGAGAUUCUGAUUUUUAUGUCUGGCUUUAGGGAUCAUAUCGGGGCCUCAAAAUUCUAUAUCACUGUCAGGUUGUGGACAUUCUACCCAGCCGGAGCAGAUCCCUUGGCUUGCGGAUAUGUCAACAAUUGAAAAAGUCUGCACCCAUUUUCAAUAUUCUUAGGUUUGAAGUUAUCAGCAGACAUUCAUUGUGGAGUACGUACAUACAUGACUUGUACAAAUUGAAAAUGACUUCAAAUAAUAAAAGAUAUUUAUUCAUAGUUUUAAUGCACUCAACGAAAAGUAAUCUCUUCUAUUAUUAUUAUUGUUGUUGUUAUUAUAAUUAUCAUACUACCUCAUAGAAAGGACUUCUACAAUUGAAAAUAAUCACAUGGUAAAAAUAGAUUUUAUUUGUUUGUAUCUUACAAUAAUCUUAUUAUAUAUAUAUAUAUUAUCCUUUAUACACGUUUUUUUUUUUUCAGUUUUGGUUGUAUAUUUUUAAUUUAAUAUUUUUUUUAAAAAGAAAAAAAGAUUCACUUUCCGUCAAUGUCUCAAAUUUCAAAUAUGUUCGUGCUCUAAAAAUUGUCAAGUUGUAGUCUUGUAGCCUAGAAUGUGAAGUGAGAGUUUGAUGAAAAACGAAAUAAACAAAGAUAUAAAAUAUAAUUUGUGAGCAAUGAUGAAAAUAUCAGUUUUGAUAGAUAUAUUAAUAACUCGAUUUUACAGAUAUGAGGGUAUAUAAGAAAAUAUUGGUAAAUAUUUUGACACAAAAUAUCAAUGAAAAAAAUUGAUUAAAACUCAUGAAAAUAUUGAAAAAAAAAACUCUGAAACAUGAUAAAAUAAGCAAUAAUAUAUUUAUUAAAGUUUUUUUAUUGUAAAACUUAAAAACACAAAAUUAUCAACAAAUAUCAAUGAAAAUUUUGAAGAAAAAAAAAGAAGCAAUAAUGCAUAAUGAAGUUAUUUAUUAAAAAAUGAUAUAAUUUAAUAUAAUUAAUGAUAUUCGAUAAUAAUAUACAUAAUUUAAGAAUUUAAAAUAUAUUUAAUAUUCAACAUAUAAAAGAAAUUAUGAUAUAUAUAUAUAUUAAAAAAUUAUUAUGAUGAUUUGUAUAAUUUGAACAAUUUUUAAAUGGAAUAUGAAAAUGAAAUAAUUAAAAUGUACAAACAUAGUCCUGUAAGUCGUUGAUUAAUGUGUUUAUCAUGAUCAAAGAUCCGGAUAAUGUAUAUAAUUGAAAAUUUAUUAGCAAAUAAUUGUCAAAUGUUAAUGUAUAUAAUUUAUAUACAAUGAACUUAUUUUUUGAGGAAUGCAUUUUCUAAAGGAUAUUCUUACUUUUUGGAGGCAAGUGAUUAUUUUUUUAAGGCUAAACUUAUUUAGAUUGGAGCAAAUAAGUGAAAGUCCAUGAGAAAUUCAUGAUAAAACAUUAAUGCACAUAAUUUAUAUAUUAUGUACUCAUUUUUUAUUUUUUUAGAAAUGUACAAAUAAUGGAAAGUUCAUUAGCAAUUUAUAGUAAAAUAUUAAUGUACAUAUUUUUUUGAAGGAUGUAUAAUAUACGUAUUUUUUAAAGGAAUGUAUAUAUUUUUUUUCAAGAUAUAGUUAUUACAUACCUAAGACUACAUUUAUGUUCAUAUUGAAAUUAAAGAGCUUUCAUAAGAGAAAGUGUGGCCACUUGAUCAUAUAAAAAAAGAAAAAAAGAAAAAAAAGUAGAAAAAAAAAGGGUAUAUAUCAAACACUUUCAAUUAUGAUUUAUCAUAUCAAAGAUUUUAAAAAGGGACAAUUCAUUUAGUUGUUAUUUAAAUGCUUAUUUUAGAAAUAAUUUUAUCCAUUGUGUGUUUGGGAUGAAAUGUGAAAGUUGGAAUCCUAAAAAAUAUACUUAUAUAUUUUUGAAUUAAUGUAUGUCACCAUAGUUCUCCCAAAAAAUGGCCUGGCUUCAUCAUACUUCUGUUUUUAAAUUUUUAAAUUUUAAAAUAAAUUUUCAUGAAUCACUUUUAAAUGUUUUUUAUAGAAAAAAUUUAAAAUAUAAAAGUAUGGACGUCAUCAAGGGACUUCAGAAGAGAAGAUCUCAUAAUUCUAGAGCAUGCUUAUUUAUCCGCCUAUGUGAAUUAUGUACAAAAUUCCAUUUAAUAUGAACAUAAAAUUAAUUGAAUUAUGUGGCUUUUUUUUUUUCUUUUACGCAUAAUAUAACAUAUACAAUUGGAAGAGAUCCCGAGAUUCUGAUUAUAUAUCUGGCUUUAGGGAUCAUAUCGGGGCCUCAAAAUUCUCUUUCACUGUCAGGUUGUGGACAUUCCACCCAGCUGGAGCAGAUCCCUUGGCUUGCGGAUAUGUCAACAAUUGAAAAAGUCUGCACCCAUUUUCAAUAUUCUUAGGUUUUGAAGUUAUCAGCAGACAUUCAUUGUGGACUACGUACAUGACUUGUACAAAUUGAAAAUGACUUCAAAUAAUAAAAGAUAUUUAUGCAUAGUUUUAAGGCACGCAAGGAAAAGUAAUCUCUUCUAUUAUUAUCAUUGUUGUUGUUAUAAUUAUCAUACUACCUUAUAGAAAGGACUUCUACAAUUCAAAAUAAUCACAUGAAAAUAGAUUUUAUUUGUUUGUAUCUUACAAUAAUCUUAUUAUAUAUGUAUAUAUAUCUUUUUGUGGACCCUGCAUUUUGCUUAUGCGCUGCCACUCAAUGGCGAUGUUUUUUUUUUUUUUUUAGAAAAUGACUUGGAGUCACCAUUUAUUUUUGUUUUAUUUUUGAAGGAUAAAUAAAAUAAGAAAGAAAAUCCUAUGUGCGACUCUUUAUUUGGAAAAGGUGAUCUGUGAAAAACAAAAAAAAAAUGGCUCGGGGGUCAAGUUACUUAUCGGAAAGAUACGGUAAAGACCGUAACACUCUUUUAAGUCCCUAAAAACGGGUCUCUACUAAUGAAAUGAGACAAUUAUGACAAUUGGUAGGGAAAUCAAUGGAUAUCAACAUGAUCACACUCUGAAAGCCAAAGCAUGUAUGGAAGACAAUCAAAUUGAGAGAGUGCGUACCUUAGUAGCAAACCAUAAUGCGCUAUCAAGAAAUGGGGUUAGUGCGAAACAAUGAUCAUAAAAUAAGUCACAUACAUCACUAAACAUGAUAAUAAAUCAUCAGAUAUCACACUUCACUCAAUUUUAUUUUCAAAGUACACAUUCACUGAUGUUGGGCCCCCACCAAAGCCCAAUUUAUUUUUGCAUGAAUCAAUUCCAUAAAUUCCAUCACUUUGAAUUACAAAAUUCAAUUCUUGCUUAUUUUAAAACAUUUUAAAAAUCAGAGGAGAUGAGAAUUGCAUGCCGAAGAAAAUGACAGCAUAUCUUAUUGGCAAAAAUGGAUUUUUGGAACCUAAGAGAAAUGCUAAGGAUGAAAAAAAGGGAGAGUUGAAAUUAUUUUUGAACAAACUAAAAUCUGGAAAAUUAUUUGAGGAAUGGGGGUGUGGGAAAUUAUAAAAAAAAAAACAAGAUGGAAAAGUGAAAGAAAGCCAAUGUGUCUACUAGGGUUGCAUGCCAAAAGUUAGCCAUGCUGUUUUCUCCUGUAGCUUCUCUUUUCAAUACAGUGAGACCAAUUAGAAAAACUGAUUCAACUUCUGAACUUGUAGCCCUCCGUCAUCCUGACCACUUCUGACACUUUGGGACGGUGGGCAGGCAGAUAUGGAGUGUACAGUAAGGCCACUUACAACAAUUCUCCCACGUCGAGCCUGUCACAGUUGUAGCUUAUUUGGUGGUGUGAGGCUGACCAGGUCCUCCACAAUCUCUUCUGACCGGUUUCUCAGAUUAUCAAAUGAUUUCUCCACCUAAGCAUGAGUAUUGUAUAGCACAUGUCUUUCCAGGUAGUAUUUAGGUUUGCAUACAUGUUCGACCAAAUAAUCAGGAACGACCCAAGGUAUCUCAUGUCUCAGGAACUCCUCCACAAACACGCUUCAGAGUGUCAAAAGGGGGGUGCAAUGCACUGUCGCAAUAGCUACAAUUCAUAUCCAGCUGGUACGACCACUAACAAUAUCAAGGUCCAUCUCAGUAGGGUCGUUUGCUUGCAACUCCACCAGAAUCCCAUCAAACUCUCUCUAAAUCAGCCUUUGGCUUGCAUGAAUCAUUUCACGUUUGACCCUUAAUAUAUUAGGACACCAUGCAACGAAGGACGUCAUGCUUUUCUAGCAAUCCUCUUCAGUCACAGAAUCAAAAUCAUAGGCGGCAUGUCGACACUCAUCAACUUCAAAUGGAUUUUCUGGUUUUUGCGUCCUCUUUGAAAAAUAUUGAAAUAGUGUGGUGGUUCACCUUGGAGCGCUGAAUGGGAGGAGAAGAUGUUGGAAAGUCAAUCUUCCUAAAUCUUCCAUAUUAAGAAUAGAUGAUCUGUAUAUGUUAGUUUUCCUAUUGUAAUUCCUGACUUAUAGCUGGAUAGCCUAGAAUAUGGUAAGCUAAUUCCUUACUUGUAGAAAAAGAUCUCAAACCUCCUUGUAUAAAUACACACUUCAACAUCAAUAAUAUUAUUCAGCCAAUUCCCUUUGUCAUUCAUAUGUUCAUGGUAUCAGAGCAGGACUAAAAUCCUGAUUCAUCGCUGCACUCUAAUCUCUCGUGUAACAUCUCUUUUCUUCAAUCAUCAAGGCAAAAUCAGAGAUUCCUACAGAUUUCUCAAAGGCAGAUCUCUCCAAUCCCUAUUUCACUCACCAUUCAGAUCACCCAGGUUUGGUUUUGAUUUCCAAAUCUUUCAGUGGAGACAAUUAUUCAGCUUGGAAAAGGGCUAUGAUUCUAGCUUUAAAUUCCAAGAACAAAUUGGGUUUUGUUAAUGGCUCAAUCAAGGCUCCUUCAGAAGAAAUUGAUCUUGAAGGUUAUGCGACUUGGUCACGGUGUAAUGACAUGGUUCACUCCUGGAUCGUCAAUACUCUCAAUCCAGAAAUUGCGGACAGUGUAAUCUAUUAUUCUACUGCUCAUGAAGUUUGGGAAGAUCUCUGUGAGCAAUUCUUUCAAAGCAAUGCGCCUCGCAUCUUUGAAAUUCAGCGAUAUAUUGCUUGUCUUCGACAAGAGCAACUCUCUGUCUAUGCCUAUUACACAAAAUUGAAAGGCUUGUGGGAUGAACUAGCUUCCUACAACGCUGCAGCACAUGGGGCACAACAAGAUCAACAAAAAUUGAUGCAAUUUCUGAUGGGUUUGAAUGAAUCUUUUAGUGCUAUUUGCGGGCAAAUCCUCAGAAUGAAUCCUCUCAUUUCUGUCUGCCAAGCAUACUCCUCUAUCUCUCAAGAAGAAAAACAGCGCCUCCUCACUUCAACGAAUGCAGCAGCGGAAUAUGCUGCAAGUGCUGCUAUGGCCGUGCGCAGCAACGACAAGUUUUCGGCAACUUGGAAGGACGGAAUAGAUCGAUCGAACAUAGGAAGGAUGGAACCGACUGAUCGCCCCUCUGGUUCUCAAAAUUUCCGGGUGAAUCGGUCUUCUCAGGGACAAGAUGGCAGACCAUUUUUUGAUCAAGAUCGGCGCCGCAUGGGUUCUGGAAGAGGACACCCCCAGUGCUUGUAUUGUGGAGAUAUGGGUCAUUGGGUCCAAAAGUGUUUUCAACUACAUGGAUACCCACCAGGCCAUCCUAAAGCAAGAAUGAACUUAGGCUCAAACUUAAAUCGGAAUAAAAGUUUUUUUGCGGCUAACCAAGUUUCUGAGGCAGAUGAAGGGAAACCUGCAGUUGCAUUGUCAAAAACCCAACUCAAGCAACUUUUGUCACUUCUUAAUAACCAAGAUGAAAACUCUAGUUCCAAAGUGAAUGCGGUAACAAAGCCAGGUUUGUCCAAAGUCGCUUCCCGCAAUUGGAUUAUUGAUAGUGGGGCGAUGGAUCAUAUUACUUCAUCCUCUAAGUUAUUGCAUAAAGAUAAAAAUUGCUCAUUACCUCCCGUAUUGUUGCCUAGCGGAGAAAAAACGAAUAUUGUUACGAAAGGGUCUUUGCCUUUGAAUUUCGUCUAUUAUCUGCAUGAUGUCUUAUCUGUGCCUACAUUCAAAGUUGAUUUAAUAUCAGUUAGUCGUUUGACAAGAGGUCUAAAUUGUUCAAUAGCGUUUUUCCCUUAUUGGUGUAUUUUGUAGGAUUUAGCUACAAGGAGGAUGAUUGGUUUGGGUAAACAACGUGACGAACUAUACUAUUUCGUGGCACUAGCGACGGAGAAAUCUUUAGCCAACCAUUCCUCAUCCAUAAACCAACCAGCCUAUAAUCUCACCAUCUCUUCCACCGAUCUCUGGCAUAGUCUCUUAGGCCAUAUAUCACCUUUUCAUUUGAGUUUCAUUGCCAAGAAUUUUUUGAAUUUUUCUGUUCAGUCCAAUAAUGCUUGUCCUAUAUGUCCUUUGGCUAAGCAAAGUUGUUUACCUUUUGGUACUAGUGCUAUUUCUUCUACAAAACCUUUUGAGAUUAUUCAUUGUGACAUUUGGGGUCGUUAUCGACACCCUUCUCUGUUUGGUGCCCAUUACUUUCUCACUAUUGUCGAUGAUUAUACACGUUUCACAUGGAUAUUUUUAAUGCGACAUAAAGACGAAACACAAUCACUUUUAAAACGUUUCUUCAGCUAUGUGUUCACACAAUUUGAAUUUCGCAUUAAAACUUUUCGAAGUGACAAUGGUGGAGAAUUUACCUCACUUCAUUCUUUUUUUCAAGAUAAUAGGGUCAUCUUUCAGCAUUCUUGUGUUUACACGCCUCAACAAAAUGAGGUUGUGGAACGCAAACAUCGUCAUAUUUUACAAGUAGCCCGAGCUUUGAAAUUUCAUGCUCAAGUUUCCAUUCAAUUUUGAGGAGAGUGUGCUCUCACUGCCGUACACAUCAUCAAUCGGUUACCUUCACCAGUAUUGUCUUUCAAAACUCCUUUUGAAUUGCUUUACUCAAAACCACCUUCUUACUCCCAUCUCCGUGUUUUCAAAUGUUUAGCCUAUGCCACCAAUGUUCACACCUCUUGAUUACCGUGCCAUGCCAUCCAUCUUCAUCGGUUAUCCUGUUGGUCAAAAAGCAUACAAAUUAUUUGAUUUAUCAACCAAAAAGGUCUUUACUAGCCGAGAUGUCAAAUUUCAUGAAGAUAUUUUCCCUUAUGUCUUUCUCAAGCCCAACUCUACUCUCCCUUUGUUGACCCAUAAUUCUGGUCCAAUCCCCUUGGUGGCCCACGACAUCUCUUCCUUCCUUGACUCUAAUUCUCACGCACUUUCCCCUCUUCUUUCCGACCACACAAGCACGCCGUCUCCCACCACAGAAAAUGACGACUUUUCCUCUCCUUCUCGACCUUCCGAAAUCGUUAUCGAACCUUCUUCUUAGAUUGAUCCAAACCUUCCACCAUCGCCUUCUGCAACUCUAGUAUCGCCUUCUCCGAUGCCACCGUUUGCAUCCAUCUCGUUCGCUCCUGCAACCGAGACACCCAUCUUUUCACCAGAAACACACUCACCCAAACCAGCCGCUCCGCUCUGUCGCUCCAGCCGCCAUAUCGCCCCGCCAAUCAAGCUCCACGAUUAUGUUUGCUCCCACGUUUUCUCCGAUCAAUCGUCUUCCUUGAUUCCAGGUCCGACUAAAGGUACACGAUAUCCACUGUCCAAUUAUGUUUCUUAUCACAUAUAUAAGCCUGCAUAUAGAUCUUUUGAUGCUUAACAUAGUGCUGUCAUAGAACCCAUGUCUUAUUCGGAAGCCGCCGCUCAUCCUGAGUGGUAUGAGGCAAUGCGUUCUGAAUUGCAGGCUCUCCAAGCUAAUGGCACUUGGUCUCUCACUCCACUUCCGGCCGGCAAGACACCGAUUGGCUGUCGAUGGGUGUAUAAAAUUAAACACCGUUCAGAUGGGUCUAUUGAGCGUUACAAAGCACGAUUGGUAGCGAAAGGCUUUACUCAAUUAGAAGGUGUCGAUUAUCAGGAUACAUUUUCCCCCAUUGCCAAGAUCAUAUAUGUCCACUGCUUGCUUGCAUUGGCCGCAGCCCGUGGCUGGUCUCUUCAUCAAAUGGAUGUUAACAACUCUUUUCUUCAUGGUGACUUACAUGAGGAAAUAUAUAUGUCUCCGCCGCCAAGGCUUCGGCGAUAGGGGGAGGAAAACUUGGUAUGUCGCCUUCAUAAAUCACUCUAUGGUCUGAAACAAGCUUCUUGCCAGUGGUUCGCCAAGUUCUCAGAAGCUAUUCGAUCCGCCGGUUAUGCACAAUCUCAAGCCGAUUAUUCUUUGUUCACCAGACAACAAGGCAAGUCCUUUACCGCCCUCUUGAUAUAUGUUGAUGAUAUUCUGAUUAUUGGAAAUGAUCCUGUGAGCAUUGCUACAACAAAAAAAUUUAUGCAUAGUCAUUUUCAUCUAAAAAAUCUGGGUGAUUUAAAAUACUUUUUUGGCAUUGAGGUUUCUGCUUCUAAAAAUGGGAUUUUUAUUUCCCAACGUAAGUAUGCAUUAGAGAUUAUUGAGGAUGCAGGAUUGUUGGGCGUUGCCCCUAUUGAUACACCUAUGGAACGAGGAUUGAAAUUGUUUGAUAAGAGCGAUUUGCUCAAGGAUCAAGGUCAUUAUAAGAGAUUGGUUGGAAGGUUAAUAUAUCUAACUGUGUCAAGGCCAGAUAUCACUUAUGCAGUUCAUGUGUUAAGCUGGUUUAUGCAUCAUCCGAGAAAGGCUCAUAUGGAAGCAGCAUUCAGAGUUGUGCGUUAUCUCAAGAAUGUACCUGGUCAGGGUCUGUUCUUCUAUUCGAAUGAUGAUUUCAGAUUGAGAGCCUACUAUGAUUCUGAUUGGGCAGGUUGUCCACUUACUAGAAGGUCCACUACAGGCUACUGUGUAUUCCUUGGACCUUCACUGAUUUCUUGGAGAUCAAAGCGACAGAAAACAGUGUCACUCUCUUCAGCCGAAGCAGAGUAUCGUGCAAUGACAGGAGCUUGUUGUGAGUUGACAUGGCUUCGGUACCUUUUGAAAGAUUUGGGUGUUUUACAUCAGGAACCUGCCUUGCUAUAUUGUGACAACAAGGCAACGUUGCACAUUGCAGCCAACCCUGUUUUCCAUGAGCGUACUAAACACAUUGAGAUGGAUUGUCACUAUAUUAGGGACAAGAUCCAAGAUGGUUCCAUUAUUACAAGACAUGUGAGCUCAGCGCACCAACUUGCAGACAUUCUGACCAAACCAUUGGGAAAGGAGAUUUUUGCUCCUAUGAUUCGCAAGUUGGGAGUGCAGGAUAUCCACUCUCCAACUUGAGGGGGAGUGUUGGAAAGCCAAUCUUCCUUAAUCUUCCAUAUUAAGAAAAGAUGAUCUGUAUAUGUUAGUUUUCCUAUUGUAAUUCCUGACUUAUAGCUGGAUAGCCUAGAAUAUGGUAAGCUAAUUCCUGACUUGUAGAAAAAGAUCUCAAACCUUCUUGUAUAAAUACACACUUCAACAUCAAUAAUAUUAUUCAGCCAAUUCCCUCUGUCAUUCAUCUUUUCAGAAGAGAGCUGCGUUCUCAGCGGNNNNNNNNNNNNNNNNNNNNNNNNNNNNNNNNNNNNNNNNNNNNNNNNNNNNNNNNNNNNNNNNNNNNNNNNNNNNNNNNNNNNNNNNNNNNNNNNNNNNAAAUAGGUUAAUGGGUAUUAAAAAAAAUGAUUAUAUGCAUGGGGGCAUGAGGGGUGAAUAUGGAAAUGAGUGUGAGAAGGUGGCAGUGGGUAUGAUGGAAUAUGGGAGAUGGAAUGGAUGUGUAUACAUGUGGUGUGUAUGGGAGAUGUGGAGAUUGAGAAGUAAAGUAAAUGGGUAUGAAAGAUGGUCACAUAUGCAUGAAGAGGUAUGGAAAAUAGGAUGGGUACAUGGUGGAGUGUGAGGUUUGAUUAGGAUGGGUUCAAUAAGUAUGCUGGGUAUAGGCACUGGGUAUGGUGGAGUGUGAAAGGUACGUGGUAUAGAGAGAAGGGCAUGGUGGGUGCCAUGCAUGGCCAUGCAAGGAGCUGUAAUCAACAUCUCAUUUUUCACUAGGCUUUUCAGAAACUCUAAGCAAAUAAUUUGCGUAUCUAUUGGCAUUAGAAUCCAUGUAUAUAUGAAGCUUCAUCUCCGGCAUCUCGCGGACCUUGCACUAUAGCAUGAAAAUUGUUUUCUCUGAAUCGCUAGCUUACAUGCAUCCUCAGUAUAUACUCUUCUGACACCAACUUGAAUACAAAACGUGGAAAGAAUGCCUGUGCCUAAGCCAACAUCCACUACAACUUUGGCAACAAUAGGACUCUAAGGCUGCAUAGUUACUGCCUUAUAUGUUAUAGUCCUCACAUGAUACUUGAUCAAUCUGUCUUUAGCAAUUGACUUGUAUGCUAAACCCCUCUCCAGAUAGCUUAUCUUUCCCAGAGAUCAGUCAACUGCUCAAGGUAUUCCUCAAUACGCUGUUUGGGGCAAGGACUUUGUAACCACAGUUUACACCCUGAGCUUUUCAAGUGAUGAUACAUGAACCAAGCUACUCCACAACUAGUUACAUGUAAGCAAAUAGGCGUGAAGGAUGAAAGUGCUUAAAAACAGAGUAAGAAUGAUGAGACCCAAGAAAUAUUUAGGCAAAGACACAUUUCUAGAAUGAUAAACGAGAUCAAAACAGGUGGGACAAAUGGGAAAGCUUCAAUAUAACUAUCAAACAUCAAACCUAAGUCCAAAGAGGGAUCCCACCAUUUACAGGGGAAAAUCAAGAGUAUGAAAGGGGACAAAACAUAGCAAAUGUAAUGUGAGCUUAAGUACAACAAACCCAACAAUCAACGCUUAGGAUCAACAAUGACAAGGAAGAACACCAAGAAAUCCAAAGAGAAAGUGUCCGUAGUGAUCAUACCUGAGCUCCUCAAGUGAAAAUGGUUCAACUCCUUCUCCUCCAGAAUAUUUGGCUCCUCUGUAACAAAAAUCUCCAGCAACCAACACGUUUCUCACCUUCUCACAGCAAACGCUCCCCUCUUAGUCUUUUUCUGUUACCCUCCAGAAAAUGUCCUCCCUCACUUCCUCUCUGUAACUCUAAAUAUCCAGCUUGCUCCCCAAGAAAACGAAAAUGUCCCUCUGUAACUCCUCCUCCAGCUUGCUUUACUCCCUCUAUAAUCUCUCUGGUAGCCUCACUCUCUCUCUUGUAAUCCCAACUUUCUCUCCAAGCUACCUCCCCCAAGCCAAAAGAACACUUUCAAAAUCUCUCACCACCCUCUCCCUAGAAUCCUCUCAUUCCUGCCCCGUUUGCUUCUGCCCCAAGCUAAAAUGAACCUCCCAAAAUAUCUCCUUAUGUAACGAUCUGCAACAGCUCUCCACAAUCUUCCUAAACGGUCUCUAGUACGUGUCGUCCUUUGAUUCCUCAAGAAAAAUGUCACUGCCAGCCUCCUCUCUCAUGCACGUGCUACCAAGAAUAAAAACAGGUGGUAAAAAAUGCUCCCUAGAAUAUGUUUAUAUUAACAUCAUAAAUCCAAGAAUGUCUACACAGGAAUCUCAUGCCAAAUCAUAUAAAGAAAAACAUACCGAGUCCAUUUUGCAUUUUUGUUUUGAACAAGGUAUGGAUGAUCUUCUAAGGCUAUGGAGGGCACCACCUUUCUCUGAAUUCUCUCUGACGAUGGGAGCGGGAGAGAACGGUUCUUUUCUACUUUCAAAAGAUGUGAUAUAUAAUAGAACAAACACUUUCCUUAACAUUUUAUACCCUCCUACCUUAGGGACCUUCCCGUUUAAAAGAUUGGGUCAUAUGUGUCUCAGGCCCAUCAUCUAAGACACACAUGGUAUCGGGCUCUACACAUGAGGUGGCCCACACUUUAGUACUAUCAGUAAAUAAAAUACCGAAAAUUCGAAUAGCUUGAUCAUGAAUAAUUGUUAAAACAUGUGUGAGUCCAUAUCUUAACAGAAUACCCUUACCUAUAGACCAAAACAAGGGUCUACACUUAUCCUUUAUACACAUUUUUUCUUUUUUAGUUUUGGUCGUAUAUUUUUAAUUUAAUAUUUAAAAAAAAAAUUUGCACUUUCCGUCAAUGUCUAAAAUUUCAAAUAUGUCUAUGCUCUAGAAAUUCUCAGAAGUUGUAGUCUUGUAGCCUAGAAUGUGAAGUGAGAGUUUGGUGAAAAACGAAAUAAACAAAGAUAUAAAAUAUAAUUUGUGAGCAAUGAUGAAAAUAUCGGUUUUGACAGAUAUAUUAAUAACUUGAUUUUACAGAUAUCAGGAUGUAUCAGAAAAUAUUGGUGACUAUUUUGACACAAAAUAUCAAUGGAAAAAAAUGGAUCAAAACUCAUUAAAAUAUUUUUUUUAUAAAAAAACUCUUAAACAUGAUAAAAUAAACAAUAACAUAUUUAUUAAAGGUUUUUUUUUUUUUUUGUAAAACUUAAAAACACAAAAUUAUCAACAAAUAUCAAUGAAAAAAUUGGAAAAAAAAUAUCAAAAUUAAUAAAAACUCAUAAAAUAUUAGUAAAAACUAAAAAAAAAAAAAUUAUAUAAGAAGCAAUAAUACACAUAAUGAAGUUAUUUAUUAAAAAAUUGAUAUAAUUUGAUAUAAUUAAUGAUAUUCGAUAAUAAUAUACAUAAUUUAAGAAUUUAAAAUACAUUUAAUAUUCAAAACAUAAAAUAAAUUAUGACAUAUAUAUAUAUAUAUAUAUAUUAAAAAAUUAUUAUGAUGAUUUGUAUAAUUUGAAUAAUUUUUAAAUGGAAUAUGAAAAUGAAAUAAUUAAAAUUAAUUUACUUAUUAUUAUUUUAUUUUAUAAGUCUAGGAGUGCAACUGAUUACUACUCAAAAAGUGUUAUUCAUAGCUUGUAAUUAACUCUUUUAAACACUUUUGAGUAGUAGUUAUCACCUUUUAACCCAAGUAACAUAUUAAGGACCCUUGCAAUCAAUUCUAAUCAAAUUGUGUUAAGUUUUGGUGUUUUGAUAGCUUUUUUAUCACCAAAGCAAUCCGAGAUUGAGGAGAGUUCUUUGGAAUCCAUGGCAAAGCAAUGAAAAGCUGUCCGGAUAGGAUAUGCUAUCAUCCGAACAGGGCGUCCGGACACACCAUCGGAGAACGGCGGAACGUGGGCUGUGGCAGGCUGUCGAAAUGACGUAGCAAGGCUUGUGCACUUUAGUCAAUGAUCCGGACAACAUAUCCGGAUAGGAUAUGCUAUCAUCUGGGGUGUGAUAAUCGCGAGUGCCGUGUGCUUCUCCUUGAGGGAGUCCGGAUAGUGGAGCGUGCCGCCAUUCCACCCGGAUGUCUCACAUCCGGAAUUCUGCUUCGCCGCCAUUCCACCCGGAUAUUUCACAUCCGGCGCCUGACGCCGGAUGGGAGAGGAAGGCGUUUCAACUUCCCCGGUCAGACAUAUCCGAAUCCUCUGAUAGCGCUUACCCGGAGAGUUUCGCAGCCAUUUUGCACAGUGCCGCGGUGUUCUCCUGAAGCUUCCCGAUAUUUGCCACCGACAUUUGGAGAUAUUUUGCUUUAGAUAUUUGAUGUCUAAAUCCCCAAACUCUCCUUGUAACCCACCAAUUAUAGGAUCCCUUAGUUAUUAAGUAAGAACAAAGGGUGAAUAACCCCUUAUAUAUAGUUUGUAAUUUUAUAUAUAUCAUCAUGUGGAAUCUCUCGGGAGCUUGUUCUCAGGGAGACGACGUAUCCUUUGUAUAAUUUUGGAAGGAAGUAAAAUACAGAGCAUUUGCUCUGCUGUUCAUAUAUAUUUUUGUUUUUUUGUUAUUUUACUUUCUAGCCAAUCAAACUCUGAGGAUUUUUCCUCAGAGGAUGAGAGGUUAGGCUCUUUGUCUCUUAGAGUGAAGAAAGCCGGGUAAGUUUCCAAAUGCAUAAAUUGGAAGUUUUGUUGUUUUAGUUUUUAAUGAAGAGAAAGUGUGACCCGUUAAUGGUUUUUAUCUUUUUAGUUAACUUAAAACGCCUUUAAAUCACCUGGGCCAACACUUGAUAAGGCAAGUGAUCUCCAUCCAUUGAGAUGCACUAGUUUAUCUCUUGCGAGCCUUUGGGAGUUGGUUUGAAGGUAGGAUUUUCUAGAAUAGCCAACACUUGGUAAGCUUUUGGACUCUAAGGAGACAUCCAUUAGUUAUCUCUUGCGAGCUUUUGAUGGGUAAUCCAAGGUUAAGGAUCAUCUUGGAUGGAAAAUGCUAGGUGAGAGGCACGAGCCAUUGCAAGAUGCAUCAGUGAGAGGGAUUUAGUGUUUGAACCCAUUAAAGGGAAGCAUCUGUACCACACAGGUUCGGGAAAUAACUAUAUGUUAAAUCCCUAAUGCGAGGAAAAGAAACAAGUGAUCGGAACUCCCUUUUUGUAUAAGGAAUCUGAGCCCAGUGAUCUAAACUCCAAGAAACACUUUUGUUUGUAAGUAAAAUCAGUUAUUAUUUUUGGUUAGCUUAAAACCAACAUUUUCCACCAAAGAUUAUGUUUUCUUUUAAAGCUAACCUUGAAAUGAAAAGGCACCAAUUCUGCUUUGAAUUAAUAUCAAUUGUGGAGUGAAAACCCAUCCCAGUGAACGAUCCUAGAGCCACUAUGCUAUAGUACCCUAGUUCAUGGAGUAAUAGGUUAUAAAUUUUGUUGAUUACUACCUCAAUCAAGGAGCACCAGUUGGACAUGAAUUAGCUGAUACACCAAGUGGGCACGAAUUAGCAACUAUAUUUAAUUUAUAUGUGUUGCAUAUUUAAAAAAUGUUGAACUAGCUUAGUUGGUCAGAGCCCCAUCCAUGUGCACCCGAGACUCAGGUUAAAGCCUUAGUGUUGUUUCCAUUAAAAAUUUUCACAUGUUGACCCAAUAAUUUCAAUAUCGACAUUUUUCAUCCUUGUUUACAAGUACUUGGAUUCUAUUUGAAUAAAAAAAGGCACUCACAUCCUUGGAUUAAAUAUAUAUCCCAUGGAUAAGUUGUACUUAGCCACGGAUGAAGCUUUCUACUAUGACUUUAAAAAAGAAAAAUGUAAUAAAAAAACAGAUAGCAAUGUGGUUAUGUCGGCCAGUAGAUAGCUAAAAACUAAUUCUAAUCUUUUUGUUUCAAGAAGAAUGGAAUUCAUUUUUGUUAUUCAUGAAUGUGUUCUUAAAUACAGUGGAUGACAAUCAGUUCAUAUAAGAGAGUUUGUUUCUAACAGACUUAGUUUUUAAUAGUUAGUUAGUUUUAGAACUAACAAGCUAAUGUUAAUUGUGAAGUGUGGAAUCUAAUAGAGACAUUACAUUCUUGUUGCUGCUGAUGGGCUGCCAUGAUUGGUGUUUAUCAUCCCCUUACAAGCUCGCAAGGCAUAGAACUACAAACAGUUGAGUGUCGAGGGAAGAGAACUGGGAGCUUGGAAAAUUCUUGGUAAAUAUAUCAACUAGUUGUUCAGUGAAAGGUAUGUAUUGGAUGUGAAGGCCUCGUUGAAGGACCUUAUCACACAUAAAGUGAAGGUCGAUUUCUAUAUGUUUGGAGUAUUCAUGGAAGAUUAAAUUGGUGGUUAGAGCAAUUUCACUCUCGUUGUCACACCAUAUUAGGGUUGUUGUAGUUUGGGCAAUGCAAUGUUCUUUCAAGAGAGACUGAACCCGUAGUAUUUUUGUAGUGAGAGAGGCAAGUGCUUGGUAUUUUGAUUUGACACUGCUACGUGAGACCACUUUUUGUUUCAUGGACGACCAUGAUAUGAGGUUGGGUCUAAAGAAUAAGUAGUAUCACCUGGUAUUUCAUCCAUCAUCGAGACAGGAUGCCCAGUUUGCAUCUGUGUAACCUUGAAGUGCAAGGGAAGAAGAGGCUUGGAAGAGUAGACCAUGUGAGGUGUGCUCUUCAAGUAUCAAAGAAUUCUUUUUACUACAAUCUAUUAGAGCAAAAACCAGAUAUAGUUUGUUUUAUUUGUAUCUAUCUUAUUGUUGUAACUAUCAUCCUUUAAUCAUGUAAGUAGUUAGCUAAUUUUAUGCUAUUUCAAACUCUGUAAUUCAGCUAUAUAAAGUUGCUCUUGUAUUUAUUAUUAACAUAGCAAUAUAAUACAAAUAUUCAUUCUCAUAUUUUCUUUACAUGGUAUCAGAGCCCUCAUUCUAAUUUUUUGAUCAAUCAUGACUUCUUCUCAAAUGAUCCUUUCAAAUUCAAUCUCUUCUUCUGCUCAUCAUACCUUCUCUGUCAAGCUUACUCCAAGAAAUUAUCUUGCUUGGAAAACUCAAUUUAAUCCUCUUCUUAAUUACCAAAAUCUGACUGGGUUUGUUGAUAGUUCAACUGUUGCUCCAUAAAAAAUAAUUAAAGAUUCUUCUACUCCUCAUGUUGAGAUUCCAAAUCCAGAAUAUGAAACAUGGUAUAAAAAGGAUUAGAUGUUUCAUUCCUGGAUCAUUUCUUCUCUUUUCGAAGAGAUAUUUCCUUAUGUUAUUGGGUUAUCUUCAUCUUAUGAAGUAUGGUAGGCUCUCUCUCAAGUUUUUGGUUCAGUUUCUCAAAACCGACAGCUGCAAUUGCACAUUGAACUCCAAGAAUUGAAGAAAACGAUGUCUCUGUCUUAGCGUAUUUGCAACGUGCUAAAGCUCUAGCUGAUGAGCUAAAUGUGAUAGGUCGUCCUUUUGCCCCAACAAAAUUUAAUGCAAUAAUCUAUCGCAAUAUUGGUAGUGACUAUCAUGCCAUUAUCAUUGCCUUAAAUCUUCGUUCUGAACCAGUGUCAUUUCAUGAACUCCAUGGGCAACUUAUUGCUCAUGAAAUUUUACUUAAGAGCUCUACUAAUCUUCCUCAAGCAAGCAUGGUGACUUGUCAAUCUAAUUCUGCUCCAUUGAUUCCCACUCCAUCUCAGAAUAAUAAUCACAAGAAAUCUUCAAAUUGGAAUGGAAAUUGACCCCGUGGUCCUUGCUAAAUCUGUGGCUAUAGAAACCAUACCGCUGAUCAUUGUCGUCGUCGAUAUUCUCGUUACAACUCUCACAACCAAAAUGUAACUCCUCAUGCUAAUUACUCUUCGACUGGUCAUUCUCAAAAUAAUUGUGCAAGUUCUCAAGUUCCCAUUGCCAACUACACUCAUGGAGGUUCCACUAUGCCAUGGUAUCCUGACACAUCAGCGAACUAUCACAUCACCCCUGAUUUAGCCAAUCUCAGCAUUGCUCAUGACUAUAACGGACAUGACCAGCUCCAUGUUGGUAAUGGACAAGGUUUGAAAAUAACUCAUACUAGUAUCACAUCCCUUCCUUUAUCUUCUAGUUCUCUCUCUUUAAAAAAUGUUCUCUGUGUUCCUCAAAUUGUUAAAAACUUACUUUUAGUUCAAAAAUUUGCCACCGAUAAUUCUUGCUUCUUUGAAUUUUGGCCCUCUUAUUUUCUUGUCAAGGAUCAGGUGUCCAAAAAAAUCCUCUUGUAGGGCCCAAGUGAAGAUAGAGUGUACGCUUUUCGCCCUAAUGUCAAGCAAGCAUUUACAGUUGAAGCACCAACCAUGGACAAAUGGCAUGCUACUUUGGGACAUCCUCAAUGGCGUAUCGUGUCUAGUUUAAUCAAGCAAUUUCAUUUACCUUGUUCUAGUAAUUCUAGUUCUCUUUGUUCUUCUUGCAUUUUGGGCAAACAUGCUAGACUAUCUUAAGGAUCAGUUCAACAUAAAAGUAUUGCUCCCUUUCAACUUAUUUACUCUGAUGUUUAGGGCCCUGCUCCUUUGUUGUCCAGUCUUGGCCAUCGCUAUGCUCUUAUUUUCGUUGAUGAUUAUUCCCGUUACACAUGGGUUUAUUUGAUUAAAAAUAAAAGUGAUGUUUAUUAUGUCUUUCUUCAAUUUGAGCAAUUCAUUCAUCGUCAAUUUAAUCAUAAAAUUUUGGCAUUCCAUUCGGACUGGGGAGGAGAAUACCAAAAACUAAACACCUAUUUUAAACAAGUUAGCAUUGUUCACAGACUUGCAUGUCCUCAUACUCAUGAACAAAACGGUGUUGUAAAACGGAAAAUUCGCCAUCUUGUUUAUACUAGUCUUGCACUUCUUGCUCAUGCUAAUUUACCACUACGGUAUUGGAAUUAUGCAUUUGAAAUGAGCUGUUCUUCUAUUAAUAAUUUUCCCACUCUAAUUCUUAAUAAUUCUUCCCCAUACUUUGUUUUAUUUCACAAAUAUCCUGAUUAUUCUACUCAAAAGCCUUUUGGGUGCACUAUUUUUCCUCUAUUACGUCCAUAUAAUAACCAUAAGUUUGCAUUUCGGAGCACUCCUUAUUCUAUCUUGGUCCAAGUCCCUCUCACUCGGGUAAUCGUUGUCUUAAUUUAUCAAAUGAUAGGGUCUAUAUUGCUAGGCAUGUUGUUUUUAAUCCUAGCCGCUUUUUGUAUCGUUCUCAUAUUGCAGCAUCUUAAGCUCCAAAGGACUUUUCAAAUUUCCCGUGGCUUCACAUUAAAAGUGUACCACCAUCAUCCGCGGGUUCUGUUGGAAAUUCAGGUCAGACCUCUACUCCCUCUAAUAUUCAUUUAUUUUCUACCACUGAUCAAUCUUCAAAUAAUUCCUUAUUGUCAACUCAGUCCCCACCUUUGACCACGCCACCCUUCUCUCACUCUCCUAUCCCACAACAAUCACCUUCCUCAGAUUCAACCACUGAUCCUCUAUUAUAUCUUAUUGUUGAUCUCACCCAUUAUCCAGCUCAACUAAAUCUCUCCUCCUCGAAUUCACCCCAUGCAGCUUCAUUCCUCCACCAUGAAAAAAAGACAUGCGUGUCUUUCCACCAAAGCUAAAAAUUACCUUAUCACAUAACCACAAACCUUCACUCAAGCCAAACCAUAUGCUAAAUGGUGUGAUGCAAUGCAAAGUGAAAUUAAUGCCUUGCUUCAGAAUCACACAUGGGUUCUUGUUCCUCGACCUCUAGCUGCCAAUAUCAUUGACAGUAAAUGGGUUUAUUGAAUUAAAAGGAAAGUUAAUGGGGAGAUAGAUCGGUUUAAGGCUCAGCUCGUUGCGAAGGGUUACUCGUAGCAACCUGAUAUUGACUACACUGAGACCUUUAGUCCUAUGGUUAAAGCUACUACAAUUCAAACUAUUUUAUCAAUUUCUACUUCUUCACAUUGGCCAAUCUGCCAACUUGAUAUGUCAAAUGCGUUUUUACAUGGUUUUAUUGAUUCAGAUAUUUAUAUGGAGCAGCCCAUUAGCUUUCAAGACUCUUCACAUCGAGACUAUGUAUGUAAGUUGUCUAAGUCGUUGUAUGGUCUCAAACAGGCCCCUUGGGCCUGGUUUCACAGACACACUUCCUUUCUGCUGGACCUUGGUUUUCAAGCUUCAAAGGUUGAUUCUUCUUUGUUUAUUCUUCAUCAAGGUGCUCUUAAAUUCUAUGUUCUAAUUUAUGUGGAUGAUAUCCUCCUUACUUGCUCUAAUUCUACAAAACUGGAUUGGUUUUUAAGUAAGAUCAAAUCAACCUUUCUAGUUCGAGAUCUUGGAUCCCUUCAUUUCUUCUUGGAUAUUGAGGCACAAUUUUCGGUUGAUGGUCUUCUCAUCACCCAACAAAAGUACAUUACUGAUCUGCUGGCCAAUUCUAACAUGUCUAACUGCAAGCCUUGUCAUACACCUAUGUUGACCAACCCUCCACUUUCCAAACUCUCUGGUGAUCCUUUAUCAAAUGUAGAGUAAUAUCGCCAAGUGGUUGGAUCAUUGCAGUACAUUACUCUGACCAGACCUGAUAUCUCAUUCUCGGUCAAUAAAUUAUCUCAAUUUAUGCAUCAACCCACUUAAGAGCAUUGGACAACAGUCAAGAGGCUGUUGCUUUAUCUUAAGGCUACUGUUGGUUUCGGUUUGUUCUUCUCCAAGCAUUCCACUCUUGAUUUGCAAUGCUUCACUAACAGUGAUUGGGGUGGUUGCCCCGAUGAUCGUCAAUCAACAAAUGGUUAUGCAGUCUAUCUAGGCAAAAAUCUUAUUUCAUGGACUUCGAAGAAAUAACCAACCAUUGCACGGUCUUCCACCGAGAGUGAAUAUUGUGCUCUUGCUAACUCUACUGCUGAAAUUAUGUGGCUUUGAUCACUUCUCUCUGAACUUGGCUUCUUUUCCUCAAAUCCAGCUAUAUUGUGGUGUGAUAAUGUGGGAGCUAUUUAUCUAUGUUCGAAUCCUGUCUUUCAUGCCCGAACAAAACAUAUUGAACUUGACUAUCAUUUCAUUUGAGAACAAGUCCAACAACACCACAUUCAGGUUUGUUUUAUUUAUUCAGAUGACCAGAUUGCUGAUAUUCUUACCAAACCACUUGGUCAUCAUCUAUUUGUUAAGCACCGAGACAAGCUUCAACUCUAUUCUUCUCUGCCUUCAGCUUGACGGGGGGUGUUAGAGCAACAACCAGAUAUAGUUUGUUUUAUUUGUCUUUAUCUUAUUGUUGUAACUAUCAUCCUUUAAUCAUGUAAGUAGUUCGCUGAUUUUAUGCUAUUUCAAACUCUGUAAUUCAACUAUAUAAAGCUGCUCUUGUAUUCAUUAUUAACAUAGCAAUAUAAUACAAAUAUUCAUUCUCAUAUUAUCUUUACACAAUCUAAUAACUAGUGGUAGGAUGAGCCAUAAACUGGUAAGCCUUAUUGAUGGAGAAGGAGAUAUCUGCACGAGUUAUGGUGGAAGUGCUCUUACUAUGCUUCGAUAAAGCUUCUUAAUCAAAAAGAGGUUCUCCAUCGGCAGAAGAUAAUAGUUUGCCCAAGGCACUUGAAGUAUGGGUAGGUUUGGGGUCAAGUAUAGAAGUUCUCCAGAGAAACUUUGUGAUGUAUCAAAGCCUUUGGCAACGAGGCAGGGUUUAUAGCAUUCGAUGCUCCCAUCAGGUUUGCAUUUGAGUUUAAACACUUAUUUAUAUCCAAUGGGAUUGUUGUGAGACGAUGAUAGCACUAGAGUCCAAGUGUUAUUUUGUAACAAAGCUUAAUACUCAGCUUCCAUAGCCAUACACUAAUUCUGGUAUGUUAAGGCUAGUUUAAAAUUCUAUAGGAUAGUCUGUGAGGUUGUGAGGAGAGUUAUGGUCUUGAGAAGUCCUACUUUGGACCUAGUAAUCAUGGGAGGAUGAUUGGUAUUCAAUGUAGUUAAUUAAUCAUGGGAGAAUUUUAUGAAAAUAGAUUUUAAAAUUUUGAGAGGAUAUUUUUAUCAAAAUUCUUUUUGCAAAUUACUCUCAUGGAAAUUUUAAAAUUUUCAUGUUCAUAUUCUCGUAUUACAUUAGGCAUCCAAUCAGGAAAUAAAUAUUUUUAGAAAUUUUCAAAGUAGAUAAUUUAUUUAUCAAGGAAAUUACUAAAGGUUUUAAAAUGCUCUUAUUUAUCUCAAAUGAUUAAGUAACGAGGGCCUUAACUAAGCUCAUGACCUCCAUUGUCAAGCCCAUCUUGAUUUGGGUUCAUCACUACUCCACCGGCAGGUUAGACCCUAGGAAUAAAAGGAUAUGGACUCUCCAUUAAGACGAUACUAGACAUAUCUAUAGUGGGAGCAACCACCCCACUAGUGGGGUUCCUUACUUGGUGACGUUGAUAGUUAAAUGAAAAUGGUUAUAUACUUAUCAUUGGAUAUGAAGUGGUCAAAUCACCUUCCGUUGUCUCACUUGCAUAGUCCAUGGGCCAAAUAAAAGGUAUGUUGAUCUUGCCUUUAGAUACCUUUCAUAGUUAAGGUAGAGAGAUCAAUAUGAGAGGGUAUCUAACUAGUUAUAAGGUCAUGACUUGCCCACGAUAGACUUGAGAGGUAAUGUUGAUAGGUGAUAGUACUACCUUGUUAGAUUACAAACACCAGUUCAUAGGGAGUUUGCAUGCUGAUUCGUGCCCAAUUGGUGUCUCAGCUGAUUGGUGUCCAUCUGGUGCUCCUUGAUUGAGGGAGUAAUCAACAAAAUUUAUAACCUGCUACACCAUAUACUAGGGUAGCAAAGACAAAGCUACUAUAGUAUAGUGGUUCUAGGAUCGUUCACUGGGAUGGGUUUUCACUUUGCAAAUGAUAUUAAUUCAAAGCUGAAUUGGUGCCUUUUCAUUUCAAGGUUAGCUUUAAAAGAAAACAUAAAGAUGUUUGAAUGAAAAAGGUUCAGUUUUAAACUAACCAAAAAUAGUAACUGAUUUUACUUACAAAGAAAAAUGUUUCUUGGAGUUUAGAUCACUAGGCUCAGGUUCCUCAUACAAAAAGGGAGUUCCGGUCACUUGUUUCUUUUCCUCGCAUUAGAGAAUUAACAUAUAGUUCCUUCUCCAACCGGUGUUGUACAGAUGUUUCCCAUUAAUGGGUUCAAACACUAAAUCCCUCUCACUGAUGCACCUUGCAAUGGCUCAUACCUCUCACCUAGCACUUGCCAUUCAAGGUGAUCUUUAACCUUGGAUUACCCGUCAAAAGCUCGCAAGAGAUAACUAAUGGAUGUCUCCUUGGAGUCCAAAAGCUUACCAAGUGUUGGCUAUUCUAGAAAAUCCUACCUUCAAACCACUUCCCAAAAGCUCGCAAGAGAUAAACUAGUGCAUCUCCAUGGACGGAGAUCACUUGCCUUACCAAGUGUUGGCUCAGGUGAAUUAAAGGCAUUUUAAGUUAACUAAAAAGAUAAAAACCAUUAACGGAUCACACUUUCUCUUCAUUAAAAACUAAAACAACAAAACUUCCAAAUUAUGCAUGUGGAAACUUACCCGGUUACCUUACUCCAAGAGACAAAGAGCCUAGCCUCUCAUCCUCUGACGAAAAAUCCUCAGAGUUUGGUUGGCUAGAAAGAAAAUGAAAAUGAAAGAGAAGGAAAAAACAGAGCAAGGCUCUGUAUAUUUUAUAUAUUAAUAUAUCUAUAUUACAUACUUCUAUAUCUAUUACAGUGGAUGCAAGGGAAUAUAUAUAGAGACGUUUUUCCAACCUUCCUAACUAAGAAAUCUUAUGGUUGGUGGAUGACAAGGAGAAGAAUGGAAAUUAUACAAAAAUAUCUGAAGAAAAAUAUCCAAAGUGUCGGUCGCAAAUAUCGGGAAGCACUAAGGACCAUUUCAUAGGUGAAACCGAGGUCUGCGAGAUUUCGCAGACACACAAAAAGGGCUGCGAAAUCACUUCACAGCAAAAGACUGAUUUCGUAGCGCUGCGAAGUUGGCUUUCAGCUUGCGGUGUUCGGCUUCCAAUGUGUAGCAAAUAUCGGGAAACUUCAGGAGGAAUUCCACAGCACUGUGCAAAAUGGCUGCGAAAUCAUUUCGCAACAAAAGGCUGAUUUCGCAGCCGUGCAAAAAUCUUCCUUCAGCUUGGAGUGAUCUGCUUGCAAUGGCUGUAACUCCUUUGUUUCAACUCCAAAUCGUGCACGUUUUGAAGCAUUGGAUUGUUGACUUCCUGAGCUUUGAAAUGGUAUAUAGCAUGUAGAAAAUGGACUUCAGGAAGUGCUCCAAAAGUGCCUGACAUGACUGUCAUCAAAAAUGCUUCAUGGAAGAUUUCUCUUUGCUUCCCCUCCUUGCAUUCCGAAUUUGCUUAUGGAAAAGGACUUCAAAGCUUCGGUUCUUCAUGUUUUUGAGCUUUCCAUUGCUUUUCCAUGGAUUCCAAAUAACUCUCCUCAAUCUCAUAUUGCUUUGGUGAUAAAAAAGCUAUCAAAACACCAAAACUUAACACAAAUUUAUUAGAAUUGAUUGCAAGGGUCCUUAAUAUGUUAAUUGGGUUAAAAGGCAAUAACUACUACUCAAAAGUGUUUAAAAGAGUUAAUUACAAGCUAUGAAAUAACACUUUUUUAGUAGUAAUCACAUGCAAUGGAUAGUGUUAGGUUAAACCCUUAAAAGUAUGACAUGGUGUAAUAAAUGAAAUUCGUUAUUUAUUUAAUGAUGUUCCAAUUUCACUUUUAUCUAUCCUUAUUCCAUGUAUUAUACUUUAUGAGCAUUCUUACCAACAUAUUUUGUAUUAUAUGUGACUUAGGUGCAUUAGGAGUUGCAAAGAAGAUCUAAGUCAUGGGUUCCUUACAAAUAGAUGAUUUGUUCACAACCAGUUCAUGGGUCUAGGCAACCCAUUAGAGGUUGUAGUGCACCACCUCUUAAUUGGAGGGAUGACUGGUCUUAGUUAUCGGGAUGAGUUUCCCUUGGUAAGUGUACUAGUGUGUAUGGUUACACAUUAGACAAGACCUACAGUGAGUUAUGGCUUAAGGCUAUCAAGUAGUUAUGACUUCACCAAGCUGUUUCAUUGUGUGUUCUCUCAACCUUGAGAGAAUAUUGAGCUUGUGCUAAAGUUAGUAGUAGCUUUGACAUACAGGUGAGAUUGUAAGCUGAUUAUAUAUUCCUUAUGGAUUGGAUCAUUAUUAAUGGAAGAUGGUAGCAAUAGGCAUUUUCAAUAAAGGCACCAUGAUAUCUCAUUGGAUUGAGACAAUGCGUCUUCUUAGGUGAUCUUAAGGAGGUGUGUUCAUGAAAAUUAUGGUUAUAGUAGUUCCUUAAGUAGAACUUGAUAGAGACUCUUUGAGAGUUAAGACAUGUCAAUUGAAUACAGAAUAGGAUGAAUUGUAACUCAAGGAUAGUAGAGGUAGUCUUGAAAGACUGAUAGCUUUCACCUUGUUAGACUAUAGAUACCAAUUCAUAGGGAGAUUAAAUACAAUGGAUAAAAGGUCAUCGAUCCAAGCACGUAAUGUCUCGUUGUUAUUUACAUAAGAUACUAGAGUUCAGUUGAUUCUCUCUAGUGGGAUGUUGAAUAAACUUCAAAAUUGGAUUUUGAGGGAGUUGGUACUCCUAUGGAUCUUAAUAGUCCCCGCUCUGAACUCAUAUACCUUGUUGGCAUGGAUUAUAAAGGUCGGAUAGGCUUUAGGUUCACUUUUAUGCAUAAGAGCGUUUUGGUAAUUAUAUAAGAUUACACAAGAGUAAGUGAACAAUGUUUCUAGAUUGGGUUAAUUGAUUAAUUAGUAAGCCCUAUUUGGUUACUUAAUCAAUUAGGACCUAUUUUGGGCUAGAUUAAGUGACCUAAGUCUAUGUGAGCUUAAGUCACUUAAGUUUUCCAUCACUUUUUGCUUCCACUAUCUAGAGAGAGAGUCAUAGCCUCCACCCUCUUUUCUUCCCCACCGAAAGUGUGUCAAAAACAAGGUUGAGUCAUCUAGUGGAAGAUUAUGCGUUUACAAAACUUCCAACAACUUCAAGGUCAUUUUCAACACUUAGAAUUUAAGGUUUGAGAAUAUCCAAAACUAAAUGUUAGGACUUUAACCAUAAAAGAUCAUUUUUUUAAAAAAUUGGUUUUACUUCCGAUGCUUAGAUCUAAGAUGCCAACAGAUAGUAGGUCACGUACUUGAGCUUUGUUUUAUUGUUAUUUACAUAAGGUACUAGAUUGAGUACAAUUGAUUCUCUUUAGUGGAAUGUUGAAUCAACUUCAAAAUUGGACUAUGAGGGAGCUAGAAAUCCUAUGGGUCUUAGUAGUCCUUACUCUGAUCUCAUAUACCAUAAUGACAUAGUUUAUGAGGGUUGAAUUGACUCUAGAUUCAUUCUUGUGCAUAAUUUCAUUUUGGUAAUUACGUAAGGUUGCAUAGGGGAUAAUAAUCAAGAUCUCUAGAUUAGGUUAAUUGAUUAAUUGGAUAACCCUAUGUGGUUAAUUAAUCAAUUAUGACCUAUUUUGGGUUAGAUUAAGUGACUCAAGCCUUGAUGGGCUCAAGCCACUUAAGUCUAGUGGGCAACCCUAUAAAUACCCCUUAAGGGUUAGGGUUUCCAUGACUUUUAGAUAAGUGGUCUUCCACAUCUAGAUAAAGAGCCAUUACUUCCUCCUUUUCAUUGGUCACACUUUGUAGUGCCAAGAUCAUGGUUCGAGUCAUCGGACAGAAGAUCUUGGGUGUAUGAGACCUUUGGAGUCUUCAAGCUUCUUCUUCACCACAAGGAAUUGUUAUAGGAACAUUCAGAUCCAAAUAUGGGGUUAAAUCUCUAAAUCUUUAUUCUUAAUAUGGUUGCAGUAGAUUUAGAGAUGCCUAGGGCUAGAUGUAUGCAACCCACAAGAUCUAGGGCAUGAGAUGGAGUAAUCUAGGAUUCCAACAAUUUAUUCAACUAUAGUAUUGUUUGUGUGUUUUGUCUCUAUGUUGUGAGUGUAUCAAUUGUCUAUUUCUUUUUACUACCCCCCCCCCCCCCCNNNNNNNNNNNNNNNNNNNNNNNNNNNNNNNNNNNNNNNNNNNNNNNNNNNNNNNNNNNNNNNNNNNNNNNNNNNNNNNNNNNNNNNNNNNNNNNNNNNNGGGGUUUUUGGGAAAAAAAUUUUGGGGGUUAGGAACCUUUGGGGUUUUAAAGUUUUUUUUUCCCCCAAAGGAAUUUUUAUGGGGAAUUUUGAGUCCAAAUUGGGGGGUAAAUUUUAAAAAUUUUUUUUUUAAAUGGGGUGGAAGAAAUUUAAGAAAGCCUUGGGGUAGAUUUUUCAAACCCCAAAAAUUUGGGGCAAGGGGGGGGAUUAUUUGGGGUUCCCAAAAUUUUUUCAAAUAUAUUUUUUUUUUGGGUUUUUGUUUUUAUGUUGGGGGGGUUUAAAAUUUUUUUUUUUUUUUACUACCCCCCCCCCCCCCCUCUUAAGCAACAAUAUCUUGAAUGUAAUGGAAUCAAUUGUCUAGUUGUUUUGUUCUACAAUGUUUCUAAUUGGAUCCUUGUAUAAGUGAGUGUAUCAAUUGUCUAUUUCUUUUUACUACCCCCCCCCCUUAAGCAACAAUAUCUUGAAUGUAAUGGAAUCAAUUGUCUAGUUGUUUUGUUCUACAAUGUUUCUAAUUGGAUCCUUGCUAUACAAUAGAGUUGACACACCAUCAAUGCUUAGAUGUUGAUAACCAUAUCAGCUUAAGUCAUGACUUUAAGCGCAGAAAGUAUAUCAUCAAUUAAACAACUUCCCAUACAUACCUUGAACACGCAACACACUCCUACUCCAUAGCAGAUAAUGUAAUUCAAGAUUACUUCUUAUUACAUUAGGAGAUAGCUAAACCAUCAACUAAAAGCAUAUAAUUAAAAAGUAAAUCCUAAAAUACCAAAUAAAUAUAUAUAUUACCCCAAGUAAAGAAGAUUAAGUUUAUAUAUUAAAAAUUCAAAUAGAAAAGAUCUAUCAAAAGUCAUCAUUUAAUUAUCCAAAUGUUGUCACUAUGAUAAAAACCUUACUAAGGUAGACACGUCAUAAGGAAAAAAUGGAAUCUAUUUAAGUUACUAAUUCCUUUUUUGCUUUAGGGUUUUGGGUGAUCCUUUCUCCCUCACUCACUAAAAUUCAACGCAGCCUUCUAAUCAUCUCUUCCCAAAGAUUAACACCAUCAUCAGAUCUACUAAGAAAGAAGUUGUUCUUCUCGAGAUGUGAACAUCAACAAAAGGUAGUGUUUACACCAAUCUUUUUAAAGGUAAGUAGUUUUCCUAUAAUUUUAAAUAUAUUUUGUAAGGUUUCUGUAAAUUAAACUUACAAUUGCCAUCCUAUUUCCUCUUUUAAAGUACAAAUUUUAGUGCUUGCGGUUUUUUCUAGCUUGUUUUCUCUUAUUCUUUAUUUUUUGUAUAUUUUGAUCUAGGUUUGUUUCAUCCAACUAUAAAGUUCAAUGGCAUGAGUGGAGUCGGAAAAAGGUAUAAUUAUAAUUUUUUUUGGAUGACUAUAUUACAUUGUUUAGCGAAAUGAUAAUUAGGCCUUAGACCCUCUCUUUGGCAGCAGACUAGUUUCCACCAUUGAUAUAAAUGCCUGACUAUGUUUGAUGAUCAAUUACACUUUUAAGAAAAUUCAAUAUUCAAGAAAAUGAGUAGAGUAAUUUUAGGUCCCAAUUUUUUGCAAAAAGCUUAUUAUUGAUGAACUCAUUAAUAGAUAAGGUACAUGCUUAACUCAAACAUUUGGCUACAUAGAUGUGUGAUUUGAAGCCUUAUUCCUGGCAGACUGAGCCUUUGGAAAUAUUUUCCAUCAGUUUAUACUCAAACUUUCAAGUUAUAAUCAUUUUGUACACAUUGAAUAUGAAAUUGUUGAAAAUUGACUAUUUAAAUACCUCAAAUGUUUAUUUUGAAUUUCCAAAUUGAUGUAUUGCAUAUGAUGCAUCUUGGAAUAUAGUUAUUGGAUUAUUAACUUAUCUAUCUAAAACUGACCUACCUACCAAGGUCCAAGCCAAAGCCAAUUGCCAAGAAACAUUGGCUAACUUAUUUUUACCUGUGCAGUAGGAGUGCCUAGAGUAGCUGCUAUUGUUCAUCUUGAGGGUGUCUAAGAUCUGGGCAUGUGCUUGUCAACAUGGGCCCUACGCUUAACAAUUGGGAUUCUUCCAGACAUGGCGCCAAGGUAAGCAAGAUUACAAUUUUUUUUAAUGUACUCUGCAUUCAAUAUUGUUGUUUUCUUGGUUUGUUUCAUCUGAUUGCCUUAUGAUUUUUUCAUUCUUAGCAUGUAAGUUGAUCAAGGGAGGUAUUUGUUUCAUCUGUACGUAUGGUAGUGAUUAGUAUCUGAGUUUCCUAAUUAAGUUGAUUAUAAAAAUAGAAUAGAUUUCAUUACCUUUGGUAAAUGAAGUAGAUUACAUAUAAUUCAUGUUCAGUCUAUGAUCAAUUCACAAAAUUUCUCAGACAUGGUACGAAAUGGAGAUCAGUAUUUUGUAGUAAUCAUGGUUAUUUCAUACAGUAGUCCCUAUUUACACAUACAAAAUCAUGCCAUAUGCUGAAUUUCAUUAGGCCAAAAACACUCAUGGGUUUCGAGAUUGUUUAUUGAAUCCUUCCAUUAACUACAUGAGACUCAUGGGGAAGCAGAUGACUAUGGCAAACUGCCUCAAACUUGGAUAAAAGCCAUUCUUCAUGAUUGAUGCCAUGAUUCUUGGAGGAAAUCUUAGCAAGUUUAUUCUCUGUGUGUAUGUGGUUUUUGAGAUGGGAUACUAGUGUGGGAAUAUGGAUCAGCCAUUGACAUGCAUUCUGGAUAGGGGGAUUUUGAUUGACAGCUUUGACCACAGUAUUUGUUUAUUUUUGUGCUGUAGAGGGCUGUACUCAGAGCAACCAUACAUUUUCAUUCUUUCAGGAAAAAUAAAUAUUUAUCAUGAUUGUAGUUGAUUAACUUCAAAUUUUUCAAAGCCAGCUGUUUGUAAUGAUCUAAUGAAGAAGAUGACUGAUUUUCUUCCCUUUUACACUUUUUCUGAUCAUUAGUUGCUUUUCGGAACAUUUUUUUUUACAGACCGUGGAGAAAGACGAAAGCCAGAAAAGCAAGCACUACUUCUGUCCACGUAGAGAAUGAAGGAAUUGUCUUCCCCAAAGACCUAAAGAUUGGGAGCAGUCGUGGUAUGAGGGACCUAAAGAUUUACUUGAUUCUGAAUAAACAAAGCAGUUUUCUUACUGCAACUGUUCGGUUGUAUCAUCUUUGUGGCUUGCUGAUUGAACAAUCUGGUUGCUAACUUCAUGUUGUGAAGAGUCAGACACAGCUAGAAAAAAUUUCAUUGCAGCAUUUCUUGAAGAAGAAGAUGAUUGUCUGAUUGCAAAUAAUUUCACUGCUGACACAGAAGCAAUUACUAUUCUUGGUAUUCACAAGUUGGAACGUUGCUCUUGAUUUGACUUAGACUCUGUUGCUUGAUCCUGGAAUCUGGAUCAAACAGGGUUCCCCCUUAGUGGAGAUCUUAAAUUGGAGGGCAACAUUCUUGUUGACAGUAAAUAAACUUGACCUUCUAAAUUAGUUCCCACUUCUCGCAAAUGAACUUAUGUGUACAGUUAAUGGCUUAUUGUAACCUCCUAUAUAUCCUAAAUGUAUAGAUGAGUCCUUAACAUCAAUCGGAUUUUGUGAUCUUCUGAAAGUUUUAAUAUUGUGAGUUAAUUGUCACAUUAUAUUUUAUCAGAUUUUUAUGUUCAAAAAGCAAAUCAUGAAAAGAGUUUACAUGAUUACCCUUUUAAUUUGAACAAGGUCAAGAGUUGUUGCUUUUUUUGUUUUUGUUUUUGUUUUUUUUGUUUUUGGAUUCAAAUAGAAUAAAAAUAAUUUUGUGUUGGUGAACUUGGCUUAGUUUGAAAAAGGCGAAGCCCUUCCUCACCUCAAAAGCCCCAAGUUCCUGUCAAAAAAUAGAGGUUCAAAUUGUAUCUAAAGGCUAAUAAAACUAUAGUUUCCAACUCCACCUCCUCACCUUCAGAAUUUGAAGCUAUCUGCUCUUGAUUGCUCUUCCAGCAUAUGUGCCAGUAUCCUCUUCUACCAUAUUGAUGGUAGUAGCGAGGUUAAAAUGGUUAAAUAUAUAGUUGUUUGGAGACAUUGUUGUCAGAGACCUUAACUCACUUUUUACCCACUAGCUAAAACAUAAAAUCAUUUAUUGUAGGGACUACUGGGGUUGAAUUUUUGGCUGCCAAAGUUGAAAGACAGCUAGGUCAACUUCUAAGCAAAAGAAACCAGAGGUUCAGUUGGACUAUGCUGCACCUCUAUAGGUGAUCACUAGUUUGCUACAAGUAAUUCAUGUCGGAGAUCUCAUGAAUAUACUAGCAUAUUAAUGUGUAUAACAAACAACAUCAUAUUUACAAUCCAUUCGACAACCCCCCUACUAGAUUACAAUAUGUCUAGGUUAAAAAUGACAAAAUUAUGCAUAAAAGGUAUAUGAACAAGCUAUUGGCUUUUCAAUUUUUGUGGUUAUUACUACCUUCACGCCAUACGCCAUUGUGAAGGGUGUCUCACUCUUGGGUUUUCAAUCUAUUAAGCAGCAAGCUUAGCGCACCAAGGCUAGCUCCUCGUUGGAUUUUGCUCAAUUGUUGCAGCAAGGGAACUAUGAUAUGGACUAGAAAAUCCUUCUUCUAAGCUUGCUGUAGAAAUUGUUGAUGAGAAUAGGGUUAAAUUGGACCUCAUUGUUUUAUCACCAUUUCUUGGGUAUGCCAAAUUGACAUAUGAGAAAUGCUUAACAUCAAAGUCUUAUAUGUUUGCAUAAGCUUUUGGUUUCACUUACUUUGUAAAAUGAAGCGUUUCUAAGGCGGGACAGUGGACAACAAUCCUGUAAUAUCAAACUUAACAUCGAAGUCAUAUAUGUUGGCAAUAAUAAAAGUAGGGGUUUAACUUGGGUGGGUUGACCCAAUCCAACCCAAACCCAACCACUACAAGAAAAAUGGGAAACAAUGACGUUUUUUAAGCGUCAAGAAAGGUAACAGAUGACGACGCUUCUCUAAAGCGUUCUCUUCGCCUCUGUCAUUGUAUGUCUUAGGCAACAAUGACACUUUCAGGAAGCGCUAUCUUUAAUAAAAUAAAGGUUUUGUUUUUGGCUGAAAGAUGACUUUCCAAAACUCUAAAUCCGAUCUUCACCGUUCAAAUUUAAGAUUAAUGACUUAUAAACCUCUCCUCCAAAUUUCAGCUCAAUCAAACCAUGAAAAAAGCGGCAUCGGACCUUUGAUGAAAUCUGGGCAUGAUGUAAAAAACCACUGUUUUUCUCUCUUCUCUUCUUUCCCUCUAAUGACUGUCCGAAACUCCAAAUCCAAUCUCCACCGUUCAUAUUGAAGAUACAUGAGCCACGAACCUCUCCUUCAAAUUUCAACUCGAUCGGACCAUGGAUGAAGCGGGAUCAGACAUUUGAUGAAAUCUGGGCAUGAUGAGAAAAACCUACGUUUUUCUCUCUUCUCCUCUUUCUCUCUAAUGACUGUCCGAAACUCCAAAUCCGAUCUCCACCGUUCAUAUUGAAGAUACAUGAGCCACGAACCUCUCCUUCAAAUUUCAACUCGAUCGGACCACGGACGAAGCGGGAUCGGACAUUUGAUGAAAUCUGGGCAUGAUGAGAAAAACCUACGUUUUUCUCUCUUCUCCUCUUUCUUUAUAAUGACUUUUCGAAACUCCAAAUCCGAUCUUCACCGUUCAGAUUGAAGAUAAAUGAGUCACGAAACUCUCCUCCAAAUUUCAGCUCAAUCGGACGACGGACGAAGUGGGAUCAAACCUUUGAUGAAAUCUGGGCAUGAUGAGAAAAACUUGCAUUUUUCUCUCUUCUCUUCUUUCUCACUAAAAACGGUGGCUCUCUCCUUUCUUUCUUGUCUUCCAAAAGUUAGGGUUUUCAAGGGAGACUUUAUAACAAAUUCUAAAAUACCAUACAUGUCCUUUUUCAAUAAAUUAAAAUAGUAUUCUUUAUUUCAUCUUCCAAUAAUAAUUUUUAUAUAUUGAACUCAUAAUGAAUUUAUAUUGUUUAAUUAUUUGAUAUUUUAGGUUGAUGUUGGUUUAAUUUGAAUAUUGAUAUUUAAAAAAAAAAAAAACUAAUUUAAUAGAAUGAGCUUAAUUCCCAUAAAUAUUAGAAAGUUUUUAUAAAUAUUCUUAUUGCAUUUAGUUUUAUUGUGAGUCUAAUCAUCAUUAAAUUAAUUUAAAUAUUAAUUUAUUUCAUUUUAGUUAAAUAAUUUCAAAUUUAUAUUCAUUAACUAUAAAACCUUCUCAAAUAAAAGGGUUAAACCCAAUAAAUGUGGCCCAAGGCUCGAACAAGUGCUCAAAAUAGGCCACUUUUUUGUGGACCACAAAUAAAUUAACAAAUUAUUUUUAAAUGAAAUAUAAGAUAACUUCUAAUUUAAUAAAAAUGAAAAAUAGUUUAUGAAAAUAGAUUGUAUUGAUACAAACUAUAAAAAAAUUAAUAUCAAACAAUAAAAAAAAUAAUUUAUUAGGAUUUUAUUUUAUUUAUAUCCAAAUUUUUUUUAAAAAAAACCUUAAUGUAGCAACUUUAUGUCAUUAAUAUUAAUGUCAAUUUACCAUAAUUAAUUUAUAGAAUAAAAUUCUAAUAUCAAAAUUUGUAUAAGUUAACUUAAAAACAAAAAUUUUAUAAGUCAAUACAACUAUGACACUUCUCAGGAACGUCAUUACAUACCCAUCAAAUAAUGAUGCUUAUAAUAAGUGUCAAGGUAAAUAAUAAAACUAUGACGCUUCUUAUAAGCGUCAUUAUAUACACAGUUAUAAGGAAAAAGAUGACAUCAAAUAAUGACACUUAUAAUAAGUAUCAAGAUAAAUAAUAUAACUAUGACACUUCUUAUAAGCGUCAUUGUAUACCCUCAAUAAUGACGCUUUUAGAAAGCGUCAUAAAAUAAAGCGUCAUUAAUUUCAAUUUUUGUAGUAGUGAACCCAACAUUUGGGUAGACUUGAGCAAUCAUUUUCAAUACUUGAGUUAGGUUUGUGUUAGAUUUUUUCAACCCAAGUUCACUUUCAGUUGGGCUUGGGCUAAGAUUCAGAUAACCCGACCAUAAGCCGAACUCGAUUUAAUAUUUUGAUAAUAUUUGUAAUAUAUAUUAUCCUAUAUAAUAAUAUUCAUUUUCUUUUUAAUUUUUUUAAAAAAAUCAAAUUAUAUUAUAUCAUAUAUUUUUCAAUUUUUAAAAAAAUAUAUAAAUUUAUUUUUAUUUUUUUGUUCCUAUCUUGAAAUUUUGUUCUAUUUACUAUUUAAAUAUUUAAAAUUUCAUAUAAAUACAUUUAAAAAUAAAUAAAAUAUUAUAGAUGAAUUUUGAAUUUUGUAACUUGAUUAACUUGAAGUCAACCCGAUCAACCUGAAUCUAACCCGACUAACUCAAGUCUAACUUGAACAAUCAAAAUUCAAUCCGAACUUAGAAAAAUGAGGUUGGAUUGGGCUUAGGUUAAGUACUUCAGGUUAGAGUUCAAUUUGGGUGGUGUUUGGGUUGAUUGUUUCUUAAUUCAGAUUGGGCUUAGAUUAGUCAUCAACUCAACUAACUCGUCCAAGUUGUUGCCCUAAAUAAAAGGAAUGAAGUAUUCAUGGUAGAAUUCCAUGAGCAAAGUAUGAAUAAGUGAUGAUUAUUGAAAUAAUUUGGAAAUCAUUGAUGAAGUUAGAGUUGUUGAAUGUAGAGUAAUAUCUCAAAUAUUUCCUUUUACCAUAAUUACUCCAUAUAGAGGAUACAUAGAGAAGGAAACAGUCUCUCAACUGAUUUAUUUUAUUUUAUGAUCGAUACCAUAUCAAGAAAGAAAAAAAAUAUCUCAAUGAAUUUAUUCUAUUUUAUGUUGAUUUAAUUUAUUUUAUGAUGUAAAUUUAGUAUAUGUAAUGUCACACUCUAAGGUUAAAACCACGGUUUAACACAAAACCAAGGAUUAGUCCACAAUUUUUAAACUUCAAAUAUGAAUUAGAUGAAAGGUUAUAAAUGAUUGUUGUUAAAUUUUUCUAAUUAGAUGCCUUUGAAACAUCUCUUUGGGUUUGGAAAACUUCAUGUCUUUCAUAUAACGUACGUUCUAAGCACAAUGAGUUAAACUAUUACUUUUUUCAAGACAAGGUCACAAUGGGAGCUCUUGGUACUUUUUUCUUCCCUCAAGACCUCUUCCUAAGGCUUUCUUUUAGAAUCUUCAAUAUAAGCUAGGAGUGCAUAGGUUACCACCCGCUAGCUAGAGGGGGAAUCAUAAAAGUACAAAAGAAUUCAUGGAAUAUUUUCAAUAGCAAAAUGGGGAAAAGAUUAUUGAAACAAUUUGGAAACCAUUGAAGUCAAGCUGGGCUGAAUGUAGGAUAAUAUCUCAAGGAUUGUCUAUUACCAAACUCCAUAGAGAGAAUUCGAUAACAUACAGAGAAGGAAAUAAUCUCUCAAUUGAUUUGUUUUAUUUUAUGAUUGAUAUGUAGAGAACGAAGAAAAUCUCUGAAUUUUUAUUUAUUUAUUUAUUUUUUUUGUGAUGUAAAUUUGGCACAUGUAAUCUAUUUAAACUCAUCCAACCAAUUCAUGUAAGACAAGUUAAUAUUCCAUGUCAUAUCUUCGUCAGGAUAAGGUUAUGUUUCCACCUACUUUGUAAAAAGACGAGCUUCUGGGGUGGGGCAGUAGACAACAAUCCUGUAAUAUUAAUCCACCAUCGCGUAAAAUCCAAAGGAUUGACGAUGGAUAAUGGUUUCUUAGCAAGGAAGUGGAAUAUGGGUGUGAAACACGAGCAUUUAUCACACUUGCUCAUAUAUGGUGCUAUAUCUUUGUGCAUGAACAACAAACAGUACCCCUGGGAAAGGGCAUAAUGGGCUACGGAUUGUCCUGUUGUUGAUGCAUUGCCCUUGGUAUAUCUCAACCAACACAUACUUGGUCUCGUCUAUUCUUAGACACGUCAAUUACCAACCAAAGAAUGAUCUUCGGUAGAGUUCUUCAUUGAUGACGGAGUAACUCAUAGCAUGUAUUCUCAAUUUGUACACUUUGCUUCUCAUCCUUAGGAAUUAUGUUGUUCUCUAAGUAGGCAUGGAAAUAAUCCAUCCAACAAAUGGUCGAUUGUGUUAUUAAUUCCAGUCUGGGUGGCAGCUAGAUGAGUAUGACUUUUCUAUGUACUUAACAGGGAAGGCACUUCUGCAAGCUUAGCUAAGUUGUUGACCUACUCAUUUUUAUAGUUUAUACUAAUGAAGAUUUCAAGGUUAGUCUUCAGGAAGGCCAUGUAAUGGGUCGUCCUAUCACCCCAUGCCUUAUAUUUUCUGUUCACGUGAUUGUCCAAAAUCAUCAUAACAAUCUGCUGCACAUGCACGACAGCAGAAGCUCAUGACUAUGACCAUCAGAAUAUGGAGGUCUGAGAGUGUUUGACUGCCAAUGUUUCCAUACUUGAGGAACUAUAGGCAAGUAAUGGGCACGACAUCCCAAGAACCCCAGAUAUAGACUUGAUAUGUGCAUUGUAGAAAGGGUGGUUUCAGAUGAGACGUGCCUGGCUUAGUUCCCCCCCUUAAGUUGAUUGAGGGCACAGAUUUUAUUGGAUAUGCAAGCAAAGAGCCCAUAUAUAAGACCUAUUUUUAGGGUUUCCCUCUUCUUUUCUACAAAUCUUGUUUUCUGAAACCCCUCCCGGGACACCUCGAAUUUUUUAGACCCUCACCACAAUCACUCUUCCGUUGUUGAAACCCAACACUGCUCCCCUCGAAAUCCUCACCACAACAAGCUAAAUCCUAUAGAAAAUGUUCCUUAUCUCAUGUUAUUUUAUUCGUUGCUUUAAAACCCUAACAUCUCUCUCCUUUCUAGAUUUUCUGUGAAUUCUUAUGAUUUGAAAUUUUAACCGAUUUUUGUUUUUAUAAAUUUUUUUUUGUCAUUAUAAGGCUUUAGAAGAAUGAGAGUGUCAAUGCUAUAGAAAGCAUUGCCAGGUUUCAGUUUUUUCAUAUUUUAUACUUUUCUAUAUGGUUUCUAAAAAAUUUUAGGAAAUAAAAAAGAAAAUUAAUUUGAUGAUGAUUAUUUUUUAUUUUUUAUUUUAUUUUAUUUUUUUUAAAAAAAAUCUGAAGAUUAUGUCACUAUAUUUGAAGAAAAAAAAAAAUGAAUUUUCGGUCUUGACUAUGAUCCUCUCUUUCUUUUCUGUUUCAGAUGAGACCAUAGGUCAUGGAUGGAGAAAGAUUAUGGAAACAAGAUUAGGGCAUUGACAAAUAUGUUGUCUCCUCUAUUUCCUUUUAUUUUUUUUGUUAAAGACUAUGUUUGGUUCAUGGAAAGUAUUAAGAAAAAAAAAUUAAGGAAAAUGAUUUUCUUGUAUUUGAUUUCACCUUAAAAAAUAUAAAAGAAAAUCAAAUAUAAUUAAAAUUUGUCAAAAAAUUAUAUAUUUUUAAAGUAUUUAAUCUUAGGGAAAUAGGUAAAUUGAGUUUGAAGAAGCAUGUAAAAAUAAUUUAUUGAGUUUAAAAUUAUUUUUCAUUUUCCUUCACUUUUUCUUUCCUUCUACUUUUCAUUCCUAUUUUCUUUCUCUCCCAUUUGCCCUCAAAUUUUCCAAGAACCAAACUUAACCUAAAGGAUUUUAACUUUUAGAUGGUGUGGUAUAUUAAGGAUCAUGCUCUUUGAUUGCUCAAUUUAGUCAACCUUUCAAUGACAUUAUAUUUAUGUAUUUUUCCCCUAGUUUAGUGAAUAAUGUUUUCCCUUAAGUUUGAUUUUUGGGAUAUAAUUUUUCCUUAUUAACUUUUGAAAUCCAGGUUUUAUUUUUAUUUCAGAGAUACAGGAUUUGAAAAGUCUGGUUUAGCAAUUGACAUUGCUAAAGUUGAGGAAAUUUUCCAUGAAAUGCAGGAAUUAGAAGUCAGACCAGAAGUUGCCAAUGCCACCAUAUUCAAAGUAUGGCAUUGAACCAAAUAAAAUCUAUUUGAAUUAAAGAGCAAGGAUUACUUAUACAUCAUAGAAAGAAGAACAUCCUACAUGAAAUAUCCUUACAUACAUGUCGCCUAAUCCCAUCACAAUUUCACCUUCUUAUCAAUCCCACAUACAUGACCCCCUUUAAAGUUAACUUCCUAGAACACAAGUCAAUUAUCAAAAUAGGAUCACUGUACAACUAUCUCUUUAAAAUAGAAAUCAUCCUACCAAACAAUGAGGAUCACCGCAAUUGCUUGGCAAAAUUAUGCGACAGUCUCAUGAGCCUAUGCCAUGGAAGAUCAGUCUCAUAAACUAAGCAAUCCCUUUCUUAUGUCGACCAGUUCAAAGCAUAGGUAAGUAUUCCUUUUUUUUUUUUUACUUAAGUAUCUGCUGUUAUGUGUCUGUUAUGUCUGUUAUGUCUGUUAUGUGUCUCUUCAUAUAUUCUUAUUAAUCCACCUCUACAAAAUAGUUUCUAGUUGGGUUUAUUUGUUGACAUUUGCAAUAUUUCAGCCAAAAUUUAAUUAUGAACCUUAGCAUUAUAAGCAGCUGCUGGUGUCCUCUACCUGUGGCUAAUUAGUGUACUAAUGGUAUUUCUAUAUGCAUGCCACUUGUAUUGAUCCUAAAUGUUUGUGUGGCUAAAUUCCAGGAAGAAAACACGGUUCAUUUUCAUCAUCCAACGACUUUAUUAAUGGAUGUUUAGGGUCAUUAAAAAAAGAGAAUGAUUUAUUGAUUUUGUCAAUAUAAUUUGUAGAUCAUGACUUAUAUUGAGCAUAAAUUUUGGUAGCCUAGUAAAUCUAUUGUGAGACAUUCUUUGAUAUUUAAUUAUUGGGUUAAACUAAUGAGAUUGUUUAAGAUGGUUUUAAUGAAUUUUUUUAACUUGGGAAUUAGAAUUAAUUAAAUAGUGGGGUAAUUUGGUAAAUUUGUAAUAUUAAAAAACCUAUAGAAGUAGAAAAAUUUAUAGUUCUAUAACCCCCUUGGUUUAUUUGAUCAUAACAUUUUGGGAGAAGAUAGCGAAGUAAAGAGACAAGAAGAAAGAUUUCCUAGGGUUUGGUUGAAAGGAGAAUUGGAUAUAUAGGAAUACACCACAUCUCUCCAAGAAUUCCAAGGAUUAGAAGGUUUGUGCUAUUGUCCCAUUUCAAAUCCUUUUUUCAACUGCUUGUUGCCCAAGAGAUAAUAAGAUCUUGGAGGAUGUUCCAUCCAUAUUUUAUUUCUUAUGUUAAUCCUAGAUGGUUAUUUAAUUAUUAUUUGGUUUUGGAUGUUGUAAAGUUUUUUCUUUUAUAUAUAUAUAUAUAUAUAUGUUUGAUUUGGGGAUUUCAAAAGUUUAAGUUAUUAUUUUCGAUGUAGAAUUAAGAAAGAUCGUAAUGUAAUUGAUUUAGGAUGAAAUUCCUAUCUUGAUUGAUCAAAUCAACAAACUGAUUGAUUAAACUUUAAGUUCUAGUUGGAUAUACCGAGUAGGAGGGUUAAGAUUUUUUUUUGCAAAUUUUAGAAACCUGAGAAGCUUCAAGAUAUCACAAACAAAUUUUACAUUAAAUAUGAAAAUGAUUGAGUGAAAUAUAAUAUACCAAAGAAGGUUUUAGAGUUAUUAUUAUUAUUAUGUGUAAUGAAAGUCAUUUUGGGAUUUUAGUUGAGUAUGGAAUGCGGGUAAGAAUGGCAAUAAGGGUUUUGUGUGUAACCUUGUCCAACCCACCUAAAUGGAUGUUUGGUAAAAUUUAUUACUUAUUACUUUUUUAGUAAAUUUAUCUCAAAAUUUAUUUUAAUUAAUCAAAUUGACAUAUUUAUUCUUAUUAAUUUUAACUAAUAUUUAUCCUCACUUAUUUUAACUCAUUUAUUUCCAUUAAUUCUAAGUAAUAAAUUUAUUUGUAAAACAUUUAUGCUUAAAAUAUUGUAGAUAUACAAGAUAACUAUAAAAUAUUUAUUAUAUGAAAUAAGUCAUACUUGUGGAAUCAUAAUUUUAAAAUAUAUUAUAGGGAGAAUUUUGUUUUGGGCCCAGCUGAGCCCAAAAAUUAACAUUUGGUCCAUAUAACUUCCAUAAUUGAUGGAAAUGAUAUGAGAUGUUAAAAGACCAAUAUAUCCUUCAAAUUUCUAUACAUUACCUUUUAAGGACAUAAAAUAGUGAUGGACUAAAAUACCCAAUGACCUUUCACAUAAUUUUUUUUUUUUUGUCUUUAUUGCACCAUUAUUCAUGCAAUCAUAAUAAUUCUAUUUUAACAAUUUGGGUUUUUCAUUAUUUUAAUUUUUUUUAUAUAAAUAAUUGAAAAUCAACAUUAUUUUCUAUUUUAAAUUAUAAAUAAAGAAAAAUUAUGUUCGAAAGCUAUUUUAAAAAAUACUUUCUAAAAAAUAGUAAUAUGAUUUAUAUUUUUUAUAUUUUCUUUUUGAAAAAAUAUUUAUUUAAAAAAUGAAAACUAUUUUAAAAAAUAAAAAUUGAAAACCUUGUUUAGUACUUUUUUUUAUAUGAAAAUAAUAAAAAGAACUAAAUUUCAUUCAUUGAUUAUCCAUUUUUAUUUUUUUUCAUUAGUUAUUUUAAUAAAAAAAAUAUAUAGUAUGUUUACGAUUAAACAAAGAAAUUGAUCAAUUAUGUGUUUUUUGUGGGACUAUCUUUUACAUGAAAAAUAAUUAAAUAACUAAAUUAUAUAUAUUUAUUACUCUUUUUAAUUUUAUUUUCUUUAUUUAUUUUUUAUCGAAAAUUUUAAUAUAUCCAUAAUUAACAAAGUAAUAAAUCAAUUGUGCACAUUUUAAUCUAUUAAAAUAAAUUAAUUUCUAAUUUAAUAAAUAAAAUGAAAUAAGUAAAUAAAUUUGGGGUUAUUUCUAUUUUUUAAUAUAUCUUAUAUCAAUAUUUUUUAUGAUUAAAUAAAUUUUUUAUUUUUUAUUUCUUUAAUUCCAAAAAUAAAAUGAAAUAAAUAAAUAAAUUUAGAAUUUUCCAACUGAUCUUAUAUUCAUAUUUCUUAUGGUUAAAUAAAUUUUUUAUUCUUUUUUCUUUAUUUCCAAAAAUAAAAGGAAAUAAAUAAAUAAUUUGACUUAAAUAAUAGUUUUUAAGUAAUUUCUUUGUCUUAUUUUUAAUUACAUUUUGCAUUGAAAAUAAAAUAAAAUAACGUUUUUUUUUAGUCACUGUACAAGGUAUUUACACUAAGUGUACAUGACAAAUAUAUUAACUGUACAAGGGUGUACAAAACUAUUAUUUGUGAAGGAUUUUAAGUGAUUCUAAAAAACUUGUUUGUUUAUUUCCCUUAACCAAGGAUAAAUGACAUUCCUUACACACAUUGGUUAAGCAUAUAUUCAUCUCAUAUAUUUUAUCUAACUUGUAUAUGGUCAUUUUAAUAGGUACCUCACUUAUGAUGAUUGUAAAACAAAAUUAUACAACAAUUUUUUUUCCUUUUUAAAACCAAACCGAUGCAAACAUGGUUAACCGACCUAUUGUUAGAUAUUCAUAAAAUGAUGUAUGAAAUUUGAGUUAUUGUACAAGGGUAUUAUACUAACUGUACAAGACAAAUUUACUAAUUGUAUAAGGGUGUACAAAACUACUUUUUGUUAAGGAUUUAAAGUGAUUUCGAAAAACUUUCCCAUUUUUUUCUACUCAAAUAUUUUUUCCCCACUCAAAUUCUCUCACUCAAUAAUUGUUUCGAAUUUUAUUUUUAAAUUUCAUCAUCAAAUUUUUGUAAUUGCAUAUUUUGUUUUUGUAGUUUUAGCAAUGUUCUUUCUUUCCACUAUUUUUUUUUUUGUGAAAUUUUAUCCACAUGAAUCUAUAUUUAAAAUUAUAAUCAUAUUUAUCAAAUUUUUUACUAAGAUUAUCUUUAAUUUUUUUUAAUAUAUUUAUACUCAUUUAUUUAAAAAAUGAAAAACUAAUUUUUUUUGUAAACAUGUUCUAUUACCUUUCAAGUAAAAAAUUAGAUAAGUUUCAAAGUCAAUAAAUAAAAAAAUUAAAUACCACUUUCAAUAAUUUUUAGAUAAAAUUUUAUAUAAUAUAUUUUAUUUGAAACUUAAUUUUUAAAGUUUAACUAAAAAAUUGUAUUGACAAUUUUCUUAUUGUGGGUCAAAAUACUUUGCAUUUGUCUAUCUAGAUAAGAAAAAUUAUUAAUAUAAUAUUAGAACUUCAUACCUUAGUUAUUUUUUUUCAACAAAUUUAUCUUUUUAAAAAUUUUAAAAUAAAAACAUUAAAAAUUAAAAAGCUAAAAAGAUAUAUAUAUAUAUAUAUAUAUAUAUAAUAUAGUGAAGUGAUAGUUAAUUUUAAAAUUUUUUAAAAUAUGGUUAAUGUAGAAAAUAUAAAAAAUAAGAGAAAAAUAUAGAUGAAAGGGUAAUAUAAAUUUAAAAUAAAAAAUGAAAAUUAAACUAAAAGAUAAAUACAUAAAGAUAAAAAAUAUUUGGAUGAAAAAUCCCAAAAUUUUUAUCAUUGCUUUUAAUAAGAGCAAAAAGAUUCAAUAUCUUUAAAAAUGAAAAAUAAAAAAAUAUUAUUGUUUUUUAUUUGACAUAAAAUAGAAAUAUAUAUUGGAAUAAAAAGGGAAAAAAAAAGUUAGAAAUGAGUAAUAUUUAAUAGGGAAUAGAAAAGGAAAAAAAACACAAAAAAAAUUAAAAUUCACACUCACUUGUAGGCAUAUAAGGGAUAAGGGUAUUUUAGGAAUUAAUGAAAGACAAUAUCCUUCAUCUUAAUUUUCAUACUUUGUUUGGAUCUUGGGCUUAAAUAUGGGUGGUUGGAGGAUCAAAUGUUAAUUUUUGGGCCCAGCUGGGCCCAAAACACAAUUCUCCCUAUAUUAUAACUAGUGUGCAUAAAUAAGGUAAACAAUGUUUGAUAUUAAGAAUAAGUUAAUUAUUUUAAAUUAAUACUUAAAGUUAGAUGAUUUGUUCCCAAUUGGUGUCUCAACUGAUUCAUGUCCAGCUGGUGCUCCUUGAUUGAGGCAGUAAUCAACAAAAUUUAUAACCUAUUACACCAUGAACUAGGGUAGCAAAGACAAAACUACUAUAGCAUAGUGGCUCUAGGAUCAUUCACUGGGAAGGGUUUUCAACUCACAACUGAUAUCAAUUCAAAGUAAAUUGGUGCUUUUUCAUUUCAAGGUCAGCUUAAGAAAUAAAACACAAACUUUGUUUAAAUGAGGUUUUGUUUAAAGCUAACUAAAAAGAAAGUAAUGGAAAUUGCUUACGAAGAAAAACAUUCCUUGGAGGUUUAGGUUCACAGGGGAGGUUCCUUAUGCAAAAACAGAGCUCCGGUCAUUUGGUUCGUUUCCUCGCAUUAGAGAAUUAACAUAUAGUCAAUUCUCUAACCGGUGUUGUAUAGAUGUAACCUUUAAAUAGAUUUUAGCUCUAAUUCCCUCUCACUAAUGCAACUUGCAAUGGCUCGUGCCUCUCACCUAGCAUUUUCCAUUCAAGGUGAUCUUUAACUUUGGACUUCCCUUCUCAAGCUCGCAAGAGAUAACUAAUGGAUGUCUCCUUAGAGUCCAAAAGCUUACCAAGUGUUGGCAAUUCUAGAAAAUCCUACCUCCAAGUCACUUCCCAAAAGCUCGCAAGAGAUAAACAAGUGCAUCUCCAUGGACGGAGAUCACGUGCCUUACCAAGUGUUGGCUCAAGUGACUUGAAGGUGUUUUAAGUUAACUAAAAACAUAGAAAUCAUUAAAGGAACACACUUUCUCUUCAUUAAUUGCUGAAACCACAAAGCUACUAAUUCUUGCACUUGGAACCUUUCCCGGCAACCUUAACUCCAAGGAACUAAAAGUCUAGUCACUCAUUCUCUGAGGAAACUUCCUCAGAGCUUGUUUGGCUAGUAAGAAAACUAAUGAGAAAACAAUUAUAUGAAGGAAAAACAGAGCAAGUGCUCUGUGAAAUAUAUUUCUUUUUUCCGUCGAUUACAUAAUAGAUCUCUUUGUAAAGAAAAUUAAAACUAUAUAUAUGAGGUUAUUCACCCUUUUUACUUACUUAAAGACUAAGGAAUCCUAUGAUAGGUGGAUUACAAGGAGAGUUUGGGGAUUUAGACAUCAAAUAUCUAAAGCAAAAUAUCCCAAAAUAUCUCAAAAUGUCGAUCGAAAAUAUCAGGAAGCUUCAGGAGAACACUGUUGCACUGUAUACUGAGAGAAAAACUCUGCAGGUAAGCGCUAUCAGAAGGUCCGGAUAUGUCUAUCCGGAGAAGUUGAAACGUCCUCCUCUCCUAUCCGGAUGUGAGAUAUCCGGAUGUAAAAUGUCGGCGCACGGAAUUCCGGAUGUGAAAUGUCCCGCGCCGCCAAGUUAUCCGGAUCAAUUCCAUCGGGAUUCCCCCAAGUGGAAAGACGACGCAAUGCUAUCCGGAUUCUCUCAGGGAGAAGCACACGGCACUCAUGAACAUCACACCCGGACAAUAGCAUAUCCUAUCCGGAUAUGUUGUCCGGAUGGAAAACAUUGACUAAAGCGAGCAAGCCUUGCUACAGCCCAUGUUCCGCCACUCUCCAAUGGUGUGUCCGGACGCCUUGUCCGGACAUCUUUGCCAUGGAUUCCAAAGAACUCUCCCCAAUCUCUGAUUGCUUUGGUGAUCAAAAAGCUAUCAAAACACCAAAACUUGACACAAUUUGAUUAGAAUUGAUUGCAAGGGUCCUUAAUAUGUUAAUUGGGUUAAAAUGUGAUAACUACUACUCAAAAAUGUUUAAAAGAGUUAAUUACAGGCUAUCAAAUAGCACUUUUUGAGUAGUAAUCACUCCCCCCAACCAACAUAUUGCUAGUCCCUUAGCAAUGAAGGAGAGAAAAAUAAAAAUAAACAGUACUAUAAUUUACAACAUCAUGCUGAUCAAAAAACAAUUUUCAAGUGGCAUGAUGAUCUAACUCUCACAUGGAACAUUAAAGAAAUAAAACUCAAACUUCAACAAGAGUUAUCAAAUAACUUGUCUAAUCACAAUUCUUAAAGAGAAGACAUUAUGCAAAUUUAAGCUUUAAAAGAGUUUCCACUUCCAAAGGGUCAAACCUUACUCUUCCACAAAAAUCUAAGUGUUAUUUAUUAGUUUCCGAAUAUAGUAUGUUGAACUAAUCUCUCCCCCCAACCUAGUUAUUUUUCAUAGCUUAGCAAACUAAUUAACCUCCAAUAGGUUAAGAACGCACCUCAUUUUUUCACAAUUAUUUUUUUCAUUGUAGGAGUAUAAGGCUAAAGGUAUUCUUUUCUAAAUUGUCCAUGUAACGGGGGUCCAUCGAUGACUCCCAACCAAUUAAGGUUUAGGGCAUCAAGCUUUAAGGAUCUUUCAACCACUAACUCCUCGGAUUUUACCCCGGACUUUUGAGAAUAAAUUUUAAUACCCAAGCACCUACAGUAUGUUAAACUCCACCUAUUCACCCUUGUAACGAGCAUUGAGGUCGGUGACUCCCAACCAAUUAAGGCUUAGGGCACCAGGUUUUAAAGAUUUUCACCAUAUACCCCUCAGACCUUGCUCGUGUUUCAAGGCAAGCAAAUAUUUUUUUUCUUUCUUUCUUUAUUCUUUUUUUCAAAGGCUCAUUGGCCUUUUAAAAGGUGUCCCAACACUUAUUAAAUUGAGGUCAAAUGUACCAAGUCUAAAAUUUUCCUAAGUCAAGAGGGAAAUAGUUUUUCAUCUUAUAAUCGAAACCUAUUGUGCACAGUGUGUGGAUAGCUUAAAGUGGAAGAACUAAGGUUGAAUUCAAUAGAAGUUUCAAUAAUUCAUCAACUAUAGUAAGCAUAAUACAAACUCUAAGUCAAGUAAAAAGACAAAAAUUCAAUUUCUCUCAUUUCAAUUUUGAGAAUUUUUUCCUUAAUAACCAUGGAGAGUAGAAUAAAAACUUUAAAAAUUUUAAAAAUUAAGCAAAAAGCAACUAAAUUACCAAAAUAGCUUAGCAUUUAAUAACAAAAAACUUCCUUCCUCAACUCUCCCUCCAACCAAGCUGAACAUUGUCCUCAAUGUGACAAAAGCGAUUGAAAAAUAGGGAGGAAGUGGUACCUCCUUAGAGACAUGAAGUGAUGCUGUGGAAAUAAUGGCUCAGAUGUCUCUCCUGUAGGAGGCUCUGGAUGAGGCAUAGACUGAUCAACAAAAGGAGGGGCCUAUGAUGGUUCUGAUGAGCUGGGAGCAGCUUCUUUCGAUUUUCUUGAAUUCCUCCUGAUUUUAAUCAUUCAAAAAGAUUAAGUUAGUUACAAUUUACAUAAUUUCAAGACCAAAAUUACAAUCAAAUAAUUUACAAAACUUAAAAAUUAACAUAUUUAACAAAAUUAUGGACUUUGGUGAAACCAAGUCCAUCUAACCCUUCUCUGUUCGGGAUUUCUGUGGCUCAAGGAGGUUGAUUUCCUCAUUUUCUGGCUUGAACGGCUCAAUGAAUGGCUUGAGGCGAUGACCAUUGACUUUGAAGGUGUCUAUGCCAUUGGAAUUUAGUAAUUACACCACUCCAUUGAGAUGUACUUGGUGAAUAAUGAAAGGACCUAUCCACCUUGACUUGAGCUUCCCUGGAAAGAUAUGGAGCCUUGAGUCAUAGAGUAGGACUCUUUGUCCUUUCCUCAAUUCUUUGUUGGAGAUUAGUUGAUCAUGUCACUUCUUCAUCCUCUGUUUUGCAACUUUGGAAUUGAUGUAAGCAUCAUUUCUUAAUUCCUCCAUCUCAUUAAGGUCUAAGCACCUCUUUUCCCCAUCUCUGAUCAAGUCCAUGUUCAACCUCUUGAUUGCCCACCAAGCUUUAUAUUCAACUUCCACAGGGAGGUGGCAUGCUUUGCCAUAGACAAGACGAUAGGGAGACAUGCCAAGAAUAGUCUUAUAAGUUGUUCUAUAUGCCCAUAAUGAAUCAUGCAGCUUAAUAGACCAAUCUUUUCUGCUUGUAAUCACCACUUUCAUCAGUAUGUUUUUUAUUUCCCUGUUUGCUAGCUCUACUUGCCCGGAAGUUUGAGGAUGAUAAGGUGUAGCUACCUUAUGCUUCACUCCAUACUUGGCUAAUAAGGCUUCAAAAGGUUUGUUGCAAAAAUGAGUACCUCCAUCACUGAUUAUGGCCUUAGGCACCCCAAAUCUUGAGAAGAUGUUCUCCUUGAGAAAUUUGAGAACCACCCUAUCAUCAUUAUGUUUACAGGGGAUUGCCUCCACCCAUUUGGAAACAUAGUCCACCCCUACCAAUAUAUAAGAGUUACCAAAAGACAUUGGAAAAGGUCCCAUGAAGUCAAUACCCCAAACAUCAAAAAGAUCAACUAUAAGGAUGGGGUUCAUGGGCAUUUGGUUUCUUUUUGUAAGCUUCCCGAGUUUUUGGCAUCUAUCACAACUCCUACACAUGAUGUGGGAAUCUUUGAAAAGCGAUGGCCAAGUAAACCCUGAUUGUAAGACCUUCAUGGCUGUUUUCUGAGAGGCAAAGUGGCCUUCACAGGCAUUCUCAUGGCAGUGGCUAAGGAUCCCUUGUUGCUCUUCUUCAGGGACACACUUUCUUAUGAUCUGAUAUGCACAAUACUUGAAAAGGAAGGGCUCUUCCCAAUAAUAAGCAUGAAUCUUUGUAAAGAAGUGCUUCCUGUCUUGUGCUUUCCACUCACUUGGAACUUUACCAAUAACCAAAUAGUUAGCAAUAUGAGCAUACCAAGGAGCUUUCUCUAGCAACAUAUGUGAUUCCUCAGGAAAAUCAUCAUUAAUAGGUAAUACAUGGGAAUUAUGUGCUAUAGCCAACCUUGAAAGGUGGUCAACUACCACAUUCUCCACCCCUUUCUUGUCUCUGAUUUGGAGAUCAAACUCUUGCAACAAAAGAAUCCAUCUAAUCAACCUUGCUUUUGCAUCUUGCUUUGUCAAUAAAUACUUUAAGGCUGAAUGGUCAGUGAAAACAAUGAUGAAAGACCCUACCAAAUAAGCACGAAACUUGUCUAAAGCAAACACCACAACAAACAAUUCUUUCUCUGUAGUUGUGUAGUUUCUUUGAGCCUCGUUCAAUGUUUUGCUUGCAUAGUAGAUCACAUAGGGCUUCCCAUCUUCUCUUUGGCCAAGUAUAGCUCCUAUAGCAAAGUCACUGGCAUCACACAUUACUUCAAAGGGUAAUUGCCAAUUAGGAGCCCUUACUAUUGGAGCGGUUGUCAAAAAUUGCUUCAAUUGAUCAAAACUCUUUUGACAUCUUUCAUCCCAGACAAACUUAGCAUCCUUAGCCAAAAGUUCACAAAGAGGCCUUGACAGCUUAGAGAAAUCUUGUAUAAACCUCCUGUAGAACCCUGCAUGGCCAAGAAAUUGCCUUACUCCUUUUAUAGUGGUUGGGGAUGGCAAUUUGGCAAUAAGUUCCACCUUUGCUUUAUCAACUUCAAUGCCUUUCUCGGAGAUGAUAUGGCCAAGGACAAUUCCUUGACGUACCAUAAAAUGGCAUUUCUCCCAAUUGAGCACCAAGUCUUUUUCAAUGCAUCUUUUAAGAACCGCUUCCAAAUUUACUAAGCAUUCUUCAAAUGUACCUCCAUAUAUGGUGAUAUCAUCCAUGAAAACAUCCAUAAUUCGCUCCACCAUAUCAUUGAAGAUACUAAGCAUACAUCUUUGGAAUGUUGCAGGUGCAUUGCAUAAACCAAAAGGCAUUCUUCUAUAGGCGUAUGUUCCAAACGAACAGGUGAAAGUGGUCAUCUCCUGAUCUUCAACAUCAAUUUCAAUUUGGAAAUACCCUGAGUACCCAUCCAAGAAACAAUAGAAAGGAUGGCCAGAGACUCUCUCCAGCACCUGAUCAAUAAAUGGGAGUGGAAAAUGAUAUUUCCUUGUAACAACAUUCAAUUUCCUGUAAUCAAUACACCCCCUCCAGCCUAAAGUGAGGCGUGUAGCAAUUUCUUUGCCUUUUUCAUUCUGAACCACAGUAAUCCCUGACUUCUUUGGUACCACUUGAGUAGGACUCACCCAAGGGCUGUCAGAUAUGGGAUAAAUAAUACCCGCUUGGAGUAGCUUCAGUACCUUAGUUCGCACCACUUCUUGUAAAUGAGGAUUCAAUCUUUUUUGAGGUUGACGAAUUGGUUUAGUUUCUUCCUUCAUAUAUAUGUGAUGUGUACAAACCAGAGGACUGAUUCCUUUCAAGUCAGAUAUUUGCCAUCCUAUUGCUUUCUUGCACCUCUUAAGAAUUUCAAGUAGAGAAAUCUCCUGAUGACCGGUAAGAGAUGAAGAUAUAAUAACAGGACAUUGGUUAUUUUCUUCCAGGUAUGUAUAUUUUAAUUCCAUGGGCAGAGGUUUCAAAUUGAGCUUCGGGAAUUCUUCCAUUACAUCAUCUUGUCCCUCCUCUUUAUUGAAUUAAGGUAGGAUCUCUUUUUUCCUCCUCCAACCUUGUAGAGUAGCAAGGACAUCAACGGGUUCAGACAACCCUUCUUCAAGAUCCUCAAGUCUUUCAUUCAACUCGUCUUGUAUAUUUUGAUCACAAUGCUCCUCCACUAGAGUGUCAAUAAUGCAUACCUUUUUUGGACCUUCUUCUUCUUCCAGAGUAAUCAGCUUCUUUGACAUAUGAAAGAUAUUAAGCUCAAGUGUCAUGUUGCCAAAAGUGAGCUGCAUAAGUCCAUUCCUACAAUUUAUGAUUGCAUUUGAAGUAGCAAGGAAUGGCCUUCCAAGAAUGAUAGGAACAUAAUUAGCUUCCUUAACUAAAGGAUCAGUAUCAAGAACAACAAAAUCUACUGGAUAGUAGAAAUUAUCAACUUGAACUAAAACAUCCUCAAUUAUCCCCCUUGGAAUUUUCAGUGACCUAUCAGCUAAAGAUAGGGUGAUUGAUGUUGGCUUUAAUUCACCAAGUCCCAAUUGCUUAUAAACAGAGUAUGGUAGCAAAUUCACACUUGCUCCCAAAUCUAGCAAAGCUUUUUCCACUACCUUUCCCCCAAUCAUGACUGAAAUGGUAGGACAUCCCGGAUCUUUGUACUUCAAAGGAGAUUUGCAUUGUAUGAUGGCACUUACUUGUUCAGUCAAAAAGGCUUUCUUAUUCACAUUCAACCCUCUUUUGAUAGUGCACAGGUCCUUUAGGAACUUUGCAUAUGUUGGAACUUGCUUAAUCAUGUCCAGCAAUGGAAUGUUGACCUUCACUUGCCUCAAUACUUCAAGGAUUUUUGAUGCAUUUUUUAUCCCCUUUUUCCCAUGCAAAGCUUGAGGAAAAGGUGGAGAUGUGCGUUUCUUCAUCAAUUCUUCCUUAAUAAGCUCUUUCUCCGGAUUUGCAUUCACUGUUGAAUCACGGUCCUCCUUCUCUUCACUGAUAUCUUUCUUCUUUCCUUUCAUUUCCUCCCUCUUCUUUGUCUCUUCUUCUUCCUUCUCUUCCGCAUAUGGCUUGGGUGUUGGUGACUCAACCUUUUUACCACUCCUUAGAGUGAUCAAGGCUUUAACAUCUCUCACCUAUGAAGAUUCUCCCUCAUGAGUUUCCAUUUCGUGGAUACCCUUGGGGUUUUGGUGAGGUUGAGAAGGAAAUCUACCCUUCUCUUGCACUGUGUUCAAAUUAGUGAGCCUUGAGAUUGAGUAUUAGAGAUUAUCUAUCUUCUGAGAUAAGUCAUUUUGCAGCCCAUCAAUCCUUUUGUUCAAAGUAUUCUCUACACUGCCAAUUCUUUGACUGAGUUGAGAGUUGAUGGAUUUUUGUUCUCCAAUAAAAUCUCCCACAACCUUGCUGAGAUUCACUAUUGCUUGUUCAAGACUUGAAGCUUGUUGGGAUGGUUGAGAUGGUUGAGCCGACUGUUGGUACUGAGGUGCUCUUGGCUUCCAUGAAAAAUUUGGAUGAUUCCUCCAACUUGAGUUAUAAGUAUUGCCAUACGAAGCAUUGCUAUUGGGCUUGAAUUGUCCAAUGACAUUUGCUUGUUCUUCAUACAUUUCUCUAGCAACUGGAAUUGAAGGGCACUCCUCUACCAAGUGUUCAUAAGAUUGACAAAUAGAACAUGACUUUACUUGCACUAGUGUUUCAGCAACAGCUUGCACUUCAUGCAUCUUUUUCAGUUCUAGCUCCUCCACUCUUCUUGUCAUGGCCGCAAAUUUUGCUUUUAUAUCAUCAUCUUCAUUCAAGGUGUACAUCCCAUCCUUAGCAUGAAGAGCAUUUGGUUGAGACUUCAUCUUUCCCACUUCUCCUCUGUGCGGUUCAUCCUAUCCCCUUGAGACUUCAGCUAUAUAACUCAAGAAAUCCAUAGCUUCCUCAGGAUUCUUACUCAUGAAAUCCUCUCCACACAUUGUUUCGAGGAGUUGCUUCAUUGAGGAAGACAUCCCAUCAUAGAAAUAACUCACCAACAGCCAUGUAUCAAAGCCAUGGUGAGGACAAGCAUUAAUGGCUUCCAUGUAUCUUUCCCAACACUCAUAGAAUUUCUCAUUCUCUUUAGCUGAGAAGUUUGAAAUUUGCCUUUUCAAGCUAUUUGUUCUGUGAGUAGGAAAAAAUUUCUUAAGGAAUUCAGCUUGUAAAUCAGUCCAAGUACGGAUACUCCUUGGCCUUAAAGAAUUAAGCCAAAUCUUGGCCUUAUCCUUUAAAGUAAAAGGAAAUAAUUUAAGCCUCAUCUGGUCGAUGGAAGCUCCUCCCUCUCGGAAUGUAUUACAAACAUCUUCAAAUUCCUUGAUAUGGGCAUAAGGAUUCUCACUUUCCAUUCCAUGGAAAGUUGGCAGAAGUGGCAUAAUAUGGGGUUUGAUCACUAGCUGCUCUGUAGGGGGCACUAUACAUGAUGGUGCACUCAUAUGAGGUGGAUGCAUACAGUCCCUCAAUGAUCUGAAUUCAUUGGGAUUGUCUUGAUGAUCAUGGUGACUAUGCUGAUCUUCAGGUGUAGUUUCCAUGAUGUUCAAGAUUACUUCCAACUCCUUGUUAUGAGGUGUUUCAAGUUUAACAAGCCUUCCUCCCCAAUCUCGUAUCCACUUUGGCAUACACAACUAGUAUCAAAUGUAACAAAGAAAAAAAACAAAAAUAGAGGAAAACAAAAACAAAACUACCAAAAAGAGUUCGAUUAACUAAAACUAAAUUUAAAACUAUGCUAGAAUAUAAAUGAGUAAAAGAAAAAACUAAAAGAGUUAGUAAAAUGAGAGAAAACUCACUAAACUUGUGAUGAAAACCACAAGUACCCUGAAAUAAUAUCAAUAUAAAGUUGACACCUUCCCCGGCAAUGGUGCCAUUUGAUUCGUUCCCAAUUGGUGUCUCAGCUAAUUCAUGUCUAGCUGGUGCUCCUUGAUUGAGGUAGUAAUCAACAAAAUUUAUAACCUAUUACACCAUGAAUUAGGGUAGCAAAGGCAAAGCUACUAUAGCAUAGUGGCUCUAGGAUCGUUCACUGGGAAGGGUUUUUAACUCACAACUGAUACCAAUUCAAAGUAAAUUGGUGCUUUUUCAUUUCAAGGUCAGCUUAAGAAAUAAAACCCAAACUUUGUUUAAAUGAGGUUUUGUUUAAAGCUAACUAAAAAGAAAGUAAUGGAAAUUACUUAUGAAGAAAAACAUUCCUUGGAGGUUUAGGUUCACAGGGGAGGUUCCUUAUGCAAAAACAGAGCUCCGGUCAUUUGGUUCGUUUCCUCGCAUUAGAGAAUUAACAUAUAGUCAAUUCUCUAACCGGUGUUGUACAGAUGUAACCUUUAAAUAGAUUUUAGCUCUAAUUCCCUCUCACUGAUGCAAUUUGCAAUGGCUCGUGCCUCUCACCUAGCAUUUUCCAUUCAAGGUGAUCUUUAACUUUGGACUUCCCUUCUCAAGCUCGCAAGAGAUAACUAAUGGAUGUCUCCUUAAAGUCCAAAAGCUUACCAUGUGUUGGCAAUUCUAGAAAAUCCUACCUCCAAGUCACUUCCCAAAAGCUCGCAAGAGAUAAACAAGUGCAUCUCCAUGGACGGAGAUCACGUGCCUUACCAAGUGUUGGCUCAAGUGACUUGAAGGUGUUUUAAGUUAACUAAAAACAUAGAAAUCAUUAAAGGAACACACUUUCUCUUCAUUAAUGGCUGAAACCACAAAGCUACUAAUUCUUGCACUUUGAACCUUUCCCGGCAACCUUAACUCCAAGGAACUAAAAGUCUAGCCACUCAUUCUCUGAGGAAACUUCCUCGGAGCUUGUUUGGCUAGUAAGAAAACUAACGGGAAAACAAUUAUAUGAAGGAAAAACAGAGCAAGUGCUCUGUGAAAUAUAUUUCUUUUUUUCGUCGAUUACAUAAUAGAUCUCUUUGUAAAGAAAAUUACAAACUAUAUAUAUGAGGUUAUUCACCCUUUUUACUUACUUAAAGACUAAGGAAUCCUAUGAUAGGUGGAUUACAAGGAGAGUUUGGGGAUUUAGACAUCAAAUAUCUAAAGCAAAAUAUCCCAAAAUAUCUCAAAAUGUUGGUCAAAAAUAUCAGGAAGCUUCAGGAGAACACCGCUGCACUGUAUACUGAGAGAAAAACUCUGCAGGUAAGCACUAUCAAAAGGUCCGGAUAUGUCUAUCCGGAGAAGUUGAAACGUCCUCCUCUCCCAUCCGGAUGUGAGAUAUCCGGAUGUACAAUGUCGGCGCACGAAAUUCUGGAUGUGAAAUGUCCCACAUCGCCAGACUAUCCGGAUCAAUUCCAUCCGGAUUCCCCCAAGCGGAAAGGCGGCGCAAUGCUAUCCGGAUUCCCCAAGCGGAAAGGUGGCGCAAUGCUAUCCGGAUUCUCUCAGGGAGAAGCACACGACACUCGUCAACAUCACACCCGGACGAUAGCAUAUCCUAUCCGGAUAUGUUGUCCGGAUGGAAAACAUUGACUAAAGCGAGCAAGCCUUGCUACAGCCCACGUUCCGCCGCUCUCCAAUGGUGUGUUCCGGACGCCUUGUCCGGACAUCUUUGCCAUGGAUUCCAAAGAACUCUCCUCAAUCUCUGAUUGAUUUGGUGAUCAAAAAGCUAUCAAAACACCAAAACUUAACACAAUUUGAUUAGAAUUGAUUGCAAGGGUCCUUAAUAUGUUAAUUGGGUUAAAAGGUGAUAACUACUACUCAAAAGUGUUUAAAAGAGUUAAUUACAGGCUAUCAAAUAACACUUUUUGAGUAGUAAUCAUUAGAAAUAACCUUAAAUUGCAACAUUAAGUUAUUAAGUCAUUAAAUUAAUUUACCAACACUCACUAAAAGAGUGAGUUAUUGGGAAAAUUGUUGUUAAAAUUGCACAUGAGAUUAUAUAGUUAUCUUUAAAAACUCCAAAAUUCACACUUGUAUCUAGCAUAUAAAAACUUUUUCCCAUAUCUUAGUUUUGCCCAUAGCCUCACACAAAUCCCUCACUCUAAAUUCCAAUAUCAGAUUUGGUUCACAACUAAUAUUUAUGGCUGCUAAUUAAAUCUCCCGUGUUCAUACCUCUCUUUCUCUCUCUCUCUCUUUCUCUGAGCUUUAUCUCUGCCACUACUAGUCAGAGUACGCUUAAACUGUUCUUAGUUUUAUUUUUUAGUUUUGAGUCUUUGCUCUUAUAAUUGUAUGGAAUGGUGGUUAUAUUAUAUUGUUUAAUGAAAUUGUUUUCGUUCAUUUCUCUCAUUGUGUGAUUGUUUUCUUUGAUAAUUUUUCUCAUUAGAUUAUGCCUAAUAUUUUUAGCUUUUAUUGCUUAAUAUUGUACAAGAUUUUAGGGUUUUUUUUUUUAAAAAAAUAUAAAUAAAUAAAAAUUGUUGAUUGGUUUUUAUUGGGUUUUCAAUUUUUUAUUUUUCAUUUUUCAUUUUUAUCUCACUUAAGAUUGAGAAGUUUGUGUUAAUUUCAUUCACCUCCCCUAACGUUUUAGUUAAUAUGCUUAAUCCUUAUUAAUUUGAGAUUUCAUCAAAUACCUCUCUUAUUUUAAGUAGGAGAAGGUUAGGUGAGUGAGCAUAACAAAUGAAAAUAAUAGGAAAAAUAUUUAAUGUAAUUUCAAACUAAUGAAAAUCAAGUGUAUUUAGCGAAAACUUGAGGGGAAAUGAGUGAAAUUAACCCGAGUAAUUUGUUUUCAAAAGUAUUGUUUACUAUUUUGGUAAAGUUGGUUCCUUUCACUAGUUUGAUGAACUUGUGGUGAUCGACAAUAAACUUAAAGGAAAUGAGUUUAGUCUAGUAGACUGAACCUCUCAGCAAGGAUCACAUUUGUGUGCGUUGGUUUGGGAUAUUUGAUUUGUAGAUGAAAGCGUGUUUAUCAUAUGAGGAAGGGGCUCGGAUAUCAUAAAAUCAAGAAUCCCAUAAUCACCCGUUGACAUCAAAUUAAAGAGUAUUAAGGCCUUUAGGAAAACAUUUCUUAAUUGUUGGUUCUAAGCCAACUGGAGUCAGAUUCGUCCAACUUAACGGAGGUUAGACAGUCUUCCCCCCUUCGUUGUGCCUCCCAAAGUAUCCGCCCAACAAUAGUGAUACUGGGUGAACUCCUUUCCUACACAAAAGGAUGUUUGAAUGGAUAGUCUGGGCACGCCGCUUUGAAGCUUAAGUCAGGCAAAUAUAGCUCAAGCUACUUAGUGGGAGAAAGUGAGUAAGCGUAUGUGUGCACAUACCUUGUUUGUGCUUUUUGGAGUGUUUUAUAGUGUUAAAAAGAAUGCCCCUAUAGUGCUGACUAAGCACUUUGACUUCCUUUGUAAUGAUGAUUGUCCUAUAGGCGACUGAGCAAUCAUCAUAGUUUUGGGUGGCUGGCAGGCGCAAUCAGUUGGCGUGCCAUGAUUUUGGACCGUGUAGCCACCUGUCCCCUCAGCCUGUUGAUGGUGUGAGGUUAAGUGCAACAAUUAAUUGACAUGGACUUAAAUGUUAGAAGAGGUCCCAUCAGCCGUUCACAUGUCAGGUGUGAAUGAUCACACAUGCUAGUGGGUCUUGAAGACUUGACUGGACAGUCCUCUCUGUUUAGGAGGUCCAACCUCCCUUUGUCGUCCAACCCUGUGGGAGAAAAGGGCCUCCUUAUACUUGGUAUCAAAUGGAACUAGUCGUGGUUUGGACAAAACUAUCCGGACAGGUUGCAUGCUUGUGCUAGACGGUCAAGGUGUUCGGGUUAGAAAAGGGACACAUGGAGGGGAAACCCCCACAUUAAUGCUAUAAGUGCAUUCUGUUCAAUGAAAAAGUGUAAGGGAUAUAAGUAUGGAUAUGAUUCAUCAUCCCAAAACAUUCUUGAAAAGCUUCUACAAUUUCUUAUUUAUCUGUUUCUUAAAGAAAAUAGCUGGCCUUUAUUAAAAAUAAAAUAAAAAUGGGAAGUAGAUUAUUUGAAAACAAUUGAUGGAGAAAACAAUAAAUGAGCUUAGAUUAGGAAAAUGGUAUUAUAACAGUGAAGGAUCAAGAUAAGCUAAAUUUAAUUGGUUGAAGGAGAAGUUUAUUCUUUGAUGAAUUUAGCAUAUCAUUUAAUUAAACACAUGACAACAAAUGAAUUAUAUUAGACAAAGCUCUAAUUAAUGAAAAGCUUAAAUUGACUAUUUUAAUUUUUUACUUUUAGUAAAAUACCUUUUUCUUAUUAACUUGAUUGUCCAAACUAAAAUCUUAAUACAGAUAAAUGACUUAAAGGGUGCUUGAUUGUUUUUUUAGUUUUUGCUGAAAGCAAUUUGCUUUCACACUUUAAGUUGCUUGUUUUUUUACUUUUUUUUUAUAACUUAUUAUUAAUUUUUUAUUGAAUAGAAAAAAAAAUCAAAAUAUUUAGUUUUUUUUUUAAAUAGAAAAAAAUAACAUAUUGAUGUUUCUAUACUUUUUAAUUCUUUAUAGAAAUAAAAUAUUACAAAAACAAAUAAUUCAAUACUUAAAUACACUAUUAAGCACUAUUUAGUUUUAAGUUCCAUUUAUAAUUAAAUAAAAAAAAAAAAAAAACAAGCACUACCUUACUUAUCCUCAAUGUCCUUUGGAGGACUGUGUUCAAGUUCUUUAAUUUGUAAUAAGAUAAAGCAUCUGAACUUUGAGAGGCUCUAGUUGGUCCAAUGUGUUGUUUUCUUGACUCCUUUUAUAGACCUUUUGAUGCAUAGCUUACCAUUACAAUAUUGAUACUCACUCUAACUAAUUUAUAUGACAAUGAUAAUUAUUAAAAUGUUUAGAACUAAUUUUGAAUUUUCUUCUUUCCAUUGGGAUUUUGAGUGAUAAUUCGUUUACAAAACACCACCACCAAGAAACAUUAAGGGCAAUAUCAUGGCACCAUCACCUGGAGGUAUGUGGUUCUAUGCUUUCAAAGUUCUACUUCAUCCAAAUGGAUAGCAUAUUUGUCAAUUUAUUUUGAUAUGCAUGACAAGAUCCUUUCAAACUAUGUGCGUUGCCCUCAAUUUAUUUUUUAGUAGUUUAUUUACAUUUUGUUUUGAGGUUAAUAGACUAGAGUAGGCAUAAUUUUGUCCAAAGGUGACGUUACUUUUCAAAGGUUAUACUGAGUUAUUAUAAUUAUUUACCUAGUAGGAGAAUUUUACAAUGGUUAAUAUCUGUUAUGGGCAUUAUUCCUGAUGUUUGAAAAGGUGUUAUCUUCUUUUUAAGUCUUUUUAAGUGUAAGAACAAGUAAUUCAAUAAAUGAGAUAAGUACUUUAUGUACAUAUUACUGCAAUGUAACUGAUGUAUGAAAUGACAACAAAAGUAUGCGCCUAUUUAAAAGUAGUGUGUUGAUAUUGAUGCAUGGGAAUGGCAUAACAAGGCCAAUUAACUAAGGGUGUGAAGACAAAGCCAAUUAUUAUCAUCCGUUUUAAGGAAUCGAGUUUCAGCAAUUUGUCAUGUUCAAAUAAAAGGCAUUAAGUUAGAGAAACAUAUGGUUUGAAAGGAAAAAGAUACACUUGUGUUGAUGGUUAAGGUUUCUCCUUUCUUUCAAUAUUUUUAGUGUUGAAUUCUUCUUUUUUUUUUUAAUCGUUUGUGUGGUUCUAAGAAGCCUAGGUACUAUAAUAUGAUAAAACAUAUAAUUUAGUUUUUAUUAUUCUCCAAAUUUGCACUAUUUAUGGACAUAAAGUGAAAUGAUAUGAGUGGAGUCGGAAAAGGUAUGUAUUUUACACAAUUAUUCAGAAUGUUACAAAGUUCAUCAUUUUCACAUAGCUUCUAGCACCUUUAACCUUAUUCUCUAAGUAAUGCAACUUUACUAAUAUUGCCACUUUCAAAUUCAUGGUUGGGAACCAAAUUUAAUCUUGCUAUUUAUAGGAUCAUUUGGGCAUGUAUUUCAUUUUUAUUUGGCUCUCUUAUUUCCCUAAGAGAGAUAUUUCCACAAAUAUAAUUGGUUAGUGUCAGCCCCUUAGCCUCUUGACUUAACCAUGGAGGAAUAGGCCUCAUGGGUAGGCCUUGCACCCAUGAGAGACUAGGAUGAAAGCAAGGAAAUCCUGGAGGUUUGGUGGUUCAAACUUUAGGAGCCAUGUGAGGAGGCCAUGGGCGAGCCAGACACGCACUGUGUGCGGGCCAGACGUGCACCAUAGGUGAGCCAGAUGUGCACCACAGGCGAGCCAGACGCGCACUGCGAGCGCACCACUGGUGAGCCAGAUGCGCACCGCACGCACACUGCGGGCGAGCCAGACAUGAACCACGUGCGCACCUGACUUAGGUGGUGCAGAUGACGGCUAAGGGACAUGGAAUUUUAAUUUAUAAUUAUUUAUUAUUCCAUUAUGUCUCCUCAGGCAUAUUGAUGUCUCCUCAAGAAACAAUGAAAAGGACCCAUAUUACUCUUUACGGGGGGGUAGGUGAUUCAAAGGAGGGAGCCACCAAGGAAAGCCUUGACCGCACCAAAAGGGCACCAUGGCACGGCCUUAGGAGUGCCUAGGACGCACGACGCGACUCGAGCACACACACAUGGGCUCCAUGACAUGUGUGGCGUGCACCUCGUGGUCAUAAUGGCACAGGGCCUGAUGCGACCUACCCCCUUCCUGCACAGCCACGAGGGUGCCUAAGCCUUGUGCAGUGAGCCAGCUGAUGAAACCAUGGGCGCAAUGCCAUGGUCUGAGGGCUCCAAGCAAUAGCUGACUUGCACCAAAAUGCCUACAGACAGCACAAGGGCAGAAUGCCCUAUGCACCAAGAGGGAUUAGCCAUCAGCACAAUGCCAUGGCUCGUUGCUGGGAAGCAAGCAACAAGCCCAAGCCAUGGGCACCUAGACAUGGCAUAAGCUCACACAUCAGUGUGGGAAAGGCACACUGAUGCACCAGUUGCUUGGUUAGAUGGUUGGUGCACGCUGCCUGGCUCAGAGGGCCUUGAUCAAAGACAUGCUGAUGGGCACCAGGUCAUAAGAGACACCUUGCGGGGAAGGAGUCGGCUUGUUAGGGGGACUCUCCAGAAGCUUGGUGACCAAGACCUGAGGAGAUGACAGUGCAGCUAGCUAGUGGCAGCUAGCUCAGAUAGCAAGUGACCAAGUCAAGCCGUCAUUUGACCUGUAGUUGGUUGAGGGAUGAUGGUUGGUGCAAGUGGGUGGCAUGUGCAGGCCACUAUCUAGGUGGUGGGUGGUUAUGCAAGGCAGUUGUGGGCGGUUUUGGCCAGUUGCAUAACCACCAAGUUGGCUCCAACAUUUGAAUAUGGGAAUUCAAAUUUGUAACUACAACUUUGAGUCUUUUAAAAGGGCUCUUGCAGCCUUGAAACAGAGAGAAAGAGAUUUUGGGGAAAAGAGUUCCUUCUCGUAUGCUUUCGUGAGAGCAUUGUACUCUGGUUCAGGAAACGAUUUUGUCUUGUAAGAGUGAAAUAAUACAAGUUGGGAAAGGAUUCCCAUAACCUCGUGUGUGUCCCUGUUGCUUUGUUCUUUCUGUAUUUUACUCUGUUUUUCUAAACGUUGGGAAGGAAGGUUGGCUAAGGAAGGGUCCUUAGCACCGCGCACUCGUGAAAAAUUCAGUGAGAUAUUUAGGGGUGUGACAGUUAGCAUAGACAAACUAGAACCUUUUCUUUGUCAAAUAAGUAUUUCUAUUAACUUUGUUUAUGAUCUAUAUAGUUGUACUUAAGUAUUCCUAUUAAGUACAUAAAUUUUGCAAAGGAUUCAUUAACUUUCUUUUAUGAUCUAGGAACUGAUUCAAUAAUUUGUUAGCUCCUAGUACCUUUUAUUCUAUUACUAAUACAACUAAAAUAGAAUGCUUUGUUUUUCAACCAUAUGCAUUGUUUAGUUAGAGUGAUGGUUUAGGACCUUUGAGUUUGGAUACUCAAAGUUGAGCUAACUAAUUCAAGGCUUUGAUCUUUACAAUUUAAUUUAGUCAUUGUAAUUUCUAGUUUAAGGCCAUUGGAUUUCAUAAUCUGAGGUCAUUAAAAUUCAUAAAAAGCAACAAAAUUUGAAACAUCAAGGUCGCUGAGCCUAUUUAGAAGCCUAUUUAGGCAGAAGGGUGAGGUAUAUAGAAUUUAAGGGAAAGUGGAGCUACAAGAUAGGUGGGGUUAAAUGGAUAAAAGAAAGUGAGAAUUUCUUUUCUUUAUCAUUUUGGGUUAAACGGAGCCAUUUUAAAAUAACAAUUAUCAUGUUACAAGGACAAUAUGUUAUUUCCCUUUCUUUUAGGUGGAAGAAGGCUCAAUAGAUGUUGAUUCCUCUUUAGUGGGCCUUUAACUCUAUGCCAUAAAAGUUAAACCCCUAAACAAAUCUCAAGAUGCUCAGUGUUAGGAAGGUUAACUCCUUUUGUGUGAUGCUCUGGGUAUUUCAAAGCCUAAAAUACAUUCUCUCAACUUGGAUAAGCAUAUUGGUAUUAAGGCACUAUGUCAAAGGUGAAAAGGUCUAGGGGAUCUAGCUAUAACUAUUUUGGAGAAAACAUACAAUCAUCUCUACAACCAUAGUAACACAAUCUCUUAUGUGCAUAUGAUGUCACUUAAAGCAUGAGAGACCUCAUUGGCAGCCACAAAGAGUAGGCAUGCUCCAUGGACAUCUAGGUGACCCAUGGAUAUAUUUGGAAAUAGAAAUCCAUAUGCAUCCAUAUCUAAAUGAUGUAGCACUAUCGUCUAGGAAGAUAUACAAGGUGAUUAUGACCCUUUGACACAUGACACCAAGUCUAAAGAUGCAUGGUUCUUUGUAAUUUGUUGUGAUACAAUGAAUCUCACAUUUCACAAGUUGAACACAUGCAAUGUGAUGAUCCAUCCAAAAAAUCAUCCAAAGGCCUAACCAAUUUCAUGAUAGUAGUAGAUUAGAAAAGAUGGUACUUUAAUCAUUUGCAUAAAUAGUACUAGUUACAGAAAAGGGAAAUAAAUUAUUUUUCAGAUAAAAUGAAAAUGUGCCACAUUAGUGUAUAAAAUUUAUGUGAAAUAAUUUGUAAGCAUGAAUUUCUAAUUGCAUGCACAAAACCUGUGCAAAUGUUCUAUUUAAUUGCUUAAUUUUGUGUGCAUCUCUUUAGGUACAAAUACAAUGAUGUGUUGAGUUUUUUUUUUUUUAACUAUUUUUACAAACAUGCUACUCAAAUGAGAUUUAUAUCUAUAUCUAUCUAUUGAUAUAGAUAUUUGUAGCAAUUGGCUAAGGUAGUUGCACUUAGCUUGGGUUAUGUCUAUGGAUGGAUUUUGUGGAAAUCCUGUUAUCUACUACACGUUCACACAUGUUCACACAACUCUAAAGUGGUCCAACACCAGAUCAUCUCACCGCCCUACAGUUUAGGAACAUGUUCCACAAACUGCCGAUAAUGAUGGCAAAUGAAAAACGACGUGGUUUGAUGGGAAGCCACAACUUUAUAUAUCAAUUUUGGUCCCGAAGUCGUCUCUCUGCUGUUUUUCUUCAAUAAUACACUAUCUCACGAGAGAGAUUAGAGUUUGGAAAAUCAAAGACUUGCACCAAUUAUAGAAAUUCAAAAACAAUGGUUGGAGGUAAGUAGAUGAUCCUAAGUCUUUUUCAAAUUUGAUUCAUAUGGAAAAAGUUCAUAUACUUUCAAUUGAAUAUAUUGAAUGUAUUCUUACAAAUCCAUCUAAUUACAUUAAGUUCAACUCUCUAUUUUACCUACUCAUAGUAUAGUUUCUUUUGCAUUUUCAAUAUUAAACAUCUACAUAAGCAAGUUAAUGAUCAUUUGGUAACAGGUUGGUGGGAACUAGGGGAUGAGAGGAACAACUAACCCAUUCUUAGAGAGUGAUUCAGGGUAUCAACCUUGCAAGGAGCCACAAUGAUGGUUCUAUUGGCAUGCAAGAUCAACUCCAUCACAAAAUUCCCUCUUUUCAGCAAGCGUAUGAGUUGGGUGUCCUCAUACUUGACCGGAGACUCCUACACAUGACCUGAAGCUCCUAAGGGAGUAUUCAAAGGCCUAGGUUGUGAAAGAGCUUAACCUUAUGCUAUUUUUGUGCAAAAACCAAACCAAGAUGGAAAUGGAGAAAAAGAGUUAUUUGGGAACUCAUAGACUUGAGGUGCAAUAACAAGUACUUCAAAAUUAGCCCAAACAAAAAGUCAGACAUUUCCAUGAUUACAAUUAUUAAUUAGUCUAGUAUUUUCUUGGCCAUUUCUGCUUCACGGUAUGUCUGCUAUACAGAAAUAAAAAUGAAAUAAGAAUUAGAAUGCAAGUGAAUGGCACUACCAUGUAGGAGAGAAUCCAAAUUUUGAGAUGAAUAGAAUCUAGUUUAUGUGACAAUGAAUCUUUUAUGCCUAUUCGUAUUUUUAACAAGUCAUCCAAGGACAGUAAGGCCAUGUUUUGUUAACGUAUAGUAGGGAUUAGGGACUUGGGUUGGGACUUGGGCAUGGUUGAUAUUCCCAUUACUCUUGGUUCAACAUUUGAAAAUUGGGAAUAUAUUCUCACCAUGCACUUUGGGAAUUCUAAUCCCUACUUUGUGCUUUAAUUCCAUCAUAAUUAUAAUGACUAAUAUACCCUUUAUCUAUGCCCAGAAACAAAUAAAUUUAUACUAAUGAUAUCUAACUUUAACUCAUAUAUUUAAUAUUUAUCUUAAAAAUAAUAUUUUUGUAAUCUAAUAAAUUAUUUAUUUUUUAACCCUUCGUUAUUCAUUUUUAAAAUAUUAAUAUCUCUUGCUAGUAUUCUUUAUUAUUUUUCCUAAAUUUUUGGCAAUAUAAUAUCCCCAAAAUAAAUAUGACCUCAAUCAAUAUUUAUCUUAAUUCAUUUGACACAAAAUAUAUUUAUAUAUAAUAACUAUACUUUUUAUUUUAAUUAUCAUUUAUAUUUUUAAGAUAAUGCCUUACCCUACACGUCAUAUCCUAUGUGACACUAUAAGAAAAAAGGGUAAUAAUGAUGUUUUUUAGGCGUCAAUAAAUGUAUACGAUGACGCUUCUCGAAAGCGUCCUUUUCGCCUCUGUCAAGGAAUGGGUGUAGGCAACCAUGUCGCUUCUAGACAGCGUCAUUGUUGAUUGGUUUAUAUUAACACGUUAAAAAACGUCAUUAUUGAUCUACCUAUGUUAACACUUACACUAGCGCCAAGGAAUGGCCAAAAUAUCAUUUGUCUAUUUCGACACUAAAAAAAGUGUCAUCUUAUGUGGAUAAUAAUAUUGAAAAUCCCCCUGUUGAAAUGAUAUAUUUUGUAUGUCCUGUUAUAUAUAAUUUUGGCUGCAUGAUUAUUUAUAAAGUACCGAACAAUAACUUCAAUAUUAAUAACUACAUCUUCCAAAAGAAAUUGAAUAAAUUUGGGAAUAAUAUAAUGAUAAAGAACUAAUGUCUACAUAGUUAAUUAAUACGCAAAUUUGAAAAUGUAUCAAAAUAUUUACAAGCAUAUUUUCCAACUUCAACAUAUAUAAAACAAGUACACAUGUACCAAAAAACAAGGUCUCCAAAUUCCUUAUNNNNNNNNNNNNNNNNNNNNNNNNNNNNNNNNNNNNNNNNNNNNNNNNNNNNNNNNNNNNNNNNNNNNNNNNNNNNNNNNNNNNNNNNNNNNNNNNNNNNNNNNNNNNNNNNNNNNNNNNNNNNNNNNNNNNNNNNNNNNNNNNNNNNNNNNNNNNNNNNNNNNNNNNNNNNNNNNNNNNNNNNNNNNNNNNNNNNNNNNNNNNNNNNNNNNNNNNNNNNNNNNNNNNNNNNNNNNNNNNNNNNNNNNNNNNNNNNNNNNNNNNNNNNNNNNNNNNNNNNNNNNNNNNNNNNNNNNNNNNNNNNNNNNNNNNNNNNNNNNNNNNNNNNNNNNNNNNNNNNNNNNNNNNNNNNNNNNNNNNNNNNNNNNNNNNNNNNNNNNNNNNNNNNNNNNNNNNNNNNNNNNNNNNNNNNNNNNNNNNNNNNNNNNNNNNNNNNNNNNNNNNNNNNNNNNNNNNNNNNNNNNNNNNNNNNNNNNNNNNNNNNNNNNNNNNNNNNNNNNNNNNNNNNNNNNNNNNNNNNNNNNNNNNNNNNNNNNNNNNNNNNNNNNNNNNNNNNNNNNNNNNNNNNNNNNNNNNNNNNNNNNNNNNNNNNNNNNNNNNNNNNNNNNNNNNNNNNNNNNNNNNNNNNNNNNNNNNNNNNNNNNNNNNNNNNNNNNNNNNNNNNNNNNNNNNNNNNNNNNNNNNNNNNNNNNNNNNNNNNNNNNNNNNNNNNNNNNNNNNNNNNNNNNNNNNNNNNNNNNNNNNNNNNNNNNNNNNNNNNNNNNNNNNNNNNNNNNNNNNNNNNNNNNNNNNNNNNNNNNNNNNNNNNNNNNNNNNNNNNNNNNNNNNNNNNNNNNNNNNNNNNNNNNNNNNNNNNNNNNNNNNNNNNNNNNNNNNNNNNNNNNNNNNNNNNNNNNNNNNNNNNNNNNNNNNNNNNNNNNNNNNNNNNNNNNNNNNNNNNNNNNNNNNNNNNNNNNNNNNNNNNNNNNNNNNNNNNNNNNNNNNNNNNNNNNNNNNNNNNNNNNNNNNNNNNNNNNNNNNNNNNNNNNNNNNNNNNNNNNNNNNNNNNNNNNNNNNNNNNNNNNNNNNNNNNNNNNNNNNNNNNNNNNNNNNNNNNNNNNNNNNNNNNNNNNNNNNNNNNNNNNNNNNNNNNNNNNNNNNNNNNNNNNNNNNNNNNNNNNNNNNNNNNNNNNNNNNNNNNNNNNNNNNNNNNNNNNNNNNNNNNNNNNNNNNNNNNNNNNNNNNNNNNNNNNNNNNNNNNNNNNNNNNNNNNNNNNNNNNNNNNNNNNNNNNNNNNNNNNNNNNNNNNNNNNNNNNNNNNNNNNNNNNNNNNNNNNNNNNNNNNNNNNNNNNNNNNNNNNNNNNNNNNNNNNNNNNNNNNNNNNNNNNNNNNNNNNNNNNNNNNNNNNNNNNNNNNNNNNNNNNNNNNNNNNNNNNNNNNNNNNNNNNNNNNNNNNNNNNNNNNNNNNNNNNNNNNNNNNNNNNNNNNNNNNNNNNNNNNNNNNNNNNNNNNNNNNNNNNNNNNNNNNNNNNNNNNNNNNNNNNNNNNNNNNNNNNNNNNNNNNNNNNNNNNNNNNNNNNNNNNNNNNNNNNNNNNNNNNNNNNNNNNNNNNNNNNNNNNNNNNNNNNNNNNNNNNNNNNNNNNNNNNNNNNNNNNNNNNNNNNNNNNNNNNNNNNNNNNNNNNNNNNNNNNNNNNNNNNNNNNNNNNNNNNNNNNNNNNNNNNNNNNNNNNNNNNNNNNNNNNNNNNNNNNNNNNNNNNNNNNNNNNNNNNNNNNNNNNNNNNNNNNNNNNNNNNNNNNNNNNNNNNNNNNNNNNNNNNNNNNNNNNNNNNNNNNNNNNNNNNNNNNNNNNNNNNNNNNNNNNNNNNNNNNNNNNNNNNNNNNNNNNNNNNNNNNNNNNNNNNNNNNNNNNNNNNNNNNNNNNNNNNNNNNNNNNNNNNNNNNNNNNNNNNNNNNNNNNNNNNNNNNNNNNNNNNNNNNNNNNNNNNNNNNNNNNNNNNNNNNNNNNNNNNNNNNNNNNNNNNNNNNNNNNNNNNNNNNNNNNNNNNNNNNNNNNNNNNNNNNNNNNNNNNNNNNNNNNNNNNNNNNNNNNNNNNNNNNNNNNNNNNNNNNNNNNNNNNNNNNNNNNNNNNNNNNNNNNNNNNNNNNNNNNNNNNNNNNNNNNNNNNNNNNNNNNNNNNNNNNNNNNNNNNNNNNNNNNNNNNNNNNNNNNNNNNNNNNNNNNNNNNNNNNNNNNNNNNNNNNNNNNNNNNNNNNNNNNNNNNNNNNNNNNNNNNNNNNNNNNNNNNNNNNNNNNNNNNNNNNNNNNNNNNNNNNNNNNNNNNNNNNNNNNNNNNNNNNNNNNNNNNNNNNNNNNNNNNNNNNNNNNNNNNNNNNNNNNNNNNNNNNNNNNNNNNNNNNNNNNNNNNNNNNNNNNNNNNNNNNNNNNNNNNNNNNNNNNNNNNNNNNNNNNNNNNNNNNNNNNNNNNNNNNNNNNNNNNNNNNNNNNNNNNNNNNNNNNNNNNNNNNNNNNNNNNNNNNNNNNNNNNNNNNNNNNNNNNNNNNNNNNNNNNNNNNNNNNNNNNNNNNNNNNNNNNNNNNNNNNNNNNNNNNNNNNNNNNNNNNNNNNNNNNNNNNNNNNNNNNNNNNNNNNNNNNNNNNNNNNNNNNNNNNNNNNNNNNNNNNNNNNNNNNNNNNNNNNNNNNNNNNNNNNNNNNNNNNNNNNNNNNNNNNNNNNNNNNNNNNNNNNNNNNNNNNNNNNNNNNNNNNNNNNNNNNNNNNNNNNNNNNNNNNNNNNNNNNNNNNNNNNNNNNNNNNNNNNNNNNNNNNNNNNNNNNNNNNNNNNNNNNNNNNNNNNNNNNNNNNNNNNNNNNNNNNNNNNNNNNNNNNNNNNNNNNNNNNNNNNNNNNNNNNNNNNNNNNNNNNNNNNNNNNNNNNNNNNNNNNNNNNNNNNNNNNNNNNNNNNNNNNNNNNNNNNNNNNNNNNNNNNNNNNNNNNNNNNNNNNNNNNNNNNNNNNNNNNNNNNNNNNNNNNNNNNNNNNNNNNNNNNNNNNNNNNNNNNNNNNNNNNNNNNNNNNNNNNNNNNNNNNNNNNNNNNNNNNNNNNNNNNNNNNNNNNNNNNNNNNNNNNNNNNNNNNNNNNNNNNNNNNNNNNNNNNNNNNNNNNNNNNNNNNNNNNNNNNNNNNNNNNNNNNNNNNNNNNNNNNNNNNNNNNNNNNNNNNNNNNNNNNNNNNNNNNNNNNNNNNNNNNNNNNNNNNNNNNNNNNNNNNNNNNNNNNNNNNNNNNNNNNNNNNNNNNNNNNNNNNNNNNNNNNNNNNNNNNNNNNNNNNNNNNNNNNNNNNNNNNNNNNNNNNNNNNNNNNNNNNNNNNNNNNNNNNNNNNNNNNNNNNNNNNNNNNNNNNNNNNNNNNNNNNNNNNNNNNNNNNNNNNNNNNNNNNNNNNNNNNNNNNNNNNNNNNNNNNNNNNNNNNNNNNNNNNNNNNNNNNNNNNNNNNNNNNNNNNNNNNNNNNNNNNNNNNNNNNNNNNNNNNNNNNNNNNNNNNNNNNNNNNNNNNNNNNNNNNNNNNNNNNNNNNNNNNNNNNNNNNNNNNNNNNNNNNNNNNNNNNNNNNNNNNNNNNNNNNNNNNNNNNNNNNNNNNNNNNNNNNNNNNNNNNNNNNNNNNNNNNNNNNNNNNNNNNNNNNNNNNNNNNNNNNNNNNNNNNNNNNNNNNNNNNNNNNNNNNNNNNCAACUUCACUAUACGAUUUUUUCCCUUUAAACUAAUAAUUAAUUGUACAUACAUGAUGAUUCGUUAAGUUAGCAAAAAAUUACUAAAGUAUAGAAACUAAUAAAAUUUAUUAAUGAGUAUAUACCUUUGUGGAUAGGAGGCUUGGAUCAACAAUUAUAUCUUUCAUGUAUCUCAUCACAUAAUAACCACACUCCACACUUCCUAGUUGUCUUAGGCACUAUAGGCACACAUAUGAAUUAUGGUACCAUAAAAACAUUAAUAUCAUGAUGUUUUAUGUCAUUAUUAUCUAAGUGACAAAACAUAAAACCAUAUUCAAAUUUUAGGGUUGAUAUAAGUGGUCAUAUGAUAUAUCUUACUCUAACCAAGUAACUUACCACUACUUUUACCCAUGUCGGCUCCCUCUUUGAUGAUCUUUGUUUCUCUGGUGGAUGAAUUCGUAGUGCCCUACAUGGAAAAGAAAAUUAACAUUUUAGAUACUAUGCACUAUAUUCAAGUAUGGAAAUGAAGACACUUACAUGUUAACAAUUUCCUUAAGAUCAUCACAUGGUUGCUUUUGCAUCGGAUCAAGGUAGUACGCAGUCAUUGUCCUCAUAUCCAAUGCCACCAAGACCCAGUGGAAACUACAAUAGCACAUUAGAUAUUAUUUAGUAAUUAGCAUUGAUUAAGCUAUUUAACAUUAAAAAAAAACUUAAUAUUUUUCAUAACUUACUCAGGGUUAUAUGGAAUAAAAAUGUAGUCAGCACGCUUUGCAUGCAUUAAACGAUUUGCAAUCAACCUUGACCUAUUUUCCUUUGUUGUCUCACCCAUUCCAGCUUUAGAGACUAAAGCUGGAUUGAUAAAAGCAAAUCGUUCAGUGAGCCUUGCAUCACUUAGCUUUUUCCGUAGGUGCCUGUUUAAAUUCCACAUACCUUGAUAAGAAAUGACCAUUUUACUUUUAUAUAUAUAUAUAUAUAUAUAUAUAUAUAUAUAUAUAUAUAUAUACAUAUAUAUAUAUAUAUUUAAAUUAACACACAUUAGCAAGUUAUAAAAUUAUUUACCAUAUAUAAUAUAUGACACAAUUAGCCAACACUUCCUUAAAUGAAAUUAUCAUAUCCAUGUCUUCUUUCAUAAGGAAGGUCUUAAAACUCUCGCCAAAUACAUCAUUUGGGACCUCCACACCUUGUGCUUUCCCCUCAUUUAGCAUGAGACCUACUAAUGCAUCAAAAUUGUUGAUAUCUUGAGGGUUUUCACCAAUUUUCAAGUCAUUUUUUGUUGUUUUUUGUCUUUUCCCUUUGUGAGAUCCCUAUAAAAGAAAGCACCAUGUUUUCAAAUGAUAUACAUAUCUUUAUAAACUAUUGCAAAUGAAAAUAACACACCUUAAUGAAUUUAGUACUCAAAUUGACUAAAUGGGUUGGCCAUAAAACUUGGUAGCCCACUGCGGCUCCAACUGUUGUAGCUUGUCCAGGAAUGGGAAUAGGAAGUGGUGUAUUUGAUUCAUAGGGAGCAUCCAAAACAACUAGGUAGUUGGGACCACAAUCCAUUACAAUUGUUCCACCAGCCACUGUAUUUUCUCUGGUCCCUACUGCCAACUCACAUUUUCUUGCCUUCAAAAGUAAAUUAAAUUGUUAAUUUCAAUAUAAAAAAAUAAUCAAUAAAUGAAGUUUAAAGUGCAUUGACUAUGUUAGGGCUAUAUUUAAGACACAAAGUUACAUAUUUUAUAAGUAAUAGUUGUAGUGGAAUAGAAUAUUACUAGUAGUAAUUAUAUUGUAAUAGAAUCUACCUAAAAUGUAAAUAUCAAUCUAACAAAAAUAAAAGCAAUUGGAAGAAAUUAUUUAUGAAAAUUAUCUAGGAAUUUGUGACAAUUACGUCAUUGAACUAGGAAAUGUAAACUAAAAAUAACACACCUUCAUGUGUGGUUUUAUUUUCAUAGGUAAGGUCUCUUCCUCAACUUUACGAAUUGGUUUCUCCACUACUUUUGGUAGAAGCAACAAUUUUGAUUUCAUGUUGGAACUACUCACAUCGGAUUGUGGUGUAGCAACUCCUAUCUGAGAUAGUCUCGCUAACACAUCAGCCUUAAACUUAACUUGACGUUCUUGAGUUGCUUUUAAAAUAUCCCUCACAACACGUUCUGACAUACUAUUGAAAUAUCGUCCAGGCGUGUAGUGCUUCCCUUUAGCUCGAACUCGACCAGUAUACUCAGGAGUACCUAGUGCUUGAGAAAGUAUGUCAUUGCUCCCACUAUAGCUUAUGCCACUCUCUUGAGACCCUUUCAUCAAUUCAUCCUAAAACAAAAGGAAGUUAUGAAGUUAACUUUCAAAUAAGUAAAACCAAAUAAGGUGUUUAAAGAUGUGAUUUUUGGGUACAAAAUGUCUACUUACUAUUUUUUCCACUACUGGUAGGACCACAUCAUCAUAGCUGCCAUCUUUUUUUUGCAUUGCCCUCUUCCAAAGUAAACUUCUAUCAAUGCUUUCUGUGGAGCCAACUUCAAUCAUCUAAUAGAAAUGGAAAAUUAAAGAUAGUUAUUAGAUGACACAUGUGGUUUUAUUUCUAUUUUUUGUCAGAAAAGAAACAAUUAAGAAACCCAUAUAAAAUAUUCCUUCAUUACUUAUACAAUCAUAUAAAAUUAAACCACAAUAAGAACUAACAAAAACUUACCAUCUCUUCUUCAAGUCCAGCAUACCCUUUUCUACUUAGAUGAUGAUUAUAUAUAUGCUUCUUUCUUCUUUGUUUUUGUACUUCCCUAUAUUCCUACAAAUUAAAAUGGAUGCUUAGUAUAUAUAUGUGGAUGCAUGUAGUAUGUUUAAUGUUAAUUGUAUUUGUACCUAGAAUUUUUUAGACAACCUAUUUUUCACAAAAAUAUUCCAAUCUUCAUCAUCGAUAAAAUGAUAUUCAGCUGGUGGUUUCUUAAGAAGCUCUGGCUCAUCUUUGAAAGGAAGAAUAUGUUUCACAGUCAACGUGUUCUUAAAAGAUCGAAAACAUUUUCCCAAUGUAAGCAUACAAUUCCUUCUGCUUUUCUUGUCUAAUGUAAAAGCAAUCUACAAAUUAUAAAGUCAUUAGUUUCUCAAAAUUUGAAAGAAAUAUAGAGAUUGUAGAAAACUUAUUUAUGUUAAAAAAAAAAAGUAACCUCAAUAGAGUCCCACAACUUAUCCUUCAAUUGUUCAGGGACAUCUCGCCAUGUGUUAUAUCUGAUUGGUACCAUCGUACGUGCCAAUACACCUAAGUAGCUUGUUAGGUGCACAAAAGAUUCUCCUACAUAGAUACCAUUAGCAUUGUACUUUAUGACCAACUUUAUCCCUCUAUUCCUAUUCCUUAUAAUCAUGGAUUUCCUUGUUGUCCCUCUAUAUUUUUUUUGUGAAGGGGUUUUCUCUUCCUUUGAAUCCAUGCCUAUAACACAUCAAUGAGAAAUGAUAAGUAUACCCAUUAAUUGCAAGUAAAAUUGAAUUUUUUAUAACAUGAACUCAUAUUAGUAACAUGAACAUACUAGGAACAUUUUACAUGCUAGAUAACAAUAUUCACAUGUUGUCAUGAAAUAUUUAAAAAUAAUAAUAAUAAAAACUUACUAGAAGAUCCUCACCAAAGUUUUUUCUUAUGGAACUAGAAAUCAUAAGCUUUGAGUUGAGACAAAUUGAUAUCCUUGUAUUACCCUUUAGAUCACUCUCAGAUAUGUGUAUAAUAAUAAUCAUGAAAUAGGGAAUCAAUAAAUUUAGAGACAUGAUGAAUUUAAUCCACUUAGAAAAUAAAUAAACUAUUUACUGAAAUGCAGAAUUUCAAUAUUAACAAGUUAAUGGGAUAGUUACAACCUUCACAACAAAACAACAAGGUCAUAAAUUUAGUUACAUAGAAGAUUUUUUAUCAAUCCAGAAUCCCUCACAGUCUCCUCGAAUGUAAAUGACAUCAGAGUCAUCCAUUGUAUCAAAUGAUUCAACUUGUGCCAAGGUGGUAAUGAGAGGAUGGUGUUCAAUAGAAUUAUCCAUGAAGUCAUCAGAAUCUUUUGCUGAAAAUGAGAAGUCCCUUUCAGGAGUUGACAAAACAACUGACCAUCUUGGAUCAAGUUGGUCUUGUACAUAGAAUACUUGCUUGGCUUGGGAGGCUAAAAUAAAUGGAUUUGAUUUAUGAGCCAUCUUAGUGAAGUCAACUAAUGUCAGCCCAAACUCAUCAACUUUGAUGCCGCUCUUAUUAUCAACCCAAUUGCAUUUGAAAACUGGAAUCCUAAACAUGGUAUAAUCAAGAUCCCAUAUCUCAGUAAUAAUACCAUAGAAACAUAGCUCACCAAAUACUGGAUUCUUAUCAUUGGCACUAGAAAUUUGCAUUGUUGUUGCUACAAUGCUUACUCCACUAUUCUGUGUAACUCGUAACUCAUCACGGUCUUUUGUAUUGUACUGACACCCAUUUAUAACAUAGCCAUGAUACUUGGCCACGUAGUGGGUAGGACCAUGUGCCAUCCAUCUUAAGGUUUCAGAUAUAGGCUCUUUGUCAGCAAUGGCAACUUCUACCUUUUUGAAUGGACCAUAGUUAUUAAUAUUUUUUAUGAUUAGUGCUAAGAAUGGUGCAAUUUUUAGAAUAAAUUCAAUACAUUUUUUUGCAACCAAUGAGUGAAUGUUCGCAUAUGUUCUUCUUGUAGCCACUUUUGUCUCUUAGAUUGACGAGGAUUGUUCAAUUUCAACCAUUUCAUGUGUUCUCUAUAAGAUAUGUAUAAGAAAGUAACAAUAAGUUUCCAAAAUUAGUUUAAGUAAUCUACACAUAAAAUCAAAAUAGUUGACCCUUACUCGAUAUAAGGUUGGAUGAUAGUUGUAUUUUCCAACACAUAAUGAUGUGCUUGCAACAACAAAUUACAAUCAGCUUCGGUGAUAUGACCUCCAGGAAUAGGCGCCCCAACUUUAUGGUCAACAUUAGUGCUACUAGGAACUCCAAUUGCAUCCACAUUUGAUAAGUACUUUGUACAAAAUUCAAUAGCUUCCUCUGCAAUGUAGCAUUCAACAAUGCAACCUUCAGGGUGGUUACGGUUUCGCACAUAACCCUUUAAUACUUUCAUGAACCUUUCAAAUGGGUACAUCCAUCUAAAAUAAACCGGUCCACAAAGUCUCACCUCUCUAACAAGAUGAACCGUUGAAUGAAUCAUGAUAUAAAAGAAGGAUGGUGGAAAGUACUUUUCAAGUAAGCACAAUGUCACAACAAGUUCAUUUUGUAACUUAUCCAAUGUAGACACAUCAACCACCUUCUUACAUAAAGCAUUGAAAAAAAGGCUCAAUCUAGCAAUAGCAUGUCGUACAUGCUUUGGCAAAAGUGAUCGCAAUGCCACUGGUAACAAUUGUUGCAUCAGUGUAUGAUAAUCAUGGGACUUCAGGCCAUAAAGCUUCAAAUCUUCCAUUGACACAAGAUUUCUAAAGUUUGAGCAAUACCCUUCAGGAACCUUUAACUCAGCUAAAGUUUGACAAAAUACUUUCUUCUCCUUUCUAGGCAAUGUAUAACAUGCAGGCGGAAGGUAAGUUCGAUUCGAUUCAAACCUUGGUGCCAGUUCACACCUUAAGCCUACGUCCAUAAGGUCUAGACGAGAAUUGAGUCCAUCUUUUGUCUUCCCUGGGAUGUUAAGUAAUGUACCAAUGAUGCUUUCACAAACAUUUUUCUCAAUGUGCAUUACAUCCAAAUUAUGAUGAACAUGCAAAUAUCUCCAAUACUCAAGUUCAAAGAAUAUAGACUUUUUCUUCCAACAAUUGGUAUAAGUCACAUUGGAUUUUUCAUGUCUUCCCCUUUUUUUCCCCUAUGAAUUACAAAUGGCAUUCAUUUUCAAUAGCAUUUCCUCUCCACUUAAUGGUUGUGGAGGUGAUCGAAACUCCUGCUCACCAUUGAAUGCCUUUCUAUGUUUUCUAAAAGGAUGAUUGCAUGGAAGAAAACGUCUGUGGCUUGUAAAUGAGUUCUUUCUCCCAUGCUUCAACCUAUGUGAAUAGGUUUCCGGUCCACAUAUUGGACAAGCAAAAUAUCCUUUGACUGUGCAACCAGAUAAGUUUCCAUAUGUAGGAAAGUCAUUUAUUGUCCAUAAUAGAACAACCCUUAAUGUAAAGACCUCUCUUUGAUAUGCAUCAUAAGCUUCUACCCCUAUCUCCCACAAGGUUUUAAGGUCCUUAAUCAAUGGUGCUAAAUAGGUAUCUAUGUCAUUUCCAGGUUUUUGUGGACCCGAUAUUAACAAAGAUAACAUCAUAAAUUUUCUCUUCAUGCACAACCAUGGUGGAAGGUUAUAAGUGAUCAUGACAACUGGCCAACAACUAUACCUGUUGCUCAAAGAACUAUGGGGAUUUAUGCCAUCUGCUGAAAUGACAAGUCUAAGGUUUCUAGGUUCUGCAGCAAAAUUAGGCCAUCUAUGGUCAAUUACCUUCCAUGAUGGCGAGUCGGAUGGAUGACGCAUUUUUCCAUCAAAUUCUCCACCUUCUGCAUGCCAUAUGAGGUCUUUUGCAAUUUUUGAGGACUGAAACAUUCUUUUAAAUAGUGGGAUAGGUGGAAAAUACCACAUCACUUUAACAGGAACUCCUUUACUCUUUUUGCUUCCUCUUCUAUUCACCUUCCACCUUGAAGCUCCACAUGUAGGACAUGAAGAUGCAUCUUUUAACUCAUUCCUGAAAAGUAUGCAAUCAUUGGGACAUGCAUGUAUUUUUUCAUAUUCCAUUCCCAAUGCAUUCAAUGUUUUUUUUGCUUCAUACAUAGACAAUGGCAACUCAUUAUUUACAGGCAACAUAUCACCAAGUAAGCUUAAUAGCUCGGAGAAGCUUUUAUUAGACCACCCAUAUCUUCCUUCCAGAUUGUAUAAUUUAACUAAAGUAGAUAAUUUGGUGAAGUUUUUGCAAUCGAGAUACAAAGGUUUUUCAGCAUCUUCAAGCAACCUUUCAAAUAAUUUUGGAUUAGCCUUACAAUCAUCUUGUGCAGCUUCAACCAUUUCUACUGUAUGAUCCACAUUACCAAUAUGAAUUCUAUCAAAACAUUCAACCCUUGUAGUUGGGGGUCCACUACUUAGAGUUGCCUCCCCAUGCCAAAACCAAGUAUGGUAACUUUGGUCAAUUCCAUAAAAGAAUAGGUGUUCUCUAAUCUUUUGAGGAGUAUUGAAGAUCAAAUUUCCACACUGUAGACAUGGGCAUUUGAUGGAGUUUUGAUUUGCAGAAUUUUGAACUGCAAAUGAAAUAAAAUUUUCAACCCCAUCCUUAUAGUCUUUUGAUCUUCUAUCUUUUGACAUCCAAGAACGAUUCAUUUGCCUAUAAUAGUUGAACUCAAUUCCUAUAUAGCAAACAUAAGCAAACAAUGGAAAUGGAAAAGAAUUAGAAAAGUUACCUUUAGAAAACACUCAAAACUUUCAGUUUCUCAUUUGUGACAUCCAAAAUUUCUUUUAAACUUUCUAUGGACAAACAAUUAGGAUUCAAGUGCGAUAAAAAAUUUGAACCUCAUCCUCAAUAAAAGAAAGGAUUAACAAUAUGACAAUAGAACCUUUUGAUGCAUGUUUUUAUGCCUUUUAACAUGUCCAUCAUCCAAAAUCAGGUAGUUGUUCCUAUCCCAUGCAGGAAUACAUAAUCCCUAUGUGUUAAUUGCCAAUAUACUCAAUUUCAUUUUAAAGAAAUUUUUGCAGCAUUUCCCCAUAGUUCUCCAAGUACACAAAAUGAACAAGGUAUAAUAUGUGACCUUGUUCAAAUAUGCACCCAGAGAACAAGAGGAAAUACUACCAAAAUUUCUAAAAAGUGAAUUAAGCACAAGCAAUUAACUUCAUAGAUAUUAUGUUUUCCUACACUGUCCAAUCGGACAAUUCAAAUAUCAUUGCAAAAAAAAUAUCUUUAUCACAUUCUAGACAAUUUAAAAGUUGUCAACUUGAAAGUGGCUUAGAUAAAACCUUUUUCACCUUUGACAACUUAAAUGUCUUUAAUAUGUAAUAAGAGAAACUUUUAUCUUACAAUGAUAGUUGAAUGGGAACUCUAAGGUUUCAUGCAUGCAUGUUUGAUUAAAAUUAAAACACAAUUACUUAUUGAAUAAUCUAAUAAUUAUAAAACACCUAAAGUUGUUCCAUAAUUAUUGCUAUAUUUCAUCAUUAAACAAGAUUAUUAUAAGAAAGCAUACGUAUGGCCCAUGAUUUGCGAAUCAAGUCACACCAGUAUAUGUCAAAAUUUCGGCCUUGGUAUCAAACUAAGCUGGGGAAUAACUCGUACAAUUCAGGUACUCAAUAAGAUUUAAACAAAAUUUAAAAUAACGCUUCCAUUAUAUUCUUCUAACCACCCAAAGUAAAAAUGGUAUUAUAAUUAAAAUAUGUUGGUUUGUAUAAGGAAAAAUAGUGUACCUUCCUCACUCUGUCUUUGUCUCGAGUCUUGCAUCACACACCUCUCGUAGUCCAAUGUAGGUCACUGUCUCUUAAAAUAUGUAUAUGCAAAACAAAUAAUAAAUAAAGAUAUAAAAUAAAUCCAUUAGUAGAUAUUAACAAAUAAAUACAAAAUAAAUUAAAAUAAGAAAUAAACUAAGAAGAAAAAACAUAUAAGUAAGAAAAAAAAGAUUUUCACAUGUGCAACAAUGGUUAAAUAUUUUUAAAAAUUUAUAAAAUUAUUAAAAUCAAACUAUUUUAGUUAUUAUUAUUUUUAAAUGGUAAUUAAUACUCAUAUAAAAUAAAAUAUAUGCAUGAGGAGAAAGGUAAGAAGAUUAUUCCUUAUGCCCCUUUUCAUUUGAGAUUAUGACUUUUGGUGAUGACCUAAUGGUGGGUGCACCGUGAACCACACUAUUUGACCCGGGUCAAGUCCUUAAGGCAAGAAAGAUGAUUGCAAGAUGGGUAGAACUGUGGACCCGCAUUUUUCACGUGCGUCCCCACUCGAUCGGCGAGACUCGCUUUUUAUUUGUGAAAAAUUAAUUUUAGAAAAGUUGGAGUCGUCACCUAUUUUAUUUUUAUUUUAAAGGGAAAAUAAAACAAGAAAGAAAAACCCUAAAAAGUGACUCCAUGGUUUUGGAAAAAGCAUGUCUUCGAGAAACCCGAGUCUUGGUCCGGGGAUCAGGUUACUUAUUGGGAAGGUACCUCUAGGAGGUAGCACCCCUCUAAGCCCUAAAGAGGUCUUUACUGACUAAGUUAAGGGAAGCGUGGCAAUUAAAUGGUUGAUCUCGGAUACCUAAGUAGGCUAGGUGAUUCCAAAAAAACAUAACAUAUCAAACAAAAUCAAAUCACAAUUAAGGAGAGUUAAAAAUGCAUACCUGGACGGCUUCCCAAGCGCUAUCAUAAAACAUAAGAGAUUAGUUUGGAGAUACAUCACACAACAUUUGUUUUAUCAAAGAUAAUCAAACAAUCAUCAAAUGUAUAUCAAGGCAAUUAAAGAGGAUAGCAAGCAUGGGCAUACAUAUUCAUAGGGUUUAGAAAAUGGGUAUUAGGGAACGUACUUGGAUAGCAUAUUUAACUCCUAAUGCGCUUCCACAAAACAUGAGAGGUUAGAUAACAAACAAUAAAAUAAGAAGUCCUAGCAUGCUCGUUAUCUAAUUAUCAUAGCAGAAAUUGUCAAAAUAUAUGAAAACAAUAAUUAUCACACUCAUCUUGUAUACAAUUUCUAAAAAAAAAGAUAGAUAUAAUUUCAAAAAGUGACAAAAAUGGCAACAAAAAUAAUUUUUGAAAAGAUUUUCUUAUGUAGGGGUUUCACCAAUUCCCCAAAUUAAUAUACACAAAUUUAGCCCAGAAUUAUCCCAUUAUUUGGGACCACAAGCUUUGAUUUGUGUUUUUGUUCAAAACCAAACUUUUUGUUAGAAACCGAGAAGGAUGCAAACCGAACAAAAUAUGGUUGCAUAUUAUUUUUUAAAAUAAAAAAAAGAUUUUGAUCCUGAGGACUCUAAAUGAGUUUUUGAAAUAGAUUUUUAAAAUGAUUUUUUGAGAAAAGUAUUUUAUUUUAAAAUAAAAGGAAUUAAUUUGGAAAAAAUAAAAUAUAAGAAAUAAAAUACCAAACAGAACAAAAAUGAAACCUCAAAGUAAAAUUUUUUUAGUAAUUAACAAAAAUGAUAAUGGUGAUGGUAGAGGCCAAUCUUCAUGAUUUUCCAAUGGCCUCUAAAAAUCAAAUUUAAUAAAUAUUCACCAAAGCAACAAACCAAACGACUUUAGAUCAAAUAAAACUAAUGAAAUAUUAAUCGAGAAUUUAUAAGGAUCAAUCAAACACAUAAAUUGAGAUAAACAAUCUAGGACUAAUUUAAAAUCAACCAAACACCUAAACAUGUAAUUAUAAUAAUGUGAAUAUAGUAACACAAGCACAUAGAAUUCUAAAACAUAUUAACUAAUCAAAAACUAGAAUCAUCAAUUUUAGAACGUGAGCAAAAUAACAUAAGAUUAGUUAAACUAAUUAACUUAUUGGAAAAAAAAAAGCAUGAACUAAAUAUUGAUAAACCAAGAAUGAAGAUUAGUAUACUCAAAACAUGAAUAAUACGACUUAGGGUUAAUUAAAUUAGUUAUCUAAAACUUUGGAAAACAUACAAACUAAAAGUGGAUCAACCAAGAAUUAACCAAAUAUUUCUUAAACUAAUCAACUUAAAUCCUAAAAAGGAUGAAUCAGAAAAAUGAUUUACAUUUUUUUUUUUUAAAAAAACAUAAAUUUAAUUAGAUGGGAUCAAAUAGACUAAUGAGCUAAAAUUCUAAAAUAUCUAAACUAAAUAAGAUGAACCAAAACAUGAUCAAAAUAAACUUAAAAACAUAAACUUUAUUACAUAGGAUCAAUUAGAAUAAUAGACUAAAAAUUAUAAAACACUUGAACUAAAUAAAAAGUUGACUAAAAAAAAACUGACUUUUAAAAUUAAAUCUAUUAAAACCGAUCUAAGCAAAAUUCUAACUUUUCGAACUAAACAAGGAAUCAAAUCCAAACUACACAAAGAUUCUAAUUUUUCAAUGUAAUAUAAUGAAUCAAAAUUAAAAUAAAACAAAAAAUUCUCACCUUUUAAACCAAAGUAAUGAAUCAAAACUAAGCAAACAAAAAUUUACUUUUCAAUCUAAUAUAAAAAAAAAUCAAAACUAGAUUAAACAAAAUUCAAACAUUUCAAAAAUAACGCAAGGAAUAAAAAAAUAAAUUAAAUAAAAUUUUAACCUUUCAAUCUAGUUCAAUGAAUAAAAAAUUGAAUCAAACAAAAAUUCUAAUUUUUCGAGACAAACAUAAUGAAUUAAAAUUAAACUAAAUAAAACCUAACUUUUGAAACCAAGACAAUGAAUCAAAAUCAAACUAACUACAUUCUAACUUUUUCAUCCGAUUAAAAAAAAAAUUAAUACAUAAAAACUCUAACUUUCAAUCCAAUAAAAAAUUAAAACUAAAAUCCUUAGAAAUUCUAACUUACCUUCUCUAGAAUUCCUCUAUGGUGGUGCAACUGCUAGUGCUCAAUGGUGAAUGUGUGGUGGCUGCCUCCUUCCUCUCUUCCCUUCAGGCCUCUCUUUGUUCCCUCAAAAAAUAGUAUCUCUCCGUGUCAAUCUCUAAAAAAAAAUCCCCUUUUCUAUAUGGCAGCCUCUCUUUAUAUGGCUGCGUGAGGAUUUCCAAAAUUCCUCUUCGUCCAGCCAGCAUGUAGCCAUCCUCUUCUUAUGGGAAGUGGGGAUUUUUUUAUGGCAGCCUCUCCAUCAUUGAAUAUUCUAUUUCCUUUUUUUUUUAAUGCAUGUGGAUAUGGGAAGUAUGGCUCGCUUGGAGAUUCCCAAGGAUGCAGCCGCAUGUUGUUUUGGUAAGUGUCCAAAUCUAGUAAUCGCUUCAUCAGCCGUUUAUUAGAGUGACCGGGUUGAACUGGAUUUUCUCGGACUUCCCCAGAAAUCUACGAUCUAGGUCUAUGCGUAUUUCCGCGAAGCAAUGCGUGUCGAAACUCCUUUGCCAUGGAAAGAUGCCAACAACUCAAAGUGGCAGCCCCUCAACGUGGCAGCCUUCUUUUAUGCAAAGAUGACAGCUGGUUCUAUUGGUUUUCCCAUAGAGAGUGUGUCCCAAUGGCAGAGUGAUCAAUCCGUACAUGAAGAUGGAGAGAUAUUGUCUAUGGUGUGUCGGUUCUACAAUUCUGACGGUGCGACGCUAGGAUGAUGGCUCUUUUGCUGCAUCUUCCUCUCCAAAAAUUCUGAUUUUCGUCCUUGGAAAAAUUCUGAUCGUUGUCUUAUAAAAAAAAAUAAAUUCUGAACAUCCACUACUCCAGAAAUUCUGAUCGUCGUCCUCUCUAAUGGAGAGAAGAUCACCCUCUGUGUGCGAUCUCCUUUCUGAAAAAUCCUCCCAGCACUUUGAAUCUCCUCCCCAACACACUCAAACCUGCUUCUCAACCACCACCCUAGAAAACUCCACCAAAACAUUGAACAACACGAGUCAUCAAGCUGUUAGAAGAAGCAUCAUGGUCAUAGGCGUAGAUGACGCAGUCCAGGUCAGAGCUUUCUUUUUGGAUGGUUUUGACGGUGAGCCACAAGACCCUCUCACCAUCAUCGUUGAGGCUUGGCCAAGACCUUCUUGACCAUCAACCUUAGCUGAUCAAAACCAGAGGAAUGAUCUGAUCCAGACAUGAUUUUCCUCAUGAAACAAGAAAUUCUGCUUGGUUGGUAUUGAUCAAUAGCAGUAACUCGUAGUUUACAGCUCUCCUACAAGUGUAAUCCUUGUGUUUCUUUUGUGUAGAUGGCUUCUCAAAUCCUCAUUGCUGCAUGUACGUCUUUGCCUUGCUCAUAAUCUUCCCGAAGAAAUCCCAUGCAAUUUUUCUCCUCAUGCAAAAACAGAAUAAAAUAAAAUUCAAAUUCAAGGAAAAGAUGAGAAAUUAAUCAAAGUCAUCCAAUUGGUAAUAAAAUGAAAUAUGAUUAAAAGAGAAUGAAAGAGAAAAUCAAAUAUUAGAUUGUACAAUUCUCUCCUUUGAUAAAGGGGCUAUAUGCGUAUUUUAAAUCUAACAAUUCAAACAAUUUUUCAUUAAGUAAAUAAAUAAAUAAAUAAAAAUAAAUAAAAUGAAAUAUAUAAAGACAGUUAAAUACAUGAAUAAGUAAAUAAUAAAAAGUAAAAGUAAAAAUGAAUAGACAAAAUAAAUGUAAUUACCAAAUGCAUGCCAUAAUAAUAAUAAUAUUAAAAAAUAAACAAAUAAAUAAAUAAAAUAAAAUAAAAAAAAGAAAUGCUGAGCCUCAAUGAAAUGUCCAAAUGGACCUGUUCUGAAAAAGGUGUCUAAGUGACCUAAGUGACAUGUGUGUAAAUGAGGAGGUGUCUCGGUGCGAGUCAAGGUGAAUUUAGGUGGGCCUAGGGUGGUGUCUAAUGGGUCAGGUGUAUCUAAAAGUUAUCCUAAAAAGAAUAACAAAAGCCUAAGUCUAAAUUAGGGUUGCCAAGGUUCACAAUAAAGGGUCAGAUAAUCCCUCGACCGAAGUCUCCGAGGUGACUCAGAAAAAGGUAAGUUGUACGAGUAGUAAUGGGCCACCAAGGAGUUACUAUGGAGCAUUAAAAAUGAAUUUAAAGACAUGUGCUAAAGGAACAAAAUUGAGGGUCUACAAGAACUUAAACGAAUGAGAUAGAAAAGUCUGGUCUAAAUUAAGGUGGCUUAACAAUCCGUAAUCAUCUUGGUUAGGUUGUAUCAUAUUGUGAAAGAGAAGUUACAAGCUAGGUCUUCAGCAUCCAGCAAUUCCACCCUUUGAUUUUUCCAACAAGUUGCACCAUCUAAUAAUAAUACCUAUGAUCCUAUACCUUAGUUUUGAUUCCUUAUGUAUACAAAGUAUAUAUGGUUACACUAUAUUAAAGUAAUUUUUUUCUCUAAAAAGUAAUUAGUGUAAAUUUUAAAAGUAGGCUAAUAUUCAUUUUUUUUUUCACUUCUUAUUUUUUGUUUUGAAAAUAGAAAAUAGUAACAACUCUUAUACAAAAUAUUUUACUAUUUUUUGUUUUUAAAAUAGAAAGUUAGAAAUUGCAUUUUAAAAGCAAUAUUCUAUUUCAAUCCACACAAAUGAUACAAGUUUUGAAAUAUUCCAUUACCAUAUUUUGAGUAAUAUUUUUAAAGGGUUAAUUUAAUUCAUUUCCCCUUAAGAUUUGACUAAAUAUAAUGGCACCCGAUAAUAUGAAAUUUGAAGAAGUCCAUAGACUCUUCAAGUCUAUAAUUAGAAGUUCCUAGUAAGUUGUCACCCAUACUAAUGAAAUUUCUUGAGUCAACAUUAAUCUCGAACCUUUUUGCUACCUUCAUUACCUAUUUUGCCCCUUGACCACCUACUUAGUCCUCUUUACUUUGACCAUGUGUGUUUCUCUUACUUGCCCCUCUACUUUUAUGAAAGAAGCAUAUAGAAGAAGCCCAUUCAAGUUUUUAAAUUUUUCUUUGUUUGGAUCAUUCCUUGAAACCUUCUAAAAUUUCCCUUGUACUUAGCCUCAACAUUACAGGGUCCAAUAAAACUCUUAUAAAUAAAAUUAAAAGUGUAAUAAAUAUUAUAAAAUUAUUUUAUUAAAAAUAUUAAUAUAUAUAUAUAUAUAUAUUAUAAUUAUUAAAUUAUAUAAAAUCUUAUUCAAUAAUAAUAUUGUGAUAUUUAAUUAUAAUAUGUUUAAUUUUAAAAUAUAUUUAAUAUUAAAAUUAUGAUAUAUUUAAUUAAUAUAUUAAUGAUAUUAAAAACUUUUUACAAUUUAAUUAAAUAAAAAAAUUAUUUACAUAUAAAAUAAUUAUAAUUAAUUCGUUGUUUAAAGGAUUUCAACAAGGUAUAUUUUAUUAAGUAAAGAAAUAAGGGCAGCUUCCUUGAACUUUCAAUCCCAACUUGCAGAUUUUACACCUUCGGCAUCACAGGUAUAUUGAGGAGGACAAGGAAAAGUGCCAUCAACGUAUCCUAAGAGGUCGUUGCUAAUUAAAACAGGGAGGAAUUUAUCUUUCCAGAGAAGAUAGUUGGUGGAAUCAAGUUUGAUUGGUAAUAUUCGGUGCAGCAAGUAGAGUGGAAGAAGGCAGUGAAUUCGAAAUAGAAAACUGAUAAGAAUGUGACAAAGAAGAAGGAAGAAUAGAAGGAUAUGAUGGUGUAGAGAAAUAAGAAGAAGAAAAGAAUAAGGUGAAGAAGUUUAUUUGAGGAGAAUAGGAGAUGACAAAGUUGAUACCUGAGUCAAGAAGGGAGGAAGAGCAGUGGUGGAGAUGACAGAUGGAGGUCCGGCAAGAGUGCUAGGAGGCAAGGACUUAAAAACCUGGGUCAACGACGAUGCCGCUAAGGACGAAACCUGGCUAGGAAUAUCAAUAUGUGCAGCAGACAACAGAAGAGAUGAUGUUUCAAUGGAUGAGGAAAUUUCAGCAGUGGAAGAUGGUGUCGCAACCAUGGCAGAGGAGAUUGAGAGAGGAUGCAGCAGGAAAGAAAUUGCUCAAACAAUGACAGCGACAGGUUUAGAAUCCUUUCAACGCACCAAAUUUAGAGUCAGACUUGACAACCUUUCAAAGACGCGGAGGCAUAGAAUAUUCCUGAUUAAAAUAUGUGAGAUCAUAAGCACCAAGGAAAUCAACGACCCCACCAUAGCUACUGCCACUCUCCGCCUCUUCUUCCACGACUGCAUGGUCGAAGGCUACAACGCCUCAGUCCUCAUCUCCUUCAACACCACCCAGCACGACGUCGACAUCAACCUCUCCCUCCCAGGCAAUACUGUAUCAAUACAUCCAGAUUGUACGAGUCUUGCCUCUCCAGUCAUCAGUCAUCAUUCAUGACUUUGUAGGAGGGAUGAGGUGGACCAAACAAGGCCUUCGGAUGGGCCCAAAUCCAACCACAUCCAAGGUCCAAAUUCCUAUCCCCUAAAGUAAAAUUUAAAUUAUUAUUAUUAUUUACAUUUUGUAGAAGUUUCUUCUUUAAAUGGAUUUUAUUUUUGAUAAAAACUUGCUAUGGAAAGUCUGCAUCUUGAUUUCAACCGAGCCAAGCCCAUAUCUUUUGGACCUGGUGCCUCCCCCAAUCCUUGACUGCCCAACAACUAAAAUUCAAACCCAAGCCCACCAAAGAAAAUUUUAAAACACGUCAUGCCUUUGCCAAUUGUUCCCCUCUCAAUACCAUUUAAAAAUCCCCCAUUCUCUAGCUUUCUCAAUUGUCGCAGCCGAACUUGUCUUCUCCUUGGUGUACGAACACGGCACGUCCAUACCUAUAGGCGGCAAAGGCUACACCUCCUUUCCCACGCCCUUGUGCUGGUGCGUGAGCCACCCACCACAUUACCCUCAACCUCCAUCCCGAUCACCAUGCUGGCUGCUACAUCUCCAUGGCAUUACACUAGGCAAAAACAAGGCGGCACUUCCCACCACAACUAAAAGAAGAAGCUGGAACUAUAUCUAUUACAACUUGCAGCGUACCAUAUAACAACAAGAACAAAAAAUGCACUGUAUUUAUUUGGGAUACCAUUACCCUGAUUUUCUCCUCCUAAAAUAAUUUCCUCAUCUAUGAAACAAUAAUAUUAGAUUUUUGGAACAAUGAAAACUCUUCCAUUUGUCUUCAUUUGUACUAAUCUAUUCAAGUUUGAGGAAAACAACAUUACUUGAGAAAGAGAUUUUCCUGUAACUAUGAUGCUCUGUAGUAGAUUUUGACAAUGGUAACCUCCCAUGUAUGGAAGUUAGACAUGGUCAUUCCAACGGAUUAGGGCAUUUUAGUGGUGGACUUUGCAAGAGGAAUGGAUUUUGGCAAUUGAUGUGGAGUCAAAUGACUUUGCAAGGGGAAUGGAUUAGGGCAUUUUAGUGGUGGACUUAGUGAGAGCUAUAGGGUUUCGGGGUUUCUUCAGUUCUGAAAUUGUGGAGGGAAUGUCUGGCGGGUACUCGUAGAAAGGGAAAAGCAUUUAAUUAAUAUAUAUUUAGAACAUAUAUAUAUAUAUAUAUAUAUAUAUAUAUAUAUAUAUAUAUAUAUAUAUAUACUAUUAUUUAAUGUCACCUAAUAUAAGCGCUAUGAAAUAUCACAACUAUGACACUGCUAUAAAGUGUCAUGGAAUAACCAGUUAUUCUUAUAAGUGCCACAGCAAGCAAUGAUACUUUAAAUAAGUGCCAUGAAAUAAAAAAACUAAUAUAAAAAAUGACCCUUUUGAAAAAACACCAUUGUAUAUCCAAAUAUAAUGAUACUUUAUGAAAGCGCCAAGGAUUAAAGUGUCAUAAUUUUCUAUUUUUGUAGUAGUGUGAUUAUGAGUCUGACAAAUAGAUUCCUACACUUCUAAUCCAUCCCUUAUACAUACGGUUUGAUUUUUAUUGAAGUCCUUACUAUUGUAAAACAAGGCUACAUCGUUAAGAGGAGUCUUGUUGCAGCCUUCUUCAACUUGGAUUGAACUACACAUCUUCUUCCUUUUGCAUUAACAUAAACAUAAAGGAGAAGAGGAUGAGUCAAUCAAGUUAACCAUGGACUGAAAUAAGAGGAUGAUGGAUAAAAAUGAACUAUUUUUCAUACUUUGUUUUGGAGCUUAGGCCUCUUGUUAUAGUUUUUUUUAUGCAUCGUUUAUAGAAAAGUAAUAAAUGGAGGCAUUGGUUAUACAUUUCUUUGAAUGAUUUAGUUAUGUCCAUUUUGAAGGCUCCAGCCAUUAGAUGAUUAAUAUGGAAUUACCUUUAAGGUUUUAGCUAGCACUUAUAAUAACUUUGAACAUCAUGUGAUUAAGGGGCCAGUCUGUGAAGUGAUAAGUGUGAUAGUCUAAUUGCAUUUAUUGUGUUAUAGUGGUAUGGGUCAGAUAAUGAAAUCAUGUCAAACAAUUUAUAGAGGUAGGGCAACUCUUUUGAUCUUGCCACUUGUAAAGGAUUUCGAUGUCCCCCCUCCUCCUUCGCAUUUUGCAAGUCAUUUUAGUGAAUGAAGGGGAAAAUGGAAAUGGCCACGACACCUUUUAUGGAGGCAACUUGUCUUUUUGUCUAUUCAUGGCAUCACUAGUAAGGCAAUCUUCAUUUAUGAUUAUAAAAGGGAUUUUGGUGUUAGCAUUUUAACUUUCCCCUUUUCUUCUUUAUUUCUUUUUCAAACCUUAGUUUAAGGUAAUGGUGAAUUUUAUGGACAUAAGACAAAGCUUUAAGAUUCCUCCUACCAGGGAUUUGCAUUUCUACCAGAAAAAUGAACUUCUUCUACUCAAGCUAAGAAAAUACUUAAUUCAUGGUGUGCAUUUGAAGGUUGGUUUUCGUCUUCCUUCUCGUAUCUUUUUCAAAAAAAAAAAAAAAAAUUCUUUUCUAAAGGUACCCUCGUACCAUUUUAAUCCCAAUACUAUGAGUGUUCUCAUGGUAGUUAUUGAAGAUUCUUUCAGAUAAUUGAUAUCAUCCGAAUUUGUUGAAGAGGUUUGAAUUAAUUCAAACUAUUUAAACAGUUUUGGAUAUUUUAGUUUGAAUUAUUAUUAAAAUUUGUUUUAUCUCUAGUGUACUUAGAUAAUACUAAGUCUAUAAAUUAGUUCGUAAUUCAAUUCAAUAAGAUAUAACUGCAGUGAUUUAAGUUUUUCUUCCUACUGCCGGAAACAAGGUAUCGAAGUUGGUUGUGUAGUUGAAGAAAAUAUACACCAUGGUCAAAACUGCCAUGACAUGGAUGAGCAGGGGUAACAACUCAGAGGUCUCUUUGAAACCUUCUCAUUCAACCUCUACAAUUGUCUCCAUUGCUACCAAUCACUCAUCCCUUCAAAUAACUACUCAUAAGCCUAACAACAAAAAUUCCCUUCAAUGGUCAAGGGCUGCUCAAAUGGUUAUUCACAGACGUAGGAAGAUUAGAUAUCUCCACAUCACAAUAAAGAAGCUAAAUGAAACUAAUCCUACAUUUCAUGCUUGGGAUGCUAGCAAAUCAAUUGUUAUGGUUUGGCUCGUGAACUCAAUGGAAGAAAACAUUAGUGAAAAUUACAUGUGCUACUUAACUACAAAGGAGCUUUGGAUGCUGUGAAUCAUGCUUUUUUAGAUCUUGAAAACUCGGCUUAGAUGUUUGAACUAAGAAACAAUGUUCGAAAUCUAACACAAGAUGAUAAGGAUGUAAUAUAGUACUUCAAUAUUUUCAACAAAUUAUGGCAAGAAAUAAAUAUGUUUAAUGAUUGUAUAUGGUGUUAUGCCGAGGAUGGUGAAAGAUACAAGAAAAUGGUAGAUAAAGAAUGAAUAUUUGAUUUUCUUGUUGGACUUAACAAGGAGUUGGAUGAGGUUCGGGGAUGAUUGCUCAGAACAAAACCACUGCCCUCAAUUGAUGAGAUUUUUGUAGAAGUGAGGAGAGAAGAGUGUUGUAAGCGUGUCAUGCUCGAAGAACAAAAACCACCACCUACAUCAGACAACUUAGCCAUAGUUGUUUGUGGCCCAGACUCAACAAACAAAGGAGAUUCUCAUGGGAAUUGGAGAUGAAGUUGGCUAUGCUGAGAUCAUUAUCAAUGUCACAAUCAUACUCGUGACACUUGCUAGAAAAUACAUGGAAGACUAGCAAAUUAGAAGGAGAAAGUUAACAAAUCUAAUUUGAAAUGCUAUUAGACUGAAUAGAACCGAGCCCUAAGCCAGACAAUAGCAAAGUCACUGUUUCCCUUACUAAGGAUAAAUGGAACAACUCUACAAAUUAUUGACACCAGCAUCAUUACCAAAUAACUCGAGUACAUCAUUGUUAGCUCAAAAGGAUACAUUUUCAGUUGCUUUGAAUGGUGUUACACAAAGACAAGAAUCAUGGAUCAUCCAUUUAGGUGCAACAUAUCACAUGAUAAGGUGUUCAAAUUUGUUUUCAACUUACACACCAGUCUAGGAAAUUUUAAAGGUAAAAUUGUGGAUGGUUCUCUAUUAACAGUUGCAAGAAUGGGUACAAUCAAGAUUGGCCUAGAUUUGAUUCUCUGUUCUGUAUUACAUGUUCCAAAUUUGACUUGCAACCUAUUGUCUAUCAGUAAACUUACUUAAAAUCUUAAUUAUAUUGCAAAAUUCUCACACUCUACUUUUAACUUUCAGGACCUAAUUACAGAGAGGAUGAUUGGCAAGGCUAGGGAACCCAACAGACUAUACUGUCUUGAGAAAGAAGACUUUGUGAAUAAACAAGCUCAAACGGUCAGUUGUAAAGCUUCUAGUUUGUCUAGAAAACAAUAAAUAAUGUUAUGGCAUCGUAAGCAAGGUCACCCUAGUUUUUCUUAUUUGAACAAUUUGUUUCCUUCUAUGUUUAAGAAAAAUGAUUUGUUUCAAUGUGGAGUUUAUCAUUUAGCAAAACACCAAUGUUCUGUUUUUCCUUCUCAUCCAUACAAAGCUUUGAAACCUCUUGCCUUGAUUCAUAAUGAUCUUGGAGGUCCUUCAUGAGUUCAUAAUGUCCUUGGGAAAAGAUGGUUUGUGAUUUUUAUUGAUGACCACACCAGGUUUGUUAGGUUUACUUGCUAAAAGAAAAAUAAAAAACUAAACAAAUAUUCAAAAAAAUUCGUCGAAUGGCCCAAAAUCAAUUGAACUAAAAAAAUACAACUUUUCAAUACCAAUAAUGGUGGUGAAUACUUUAAUAUAAAAUUGGGAAGAUAUUUGUUACAAAAUGAGAUUAUACACUAGAGUUCUUGUCGUCAAAAUCCUCAACAAAAUGGGAUUGUCGAAGGCAAAAAUUGUCAUCUUCUCAAAGUAGCCUGUUCCAUAAUGUUCACCACAAAUUUACCCAAAACCUUUUAAGGGGAUGCAGUUCUUAUGGCUUGUUACUUGAUAAACCAUAUGCCUUGUUGAGUUCUAGAAUUCCAAACACCUUUAAAAAUAAUUUCAAUCCUAUUUCCCACACACGAACCUUCACCUCUCUUCCAUUGAAAAUAUUCGAUUGUACCUCAUUUGUCUACAUUCGUGACCCUACCCAUAGCAAAUUGGAACCUAGAGAACUUAAGUGUGUAUCUUUCAAUUAUUCUAGUAUUAAAAAAGGGUAUUGAUGUUAUUGUAUAGAAAAAUGAAAAUAUUUUGUUUGGAUGGAUGUUACAUUUUUUUAAAAAAUCAACCCUUUUACACCAAAAAUUCCCUUUAGAGGGAGAACUUAGUUGAAGAAAAUUUUCAAGAUGUUAUGCUACCUUCUAUUCCACUUUCCACACCUAUAUCACCAAAUCGAUAAAAAAUGUUGUCUUAUGUUCCACCUUCUACAGGUAUACCAACAUCACCAAAUCGAUAAAAAAACGUUGCCUUCUGUUCCACUUUCUACUAGUAUACCAAUAUCAACACAAUCCUUAAAUUGAUCAAAAAAUUUAAAAAUUCCAAAGCUACCGAUACCACAACCUAAACCACCAUCGAAUUCACUAUCUAGUCCACAAAUCAGCUUACUUGAGUCUUCCAAUCCACCCAAGCCAAUGAUGAUUAUGCACAACAAACCCUCAACAACAAUGAUAAGAGGAGAUUUGCAGUUACAACCUGAGUUACAUGUUUAUUCAUGGAGAAAUAUUUCAAAAGGAGUAGAGAAAUCGGUGAACCUUCAACGUGGUAACUUGUCUUAACCUAAUUUAUAUAUACAUUUAUCCCUUACAAACCUUAACAUUGAUGAGUUUGAUGUACUCAUAGCAUUGAGGAAAGGUGAGAGUGUUGGGCAAAACAUGAUAUAACAAAGUUAGACUUAUCUAUCCUCUUACUAUCCCUCUGGUGUAUUGACAUUGAUUUAAGCAUUCAACCCAUGUCUCUUACAUUGCACACGAAUUAGGUGCAUUAGGAGUUGCACAAAAGAUAGAAGUCAUGAGUUCCUUGUAAGUAGAUUAGUUGUCCACAGUUGGUUCAUGGAUUUGGGCAAUCCAAUAGAAACUGUAGUACACCACCUCCUAAUUGGAGGGAUAAAUUGUCUUCGCUGUUGGGAUGGGUUUCCCAUGGUGAGUGCACUAAUAUGUAUGAUGCACAUUGGACAAGAUUUAUGGUGAAUCAUGAAACAAGGCUAUCAAUUGUCAUGAUACACCAAUUUACUAUAUUGCAUGGACUAUCAACUUUGAGAGGAUAUUGAGUUUGUGUCAAAAUCAACAGAAGGCUUUGACCAAAGGGUGAAACCUUAAAGUGGUCAUAUAUCCCUAUGGAUUGGGUCACUAUUGAUGGAGGUUGGUGGCAACAGGUAUUCUCAACAGAGGUACCAUGAUAUCUCAUGGGAUUGAGAUAGUGUGGCCCCUUGGGUGAUUUGAAGGACAUCUAAUCAUGAAAUCUGUGGCCACAAGAAUUCCUUUAGUGGAAUUUGACAUAUGCUUCUUAUAACUAAAGUAUGUAAGUUGAUCACAUAAUAAAUGGGAUAUGUAACUCAAGGAUUUGAGAGGUAAUCUUGAUAGGUGAUAGUACUACCUUGUUGGAAUAUGGACAUCGGUUCAUGAGGAGUUCACAUGCAGUAGAUAGUAGGUCAUGGACUCAAACACUUGGUGUCUCAUUGUAAUAUACAUAGGAUACUAGAGUGCAGUUGAUUCUUUGUAAUGGGAUGUCAAGUCAAUUUAGAAUUUGAUUAUGAGGGAGCCAGUACUCCUAUGGGUCCCAAUGGUCCCCGCUCUUAGCUCAUAUUGCUUGAUGGCAUAGUUUAUGAGGGUUUGAUGGGUUUUUAGUUCACUUUUGUGCAUAAGGGAUUUUUGAUAAUUACGUAAGGUUGCACAAGGAUAAGAGAGUGAUAUAUCUGGACUAGGCUAAUUGAUUAAUUAAGACCUUGUGUAGUUAAUAAAUCAAUUAAAAACCUUUUUGGACAAAAUUAAGUGACCCAAGUCUAUGGUGGGCUCAAUUUUCUUAAGUCCAAUAGGAAACCUAUAAAUACCCCUUUAGGGGUUAGGGUUUCUAAGUUUUGUCAUUCUCCAUUUUCAGUCUAGAGAGAAAACGCUAGCCUCCACCCUUGAGAUCUCCACCAUCUCAGUGCCUAGACAUAAUCAACAGUCAUCAGACAGAAGAUCUUGGGUGUAGAGAAGCACUUUGGAAUCAUACAGGCCGUAUGCCCGAGAAUCGCAUGGGAUGCGCACAGGCCGUGUCCAUAAGAUUCGCACGCAAUGUGCAUAAGCAUCAUGCACCGGAAUUGUAUGGGACGCGCACACGAGUAGCAACAUGAGAAGAAGUUCUCUAGUUUUUCUAUGCAUGUUAUUCACCGCAAGGAAUUGAUCUAGGAACAUCCAGAUCUAGGUAUGAGCAUUUUUUUCUCUAGAUUUUUAUUCUUUAAUGGUUUUUUAAACCAUUUUUUUUGUUGUGUUAGGUCUAGAAAGCCUUAAAGAUAGAUGCAUGCACCUUAUGAGAUCCAAGGCAUGCGAACAGAGUAAUCCAAGGUUCCUAAUAGCGAGAACUUGCACUCAACAUGCAAUAUCAAAUUUUGUCUCAUAAGAUCAUUUAUCACCUUCUCUUCAAACUCUAACAACUAAUCUGGUAGGUGUUGAUAUUCUAAGAACAAUACAAGUAGCUUUGAAAGAACCAAACUGGGAAAAGGCAGUUGAGGAUGAAAUACAUGCUCUUGAAAAAAAUGAAACAUAGGAUUUGGUAAAAAAGCCCAAAAGAAAAAUUCUAGUAGGUUGUAGGUGGGUAUUUGAUUCGUUCCCAAUUGGUGUCUCAGCUGAUUCAUGUCCUCUCAAUGGUCCCUGAUAGUGGUGCCAUUUGAUUCGUGUCUAGUUGGUGUCCCUUGAUUGUGGUCCUCAGGGAGUAAUCAACAAAAUUUAUAACCUAUUACACCAUGUACUAGGAUAGCCUUAGCUAGCAUAGCAUAGUGGUUCUAGGGUCGUUCACUGGGAUGGGUUUUCACUCUACAAUUGAUAUUAAUUCAAAGUUGAAUUGGUGCCUUUUCAUUUCAAGGUUAGCUUUAAAAGAAAACAUAAAGAUGUUUAAAUGAAAAAGGUUUGGUUUUAAACUAACCAAAAAUAGUAACUGAUUUUACUUACAAAGAAAAGUGUUUCUUGGAGUUUAGAUCACUAGGUUCAGGUUCCUCAUACAAAAAGGAGAGUUCCGGUCACUUGUUUAUUUUCCUCUCAUUAGAGAAUUAACAUAUAGUUAAUUCUCUAAUCGGUGUGGUACAGAUGCUUCCCCUUAAUGGGUUCAAACACUAAAUCCCUCUCAAAAGCUUGCCAAGUGUUGGCUAUUCUAGAAAAUCCUACCUUCAAACCACCUCCCAAAGGCUCUCAAAAGAUAAACUAGUGCAUCUCAAUGAACGGAGAUCACUUGCCUUAUCAAGUGUUGGCUCAGGUGAGUUAAAGGCGUUUUAAGUUAACUAAAAAGAUAAAAACCAUUAACGGGUCAUACAUUCACUUCAUUAAAAACUAAAACAACAAAACUUCCAAUUUAUGCAUGAGGAAACUUACCCGACUUUCUUUACUCCAAGAGACAAAGAGCCUAGCCGCUCAUCCUCUGAGGAAAAAUCCUCAGAGUUUGAUUAGCUAGAAAGAAAACUAGCGAGAAAACGAAAAUAUGAAGGAAAACAGAGCAAGUGCUCUACAAAAUAUAUUUCUUCCUUAUAUAAAAAGGUUGUCUCCAAGAACAAGCUCUCGAGAUCUAUAUUCUAUAUCAUUGUAAAGAAAAUUACAACUAUAUAUAAGAGGUUAUUCAACCCUUUGUUCUUACUCAAAGACUAAGGAAUCCUAUGAUAGGUGGGUUACAAGGAGAGUUUGGGGAUUUAGACAACAAAUAUCUAAAGCAAAAUAUCUCAAGAUGUCGGUCGGAAAUAUCAGGAAGCUUUAAGAGAAAUUCCGCUGCACUGUAUACUAAGAGAAAAACUCUCCGAGUAAGCGCUAUCAGAGGAUCUAGAUAUGUCUGACCGGAGAAGUUGAAACGUCCUCCUCUCUCAUCCGGUUGUGAGAUAUCCAGAUGUGAAAUAUCCGAUCAGAGGAUUCGGACAUGUUUGUCCGGACAGAAUUCCAGGAGUGAGAUAUCCGCACAUCGCAAGGGGGACCGUCUGCGUGUACAAGGUGUAGGAACCCCUCCCCCUGAUGACACAGAGCACGCAUUGCUAUCCGGCGCAACUCCAUUAGGAUUCCCUCAGGGGACACGCGCCGCCAUGCUAUUUGGACUCCCUCAGGGAGAAGCACACGACACUCGUGCACAUCACACCCCGGACGAUAGCAUAUCCUAUCCGGAUAUGUUGUCUGGAUGGAAAACAUUGACUAAAGUGAGCAAGCCUUGCUACGUCAUUCCAAUAGCCUGCCACAGCCCAUGUUCUGCCACCAUCCAAUGGUGUGUCUGGACGCCCUGUCUGGACAUCUUUUGCUCCUUGCAUUUCAGAUUUGAUUAUGGCAAAGGACUUCAAAGCUUCGUUUCUUCAUGUUUCUGAGCUUUCCAUUGCUUUGCCAUGGAUUCCAAAGAACUCUCCUCAAUCACGGAUUGCUUCGGUGAUAAAAAAACUAUCAAAACACCAAAACUUAACACAAUUUGAUUAGAAUUGAUUGCAAGGGUCCUUAAUAUGUUAAUUGGGUUAAAAGAUGAUAACUACUACUCAAAAGUGUUUAAAAGAGUUAAUUACAAGCUAUGAAAUAACACUUUUUGAGUAGUAAUCAGUAUUCACAAUAAAAUAUAAUUUAGAUGGAUUGAUUGAACAGUAUAAGGCAAGGCUAGUUGCAAAAGGGUUCACUCAAACAUAUAGAGUGGACUAUCAAGAGACAUUCGCGGUACUUGUUGCUAAGCUAAACACCAUUUGGGUCUUGCUUUCUCUAGCAACAAAAAAUUAUUGGUAGCUUCAACAAUUAGACGUAAAGAAUGCCUUCACUACAAGGAAUUUCAUUUUUCCCAAUUGACAUACAUUAUUGGAAUAAACAUUUACCAAUGGAUAAUCUCGACACAUGGUAGUCAAGGAAAGGUGUGUAGGCAAAAGUCUAUUGAUGGGAAUUUUCUAUCAAUAAUAAAAAAAAUUUAGUGACGAACUAUCUAAUGGAUUUGGACCGUCACUAUUACCAACGGAUUAAAUUGGUUGGAAAAUGUAAAUAAUAAAAUAUUUUAGGUUGUCAUUAAAUCUCGAUUUCAUUACAUUCAUAUAAGGCAUCUUGUUACACUCCUUACUAGUUCUUGCUACUUUUAGAUAUGGGCCUAGAUGUUGCUUUGGGAUUGAACUCAUGACCUCAAGUUUGAAAGGAAGCCAUUGUGCCACUAGGCCAACUUUGUUAUUUGCACGAUAAAGAAUAUAUAUAAGAUUCAUAAAUGUAAAUAUCCUAUACUUAUGUAUUUAUAUUAUAAAUAUUAUCUAUAUAUAAAAACAUAUCAUAAAUUAUAUAUGCAUGAAUAUAUAUAUAUAUAUAUAUAUAUAUAUAUAUGUAUGUAUGUAUGUAUAUUAUAAAUUGAUUAAAAUAAAAUUAUUAUAAAUUAGUUCAUUUUAAUUCUUAUGUAUUUUGCAUAAUGAUUAAAUAUAAAAUGAAUAUAAAUUUAUAAGUAAAAUUAUUAACAUUUUAAAAUAAAAAAAUACUUAAGCAUGUAUUAUCGUUUUUUAUGUUAUUAAAUACAUUUAACUUAGAUAAAUCUCUAUAAAAUAUAUUUUAAAAUUUUAAAUAUUAUUAUUGGAUGUCACAAAUUAGAUCAUAUAUAUCCCAAUUUAUUUAAUGAAACAACUUCAAAAUUUCUAUUAUUACUUUUUAGGGAGAAUUGUGUUUUGGGCUCAGCUGGGCCCAAAAAUUAAGAGAAGGUCCAUCUAACUAACUUAAUUAAUGAUAAGGAUAUCAGAUGUUAACAGACGAAAAUGCCCUUUACAUUUCCAACUCAAAUGGUUGUAAAUUAAUGGGUUUCAUAGCUGGUAAACUUGAAAUGGCAUGUCACCAGAGCGAAAAUUCUGAAUCUUCAUACCAUUUUCUCUCCCUCUAUAAACAACAUACGCACAAACGAUGCCGGCCGUAACUGUCCCCCAAUCGCUUUCUUCAGCAACCAAGGAUUGUGAGCAUUUCAGAAAAGCUUUUAUAGGCAUUUUAUCAAUGAUCAUUCCCAAAUCCAAAUGAUGGGGGUCUGAAUUAUUUGCUGACAUUUUGAUUUCAUCAGGUUGAGGCAUUUGUAGGUAUUUUAUCAUCAUCGUCCAGAGAGAAUAAAUGGGUUUCAUCCAAAUAGUGAGCUUUGGGGAAGAAGAUUGUCUGGUGAUGAUGCAAAUAAUCCAAAAUAGCUAUCAUUCGGAUCAAAAAUAUUUCGAAAGCAGAUAAAUUGGUCAACCCGACGAAACUGGCUGCCAAUGAAGAUAUAAACUGGCUGCCACCAACUAUUAUGUCCACCAAUUGACUACUCAUUGUUAGCAUAUCAAACAUUGAUUACUACUCAAAACAUGCUAUUUUGUAGCUUGUUAUUAGCUCUUUUAAGCACCCUUGAGUAGUAAUUAUUACCUUUUAACUCAAUUAACAUGUUAGGGACCCUUGCAAUCGUUUCUAAUCAAUUUGUGUUAAGUUUUGGUGUUUUUUGAUAGCUUUAUACUCACCAAAGCAAUUUAAGAAUGAGGGAGAGCUAUAUAUAAUUCAUGGCAAAGCUUUUGGAAGCUCAAAAUUAUGAAGAAACCAAGCUUUGGAGCCUCAUAAUCCUUUGCCUUAGUCGUUCAAAGUAUGCAAGGAGAGAACAAUGGAGAAGAGGAAAACAGGGUGAUGAAAAUAGGGGACACAGCUGCAGUCUUUCAUUGCACUUUUGGAGCACUUCCCGAAGUCCAUUUUCUACAUUCUAUAAACCAUUUCAAAGCUCAGAAAGUCAAGAAUCCAACGAUUCAAACCAUGUACAAUUUGGAGCUGAAAUGAGGAAGAUAUGGCCUUCGGAAGACAACUGCAUCAAGCUGAGGGACAAUUUCGCACGAUGGAAAUCAAGGUGCGAAUUCCUCAGUCUAAAGUGUGGGAAUUUCGCACACCUGAAACCAACGUGCGAAAAUUGGAUAUUUUUUCCGACUCUUUUUCUUCUGAUAUUUUUUGUGUCUAAAUUUCCAUUUUCUCCUUGUAUUCAGCCACUCAUGUAAUUCCUUAGCUAGGAAGUAUCCAAGGAAGGGUAAAAUUACCUUCCUAUAUAAAUUCUCUUGUAAUCACUGAAAAAUCAUCUUUUCGGGGAGCUUUCUCCAGGAGACCAACUAUUGUAAAUUUGUUACUUAGAAAAAUACAGAGAUCUCUUUUGCUUUCUUUUUCUCUCUACUAUUUUCUAUUUUCUUGGAAGCCAAACACCCUCUGAGGAUGUUUUCCCAGAGGAUGAGAGGCUAAACCAAUAGUUUCUUGGAGUAAAGGAAGCUAGGUGAAAAGUCCAGAUUAAAAGGUGGAAAGUUUCCGUGCAUUAAAUUCAGGUAGUUGGAGUCCAUAAAUGGCUUCUAAAUUCAAAGUUUUGCUUUAAAUCCCUUAGAAUCACUUUGAUUGGCCAAUACAUGGUAAGCUUAAGGUCUCUGUGGAUGCUUAUUACUAGAUCCAUAUCAGUCCAUUAGUUAUCAUAUACGAGCCAUUGGAAAGUGAUUCAAGGUGAUAGUCCAUAGUGUCUUAAGCCAUUAAUGGACCUUGACUACCAUCUCUAUUGACUUAUAUGGAUUAAAUUUUCAUGGUCAAACCUAUACCGGUUCGGGAAAUAACUAUAGGUUAAAUCCCCAAUGCGAGGAGAAAAAUCCGGAAUUUUCCACUUUGCAUCCUGAACUUGAACCUAGCAACCUUUAGCUCCAGGAGACUUUCUUUCUUCCACUUUUUAUAUAGUCUAUGUGAGUUUAGUUUUAAUCACCACUUUCAAAACAAUUUUAUUCUCUUUUAAAUUUCAAGUUUGUGCUAAAGGAAAUCAUCAGAAUCAAUUUCUAAUUUAGAGUCUGUCACUGAUAAAGUGAAAACCCAUCUCUGAGUUCGACCCUAGAACUGCUAUACUAUAGUAGCUUUGCUACGCCAAUAUAAGGUCAUAAGAUUUAUAAAUAUUUUUGAUUAAAAGACCCGGCUGGGCAUCGAAUCAAAUGGCGCCGUUGCCGGGGAUGGUGCCACAAUACAGUGAUACAACCUUUUAGAGGCUACUUGUGAUUUCCAUCACAAGUUUGGUGAAUUCCUUUUUCACUAAUUUCAUUUUCUUUCAUUUUCCUGUGGUUAAUUUUAUUUUCAUUUUCUUCCUAACUUUAACCUUUUUUUCUAGUUUCCUUUUUGUUUUUGUUUUUUUUUAGUAUUACAGGUAUUGUAACUUGUGCAUGCCCUAUUGGAUUAGGGACCAAGAGGGAAGAUUAGUAAGGAUUGAGAAUCCUCAAGACACAGAGUUGGAUAUCUGUGUAAACGUCAUGGACCCUCCACCAGAGGAUCAGAAUUCUCAACAAGGUCAAGGGGGUAAUCCCAAUGCAUAUCUAUCCAUGAGAGAUAGAAUGCAUCCACCAAGGAUGAGUGCACCCUCAUGCAUCCUACCCCCUCUUGAGCAGUUGGUUAUAAGGCCCCAUAUUGUGCCCCUCCUACCAAAUUUCCAUGGAAUGGAGAGUGAGAAUCCAUAUUCUCACAUCAAGGAGUUUGAGGAGGUGUGUAAUACCUUUAGAGAGGGAGGAUCUUCAAUAGACUUGAUGAGACUCAAGCUAUUCCCUUUUACUUUGAAGGACAAGGAAAAAAUAUGGCUUAAUUCUUUAAGGCCAAGGAGCAUAAGGAAUUGGGUUGAUCUUCAGGCUGAGUUCUUGAAAAAAAUUUUCCCCACCCAUAGGACCAAUGGGUUGAAGAGACAAAUCUCAAACUUUUCUGCAAAAGAAAAUGAGAAGUUCCAUGAAUGUUGGGAAAGGUAUAUGGAAGCCAUUAAUGCUUGUCCUCACCAUGGUUUUGAUACAUGGCUCCUAGUGAGCUAUUUUUAUGAUGGAAUGUCUUCUACCAUGAAGCAAAUUCUUGAAACCAUGUGUGGGGGAGAUUUUAUGAGUAAGAAUCCUGAAGAGGCCAUGGACUUUUUAAGUUAUGUGGCUGAGGUGUCAAGAGGCUGGGAUGAGCCCAACUCAAGAGAGAAAGGAAAGUUUCCCUCUCAACAAACCUAAAAUCAAAAGGCUGGAAUGUACAUGUUGAGUGAAGAUGUGGACAUGAAAGCUAAAGUGGCAAUAUUAGCUAGGAGGUUAGAAGAACUUGAGUUGAAAAAGAUGCAUGAAGUCCAAGCCAUUUCCGAUACCCAAGUUCAUGUCAUGCCAUGCACCAUUUGCCAAUCAUGUGAUCAUGUGGUAGAUGAGUGCCCAACCAUGCCAACCGUGAGAGAAAUGUUAGGUGAUCAAGUAAAUGUUGUGGGGCAAUUUAGGCCCAACAACAGUGCAUCCUAUGGUAACACCUAUAAUUCAAGUUGGAGAAACCAUCCAAAUUUUUCUUGGAAACCAAGACCACCUCCAUACCAACCGCAAGCCCAAACUCAAGCACCUCAACAAACCUCUUCAGUGGAGCAAGCCAUUGCAAACCUAAGUAAAGUCAUGAAUGACUUUGUGGGUGAACAAAGGGCAAUCAACUCCCAAUUGCACCAAAAGAUUGAGAAUGUUGAGAGUUCUCUAAAUAAGAGAAUGGAUGGGAUGCAAAAUGAUCUAUAUCAGAAGAUAGAUAAUAUUCAAUACUCCAUCUCUAGGCUUACCAACCUCAACACAGUGAUUGAGAAAGGAAAGUUCCCCUCUCAACCAAGUCAAAAUCCUAAGGGUGUUCAUGAAGUUGAAACCCAAGAGGGGGAUUCUUCAAAUUUGAGAGAGGUCAAAGCUGUGAUCACCUUGAGGAGUGGAAAGGAGGUUGAUCAACCCUUGCCUAAGGUGAGGCAUGAUGAAGAACUCAUGUCAAAGAGACCUUUGAUUAAAGAGAGCAAUAGCCAAGAAGAGAAGAGUGGGAAGAAAAGUGCAUUCAAAUCAAGCACUGAAGAAAAACCAAGGAUUGUGAUUAAAGAGGGUAUGAUGAAGAAACAUAUGCCUCCCCCUUUUCCUCAGGCUUUACAUGGAAAGAAAGAAAUCAAGAAUUCAUCAGAAAUUCUUGAGGUUCUGAGACAAGUGAAGGUGAAUAUACCCUUACUUGAUAUGAUCAAGCAAGUCCCCACAUAUGCAAAGUUUCUAAAGGACUUGUGCACAGUCAAGAGAGGGUUACAGGUGACAAAGAAUGCAUUCCUCACUGAGCAAGUGAGUGCUAUCAUUCAGAGUAAUUCCCCAGUUAAGUAUAAAGAUCCGGGAUGUCCCACCAUAUCGGUUAACAUUGGAGGGACACAUGUGGAAAAAGCUUUACUAGACUUGGGAGCAAGUGUGAAUUUGUUCCCAUACUCUGUGUAUAAGCAACUGGGACUUGGAGGAUUGAAGCCCACAACCAUGACCCUCUCCUUAGCUGAUAGGUCGGUCAAAAUCCCAAGGGGAGUGAUAGAGGAUGUUCUAGUUCAAGUGGACAAAUUCUACUAUCCUGUGGAUUUUGUGGUACUUGACACUGAUUCCACUGUCAAGGAAGAGAAUUAUGUGCCAAUCAUCCUAGGGAGACCUUUCCUAGCUACCUCCAAUGCUAUCAUUAAUUGUAGGAAUGGGGUGAUGCAGCUCACAUUUGGAAACAUGACAUUGGAAUUAAACAUAUUCCACCUAUGUAAGAGGCAUCUACACCCUGAAGAUGAGGAAGGAUUUGAGGAGGUGUGCUUGAUCAACACUUUGGUUGAAGAGCACUGUGACAAGAGUUUAGAGGAGAGCUUGAAUGAAAGCCUGGAAGUCCUUGAAGAUGGGUUCCCUGAACCCUCUGAUGUGCUAGCCAUUAUGUCUCCUUGGAGGAGACGAGAAGAGAUCUUACCACUGUUCAACCAGGAAGACUCAGAAGGAGUUGCUGUGGAGGACCCUCCAAAGCUUAUUUUAAACCCACUUCCUGUGGAUUUGAAGUAUGCAUACUUGGAGGAUGAUGAGAAAUGUCCAGUGGUGGUUUCUUCAACUCUCACUAGUGAUCAAGAGGAUAGUCUUUUAGGAGUCCUCAGAAAAUGCAAGAAAGCCAUUGGAUGGCAAAUUUCUGAUCUGAAAGGGAUUAGCCCUUUGGUGUGUACCCAUCAUAUUUAUAUGGAAGAAGAUGCAAAACCAGUGAGGCAACCCCAAAGGAGACUGAAUCCUCACAUGCAAGAGGUGGUGAGGGGUGAAGUUCUUAAGCUACUUCAAGCUGGGAUCAUAUAUCCCAUCUCAGACAGCUUAUGGGUGAGUCCCACCCAAGUAGUCCCAAAGAAAUCUGGAAUUACUGUAAUCUAGAAUGAGAAAGGGGAGGAAGUCUCUACACGUCCUACCUCAGGAUGGAGGGUGUGUAUAGACUAUAGGAGGUUGAAUUCAGUAACUAGGAAGGAUCAUUUUCCAUUGCCUUUCAUGGACCAAGUCCUUGAGAGAGUCUCAGGACAUCCUUUCUAUUGUUUUCUAGAUGGUUAUUCAGGGUACUUCCAAAUAGAAAUUGAUUUGGAAGAUCAAGAAAAGACAACCUUCACUUGCCCCUUUGGUACUUUUGCAUAUAGGAGAAUGCCCUUUGGUCUAUGUAAUGCUCCUGCAACUUUCCAAAGAUGUAUGCUAAGCAUCUUCAGUGAUAUGGUGGAACGCAUCAUGGAAGUUUUCAUGGAUGAUAUCACUGUAUAUGGACGUUCUUAUGAGGAGUGUUUAUUGCAUUUAGAAGCUGUUCUCCAUAGAUGUAUUGAGAAAGACCUAGUGCUAAAUUGGGAGAAGUGCCAUUUUAUGGUGCAAAAAGGAAUUGUCUUAGGACAUAUCAUCUCCAAAAAUGGCAUUGAGGUAGAUAAGGCAAAGGUGGAGCUAAUUGUUAAGUUGCCACCUCCCACAAAUGUUAAAGGAAUUAGGCAAUUCCUAGGACAUGCCGGGUUCUAUAGGAGGUUCAUUAAGGAUUUCUCAAAAAUCUCAAAACCUCUUUGUGAACUCUUGGUAAAGGAUGCCAAAUUUGUGUGGGAUGAGAAGUGUCAGAGGAGUUUUGAGGAAUUGAAACAAUUCCUCACAACUGCACCAAUAGUGAGAGCCCCAAAUUGGAAAUUACCUUUUGAGGUAAUGUGUGAUUCAAGUGAUCUUGCUAUGGGGGCUGUUUUGGGGCAAAGAGAGGAUGGAAAGCCCUAUGUGAUCUAUUAUGCAAGCAAAACUUUGAAUGAGGCUCAAAGGAACUACACAACUACUGAGAAAGAGUUGUUGGCAGUAGUUUUUGCCUUGGAUAAGUUUCGUGCUUAUUUGGUAGGGUCCUCUAUAGUGGUGUUCACUGACCAUUCUACUUUGAAGUACUUGCUAACCAAGCAAGAUGCUAAGGCAAGAUUGAUAAGAUGGAUUCUUUUGCUCCAAGAAUUCAAUCUCCAAAUCCGGGAUAAAAAGGGGGUAGAAAAUGUGGUAGCUGACCACUUGUCCAGACUUGUGAUAGCACAUGACUCACAUGGUCUGCCUAUCAAUGAUGACUUCCCUGAGGAGUCUCUCAUGUCAGUAGAUGUAGCUCCAUGGUAUUCUCACAUUGCGAACUUUUUGGUUACUGGAGAAGUACCAAGUGAGUGGAGUGCCCAAGACAAGAGGCAUUUCUUUGCUAAGAUCCAUGCCUAUUAUUGGGAGGAACCUUUUCUUUUCAAAUAUUGUACAGAUCAAAUUAUAAGGAAAUGUGUUCCUGAGCAAGAGCAAUCGGGAAUUCUUUCCCAUUGCCAUGAUAGUGCAUGUGGAGGUCAUUUUGCCUCCCAGAAAAUAGCUAUGAAAGUGAUCCAAUCAGGCUUCUAGUGGCCCUCUCUUUUCAGGGAUGCCCACUCUAUGUGCAAGGGAUGUGAUCGGUGUCAAAGGCUUGGUAAGCUAACACGCCGAAAUAUGAUGCCCUUGAACCCCAUCUUAAUAGUGGAUAUCUUUGAUGUCUGGGGAAUAGACUUCAUGGGACCAUUUCCAAUGUCGUUUGGACAUUCCUACAUUUUGGUGGGAGUGGAUUAUGUCUCUAAGUGGGUAGAAGCAAUCCCAUGUAGGAGUAAUGAUCAUAAAGUGGUUCUUAAAUUCCUCAAGGACAAUAUCUUUGCAAGAUUUGGAGUGCCAAAGGUCAUUAUAAGUGAUGGGGGAACCCGCUUUUGCAAUAAACCUUUUGAGACUCUUCUAGCCAAGUAUGGGGUUAAGCACAAGGUAGCUACACCUUAUCACCCUCAAACAAGUGGCCAAAUUGAGUUAGCCAACCGUGAGAUCAAGAAUAUAUUGAUGAAGGUGGUCAAUGUGAAUAGGAAGGAUUGGUCUAUCAAGCUCCUGGAUUCCUUAUGGGCUUAUAGGACUGCUUACAAGACCAUACUAGGAAUGUCUCCCUAUCGCCUUGUUUAUGGCAAAGCGUGUCAUCUUCCAGUGGAGAUUGAGUAUAAAGCAUGGUGGGCAAUCAAAAAGCUCAACAUGGAUUUGACAAGAGCCGGGUUAAAGAGAUGUUUGGAUUUGAAUGAAUUGGAGGAAAUGAGGAAUGAUGCAUACCUCAAUUCAAAAAUUGCAAAAGCAAGAUUAAAAAAAUGGCAUGAUCAAUUGGUAAAUCAAAAGAAUUUGAUCAAGGGACAAAGAGUUUUGCUUUAUGACUCUAAACUUCAUCUUUUUCCAGGAAAAUUGAAAUCCAGAUGGACGGGUCCUUUCAUAAUUCAUGAAGUGCAUCCCAAUGGAGUGGUGGAAAUAUUCAAUCCCACAGGCAAUCAAACCUUCAAAGUUAAUGGCCAUCGUCUCAAGCCAUUCAUAGAGCCUUACAGUACAGACAAGGAGGAGAUCAACCUCCUUGAACCACCACAACUCUGAGUGAAAGCAGGGUAUCAUGGGCUAAAUAAGUCCAUGAAUUUUUUGCUAUAGUUUUAUAGUUAUAUCAUUAUUUUUAUUUCUUUUUAUUAUAAUUCUUACUCAAUCUUAGUUUAUUUUGUCUUAAUUCAAGUCAAUUUUGAUGAUAAAUUUCAGAAAAAAAUCAUGAAAGAUGUGGAGAACUCUUCAAAAGCAAGACAAGGGAGUAAAACCAAGGAAACAGAGCACUGCAUUUCAAGGUGCGAGAAUUUCGCACAGCUGAUUUCAAGGUGCGAAAAUUUCGCACACCUUAUUUCAAGGUGCGAAAUCCUCGGUCCAAAGGGAGCCAUUUUCGCACACCUCAAAAACAAGGUGCGAAAUUUAUCUCAAGGUGCGAAAACUGAUUUCAAGGUGCGAAAUUCCCUAAAAGCCAUUUUCGCACACCACUGUUCAAGGUGCGAAAAUUUUCGCACAGUGCGAAAUCCACUCCUGGCACACGAGUGCCAUUUUCGCACACCUCAAGCCAAUUUUCGCACCGUGCGAAACAAGGUGCGAAAUUUUCGCACAGUGCGAAAUUGAGUGCGAAAUGCAUUUUAAGGUGCGAAUUCUUCAGUCCAAAGGGUGCCAUUUUCGCACACCUAAUUUCAAGGUGCGAAAAUUUGCACACCUCAUUUCAAGGUGCGAAUUCCUCAGUCCAAGGGGUAGGAUUUUCGCACACCCAAACCCAAGGUGUGAAAUUUUAAAGUCCAAGGUGCGGAAAUUUCGCACGGUAAAAUUUUAAGUUCCAAAAAUUUUAAACUGACUUUUAAAUUAAAAUUUUACCCCCGAAAUUGUGCCUAACGUCCAAAAACGACUUUUUGGUUACCUUGGAAAAUUUUUAAACAUCAAAACCCCCCCCCAAACCCCAUUCCUAUAUAAGCCCUUGAAGCCCAGGACCUCAACAGUCUACUCCGCGCACCAGCUGAGGAGCCUCUGGAACCCCAAACAGCCACCUCCCUUCAUUUCAGCCAUGCCAAAGACCAGAGGAGGCCUUUCUGCCUCCCCAUCAACACCGACGCCUCGACCACAUCAAGCCGCCAUGGGAGGCGCCGCUUCGCCACCUAUUCAGGCACCGGCCAUUCCCCCAUCUGAGAGGGGAACCCCUUCUCAGCGCCGAUACCCCACCAGGAGGCCACCCACUGAACCUGUGCCACCCGCCGACCAAGCUCAAAGACCUGCUUCUCGGCCCCCUGCGAAGAGAACCAAGUUCUCGGGUCCUGGAGAGCCAUCUCAUGUGCCUCAGGUAGAGCCGCCUACAGAGGAACCUCGAAUUCCUGUGGAGAUUACUCCCGAGACCCUUAUCAGGCGUCCCAUGAUAGCCGGACCACCGAUAGAGGGCAACUUGGAUUGCAGAGAUCGAUCCUUCCACUCCGAGACCUACUUUGAUAUAGAGGCCCUCAGACAGCAGCCAGAGCUCAGAGAUUCAUUCCGACUGCUACAGAGAUAUCACAUGGAGGAUCUUCUCACUCCUAGGCAAUUCUACUAUCCUAGAGUAGUUAUAGAUUUUUAUCAAUCUAUGACUACUCGAGGCCUCCGCAAUCCUACCCUCAUCCAAUUUACCAUAGACGGAUGCCAGGGUGCCAUUGGAGCUCGCCACAUUGCUGAGGCCCUCCGUAUACCUUAUGAGCCUGUGAUUCAGGCAGACUUCAGGGAGUGGUCCUCAUUUUCUCAGAGCGACAUGGUCCGUAUUUUGUCCAGGGGGACUUCUACAGCCUCAGUGUUGACUAGGAGAGAGCUUCCAUCUGGGAUGCUCCUUAUUGAUGUCCUCCUGCGUGCCAACAUCUUCCCACUUCAGCAUAAGGUUCAGAGGAGAGGAGCUAUACUUGAGGCAUUAUUCAGGAUUUUUGAGGGCUAUUACUUCGGCCCUCAUCAUUGGAUUAUGACUUCUCUUCUUCAUUUUGAAGAAAAAGUCCAUCAAAAGAAGCUUCAGAGGGCAGAUGGCAUCCCAUUACUAUUUCCGAGGCUCCUCUGCCAAAUUUUAGAGCACCUGGGCUAUCUUGAAGAGCCCCGUCUUGAGAGGCGCCACCAUUGCAGAGAGGAUUUCUCUCUCGACAAAUGGCAUCACUUGGUAGCCUACUUUGCACCUCACGGACCCCCAGUUAUGCCCCCACCUCCAGAGCUACCCCGAGAUGACUAGCUACCUCAGGCCCAGCAGGAUGAGAUUCUCACUGACACUACACCUCCUGCCCCUGCAGCACACACCUCAGUGCAUAUGCCCGAGGCUAUACAUUCUACCUCCCCUAUCACUCAGGGUGCUCCACCAGUCAUGCCAGCUUCCCCAGCACCUCCUCCUUCAUCUAAGCCCACUGUCACCGUUUUUCUUACGGAAUUCAGAGGCUUAGUGCAUUCAUUGCAGACACUGAGCACUGCUCAGGAUUCUAUUAUCCACCAGAUGGCCACUAUUCUUGCGCAUCAGGAUCAGAUCAUUGCUACUCAGGCCCAGCAUACCACGAUCCUUCAUCAGAUUCAGCAGCAUCUGAGUAUGCAGACACCUCUUGGGCAUGAUACGUCUGCACCAUCCGAGCCUCUAGUGCCAGAUGAGGAGAGCUUACCAGUUGAGCAGCCCAUACCAGAGGAGGAGAUCAGAGCAGAGCCAUCACAUGACCCCACUCAUAUCUGAUUUUUUUAUGUUUUACUUGCUUUUUAUAUUAGACUUGUAAAUCCCAUCUUUUGCAUGUUUUAUAAACUGGGAUUGGAAGUAUUACUUGAAAUCAUAUAUUGUAUAUUUCUUUUCCAAGUUAUAUAUAUAUAUAUAUAUAUAUAUAUCCUUUUUUAUUAUAGUCCCUUUUCUCAUUACUCUUUUCUCUUUGCAACAUGUGGUUUAAGGUAUUCCAUACCUCCUAUAUACUCAGACUUUGAACCACAGGAGGUACCACUUCCUCCCUUUUCUUUUAAAUCGCUCUUUAAACAUUGAGGACAAUGUUUAGUUUGGUUGGGGGGAGAGUUGAGAAAGGAAGUUUUGUACUAAUGCUAAGUUAUUUAUGUAAUUUAGUUGAUUUUUGCUUAAUUUUUAAAAUUUCUAAAAGUUUUUUUGAAUCAUUCUCUAUGGUUGUUAAAGAUAAUUUCUCAAAAAUAAAAUAGGAUAAGUCGAGUUUUAACUUAAUUAUUUAAGUCUUAGAGUUUGUUUUAUGCUUUCAAAGUUAAUAAUCUAUUGAAGCCCUCUUUGAUUUCAAACUUAUUUCUUCCAUUUCAAGCUUUACACACACUGUGCACAUUAGAUCCCGGAUAUAUGAUGUAAAACUUUCCCACCUUCUAAGCUUAGGAAAAUUUUGACUUGGUUCAUUACUUAACCUCUCUUAAAUAGUGUUGGGACACCUCAUAAAGACCAAUGAGUCUUUGAAAAAAAAAAAAAAAAAAAGAAUAAGCUUCUAUUCUUUCCUUGAAACCUAAGCAUGAUCCGAAGGGGUGGCGAAAGCCUUUAAAACCCGAUGCCCUAAACCUUGAUUGGUUGGGAGUCAUCGAUCCUCUGCUUGCUACAUAGGUGAAUUGGUUAAGAUUAGUGAGUAAAAAGAAUUGUGAAUAAGAAGGUGCGUUCCUAACCUAUUAAGAGUUGGAUAAUUUUGCCAAUGUUCGAGAAAAGCUUAGGUUGGGAGGAGAGGAUAGUUGUACAUACUAUAUCCGGAAGCUAAUCUCAUUAACACUUAGCUUAUUAUGGAAGAGUUUGAUUUGGAACCUUGAGAGUAGAGAUUCUUUUGAUACUUAAUUGCAUAAUCUCCACUCUUUGUACUUUUUGUUUAAGUUUUAGCUUUGACAACUCCUAUUGCAUUUUGAAUCUUCAUAUCUUUAGUUCACCAUGUGAGAUGUGUUUUGAUAUCAAUCAUGCCACUCAAUUAUUUUUUGGAAUGAUUUGCAUGACCUCUUUUAUGUAUAUUAUUACGUUUGCUUAGUUUUUCUCUCCUUAAUUGCUAAGGGACUAGCAAUAUGUCGGUUGGGGGGAGUGAUUACUACUCAAAACAUGCUAUUUUGUAGCUUGUUAUCAGCUCUUUUAAGCACCCUUGAGUAGUAAUUAUUACCUUUUAACUCAAUUAACAUGUUAGGGACCCUUGCAAUCGUUUCUAAUCAAUUUGUGUUAAGUUUUGGUGUUUUUUGAUAGCUUUAUACUCACCAAAGCAAUUUAAGAAUGAGGGAGAGCUAUAUAUAAUUCAUGGCAAAGCUUUUGGAAGCUCAAAAUUAUGAAGAAACCAAGCUUUGGAGCCUCAUAAUCCUUUGCCUUAGUCGUUCAAAGUAUGCAAGGAGAGAACAAUGGAGAAGAGGAAAACAGGGUGAUGAAAACAGGGGACACAGCUGCAGUCUUUCAUUGCACUUUUUGAUCACUUCCCGAAGUCCAUUUUCCACAUUCUAUAUACCAUUUCAAAGCUUAGAAAGUCAAGAAUCCAACGAUUCAAACCAUGUACAAUUUGGAGCUGAAAUGAGGAAGAUAUGGCCUUCGGAAGACAACUGCAUCAAGCUGAGGGACAAUUUCGCACGAUGGAAAUCAAGGUGCGAAUUCCUCAGUCUAAAGUGUGGGAAUUUCGCACACCUGAAACCAACGUGCGAAAAUUGGAUAUUUUUGCCGACUCUUUUUCUUCUGAUAUUUUUUGUGUCUAAAUUUCCAUUUUCUCCUUGUAUUCAGCCACUCAUGUAAUUCCUUAGCUAGGAAGUAUCCAAGGAAGGGCAAAAUUACCUUCCUAUAUAAAUUCUCUUGUAAUCACUGAAAAAUCAUCUUUUCGGGGAGCUUUCUCCAGGAGACCAACUAUUGUAAAUUUGUUACUUAGAAAAAUACAGAGAUCUCUUUUGCUUUCUUUUUCUCUCUACUAUUUUCUAUUUUCUUGGAAGCCAAACACCCUCUGAGGAUGUUUUCCCAGAGGAUGAGAGGCUAAACCAAUAGUUUCUUGGAGUAAAGGAAGCUAGGUGAAAAGUCCAGAUUAAAAGGUGGAAAGUUUCCGUGCAUUAAAUUCAGGUAGUUGGAGUCCAUAAAUGGCUUCUAAAUUCAAAGUUUUGCUUUAAAUCUCUGUGGAUGCUUAUUACUAGAUCCAUAUCAGUCCAUUAGUUAUCAUAUACGAGCCAUUGGAAAGUGAUUCAAGGUGAUAGUCCAUAGUGUCUUAAGCCAUUAAUGGACCUUGACUACCAUCUCUAUUGACUUAUAUGGAUUAAAUUUUCAUUGUCAAACCUAUACCGGUUUGGGAAAUAACUAUAGGUAAAAUCCCCAAUGCGAGGAGAAAAAUUCGGAAUUUUCCACUUUGCAUCCUGAACUUGAACCUAGCAACCUUUAGCUCCGGGAGACUUUCUUUCUUCCACUUUUUAUAUAGUCUAUGUGAGUUUAGUUUUAAUCACCACUUUCAAAACAAUUUUAUUCUCUUUUAAAUUUCAAGUUUGUGCUAAAGGAAAUCAUCAGAAUCAAUUUCUAAUUUAGAGUCUGUCACUGAUAGAGUGAAAACCCAUCCCUGAGUUCGACCCUAGAACUGCUAUACUAUAGUAGCUUUGCUACGCCAGUAUAAGGUCAUAGGAUUUAUAAAUAUUUUUGAUUAAAAGACCCGGCUGGGCAUCGAAUCAAACAUCUAUGUAGUCCAUCAGCUUUAGUUUUAGUGGGUCGUGGGCCAUAUGGUGCACCAGUUGGACAAUGCAAGACCUCCGUUCUGUUUGAUGAGUCUAAACCUCUAAAAAGCCUCAAAUGUAACUAUUGUUCUAUGGCUCACAAACACUGGACAAUGCAUAACGUGUUGUGUUCCUCUGGAACAUUCUAGGUUAUUCCAUUUUUUACAUUUUUCCUUUUCGUUUUGUAGACCUUGACCUAGUUACAUGAUGCAUGCAUAGUUAAUGCUACUUUUGGUCCUAUUGUCUUUCUAUGUGGUUGUAGACUUUUGUAAUAAGGCUUUAUAAGCUCUAUAGGCUUGGGGCUCAUAGAAACUGAUAUCAUGAGAUUAAUUUAGGAUCCACUCUCUCAGAAUCUCUCUUGCUCUUUGUGUUAGCUGUAAGUUCAUGACUAUUUCAGAUUCUAUUAAAAUUUCUAUUAGUUAUCUUGAUUUUAUCAAAAUCAUGAGCUUUUGUUUUCUACUUGAAUUCCUAAAUUUUCUUUUUGAAGAUUUUUCUUGUCUUAUCCCACUCCACCCAACUUUUCCUUUCUCGUUCUUUUGAUUAGUAUCUGAAAUAAUUCUUAUUUCGUUGAUCAAUGUAUAUUCUUGCAACAAAUGAAUUAAAAAUUUAAUUUGUGCCCAAUUAGUUUGGUGUAAAUUUCAUCCACAUUUAUCUCAUGUAAUUUUAAUUGGAAAUAUUUGGUGUUUAUGGAAUAAACAGGAAGCUUGAAAUUGCUAAUCAUUGGCAUUAAAUUGAAGCAGGUUUAGAAAUGAAAGUUCUGGAUCAGGAGAGAAUGGAUGAGAAGGAGAAUUGCGGACAGAAGAAAAUAAUGUCUCCUUGUUUGGCUCUGAAGAAAUGCUUGGAGGAGAAAAGGGUGACUACUCUAAAAGUGAGCCACAGUUAGAAGCAUUUUGGUAUUCUUCAGAGUUUCCUCGUAAAUUAUAAACAAUUGUUAGGCCUGGUGCCACAUGUGAUGUUUAAAAAGUUGUUCAUUAGAUGAAUGGAACCCAUCUUUAGGCAUGCUUUUUACUGAAUAAAAUAUAUGUUUGAAUAAUAAUUUGCCAUGCUUAACAUAUAAUCUUCUUUUGAAUUCUAGUUGUAAAGUUGGAAUUAACUUCGAAUAGCUUCACAUUAAUGGACAUAUUGCUGUUUUUUUAAUUUGCUUGUAUUGUUACAAAAGUAUAAGGAACAAAUUGAUACUUCAGUUUUUCCUUAUUUUACUAACCAAAAGAUUGCAAACAUGAUUAACCUAUGCAUGAGCAGACAUUCAGUAGUGGUUGUAUGGAAUUUAUGUCUGUGUACAAGACAUUUACACUAAGUGUACAAGGUACCUGUGCUUAACGUACAAGGGUGUACAAAGGUACCUAUGUUGAAGUAUUUGCAAUGUUUUAAAAUCAUUUCCAUUUUGAAAGGAUGAGGAACAUUCCCUCACACACAUUCCUUGAUCAUGCACUCAUCCCGUUCAAUUUUAUUACUUCAUACAUGUUGAUUGGAUGACCAACCACAAUAAUGAUGAAUAAGAACCUAUACUGGGUUUCACUUCCCCCUUUUCUCUUCCCCAUUUUCCCUUAGGCAUCACAUUGGAACAUGGUAGCUCACCCAUAUGCACGCUUUUAGUUUUAGGUAUGUCAAAUUUUUACCAUUGUAUAAGACAUUUACACUAAGUGUACAAUACAAAUGUGCUAAUUAUACAAGUGUGUACAAUGCUACCUAUGUUGAAGGAUUUCAAAUGGUUUUGAAUAAAUUGCUUGCUCAUUUUAUUUUUCUAAGGGUGACAUUCUUCAUAGACAUUCCUUAUUUCCAUUUCUACACAUUCAUUGGAUGAGAUAGUGUGCUUAUGAUGAAUAGAAACCUCAAUUUGGUGUCAUUUUUACCCUUUUCAGUGAGCCAUGACAUUGGAACGUGGUUAACCUGGCCAUAUGCACUAGUUCUAUUGUAUUUAGGUGGAAUUUCUGCAACUGUACAAUGCAUUUACACUAAGUGUACAAGGCCAAUGUACUAAAAGUACAAGGGUGUACAAGGGUUUCUAUCUUACUUUUUCCAAUUGUGGGGAACAAUCCUCAGACAUGUUGCUUGAUAACACUCAUUGCAUGCAUUUUAUUUGAUGUCUACCAUGUUCAUUCAUCCUAUUAGCUUCCCUAGUAAUGAUGAAUAUGAACCAAAAUUAGGGUAAACUUUUAGGUCAUUUUCCCUAGUCCAUAGUAAUGGAAACAUUGGUUACCCACCCAUAUUCACUUGAAAAUAUGUACCUAUUAGAGAUUUGGUGAUUGGACAAGGCAUUUACACUAAGUGUACAAAGAAAAUGUGCUAACUGUACAAGUGUGUACAAGGGUGCCUAUCUUGAAGGAUUUGAAAUGCUUUUGAAAAAAUUGCUUGCUCAUUUAUUUUUUCUAAGGAGGACAUUCCUCAUUUCCCUUUGUACACAUUCAUUGGAUGAGAUAGCGCGCUUAUGAUGAAUACGAACCUCGAUUUGGUGUCAUUUUUCCCCAACUUAGUGAGCCAUGACAUUGGAUAAUGGUUAACCCAGCCAUAUGCACUAGUUAUGUUGUAUCUAGGUCGAAUUUCUGCAACUGUACAAGGCAUUUACACUAAGUGUACAAGGCCAAUGUACUAAAAGUACAAGGGUGUCUAUCUUACUUUUCCAAACGUGGGGAACACUCCUCACACAUGUUGCUUGAUAACACACGCAUUGCAUGCAAUUUAAUUGAUGUCUACCAUGUUCAUUCAUCCUAUUAGCUUCCCUAGUAAUGAUGAAUAUGAACCGAAAUUAGGGUAAACUUUUGUGUCAUUUUCCCUAGUCCAUGGUAAUGGAAACAUUGGUUACCCACCCAUAUUCACUUGAAAAUAUGUACCUAUUAGAGAUUUGGUGACUGGACAAGGCAUUUACACUAAGUGUACAAAGCAAAUGUGCUAACUGUACAAGUGUGUACAAGGGUGCCUAUCUUGAAGGAUUUGAAAUGCUUUUGAAAAAAUUGCUUGCUCAUUUAUUUUUUCUAAGGGGGACAUUCCUCAUUUCCCUUUGUACACAUUCAUUGGAUGAGAUAGCGCGCUUAUGAUGAAUACGAACCUCGGUUUGGUGUCAUUUUUCCUUAACUUAGUGAGCCAUGACAUUGGAACGUGGUUAACCCAGCCAUAUGCACUAGUUAUGUUGUAUCUAGGUCGUAUUUCUCCAACUGUACAAGGCAUUUACACUAAGUGUACAAGGCCAAUGUACUAAAAGUACAAGGGUGUACAAGGGUGUCUAUCUUACUUUUUCCAAACGUGGGGAACACUCCUCACACAUGUUGCUUGAUAACACACGCAUUGCAUGCAAUUUAAUUGAUGUCUACCAUGUUCAUUCAUCCUAUUAGCUUUCCUAGUAAUGAUGAAUAUGAACCCAAAAUUAGGGUAAACUUUUGUGUCAUUUUCCCUAGUCCAUGGUAAUGGAAACAUUGGUUACCCACCCAUAUUCACUUGAAAAUAUGUACCUAUUAGAGAUUUGGUGACUGGACAAGGCAUUUACACUAAGUGUACAAAGCAAAUGUGCUAACUGUACAAGUGUGUACAAGGGUGCCUAUCUUGAAGGAUUUGAAAUGCUUUUGAAAAAAUUGCUUGCUCAUUUAUUUUUUCUAAGGGGGACAUUCCUCAUUUCCCUUUGUACACAUUCAUUGGAUGAGAUAGCGCGCUUAUGAUGAAUACGAACCUCGAUUUGGUGUCAUUUUUCCUUAGCUUAGUGAGCCAUGACAUUGGAACGUGGUUAACCCAGCCAUAUGCACUAGUUAUGUUGUAUCUAGGUCGUAUUUCUCCAACUGUACAAGGCAUUUACACUAAGUGUACAAGGCCAAUGUACUAAAAGUACAAGGGUGUACAAGGGUGUCUAUCUUACUUUUUCCAAACGUGGGGAACACUCCUCACACAUGUUGCUUGAUAACACACGCAUUGCAUGCAAUUUAAUUGAUGUCUACCAUGUUCAUUCAUCCUAUUAGCUUUCCUAGUAAUGAUGAAUAUGAACCGAAAUUAGGGUAAACUUUUGUGUCAUUUUCCCUAGUCCAUGGUAAUGGAAACAUUGGUUACCCACCCAUAUUCACUUGAAAAUAUGUACCUAUUAGAGAUUUGGUGACUGGACAAGGCAUUUACACUAAGUGUACAAAGCAAAUGUGCUAACUAUACAAGUGUGUACAAGGGUGCCUAUCUUGAAGGAUUUGAAAUGCUUUUGAAAAAAUUGCUUGCUCAUUUAUUUUUUCUAAGGGGGACAUUCCUCAUUUCCCUUUGUACACAUUCAUUGGAUGAGAUAGUGCACUUAUGAUGAAUACGAACCUCGAUUUGGUGUCAUUUUUCCUUAACUCAGUGAGCCAUGACAUUGGAACGUGGUUAACCCAGCCAUAUGCACUAGUUAUGUUGUAUCUAGGUUGAAUUUCUGCAACUGUACAAGGCAUUUACACUAAGUGUACAAGGCCAAUGUACUAAAAGUACAAGGGUGUACAAGGGUGUCUAUCUUACUUUUUCCAAACGUGGGGACCACUCCUCACACAUGUUGCUUGAUAACACACGCAUUGCAUGCAAUUUAAUUGAUGUCUACCAUGUUCAUUCAUCCUAUUAGCUUUCCUAGUAAUGAUGAAUAUGAACCGAAAUUAGGGUAAACUUUUGUGUCAUUUUCCCUAGUCCAUGGUAAUGGAAACAUUGGUUACCCACCCAUAUUCACUUGAAAAUAUGUACCUAUUAGAGAUUUGGUGACUGGACAAGACAUUUACACUAAGUGUACAAAGCAAAUGUGCUAACUGUACAAGUGUGUACAAGGGUGCCUAUCUUGAAGGAUUUGAAAUGCUUUUGAAAAAAUUGCUUGCUCAUUUAUUUUUUCUAAGGGGGACAUUCCUCAUUUCCCUUUGUACACAUUCAUUGGAUGAGAUAGUGCACUUAUGAUGAAUACGAACCUCGAUUUGGUGUCAUUUUUCCUUAACUCAGUGAGCCAUGACAUUGGAACGUGGUUAACCCAACCAUAUGCACUAGUUAUGUUGUAUCUAGGUCGAAUUUCUGCAACCGUACAAGGCAUUUACACUAAGUGUAUAAGGCCAAUGUACUAAAAGUACAAGGGUGUACAAGGGUGUACAAGGGUGUCUAUCUUACUUUUUCCAAAUGUGGGGAACAACAACACCCAACAUACGAACCCAGAGGACUAUACAAAAUUCAUUGUGCUGAAACUUAUGGAAGAACUCACAAAACAUCAUUAUGGGGUUGAGCUGCUUCAGUUCAGGAAUCCCAACAAGAGAGACAUCUUUCUUUGUAUGACAAACACGUGCUUCAAUAAUUGCAAUAGUUGUAAGUUAGGAAUUAUAGAGGUAACUUGCCUAUAAUCUAACGAGAAUUGACUUGAUAGAUUAGCUUUUUAAGCAAGUACUUAGUGUUGAAGAAUGUGUUUUGUGCUUGAACGGUGUCAUUGCCAUUAGUCGAAAAUUUUGGGAUGAUGAUCGCCCUUUUUCGAUGUGCCGGAUGAUUACUUUUAAGGUGUGGAACUACUGCAUUCUGAGAAUGGUUAAUAAUAAUUUUUAAAAUCAUAUAUAAUAACCUCCAAAAUAAAGACUAAUAAUUUUCAAGUGAUUAUGGAUUAUUCUUGAGUUUCCCUUUUGUCUAGUCUGAACUUGCUAGUUCCCAAUACUAAAGUAGGAGUCCAUUGAUAAUUUAAACACGAAUAUUGACUAUAAGUCUCUAACAAACCUUAUUCUUAUAAUCAAUCAAGCCAAUAUCCACCCAACUAACCCAAGGGCAAAGUGGGUUCUUAUUACCAAGCCAUGAGCAAUUUUGCCCACCAAAAAACCUAGGACAAAAAAAGAAAAAAGCCACACCAAAAAAAAAACUAUAUAUAUAUAUAUAUGAAAAAAAAAAAGGUCUCAAACCACAUGGCAUCCACAUGAUUGAGAAACACCAAUUUAGAAUUUAUUUUGAUAGGGGAUUUACUAUAUAGAAUAUUUCUUGAAAACAAGUUAUAAAAAGUUCAAAACCCCCAUGAACAUGUAGUCUGAUGAUGUAUAAGGCAUAAGAGUAGAGAAACGAAAGGAAUGGAUAUUCAUGGCGUUUUUUCUAGUGCAAUUUUCUAAAACAAUAAUGGCGUAUUUUCUUAUGAUUGUAGACAGUUGAUGGAUGAGAUCAAUUAGUCAUAAUUCUACCCUUAUUUGCAAGAUCAUUCUUCGCCGAGAUCCUUUUGCUUUCCCUUUGGGGCUUUGGAUUCCUGAAUUGUAAUCCUUUUCCUUCUCUCUUCCAAUUAAGGAAUGCAAGCACGCAACCUGGUUUCACCUACACAUAUUGCCCUCUUCUAUAGAGCCACCAUCGAAGCCCUUAUGAACUAAACAGAGAUACCCAGUUUAAUUUAAGAACUUUGUCAAAUGAAGGAAGUAAUUACUCUGGCAGAAAUAUCAACUGAUUUAAUUUCUGACAGUCGUACAUCAUCCUCCAUAGCAUUACAUCUACUAAAAGGGUUUCUAUUCUAGUUUCACAUGUAGAAUUGCAUUUAUAAUUCAUACACUACAUUCCAAAUUUAACCAAACAAAAGCUAAAACAAAAGGCCUAAGCUAGAGCCAUUUGCAUUUCGACACCCAGAUUGCCUAAGCCUGGCUUGAGGCUGUGUACACCCAAGGUUGCCAGGAUUGAUGAUGAGCCCCUGAUGAAGCCAAGGUUUCCAUCUUCACCAUUGGAACAACCAGCAGCAAGUGAUCAGAUAUUCAAUGGCAAAUCGAGUGGGGCUAUCCUAAGGGUGGUCACCUUUUGAUAGAAUCAUUAAUCCCUUCAAUUGUUGUGCUAUUGAGAAGCUGCAUGCCCUCUUCACUCAUCUGCUGAACUUCAGAAGGCGACAAAAUUCUAAUGCAGCGGACACAACCAACAAACUCACUGGCAGAGGAACAUUGAUAAGCAUUAGAAAUAUGUCUAACUACAGAAUCGAAUCCAUAGUGCUAGUUGUUCCAAAUGAAAACAGAAACUACUAAAAACAUAAGCUGUGAAAGCAAGAUAUAGCAAGAAAGUGAACUAUAAACAGUCCCCACCAGAAUGCCAGCAAAAUGAUCCUAAAAAUGUAGGUAUAUACUGACUUUAUUUCUACUUAAUUUUACUAUGAUAAUGUAUUGGUCUAGUUACUAUAAUGGUAUAGUGGGGGUUCAGUAGAUCUGGGUUCUAUCAGUGUAUGCAUGCACAAAACAACAGAACAGAACUUACUUCUGAGGAUCAUCCCCAACAAGAAGUACAUCAUUCUCAUAAUCCACAUACACCAUUUUCCAACUUGAGCCUUUCUGGUCGUUGAGCACACCUUCAAGUCCAAACAUGCAUUUAAUUGCCUAGCAUAAUUCUUCAUAAUUCUUAAAACUUGCAACAUCAAUUGACCUCCUAACUGAUCCCAUUUUUUUAACCUGCCAUAGCCAAAAAUGCCAUCAAAACCAGAACUCCCUGUUUUCUAAUAAAAAAAUGCACCAAAAAAGAAUGUCCUUAUUGAAUGAUGCAAGGCAGAAACAUAUGAUCAAAAACAGUUCGUUGGCAAACAUAGAAAAGUCAAUGUGUAGCGAAAUGGAGUUUGCAGUGACAUUAUGGCAGUAACAAUAUGUUAAAACUAAACUAGGCACACACUGGAUCAAGGAAGCAUGUAGGAGUGUUGUUGACUUGUUUCAAUAUACUUCAGGUGGUAAUGAUGGGCAUGCCUCAAUCUUUUUGAUGAAAAAGAGACAAUGUAGUCAUUUAAAGAUAUACAAAUUGUUAGUUUAAAAAAAAUUUGUAUCAACAGAAAUAAUACAUGGUACUGUAAAACAUACCACAAGGUGAGUCUACCACAAACCAGUAUGCAUGUGGCACACAUACAGAGACCAGGAAUCAAUAAUAAGUUAAUGUUUAUAUGGAAAUGAGCUCUCAAAUACUACUCUAUCAUGAGACAUUACAUCUAUGAAUUUACUUGACACAUUGUUCUUAACACAAAAAUUUUCAUGUUUUAAACAAGAAACAAAAUUUGUCGAUGCUAAAUAUACUGAUCACUUCCAAUUAGGCAAGAAAAGUUUUAACCUCAGAUACUAAGUCACACCAAAGCUUAUGGGGAUCCCAAUCCAUUUAUAUGGAGCCAGGAUUGUGGCUCUACAAUGAUUGGUCAAUGGUUAUUUAGCUGAUGAUUCCUAUACAAUAUCAUAAAUUAAAAAGACCUACAGGAGAAACAAAUUAGAACAAGUGAUUUAGAGUUAUUCAGUAUUGGGGCAGAUUUAGUCCAGCGCCACCCAGAAACCAUGCUUGCACUUUUAACCAACAAAAUAAUUUAUUAUAGGACAAAAUAAGGAGAGUUGAUUUCUAAAGUAGGAUUGAUAAGUUACCUUCUCAUUUACCAAUUCAGUGAUGAUAGAUGCACAUUGCUGCAAUGACUUAAUCCUUGUUAUGCAGUGAGUUGAUGGUCGCUCUAAAGCAUCUCCUAUAUCCAUGGAUCCUUGUGAAGUCUCAGAAGGUGCCGAGCUAUGACUUUCCAAGCUUCUAGUAUAACAUGUGUUAGUGAUUCCUACACCAGCAAUUGGCAUUGGUGCACUUGAUUUGGUCUUCAUAUUUACAGAUGUUAGAGGGGCACUCCCUAAUUUGCAUUGUGAAUGACUUGGCUUGGAAGCAAUAGCCGAGGAAGAUGACACAUCCAUUGGGGGUCCAGAUACAAAAACAUAAUCCUAAUCAACCAACUCCUCCUAUGAAUCCACAACUGUGGAAUCCAUACAAAUAAGAUAAUAAAAAAUAACAUAAAUUUUAGCAACACGUUUUUUUAGAUAAUAGAAUAUUAAAAUGAGCAAUGAAAUAUUAUUGAAAACUUUGGUACCUCUUGAACAACUUCUCAUUGGUCUUUGUUCCAUGGAUUUUAGAGGUUCUUUGACAUUCUCAUCUGAAGGCCUAAGACUGUCAAUCCUAAAGCUAGUAAUUUCUGGUUUAUAUGAUGCACUGCUGUAUUUAGAAGCAAGAUCCAUGUUGUUGGGAGUGUUAAAUAUUGUUUCCCUUAUAUCAACUUUUUUAUCAGGAGAAAAUCCAUAGGUAGACUUCAUUGAGGACCUCUUCCUCAAAAAUGAUGGGCUCCCUUCAGCACCACUAGAAUCAUCAUCUAGAGGAAAAGACAUACAAUCCUCUUGAGAACUUGCCUCUGUCUUUCUCACAGAAUUGCAUUCAGACAAAGGAAACCCGUCAAUUAUUCUUGAUGAUCUCCUACUAUUGCAUGGCACGAAGGAUUUUAACAUGAGUAAAGAAUGAAAAUAUCAUAUGCCAAGAUCGAGAAGAGUAAAAAAAUUUCUCCUUUACCUUAACGCUUCAUUUGGUUGCUUUUGAGAAAGGAAUGGGUGGUUAAAAAACUCUUCAAAUGUUAGUCGUUCCACUGCAUAUACAAGGACAUAGAAGGAUCAAAGAGCUAUUAAACCUCAAUAAGCCUUUAGUAUUAGAACUACAGUGAUUUCUUUUUGGCACAAUCAGAUAUCAUAUAUGUUUCACUUUUGUAUCAUCUUUAGCUGUUUUAGGCUUUUCACUUGGUGCCAUUAAGAAUUCCUAGCAACAAAUAGGUUUCCCCAAUAAAACACACACACACACACACACACACACACACACACACAUAUAUAUAUAUAUAUAAAUGAUGCCAGUUUCGAGCUAAAUUAUGUGAAAUACCAGGAUUGCGGCGCAACAAUUUCUGACACAAAUCUUUGCAGUCAGCACUCAAAUCAUUAUUAUCAGGAGGGAAAUGCAAUUCACUAUAUUUAACAAUGUUUUGGAGCAACUGGUCAAGAAACAAGACAAAAAGUUAAUCAAGGAAAAGUUAAGGGCACAAAGAAAGACAAAUUAAACAUAGCUAGAGAAUUAUUACUACUUAAAUUAAACACAAGAAGAAUCAAUAAUUAAACCAAGUUGAAAACCCAACCACUACAAAUGAUUAUUGCAGAUGUGCUAAAAAAAAGAAAAAGAAAAAAUACUUGUAUAUGAUUGUUUCCUGUAAAUGGUGUUCUUCCAGUCACAAGUUGAAAGAGAAUGGCACCAACACUCUAGAGAUCUGCCUGCAUAUUUGGUUCAAGUUAAUCAGAGAAGGUUAUGCAAGAAAAUAGAUGGAUUCUUACAGAUGAAGAAAGUAAAUAUCACCUUUGCGUCAUAUUUCUGAAGUUGCAUUAUCUUUGGCGCCAUGUACAGUGGUGAACCACACAAUGUUUCUACAAGACCUCUAGGUUGUAGAGAUCUGCCAAAAAAGAAUUGGAACAUAUAAACUUAUUGAAAGGACCUUAACUAUAUAGCCCAUUUAGUUGUACUAGAAACUAGAAACGUUAAACAAAAGGAUUUUUAAAAUGAAAGAGAAUAGGUUUCAUUUCAAUGAAUAUUUACACCAUUUGAAAUCAGGAGACUCAUGAGAAAGUUCAGUUUGUUGAAUCAUUUUGGAAUACAAACAGAGGAAAACUUGUUAAAACUUUGUCAUGUAAUGUUAAUAUCACAACUUGGUUUUGCUAAAAGUUAGACCAUCAAGUGUUCUCAAAAAAUAAAAAUAAACAAAAAAAAUAAAAUAAAAAAGAAUGUAUUAAAAGAAAGAAUCUUAUAGGCUUGCUAAAAAAGAUUUGAAAAGUAAUCACCAUCAAAACCCACAUACAAAAUGUAAAAGAUAAUAUGAAUUUUACCUUGCAAAUCUAAAAUCAGCAAUCUUCAGUACUAAAUUGUUGUCAUUUGUGGAGAGAAGAAGAUUUUGUUCCAAGUAAUACAUAUGCCAAAUGGAAUUAGAUCUUAUGCAAUGCCUCUUUUGCACAGGAUAUACAACAUAAAGAAUACCCGUCACUAAAAUUUCCAUAGUAUUUGCAGAGGAUAAAAAUUAUGAUGGGCAUGCCCUAUAGAGAAGUUAAAAUCAUGACAAAGUCAGAAACAAAACAAGAGCCAAUAUAUAUAUUAAUAACUUUUUUAUUAAAAAUGAAAAGUAGACAAGAAAAAAGCAUGCUUGGGAUUGUAGAAAAUGGUAAAUGGGCUUUGGUUUGCCGCAGCAUGAGCUGUAGCUGCAAGAACUCCAAUAUGCAGGCUAUCAGUAGACAGAACUGAUGAUGACAAUGAUGUUUGCUAACGGUUUGCACGCCUCACACCAAACAAUAGCUGUGAUUUCUCAUCUCUUGUGAUGACAAUGAAUACAAGAUAACGAGGUUAGCUAAAAUAUAUUUUGUAGAAUGCAAUAUAUUAUUAAACAAGCAUUAAACCUGUGGCUAUGAAACAGACUUGAGUGAUUGUCCAAUAUGGAUAUAUCAUACAAGGGUCAAAACUUUCAGAUGUCCUAAGAGUUUCUUUCUACAGUUUCAAGGAUGACAAACGACAUUAGAAACUUUUACAAUAUUGGCACUGGUUGUCACCAAUCUCAUACACAAGAUGUUAAAAACAGAAUGAGGGAAAAAGAAAAAGAAAACCUAAUUGUUGCAUGCCUACAUAAUCAGAACAUCAAACUUGAAUUCUGGUUUCACUAAAACUUGGAUGCAUAAUAAUCAGUCAACUAAAAUGAAGCCAUUAUUUGACGUCUACCUAGACCACAUCUAUGUGGAACCUAAUCAUACUUGAGCUAGAAAUAACUUUUUAUGAAAAUUUCCAAUGAAUGUUAUAUAAUACCUAGUUUAUGAUCAUCUUCAAACUUAGGCAUGACGUGUCAUGAUUAUCAAGAAAUAAAGGUUCCCUCACCAUCAACAAUUUGCUAUCAUUCAAGUUUAAAUACACUUAUGUUAUUAUUCAAAGCCAAAUAUCAAUGAUUAGGGUCAAGAAAGGGGAAUAUCUCAUCAUGAUUAACAAAAAUAUUUACCUCGAUGUUGCCUACAUCCCACAUUGGUUGCCUGCAACUAUUUUGAUCAUCUAACAUAUCUCCAGCCUGCUUGUUACAAUGAAAAGGUGAUAAAUCACUGGUUUUUGUUCUCUAUCUUUCAGAACUGUUGGUAAAUGAAUGUUGCAUGUCAUCUAGUUUUCCUCUUUCCUUGCUAGAGCUGCCUUUAGAGUACCAAUCUGAAAUAAUAGUUCAAAGUUUUCAGAAUAAUAAAUAAGAAUUGAGAAGAAUGAUAAAUAAUGAGAGCAUUCAGAACCUGUUCUUUCAGCUCUUUCACAUCUGCACUAUCCUUGUUUACACGAGCAGCACCAAGUUCUACCGUGGCAAAUCGCUCUGCAAAUUUAACUAUGCUAAUUGUUUCUCCAUCAGCAUCCGGUUCAGGGCUAAUGUGAACAAACAUUAGUGUCUUGGCUUGCCCCUCUAAAGAGAAUUACAAUCCAAAAGCCAUAUUAUAAUUUAAAAAAUAAAAUGAAAGAAAACAGAAUCAAAUAUGAGGUUCAUACUCUGAAAAUGCAUUAGUUUAUUCUUACCAAGUGAGUCUUGAAGAAGUUUUGUUACUUUACUAUUCUUGUAAGGGACAUGUGGACUCUUCUGGGCAAGGGCAGAGAUGACAUCCCCUAGAACAGAGAGAGAUCUGUUAAUAUGUUGUGCCUCCUUUAGUCUAUCUCCAUUGACCUUAGAUUUGUCUACUCUCUCACUGUCGGCCUGAUCAACAAGAUGCAUACAGCCACGAAGAAUAGUUCCUGACAUCAAGUCUCUUCCCUAAACAUGAACAGUCAGGCAUGUGCAAGUUGAUUGAAAAUCAAGUGAGCAAAACCAGCAGAGAUUACUAAAAGAGUAUUCCUAGAGAAAUAUAUAGAGGAAUAUGAUCAUACCUGUGAGAGCGACUACUAUGGUUUCAUAUGUUCACAAGUGUCAAAGAACCAAAGUUUUAAUUUCUAUGCAAUUUUGAAAAUUCAUUCUAAUAAUAUUUAAUUCUCCCUAUUUACUUACAAUGCAAUGAAAAUCAACUUAAGUAAAAAAACAAUCAAACUCCGACUAAUUCCAUAAUCCCAGUGUUCAUUUCCGAAUGUGGCACAAAAAAAAUAAAUUUAAAGAACUACAUUUGUCCACCAUAAAUUACAUACAAAUGUGCUAACUUUAUACAGCCUUAUCACAAAUUACAAUCCCCUUUAAUCUCUCCGGACAUAGUCUCGGUGUGCAUUCUGUGCUGAGAACAACAUACUCCCCAUAAUCUUCAACCUGUAAUGUUUCAAUUUCCCCUGCAUUCAUUCAAGUUGAUAGCAACAAAUCAGCAAAUUAAUUAAUUAGGCUUUUCUAACUAUUUUAACAUUAAUGAGAUAGUCAUAGAUAAUUCCUCCUACAUACCACAUCGAUUGAUUUGGAGAACCCUCUCAUUGACCACAACUCCAUGAAUUUCAUUACAAAAACUCUGCAAUCGUGCCUACGUCAAUAUAAUUACCAAAACGUUAUUAAGUGUGGAAUUAUAAAUAAGAGAUGAACUUAAAAAAAGUUGCAAUCCUAUACAAUAUCCCGGACUGCAAGGUCAACACUCACUCAUUAGGUUGGAGGGGUACAUCAGGUGUUAUGAAAUUGAAUGUCCUCAAAUCAUAAGGUGAUACCUCUUUUUUGUGGGCAGCCAACCACAGGACAACCUUGGCCUGAAACAUUUAUUAAUGCAACAAGUGAAAUCUAUAUGGGAAGACAUACCUAACAAAUUAUUAGUUGUUACUUUACCAGAUUUUGUUGUACUCCACUCAACAUUGUCUUCUUCCUACCAGGACGAGAAUCUAGCAGUUGGAUUCUCCUAUUUGCUAGGUCAUAUACGUACAAUGUCCAAUGGUUCUUUAUGAGAACCGGUAAGAAGACCUGCACCAAUAGACUGCCAUUAAACAUACAUCUAAAUAUUGUACCUUCAUGAAAUAAAAAUACAAAUCCAAGCAUUAAACAUAGGAAUCCACCUCAUUAACAUUGACAUAUGGAAUAUCCAUCUGAUACACAUGUGGUUCAAAGCGUCCUAUAACUACCUCCCUCAGUAAGUGUUUUGCCUGGAAGUGGAUUACCAUUUCUUGCAUGUCAAAUAGGGGAUAACAUCAGGUUUGUCAUUGUAGGUGAUGCCUAAUUCAAGACAUAAAAUAAAUUUAAGCAAGGAUUUAAUGGAAUAGUCAUCAUUACAGCUAUGUAGGGGGAUAGAAAUAGUUUCAACUUCGGUUCAUGUUCAUACUGCAGCAAUCUAUAGUAGGCAUCGACGACCUGAUUUCAUAUAUCAUAAAAGUGUAAGGAACUAAUUAUAUUAGAACCACACUUUCAUUUUCAAACUUAAAAUAAUGCAUAAAGAGGGAUAAGAAGUGAUAUGCACGUCGUUCCCUAUCCAGCCAUUCCCUUCGAAGCAGCCUAAAUUGCCUCUAGUUAGGAUAGUGUCAUGCAUAGACACUAGUUCCUCAUUGUUACAAAAACAUACAAUUUAGUUUUUGUGUUUUCACUAUCAUACAAUGAGAGGAGUGUCACUAAAGUAUGUUAUCUAGCAUCCAAAUCCUCUCCAAAUACCAGUGCAACUGCUUGUUUUAAGUCGAUUAUGAUGGCAGAUUGUUUGGUUUGUGGUUGGGAUACAUAUGGGGACAACAGGUUUGGAGCCAUUUGACGCACUCGGCGUCUCCGGACGUUCCUAUUUGUGGGGACAACAUUACCUUCUGGUUGUUCUUCACCAUCUGCAAUACGAGAUUUAGAACUAGUCAGCAAAGGUAUACAUUAUGAUUGGGUACUUGGGUUGUUAACCAUAUGGGUGUUUGCAUAAAUUUUAUCACUUACCGCUUACUACAUUAAUGGGUACACUGGGCUGCAACUCAUACUCAGGGGCGACAACACGAUCUGGUGUGUCUAGCACAUGGUCUGCAACAUGCGAAGCCAUGUACUCAUCACCAAGAAAUGCAUGGUCAUCGGUUGUGGGAGUGUUGGCUGGUGCAUAACUAGAGUGACCACCCACAUCUGAAUUUACCCCACUAUGUCUUCGAGCCCCUAACUUAUGCAUAAGGCCACGCAUUAUUCUCAGCUGCUGCUGAAUGCCCCGUUGAUAUUGGUCGAUUGCUCGUUCUGCAUCAUGAUAUUGAUGCCAUAUUUCCUAUGACAUGAUAUUGAUGUCAAUCUUUGAGCACAAAAUGUGACAACAACAUAUUUCUUUGUAGUUAAGAAGUAAAAAUAAAUUACAAUGACAAUGAAAUGAACAUUUAUUAAGCUUUUAAAAAAUUAGCAACUUACAUUACUAUUUUCAGCAUCAACAUUUGUGUCAUGGUCCACAUUAGUCUCUGCCUCCAUAGUUCUCUCUACGGUUGGAGAUCUCUGGGACGCCUAUAAUUAGCACUGAAGAUUAGUACUUAAAUAAUGAGUGUUAUGCUGGUAAUGACAAUAUAUUUAUGCAUGCAUCACUUACAAAAUCAAUCUCAGCAUGUCCGAAUGCUCCAAACUCCUUUAUCUUAGCGACUAGUCGUCGCUUAAUCAAAUCAUCAGUCCAUGCCAAUGCUGGGGGCACUGUAAUGGGGACUUGGACUGAAGGAAUUUGGAAUUUAAUGACAUAAUGCAGCUGCAUAAUAAAUACAAACAUCAGUAGGAAAAUGUUACUAUGUUGUGCAAUAAAAUUAUAUAACAAAAUGGAAGACAAAGGCUGAAUAAGUUCACUACCUGUAGAAAUAAAACGCAACCAUGUAUCCAAGAGGUGUUAGACUGUUGGUAUCACCUAAUUCCCUCAACCAGUUGGUCAAGCACAAACUGGGCCCAAUUAACGUCAUUUCAGAAUCCAUCCUCAUGGAUGGUAUGCCACAAGUUAUGGCAACCAUUGAGCCUAGACGUGGGGGCCAACAAUGUGGCACAUGCAUAGUAAAUGAAUGCUCUACGGAACUCCUCGCCUACAGGUAAGUUCAAGAGUUUCUCCUCGCAUGCCCGAAUAGUCCCAAAUGGAUGCUCUAAUGAUGUAGAGGUCACUUACAAAAUCCGUCCUUCUGUUGGGAGGCCGAAAAUGAGGCCAACAUUGGUGGCUGUAACAGGAUAGUGUUUCUGGGCUGAGAACUCUAUCCGUCUAAAUCCAACAUUGAAAUUUUGGAUUAGAAAGAUACAGAUGUUGUGGCGCACCUAUGUGCAGUUUAAGCUUAAGAGACCUCCAAAUUGGAGGUCUCUUAUGGCUUGUAUUUUUUCCUUUAGUAACCAAUUGCAGAGUUUCUUAAAUCUUGCAGUUGAGCAUCGUGUAAACAUUGAUGUGCCCUGCAUGCAAUGUUUGACAACAUGGACAUGUUAGGAAUAACAACAUUUUUGCAAUUGGUAAUGCAAAAAAUAAGUGAAAAAGUAAAGUUGUCAUUUCUCAUAGUUACAAAGACUUGUCUGCUUGUAUUUGGAAAUAAUAUACAGCAGGGUAAGACAUGAGAUGGGGUUGGGUGCUAUUGAUAGUGAGAUAUCCUGUAAGAGGGAGGAUUGUAAAUUUAUGAAUAAGCCUAUAUAGAAUAGACAAUAAUAGUAAAAAUGUAUAGAAUAGACUAUAAAAGUACAAAAAUAAAUAUGAGAAUACUACAUGAUAUAGAAAAGAAAGAAAUCAAGUCAAUUUAUGGAAAUAAAUUGACUAAUUCUAUUAGAGAAAGAAACCAUCAACAAAUCAAUGAAUAAUCCUAUUUAAUUCCCAUUUAGAUUGUAAGACAACUUGAUAGAACAAAAAUCCUUGGUAAUGAAUUUGUGAUCUUCAACAACAACGAAUAAAUGGAGUAAACAGAAAAUGCUAUGGAAAAGCAGAUUUCUUUCAUUGCCUUAACAUGCUUACAAUAAAAUGCUUGAGAAGGUGGAAAUAAAAGCUCACAAACUCAAAGGCCUUGUCUUUGUAUUCCCUCGCACACACUGGGUUUUGUGUCAGGAAUCAUCUUUGCAAUAAUUCUAUUCCCCCAAGUGUUUUCCAUUAUACCGAACAACAUGGUGGCUGCUAAGGGCCUUGCAUUCAUGGAUGUGAGCAAGAAAAAAAACUCAAAGAGACCUCUUUGUUUUCCCUAUUCUUUUCAUUCUUUUGGCUAUUUAAAAGGGGUCUAACCUGCUCCUUUUGAUACUUCUGAUAGACACAAAAUCUAAAGGAACUGCUAGAGCAAGCACUUUGCUACUGCCAUUGAACAUGGACAAGGUUUGGAAUCCAAGUUUCUGUUGAGAGUAUUCCCACAUGGUAAUAACUAUCAUUGAAUAAUUAUUCACUAUCUUCUAAUACCAAGAAUCAUGUGUUUGACCAAAGUUCAUUCAUACCUAAGUUGUUAGCUGAGUGAGGAUUCAUGGGAAAAUAAAUGAAAACUAGGACUCUUAAUCUCAACUUGUGAAAGUUUUGAGGGCUGAAUCUGAUUCAGUGGGCAUAAUAAUCUAAAAUUUGUAGAAUAGAGGAAGUGGGCAUUUCGAAUUAGGUACUGAUACACUAUGAAAUGCUACUACAUAAUUUUUUGUAGAAUAGUAAACAAAGAGUAUCUUUACGCUUGAAAACAAGAAUAAAUAAAGUGAAUCCAUGAGUGUUGGAGAAUUAAAUGAAUGAAGAGGAGUUUGGAAACCAUAAACUCCAACUGGUAGAUGGCCAAUACAACAAGAACAUCAACUAAGGUAAGAAACAUAGAACAUAGUUUCAAGUAGAAGUUAUGACACUGCUUGUUACACUUGGAACUUCAACAACAGUUCUCCUUCAUUACCACAGUAGAGUAACUAGCAUUAAGUUAUGUGUUAUGCCAAUGCAUCAGUCUUCAAACCAAAACAUAGUUCACAACAUACACUUAUAAUAUCCUGCUUAAUUACAAGUUUCAUGUUUGCCUAAGAAAUGAAAAUUAUAAUAUCAGGCAAGACUCAACUAGAGUUUCAACAGCUUGGCUGCAUACCCAUUUACAGAUGCCAAAUUAUCAGAUAUUUGAGAAUAUUGUGAGGCUUUAAUUUCAAGACCUAAACUUCAAGAAUUACAAAAAUCUUUAUAGAAAGAGGACUUAAUUAUUUGGAAAAUAUUUACAACAACAAUAAUAAUCAUCAUCAUCAUGAAGAUUGAUGUUUCAGUUCUAAUGUUUCAGUCAGUUCAUGCACCAAAUCUUCUAUCAGUUUCACAUGGAGCUGAACUAUUCAUCCAAAUUCACAUUUGAUUGAGCAGGAUAUUGGUCCAACACAUUAAAAUCAUGCCCCAAAAGGAGAAUUUCUGCCUUAUCGCCCUAGAUUCCCAAUUAUUUAAUUGAAUUUUUUUUAGGUACAAGUCAAGAAAACUCCUGCAAGGGAUUACAAUCAUAUGUGCCAAAUUGUCACGGAGAGCACCAUUUCAUCUAUUUUAAAGGCUGGUUAUACAGUUGAGAGAAUUAGAGUGCGGUUGGAAAUGUUUUUUUCUCGAAGUGUAAUUAAAUAAAAAGUUUUCCUUCCUCGUAGAUUUAAAACAUAAAAUAUGACAUUUUUUAUCAAAUGGAAACCACUAUUUGGGGUAGGUAAGAAUAGUUUAGAGAUUGUAUGCAAUGAAAAUCAUGAAGUUAGCUCAAAAUGGGAAUAAAAUUUUCAUUCCAUUAUAGAGUAUUAAGUGCAAUCAAAUAUUGAAAUGAAUCUUUAUUAAGAUUUUCUGGAUACCAUUCCAUUCUCAGCAAAUGAACAGUCUUAGUAACUCUAAAGUAAGUGUUAAGUACCUAAAGGAGAACAAAAAUAAAAAAUAAAGGAAAAAAUUUUAAGAAAAUAAAUUGUAAACAUUUAUAUAUCUUCUUUUCCCUGAUUUUCUUAGCAAUCAAAGAAGAAAACAAUUUUAUAAAGUCAGAAACAAAAAAUAUGAAAUUAAUAAAAUUGUAAACAUUAUUUAGAGGUGGAAUGAGAAAAACUUAGAGAUGUUGAUGAAAUAAAAAUAAUGAAUUAAAUUAACAUAUAAUUGGAAUGAAAGGCUCAUUGCAGUUCAACCUAUUAAAGUGCAACAAAGAUUAGAAUGAAUAUUCAUUACCAUUCUAUAACUAGGAAACAAACACAAGAUGAACUGAAUGCCUCAAUCAACAUCAACUAUCCAUUACUUUGAUUUCCAGAAACUAGAAAUCCAAGAUUCACCCAGGAAAGUGUAAGAAGUGAUCUAAAGUAAAUAGAAAUCUUUGGUGUCAGUUAGAAGGUGAUGCUACUAGAUUAGCAGUAAUCACUAUAUCUGAGCAGUUCUUGACAAUGAACCGAAGUUUAGCAUAAAAAAUAACUCUUGGUCCGUAUAGAAAAUCAAAUUUCAUUUUUUCACUGAAAUAAGCCAAAUAAAGGCCAAAGAGGAAAAUAAACACAAUCAAAUUUCAUAUAUUUCGAGAUUAAAAAUUUGGGGAUAGAGACUCACUUCCUAGGGUUAUUUAUCAUUAGUAUCUGACAUGCAAUUCUGAUUCGAGUAUGGCAAGGAGUUCGGUGAGCGAGUUGGUUGUUCAUCAGCAAUCUAGUUGCUGACUCAACUCCUAAGGUUUUAUGCCUUUGGAAGAAGGGUUCAAUGGCCAUCACUACGUCUCUCAAAAUUGAGGGUUAAGAAGAGUGAAUAGAAGAAAAAUGUCAAACAAUUAGUAAGAAAACAAAAUCACAAGUCAUUUGAAGAUUCUCACCAGUGGGUUCUCAACAGUUUGAAGUAAGGAAGUGGCUCUGAGUGGGUUGUUGGCAGUUCGAAGUGAGCGGCAGAGGUAGUGGUUAUCUAGUAGCUCUAUUGAGCCAUUUAUAAUAGCAGCUCAUUUCUUCUCCUAAAUAUAAGAGUUGUUAUAUUUACAACCUAUUUCUUUCCUCAGUUAUAAGACCUUUUAUAGCAAUAGUGAUUCCUUUCCCUAGCAAUAAUGUUGGUUUGGUUGUGGAUUUUGCCCAAUAAAAACUAAGUCAUUAUAUCUUACAUUUCUUGUAGUGUAAUAUAGAUCAUUUAUAUAUAGAUGUAGGAAUUAGAUAAGUAAAUCCUUGUGGAGACCACCUAACUGCUAUUCAUGUUCACUAGUUCUUUUUUAGUAAAUUCACUUUUUAUUUUGAGUGCUAAGGACUAUGAUCAGUUAAAAAUCAAAGUAAAACCUGAAAUUGAAGUGUGAAAUUGAUUGUUCAAACAGAUUUCAAAAUUAAACCUUGAGCCAAGAGUUGUAAUUGGAAAUAGUAAUCAAAACAUUUGAAAUUAUCUUCUAAUUGUUGUGAUAAUUUCACUAAAAAACGAACCAAAAUUCAAAAAUUGGCAUAUUGCAUGUGUCUUCUAAAGGGGGACAACUUGUCCUCAUAAUCUUGCUUUACAAAAUGGGUUGAAUACCGGUGUAACAAAAAGCUAAUCAAGGGAUACUUAGAUUGCUUCAUAGUAAGACAUCAUAGCAACUUAAAAGUCAAACAAUUGUUUUCUUGGAUGUUGUUUGAUAGUUUAACAAACCAUAAGAAAGUUGUAAAAAAUAUAGUAGUUUUUUUUUCCCUCUUUUCUUUGUGUCAAGUUGUAAUUUAAGUGUAACCUAAGUAAAGAAAUGGGAAACUUAAAUUAUGUGGUGAAGCAUUACACUAGGUAAGGAAGUUCAUUUUGACUUAAAACUUUUAUAGGUUUUAUAAAAUAUGGUUUUAGGUGACACAACCGAACAUACUUUGAGUAUAUCCAUUAGCAUUAAUCCCAUCCCCAUCACCAUUCCUACCACAACACCUUUCUUUAUCCCUUCCUCUACCCUCAUCCCUCCUCCUAGACGACAUGGUUUUUGCCUAUCCCCACAGCUGUAUAGCGAAGACCAUUAGAUCCCUAAAGCAUAAUUUUAUAUGGUGUUAGUGAACCACAUUUUCCAUAUUACCAAAUUGUACACAAAUAUUACCCGACAACUUACAAAGCUGAUAGAAUAGUAUUGAAUAAAUAAACGUUGAAUUGUUAAAAUAUUAUAUUAGAGAACUUUCCAACAUAACUGAUACAUGGUAACUAUAAUAACGGAGAUGAAGAAAUCACUUAAAUUUCAUGCAUAAUAUAUAUAUAUACUAACUUAAAAGGUAUCUGGAAAUGAAAAUUUCAUAAAAUGAUUUUAGAUUAUAUAUAAACAAGGGAGUCAUUUGUACACACCAAUUCAAAUGUGCAAAAUAUCAGAAAAUGAAAUUUUACCCAUUUUGAUACCAACAUGCAUUCUAAUUUAUGUUCUCACAAUACAUUAAAAUUGCAUGACUAUAGAUUAUAAGUUCUUAUGGCACUCUACCAGAGAAGCCAAAACCUCUCAAAUAGUAUGUUGGCAACGAAAGAAUACAAAAAACAACAAAGAUAAGCAAGCAUGAUGAACCAUACCGAGAGUGGGAGUGAACUGGUAGCAGAACCAUCUAGGCCAUUACUAGCCAUUUUUAAUAUUAUAACUGCAUCAUUGGGCAUAGAAAAGUAGAAUGUUAUGCACAGCUAAACUGACCAACUGAAUAACUAGACAGCAAGUAUGGUACAAUACUAUGAAAGUUCAGCUAAGUGACAAGAAAAAUGCACGCAUCCAAUGAUGUGAGUAGGACAUACUUAAAAUAGGGAAGUGAAAGUAUACAUCAAGUUAAAGGAUACCACAUUGAAAGUGCAAUUUCAAAUUAAAUCAGUAAUGAAAGCAACUCCAAAUAAUAAAAAUUAAAAAGUAGUUCUAUAAAAAUAAAAAUAAAAGUAGUGCAUCGUGUCUAUAAUAAGGACAAUACAUAACAUCCAAAAGCAACAACCCCAUGACCAUAAAGAAAAUAAUGGAACAAUGAGGGAUCGUACACAAAAUGAAAACCUUACAAGCAAAGAAAUGAACAUGUCACGACAAUGGAUUAUUACAUUUAGAUCGAUUGUGACCUAUGCCAUUGCAUCGAGAGCAAUGAAUAGCUCUCUUAUGGCUAAAUUGUGACUCAAUAUGCCUUUGUCGGGGUCUUCCUGGAGGACGUCUCACUUGCGGGGGUUGGAGACUAGGAAAUAUGUUGCCUUGGCCAUCUUGCAAAGUCCCAGCCUUACAAACUUUAGGCAUAUUGUGUGUUGGUAAUGGUUGAAACUAACCCAAGUAAAUCAAAUGUUGGGUGGAGACUUUAAAACAUGGGUCGAUAUAGUCAUACACAUCAUGUCUCAAUGUGCGGAUCACAGCACAUACAUGUGGACAUGGCAACCCGAACAUUUGCCAUGUUAGACAUGUACACUUAUGUUGCUGCAUAUCCACAACCAAAUAAACAUCUCCAAUAAAAACCUGGAACGUCUCACCCAAAUAGGGCAUCACAAUAAUCGAAGCAGAUCUCGUGAUAUUUGACAUUAGCUUUUCCUCUGUUUUGGGUCCAACCAUGCUCUUCCACUUAUCUGUACCACGCAUAUGGGUGUCCAACAUGGCUACAAGCUUAUCCAUGUCCAUCAACAACAACGUAUAAAUUGUUUGGUGUCGUUCCUCUCUUAACCACGCAUUGAAGGACUCUGCAAUAUUAGUGGUCAUUUUAUCCCAACAUUUUUUAAGGAACUUUGACAUCGCCCAAUGCUCCAGACUAUUCUCCGUAACCCACCUUGCUAGGUCACCAUUAAAACGCACAAGUUUUUCAAAUGCCUCAUUGUAGUCUAUAUCCAACCGAGCAUAUGCAAUGUUGUCUAAAAGCAACAAAGCAUCUUCUUUCCCCUAAUGUUUUGCCUAUUGAAGAAGCUUGAAAAGUUCUCUUUCACAUGUCGAUAACAAUAGGCGUGAUUUUCUUCCUCAAACAACUUCGAAACACUAUGCAAUAUCCCUUGAUGUCUAUCUGAUAUAAUACUUACUUCUUGAUCAUCUAGGAUCUCCUUCAAUUUCUCCAAGAACCAAUACCAAUCCUCAUAAUUUUCUGAACCAACCACACCCAGGGCUAGAGGGAACAUUCCAUCAUCUGCAUCAUAUGCAAUGGCAGACAAAAGAGCUCCUUUGUAUGGACCACUUAGGUGGCAAGAAUCAAUAGCCAAUACCGGUCGACACCCCAUGGUGAACCCUUGAAUUGAAAAUGCAUGGGCAAUGAACAAUUGCUUGAAGUGACCUUCAUGAGAAGUGUACUCGGCAAUAGUUCCAGGGUUAAUUUCCCUUAGCCUAUGGCAUAACCAAGGCAAAAAUGCAUAGGGCGCAUGUGGAGAUCCAUAUAAAUGCUCUUUUGCCUUCUCUUUAAGAUGCCAUGCUUGGUUAUAAGUCAAUUGAACUCCAUGAUCACAUUCANNNNNNNNNNNNNNNNNNNNNNNNNNNNNNNNNNNNNNNNNNNNNNNNNNNNNNNNNNNNNNNNNNNNNNNNNNNNNNNNNNNNNNNNNNNNNNNNNNNNAGUCAAUUGAACUCCAUGAUCACAUUCAAAAUCCUUGCAAAUUUGUCGGGGAAGGUAUUCUGGAGUUGUUCUAAACACGUCUUCAACAACAACAACACCUCUCUUGGAAGAAACCCUCACCUUAGAUAAACACUCAUCUUGAGCUAUAUGAUUAUGAUUAACUUGGUAAGCAUAAACUCGCAAUAUUUCAUUUCCUUCAACAGCAUGAGCUGUUAUCUUCCAAGGACAACCCUCAACCGAACACUUUACUGACAUAUGAGUAGGUGAAUUUUUCUUGUACUUGUAUUGAAACCUUCCAGCUAAUGACAUUUGGUAUAUUGCAUUCCGAAACUCAUCUGCAUUCUUAAAUGUAUGUCCAAAACCUAAUAUUGCCUCACAAAACAGAUUCGAUUCCAAAGGAGUGUACUCACUAUCUGCAUAACGCGAUGCAAAACCUCUUGAUAACAUCAUAGUAUUAGGACUUGCAUUAUGAAGGAAACGUAGGAAGUGGACCUCUGCAUUUACAUUCAUAACCAAAAUUAGACUACAUAAUGCGUAAAAUUGAUAUUCAGAAAAUUUUAAAUAGACAUCCAAGUGAAAGCGCAUUACCCAAAUGCCAACUGUGUAUUCAGCAUAUUUGCCUCUAUGGCUUCCACAUCGGGUGAAUCUACUAUGUACACAUUUGCAAAGUCAUCACUGUGGGAAACCACAUUAUCCAAGUCAUCCUCAUCUUCUAAAUCUUGGAUGACUCUAGGGUUAAACUUAAGGGUGUAGUGCAUCCUCCUCACAUGAAGGGAAAUGUCGAAUUUUUCUAAGACCUUAUGAGUGAAUUCUUCAAAUGUCAUUCCUUUAUAAAUGUGAAUACCUUUGCUUCUUCCACCAACAUAUUCCCAAAGACCAUCAUUUUUUUGGACAAGUUUGCCUCCCACGAAAAUAUAACAGUAUAUUCUAUUUGUGGCAUCCAUCAACCUAUUGAAAUAAAGCACAAAUUUAUAUUGUUGAACAAACAAUAAUGCAUAUUCAAUGUGAUCUUAAAAGUUUUUUCAUCUCACAAUAUACUAUGUUCCCAUAAGAAAAAGUUAUAUUUUAAAAAAUGUAUAUACAAACAAAUGUAACUUUAAAGUCUUAAAAAAUAAUUUUUGUUGCUCCUUUUGAUUAUUCUAACCAUUGUCAACAGUAAGAUUAUUUUAAGAUAGGCACUAAUAAACAAACAGUGAGUUGAACUAAGAUAUGAAGACCGAGCUUCUCUCUUCUCUUGGACUAGUAAAUACUACCUAACCUAAACAAAACUAAAAAUAAUAAUAAAAAUAAAAAACAAAAAUGAGAAAUGUAAAACUGAAAUGGAAAUUAAAAGAUUGAAAUUAAUAGAUUAAAAAAAAUCAUUAAAUUAAAAACUAAGAAAGGCUAUAAAAGGAAAAAAAAUAUGAAAGAUUACAACUAAAAACUAUGUUACUUCUACUCCUACUUCUAAAAACAAAUCUCUAACUUAUUUUCCCUAUCAUUCCUCUUUACUUAUAUAUUCAUAGUUCACAUUUUUAUAAGCAAAAACCUCUCUCUCCAACUACUUUAGUGCUACCCAAUUUGACACUACUACUUACCUAUGCUAAUAAUCUAAUCGUGUCAGUACUUGGAACUUUAAGACAGAACAUCACAACAAUAUCUAGUAAAGUAGGAGGAUUUUGUGUCUGAUUCAACAUAAUACUCCAGAACAUAUAUAUAUACACCAAAAACAUUGAAAUUAUGGAACUAUAAGACAUUCAAUAGGAAAUAAUCCCCCACGUUUUAUUAAGCUCUGACCUAUACUUACACUAGGUAGAAAACAAAUUCUCAUUCUCACUCAAACCCUUAGACAAUUUCUGUUGGUACUACUAUAUCAAACAUACCUACAAACUUAUUCAAAGAGAAUGGAGAUAUUUAAAUAUUAAUUAUAAAGCGUCGCUUUGCAAAAUAAUAUGAAGAGAUAAUAGCCUAAAAAAUGUAACAAAUGCAGAAUUCUCUUCUAAACUAUCUGUCCUACUUUAGAUGAUUCAUACAAAACCAUAAACAAUAGUUUAACACGUUUAAGGUUUAAGAAUAAAAAACUAAUAGAUAAAAAGAGAUAAAUAUGUUACUUGUGCCUACAUCUCAAGCCAAGGCACCAUAAGAAAACUUUAGGGUUUUUAGGUUUUCCAUUUCCUCUUUCCAUUUUUCCUCUCCCGGUUUUCUAGCAACCAAUUAAACAAUUAUAAAUUAUUUUCAAGUAUAUAUGACAAUUUUUCACAAAUAUUUUUUUGAAUUUAAAAUAUACAAAUAGCAUGAAAAAAAAAUCUAAAAAAAAUUACAAAAAUAAAAUCAAAUCGAUUAAGCCAUGAAUCAUGAGUUGCAGGUAAAGUGCAUUUUCUGUAUUCUCAAGGCUUAAAGAAAAAAUUAUGGUUCAAAAUUUUUCCUUCUUUUUCUCAUUAUUUUCUCAGCAUCCGAAUAAUAGUAGCAAACCAAGAAGUCAAUUAUUGAAUGGGAACAGUAACUUGAGCUCUAGAGAUCAAGUUGAACAUAGUUUAGAGAUUUGGACUAAGAAAAUUUAGGUCGAGAUUUAGGCAAUCUACUAACCUCAAAUAUGCAACAAGAGACACCCAACUGAAAUCCAUACCUUAUUCAAAUUUUCGAGAGAGACAAAUGCGAGAAAAAAUGAAAGAGCCAUAGAGAUUGAGAUACAAGCGAUGGAGGUACUCGGGAGGAAGAGAAGAAAACGACUUCUAGGCUUGAAAUGCUGAAGAGAGAGCAAAAUUAGGGCAAAAUUUCAAAGAGCCACAGAGAUUGAUAGCAAGCGAUGGAAAAACUCGGGAGGAAGAGAAGAAAACGACUUCUAGGCAGAGAAGAAAACGGCUUAUAGGCUUGAAAUGCUGAACAGGGAGCAAAAUUAGGGCAAAAUUCCAAAGAGCCACAAAGAUUGAGAUGAAAGCGAUGGAGGAACUCGGGAGGAAGAGAAGAAAAUGGCUUCUAGGCUUGAAAGGCUGAAGAGAGACCAAAAUUAGGGCAAAAUUCCAACCUGGAUUUUUUUGUUUAUUAUUUUUUUUUUCAUAAUCAGCAAAGGUUAUUUUUGGAAUUAAUAAAAGUGCAUAUCCUUCUUUUUAAUUUUGACACUUCCUAUGGGUUUUCAGCUUAAAUGGGUCAGUUAGAUGGACAUUCUCUUAAUUUUUGGGCCUAGCUGGGCCCAAAACACAAUUCUCCCUACUUUUUAUACCAUUUAUUUAGAUUUUUUGCUCAAUAUUUGCAUAAGUUUUGAUCAAUUUUCAUCUCACCGAUAUUUUGUGGAAAAUAGAACAUCCAUGAAUGAUGGAAGUCCCUAUUUUGGAUCAGAAAAGCAUUAAACCAUGCUCUCUGAUAAUCCCAAUAAUUAAAAAACACUCCUUAAUCUCCUUUUUAUGCUGCUUAACUUCUUCAUGAAGUUCCUUAAUGCUGACAUCCUUGGGAGACUGCUGGUCAAACCUGUUAUAUAUAUAUAUAUAUAUCAAUGAUAACAUUUCAUUAAUUUCUUUCUAAAAUGGAUAAUAAAAAAUAGUUAAAAAAAAUUAAAAUGAUAAAACUAUUAUGAUUACAAAAAAUAUGUUCUUUAUAAAUAUUUUAUGAAACUAAAAAAAUAACCAUAAAAUUGUUUGUUACUGGCUAGAUCAUAUAUAUCACACAACUAUCUUUUCAAUAUAUAAAUCAACAACAUUUCAUUAAUUUUUUUCUAAAAUGGAUAACAAAAAGUAGUUAAAAAAAACAUUAAAUGUUAGAACUAUUAUGAUUAAAAAAAAUAUGUUCUCUAUAAAUAUUUUAUGAAAUUUUAAAAAUAAUCACAAAAUUGUUGUCACUGGCUGGAUCAUAUUUAUUGUAUAACCAUUUUGAAAAGAUUUCAUAUUCAUAAGAUAACAAUUAUUUUUGGAACAAAUUAUGUGGUAUUAUUAUCCACUAUAAUAAUAGCAGUGUUUUAGUGAGUAGUAAUUUUUGUAGAAAACAUUAUUUAUGAAAGUUUAUUUUUUUUAACAAGUAUAUUGCUUUUGUGACAAAGUAUAUUAGUUGAGCAUUUUCAAUGGUUUAAAUCCAUCACAAUAAUAUUGUUGCUGACAAGUAUUUGUUGUUGCAAUUACUAUCGGUAAAUAGUUACAUAUAAAUGAUGAACAAUUCAAUUUGUGAUGGAAUAUGUGUGUAAGAAAUUCGUGAUAGCUUAAAUCCAUCACAAAAGUAAAUAUAAGUGGAUUGACAAUACUUAAUUUUUUGGUAGUGCUUCCUUAACGAUGAUCUAGAAGAAGAGGUAGAUGGAAUUACCACUAGGUUUUGAUGCGACAAGGAAAGAUGAAAAGGUGUGUAAAUUGAAAAAAAUAUCUUUACAAGCUGAAGCAAUCACCAUGGGCUUGGUUUGAUCAAUUUACUAAGACCAUCAAACAAAUGAGGUACAAACAAGUUCAAGCAGACCAUACCUUGUUUUACAAACAUAAAGAUGGUAAGAUCAUUACUCUUAUUGUUUAUGUAGAUAAUAUUAUCCUUACAAGAGAUGACAAAUAGGAGAUGGAAGAUUUAAAGGAGAAAUUGGCAAUGGAAUUUGAGAUAAAAGACGUUGGAUCAAUGAGGUACUUUUUCGGCAUGAAAGUGGCUAAAAAUCAAAAAGGUAUAUUUAUUUCUCAAAGAAAGUAUACCUUGAAUCUUUCAAACAAAUUUGGAAUAAUGGGGUGCAAAUUAACCGGUUGAUACUCCAAAAGAUUGUUUUCUUAGUAUUUUAUAAAAAUAAGGGUGUUUGAUAAGUUGUUUUUUAUUUUUAUUUUUUAAGAAAUAAAAGAAAAUUUCUUGAAUAAGUUGUUUUUAAAAACUUUUUUUUAGUUUGAUUUUGUAAAAAAAUUUAAAAGUUCAAUUUAUUUUGUAUUAAUUAAAUUUAAUUCAAGUCUUAAAAAAAAAGGAAUAUAGUUUUUAAUUAUAAAUAAAUUUAAAAAUGAAAUCUGAAUUGUAAUAUAAAUAAAGAAAUUAUAAAUUAUAUUUUUUUGUUAAAAAAAUAAUUUUUCAUAUGUUAUAAAAAUAUGAAUAUGGACAUCUUCACAAAAACAUAAAUUUUUGUUGUUAAAAACGAACAAUAAUAAUUUAUUUGAAAAGCAAUAAAGUUUAAUAUUUUAAUACACAAACGAGCCAAGUUUUUUGCUAUAUGCACACAUUUAGUACUCAAUUGUGGAUAAAGUAUUUUGGAAUACUUUGAUUUAAUUAAAAAUUAAAUGGAUCAAUUUCUUGAGCUUUAAAUUAUUUUUAAAAAUUAUUAAACACACUAAUAAAUUCAAUAUAAAUUUUCAAAUAAUUUGAAAUUAUUUUCUCUAGUGAGAAAAUUUAUAAAAAUAUAAUUAUAUGCAAAAUAAAUAAAUAAUAGAGUUAUUGUGAACCAUUUUUUAUUCUUAAAUUCCUAAUAUUAAUUGGAUCAUAUUUGUUUUUCAAAAUAUUUAAAAAAAAUUAUUGUACUUAUUAAUGAAUCCAAUGCUUUUAAUCUUGUUUAAUUUGGAGUUUAUUUGUCUAAUGAAAAAAUAAAAUAAAAUAAAUUAUUUUAUGUAGAAAAGAAACAAUAGGGUCAUUGUAGACCAAUUUUUGUUAUAAGUGUAUGAAUUGGGUCAUUAUUUGAGUUUCAAAUUAUUUUAAAAAGUACAUACUAAACUUGAUCAUGAAUCCAACACACUAAGACUUGCUUGAUUUGAAGUUUACUUGCCUAGUAAAGAAUUUACAAAAAUAUGAUUAUAUGCGAAGAAUAAACUAACCAAGUCAUUCAAAAUGAAUUUUGGGGUAUGACUUUCUAAUAUUAUUGAGUUUCAUAACUUUCUACUCCUAAUUAAAUUGGUUUCUGAGUUUCAAAUUAUUUUUAAAUAUUAAUAAAUUUUACAUAUAAAGUAUAGUUUGAUUUUAAAUAUAUAUGCUUAAUAAAAAAUGUUAGAGAAGUUAAAGAAAAUGCAUAAAAACAUGUGUAAUUCAAAUAAAAAUAAUAUUUGGAGAUUUAUUUUAUUUGUAGUGGUAUUGACUAAUGGAGAGAGAGAGAGAAGAAGAAAUAUAUCAUAUUUAUUAUUAUUUUCUUUUUUAUUUUUAAUUUUUAUUUGUUUCCUUUCCUUUUUAAAAAAUUGGCUAAAACAACUUUUAUUUAUUCUUUAAAAAUGGUUUUUUUUUUAUGUCACUUUGUUUUUAAAAAUAGAAAAUAUAAAACAAUAGCUAGAUAGUGCAAUAAAUUUUAAUUUCAUUUUUAAAAAUAAAAAACUAUUUCUAAAUCAUCUCAUCAAAGAGGCUUUUAGUGUCUAUUAGCAUCAUUGAUCUUUAGAAUAUUUAAAAAAUGAAAUAAAAUUCUAUUUGAGAACUAAAACAAGAAAAAUAGUUAUUUUUAUUUUUAACUUAGUUUCUAUCAAAGGUAUGCCCCUGAUAAGUGUUGCAAUGAAAGAAAAUGAAAGGGAAGAGAUAAAUUUUUAGAAUAGUUUCAUGUUCUUUUUUGUUUAUAGUACUCUAAUAUUUUCAUAUAUAUACACUAUUUUGACAACGGUGAAAUAUUCCUUUUCUAACAAACAAAUAACACUCUAACAAACCUAACAGUUCCUUACUUAUCCUAUGCGCACAGUACCUAUCAUAAGGUUUCUUGAAGAAUUUGAAGAAAAAUAUGAAGAAUUUGAAGACAAAAUAUGGAGGAACACCUCAAUUCAUUCUGUGAUACCUCGCUUUACAAUGAAUGAAAGCAAAAAUAAAUAGCCUACGGAUAUGAGACAAUUCCGGAAUGGAAUUUCCCUUACAUGGAGAGUGAAUAAACUCUUACAUGGGAAGUGAAUAAACUACUCUUACAUGGAAAGUGAAUAAACUACCUUGCUAGAAUUACUCCUAAAUAUAUAAACUACUCUUACAUGGAAAGUGAAUAAACUACCUUGCUAGAAUUACUCCUAAAUCAAUUAUAAUAAAGGUUGUACAUUACACUAAUUAGGGAAGUAAACAGAGGAUGCUGGCUUGAUUUCCAACACUCCCCCUCAAGCCGCGUUGUAGAUGUUGAUCAUUCCAAGUUUUUCUGUCAGAUCUUCGAAGUUAACUCGAGCAAGAGCUUUUGUGAGAAUGUCAGCCGUUUGACAGUUUGUCGGAGUGUAGCUGACUUUGAAAACUCCUUCUUCAAUCUUUUCCUUGAUAAAGUGUCGAUCUAUCUCCACGUGCUUAGUUCGAUCAUGAUGAACCGGAUUCUUAGCGAUACUGAUGGCAGCUUGAUUGUCGCAGUAUAACACCAUGGGAUGCUUGAAAGCUUCCUGAAUAUUCUAAGGAACUUGUAUCUCUGUGAUGCUAAAAGUGAAUGCACGAAACGUAGGUGAUAGCUUAUCAUAAGAAAUAAAAUUUCCAAUGGGAUGCUGAGUGCAUGAUCUAACUUCUUUCCUCCAAGCUAUGGGCAUAUUAAGAAUAUCAUUUUCUAACUCGGAAUCAACAGUACCAUCAGGAGCAUUGUUACCUGGAAGUUUGCUUGGAUUAGGACCCGGUUCUGCCUCAUGGGUUUGUUGAGAAAGUGCUCUUUCCUCCGUUUCCUCUUGGAUGUGCUCCUUAUCCCACAAGUCAACAAUGGACUCGGGUUGAUUAAAUGACUCUGGAGGAAUGUGAUUUUCAGUGGUGAUGGGUGACUCACUGAAUGACUCAAGAUCCCAAAAUUGAUAUUCUUGAGUUGAAUUCUCCCCCUGAAUAUCGUUUUUGGGAUAGUAAGGCUGGGUUUCAAAAAAGGUGACAUCCAUUGAAUUGUAGAAUUUUCUUGUGACCGGAGAGUAACACUUAUACCCUUUUUGAUUUGAAGAAUACCCAAGAAAGAUGCACUUGAGUGACCUAGAAUCAAGUUUACUUCUAUGUUGUUGAUUGAUAUGAACAAAGACAGAGCACCCGAAAAUUUUGGGUGGGACGGUGGAGAUGAGACGAGUAGUCGGAAAGGAUUUUAGGAGUGUUUGACAAGGUGUUUGGAAUUUUAGUACCCUAGACGGCAUCUUAUUGAUGAGGUAGGCUGCCGUAAGGACAGCUUGCCCCCAGAAUAAUUUUGGAACAUUCAUGGAGAACAUUAGUGAUCUAGCCACCUCUAACAAAUGCCUAUUUUUCCUUUCAGCGAUUCCGUUUUGUUGUGGGGUAUCAACACAUGAACUUAAGUGAACUAUCCCUUCUUGUGCUAGAAAUUCUCCUAGAAUGGAGUUGAAAUAAUCCCUAGCAUUAUCAGACUUUAGAAUUUGUAUUUUUGACUGGAAUUGGGUCUGAAUCAUAUUUUUAAAAUUUUUGAAAAUUUGACUCGUUUCAGAUUUUUCUUUCAUGAGGAAUACCCAAGUUAAUCUAGUGUGAUCAUCUAUGAAUGAGACAAACCACCUAGUACCAGUUACAUUUUUUAUUCUUGACGGACCCCAGAUAUCGCUAUGAAUCAUUGAGAAUGGACUAGACUCUUUAUAGGGUUGAAUGGGAAAGUGAGACUGGACUUGCUUUGAUAAUUGACAGAUUUCACACUCAAAGGAUUUUGGAUUUUUAUUAAAUAAUGAAGGAAAUAAAUGCUUGAGAUACAUAACAUUUGGAUGACCUAAGCGAUAGUGCCACAACCUAAUUGCACUAUCGUUAUUUUGACAUGAAACCGAAAAAGAAUUACUACCAACUGUCAUUUGAGGUUGUUCUUGUGGAUCAUGGCGCUCCUUAAGGAUGUAGAGUCCAGAGCAUUCCUCAGCAUUGCCAAUCGUCUUCCCGGAAUCCAAAUCCUGAAAUUCACAGUGAGUGGAGGAAAAAUUAGUAAUACACCUCUUUUCCUUAGUGAGUUUACUAAUUGACAAUAGAUUACAGUCCAAGUUAGGAACAAGGAGAACAGAGUUGAGAGUAAGAUCCCUUGAUAGUACAACUGAACCUGUUCCGGCAACCUUUGAUAGUGAACCAUCUGCUAUUCGGACUGUUAAAUUAUUUGGACAUGAGCUAUAUGUAUCAAAAAUUGUCGCAUCUCCCGUCAUAUAAUCAGAUGCUCCUGAGUCCACUAUCUAAGGUUUUUUACGUUUCUUACCAGCAGUGAAGGCACUCAAAAAAUUACCUUUGUGAGCCAAGGUUCCGGAACCAAUGACCUGGUUGGAAGAUGAGCCAGUUUGUGACUGUACUGACAAAAGAGGAGACAGUAGUUUCUGAAGCAUCUCCAUUUGCUCCUUAUUAAAAGGGCUAGCUUCAGGUUGUGGUGAUUGUUCAUCGGUAGCCACAUGAUUGCCUCGUCCUUCUUUCUCAAGUGGUUGACGUGGCUUCCAAUCUACUGGCUUUCCAUGAAUCUUCCAGCAAGUUUCUCUUGAGUGUCCCGGCUUUCUGCAAUGAUCACACCAAGGUCUACCUCCUUUAAUUUUUUGACGGUUGUCAAAAGGAGCGAAUUGAGUCUUAAGAGCCGAGCUUUCUGCCAUAUUCAGUUGUUGAUGGGAUCCCAUCAUGAGAUUUUUCCGACUUUCUUCGCGACGGACUUCAGAGAAUGCCUCUCUGAGGCUAGGUAGGGGUUUUACUCCCAUGAUUCUUCCUCUGAUUUCAUCAAGAUUUUUGUUCAAACCUAACAAAAAUUUAAACACACGUUUCCCUUCGACAAUCUUUUUAUACAAAAAACCAUCUGUAACACAAUUCCAGUUAUGAACCUCAAACGUAUCAAGUUGACGUCAUAGACGAGUAAGAGUAUUGAAAUAUUCAGUUACCAUAAGGUUCCCUUGACGCAAAUCGUGGAGGAUGCCUUCAAUCUGGAUGAUUUCAGAUGUGUUUUCCUUGUCUGAGAAAGUUUCUUUUGCAGUGUCCCAGAUUUCUUUGGCAGUAUCAAAUGACAGAAAAUUUUCACCAAUGUCAGCGGUCAUAGAGUUGACUAGCCAGGACAUGACCAUAUUAUUUUCUGCUAUCCACUUUUUGUAGGUUGAUGUUGUGGUUUCUGGUGCCGCCGAAGCUCCGGUGAUGUAGUCAUCUUUCUCCUUUCCCCGUAUAAACAUUAAUAUGGACUGAGACCAUUGCAAAUAAUUUUUCCCAUUCAGUUUAUGGGCUGUGAUUGGAAGAUGAGAGGUUUCCAUCUGAUGAGAGGAUGAAGAUGAUGAGAUGAUGAUAUCAGAAGUAGAGGAUGAUGAAUUGGUAGCCAUUCCAAAGGCUGGACAGUAUUUAGGCAUAAAUUAGAAGAAUAGAAUUGAGUAAAAAAAACUGACUAAAGAUGAAGACGAUGAGACAGGAUUAAACCUACUCUGAUACCAUGAAGAAUUUGAAGAAAAAUAUGAAGAAUUUGAAGACAAAAUAUGGAGGAACACCUCAAUUCAUUCUGUGAUACCUCGCUUUACAAUGAAUGAAAGCAUAAAUAAAUAGCCUACGGAUAUGAAACAAUUCCGGAAUGGAAUUUCCCUUACAUGGAAAGUGAAUAAACUCCCUUGCUAGAAUUACUCCUAAAUCAAUUAUAAUAAAGGCUGUAUAUUACACUAAUUAGGGAAGUAAACAGAUGAUGCUGGCUUGAUUUCCAACAUUUCUUGAAGUGGGUUUCACGUGAGGUUAUUGUUGCAUGUAAUCUUCAGUUAAAGAAGCUGCAGGCAUUCCAUUAACAUGCCCAUUCAAGUUGAACAUGGACUUCUCUGAAACGUUUGCUGAAGAACCAUUAUUGACUUUGUCUUGCAUGGAUAUGUUAUGCCCUUGCAAAUGUGAAAGAGAGGUUAUGUGAAGCUUGUUGCGAAGAUGCUAGAAGCGCUAGACAAGGAGUGGUUUAGUAAAUAUGUCUGCCACUUGCUCAAAACUUUCACGAAUGAAAUGAACAUUGAGCUCAAAAUGUUUUGUACGAGCAUGAAAUACAGGAUUGUUGCCAAGGGCGAUAGAACCUUGGUUAUCACACCACAUUACUGGAGGAUGUGGUGGAGAAAAAUGGAGCUCUUGAAAUAGGGACUGAACCCAAGUGGGUUCUGCUAUUGUAGUUAUAAGACAGCGGUAUUGUCAUGCCCCAGAUUCUGGGCAACCUAAAAUUUAACUCGUGACCUUAGGUCAAAGGUUUGACCCUAAGGGUUACACUUAUCCAAGAUGGCAAUUAGUCCUAAUUAUCUGAUUUUUUUUUCAACAAAACAACAUCUAACCCUAAACAUUAAAAACACCCUUCAACUAGUCAAUUGUAUGCCACCUAAUGUAUGUCUGAUUUUCUCUUAUUUUCUUUUAGUUAUGCUUACAACUAUUUUCUAUGAUCUUGAGAUCCUCUAUAAGCAUCUUGGAUGUGAGAACAAGGUUUGAGUUGAACCAAAAAACUAUGGUUUCAUGGAGGUCUUAGGUGUUGUCCCAUUUCGACCAAUAAUUUUUUUUGAAUUAGUUAAAGGGUUUAGAGAUACUCAAAUGAAUGAAACGAAAUUUGUUGGAUUUUUAACUUCUUGAAGUUAAAUAUGACCAAAUUUAAUAAUUUGUAGAUGUCAUUUGCCCAUGGAAACAACUAGAGAAAGAGAGAUAAAGCUCUUAGAAAAAAAAUGGUGCCACAUCUUCACCUGGUGCCAUUUUUCAUCGUUAGCAAGCUAGAAUUAGCUGAAGGUAUAUGGUGUCACAAUGGUGCCAUAUCUUAUAGUGGACGCACUUAUGGCAUUAGUGCCACCAAUUUCCCCUGAAAGUGAAGAACGAGCUAGGCCCAUACUCCAAGCAAUCAUUAGGUAUUCCACUUACCAUUUGGAUGCAUCAACGUGACAAAACACUUAGAGCAUGGUUUGAGAGCCUAUAAAAGAGAGGAAUGGCAACUGUCAUUUUGUUCUUGGUUUUUGGUAUUGUACUAUUAGACUUUUGGAAAACGAGAUCUUGGAGGCAUUUGGAAUUUAGGUUUCUUUCUAUUUUUCUUCUUUUGUUUGGAUUAUUUUCUUCAUUUUGAACUUGUUUUCCUUAUAUUUUCAUUGUCAUUAGAUCAAUGCAUUAAUUGAUUUGAGAUUUGAGUUUUUAAUGUUCGAUUUCGUAUAUUUUGUUUUAUUCCUUCAGUUUAAUUUUGUUUUAAUUUCUUUUGAGAAGUUUAGUAGGUUGAGGAAAGGGGACACUAGGCAUCCUCUUCCAUAAUUGGAAUGAUCUUGUGAUUAUUAGGUAUUAAUAUAUUUAUUCAACGUAUUAUUCGGAUUCCUUCAAUCUUGUGAAGUCAUCAUAUCUCAAUGUUUGGGAAUUAAAGUGGUGCACCUUUUUUACUUGAAUUGACCAUUAUUGAGUCCUUAACGUUUCAAUUUGGCAAACAAAAUAGGUAAUGAGAAUUUUGAAUGUUCUACAAAGAAAUCCAAUUAGUGAGUUGAGAUUUUCAAUUCAAUUUAAGUGUGCUUUUGUUGAAAAUAAUCCAACUUAAAAAACUUGUAGGUGUCUUAGAUUUUUAUUGUAAUUAAGAAUCGUUCAAUGGUAUGAAGGGAACCUAAAGGAUCCCUAUCUCCUUUAUAUUUUGUUACAUUUGGUUAAGACAAUUUAAAUUCCCCUGUUUUCUUAAAACAAAAAAUUCACAAACCUUCUUGCUCAAAUCAAAUUGAAAGAAAGAUUUUUCCACAAAAUCUAGCUUUCACUAUCUAGAUUCUUCUACCUUACCUACAUUCCAAGAUCAUCUCCACGAGGUUCGAUACCUUGACUCAUCGGGAUUUUGAAGUUAUAACUGAAGAACCACCUAUUUAUUCAUAGACAUUGGGGAUUUGUCAGAUGAUGACGAGGCAAAGAAGUAGUGUCUAACUUUAAUACCUUGGGAAUAAAUUGGUAGCACAAACGAUGGAAGUAAAACAAAGCAAAAGAAGAAAUUAGGAGCAUAACUGAUGGAAGCAGGAGGAAGAAGAUGAAAGAAGAAAAUGGUGCUUGGAGAUGUUAAGAAGUAGGAGUGACCAUUGUGUAGUGGUUACCAAAUCUCUUAGAAUCUAUAUCCACCAUAGAACCACUACUUUUUUUUUUCUUGAUUUUCUUGUUUGUAAUUUCUCCAUAGAGGAAAAUUAGGGAGGGGAGAGGGGUAGUUGCAGGGACCCCAAACCAAGCAUCCCGCAAUCAUUGUCUACGAUUAUUAGUGAUGUAUUGCAUGAUUAAGAAACUACAAUGGUCAAACUUGCCAAACGAGUGAAAGCUAAAACACUAUAAAAAUCUAAUUUUAGUAGGUCAAGGUAUGUACAGUGAAUUCUAAGAUCUUUAUUCACUCUCAUGAUAUUAUCUAUUGAACCCAAUCCUUGCCUGUGAUUAAUUUAAUCGUCGAGGAGAGAUCAACCAAAGAUUAGGCUCUCUCCACUCUAGCUAUCUUCUACUUUGUUGUAGAGGAAGGUCAAGAGAAAACAUGAACCUUCCACAUUUCAAAGGGUGAAACAUUAACCCAAAAUCUCAAGAGUACCAAAUUUUGUUAUUAGGACAAAAAAAAUUACCAUAAGCUCAUGCUAAAAGAAAUAACCCUUUUAGGGGGGCAGACAAUACCAUGUUAAAGUCUUUUAUACACUACUACAAAAAAUGUAUUCAAUGACGUUCAUUUUCUUGACGCUUGUAAAAAAUGUCAAGGAAUUGUAUUAAUCAUGGCACUUAUAGAAAUUUGGAUAACAAGGACGCUUCUUAAAUAAAUAUAUUGACGAUUACGAAAUUUACCUAAAUAUUGGCGCUUCUUCAAAGGUAAUAUUGCCGCUUUAAAUAAGAUGAUGCUUUUUUGGAGUGUCAUUGUCUACUAGAGUAAAAUUUGCCAACCUUAACACUUGUAAUAAAUGUCAUUAUCUCUAUGCCUAUAUAUACACUUCUAUUUUCCCAAUCUACUAAGAACCCUAGCCUUGCAAUCUACUAACAACAGCCACAACAAAGACGAUUGACGAACUCAAUGGUAACCAGUAGACACCCAUCUGUAGCCUCAUCGGGGACAACAACAACCAGUUGGAACGCUCCUUCUCCUAUCAAGUCGAUAACCUCAAUAACCUCAACUAGGUAUUGUGAUGAUUUUUCACCAGAAAACAACUACCACAGACAACCUUCAUCAUUGGAGAAAUCUAGAACAAAAAGAGCCUAACCCUUUUUCAUAGAUGAUCUCUAGUAGUGAGAUGCCCUAAUUGAUUUGCCGCCACUAAGAUAUUGGGAACUCCUACAAAUAAUCAGCACAAGUAAAUCCCUUUUUUGAAGGUAGAGCUUCCAUAAUUUUUUUUUUUUUUUUGAUGGAGUCACAACCUUUGCGAUUUCGCACUCGAUAAAUCAAAGACUCUACUGCUUGGUUCUUUUAAUUUAUCCUUUUCAUUUCUUUAUUCUUUUGUGGUUUUGCGUUAAUGUUUUCAUUUAUUGUUAAGAAAUCCAAGUAAAAUUAGGAAGAUAUAAUUUGGAAUUGCAAUCUUCCCAAAUCAACCCCAAUCCCCUGUUUUGGUUGUAUUUGAGGCUCCAUUACUAUUAUUAUUAUUAUUAUUUUGAAAAAAGAAUUCAACUUUAGUGUUUUGUUGAGCAGUAGAUGACAUUUAUCUUGCUAUGACUUUUAAUAAUUUCUGGGGAGCAAGCAGAAGCCUAUUCUUAAGAACAACCAUUUUCUUGACCAUCAUAUUAAACACUUGUCUUUGCAAAUCAACAACACUCCUGAUUGUCGCCAAGUUCCUCUUUUUUUUUUCUUUUUUUUCUUACUACUCCUCCACUAUUUGAAUAUUGGUUGCAUCUAACCCCGAUAUAUGUAUCUAUAUGUGUUAUAUCAUUAUUUUUAAUUUAUUUUUAUUUCUUCUUUUUUGGUUUAUAUUCCAUGUUUAUUUCUGAUGCUAAUGCCAGGUAGUCUAGUCGGUACAUGUUGGGCAUUUUUUUAAAAAUCCAAAAACAGAUUGAUUGGAUUCUGAAAAAAAAUAAGAGAGUCAAAAAAUCAAAAGACAAUAGACUACAUUUAUGGUGAUUAAGGCCAAAGAAUGAAUUUAGACAGGUUAUCAAUGACAAUGGAUCUCAGAGAGCAAACUGGUUUCAUACUAUGAUGUGAGAAAUUCUAAAACUAUCUUACUAAUUCAAGAAGAAAACAAAUAGCACAUAUAUAUGUGGUUACAUAAUCCUAUUUAUGAAAUUCAAAAUUUAAUUGGAAACUGACUCUAUCAUUGGAAAGUAACUCUAACCAUCCCUAUAAAUUAGGAACACUCCUAAUAUAUAUAAAUUUUGACUUAUCAUAACUGUACCAUAAUUUCCUAAACUUAAGGACUCUCUAUCUUUCUUUACCCUUUGUCAUCCUUUCAAGGAUCAGCACACAUGGUAGAGAAAAGGUGACCUUAUAUUGGCUUUCCAAAAGAUGGCAUGGAACAAAAAUAAAAGCGACUAAGAUGGUUGAGGAUAUUUGACAUGAGAAACUGAAAUACAAGUAAGAGUGUGCCUGUGAGUGUCAGGGCACAUGGUAGAAAAGAUGUGCCCUUUUACUGUUUCUCCAUUUAACUUAAAGGUUACACUAAACAAAAACAAUAAGUUUAGGAUAUCUGACACAAGCUACCAAUUUGGAAAAAAAAGGAAAUGGAAGUAGGAGAGUGCAUGUGAGUGUCACAUAGAUGGAAAGAGAGAGAGAGAGAGAGCAACUAACAAUUGAAAUUGCUAAAUUUGGUGAGAAAAAACUUUGAUAAUUCUGGUGACAAAAUGAGAUCAGAGAUAUAGAGAGCAUCUCCUGUUUCUUCUGUUUCUUAUUUCCUUCAAUCAUUGGCAAAUGGCACUCAUGAUUAAAAUCUAAAAAUUCUUUCCAAGACUUAAAGAACCAGAUGCUUUUUUAACUGCUCACUGCUUUAUUGAACACAAAUGAAAAAGGAGUAGCAGUAUCCAGAACAGGGAAUCCAGCCAAAAAAGUGGAAGAAUUUUAUAUAAUACUAACUAUAUAAGUUUCAGACCUUUAAAGGAUCCUGGUAAGGGUUCCUUAUUCCAUAAUAUUUAUGUAACACAUUUUAUGCAAGAUAGGUUUCAUCUUUGCCAGUUGAUAAUUUUCAUCUACUUAUUUAUUUAUUUAUAAUAGGGAAUACUUAUCUAAAUAAUUCUUUUUUUCUAAAAGGCAUGCUCAAUAUUUAUUUUUUAUUUGGAUAUGUGAUCUUAGAAAAUCGGAGUUAUGGCUUAGGCCUUUGUCUCUAUAUUGAAGUAAAUUAAUGAAUGGAUAAAAACAUUGUCUCUGAACUAUUAUCAUGCUCCCUAAAGGCCAAGGUAAAAUGCUAGAAAAUAUUGGUCAAGAUGGCCAAUUACUUAAACUGUUAUUUUGAAAACCUUUCUCUAGACUGCAAUAGUCCCUCAACUGCUGGCUGGCACCAUCUAUUAUUAAUCAGGAAAAGGAACUCAUGAGUGAGAUGAAAAAACAUUAUCCACUACUUUACUACUUUCUGUAAAUCAUGUUGAAAAUAUUAGUGGAAUCCUUCAAGUCAGAAUCCUCCUAGGUAUGUUUUUAUUUGUUUUUUUUUUUUUUUUUUUGCUUCUUACUGUUUUAUUUUAAAUUUUAUAUGUUGGGUGAUAUCUUAUUUUCUAGGAUCAUUAUUUGCUUCUCUAUAGGGUCAGAAGUUUUCGAUUCAAGGUCUUUUGGGAAAAGAAAUCUGCUCUAGUUCUUUUAUUAAUGGAACCUUGUUGAUAUCCCAUUUAUCACCAUAGGUUUUUGGUACAACUUGUCUUUAUUGCUUUGUAGGAUAAAGACUUUUCAUAUUAUAUGGUUCAAUUAUUGAAUUCCAAAUUGUUGUAGGAUUACCAUCACUUUCAUUUUCCAGUUUCUGGAACCAUUGAGCAUUUUGUUGACGUACCAAGAUGCUUAUAUACAGUAUGUGCAAUUAAUAUAUGUUGAAAUUCAUGUUUGUUUUGCAAACUGUUUUUUAUUUCUUUAGAACUUCUUCUGAUCUUUUACUUCAUUUCUUUCUACUAGGUUUAUCCCAUUGUUGUGAAUAGCAAGUAUUGCAAUGUAUUCACAGAAAACAAGCAAGCAGUAUCUAUUGUUUCAACAUCUGAUUUUGGGAAGGUCUGUGGUUUCAAUCAUUUGAUGUUGCUUAAUUCACAUUUCUUGAAUUUUAUCUGUCUUUAUGUGACAAUAAAACAAGCUCCAACCUUUUCUUUUUAAAAAAUUGUAGUUCUUUAAGCUCAACUCUCUUUUAACUUGUUUUCCAUAGAAACAUGGAUAGUGAUUCUUUGUAGCUGGAAAGACCUUGAUGGGGGAUCAUUGGUCUUUCUAAAUUUAUGAUUUUUUUUCCAUAUCUUUUCCAUUUGUUCUCUAUAUAAUUUUAAUGUUCCCUGGAUAUAUUCAAUUAUUAGUUUUAAGGUGUGAAUAUAAUCUAAGAAUGUACCAAAUCUCAUAUCUAUAAAUUAAUUAACCUAAUCAAACAAAUAUAAUGAUCAUGAAAGUAAGGAAAAUAAGGAGGUAGUAUAGAUCAAUGCCAUCAUUUGUGAUAACCUCAGAAAGGCGUAUCUAGAACAAUGUUAUUAAAAGCAAAAUGCGAUGUCACGAUAAUAGGACUCCUUUUAGCAUAAGUCAAAAGGCGAAAAACAAGGUCAUAGUAAGACAAUGAAGAAUAUAAAUAUAUGUACCUAUUUCAUUCUUAACCAUUAUAAGUAUCAUCUUUUUUUAUAUUAGAAAUAAAAUAAAAAUUAUAUUAAUAAUAGUAAAGAUACAAGAGAAGAAUGAGAGGUCCUGCCCUAAAAAUACAGAAUCUAAUCAAAGUAAGAAGACACCCCUUUAUACAGAACAAACUAUACACAAAGGAUGUUCAUAGCUUUUUGUGUCCCAAAUUUUUAAAUAUCAAAUGUUUUUCUUAUUUUCUUUUGUUUCUUAGGGAAAAUUAUGCAAUCUUCUCUAGGAAACACUAACAUGACUAAAGCACCUACUAUUUUAUGAAAGACUUCACAACUUUUAAGGUUAUAUUUGGUUCCUGAAAAAUUUAGGGAAAAAUGCGAAGAAAAGAAAAUAGAGAGGAAAAGUAAAAGGAAAGAAAAAGUGAAAGAAAAUAAAAAAUAGGUUUAAGUUCAAUAAAUUGUUUUUAUAUGCUUCUUCAAACUCAUUUCACUUAUUUCCAUUCAUUAUAUAAAUAUGAAAUAUUUUAAAAAUACAUAAAUUUUAACUAAUUCUAAUUAUAUUUGAUGUUCUUUUGUAUUUUCCAUAGUGAAAUUAAAUAUGAGAAAACCAUUUUCCUUAACUUUUUUUUCUUUCCUUAAUACUUUACAAGAAUUAAACGUAAUCUAAAGGUGCUGCCUUAACACAAGUCAACAAGGUCUUUACUUCGAGAUUUUCUUUUUAAGAUUUAUUUGCAUUCAUGAGUAUUUGGUGCUUGUGAGAAGAUUGUUUACUUGUAAAGUUAGCAUGCCCCUGUACAUUAUUUAAUUCCAAGAAAAAGAUUUGAUUUGAAAACACAUGAGCUUACACUAGUUUCAACUUAUCAAUAGUUAGAGAGAUGUAAAACUCGAACUAGUUUUACCUUGUCAAGAAUCAAAUAGAUGCAACUUAAAAUAUCAUUCUGAGGAAAAAAGGGAUAUCACUUUAUAUGGCUACUUUUAGCUAUUCUAGUCAAAUAAAACAAGUGUAAAAAAACAAUGGCCAGUAUUAAUUAAUUAGAUGAGAACAUUGUGGCAGAGCAGAAAUGUGAGCAAGACUUAAUUUUGUGGUAUUUUUCAGCAAUACAAGCUUUGACUUUCUAUCUUUUGUUCCUGUUGUUUUGUAGGUAGUGGAAGAAUCUGUUUAGAGUGUCAACCUAUUUCAUGGAGGCGUUGGUGACAGAGCAGGCUAGAAAAUACAAUGGAAGGAUGAAGAAGAGUCUUCGUGUUGCCAUUUCAUUGAUUGGAGAUUCCAAAAUAUGUAUUAACCUCUAUACCAUCUAUGAUUUGAUCUUGCUAUGUAAAUUCUUUUGAAAUAUUUCAUUUCUCCCUUAUACUUUUUGUGGUAUGAUUCUUGGAAUUUUUGUAAGGUUGAUUACAUGGAUGAGCCAAGUACAAAUUAGAUCCAACUUCAAGAGACGACUUAUGGAAUGUUGUCAAGCAUGUAAAGCAAGGUCGAGCCGAGCAAUAAUUCUAACAACUACUCUCUCUCUUUCUCUCUUAUUAUAUUUGGACUUGCAUCAAUAAGGAGUACACCCUAGCUACAUAUGGUCCUAUCCUUAUAUUUAGUUCUGCUCUUGGUCCUUGUUAUUGGCAUAUUUUUAGGAGUUGAAGACUUGAAUUAGUUUAGAAGUCAAACUUUGUAUUUUAGGAGAUGUAAAUUAGUUUUUUGAUUUCUUGAGAUUUCGAUCUAUAGGAGUCCUUUUUUCUGCCCUUCUUUACCAAAUGUACACAUAUAGAUACACUUUUUCUAAGCAAUAUAGAUAUACUUUUUCUCUGCAAUUCCUUUCAUGGUAUUAGACCUUGCCAACUAGAGCUCCUCUUUUCUUUUUACAUUUAGUAUACAUGAGAAAUAGCAAUUAAAAAAAAUGAAUUCCGGUUUCGCACUUUAUGUGUUUGUAUUAUAGACAUUCUUAAGGUAAAGUUCCUUAAGCUUUAUUUUUUUGUAAUGUAUUGCAUGAUAGGUUGAUGUUUGAAUCUCUAUUUAGCUUCAUAGAUAACCUGAAUUUGUUAUUAAAUUUUUAUGCAAUCAUAUCUUUGCCAUAUAGUUGUCACUUUGGAUCGCUCACAUAAUUCUAGAUAUUUUCCCAAAUAUGCCUAAUAAAUAUGUUUUAUUUUAAAAAGUAAUCAUAAUCUUUUUAAAAUAUGAAAUAUGAGCUUUCAUUAAAAAAUAUUCAUCAUUAGAAGAUGUUUAUCUACUAUUAAGUUGUAGAUAUUCUUCUCUACAUUUUUUAUGCAUGCCAAUUUAUUUAUUAUUAAGUUGUGGAAUUCAUAUAGUUGUUGCUAGCCUUGAUAGUGAUAAAUAAGAUGAAUGUUAUGUAUGAUACAAUUGGCUACUAUUUUGGAUGCAAUGUUGCAAUGUAUAUCAGAUGGUGGGAAAUAUUAAUUCUUUUAACUUAACAAAAAACUUAGUUGAUAAAGUAUCAUGGUGUGAACCUUAUUUAUUUCAUGUCACACCAUAUUCCCAAACCUUCAUUUGUCAAUGUUGUGCAUUCGAUGAGGUCUAUUACUAUUAGAUGAUGCCUAAUUGAAUAUUUUAAUGGACUAUUAAUGUUGAUAUUCUCUUGUCCCAAACUUGGUGUGUUUUUCUACUUUCUUUUGGGCUAUACUAAAGAUUUAAUGAAUUAUUGAUGUCGAUGUUCUCUUGUCCAGUAUUUGAUUAAUCUCGUGCUUUGUGUUUUAACUAUUGAUAGUAAUUUUGUUGUAAUUAUUCUUAGGGUCACAUAUGUCAAUUGAUAUACACAUUUGUUUUCCUAUUAUAUUUUCAUUGUCAUUUCUUUCUCUCUAUUUCUAAAAGUAUUCAUUUAUAUAUCUUUUUUUGAAAUUGUAAUUGAUUUUAGUUUUUUGUGCAUGUAGGUCAUCUUUUUGGGAAAUUAACCUUGUAGUUGGAUAAGCUAGCAAGAAGAAGUAUUGAUUACUACUCAAAAAGUACUAUUUUAUAGCUUGAAACUAACUAUUUUAAACACUUUUGAGUAGUAGUUAAUACAUUUUAACUCAAUUGGCACAUUAAGGAACCUAGCAAGGGUUACUAAUCAGUUUUUGGCAAGUUUUGGUGUUUUUGGUAGCUCAAAUCCAUGGCAAUGCAAGUUGAAGUUCAAAUACAUGAAGAAUCCGAGCUUUGGAGCACUUUAUAGCCUUUUUCCAAGCUUGGCAAUAGGUUACCAAGCCAAUCAUAGAUGCAAGGAAGAAAACCAGAGGAAGAAAUCCAACAACCAGCAUUUUCUCAUGGCUGUGCAAAAUUUCGCACACCAUGUGAAACCACAAGAGGCAGCCAAAGAAUUUCAUACACCAUGCGAAAUUUCGUAUAGUAUGCAAAAUCUUCCUAUGCACCGACUCCGUUAGAUUUUUAUCUCCAAAUAUUUUGUGUAAUUUCCUAUUUUCUCCUUGUAAUCAACCUAGAUAUUUUCUUUUAUAUCUUUUGCUAACAUCUUUUGUAGAGAAACACACACAUAGAUGGGUGGAAUUCAUUGAACACUUGUAAAUUCCCAUAGUAAUAAAUAUACAGAGCUUUUGCUCUGCCUUUCCUUCUCAUUUUGUUUUCACUUUUCUUUCUAGCCAAACAACCUCUGAGGAUGAUUUCUCAGGGGAUGAGUGGCUAGGUUUUAUGUUUCUUAGAGUGAUGGAAGCUAGGUGAAGGACCCACAUAUAAAGGUGGGAGUUGUCCUUGCUUUAAAUGAAAGUAGUUGUUAACCAUUAAUGGUUUUUAUUUCAAGGUUUAGCUUUAAAUCCCUUAAAAGCACCUUGAAUGGCCAAUACUUGGUAAGCUUUUUGGAUUCUAUGGAUGCUUAUUGCUAGAUCCAUGGAUGUCUAUUAGUUAUCAUUUACGAACCAUUGGAAGGUGGUUGAAGGUGAGGGUCUUUAGUGUUUGAAGCCAUUAAUGGGAAGCAACUAUCUUUUUUCAUGAACCCUUUGGAUCAAAUCUUAAUCACUAAAUAUAAAACCGGUUCGGGAGAUAACCAUCCUUUAUGUUAUUAUCCCCAACGUGAGAAGAAGAUCCGAAAUCUCCCUCUUUGCCUAAGGAACCCGAUCCUAGUGACCUAAAACUUCAAGAGACCUUUUCUUUGUAGUUAACUUCACUUAUUAUUUUUGCUUAACUUAAAAUUAAUCUUUGCAACCACAAUUCCAUUUUCUUUAAAAGCUAAUUUUCAUAAGGAAAAGCACCAUUUUAUUUCCUUCACUAAAGUCAACUGUACGAUGAAAACCCAUCCCUAUGGACGAUCCUAGAGCCACUAUACUAUGUUAACUAUGCUACCCUAGUGUAAGGUGAUUUAGGUUUUAUAAAUUUUGUUGAUAACACCUGUCUGAGCCAUAAUCAAAUGGCAGGACUGCAAUGGGGACGAAUCAAGUGGCGUCGUUGACCGGGAUGGUGCCAAAAUACAUUGAAAUGACUUUUGGUGAACACUUGUGAUCUUCAUCACAAGUUUGGUGAUUUUUCUUUUACUAAUUCUUUUUCUUUGUCUAUAUUUUGGCUUAUCUUUUAUUUAGUUUUUAGCUAACCUUAACUUUUUCCUAGAAUUGUAUUUCUUUUGUUUUUUUUUUUUUUUUUUUUGUUUCAGUGAUCUUUAGUUGUGCAUGCCCUAUUGGAUAAGAGAUAUUGAGGGAAGACUUGUGAAGAUUGAAAAUCCUCAAGAAACUGAGCUGGAAGUGUGCUUGAACAUCAUGGAUAUUCCACCUAAAGACUAGAAUAGCCAACACGGUCAAGAGGAUAAUUUCAAUGCAUAUCAAUCCAUGAGGGACCGCAUGCAUCUGCCUCGUAUGAGUGCACCUUCAUGCAUAGUGCCUCCCACUGAGUAGCUAGUAAUCUGACCUCACAUUGUGCCACUCCUACCUACUUUCCAUGGGAUGGAAAGUGAGAAUCCCUACUCGCAUAUUAAGGAAUUUGAGGAGGUUUGUAAUACAUUCCAAGAAGGAGGAGCUUCAAUUGACUUGAUGAGGCUCAAGUUAUUUCCUUUCACCUUGAAGGAUAAGGCCAAGAUUUGGCUUAAUUCUUUAAGGCCAAGGAGUAUCCAAACUUGGACUGAUUUGCAAGCCAAGUUUCUCAAGAAGUUCUUCCAUACUUAUGGGACCAAUGAUUUGAAAAGGAAAAUUUCGAACUUCUCAGCUAAAGAGAAUGAGAAAUUCUAUGAGUGUUGGGAGAGGUAUAUGGAAGCUAUUAAUGCUUGUCCUCACCAUGGCUUUGACACAUGGCUCUUAGUGAGCUAUUUUUACGAUGGUAUGUCUUUUUCAAUGAAGCAACUCCUAGAAACUAUGUGUGGAGGAGACUUCAUCAGUAAGAAUCCUGAGGAAGCCAUGGACUUUAUGAGUUAUGUGGCUGAAGUUUCAAGAGGAUGGGAUGAACCAAAUACUAGAGAGAUGGGAAGAAUGAAGUCUCAACCUAAUGCAAAGGGUGGGAUGUAUGUUUUGAAUGAAGACAUUGACAUGAAGGCAAAGGUAGCAGCUAUGGCAAGGAGAUUGGAAGAGCUAAAAAUGAAGAAAGUACAAGAAGUGCAAGCCAUUUCUGAGACAUCAGUGCAGACUAUGCCUUGUUCCAUUUGUCAAUCUUAUGAGCACUUGGUAGAGGAAUGUCUUACAAUUCCAGUAGUGAGAGAGAUGUUUGGAGAUUAAGCAAAUGUUAUUGGUAAAUUCAAGUCCAAUAACAAUGCUUCAUAUGGCAACACCUACAAUUCAAAUUGGAGGAACCAUCCAAAUUUCUUUUGGAAACCAAAGCCAUCUCAAUACACACAACUUGCUCAAGCACCUCAGCAAGCCUCGAAUCUUGAACAAACUAUUGUGAACCUUAGCAAGGUUGUGGGAGACUUUGUGGGAGAUUAGAAGUCCAUCAAUGCUCAACUCAAUAAGAGAAUUAACAGUGUGGAGAGUACAUUAAACAAAAGGAUGGAUGGGAUGCAAAAUGAUCUGUCUCAGAAGAUAGACAAUGUCUAAUACGCAAUCUCAAGGCUUACCAACCUCAACACAGUGCAAGAGAAAGGAAAGUUUCCUUCUCAACCUCAUCAAAAUCCCAAGGAUAUCCAUGAAAUGGAGGCUCAAAAGGUAGAAUCUUCAAAGGUGAGGGAAGUCAAAGCAAUUAUAACCUUGAGAAGUGGUAAAGAGGUUGAUCAACCCACAUCCAAGCCAAGGCAUGAUGAAAAGAGUGUGGCAGAAAAAGAAAAGAGUGAAGAAAUUAAAGGAAAGAGAAAAGGGAAAAGUACAAAGAAAGAUGACCAUGAUUCUAGUGUGGAUGAAAAACCCGAGAGGAUAGUCAUCAAGGAAGAUAUGAUGAAGAAAUACGUGCCUCCACCUUUCCCCCAAGCUUUGCAUGGAAAAAAAGGAACUAAUAAUGCAUCAAAAAAUUUUGAAUUAUUGAGGCAAGUGAAGGUCAAUAUCCCUUUGCUAGACAUGAUCAAACAAGUGUCAACAUAUGCAAAAUUCUUGAAGGACUUGUGCACUGUAAAGAGAGGAUUAAAUGUGAACAAGAAAGCCUUCUUGAUUGAGCAAGUGAGUGCCAUCAUACUGUGCAAGUCUCUAGUGAAGUGCAAAGAUCCGGGCUGCCCUACCAUCUCAAUGAGUAUUAGAGGGACUUGUGUGAAAAAAACUUUGUUGGACUUGGGAGCCAGUGUGAAUUUGCUACCAUAUUCUAUCUACAAGCAAUUGGGACUUGGAGAGUUGAAGCCAACAUCCAUCACUCUAUCUCUGGCAAAUAGAUCAGUGAAGAUUCCAAGAGGGAUGAUCGAAGAUGUCAUGGUUCAAGUUGACAAAUUCUACUAUCCAGUGGAUUUUGUUGUUCUUGAUACAGAUCUGGUUGUCAAAUGAACUAACUAUGUUCCUAUCAUACUUGGAAGACCAUUCCUAGCUACAUCAAAUGCAAUCAUCAAUUUUAGGAAUGGAGUCAUGCAACUCACAUUUGGCAAUAUGACAUUAGAGCUCAACAUCUUCCAUUUGUACAAGAAGCAUAUCCAUCCGGAAGAAGAAGAAGGUCCAGAGAAAGUGUGCAUGAUUGACACUUUAGUGGAGGAGCAUUAUGAUCAAAGAAUGCAAAAAGAUUUGGUUGAGAGUUUUGGGGAUCUUGAUGAAGGGUUACUUGAACCCUCAUAUUUGCUUACUACCCUGUCCCCUUGGAGGAGGAGAGAAGAAAUUCUACCCUUAUUCAAUGAGGAGGAGACACAAAGAGCUGUUAAGGAGGAGCCCCCAAAGCUUAUUCUUAAGCCACUACCCACAGAGUUGAAGUAUGCCUACUUGGAAGAAGACAAGAAGUGCCCUGUUGUUAUAUCUUCAGCUCUUACCAUUCACCAGGAGGAUUGUCUACUUGAAGUCCUUAGAAGAUGUAAGAAGGCAAUAGGGUGGCAAAUUUCUGAUUUGAAAGGGAUCAGCCCUUUAGUCUACACCCAUCAUAUUUACAUGGAGGAUGAAGCUAAGCCAAUUCGUCAACCUCAGAGAAGGUUGAACCCUCACAUGCAAGAGGUGGUGUGAGCUGAUGUUCUUAAGCUACUUCAGGCUGGUAUUAUUUACCCCAUAUCAGAUAGCCCAUGGGUGAGUCCUACUCAAGUUGUGCCAAAAAAGUCUGGGAUCACGGUGGUGCAAAAUGAUAAGGGAGAAGAUGUCUCUACAUGCCUCGCUACAGGUUGGAGGGUGUAUAUCGAUUAUAGGAAGUUCAAUUCGAUGACAAGGAAGGACCAUUUCCCAUUGCCCUUUAUUGAUCAGGUGCUUGAGAGGGUCUUUGGGCAUCCUUUUCAUAAUUUCUUGGAUGGCUACUCCGGGUACUUUCAGAUAGAAAUUGAUGUUGAAGACCAGGAGAAGACCACUUUCACGUGCCCAUUUGGCACCUAUGCAUACAGGAGAAUGCCUUUCAACUUAUGCAAUGCACCCGCAACUUUCCAAAGAUGCAUGUUAAGCAUUUUCAGUGAUAUGGUGGAGCAUAUUAUGGAAGUCUUUAUAGAUGAUAUCACCAUAUAUGGAAGUGCAUUUGAUGAAUGCUUGGUCAACUUAAAAACUGUUCUGAACCGAUGCAUUGAGAAAGACUUAGUGCUUAACUAGGAGAAGUGUCAUUUCAUGGUACACCAAAGGAUUGUCCUUGGGCACAUCAUCUCCAAGCAAGGCAUUGAAGUUGACAAAGCAAAGGUUAAACUCAUUGUUAAGUUGCCAUCCCCAAAAAAUGCCAAAGGAUUAAGGCAAUUCCUUGGCCAUGCCGGGUUCUAUAGGAGGUUUAUCAAUGAUUUCUCUAAGCUUGCAAGACCUCUUUGUGAACUAUUGGUGAAGGAUGCUAAAUUCAUAUACGAUGAUAGAUGCCAAAGGAGUUUUGAAGAAUUGAAGCUAUUUCUAACAACCGUACCAAUAGUGAGGGCUCCCAACUGGCAACUGCCUUUUGAGGUAAUGUGUGAUGUCAGUGACUUUGCUAUAGGAGCUGUUCUUGGGAAAAGAGAAGAUGGAAAACCCUAUGUGGUCUACUAUGCGAGCAAGACAUUGAAUGAGGCGCAAAGAAACUACACAACCACUGAGAAAGAAUUGUUAGCUGUAGUUUUUGCCUUGGAUAAGUUUCGUGCUUACUUGGUGGGGUCCUUCAUUGUGGUUUUCACUUAUCACUCUGCUUUGAAGUAUCUGUUGACUAAGCAAGAUGCUAAAGCAAGGCUGAUUAGAUGGAUUCUCUUGCUUCAAGAGUUCAAUCUCUAGAUCAAAGACAAGAAAUGAGUGGAGAAUAUGGUAGCAUACCACCUUUCAAGGCUAGCUAUCGCACAUAAUUCCCAUGGUUCGCCCAUUAAUGAUGAUUUUCCAGAGAAGUCUCUCAUGUUGGUGCAAGUUGCUCCUUGGUAUCCUAACAAUUCAAAUGAAAUAGUGGAACUACUCAACUUCAACAGCACCAGGAGCUUCAAAAUGAAUGGCCACCGUCUCAAGCCCUUUGUGGAGCCUUUUUCUCACGACAAGGAGGAAUUCAUCCUCCUUGAUCCACAUCAAGCUUGACAAGACCAGUUAUUUUUUAUGGACUUAGUCUUUUUAAAGACUAAUUGAGUCCAUAUCUUUUUGUUUUAUUUCUGAUUUGAGAGUUUUCCUGUAUUAUUACUUGUUUUGAUUUUUAUUUCUCGUUUUAAUUUUAUUUUGGUUUGAUUUAACUUAAGUUUUUUAUGACCAAUUACAAGGGGGACUUCAAAGCGGCUGGGCAAGUCCUUAAAAAUUCUUGGCAGAGGAAACACCAAGGCAAUUCACACACCUUGCGAAAAUUUCGCAGGGCAUGCGAAAUUUAUGGAUCAUUUCUCAUGGGGUGCGAAAAUUUUGCACCCUGCGAACUCAUUUCGCACGUUGUGUGAAAAUCAAAAGGCGUUGUGCAAAAAAGAAAAGUCGCUCUGCCAGCCCUUUUUAAACCCCUGAUCUUUAACUUCUCCAUUUCGCAAACACCAAACACCCUGCGAAUCCCUCAUUUUCCUCUACCACAUUGCGACCUCAUCUCUCUCCAUUUGACAUCUUGCCCGCGCACAUCACUUUGAAGACUUGCACUCCGAGCCCCCUUCGAGCACGGACCCGAGGCCAUAUCUCCAUUUCCGACAUGGCACCGACUCGAGGAGCCCUUCCCGCCCCUUCACCGCGUUGCACUACGAGGUAGAGAGCCUCCACUACUCAGGUGCCUAGUGAUUCUCCAUCUUAGGUCGCUGAGGCCCCAUAGAUUCCACUUUCUGAGGGUGGAGCGCCUACUAGUCCUUCCUCACCUGCUUCUCAGCGCAGAUACGAGACGAGGAGACCACCUACUACACCAGGGGCGACUACUUCGCGCCCUGAGAGUUCAAUGCAACGCCCUCCUGCCAAGAGGGCUAGAACUUCAGGCCUAGGCGAGUCAUCCAAAGCUUCAUAGCCUAAGCCUCUUGCGGAUUCUGAGCUUCCUUCCGACAUGUCACCGAGGUCUAUUAUCAGACACCCGAUGCUCACAGCACUACCCAUUGAUGGAAACUCAGAUUACAGAGUGAGACCUUUCCACUCAGAGCUAUAUUUUGAUCAGGAGGCCAUGCGACAGUAGCCUAAGCUCCGAGACUCUUAUGGCCUACUGCAGAGGCACCAUCUUGAGCACCUUAUGACUCCUCGUGAGUUCUUUUAUCCUAGAGUAGCACUAGAAUUUUACCAGUUCAUGACUACUCAUGGCGUCCCAAGUCCUACUACGAUUCAUUUCACCAUUGAUGGACGUCAUGGUAUCCUCGAGGCCAGAGGUAUCGUAGAGGCUCUACAGAUUCCUUUCGAACCAGUGGAUCCAUUUGUUUUUUGCCAGUGGUCCCCAGUAUCUCAGAGGGACAUGGUCCACAUUUUAUCCAAAAGGACCUCCAUUGAUUCGAUCCUUCUACGGAAGGAGCUUCUACUUGGGAUGCUCCUCGUAGAUGUGGUGCUAUGUUCCAACCUCUUUCCCCUACAGCAUUCGGUACAGAGGCGAUGAGCUAUCUUGGACGCUUUAUUUCGUAUAUCAAAGGGCUUCUACUUUGGCCCACACCACUUGAUCAUGGCCUCCCUUGUCCACUUUGAGGAGAAGGUCCAUAGGAAUAAGCUUCAGAGGUCGAACACCAUUCCAUUACUAUUCCCGAGGUUGCUUUACCAGAUCUUGGAGUAUAUGGGUUUUCCUACUGAGCCUCGGCUCGAGCGCCGCCGCCUUUGUCGAGAGCAAUUCCCUCUUGACAAAUGGAAUUAGUUGGCGGGUUAUUCUACACCUCCAGGAGCCCCUCAUAUGGUAGCACCUCUAGUGCCCCCAUAGACAGAGCAGGGUGAGUUUCUGACAAAGACUAUACCACCUACCCCUGCAUCACCUACUUUAGCACCACCAGUGCCCAUGCCCGAGGCUACUUCUACUACUCUCCAUGUGACUCCUAUUGUUCCACCAGUUGGUCCUACUACAUCCGAGCCUUCCAUCACCAUCUCGGCUUCGGAGUUUCAUGCCCUUGUGCAUACCUUUCAAACACUGACCACCACACAUGCUACUCUCUUCCAGCAUAUGGCUGAGAUGCAUCCCCAUCAGGACCAACAGACUGCUAUACUCCGCCAGAUUCAGCAGCACCUGGGACUUCUGCCUCCACCUCAGCCUCACCUUCCUGCAUCAUUAGAGCCUUUAGCUCCAGCUGAGGAUACUAUUCCAGCUGAGGACACUACCACAGUAGAGGUCCAAAUCCCGCCAUCUUAAGAGGCCACCACAGAUGCCAUUGCUUCAUAUGAUCCUCACGAUAAGCCUCAGACAAUUGACACAGUCACAACUACACCUGAGAAUGCAUCAUCUCCACUUGAGGGUGCCACUACUUGAUCAUAGGACAUCUCUUUAUCUUAUUGUAUUUACAUAUUAUAUUAGUGGAGAUUUGUCCUUGUUUUGAUGCUUUAUACUCUGGGAUUGGAUGUAUUACCUGAUCAUAUCUCAUAUUGUACUUUCUUAGAUUAAUAUAUAGACAUACUUUUUUUUUAUUAUACUUAGCAUUUUUCUAUUUCCUCUACUCAUUACUCUUUUGUUUUUUUUUACUCAUGUGGUUUCUCCCAUAUGACUCAGACUCCAUUUCACUCAAGAGGUACCACUUCCUCCCUUUAUUUUCAAUUGCUCUUGACACAUUAAGGGCAAUGUUGAUCUUGAUUGGGAGAAGAGUUGAGGAAGGAAGUUUUGUUAAUAAUGCUAGGUUAAUUUUUUAAUUUAGUUACUUUUUGCUUAAUUUUAAAAGUUCUUUACCCUACUCUCCAUGGUUAUUAAGGCAAAAUUCUCAAAAUGAAAUGGGAGAAAUUGAGUUCUUGCAUUUUUACUUGAAUCUUAGAGUUUGUAUUAUGCUUAUUGAAGUUGAUGAAUUAUUGAAACUCCUAUUGAAUUCAACCUUAUUUCUUCCACUUUAAUCUUACCACACACUGUGCACAUUAGGUUCCAGUUAUAAGAUGAAAAACUAUCUCACCCCCUGAACUUAGGAAAAUUUUGACUUGGUACAUUUAACCUCGUUUUAAUAGUGUUAGGACACCUUAUAAAAAGCUAAUGAGCCUUCGAAAAAAAAAAGAACAAAGUGUUUCACUUACCUUGAAACCCGAGCAAGGUUCGAGGGUAUACGACAAAAGUCUUUAAAACCCGGUGCCCUAAGCCUUUAUUGGUUGGGAGUCACCGACCUCAAUGCUCGUUACAAAGGGUAAUAGGUGGAGUUUAACAUAUUGUAGGUGCUUGGGUAUUGAAUUUCAAUCUCAAAAGUCCGGGAAAAUUUUGAGGAGUUAGUGGUCGAAAGAGCCUUAAAGCUUGAUGCCCUAAACCUUGAUUGGUUGGGAGUCAUCGAUGGAUCCCCGUUACAUGGACACUUUAGAAAACAAUACCUUUAUCAUUGCACUCCUACAAUGAAAAAAUUAUGAAAUAAAAGAGGUGCGUUCUUAGUCUAUUGGAGGUUGGUCAGUUUGAGAAAGAACUAGGUUGGGGGGAGAGAAUAGUCCGACAUACUAUAAUCAGAAACUAAUAAGCUUAACACUUAGAUUUUUGUGGAAAAAUAAGGAUUGGACCCUUGGGAGUGGAAAUUCUUUUGAUGCUUAAAUUUGCAUAAUGCCUACUCUUUAUAAAUUGUGAUUAAGCAAGAUAUUUGAUGACUCUUGUUGAAGGCUGGGUUUUGCCUCUUCGAUGUUCCAUGAGAGAGUAUGAUCCACAUCAUGGCACUUGAAAAUUUUUUGGAGUGAUUAGCAUGAUUUUGUAAAUUAUUUAAAUGUCUAAUUUUCUUUAUCUCUCCUUCAUUGCUAAGGGACUAGCAAUGUGUCGGUUGGGGGGAGUGAUUACUACUCAAAAAGUACUCUUUUAUAACUUGAAACUAACUAUUUUAAACACUUUUGAGUAGUAGUUAAUACAUUUGAACUCAAUUAGCACAUUAAGGAACCUAGCAAGGGUUACUAAUCAGUUUUUGGCAAAUUUUGGUGUUUUUGGUAGCUUAAAUCCAUGGCAAUGCAAGUUGAAGUUCAAAUACAUGACGAAUCCGAGCUUUGGAGCACUUCAUAGCCCUUUUCCAAGGUUGGAAAUAGGUUGCCAAGCCAAUCAGAGAUGCAAGGAAGAAAACCAGAGGAAGAAAUCCAACAACCAGUAUUUUCGCAUGGUUGUGCGAAAUUUCGCACACCAUGCAAAACCACAAGAGGCAGCCAAAUAAUUUCGCACACCAUGUAAAAUUUCGCAUGGUAUGUGAAAUCUUCCUAUGCAUCGACUCCGUUAGAUUUUUAUCUCCUAAUAUUUUGUGUAAUUUCCUAUUUUCUCCUUGUAGUCAACCUAGAUAUUUUCUUUUAUAUUUUUUUUAUAUCUUUUGGUAUAGAGAGAGACACACACACAGAUGGAUGAAAUUCAUUAAACACUUGUAAAUUCCCGUAGUAAGAAAUAUACAGAGCUUUUGCUCUGCCUUUCCUUCUCAUUUUGUUUUCACUUUUCUUUCUAGCCAAACAACCUCUGAGGAUGAUUUCUCAGGGGAUGAGUGGCUAGGUUUUACGUUUCUUGGAGUGAUGGAAGCUACAUGAAGGACCCGUAUGCAAAGGUGGGAGUUGUCCUUGCUUUAAAUGAAAGUAGUUGUUAACCAUUAAUGGUUUUUAUUUUAAGGUUUAGCUUUAAAUCCCUUAAAAGCACCUUGAAUGGCCAAUACUUGGUAAGCUUUUCGGAUUCUAUGGAUGCUUAUUGCUAGAUCCAUGGAUGUCUAUUAGUUAUCAUUUACGAGCCAUUGGAAGGUGGUUCAAGGUGAGGGCCUGAUUACUACUCAAAAAGUGCUAUUUGAUAGCUUGUAAUUAACUCUUUUAAACACUUUUGGGUAGUAGUUAUCACCUUUUAACCCAAUUAACAUAUUAAGGACCCUUGCAAUCAAUUCUAAUCAAAUUGUGUUAAGUUUUGGUGUUUUGAUAGCUUUUUGAUCACCAAAGCAAUCAGAGAUUGAGGAGAGUUCUUUGGAAUCUAUGGCAAAGAUGUCUGGAUAGGGCGUCCGGACACACCAUUGGAGAGCGGCGGAACGUGGGCUGCAGCAAGGCUUGCUUACUGUAGUCAAUGAUCCAGACAACAUAUCCGGAUAGGAUAUGCUAUCAUUUGGAGUGUGAUGUUCACGAGUGCCGGAUAGCAUGGCGGCGUGUAUCCUCUGGGGGGAAUCCGGAUGGGUCCCUACACCUUACACAUGCAGACGGUCCCCUUGCGACGUCCGGAUAUCUCAUCCGAAAUUAUGUCCUGUCAAACAUGUCCAGAUCCUUUGAUCGGAUAUUUCACAUCCGGAUCCCCUGACGUCGGAUGAGAGAGGAGGCGUUUCAACUUCCCCGGACAGGCAUGUUCGGAUGUUCGGAUCUUCUGAUAGCGCUCAUUCGGAGAGCAUCCGCGACCGACAUUUCAGAUUACCCGGAUUUUGCAUAGUGUCGCGGUGUUCUCCUGAAGCUUCACGAUAUUUCCGACCGACAUCUUGAGAUAUUUUGCUUUAGAUAUUUGUUGUCUAAAUCCCUAAAGUCUCCUUGUAAUCCACCUAUCAUAGGAUUCCUUAGUCCUUAAGUAAGAACAAAGGGGUGAAUAACCUCUUAUAUAUAGUUUGUAAUUUCCUUUACAAAAGGGAGGAUACAUAUGAUGUAAUCCGAUAUAUGGAAUCGACGAACAGAGCACUUGCUCUGUUUCUUCUUCAUAUUUUUGUUUUCUCAUUAGUUUUCUUUCUAGUCAAUCAAACUCUGAGGAUUUUUCCUCAGAGGAUGAGAGGCUAGGCUCUUCGUCUCUUGGAGUGAAGAAAGCCGGGUAAGUUUCCUCAUGCAUAAAUUGGAAGUUUUGUUGUUUUAGUUUUUAAUGAAGAUAAAGUGUGACCCAUUAAUGGUUUUUAUCUUUUUAGUUAACUUAAAACGCCUUUAAAUCACCUGGGCCAACACUUGGUAAGGUAAGUGAUCUCCAUCCAUUGAGAUGCACUUGUUUAUCUCUUGCGAGCCUUUGGGAGGUGGUUUAGAGGCAGGAUUUUCUAGAAUAGCCAACACUUGGUAAGCUUUUGGACUCUACAGAGACAUCCAUUAGUUAUCUCUUGCGAGCUUUUGACAGGUAAUCCAAGGUUAAAGAUCACCUUGAAUGGCAAAUGCUAGGUGAGAGGCACGAGCCAUUGCAAGAUGCAUCAGUGAGAGGGAUUUAGUGUUUGAACCCAUUAAGGGGAAGCAUCUGUACCACACCGGUUAGAGAAUUAACUAUAUGUUAAUUCUCUAAUACGAGGAAAAGAAACAAGUGACCGGAACUCUCCUUUUUGUAUGAGGAACCUGAACCUAGUGAUCUAAACUCCAAGAAACACUUUUCAUUGUAAGUAAAAUCAGUUACUAUUUUUGGUUAGUUUAAAACCAAACCUUUUUCAUUUAAACAUCUUUAUGUUUUCUUUUAAGCUAACCUUGAAAUGAAAAGGCACCCAUUCAACUUUGAAUUAAUAUCAAUUGUAGAGUGAAAACCCAUCCCAGUGAACGACCCUAGAGCCACUAUGCUAUGCUAGCUAAGGCUAUCCUAGUACAUGGUGUAAUAGGUUAUAAAUUUUGUUGAUUACUCCAUGAGGACCACAAUCAAGGGACACCAGCUGGACACGAAUCAAAUGGCACCACUGUCAGGAACCAUUGAGAGGACAUGAAUCAGCUGAGACACCAAUUGGGAACGAAUCAGGGUAUUUAGUGUUUGAAGUCAUUAAUGGGAAGCAACUAUCAUUUUUCAUGAACCCUUUGGAUCAAAUCUUAAUCGCUAAAUAUAAAACAGAUUCGGGAGAUAACCAUCCUUUAUGUUAUCUUCCCCAACGGGAGGAGAAGAUCUGGAAUCUCCCCCUUUGCCUAAGGAACCCGAUCCUAGUGACCUAAAGCUCCAAGAGACCUUUUCUUUGUAGUUAACUUCACUUAUUAUUUUUGCUUAACUUAAAAUAAAUCUUUGCAACCACAAUUCCAUUUUCUUUAAAAGCUAAUUUUCAUAAGGAGAAACACCAUUUUAUUUCUUUCACUAAAGUCAAUUGUACAAUGAAAACCCAUCCCUAUGGAUGAUCCUAGAGCCACUAUACUAUGUUAGCUAUGCUACCCUAGUGUAAGGUGAUUUAGGUUUUAUAAAUUUUGUUGAUAACACCCGUCUGAGCCAUAAUCAAAUGGCAUGACUGCAAUGGGGACGAAUCAAGUAUGUUGAAGACCAAAGCACAAUUGGGUUGCAUGUAAAGAAAAAAUGGACUAUGUUAAGGGACUAAACAUUAAAGUUGUGAAUUUUUUUUUGAUAUUUUAAUAUAUUUUAGCUUUUUUUGUGUUUCUUAUUUAUGAAAUACAAGUUCACUAUUUGUGAUUAAAUACUGUAAUUUGGAAAUGUAUUACCAGGUGAAAAAUUAGGUGCAACCACUAAUUUCAUUGGUACAUAAUUUUUUUUCUUAUGUGUAUGCAUUAUUUCAAUAGCAGGUGAAAAAUUAGGCGCAACAAUUAUUAAAUUAAAACUAAAUUUAAAAUUAAACAAUUAUCUUCCUUGAUGCUUUUACUAAGUGUCAAGGAAUGAGAGUAACCACCAGUAACAUUUAUACAACCCAAUAAUGGCACUAAUAAAUGUGUCAAGAUAGUGUGAACAACUAACAAUGACACUUUUUUAAGUGUCAAGGUUCUCUUCAAUGGCGCUUUCUAGAAGUGUCCUUAUAGUUCGAUAUUUGAAACUACUAAACAAUGACACUUAUAGAAAGUGUCAAGGUUUCUUCUACUCAACAAUGGUGUUUAUAAAAGUGUCAAUGUAGUUUGAUAUAACUAAUGAUGACACUUUUUUUAAGCGUCAAGGUUCUCUUCAAUGGCGCUUUCUAGAAAGCGCCAUUGUAGGCAAAUACUUAUUAUGACAAGCUAGUAGAUGAUGCUUUGGGGAAAUGCCAUUGAAUGUAUUUCUUGACACUUAAAAAGCGUCAUGGUUAACAUUUUUUCUUAUAGUAGUGUGGGCAAAACGUUCAUUCAACAUAUAUCACAUGAAUAUUCAAAUAAACUAAAAAGCAAAAAUUGAAUUGGAAAUUAAAUGGUAAUGGGCAUUUUAUAAACAUUCUAUGUUGAGAAGAUGUCCUUCCAAUGUGAAUAUGAGAAGGAAGUGUAAAUCUCCUUUCAUAUUUGAAUGAGACACAAAAGAGUUAGCUGAUUCAAGCAAAACAAACUCAACUUGGAAAAUUAAUGUAAUGGAUGAUUCCAAAUAAGAGAAAGUUGACUUCAAAAUUAAUGUGAGAAUUAGGUAGCAUUUAGUGUAGGAACAUGUUGCAUUAUUUCAUUGUUUUAGAUAUUUAAGUUUUUGUAGCUUGGAUGGACUGGUCCAUUGGGUAUAUGAAGUUUAAUUUGCAAUGCACAUAAUUUGAAAGAAUCUUGUCAAGUCUAUCAAAAUUAAUUGACAAAUAUGCUAUCCAUUUGGAUGAAGUAGAACUUCAAAAGCACAUAAGCACAUACCUCCAAGUGAUGGUGCCAUGAUAUAGUCCUUAAUGUUUCUUGGUGAAGGUGUUUUGUAAAAGAAUGCAAAGAAGAAAAAUUCAAAAUUAGUUCUAAACAUUUUAAUACCAUAGAAAUUAGUUAAGACUGAGUAUCAAUAUUGUAAUGGUAAGCUAUGCAUCAAAAGGUCUAUAAAAGGAGUCAAGAAAAUAACACAUUUGACCAACUAGAGCCUCUCAGAGUUUAGAUGCCUUAUCUUAUUACAAAUUGAAGAACUUGCAAACAGUCCUCCAAAGGACAUUGAGGAUAAGUAAGGCGGUGUUUUUUUUUUUUUUUUCUUAAUUGUAAAUAUAAUUUAAAACUAAAUAGUGCUUAAUAGUGUGUUAAGUAUUGGGUUGUUUGUUUUUACCAUAUUUUAUUUCUAUUAAGCAUUAAAAAAUAAAAAACAACCAACAUGUUACUUUUUCUAUUUAGAAAAAGCUAAAUAUAUUUUUUUUUCAAAAAAAAAUUUAUAAUAAGUCAUAAAAAAGUAGAAAAACAUACAACUAAAAGUUUAAAAGCAAAUUGCUUUAAGCAAAAAGGUAAAAAAACAAACACCUUCUAAGUCAUUUAUCUGCAUUAAGAUUUUAAUUAGUUUUAGGGAUGAUCAAUCAUACCCAUACUUAUAUCCCUCACACUUUUUCACUGAACUGAAUGCACUUGUAGCAUUAAGAAAUGUUUUCCCAAAGGCCUUAAUACUCUUUAAUUUGAUGUCAAUGGGUGAUUAUGGGAUUCUUUAUUUUAUGAUAUCUGAGCCCCUUCCUCAUAGGAUAAACACACUCUCAUCUAUAGAUCAAAUCUCCCAAACCAACCAACACAAAUGUGAUCCUAGGUAAGAGGUUCAGUCUACUAGACUAAACUCAUUUCCUUCAAGUUCAUUAUUGGUCACCACAAGUUCACCAAACUAGUGAAAGAAACCAACUUUACCGAAAUAGAAAACACUAUUUUUGAAAACAAAUAACUACUCGAGUUAAUUUCAUUCAUCUCCCCUCUGGUUUUCACUAAAUACAUUUGAUCCCAUUGAUUUGAAAUUACAUUAAAUACCUUUCAUUUUCUUUUUAUUUGUUAUUUUCAUUCACUUAAUCUUCUCCUACUCAAAAUAAGGAAGGUAUUUUAUGAGAUCUCAAAUUAAUAAGGGCUAAGUGUAUUAGUUAAAACUUUAGGGGAGGUGAAUGAAAUUAAUACUAACUUCCCAAUCUUAAGUAAGAUAAAUAAAAAAUAAAAAAAAAUUAAAAGCCUAGUAAAAACCAAUCAACAAAAAAUUGUAAAAAAAAUAAAAAAAUAAAAGAAAAAACUAAAUCUUGUACAAUGUUAAGAAAUCAAAGCUGAAAAUAUUAGGCAUAAUCUAAUGAGAAAAAUUAUCAAAGAAAACAAUCACGCAAUGAGAUAAAUGAAUGAAAUCAUUAGACCUUACAAUUUCAUUAAACAAUAUAUUAUAACCACCAUUCAAUACAAUUAUAAGAACAAAGACUAAAACCCAAAAAAAAACUAGAGAAAAAAAAAAAAAACAGUUUAAGCGUAUUCUGACUAUUAGUGACAUAGAUAAGGUCAGAGAGAGAGAGAGAGUGUGUGUGUGGUACAAGCACGGGAGAUCUAAUUAGCAACCAUAAAUAUUAGUUGUGAACCAAAUAUGAUAUUGGAGUUUAGAGUGAGGGAUUUGUUCGAGGCUAUGGGGAAAACUAAGAUAUGGGUAAAAGUUUUUAUAUGCUAGAUACAAAAGAAACUUGUAGAAACACGAAGAUAAAGAAUGGAAGAAAAUCUGUUUCAAACCAAUUUUUACAUACAAUAUUUAUAUGGUGUAUCAGUUACAUGAGAAUAACUACUUAUCUAGCUAACCCUAUCAACUUAACCUACUGACUUGAGCGAUGUUGCUAACUACCCUAGCUGACUCUAACAAUAUUUCGUUGUUACAACCUUCGGGCAGGUAUCCUAACAGUAAAGGAGUUAUAGAGCCAGGUGAAUUCUUGAUCUUGAACUCCAUCAUCCCCCCACAAGCUCAUGGGUCGGGGAAUAACCGAUAGACGAGUUCUAAAGGAGGUGAACUGUGAGCUUGGAAGAUGUUUGGUGAAGAUAUCAGCAACCUGUUGUACUGAUGGUGUAUACUGAAUGGUGAUGGCUCAGAUAAAAUGGAGAUUGUUUUCGAUGUGUUUACUCCUUGCAUGAAACACCAGAUUUGCAGCUAGUCGAGUAGUAAUUUGGUUGUAAGCUUGAAUAUCAAGAGAUGUUGAGGGAUGAAAUAUAAGGUCAAGUGAGGGAGUUCUUUUAAGAUACCGCAAUACUCGUUUAAGAGCCAUCCAAUGUACAGUGGUGGGGUGAGCCAUAAACUGACAAGCUUUAUUUAUGGUGGAUAAGAUGUCUGGUCUGGUGAUUGUUACCUAUUGAAGGGCCCCCACGAUACUGUGGUAUAGAGAAGCAUCUGAGAAUGUAUCACUUGCUAACUGAGAAAGGUUGGUGCCAACAGCUCCAGGUGUGGAAAUGGAUUUUGAGUCUUGUAUGGCUGAUCUUGUGAGUAGGUCUUGGAUGUAUUUUUGCUGAUUGAGGUGCACAACACCAUUAACAUGGGAGACCUCAAUACCUAAAAAAUAAUUGAUGCAACCUAGGUCGCGGAGAGCAAAUGUGUCUUGAAGAUAUUUUAGGAAGGCCAACACCUGAGAAAGGUCAUUACCUGUGACCAGUAUAACAUCUACAUAGACUUGUAGGAGUAUGGUGAUGUUUGAAGAGUGAAAAAAAAACGAGUUAUUUGCUCGGGAACAGGAGCAGCCCCCACUUGAGUAAGGCUAUUUUGAGCUUAAGAAACCAAGCACGGGGGGCUCGUUUUAGGCCAUAGAUGGUUUUGUUUAAGCAGCACAUAUGAGUGGGGUGUUUGGGGUCUUCAAAACUAGGAGGAUGUUGCAAGAAAACUCGUUCUCUAAGAUCACUGUUGAGGAAGGAAUUUUGGACAUCUAAUUGGCGAAUUGUCCACCUGAAAGAUAAUGCAACUGUAAGAACAAUACGAAUAGUGGCAACCUUGACCAUUGGUCUAAAUGUAUCAAAGUAAUCUAAACCUUGUGUCUGAUGAAACCCUUCAGCAACAAGCUGAGCCUUGUACCGAUCAAUAGAGUCGUCUAGCUUGCGUUUGAGUUUAAACACCCACUUGCACCUAAUAAUAGGCCUAUUGGUUGGUGCAGGAGUAAGUUUCCCAGUGUUGUUAUGAAUGUGAGCUUGAUAUUCAAUUGCCAUGGCUUUCCUCCAAUUAGGAUCUUUGAAAGCUUCUCAGUGGGUGGGAGAUUCAAUAGUUUUGGGUGCUAAAAAAAGUAUAGGUUUGAGAUGACCAGUCUUGGAUUUGGUAAGCAUGUGAUGGUUGUUUCAUGGGUGGUUGGAGGUAGCUGGUUGAGAUGAAUGUGGCAGAGACUUAGCCAUAAAUGGGACUUAAAUAACUGGUGGAACGAGUUGAUGAGAUGCACUAGAAUUUGUUGGUGAUGAAGGCCUCUUCCCAGGAUGGAAAGUGUUUGAAGUUGUUGAAUUAUGGGUAUUGGAUGUGAAGCCAAGAAUAGCUGGAGUGACAGCCUGUGGAGAGAUUGUAGGAAUUGGUAAAGGGUGAGGAAUGUGAUAUGGAAAAACAGUCUCAUCAAACACUAUGCCGGGAAAUAUAGAUGCAACUGGUUGUGAGGUCCAUGAAAAUGUAUCAUUUCUUAAAAGAGAUAUAUCUGAGAAAGAGACAUUGUAUGGAUCUGUAUUGGAGUUUCUGGUUGUUGUAAGGUCUGAUAUAUGGAAAACAGAGGCACCCAAAAACUUUUGAGAAAGUAUAAUCUGGAGGACAACCAAAUAAGGUUUGAAAUGAAGAGUGCAAGUUUAGAACUUUUGUGGGUAAUCAAUUAAUGAGGAAUGUGGCUAUUUGAAAUGCAUAUAACCAAAAUUUGGAGGGUUGGUUUGCAUUAGCCAAGAGAGUCAAACAUGUUUCAAUAAUGUGUCAUAUAUUUUGUUCCAAUCUCCCAUUUUGUUCUGGUGUAUGAGGGCAUGAGCAUCGCUUUACAAUUCCUUAGUGAGAAAUGAAGCAAAAGCUUUAAAUUCACCCCCCCAUUAUCUUAUUGCAGGCAUUUAAUCUUGGCAUUAAAUUGUUUCUCCACUAGAGUUUGAAACUUAAUAAAUGUAGAUAAUGCUUGAUCCUUGGCAUGUAGGGGAUAAAUCCAUGAGAAUCUGGACCAAUCAUCAACAAGUAACAAGAAAUAACAAGCACCUGUAGUUGCUUGAACUGGAGUUGGGCCCUAAAGAUUGGUAUGUAUGAGAUCCAAAACUUUAGUUGUCUUUGAUUGAGAAAGAGAAAAUGGUAAUUUGUGACUUUUCCCAUACUGACGUGUUGUACAGAUAGUUGAAUUAUUUUUCUGAAGAGAAACAUUACAAGAGGCUAAUGCAUGUUGAAGAAUAUCUGCAGAGGGGUGACCUAACCAAGCAUGCCAGAGAGUGGAUGGUGUUGUUCUCGUUGUGACUGUAGAGGUAACAAAAGCAGUUGGUGUUUAUCUUGGCACAAGCUGUCUUGGAAACUAGCAAAGACCUUGUUCAAGCUUGCCUUGUAGGAGUGUGUUCUUCGUUUGCUAAUCCUUGAUUACAAAAUGACGAUGAUGAAAUUCAACAAAUGAAUUAUUGUCAUGGCAUAGUUUAGAAACACUAAUGAGAUUUGUGGCAAGCUUCAGAGCAUGAAGAACCUUGUUUAGCUUGAAUUUCUUGUAUUUGGUAGAUAAAAGAGUGCAACCAAUGUGAUGUAUAGGAAGUUUCUUACCAUUUCCAAUAGAGACUUGAUAAGGUUCGUGAUAAGGAUGCACGACAGAUAGAUGAGUAACAUUGUUGGUCAGAUGAUGAGUUGCCCGUGUCAAGAAACCAAGAAUCCGAUGAUGCUGGAGAGGCUACCAUGGCUUGAACUUGGUUACUGUUGUCAUUAGGAAAUGUGUUAUUGUUGGGAGUUGUAUGUGGAAGAUGACUCCCUUGAAAAUUGAUAUCAAAUCGGUGAUAGCAUGAAGGAGCAAUGUGUUCGUAUUUGCCACAUAAUUGGCAUUGUGGUCUAUUGCCUUGAUGCUACUUAAAGCCUAGAUUUCGGUUGCCUAAGGAUCCUCUACUUUGAGGUUGUGCUGAGUUUGGUCUAGAAUUUUGAUAGUUGUUGCGAUUGCUAGAGAUCCUUCUGAUAUUGCCUCUCGUUUGUUGCAUUUGAGAGACAACAACAUGACCAGAUAUGGAGUCUUCUUUUGGGAUUGUGUUUUGAAAUUUCAGACAUUGUUCAUGUGUGAGAAGUAUGCUGUGAAUAGAGUGGAUGGAUAUGUCAUCUUCUCGAGCAGUGAUGGAAGCAACAAUAGGAUUGUAAUCAGCACCAAGUCCUCCCAGUAUCUGUAACACCUGGUCUUUUUUUAAGACUGGUUCUCCAAUAGCUACGAGAUUAUCAGCUAUAGUUUUCACUUUGAGAAGAUACUCCAUCAUGGACAUUGUGCCUUUGCGAGUUGUUUGAAACUCCAAUCGAAGUUGCAUUGCUCUUGCUUUGGAGGAGGUUGAAAAUAUCUUCACCAGAGACGUCCAAGCUUCAUGAGAGGUUUGGUAUCCAACUAUUUGCCCCAUGAUUUCAGGGGUAAGAGAAGAAUAUAACCGGCUAAGAAUCAUACGGUCAUAACUUCUCCAUGAAACGAAUUAUGGGUUUAUUGUGCCUGUAGCUGUCAUCUUGGUAGGGUGCAUAUUCAGUCCUUCACUAUGAUCUUCAAAGCCAUUGGCGAAGAUGACAUUCUCCAUUUAGGUUUGCCAUAAGAUGUAAUUGCUUUUGUCUAGUUUAACAGGGAGGGUAUGAUUUAGCAUUUGAAGAGAAUAGCUCGAUCCUGGGAGUGAAGUAAUCUGUGUGGGAGUUUGUGAUUCAGAGGAUGGAUUAAAGAAAGACAUGGUUAAAUUUGGGAAAUCUUUUCUACAAGAUUAUUGAUGGAAGGAUAAUUUUUUGUGGUUGAUGAAGGAUCGUUUUUAGCAGUUGAGAGGAAGAAGAAGGGCUAAGGUAGGGUUAUGGCUUUGAUAGCAAGAAGAAACUUGCAGAAACAUGAAAACGAAGAAUGGAAGAAAAUUUGUUUCAAACCAAUUUUUACAUAUAGUAUUUAUGUAGUGUAUCAGUUACAUGAGAAUAACUGCUUAUCUAGCUAACCCUAACAACUUAACCUACUAACAAUAUUUGGUUGUUACAACCUUCAGGUAGGUACAAGUGUGAAUUUUGGAGUUUUUAAAGAUAACUAUUUAAUCUCAUAUGUAAUUUUUUUUGAGAUUUGAAGAAGUGAUAUAAAAUUGAAAUAGCCCUAGAUGUGAUUUUGAUAAAAAGGGCACAUACUGACUUACCCCAACAACAAUUUUCCCAAUAAGUCACUUUUUUAGUGGGUGUUGGUAAAUUAAUUUAAUGACUUAAUAGCUUAAUUUAAGUCAUUCAGUAGAUUAAAUAUAUUUAGUAAAAUAACUUAAUAUUGCAAUUUAAAGUUAUUUUUAAUUUUAACUAUUAAUUUAAAAUAGUUAACUUGUUCUUAAUAUCAAACAUUUUUUACCUUACUUACACACAUUAGUUAUAAUAUAUUUUAAAAUUAUGAUUCCACAAAUAUGACUCAUUUCAUAUAUAAUAAAUACAUUAUGGUUAUCUUAUACAUCUAUAAUUUUUUAAAUAUAAAUGUUUGACAAAUAAAUUUAUUGCUUAAAAUUAAUGGAAAUAAAUGAGUUAAAAUAAGUGAGGAUAAAUAUUAGUUAAAAUUAAUAAGAAUAAUUCUAUCAAUUUAAUGAUUUAAAAUAAAUUUUAAGAUAACUUUAGCAAACAAUCUUAACAUUUAAUAUAAAAUAAAAAAGUAAUAAGUUUUAAAUUAAGGACUUAAAAUGAAUUUAACUUAAAUUGAACUUAAAGCAUUAAGUAAUAAAUAUUAAGUUUUACUAGAUAUCCAUUUAGAGUGAUUUAGGGUGGAUUGGACAAGGUCACACAUAAAACCCUUAUUGCCAUUCUUACCUGCAUUCCAUACUCAACCAAAAUCCCAAAAUGACUUUCAUUAUACGCAAUAACUCUAAAACCUUCUACAAUACUUCACUCAAUCAUUUUCAUAUAUAAUGUAUAAUUUGUUUUUGAGAUAUUUUGGAGCUUCUCAGCUUUCUAAAAUUUGCCAAAAAAAUAUGAAAAAAUCUUAACCCUCCUACUCGAUAUAUCCAACUAGAACUUAAAGCUUAAUCAAUCAGUUUGUUGAUUUGAUCAAUCAAGAUAGGAAUUUCAUCCUAAAUCAAUUAAAUUACCAUGUUUCUUAAUUCUUCAUCCAAAAGAAUAACUUACACUUUUGAAAUCCCAAAUCAAACAUAUAUAUAAAAGAAAAAAACUUCACGACAUCCAAAACCAAGUAAUAAUUAAAUAACCAUCUAGGAUUAACAUAAGAAAUAAAAUAUGGAUGGAACAUCCUCCAAGAUCUUAUUAUCUCUUGGGCAACAAGCAGUAGAAAAAAGGAUUUGAAAUGGGACAAUAGCACAAACCUUCUAAUCCUUGGAAUUCUUGGAGAGAUGUGGUGUAUUCCUUUCCAAUUAAUUAAUUAUCAUUAAUUAGUUUAACCCAAUUAUUAAAUAUCAAAGAAUGUCUCACAAUAGAUUUACUAGGCUCCCAAAAUUUAUGCUCAAUAUAACUCGUGAUCUACAAAUUAUAUUUACAAAAUCAAUAAAUCAUUCUUCUUUUUUAAUGACCCUAACCAUCCAUUAAUAAAGUCGUUGGAUGAUGAAAAUGAACCAUGUUUUCUUCCUGCAAUUUAGCCACAUAAACAUUUAGGAUUAAUACAAGUGGCAUGCAUAUAGAAAUAUCAUUAGUACAGUACUAAUUAGCUACAGGUAGAGGACACCAGCAGUUGCUUAUAAUGCCAAGGUAUUAAAUUUUGGCUGAAAUAACGCAAAUGUCAUCAAGUCAACCCAACUGGAAACUAUUUUGUAGAAUAGAUGAAGAGACACCUAACAGACAUAACUAAAAGACAUUUGGAAGAUGCUUUAAGUAAAAAAAAAAAAAAGGAAAAGUCACCUAUGCCUUGAACUGGUCGACAUAAGAAAGGGAUUGCUUAGUUUAUGAGACUGAUCUUCCAUGGCAUAGGCUCAUGAGACUGUCGCAUAAUUUUGCCAAGCAAUUGCGGUGAUCCUCAUUGUUUGGUAGGAUGAUUUCUAUUUUAAAGAGAUAGUUGUACAGUGAUCCUAUUUUGAUAAUUGACUUGUGUUCUAGGAAGUUAACUUUAAAGGGGGUCAUGUAUGUGGGAUUGAUAAGAAGGUGAAAUUGUGAUGAGAUUAGGCGACAUGUAUGUAAUGAUAUUUCAUGUAGAAUGUUCUUCGUUCUAUGAUGUAUAAGUAAUCCUUGCUCUUUAAUUCAAAUAGAUUUUAUUCGGUUCAAUGCCAUACUUUGAAUAUGUGUGUUGCUGCUUGACCUCGGUACAGGCUGGGGGCUGGGUGCUGGACGACUGUACACGCUCACAAUUCAACGAGCGUUGAUGUUGAGAGCUUGACGACAAGCCAUGGCGAGGAGGGCUGAUGCUUGUUUCAAGAAGGGCAUCUGCUAUUGGUUGGAAGGAAAGAUGGUACAUCCGACGUAGCUGCUUGCUGGUAUUGCUAUAUUUCUGCCUGAGAAUCAGGGAUAACUACGAAUCGUGGAAGAAAUUAAGUUUGAUCAUCCUUUUAAACUCCCUCUGAAGAGGACUUUCAUUAGUCAAAAUUGCCCAACCUCUUCACCACUAACUCAUAUUCAUACUUACCUAAUUAAUAUCUAUUAGGAAGUCAACCAUUUAAUUAAUUCCACUGUUUGAAUUUUUUAAAUUAUAUAUAUAUAAAAUUUUGUUGGUAAAAUUUGACUUUUUAAUAGUAGGGCAUAAAAUAACAACUUUGAAGUUCUUGGAACUUUCAUGUUAAAAUUAUUUAAUUUGGUAGUUGAAUUUAUGUAUCUAGUUGAUAUCUAUAUAUAUGUUUUAGAAAAAUUCACUUGUUGAUUGACUGAAUUUAUUUGGUCCAAUAAUGAACCUUCCUAGCAUAUGUCUCGUUGUCAAAACAGAUGGAUUUCUUGAAUCAAGAUUCUAGGAAGAGAAAUUAUGUAUACAUCUUCCUAUCUUGUCUAAUAUAAUAAGUUUAUCUUUUUAAUAGUCACAAAAAAAAAAAAAAGUUAUAAAAACUAAUUUAAUCAAAGAAUAUAAAAUAAAUUGCAAAUGUGAUACUUAAAAAUUGAGGUCAUGUUUGGUCUAUUAAAUUAAAAGUAAAAAUUUAAGAGCAUAAACCUAUUAUGAGAAGAAAUCAACACUCUCCAUAAAUACAAAGAAAUUACAAAAACUUAAUUAUUUAAUUGAAGCAUGGUGAUAUGUUGAAGAUUUAAGGGUUAAAAUAAGUUAAAUUACUUUAAGUAGCAUAUAAAAAUAAAUUAUGAAUUUUAAAUUUUGUUUAUUUUCCUUCACUUUUUUUACUUAUAUUUCUUCUCUCUAUUUUCUUUUUCUUAUAUUUUUUUCCUUAAAUUUUUUUGGAACCGAACAUAACUUCAUUUUUUUUUCUUAUAUUUUUCUAGAAACUCAACAUAGCCUUAAGCAAGAUUGAAAACUAUAGGUGUAAGGAUUAACACAAAUAUUUUAGGCAUAAUAUAAAGUAAAAUUAGAUUUUGUAAACCAUUUUAGUGACUAGAAAUUAUAGGGAAUUUCAAAUCUAUGAACUUAAUCAACACUAUGCCACAUAAAGUCACUGUCCCAUCCGACCUUCCUAGUUAGAGCCCUCCAACCCUCUCAAAUUAGAACCUUUAUCUUUGUAACAGCAUCCUAAAAAAACUUGUGACCUAUUCCAUCACCACAAGAAAACCUACAGGUUAUGAUUAGUCUGAAAAGUAUUAAGGAAAGAAAAAUUUAAUUUUAUCAUGAAAAAUAUUUUUAAAAAAAAUCAAAUAUAAAUAAAAUUUAAAAUUAUUUGGUGUUUGGUAAACAAACUUAAUAACUUAAAGUAACUUAAUAACUUAAUUUAUGUUAUUGAGUAAAUAAUUUAAUGAUAUGACUUAAAAUAAAAAAUAAUUUAAGUAAUAAUAUAAACAAUUAACUUAUUAUUAAAUCUACAUCUUCAUUUUAUCUUUUUACAGUCAUUUGCCUUAGUUACCCCUAUAAUUUUUUAUACUACUUCACAACCUCCAUUGUUACUCGACUUCCUUUGUUCUAAUUAAAAUUUAUGAGGAUAAAUAUAUCAAUUUGAUGAUGUAGAAUAAAUUUUAAGUUAAUUUUAUCAAACAACCUUAAUAUUUGAAGUCAAAAAAUAAGUAAUAAGUUUUUAAGUCAAUAAUUUAAGUAUAUUUUAAUUUAAAGUUAACUUAAGUAGUUAAAUAAUAAGUAUUAAAUUUUACCAAAACUUGAAAAUGAAAAAUAAAUUAAAUGAGGUUGAGAUUGUAUAUAAAAAUAAUUUAUUUCUUAUUUUUCUUUUCUUUUUCUUUCCUUUUCAUUUUUUCUAUCUAUCUUCAUUUGCCCACAAAUUUUUGGAACCAAACAUACCCAUAAGAACUCAUCUAAAUGUUGUCUCAAAAGUUGUUCCAAGGAACUUCACAAAAUCUUAUACUCCCUAGAAAUUGUUACCUAGAUCUAAAAUGUAAGCUUCAUGGGUCCUCAAGGAUAAUUAACCAAUCAAAACUGAAUUACGAAAAAGAAAAAAAAAACUUUUAUAUUUUAAAAUAUUCAAACCCUUGAAUCUCCCAAGGAGGAUGAUUGAUCAGUCAUAUGGCAGUAAGGGAAAUUUGUCAAGGCUAUGUAUAGGACUAUCAUAACUCAUGAUCAAUCCUCCAUAUAUAAAAUUUUUAUUCAUGGGGCACACCACUUGUAUAUAUUUAAUUUUUUUUCCCCUCUCAUUUAUAUCCAUUAUUUUGUUAUAUGGUUGAGUCUUUCUUCGAAAACAAAAUAAUUUAGGACUCUUCUGCCCAUGUUUUCUUGAACUUAUUUUUUUAAAAUUGUUUUAAAGUUGAACAACACAAAACAAUUUAUUGCUAUUUUGUAAAUAUAAAGAUGUUAACACAAACUUUUGCUUUAUCUUAAAUUUUCUUAACAAAAAUUCAUUUCUUUUUCAACCUUCUAAUAUUUCAGUCAAUUUUUUCAGCAAAAUUUGAAUCUAUAUAUAUUCUCAUCCUUGAAAGGUAUAAGGCAUUUCACUAAGAUUAUAAUUUUCUCAUCCUCUUUCACCUAUUUGGUUUCUUUUUGGAUGCAAAUGUCUGUGAUGAAAAAACUAAUAACUGAAAAAUGAGUAUCAAGUUGAAAGAGACGAACUUCAUUUUGUCUCCUUGGGAUUUUGUUAAAAUAAUUAUAUUUUAACUUAAACAAAAAGUGUAAUUUUAAUUUGGAGGAAAAUUUUCAUAUUUGAGGUAAUAUAAGGUAUUUUGUUGCAUGUUAUGCACUUAUCAUAGCUUAUUUAUCUAGUUACAUAUAUUGAUUGAAGUAGCAUAGAUUUCAAUAAAUAGAUUCGAUGUUUACUAUGUUUUUAGCAUUUAUUUAACUUGCAAUGACUUAAAGAAUUAGGUUUUUACUUAGGUGGGUGCUUUUAUAUAUAUAUAUAUAUAUAUAUAUUUACUUAAUUCUAAAUAGAACUUAAAAAUAAAUAGUACUUAGUAGUAUUAAGUAUUAGAUUAUUUGUUUUUGUAAUAUUUUAUUUCUAUUAAACAUUAAAAGUAAAGAAAAACCAACAUACUAUUUUUCCUAUUUAGAAAAAACCAAUUAUUUUAGUUUUUUUAACUAAGCAAAAAGUUUAUAAUUAGUCAUAAAAAAGUUUUUUUUUAAAAAAAAACAAACAAACAAACAAUCAACUAAAGUUUGAAAGCAAAUUGCCUUUAGCAAAAAGUUAAAAAAACAAACACUCCCAAAGUUAAAUAUUUAAUUUUAUAAUCAUGGGUCGGAUUUCAAGUUACAAAAAAUUUAGGUCAUGACAAAUAUUACUUAGGUUUUUACUUGUAAUAUAAUAGAUCAAAUAGUUCUAAAUCAUGACACUGGUAUUAUUGAAAUUCCUAUUUGGUUCUAACAAUUAUUUAAUACUACUUUUUCAUGGUAUCAAAGAAAUUUAAUUUAAUUAUGAGAACAUAAGAGCCUAUAAUAAAGUUAAAAUCCUUAAUACCACACUAUCUAAAAGUUAAAAUCCUUUAGUUUAUGUUUGGUUUUUGGAAAAUUUGAGGGCAAAUGUGAGAGAAAAAAAAUAAAGAAGAAAAAUAGAAGGAAAGAAAAAGUGAAGAAAAAUAAAAAUAAUUUUAAACUCAAUAAAUUAUUUUUACAUGCUUUUUCAAACUCAUUUUUCUUAUUUCCCUCUAUUAUAUAAAGAUUAAAUAAUUUUAAAAUAUAUAAAUUUUUAACAAAUUUUAAUUAUAUUUGAUUUUCUUUUGUACUUUUUUCACAAUGAAACCAAAUACAAAAAAAAUCAUUUUUCUUAACAUUUUUUUUUCUUUCUUUAAUACUUUUUGGAACCAAAUAUGGCCUUAACAAACAAGAAAAGGAAAUAGAGUUGACAACAUAUUUGCCAAUGUCCAUCUUGUUUCCAUAUUCUUUCUCCACCCACGACCUAUGGUCUCAUAUGCGACAAAAGAAAGAGAGCAACAUAGUCAAAAUUCAUUUCUCUCUUCAAAUAUAGUGACACAAUAAGUAAAUAAUAAUAAUCAUCAAAUUAAUUUUCUUUUCUUUUUUCUUACCUAAAGUUUUUUAGAAACCAUAUAGAAAAAUAGAAAAUAUGAAAAAACUGAAACCUGACCUUGCAUUCUAUUGCAUCGACACUCUCAUUCUUCACAAGACUUAUAGUGACAAUAAAAAUUAUAAAAACAAAAACCGGUUAAAAUUUAAAAUCGUAAGAAUUCACCGAAAAUCUAGAAAGAAAAGAGAGAGGUGUUAGGGUUUUAAAGCAACGAAUAAAAUACCAUGAAAUAAGGAACCUCUUCUAUAGUCCAACGAGGGUGCAGUGUUGGGUUUCAACAAGGGAAGAGUGGUCGUGGUGAGGAUUUCAAAAAUUGGAGGUGUGCCAGGAAGGGUUUCAGAAAACAAGAUUCGUAGAAAAGACAGGGAAACCCUAAAAAUAGGUCUUAUAUGUGGGCUCUUUGCUUGCAUAUCCAAUAAAAUCUGUGCCCUCAAUCAACUUAUAGUGGGGGAACUAAGCCAGGCACAUCUCAUCUGAAGCCACCCUUUCUACACUGCACAUAUCAAGUCUAUAUCUGGGAUUCUUGUGAUGUUGUGCCCAUUACUUGCCUAUAGUUCCUCAAGUAUGGAAACAUUGGCAGUCAUCUUCAAAUUGAUAAAUGGUAGUUUUUUCCAUUCAUACUUUCAUUCGUUCAUGUACAGAGUAUAUAUAGAGGGUAAUCACCAUUCUAAGAAUGGGAAAGAAUAAUACAAGGAAAGAAUGAUAUAAGGAAAUAACAACUAAUAUCCUAAUAUCUCAACUUUCCUAAUAUCUCAAUAUUCUUAAUAUCUCAACUUUCCUAAUAUUUAAACAUUCCUAAUAUCUCAACACUAAAUAAUAUAAGGAAAGAAUGAUAUUCGGAAAGCAUUCCUAAUAUCUCAACACUCCCCCUCAAGUUGGUGCAUAGAUGUCACACAUGCCCAACUUGUCUAAAAAUUUUGAGAACACUUGACUUGAGACAGCUUUGGUGAGGAUAUCGGCCAAUUGAUCUUCUGAUCGAAUCUUAGGCAAUUCCACAAUCUUAUCAUCCAACUUUUCCUUAAUGAAGAAUCUAUCCACCUCGACAUGCUUUGUACGAUCAUGUUGUACUGGAUUAUGAGCAAUGUCACAUGCGGCUUUAUUGUCACAAAACGAUCGGAUUGGUUGCCUAGAUAGGUAACCUAAAUCAUGUAAGAGAAGUCUUAGCCAUAAUGCCUCACAAAGUCCUAGAGCCAUACCUCUAAAUUCUGCUUCUGCACUUAAACGAGCGACGACAUUCUGCUUCUUACUUUUCCAUGUCACAAGAUUACCACCUACAAAGGUAAAGUAACCAGAUGUAGAUCGCCUAUCAUCCACUGCACCGGCCCAAUCAGCAUCAGUAUAUACUUCUAUACUCUGAUGAUUAACAUUUUUAGCAAACAAAAUUCCCUUCCCAGGAGCAUUCUUCAAAUACCUCAAAAUAAGCAUAAUUGCAUUCAUAUGUUGCUCUCCAGGAUUAUGCAUGUAUUGACUCACUACACUCAAUGCAUAACUUGUAUGAGCUAAGUACAUUAAUCUCCCCACAAGUCUCUUGUAUCUUCCCUUAUCGGUUGAUACUUGAUUAGGUUCAACACACAAUUUUAGACCUUCUUCUAUUGGUGUAUUAACAGGUUGACCUCCCGACAUUCCAGUCUCCUAUAAAAGAUCUAAGGCAUACUUUCUUUGAGACAGAAAAAUUCCUUCACUUGAUUGAGAAACUUCAACCCAAGAAAGUAUUUCAGAUGACCUAGAUCUUUCAUUUCGAAUUCUCUAGAUAGAUAAUUUUGUAGAGCUUUUUUUUCUUCAGGAUCGUUCCUAUAACUACCAUGUCAUCCACAUAUACGAUGAGUGCGGUAAUCUUACCAUGUUGCUUUUUCAAGAACAAAGUGUGAUCUGAAUUACUUUGACGAUAGCCAAAAGCUCUCAUUGACUUUGUGAACCUUCCAAACCAUGCUCUCGGGGAUUGCUUCAACCCAUACAAUGACUUCUUCAAUUUGCACACCUUUUGACAUUGCUUUUCUAACACCAUGCAUCCUGGUGGAAGAUCCAUAUAUACUUCUUCAGAUAACUCGCCAUGAAAAAAGGCAUUUUUCAUAUCGAACUGUUGUAAUGGCCAAUCUAGGUUUGCAGCUAAAGAUAGUAAUACUCGAACUGUGUUGAUCUUAACUACAGGUGCAAAUGUCUCUGUGUAGUCAAUUCCAUAAGUUUGAGUGUACCCUUUUGCUACCAGUCUUGCUUUAAAUCGUUCAAUACUACCAUCUGCCUUGUACUUCACAGUAUAGAUCCAACGACACCCAACUGGCUUCUUUCUUGGUGGACAUUCUACGAGUUCCCAUGUUUCAUUCUUCUGCAAUGAUUUCAUCUCUUCAUUCAUAGUUGCUUUCCACCUUGGGUUAGCUAAGGCUUCCUGCACAUUGUUAGGAAUAGCUACAGUAGAUAAUUGAUUUACAAAUGACUUAUUUGAUUCAGACAAACGAUGGUUAGACACAUAGUUGCUCAUGGGAUAUUUGACUUUGGUAGACAAUUCAGGUUCAUAUGUGGGUUUAGGAAUACCUCUAUUAUGUCGGUGUGGUAACCGUUUCAUGAAUGGAUCAUGUUCCAAAUUAAGAACACCUUCAACAAACAACGAUUGGUUUGGUAUUUCAGUGAAGACAUCUUCAGACCCAAAUUGUUGACCACUCAUAUCCAACUCACCCGCUUCUUGGUUCACUAGUUCAGAUUGUCUAGAUUCAUUCUCCUCAGAGAUAUGAUAAUCAUAAUCGAGAGUUUGAAUUUCCUUAUGGUACUCCCCCCUGAAGUUCAGACUCAGAUGAAAAAUACAUCAAAUCUUCAUGAAACACCACAUCCAUUGUAAUAUACAUUUGUCGAGUUGGAGGAUGGUAACAUCGAUAUCCCUUUUUGUGCAAUGCAUAUCCCACAAACACACAUUGCAAUGCAUGGGAAGUUAACUUGGUGCAUUGGUGUUUGUGUAGAUGCACAAAUGCCACACAACCAAAAACACGAGGAGGUAGAUUUGGGACAGUUGGGGCAACUACGGCAUUAGUAAGAGCUUGGAGAGGUGUUUGGAAGUUAAUUGAGCUGGAAGGUACCCGAUUGAUCAAGUAUGCGGCAAAUGUGAUUGCUUCUCCCCAAUAAGAUAUCGGUGUUUUUGCUACUAUCAAGGAAGCACGAACAACCUCUAACAAGUGCCGAUUUUUCCGUUUAGCGACUCCAUUUUGCUGGGGUGUAUUGGAACAAGUAGUCUGAUGAAUGAUGCCAUGUCCUUCCAAAUACUUUUGAAGAUCAGAACUUUGAUAUUCUCCACCAUUAUCACUACGCAGAACCCGAACCUUUGCAUUGUACUGAGUUUCAAUCAUUUUAUGAAAUUUUUGAAACAACAAGUUCACUUCAUCUUUGGUCUUCAUCAAGCAUAACCAUGUCAUUCUGGUAUAAUCAUCAAUAAAAGUAACAAACCAACGUGAGCCACUCAAAGUUGGGACUUUGGAUGGGCCCCAAACAUCAAAAUGUAUAACCAUAAAAGGAAACGGACUUUUGUUCAAAAUUAACGGAAACGAAACACGAUGGCUUUUAGCCAAUUCACAAAUAUCACAACGGAAACUAGAAAUAUCACUCUUUGCAAACAAACUAGGAAACAAUUUUUUUAAAUAACCAAAGGAAGCAUGUCCCAGACGUCGAUGCCACAACCAAAUUUCAGACUUUUUCUUCUCCCCCUCAGAUCCAUCUGCCAUCAAGGCUUGUUGCAACUUAUUUGAAUCCUUUGACUGCAAGUCCAAGUAAUAGAGUUUUCCCUGCUUAAUACCACAACCAAUCGUCUGUCUUGUUUGGAUGUCCUUAAUCACACAAAAUUCAGGCCAAAAAAUGACUAUACAAGAUAAGGCUGCGGUGAUUUGAGAAACUGACAAAAGAUUGUAAUCUAAAGAUGGAACAACUAAAACAGAAUCCAAAUUCAAAGUAUCAGUAAGAGUUAAGGAUCCUUUCCCAAUGACUGGGGUUGUGUUACCAUUGGCUGUGGAAACAAUUUUUUGUGAGGAAGGUCUAAGGGGUGAAACCUGUCUAGAAUCAAAAGUCAUAUGAUCUGUAGCACCAGAAUCAAUUAUCCAUGCACUAUUAAUAACAGGUGUAAAAGUAUUUAAAAACUUACCACCAUGAUCUGUAGUGGCUACCAAUGCAGAGGCUUUCUCAGCAACAUUAGCCUUUGUUUUUAUUUCGGCAACAGUUGCAAUCGAGGUUUUCUUGGAAUCCUUCUUCCGUUGAUCACGAUUAUUACCAUUAAUAACAAAGUGUUGAUAGCCUAAACAUGAUCUAAAGAUCCAUGGUUCAAACCCUCGGUUCCUCAUUGUUUUCCUAGUCAUACCAAGAGUCGUUGCUUUGAAAUUGUGGGAUAUCCAGAUUGGUGGGAUCAAUCUUAUUGCAGUGAGUGCAUUUGAAGGUUGACUUAUCAAUAUUAGGGCUUGUCUUAGGAUGGAUGAUCACUGUCGGACUACCAUAGCGACAAAAUAUCCAGGAUUUCAGUUCCAUGGCUCUGAUACCAUCUUCAAAUUGAUAAAUAGUAGUUUUUUCCAUUCAUACUUUCAUUCGUUCAUGUACAGAGUAUAUAUAGAGGGUAAUCACCAUUCUAAGAAUGGGAAAGAAUAAUACAAGGAAAGAAUGAUAUAAGGAAAUAACAACUAAUAUCCUAAUAUCUCAACUUUCCUAAUAUCUCAAUAUUCUUAAUAUCUCAACUUUCCUAAUAUUUAAACAUUCCUAAUAUCUCAACACUAAAUAAUAUAAGGAAAGAAUGAUAUUUGGAAAGCAUUCCUAAUAUCUCAACAAGUCAAACACUCUCAGACCUCCAUAUUCUGAUGGUCAUAGUCAUGAGCUUCUGCUGUCGUGCAUGUGCAGCAGAUUGUUAUGAUGAUUUUGGACAAUCACAUGAACAGAAAAUAUAAGGCAUAGGGUGAUAGGACGACCCAUUACAUGGCCUUCCUGAAGACUAACCUUGAAAUCUUCAUUAGUAUAAACUAUAAAAAUGAGUAGGUCAACAACUUAGCUAAGCUUGCAGAAGUGUCUUCCUUGUUAAGUACAUAGAAAAGUCAUACUCAUCUAGCUGCCACCCAAACUGGAAUUAAUAACACAAUCGACCAUUUGUUGGAUGGAUUAUUUCCAUGCCUACUUAGAGAACAACAUAAUUCCUAAGUGUACAAAUUGAGAAUACAUGCUAUGAGUUACUCCAUCAUCAAUGAAGAACUCUACCAAAGAUCAUUCUUUGGUUGGUAAUUGACGUGUCUAAGAAUAGACGAGACCAAGUAUGUGUUGGUUGAGAUAUACCAAGGGCAAUGCAUCAACAACAGGAUAAUCCGUAGCCCAUUAUGCCCUAUCCCAGGGGUACUGUUUGUUGUUCAUGCACAAAGAUAUAGCGCCAUAUAUGAGCAAGUGGAAUAUUCACACCCAUAUUCCACUUCCUUGCUAAGCAACCAUUAUCCCUCGUCAAUCCUUUGGAUUUUACACGAUGGUGGAUUAACAUUACAAGAUUGUUGUCUACUGCCCCACCCCAGAAGCUCGUCUUUUUACAAAGUAGGUGGAAACAUGAAUAAUUUGAAUGAGUUUAAAUAGAUUACAUGUGCCAAAUUUACAUCACAAAAAUAAAUAAAUAAAUAAAAAUUCAGAGAUUUUCUUCUUCUCUACAUAUCAAUCAUAAAAUAAAACAAAUCAAUUGAGAGAUUAUUUCCUUCUCUGUAUGUUAUCAUAUUCUCUCUAUGGAGUUUGGUAAUAGACAAUCCUUGAGAUAUUAUCCUACAUUCAGCCCAAUUGUUUCCAAAUUGUUUCAAUAAUCUUUUCCACAUUUUGCUAUUGAAAAUAUUCCAUGAAUACUUUAGUACUUUUAUGAUUCCCCCUCUAGCUAGCUAGCGGGUGGUAACCUAUGCACUCCUAGCUUGUAUUGAAGAUUCUAAAAGAAAGCCUUAGGAAGACGUCUUGAGGGAAUAAAAAAGUACCAAGAGCUCCCAUUGUGACCUUGUCUUGAAAAAAGUAAUAAUCUAACUCAUUGUGCUUAGAACAUACGUUAUAUGAAAGACAUGAAGUUUUCCAAACCUAAAGAGAUAUGUUUCAAAGGCAUCUGAAUAGAAAAAUUUAGCAACAAUCAUUUACAACCUUUCAUCUAAUUCAUAUUUGAAGUUUAAAAAUUGUGGACUAAUCCUUGGUUUUGUGUUAAACCAUGGUUUUAACCUUAGAGUGUGACAUUACAUAUACUAAAUUUACAUCAUAAAAUAAAAUAAAUCAACAUAAAUUCAUUGAGAGAUUUUUUUUCUUUCUUGUUAUGGUAUCGAUCAUAAAACAAAAUAAAUCAGUUGAGAGAUUGUUUCCUUCUCUAUGUAUCCUCUAUAUGGAGUAAAUAUGGUAAAAGGAAAUAUUUUAGAUAUUACUCUACAUUCAACAACUUUGACUUCAUCAAUGAUUUCCAAAUUAUUUCAAUAAUCAUCACUUUUUCAUAUUUUGCUCAUGGAAUUCUACCAUGAAUACUUCAUUACUUUUAUUUAGGGCUACAACUUGGACGAGUUAGUUGAGUUGAUGACUAAUCUAAUCCCAAUCCGAAUUAAGAAAGAAUCAACCCAAACACCACCCAAAUUGAACUCUAACCCGAAGUACAUAACCUAAGCCCAAUCCAACCUCAUUUUUCUAAGUUCGGAUUGAAUUUGGAUUGUUCAAGUUAAACUUGAGUUAGUCGGGUUAGAUUCAAGUUGAUCGGGUUGACUUCAAGUUAAUCAAGUUACAAAGUUCAAAUUCAUCUAUAAUAUUUUAAAAUUUUUUUAAAUGUAUUUAUAUGAAAAUUUAUAUAGUAGAUAGUACAAAGUAAAUUUCAAGAUAGGAACAAAAAAAUAAAAAUAAAUUUAUAAAUUUUUCUAAAAAAUGAAAAAUAUAUGAUAUAAUAUAAUUUGAUUCUAUAAAAAAAAUUAUAAAGUAAAUGAAUAUUAUUAUAUAGGAUAAUAUAUAUUAUAAAUAUUAUAAAAAUAUUAAAUUGAGUUCAGCUUAUGCUCGGGUUAUUUGAAUCUUAGUCCAAACCCAAGCCAAAGUGAACUUGUGUUGAAAUUUUUUUACCCAAACCCAACUCAAGUAUUGAAAAUGAUUGCCCAAGUCUAACCAAAUGUUGGGUUGGGUUCGGGUUGGAUUGAGUCAACCCGCCCAAGCUAAACCUCUACUUUUAUUAAUGCCAACAUAUAGGACUUUGAUGUUAAGCUUGAUAUUGCAGGAUGUUGUCCACUGUCCCGCCUCAAAAAUGCUUCGUUUUACAAAGUGAGUGAAACAAAAAGCUUAUGCAAAUAUAUAAGACUUUGAAGUUAAGCAUUUCUCAUAUGUCAAUUUGGCAUACCCAAGAAAUGGUGAUAAACAAUGAGGUCCAAUUUAACCCUAUUCUCAUCAACAAUUUCUACAGCAAGCUUGGAAGAAGGAUUUUCUAGUCCAUAUCAUAGUUCCCUUGCUGCAACAAUUGAGCAAAAUCCAACGAGGAGCUACCCUUGCUGCCCUAAGCUUGCUGCUUAAUAGCUUGAAAACCCAAGAGUGAGACACCCUUCAUAAUGGCAUAUGGCGUGAAGGUAGUAAUAACCACAAAAAUUGAAAAGCCAAUAGCUUGUUCAUAUACCUUUUAUGCAUAAUUUUGUCAUUUUUAACCUAGACAUAAUGUAAUCUAGUAGGGGGGUUGUCGAAUGGAUUGUAAAUAUGAUGUUUGUUAUACACAUUAAUAUGCUAGUAUAUUCAUGAGAUCUCCGACAUGAAUUACUUGUAGCAAACAAGUGAUCACCUAUAGAGGUGCAGCAUAGUCCAACUGAACCUCUGGUUUCUUUUGCUUAGAAGUUGACCUAGCUGUCUUUCAACUUCGGCAGCCAAAAAUUCAACCCCAGUAGUCCCUAGAAUAAAUGAUUUUAUAUUUUAACUAGUGGGUAAAAAGUGAGUUAAGGUCUCUGACAACAAUGUCUCCAAACAACUAUAUAUUUAACCAUUUUAACCUCGCUACUACCAUCAAUAUGGUAGAAGAGGAUACUGGAACAUAUGCUGGAAGAGCAAUCAAGAGCAGAUAGCUUCAAAUUCUGAAGGUUAGGUGGAGUUGGAAACUAUAGUUUUAUUAGCCUUUAGAUACAAUUUUAACCUCUAUUUUUUGACAGGAACUUGGAGCUUUUGAGGUGAGGAAGGGCUUCCAACCUCUAUUUCUGAUAGGAACAUGGAGCUUUUGAGGUGAGGAAGGGCUUCGCCUUUUUCAAACUUAGCCAAGUUGUAGUGCAACUCCUUUGGCCAUGCAUAUAUGUGCAUAUUGCCUUGAAUUCAGUCAAAGUAAAAGGGUAAUCAUGUAAACUCUUUUCAUGAUUUGCUUUUCGAACAUAAAAAUCUGAUAAAAUUUAAUGUGACAAUUAACUCACAAUAUUAAAACUUUCAGAAGAUCACAAAAUCUGAUUGAUGUUAAGGACUCAUUCUAUACACAUAAGUUCAUUUGCGAGUAAGUGGGAACCAAUUUAGAAGGUCAAGUAUAUUUACUGUCAACAAGAAUGUUGCCCUCCAAUUUAAGAUCUCCACUAAGGAGGAACCCUGUUUGAUCCAGAUUCCAGGAUCAUGCAACAGAGUCUAAAUCAAAUCAAGAGCAACGUUCCAAUUUGUGAAUACCAAGAAUAGCUGUAUCUUCUUUUUACAGGAUCCAGAUUCUGUGUAAGCAGUGAAAUUAUUUGCAAUCAGACAAUCAUCAUCUUCUUCAAGAAAUGCUGCUAUGAAAUUAUUUCUAGCUGUGUCUGACUCUUCACAACAUGAAGUUAGCAACCAGAUUGCUCAAUCACCAAGCCACAAAGAUGAUACAACCGAACAGUUGCAGUAGGAAAACUUCUUUGUUUAUUCAGAAUCAAGAAAAUCUUUAGGUCCCUCAUACCACGACCGCUCCCAAUCUUUAGGUCUUGGGGGAAGACAAUUCCUUCAUUCUCUACGUGGACAGAAGUAGUGCUUGCUUUUCUGGCUUUUGUCUCUCCACAGUCUGUAAAAAAAAUGUCCCAAAAAACAACUAAUGAUCAGAAAAAGUGUAAAAGGGAAGAGAGAAAACUGCUGAUAGAUUGGAUCAGUCUUCUUCUUCAUUAGAUCAUUACAAACAUCUGGCUUUGAAAAAUUUGAAGUUAAUUAACUACCAUCAUUAUAAAUAUUUAUUUUUCCUGAAAGAAUGAAAAUGUAUGGUUGCUCUAUGAGUACAGCCCUCUACAGCACAAAAAUAAACAAAUACUGUGGUCAAAGCUGUCAAUCAAAAUCCCCCUAUCCAGAAUGCAUGUCAAUGGCUGAUCCAUAUUCCCACACUAGUAUCCCAUAUCAAAAACCACAUACAUACAGAGAAUAAACUCGAUAAGAUUUCCUCCAAGAAUCAUGGCAUCAAUGAUGAAGAAUGGCUUUUAUCCAAGUUUGAGGCAGUUUGCCAUAUUCAUCUGCUUCCCCAUGAGUCUCAUGUAGUUAAUGGAAGGAUUCAAUAAACAAUCUCGAAACGCAUGAGUGUUUUUGGCCUAAUAAAAUUCAGCAUAUGGCAUGAUUUUGUAUGUGUAAAUAGGGACUACUGCUAGCUUGUUUGUAUGAAAUAACCAUGAUUACUAGACAGUCACAUCAAAUUAAGCAGAAUCUACAAAAUACUGAUCUCCAUUUCGUACCAUGUCUGAGAAAUUUUGUGAAAUGAUCAUAAACUGAACAUGAAUUAUAUGUAAUCUACUUCAUUUACCAAAGGUAAUGAAAUCUAUUCUAUUUUUAUAAUCAACUUAAUUAGGAAACUCAGAUACUAAUCACUACCAUACGUACAGAAAUCAUAUUACUUUUCUUUAAUACCUCCCUUGAUCAACUUACAUGCUAAGAAUGAAAAAAUCAUAAGGCAAUCAGAUGAAACAAACCAAGAAAACAAAAAUAUUGAAUGCAGAGUUAUGAAAUAUCACCAGAUGAGAUCCAACAGUACAUUAAAAAAAAUUGUAAACUUGCUUACCUUGGCGCCAUGUCUGGAGGAAUCCCAAUUGUUAAGCAUAGGGCCCAUGUUGACAAGCACAUGCCCAGAUCUUAGACACCCUCAAGAUGAACAAUGGCAGCUACUCUAGGCACUCCUACUGCACAGGCAAAAAUAAGUUAGCUAAUGUUUCUUGGCAAUUGGCUUUGGAUUGGACCUUGGUAGAUAGGUCAGUUUUAGAUAGAUAAGUUAAUAAUCCAAUAACUAUAUUCCAAGAUGCAUCAUAUGCAAUGCAUCAAUUUGGAAAUUCAAAACAAACAUUUGAGGCAUUUAAAUAGUCAGUUUUCAACACUUUCAUAUUCAAAUGUGUACAAAAUGAUUAUAACUUGAAAGUUUGAAUAUAAACUGAUGUACAAUAUUCCCAAAGGCUCAAGUCUGCCAGGAAUAAGGCUUCAAAUCACACAUUUACGUAGCCUCAUGUUUGAGUUAAGCAUGUACCCUAUCUAUUAAUGAGUUCAUCAAUAAUAAGUUUUUUGCAAGAAAUUGGGACCUGAAAUUACUCUACUCAUUUUCUUGAAUAAUGAAUUUUCUUAAAAGUGUAAUUGAUUAUCAAACAUAGUCAGGCAUUUAUAUCUAUGGUGGAAACUAGUCCGCUGCCAAAGAGAGGGUCAAAGGCCUAAUUAUCAUUUUGCUAAACAAUGUAAUAUAGUCAUCCAAAAAAAUUUAUAAUUAUACCUUUUUCCGACUCCACUCAUGCCAUUGAACUUUAUAGUUGGACAAACCUAGAUCAAAAUAUACAAAAAAUAAAGAAUAAGAGAAAACAAGCUAGAAAAAACCGCAAGCACUAAAAUUUGUACUUUAAAAGAGGAAAUAGGCUAGCAAUUGUAAGUUUAAUUUACAGAAACCUUACAAAAUAUAUUUAAAAUUAUAGGAAAACUACUUACCUUUAAAAAAUUGGUGCAAACACUCUACCUUUUGUUGAUGUUCACAUCUCGAGAAGAACAACUUCUUUCUUAGUAGAUCUGAUGAUGGUGUUAAUCUUUGGGAAGAGAUAAUUAGAAGGCUGCGUUGAAUUUUAGCGAGUGAGAGAGAAAGGAUCACCCAAAACCCUAAAGCAAAAAAGGAAUUAGUAACUUAAAUAGAUUCCAUUUUUUCCUCAUGACGUGUCUACCUUAGUAAGGUUUUUAUCAUAGUGACAACAUUUGGAUAAUUAAGUGAUGACUUUUGAUAGAUCUUUUCUAUUUGAAUUUUUAAUAUAUAAACUUAAUCUUCUUUACUUGGGGUAAUAUAUAUAUGGUAUUUUAGGAUUUAAUUUUUAAUAAUAUGCUUUUAGUUGAUGGUUUAGCUAUCUCCUAAUGUAAUAAGAAGUAAUCUUGAAUUACAUUAUCUGCUAUGGAGUAGGAGUGUGUUGCUUGUUCAAGGGAUGUAUGGGAAGUUGUUUAAUUGAUGAUAUACUUUCAAUGCUUAGAGUCAUGACUUGAGCUGAUAUGGUUAUCAACAUCUAAGCAAUGAUGGUGUGGCAACUCUAUUGUAUAGCAAGGAUCCAAUUAGUAACAUUGUAGAAAAAACAGCUAGACAAUUGAUUCCACUACAUUCAAGAUAUUGUUGCUUAAGGGGAGGUAGUAAAAAGAAAUAGACAAUUGAUACAACUACACUCACAACAUAGAGACAAAACACACAAACAAUACUAUAGUUGAAUAAAUUGUUGGAAACCCUAGAUUACUCCAUCUCAUGCCUUAGAUCUCGUAGGUUGUAUGCAUCUAGCCCUAAGCAUCUCUAAAUCUAUUGCAACCAUAUUAAGAAUAAAGAUUUAGAGAUUUGAACCCCAUACUUAGAUCAAAAUGUUCCUAGAACAAUUCCCUGUGGUGAAGAAGAAGCUUGAAGAGUCUGAAGGUCUCGUACACCUAAGAUCUUAUGCCCAAUGACUCGAACCAUGAUCUUGGUACUCCAAAGUGUGGCCAAUGAAAUGGAGGAAGUAAUGGCUCUUUCUCUAGAUGUGGAAAACCACUCUCAUUUAAAAGUCAUGAAAACCCUAACCCCUAAGGGGUAUUUAUAGGGUUGCCCACUAGACUUAAGUGAGUUAAGCCCAUCAAGGCUUGAGUCACUUAAUCUAGCCUAAAAUAGGUCAUAAUUGAUUGAUUAACCACAUAUGAUCAUCUAAUUAAUUAGCCUAAUCCAGAGAUCUUGAUCAUUAUCCCCUAUGCAACCUUAUGUAAUUACCAAAAUGAAAUUAUGCAUAAGAAUGAAUUUAGAGUCAAUCCAACCCUCAUAAACUGUGUCAUUAUGGUAUAUAUAUGAGCUCAGAGUAGGAACCACUAAGACCCAUAGGAUUUCUAACUCUCUCAUAAUCCAAUUUUGAAGUUGAUUCAAUAUUCCACUAAAGAGAAUCAAUUGCACUCGAUCUAAUACCUUAUGUAAAUAACAAUAAAAAAAACCUCAAGUACAUAACCUACUAUCUGUUGACAUCUUAAAUCUAAGCAUCGGAAGCAAUACCAUUUAAAAAAAAAAUUGAUCUUUUAGGGUUAAAGUACUAGCUUUUAGGUUUGGAUAUUCUCAAACCUUAAAUUUUAAGUGUUGAAGACGACUUUGAAGUUGUUGGAAAUCUUGUAAACCCAUAAUCUUCCGUUCAAUGACUCAACCUUGUUUUUGACAUACUUUCAAUGGGAAAGAAAGAAGGCUGGAAGCUAUGACUCUCUUUCUCUCUAGAUAGUGGAAGCAAAAAGUUAUGGAAAACCUAACCUCUAUGGGAUAUUUAUAGAAUUCCUAACUAGGCUUAAGUGACUUGAGCCCACGUGGGCUUAGGUCACUUAAUCUAGCUCAAAAUAUGUUCUAAUUGAUUAAUUAACCUAAUAGAACUUACUAAUUAAUCAAUUAACUCAAUCCAAAGACUUUAUUCACUUACUCCUGUGUAACCUUAUAUAAUUACCAAAAUACCCUUAUAUAUAAAAGUGAACCUAAAGCCAAUCUGACCCUCAUAAUCAAUGUCAACAAGGUAUAUGAGUUCAAAGCAGGGACUAUUAGGACCCAUAGGAGUACCAACUCCCUCAAAAUCCAAUUUUGAAGUUGAUUUAACAUCCCAUUAUAGAAAAUCAACUGAACUCUUAGACUUAUAAAAUAAAAUAAUAAUAAGUAAAUUAACUUUAAUUAUUUCAUUUUCAUAUUCCAUUUAAAAAUGAUUCAAAUUAUACAAAUCAUCAUAAUAAUUUAUAUAUAUAUAUGUCAUAAUUUCUUUUAUAUUUGAAUAUUAAAUAUAUUUUAAAUUCUUAAAUUAUGUAUAUUAUUAUCGAAUAUCAUUAAUUAUAUUAAAUUAUAUCAAUUUUUUAAUAAAUAACUUCAUUAUGUGUAUUAUUGCUUCUUUUAUAAUUUUUUUUUAGUUUUUAUUAAUAUUUUACCAGUUUUUAUUAAUUUUGAUUUUUUUUUCAAAAUUUUCAUUGAUAUUUGUUGAUAAUUAUUUGUUUUUAAGUUUUACAAUAAAAAAAAAACUUUAAUAAAUAUAUUAUUUCUUAUUUUAUCAUGUUUAAGAGUUUUUUUUUUUUUUUUAAUAUUUCCACUAGUUUUGAUCAAUUUUUUUUCAUUGACAUUUUGUGACAAAAUAUUUACCAAUAUUUUCUAAUAUACCCUAAUAUCUAUAAAAACGAGUUAUUAAUAUAUCCAUCAAAAUAGAUAUUUUCAUCCUUGCUCACAAAUUAUAUUUUAUAUCUUUAUUUAUUUCGUUUUUCAUCAAACUCUCACUUCACAUUCUAGGUUACAAGACUACAACUUGAGAAUUUCUAGAGCACGGACAUAUUUGAAAUUUGAGACAUUGAUGGAAAGUGUAAAUCUUCUUUUUUAAAAACAAAAUAUUAAAUUAAAAAUAUACUACCAAGGCUGAAAAAAAAAAAGCGUGUAUAAAGGAUAAGAUAUAUAUAUAUAUAUAUAUAAUAAGAUUAUUGUAAGAUACAAACAAAUAAAAUCUAUUUUUACCAUGUGAUUAUUUUGAAUUGUAGAAGUCCUUUCUAUAAGGUAGUAUGAUAAUUAUAAUAACCACAAUAAUAAUAAUAGAAGAGAUUACUUUUCGUUGCGUGCCUUAAAACUAUGAAUAAAUACCUUUUAUUAUUUGAAGUCAUUUUCAAUUUGUACAAGUCAUGUACCUAGUACACAAUGAAUGUCUGCUGAUAACUUCAAAACCUAAGAAUAUUGAAAAUGGGUGCAGACUUUUUCAAUUGUUGACAUAUCCGCAAGCCAAGGGAUCUGCUCCAGCUGGGUGGAAUGUCCACAACCUGACAGUGAAAUAGAAUUUUGAGGCCCCAAUAGGGUCCCCAAAGCCAGAUAUAAAAUUAGAAUCUCGGGAUCUCUUCCAAUUGUAUGUUCAUAUUAAUUUUAUGAACAUAAUUCAAUUAAUUUUAUGUUCAUAUGAAAUGGAAUUUUGUACAUAAUUCACAUAAGCGGAUAAAUAAUCAUGCUAAGGAACCUUCUCCAUAUGGUAGGACGUAUGCAAUCAAAUACAAAACUAGAAUUAUAGGAUCCUCUCUUUUGAAGUCCCUUGAUGACCUCCUUGAUAAUCCUGAAUGCAUUCACCACCAAACUAAACUUAGAAUUGGAAAAAUAGUUUUGAACUUAGAACCCAUUUGGUAGUGAUUUGAGAAAGUAUUUCUAACAUUUUUAACAUUUAAAAUUUUUUAUCAUUCAAGUGUUUAAAAUGUUAUAAACGUUUCCUAAAAUCCCCAUCAAAUAUACUCUUAAUUAGGUGGAAAAAAAGCUACUUGGAUAUUUUGAGACUUAAAUGCAUGUGAUUCCCAAAUUGCAUAAACAAGUUCCAAGCAGAGUGCAAUGAGUUCCAAUUGUCAGAGGAUAAAACAUGAUAUUGAAAUAUGGUUUUAAUGUGACCCUCAAGUUUCGAUUCGCGUAUUGCAUAAACAAAAAAUAAUCUAACUCCCAAGCUUGGGCUCAAGCCACCUCCUCAACCUAUGGUUCAUAAGUGCUCUUUGUAAGUGCUUGGACUCUUGAUCAUUCUUCACUUUCAGCUACAUGUUUUUGCUAACAAAGUUGAGCAUACUUCAUUAUGUGCUAGGACCCAUUUAUGAUCACUUUAACAUAAUUUUAAUGUUAAACGCAUUCUUAUCUAAUCCUAAACCAUUAUAGAUAAUGAAGGUGCAAACUUUAACCCUAAUGAGGAUUUUGUGCAUAAUCAUAUUUGAAUGAAAUUUUAUUCCUUUGGGAACUUAAGGAGCAUGAGGUUCAAACUAGACAAACAAGUUAUACAUGAUUCAAGAUAAGACGUGAACUAGCCUCUGCAGGUGAAGUUAGGUGAAAUUAAAGUGGUAGGAAGAAACAAUGAGUGAAAACCAUAUUUUUUUGGUUAAAGAUCUUUUAGUGUAAUUGUACCUUGAGCAAAAAUUUAAAAUACAUUCGAUUGUAAUUCAAAGAAGUAUUUUUAAUCUUUCUAAAGUUACUGUCAAACUCACUCUUAAUAAGCUACUUUGAUACUUAGGGCAUGCUAUAAUUGAAUUGAGCGAAUGAGGUAUUGUUUGGAUAUGCCUUUGCUUUUAUUUGUUUAUUUUAAAAAAUAUUAAAUAUGGUUAUUAUGCCUAUUUUUUCUUCUUUUUAUUUUUUUUAUAAUUAAAUAACAAGAAUUUUAAAAAAUUUCAUGAUCUUAAAUGAUUUUAAUUAAUUUUAUGUUUAUAAAUAAGAUGAUUAUUGUUAGUCUUUUGAUAUAGAAGAAUAAGAUGUGCAAAAAGUUGGUGUUAAUUUAUGAUUUCAAAAUAUGUUUAGAAAAUUUUCAAAGUUGAAAAAAUAUGUCAUACUUUUAUAUUUUAAAUUUUUUCUAUAAAAAACAUUUAAAAGUGAUUCAUGAAAAUUUAUUUUAAAACUUAAAAAUUUAAAAAUAGAAGAAUGAUGAAGUCUGGCCAUUUUUUGGGAGAACAACUAAAUGAAUAUUUUUUAGGAUUCCAACUUUCACAUUUCAUCCCAAACACACAAUGGAUAAAAUUAUUUCUAAAAUAUGCAUUUAAAUAACAACUAAAUGAAUUGCCCCUUUUUAAAGUCUUUGAUAUGAUAAAUCAUAAUUGAAAGCGUUUAAUAUAUACCCUUUUAUUUCUACUUUUCUUUUCUUUCCUUUUUUUAUAUGAUCAAGUGGCCACACUUUCUCUUAUGAAAGCUCUUUAAUUUCAUAUUAUUUUUACUCUUAUUUAUUAAAUUUAAUCAUUUUUUAACACAUUAAAUACAAAAUGAUAAUAUAUAAUAAGUAAUUAAUGAGAACAAAUUAAAUAUAAAUUUAAAUAUACAAUGGACAAAAAAGACAUAUUAUCCUACAAAUAAUAUACUUGAUUAUUUAAAAUAUUAAUUAUAAUACAUUUGAGCUCAAAUUUACAAAUUAGGUUUUAUUAUUUAGACAUUUAGGAUAUAAGAUAUGUUAACUAGAUUUUUUUUUUUUAUAUUAAUGCUAAAAGAAUACUUAUUUAUUUUGUAAAUUUUACCACAUCUAAAUAAAACAAAAUGAUCUUUAUGAUGUUAUUUUUAUGUUUAUAUUAUUUUAAAGUUUUUAUUUUUCAUGUCAAAAUUAUAAUUCGUGAUGAUUAUUUUAGCUUUUUACAUACAAAUCAUCUACUCUUCCUGGUAAUUCAAUAUGAACAUAAAUUAAGCAUUUCAUGCCAACAAACUAAAUAUGAACAUAAAUAUAAUCUCAAAGAUGUAUUAUUUUUCUUAUGGGUAUAAUAAGUACAUUUUCAAGAAAAAAAGAAUGUUACUUAGAAAAAUAAUUGUAUACUUCAUAAGCAUAAGUACAACCUUAAUAAAAAUAAGAAUAUUCUUUAAAAAGUACAUCAUUUAAAUAAAGUACAAUAAAUUGAGCAAUUUAUGAUGACAAACUCAAUAUGAACAUAAAUGUAGUCUUAGGUAUGUAAUAACUACAUCUUAGAGAAAAAAAAAGUACAUGCCUCAAAAAAAUAAAUAUAUCUCUAGUAAACUUACUCAUAAUCUAAAGAAAAAUAAUGACAUUCCUUUAAAAAAAUAAUUGUUGUUUCCUUUUACAUUUCCUCUUUAUUAUAUUUCUCUCUCCUAUUUUCCUCAAUUUUACUUAUUUUCAUAAAACAUAGCUUAUAUGGAAAGGUGUUAAUUUAAUGAAGCAUUUAUAAUCGCCCUUUCAUAAUCAUGAAUUAACCUUUAGUUUCAACUUCUACCAGACUAAAUGAGCAAAGCUAUCACAGAGGCCUCAGCCAAUGAGUAACAAGCACUGUUGUACCAAAUAAUAAGUGGAAAAUACAAUUUUAUUAAUACUUGAGACAGAAAAAAAAAAAAAGGUAUGAUUUUACACUCAAAACAAGGAUUUAUUUAUAAUGAGGUGCAGUCUCCAUAUGCACAAAAGACUGCCUUUACAGGAUAAAGAAAGACAUGGAAAUUAUCAAUGUUUGACUCACUGGAAAAUCAUACAAAUUAUUGAAGGAGGACGAUUGUUCACAGUGAGGCUUAGCACAUCAGCUCUCGAAUAAUGUCCUACCACGUCAAACUGGAACUUUGCUUUUGGAAUCUCUCCACGAACAU